UAGCAGACCGAAGAGCUAGAGAAGCCAAGAGUGUGUGGACCGAGCGAUGGCCGGGGUUGUCGGCGUUUGGUUCGCCAAGUUGGGCCGGGAGGCGGCGCCGGCGGCAGAGGCCGAGGUCGUCGGCCGGCGAAACCAGGGCGACGGCCUGAUCGAGGCUGAGGCCGCGAAGACGGUGCAGAUCCAGGAGAGGAGGAGGAGGAACAGCAGCGUCCUCUCCAACUCCGAGGACACGGUGUGCAUGCUCAUGGACCGCUUCGCCCCGGCCUGAUAUACGCCGGUGAACCGGUGUUCAUUCCGGCGCAUGGGAGCCUAUACCUUGUGCUGUGAUUCCGCUGGUUCCUCUUGUACAUAAGCUCUUUUUUCAUCGCUAAUCGAGUGAUAGUAGCUCAUGCCUUCCGUUUGAAAAGAAAAGAUGAACAAAUUAUGCGGCUAGAUGAAUCAACUGUAUCAUAUUCAUAUCACAUACUUUUUUGUAAUUCUUGUCGUGGUUUUAGUUAAUUAUACUGAUACGAAACAAAGGAGUAGUAUGUAUAUAUAUAUGACUGUAUAUGCUUUGAAUGGAUUGUCUGGUUAUCUCGCAAAAAAAAGUGGAUUGUUUGGUUUCUAUGCCAUCUCGCUGCCUAUCUUUUUUGUUGGCGCUGCCUUUGUUUAGUUGGUGUUGGUGAUGUUUUUGGCCAAAAAUACUACACCUACGAACUGUUUAUGAAGAGCAACGUAAACCUUUCAUCCAUAAUCAAUUGCCCCUCCUAAUUUUCACUGGGUGGGGUCCCUUCCCUUUUCUUUUCCAAUCGAAAGAUUUCCACCUAAGCCUGUUCGUAAGAUAUGUAAAAGAAUUUACGUAGGUGUAGCAAAACUCAUUUCUGGCGAUCCAUUUACUGUUGUGUCUCUCCUCAAUCCUCUUUCAUUUUAUAAAACGGGAAGUUUACACUUCUUGCAGCAUUGCAGCUUAUUCACAGCUGUCAUAAUCGAGAUGACAUGAAAUUGACACCUCACCCAACCUAUGUUUUUCGUUCUUGAACUACUCAUCAAAAAUUGAGGGAAAAAUGUUAAUUUAGCCAAAUAAUAAAAUCAUUAAUGUUCACCAUUUUCCAACAACAUAGGAAACACCACCGCCUCGUUUGGAUGUUGAUAUUAAGGCCUUUGGAAUUGAAUUGGCCCCAAUAUCAAAUCACUUUUGUAUUGACAUUCACCCAAAUUCUGGUGUUUGGAUGUUCACAGAAUUGAUACUUGGACUUUGCAUGAGAGGCUCAAUUCUCAAGCUUGUUUGGAAGGCCAUUCUCUACAUUGAAAUUGCUCAUGGGAAGGGGGAGGUUGCGAUGCCAUCUGACUCAGCCUGCUUCUUCUCCUCACGCAGCACCGCCAUCGUCGAUGAGGCAGGAUGAGCUGGUGCCGGGGUUCCUGGAGAGAGGGAGGUCGGCGAUGGGCGGCGGGGCGCGGUGGCUGGAGAAAGGAGUGGAUCCGCAGGGGAGAUGGGGGGAGGAGGAGGGCGAUGGAGAGGGCCUGACCUGCGCCGCCCGAGAGAUGGGGGAAGGAGGAGGGCAAUGGAAUGGGGCUGACCUGCGUCGUCGGAGAGAUGUGGGAAGGAGGAGGGCGGUGGAGAGAGCUGACCUGCGCCGCCGGAGAGAUGGGGGAAGGAGGAGGGCGGCGGAGUGGGGCUGACCUGCGUCGCCGGCAGGUCCUCCAUUGCGGCCCCGAAUAUCUCACGAAGUCGAGCUUGUGAGCUCUGAAUUAGGGAAUAGAAGGGCAGGUUGCGAGGUGGGCUAGCCAAUAUUGCGGGCUAAUUGAGCGAGUCAAUGCCAUGAGCAUCUGAACAAUGGCAUUCGGGGCCAAUAUCAAUAUCUAGGCCCCAAUAUCAACAUCCAAACGAGGCACACAAGGUUUUGGCAAACACAUCGCAAUCAUCCCCAUCUCCACCAAGAGCGAAGGUGAAAUGAAAUGGGCACAAAGAGCUAAGGUGACCAAGGUAGUUCAUGGAGAUGAUAAUACUAAAUUCUUUCAUAUGAUUGCAAAUGGCAAACAUAGAAAGAAAAAAUAAUCCAACUUGAGCAAGAUGAAGGAACAAUAGUAGGUCAUGAAAACUUAAAAUUAUACAUAUCUGAAUAUUACAAGAAACUAUUUGGGCCUUCAAAAGAGAAGUUGGUCUCACUGGAUGAAAGUUCCAAUCAUGAUAUACCUCAACUUAAUGCGGAUGAGAACGAGGUCUUAUCUGCUCCCUUUACAGAGAAGGAGGUUUAUGAUUCAAUAGCACAAAUGAAACAUAACAAGGCUCCGGGACCAGAUGGGUUCCCAGCAGAGUUUUAUAAAAAGUGUUGGCAUAUUAUUAAAGGUGAUCUCAUGCCUAUGUUCCAUGAUUUAUUCGAGGGUCAUUUGCAGCUUUUCCACCUUAACUUUGGAACAAUUACGUUGUUGCCAAAAAGGGUGGAAGCUAUACGCAUUGAACAGUUUAGACCAACUUGUCUGCUCAAUGUGAGCUCCAGAAUUUUCACAAAGGUGGGCACAAAUAGACUGACGAAGAUAGCACAUUCAGUAGUCCAACCGACACAGACUGUGUUUAUGCCUGGGAGACAUAUCCUUGAGGGGGUUGUCGUUCUUCAUGAAACGUUACACGAAAUUCAUACAAAGAAAUUAGAUGGAAUUAUCUUUAAAGUGGAUUUCGAAAAGGCUUACGAUAAGGUAAAAUGGUAAUUCCUUCAACACGCCUUACGAAUGUAAGGUUUCAAUGAAAGAUGGAGAGAUCAGAUUGAUGCUUUCGUACAAAAAGGGAGUGUAAGAGUUAAAGUAAACGAUGACAUAGGUCAUUAUUUUCAAACACAUAAGGGAUUAAGAUAGGGGGACUCAAUGUCCCUUGUAUUAUUCAACAUAGUUGCCGAUAUGUUGACAAUACUUAUUGCGCGAGCCAAAGAUAAGGGUCAAGUUGGAGGACUCAUUCCACACCUUGUAGAUGGGGGUGUAUCUAUAUUACAAUAUGCGGAUGAUACAAUUAUAUUUAUGGAACACAAUAUGGCUAAAGCAAGGAACAUGAAAUUAUUAUUGUGCUUAUUUGAACAACUAUCGAGGCUCAAAAUUAAUUUUAACAGAAGCGAAAUCUUAUGCUUUGAAAAGGCAAAAGAGGAGCAACAAGCUUAUAGACAGCUAUUUGGUUGUGAACUGGGAUCACUUCCGUUUAGCUAUCUCGAGAUCCCUAUUCAUCAUAGGCGUCUGACAAAUAAAGAAUGGAAAUGUAUCUAAGAAAGAUUUGAGAAAAAAUUAAGUUGAUGGAAGGGCAAACUUAUGUCAUAUGGAGGGAGGCUUGUAUUAAUUAACUCGGUGUUAACAAGCUUACCUAUGUUCUUAUUGUCUUUCUUUGAAAUACCUGUAGGGGUUCGAAAAAGACUAGACUUCUACAGAUCUCGUUUCUUCUGGCAAAGUGAUGAAGCUAGGAAGAAAUACAGAUUAGCUUGGUGGGAUAUUAUAUGUACUCCCAAAGAUCAGGGGGGUUUGGGCAUCGAGAAUUUAGAAGUGAAAAACAAGUGUUUGUUUAGCAAAUGGUUAUAUAGGUUAUCCACAGAAUUUGAAGGAAUGUGGAUUCAAAUACUCCAAAACAAGUACCUGAACUCUAAAACCUUAGCUCAGGUUACAGCUAGACCAAAUGAUUCCCCCUUUUGGAAAGGGCUAAUGAAGAUAAAGAUGAAUUUUUUCAAUAGGGUAAAAUUUAUAGUUGGUAAUGGUGCCUCAACAAGGUUCUGGGAAGAUACUUGGCUUGGGACACACCACUUGCAAUUCAAUUCCCCAUGUUAUACAAUAUAGUACAACGUAAAGAGGAUUAUGUAUCCACGGUACUACAAUCUAUACCGCUUAAUAUGCAGUUCAGGCGUGCUUUAGUAGGAGCUCGUUGGGAUGCAUGGUUGCAUUUGGUUGAAAGAAUCAUGCAAGUGCAUUUAUCUGAACAAUCACAUAGUAUUACGUGGAUUUUAACUAAGAAUGACGUAUUCUUAGUAAAGUCCAUGUAUGAACAUCUGAUAAAUACCGGAAUCAUAGCUAGAUCAUUACCUAUUUGGAAGAUUAAGGUGCCCCUCAGAAUUAAAAAAUUUAUGUGGUUUAUACACAAAGGGGUCAUACUAACCAAACAUAACUUACUUAAGCGCAGUUGGAGAGGAAGGCCUAACCGUUGCUAUUGUGAGCAAAAUGAAACAAUAAGACACCUUUUCAUAGAAUGCCUUCUUGCAAAAUCAUUAUGGAGAACUAUUCAAAUAGCUUUUAAUAUCAGCCCUCCUACAUGUAUGGGUUCAAUAUUUACAAGGUUGUUUAAUGGAGUUGACGUUGAAAUAUCGAAACUUAUCGGAAUUGGGAUAUGUGCUUUGUUUUGGGCAAUAUGGAAUACCAUGAAUGACAUGAUCUUUAAUGGCAAGAACUUCAACAAUUUUUUGCAGGUUAUCUACAGAGCAACGUCUUGGAUCCGUACGUGGUCGUUACUCAGUCUUGCGGAGUACAAGGGUCUUAUGGAUAUUGGGUGCAACCGAUGGGAGAUGGCCGCACGGGUUAUCUUCAACCGAUUUGGAUGGCCUGCUAAUAAUAGACUAGAUGUAUAGACAUCGUAGUCUAAUUUUAGAUACGUCGGAUGUGGCAACUGUUUACUAUUUUGUUCUUGCUUCCUUUUGCACUUCGGGCUUUUUUAGCUCUAUGAACCUAAGAUACUAUUUUAUUUAUCUUUAAUAAUAUGGUUGCAUGCAUCGAUUGAUGCAGAGGCCGGAGGCUCGUUUCCUCCUUAUCAAAAAAAAUCCCCAUCUCCACCUUCGAUGGUCUAUGGGGUUGUGUAUUGCCCCUGGAGUCGACCACUCUAGCCAGGGACGGAUGCAAGGGGGGACGAGGGGGGGCGAGACCCCCCCCCCCCCCCACCCNNNNNNNNNNNNNNNNNNNNNNNNNNNNNNNNNNNNNNNNNNNNNNNNNNNNNNNNNNNNNNNNNNNNNNGGCCCCCCCCCCCCCUAACGAUGCAGUUUUCUCUUUAUAGCGAUUGGGUUUAGCAUAGGUUUUCGCUAAUCACGCGUACUCGUUAUGUGAUUCGCCCCCUCUAUCGGCCUGCCCCUGUGUAACGAACGGCUUAAUGUGAAGCACCUUUGAGCCCAACCCAUGUCUUCUACUGUAGACUAAGCCCAAAAAGAAAACAAAAACCCAAUACAGAAAACAAAGAUCAAGCCAACUAGAUCAUGGUUUCAGGGAUCCACGCACACAUAUGCCACGACUGCAUUUCGACGGUUUCGCGGCCACUACAGAUAGCCGCCUGCCGCCUGAUCCAUCCACUUGCUGCAUCCAAUCUAACUUGAUAACUGCUCAAGGCAGCGAUCUUGCGCGGCCGCGCGGCCGAUCGGCCGGCCGCAAUGGCAGCAUCAGGGAGCAAGGCAAGAAAAAUCGAUAGAUUACUCUGCUUUGUGAUAAAAAAAAUGUAAGCUGUGUCUCUUCUCUUACUUAGUCCACUGUCCAAGAUUUAUGCUGCAAAAUUAGAUUAAUUUGUGCCUUCAGCUUUAGGAGCAGACGAGCAGUUUUUUCAUUGUUUAUCCCUUCUAUAGGAGAAAUGUUCAGUUCAUACAUUUGCAAUUGCUUUCGCAUUUGAGUUGCAGAAACUUUUGACUAAAACUGAAUUGUUCAUAGAUGAUAUCAAUUUUCUUUUGUUCAUAAGAUUUAGCUCAUUAACCUAGGCUUAUGCUCACUCGCAAAAAAAACCUAGUGGGUGAUUUUAUUUACCAGUUUCCACACGCAAAAUCUCGCCCCCCCCCCCUAUGGUAAAACCCUGCCUCCGUCCCUGACUCUAGCUGGCCUUACAUUUUACUAGAUGUUCCAACAUCAUAAUAACCCCGACAAAUCAAUAGUUAUAUACUUCCUCCGUUCUUAAAUAUAAGUCUUUUAAGAUAUUUCACUAAGAGUCUACAUACGGAGCAAAAUGAGUAAAUCUACACUUCAAAGUAUGUCUAUAUACAUCCGUAUGUGAUUCACUAAUGAAAUCUCUUUAAAGACUUAUAUUUAAGAACGGAGGGAGUAUAUAGUAAUAAAUGAGAUAUUACUUCUGACUGUACGUAUGAAAAUUGUUCUUAAAGUUGUAAAUUUUUCCGUAUUAUCGAUCAUCAUCAUCAUCAUGCAACCAAAGCGUCUUUGUGAUUGUCGUACGUGCUGAAUUACCAAGUUCGGCGCCUUCUGAAUGUCUCCGUUACAAUACAAAUCAACGCCUAUCCCGAGUCAAGUCCGUUUUCAUGAUGGUCCCUCGAGGGAAAAAAAAGUUCGUUUUCGCGGGUACGUACGAUCGAUGGAGACGGUGCAGCCAAGUGGGAGUGGAGUUGUAAUUCAUUACCGCCGCUCGGACAGCUAAAGUAGUACAGAAAUAUCUCCCUUCGUCGAGAUAUUUUGAUUCAGUUGUUACCAGAAACUCAUAAAUGACAUACAGAAGAAGUAUCGUGUGUCAGCUUUAUUUUUUUGCUGGAAUAAAACUUCUAUUACCCAAAUUGUCGCAUGAUUACAAUCAGCCAAAGACAGCUCAAGAGCAAGGGUCCAGAACCUAGCCAAGUAACAGUUCUUCCCUCUAUGGGGCAAAAUUAGCUAGACAUUCACUAACCUUAUUCUGAGAUCUACUCCCUCCGUACCGGAAUAUAAGUCGCUCGAGUAGCCAACUUUAGCUACUCCAACGACUUACAUUCCGGUAUAGAGGAAGUACUUAUAUGAGUAAUUCAAGUUUUACGGGGACGUGGAGUUUCUACAUGUGAGCUCAUAUGCACUUGAUACAAACAAUAAAAUAAAUAAUCAUUUCAAAAAAAUAAAAUAAAAAUGAUGGAAUACUUAAAGAAAUGUUUGUUUUGCAUGCAAAAUUUCAUCAUGAAAUGGCACUGGUGGAAGGCAUGGUAAAAAAAACAAAAUCGGUGCUCUCUAAAUAUUACUUUCAAACGCAUUUUUUUAGCUUUUUUUUCCUACGACUUCCAACAUAUGAUUUCGUGGUGAAAUUUUGCAUGUACAACAAACAUUUUACUGUUCACACCUAAACCUAUGAGCUCAGGUGUAGAGAGGCACUAUCGGUUCUACGGAGACUUUGCAAGUGAUGGAUUUUCCUCACCAAAGGAGCAUAAGUCUAUCUAUCUAUAUCGCUUUUUUAAAUAGACUUUUGUCCCGCUAUAUUAAUAUAGCAACCGUGAGAUACAUUAAUGAGUUUCAUACUGGGGUAAACAACACAAUCUAUACUAUUAAUCUAUCUAUACUAUUAAAGGGGGAUUUGCCGUCGUGAUGGUUCGACCUCCUUCGAUCCCCCUCCUGUCACUAGGUCCUCCCUCCCACGUUCUCCCAUAGUUUUUUUCGAUCCUUCCGAAAACCGCAUGCAAGGAAACAAAAAACCCAGCGGUCCGUCGUGGUUCAACCUUCCGUGUCAUCCCUCGAACGACUCCUUCGUAAAAGAAUCGACCUCGUCGCACAUCAGACGUCCCUUCCACCUCUCUUCCCUUCCCGCACUGUUCAAAAAUCAACGCAGAAAAAAGGAGGAAACCAGCAGAUCAACCCGCCCGGCGCCCCACGACCCCCACCCACAUCCCGUCACCAAACUUUGCCACACCAGCGCAUCUCGUCUGCGCAGCAGCCGUGCCGCCCCCCUUCUCCUCCUCCCCUCGCCGCCUCCCAUUCGCGUCCUCCGGGCAAAGCCCACGCGCGGACCCGACGGCGAUGAGGCCUAUGUCGAGCGGCUCGGCUGCGAGAGGGGGCGCGGUGAGGUGGGCCGGGGAGAGCACAUAGGACAUGAAGUCGCCGAAGGUGGCCUUGGCCGGAACGAGGGCGAGCUUGCGGGCGCGCGUACGCACCGUCCGAGCCCAGGAUGGGGCGAGGCAUCGUGGCAGGCCUUGGCGUUUGCGCCGAAGGAGCCGGGAAUGGCCACGAGGCGUCGUGGUGGAGGACGAUAAGGCGGCCGGCGUGCUUGCUUUGGCCAAGACGUCGGGGCAGAGGACGAUAUGGUGGCAGGCGUGCUCGCUUCCGAGGAUGGAGGCCGCCUCGCCGGGGCUCGGGCGGGGCAGCACGGCGUUCGGCCAUUGCCAGUGGUGCCAGGGCCAGGCGGUGGUUUGAAGGGCGACACAUAGGAGGUGUUGUCCUCGAUCCAGCGACCAGCGCAGGUUUGUUCCUCCUUCAAUUUUCUUUCACAUCAAAGCAAUUAGAGAAUUUAAGGGAGGUUGAGUUGGGGUCGCCGAUGAGUGGAUAAAGGGGUGGUGGCAGCGAUGUGGCUGAAGGUGGGGAUGCACUUGAAGGGAUGAACUUCUGCUUUAGGGAGAGAGCAGAGGGCAUGCUGGGCGCUGCUGCUUGAGAGAUAGAGAUAGAUGAGGAAGAGAGAGAGAGCACAAAGAUGAGAGAUAGAGAGCAGAGAUAGAUGCUAAUUGACACAUAUUUAGAUAAAGGGCUUGCCGGAUCUGCUGCUUGCCGCUGCUGAUAUAUAUGUAGAGAGAACAGAGGAGAGAUAGGGUUCGAUGCUGAUUUGCUCUUGUGGAGAAAAACAAGAGAGAUAGGUGAGCAAGAGAGAGAAAGCAGAUAGAUGAUAGGGAGGGAGGGAGGGACACUGAUUGCUGCACAUUUUGAUAGAUGUAUGGUGCUUCUUGUAUGACGUAUGAUGCUACUAAUUAAUGCACGUUUAGAUAGAGAAUAGAGAUGUAGCUUGCUACUGAUUGUUGUUGUUAUUGCUCGAGUCUCAUCAAUCAAUUUAUAUCUAAUAAUAAAAAGUAACAAUUUAUAUCUAGAUAAUUUGCAUCUGUCAUCAAGAGAAAAGACAUCACUGAAUCCUUUGGAUUCUAAUUGUAAGGUUAAAUAAUUUUGUGUGUGUUCUAACUCUCUAGGAUAAUCUACAGUUAUCUGGCUCGUCGUCAUGCCGCAAGUUUCCGACAUAGCUCUAUACAGUCUCACCGUUCUAUCAACUCUGCAGUAUGCCCGUACUCCAUAUUAUCUAAAUUAACUAUGCUUGUUGUAGAAGCAGGCACAUUUUUAUAGCAGGUUUAGGCUUUAAGCUUAUGUUUGAGGCAGUCUUGGUGCGAAUCUACUUUAUCUACCCCUUUAACUUUAAUUCUCAUUGAUGAUUUAUGUGACCUUUUUUUUCCUGUAUCUCCUUAGGAUGUUCUGAAGUUAAAACAAAAAGCAAUGGCAACUGAUGAACGGCACAUUGAUCCUUCCUUUCCAUGUAUGGUAUGGCUUCAGCACCACUAGGAACAAAGUGGUAAACCGAUUGAUAUAAUUACAAUCUUUGGAGUUCUGUAUAAAAUACUAACAUGGUGUUCUUCUUGUUCAGGUUUGCAAAAACUAUACACGUGCAUACUUGCAUUGUCUUGUCACGAAAGAUCCUAUGGGCUCUCAACUGCUGUCAUAUCACAAUUUAUCAUUUAUGAUGCGGGUACCCUGUCAAUAUUUUUUUUCCGAUUAGUUCAUUUUGAGCACCAUCAGCUAUUGUUUGAUCACUCUCAUUUCUGUUUCAGUUAAGUAGAGAUCUCCACAUAUCGAUUCUUGAAGGACGAUUUCCAGAGUAUGUUGUCUCAUUCGACAUAAAUCUGCCUGAUUUGUCAGUGAAAUAGUGUGUUGGUAAAUAACGAAAUUCUGCUGACAUGUUGCAGAUUCGUGAGAGGAUUCUUGAGGGUGCGGGUUUGUCUUGUUCUCCAAUCUCUAUUCUAUCAUAUAUGCUUGAACCAAAAAUAGCCGAGCAACAAACUACUCCCUUGUUUCAUCUGCUACCCAAUCAUCUACAAAGCCAAAAACCAUACCCUGUUUUGUUAUUAUGUUUCUUAAUAGUUUGAGUUACCCGUAAACACUCAAAUCAUGAUGAUGACAGUUCCCGAAGGGCGACGUGCCAGAGUGGGUUCACAAUGCAAUGGAGGUUGUCGGCAUUGACAUAUCGGAGUGCUGCACCCCGACCAAUUGUCAGCAUGACGCAAUGGAGGCCGCUGGCGUCGACAUAGCGGAGUUUUGCCUGCCGACCAAGUGCCCCUGACGCGGAACGCUCGGGGGCAUUCAUUACAGAAAUGAGACGCGUUUUCACGAGGUUUUGCUUUAGAUUGGGUUUCAGGUAAACACGGAAAAGGUACAACUGUAGGAGUGAACACAAUAUUCUGCCUGAAUAACUUUUGUGGCAUUCGUAUGCUUUUGUUAUGCAAUGUGCAUUGCUUCUAUUGUGGUCAUAGAAGGGGAGGUGGAUGCUUGAGCUAUAGGUGCUUAAGUUAUUUUGAGAACUGAAAAAGUGAGCGUCUGCUUGUAAAAAUGUUGUUGACAUAAGAGGCUUCAUGACUCAUCUUCAUAGGAUGUUCUAAUCUUCUAGCCAUGUGAUGGUGGUAGUAUAGCGAGUGAUGAUUGGCAUGUAUUGUGUGCGUGCUUGGUUCAAUUUAUUUUGGUUCAGUUACUUAUUAUGUUGAUAUUUGAAGUUUCAGGAGUGCUAAACUUAGCAUCUUGAUUAUUGAGUAUGGUGUUGUUGUUGUCAUAAAUUCUAUCAGUCGGCACCUUUCGCGCUUUUAGUGUAAUUGAGGUGUUGGAUCGAACAUACAAUUCCUUACAUCUAAAUCUAUUUACUAGCACCGCUAUGGGUCUCCUCUUACAUUAUCGGAUCACUUUUGACAUCAUAACUGUAUUUUGUUUUUGUAAUGUGAAGACCGCGAAAAGCAGUCGUUACCAUUGUAGUAUUGUUACUAUUUGUGCACCAGGUGCCAAUGAAGUGAAGAAAGCAGUCAAGACCUUUGAUGUGAUGGAGAGGUUUAAAGUGGAAGCGGACCAAACUGUAUUUUAUUCCCUUCUUCGUGCUCUUUGCAGAAGUGAAAACAUAGAAGAUGCUGAGGAGUUGCUUCUUGCAAGAAGAAAAAUUUUCCCACUCACAGCAGAAGGUUUCAAUAUAAUACUUGAUGGUUGGUGUAACAUAUUCACCGAUCUGGCCGAAGUAAAGAGAAUUUGGAGAGAAAUGUCAAAUUGCUGCAUUACUCAUGAUGGUACAUCUUAUGCUCUCAUGGUCUGAUGUUUCUCUAAGGUAGGUAACCUUUUUGAUACUCUGAGGGUUUACGAUGAGAUGAAGAAGAGGGGUUGGAGUCCUCGUAUUGAUGUCUAUAACCAACUUAUUUAUGUUUUGACAAGAGAGAAUUGCGUGAAGGUGUACAACGAGUGCGCGGCGGAGCUUCGGGUGGGCGUGGAGGGGGAGUUCCACGUGGGGCGGGAGAGCGUGGACGAGUACUGCGGCAGGGCCUGCUUUGUCGAGACGGAGAUGGCGCUGCGGUGCGUGAAGGAGGUCACCCACGACAGCUUCACCUUCUCCAACGGCGCCUCGUUGUUCGACGUGAAGCAGGCGCUCGGCAGCGGCUGCAGCUACACGCCCGAAAGAGGAACCUUCGACAUACGUGAGCGCAGGGAGUGCCGCGACGAGUACGGUUACGUCUACGACGGCACGCACGAGCAACUCGGCUAUGACGAAGAGUGUUGGAAAUAUGCCCUAGAGGCAAUAAUAAAAUGGUUAUUAUCAUAUUUCCUUGUUCAUGAUAAUCGUCUAUCGUUCAUGCUAUAAUUGUAUUAACAGGAAACAGUAAUACAUGUGUGAAUGAAUAGAUCACAAUGUGUCCCUAGCAAGCCUCUAGUUGGCUCUCGUUAGUCAAUAGAUGAUCAUGGUUUCCUGAUCAUGGACAUUGGAUGUCAUUGAUAACGGGAUCACAUCAUUGGGAGAAUGAUGUGAUGGACAAGACCCAAUCCUAAGCCUAGCACUAGAUCGUAUUGUUUGUAUGCUAAUGCUUUUAUAAUGUCAAGUAUCUUUUCCUUUGACCGUGAGAUUGUGCAACUCCCGGAUACCGUAGGAGUGCUUUGGGUGUAUCAAACGUCACAACGUAACUGGGUGACUAUAAAGGUGCACUACGGGUACCUCCGAAAGUGUCUGUUGGGUUGGCACGAAUCGAGAUCGGGAUUUGUCACUCCGUGUGACGGAGAGGUAUCUCUGGGCCCACUCGGUAGAACAUCAUCAUGAGCUCAAUGUGACUAAGGAGUUAGUCACACGAUGAUGUGCUACGGAACGAGUAAAGAGACUUACCGGUAACGAGAUUGAACAAGGUAUAGGUAUACCGACGAUCGAAUCUCGGGCAAGUUCUAUACCGACAGACAAAGGGAAUCGUAUACGGGAUUGAUUGAAUCCUUGACAUCGUGGUUCAUCCGAUGAGAUCAUCGUGGAGCUAGUGGGAGCCACCAUGGGUAUCCAGACCCCGCUGAUGGUUAUUGGCCAGAGAGGUGUCUCGGUCAUGUCUGCCUGUCUCCCGAACCCGUAGGGUCUACACACUUAAGGUUCAAUGACGCUAGGGUUAUAGGGAAUUGUUAUACGAGAUUACCGAAAGUUGUUCGGAGUCCCGGAUGAGAUCUCGGACGUCACGAGGAGCUCCGGAAUGGUCCGGAGGUAAAGAUUGAUAUAUAGGACGGAUGGUUUCGGACACCGGAAGUGUUUCGGGCAUCACCGGUAACGUACCGGGACCACCGGGACCACCGGAGGUGGUCCCGGGGGGCCACCGAAAGGGGGUGACGACCCCGGGAGGCUAGAUGGGCUAAGUGGGUAAGGGAACUAGCCCCUAAGUGGGCUGGUGCGCCCCCCACCCAGCCCAUGUGCACGAGAAAAAAGGGGAGAGGGGGGAACCCUAACUUAGGUGGGCCUUAGGCCCACCAGAGGGGUGCGCCACCCCUCCUCCCUCAUCUGGCCGCCACACCCCCCAUCUGGGAGGGCUGCCGCACCCCCUAGGGUGGGAACCCUAGGGGUGGCACCCCCUCUCCCCUUCCCCUAUAUAUAGUGGGCACUUUUGGCCUUUGGAGGACACGGUUUUCCCUCUCCCUCGGCGCAGCCCUGCACUUCUUCCUCCUCCUCUGUGCCGGCGCUUGGCGAAGCCCUGCCGGGAGACCUCGUCUCUCCACCAACACCACGCCGUCGUGUUGCUGGUCUUCUUCCCCAACCUCUCCCUCCUCCUUGCUGGAUCAAGGUGCGGGAGACGUCACCGGGCUGCACGUGUGUUGAACGCGGAGGUGUCGUUGUUCGGCACUAGAUCGGAAUCGCUGCGAGUACGACUCCAUCAACCGCGUUCUAGCAACGCUUCCGCUUAGCGAUCUUCAAAGGUAUGAAGAUGCUCUUACCCCUCUCUCGUUGCUGGUCUCUCCAUAGGAAGAUCUGAACAUGCGUAGGAAAAUUUUGAAUUUAUGCUACGUUACCCAACAGUGGCAUCCGAGCCAGGUUUUCUAUGCGUAGAUUCCAUGCACGAGUAGAACACAAAAGUUGUGGGCGAUGGUUUGUCAAUUUGCUUGCCGUUACUAGUCUUAUUCUUUUCCGGCGUUAUUGUGGGAUGAAGCGGCCCGGACCGACCUUACACGUACGCUUACGUGAGACUAGUUCCACCGACAAACAUGCACAUCGUGCAUAAAGGUGGCUAGCGGGUGUCUGUCUCUCCUACUCUAGUCGGAUUGGAUUUUAUGAAAAGGGUCCUUAUGAAGGGUAAAUAGCUUUGGCAUAUCAUUGUUGUGGCUGUCACGUAGGUAAUAAGGUGUUCUUGCUAGAAACCCAAAUCAGCCACGUAAAACUUGCAACAACAAUUAGAGGACGUCUAACUUGUUUUUGCAGGGUUUGACAUGUGAUGUGAUAUGGCCAAAGUUGUGAUGUUGCAUGUAUGAUGUAUGAGAUGAUCAUGUUAUUGUAAUAGGUUUCACGACUUGCAUGUCGAUGAGUAUGACAACCGGCAGGAGCCAUAGGAGUUGUCUUAAUUUAUUGUAUGAGAUGCAACGCCAUGUGCUUACUACUUUUACUUCAUUGCUAACGGUUAGCCAUAGUAGUAGUGAUAGUAGUAGUUGGCGUGACGACUUCACGGAGACACGAUGAUGGAGAUCAUGGUGUCACGCCGGUGACGAUGAUGAUCAUGCGAUGCCUGAAGAUGGAGAUCGAAAGAGCAAAGAUGAUAAUGGCCAUAUCAUGUCACUGUAUGAUUGCAUUGUGAUGUUUAUCAUGUUUUACAUCUUAUUGCUUAAAACGGCGGUAGCAUAAUAAGAUGAUCCCUCUUAAAAUUUCGAGAACGUAUUCCCCUAAGUGUGCACCGUUGCGAAGGUUCGUUGUCUCGAAGCACCACGUGAUGAUCGGGUGUGAUAGAUUCUAACGUUCGCAUACAACGGGUGUAAGCCAGAUUUACACACGCGAAACACUUAGGUUGACUCGACGAGCUUAGCAUGUACAGACAUGACCUCGAAUACAAGAGACUGAAAGGUCGAACAUGAGUCGUAUGGUUGAAUACGAUCAGCAUGAAGUUGCUCACCAUAGUGACUAGUCCGUCUCACGUGAUGAUCGGACACGGGUUAGUCAACAUGGAUCGUGUAUCACUUAGAUGACUAGAGGGAUGUCGAUUUAAGUGGGAGUUCAUACUUAAUUUGAUUAAAUGAACUUAAUUGUCAUGAACUUAGUCUAAAAGUUGUCUUUAUAAAUAUUGUAGAUGUCCAACGUCAACCUCAACUUCAACGCAUUCCUAGAGAAAAACAAGCUGAAAGAUGAUGGUAGCAACUAUGCGGACUGGGUUCGCAACCUGAAGCUCAUCCUUGAAGCAGCUAAAAAGGCUUAUGUCCUUAAUGCGCCGCUAGGUGACCCUCCCGCUCCCGCAGCAGCGCAGGACGUUCUAAACGUCUGGCAAGCGCGGAGUGAUGACUACUCUCUGGUCAGGUGUGGCAUGUUAUACAGUUUGGAAACGGGGCUCCAAAGACGUUUUGAGCAACACGGGGCAUAUGAGAUGUUCCAAGAGCUGAAGCUAGUUUUUCAAGCUCAUGCCCGUGUCGAGAGAUAUGAAGUCUCCUACAAGUUCUUCAGCUGUAAGAUGGAGGAGAACAGUUCUGUCAGUGAGCACAUACUCAAAAUGUCUGGGUUACACGGUCGUCUGACUUCACUUGGAGUCGAACUUCCGGAUGAUGCUAUCAUUGACAGAAUCCUCCAGUCUCUCCCACCAAGCUACAAAGGCUUUGUGCUUAACUACAACAUGCAAGGGAUGGAGAAAACCAUUCCCGAGUUGUACUUGAUGCUCAAGUCUGCAGAAGUAGAAAUCAAGAAGGAGCAUCAAGUGUUGAUGGUCAACAAGACCACUAGUUUCAAGAAAGGCAGGGGUAAGAAGAACUUCAAGAAAGACGGCAAAGCUGUUGCCGCGCCCGGUAAGCCAGAUGCCGGGAAGAAGAAAAAGAACGGACCCAAGCCUGAGACUGAGUGCUUCUACUGCAAGGGAAAAGGUCACUGGAAGCGGAACUGCCCCAAAUACUUAGCGGACAAGAAGGCCGGCAACGUUAAAGGUAUAUGUGAUAUACAUGCUAUUGAUGUGUACCUUACCAGCGCUCGUAGUAGCUCCUGGGUAUUUGAUACCGGUGCUGUUGCUCACAUUUGCAACUCAAAGCAGGAACUGCGGAAUAAGCGGAGACUGGCCAAGGACGAGGUGACGAUGCGCGUCGGGAAUGGUUCAAAGGUCGAUGUGAUUGCCAUCGGCACGCUACCUCUACAUCUACCGUUGGGAUUAGUUUUAAACCUUAAUAAUUGUUAUUUAGUACCAGUUUUAAGCAUGAACAUUGUAUCAGGGUCUUGCUUAAUGCGAGACGGCUACUCAUUUAAGUCAGAGAAUAAUGGUUGUUCUAUUUAUAUGAGUGAUAUGUUUUAUGGUCAUGCUCCGCUGGUGAAUGGUUUAUUCUUGAUGAAUCUCGAUCGUGAUGUUACACAUAUUCAUAGUGUGAGUACCAAAAGAUGCAAAGUUGAUAAUGAUAGUCCCACAUACUUGUGGCACUGCCGCCUUGGUCAUAUCGGCGUUAAGCGCAUGAAGAAGCUCCAUACUGAUGGACUGCUAGAGUCUCUUGACUUUGAAUCAUUUGACACAUGCGAACCGUGCCUUAUGGGCAAGAUGACUAAGACUCCAUUCUCAGGAAUAAUGGAGAGAGCAACCGACUUAUUGGAAAUAAUACAUACUGAUGUGUGUGGUCCAAUGAACGCUGAAGCUCGCCGGUGGUUAUCGUUAUGUUCUCACUCUCACCGAUGAUUUGAGUAGGUAUGGGUAUAUCUACUUGAUGAAGCACAAAUCUGAGACGUUUGAAAAGUUCAAGGAAUUUCAGAGUGAGGUUGAGAAUCAACGUGACAGAAAGAUUAAAUGUCUACGAUCUGAUCGUGGAGGAGAAUAUUUGAGUCACGAGUUUGGCACACACCUAAGGAAGUGUGGAAUCGUUUCACAACUAACGCCGCCUGGCACACCGCAGCGCAACGGAGUGUCUGAACGUCGUAAUCGCACCUUAUUAGAUAUGGUACGAUCUAUGAUGUAUCUCACCGACUUACCGCUAUCAUUUUGGGGAUACGCAUUAGAAACUGCAGCAUUCACUUUAAAUAGGGCACCGUCUAAAUCCGUUGAGACGACACCGUAUGAACUGUGGUUUGGCAAGAAACCUAAGUUGUCGUUUCUUAAAGUUUGGGGCUGCGAUGCUUAUGUGAAGAAACUUCAACCAGAAAAGCUCGAACCCAAAGCGGAGAAAUGCGUAUUCAUAGGAUACCCUAAGGAAACUAUUGGGUAUACCUUCUAUCUUAGAUCCGAAGGUAAAACCUUUGUUGCCAAGAACGGAUCCUUUCUAGAGAAAGAGUUUCUAUCGAAAGAAGUAAGUGGAAGGAAGGUAGAACUUGAUGAGGUGAUUACACCCCCUCUCGAACAGGAAAGUAGCGCAGCGCAAGAAGUUGUUCCUGUGGUGCCUACACCGACUGAAGAGGAAGUUAAUGAUGAUGAUCAUGAAGCUUCGGAUCAAGUUACUACUGAACCACGAAGGUCCACAAGGGUACGCUCCGCUCCAGAGUGGUACGGCAACCCUGUGAUGGAAAUCAUGUUGUUAGACAACGGUGAACCUUCGAACUAUGAAGAAGCGAUGGCGGGCCCGGAUUCCAACAAAUGGCUUGAGGCCAUGAAAUCCGAGAUAGGAUCCAUGUAUGAGAACAAAGUAUGGACUUUGGUGGACUUGCCCGAUGACCGGCGAGCCAUAGAAAAUAAAUGGAUCUUCAAGAACAAGACUGAUGCAAACGGUAAUGUAAUCGUUUACAAAGCUCGACUUGUCGCAAAGGGUUUUCGACAAAUUCAAGGAGUUGACCACGAAGAGACUUUCUCUCCCGUAGCGAAGCUGAAAUCAGUCCGAAUCAUGUUAGCAAUUGCCGCCUUUUAUGAUUAUGAAAUUUGGCAAAUGGACGUCAAAACAGCGUUCCUUAACGGGAACCUUAAGGAAGAGUUGUAUAUGAUGCAACCAGAAGGUUUUGUCGAUCCUAAAGGUGCUAACAAAGUAUGCAAGCUCCAACGCUCCAUCUAUGGGCUGGUGCAAGCAUCUCGGAGUUGGAACAUUCGCUUUAAUGAGGUGAUUAAAACGUUUGGGUUCAUACAGGUUUACGGAGAAGCCUGUCUGUACAAGAAAGUGAGUGGGAGCUCUGUAGCUUUCCUCGUACUAUAUGUGGAUGACAUAUUAUUGAUGGGGAAUGAUAUAGAGAUGUUUGAGAGCAUAAAGGCCUAUUUGAACAAGAGUUUUUCAAUGAAGGACCUUGGAGAAGCUGCAUACAUAUUAGGCAUCAAGAUCUAUAGAGAUAGAUCGAGACGCCUCAUGGGUCUUUCGCAAAGUACAUACCUUGACAAGAUAUUGAAGAAGUUCAAUAUGGAAAACUCAAAGAAAGGGUUCUUGCCAGUUUUGCAAGGUAUGAGAUUGAGUAAGACUCAGUCGCCGACCACGGCAGCAGAUAGAGAAAAGAUGAGUUCUGUCCCCUACGCUUCAGCCGUGGGCUCUCUGAUGUAUGCCAUGCUGUGUACCAGACCUGAUAUAAACCUUGCGAUAAGCUUGGUAGGGAGGUACCAAAGUAAUCCCGGUGCGGAACACUGGACAGCGGUCAAGAAUAUCCUUAAGUACCUGAAAAGGACUAAGGAAAUGUUUCUCGUUUAUGGAGGUGACGAAGAGCUCGUCGUAAAGGGUUACGUUGAUGCUAGCUUCGACACAGAUCCGGAUGACUCUAAGUCACAAACCGGAUACGUAUAUGUGUUGAAUGGUGGGGCAGUGAGCUGGUGCAGCAGCAAGCAAGAAGUCGUGGCAACAUCUAGAUGUGAAGCGGAGUACAUAGCUGCUUCAGAAGCGGCGCAUGAAGGAAUUUGGAUGAAGGAGCUCAUCACCGACCUUGGAGUGGUUCCAAGCGCGUCGGGUCCUAUGACACUCUUCUGUGAUAACACUGGAGCCAUUGCCAUAGCCAAAGAGCCCAGGUUUCACCGAAAGACGAAGCACAUCAAGCGCCGCUACAACUCCAUCCAGGGCCAUGUCCAGAGUGGAGUGAUAUAUAUUUGUAAAGUACACACGGAUCUGAAUAUUGCAGACCCGUUGACUAAACCUCUUCCACGAGCAAAACAUGAUCAGCACCAUAAUGCUAUGGGUGUUCGAUACAUCACAAUGUAACUAGAUUAUUGACUCUAGUGCAAGUGGGAGACUGUUGGAAAUAUUCCCUAGAGGCAAUAAUAAAAUGGUUAUUAUCAUAUUUCCUUGUUCAUGAUAAUCGUCUAUCGUUCAUGCUAUAAUUGUAUUAACAGGAAACAGUAAUACAUGUGUGAAUGAAUAGAUCACAAUGUGUCCCUAGCAAGCUUCUAGUUGGCUCUCGUUAGUCAAUAGAUGAUCAUGGUUUCCUGAUCAUGGACAUUGGAUGUCAUUGAUAACGGGAUCACAUCAUUGGGAGAAUGAUGUGAUGGACAAGACCCAAUCCUAAGCCUAGCACUAGAUCGUAUUGUUCGUAUGCUAAUGCUUUUCUAAUGUCAAGUAUCUUUUCCUUUGACCGUGAGAUUGUGCAACUCCCGGAUACCGUAGGAGUGCUUUGGGUGUAUCAAACGUCACAACGUAACUGGGUGACUAUAAAGGUGCACUACGGGUACCUCCGAAAGUGUCUGUUGGGUUGGCACGAAUCGAGAUCGGGAUUUGUCACUCCGUGUGACGGAGAGGUAUCUCUGGGCCCACUCGGUAGAACAUCAUCAUGAGCUCAAUGUGACUAAGGAGUUAGUCACACGAUGAUGUGCUACGGAACGAGUAAAGAGACUUACCGGUAACGAGAUUGAACAAGGUAUAGGUAUACCGACGAUCGAAUCUCGGGCAAGUUCUAUACCGACAGACAAAGGGAAUCGUAUACGGGAUUGAUUGAAUCCUUGACAUCGUGGUUCAUCCGAUGAGAUCANNNNNNNNNNNNNNNNNNNNNNNNNNNNNNNNNNNNNNNNNNNNNNNNNNNNNNNNNNNNNNNNNNNNNNNNNNNNNNNNNNNNNNNNNNNNNNNNNNNNGGGAAUGACAUGCAGGAUUAUAUGAAUCCUUGGCACUGAGGUUCAAACGAUAAGAUCUUCNNNNNNNNNNNNNNNNNNNNNNNNNNNNNNNNNNNNNNNNNNNNNNNNNNNNNNNNNNNNNNNNNNNNNNNNNNNNNNNNNNNNNNNNNNNNNNNNNNNNNNNNNNNNNNNNNNNNNNNNNNNNNNNNNNNNNNNNNNNNNNNNNNNNNNNNNNNNNNNNNNNNNNNNNNNNNNNNNNNNNNNNNNNNNNNNNNNNNNNNNNNNNNNNNNNNNNNNNNNNNNNNNNNNNNNNNNNNNNNNNNNNNNNNNNNNNNNNNNNNNNNNNNNNNNNNNNNNNNNNNNNNNNNNNNNNNNNNNNNNNNNNNNNNNNNNNNNNNNNNNNNNNNNNNNNNNNNNNNNNNNNNNNNNNNNNNNNNNNNNNNNNNNNNNNNNNNNNNNNNNNNNNNNNNNNNNNNNNNNNNNNNNNNNNNNNNNNNNNNNNNNNNNNNNNNNNNNNNNNNNNNNNNNNNNNNNNNNNNNNNNNNNNNNNNNNNNNNNNNNNNNNNNNNNNNNNNNNNNNNNNNNNNNNNNNNNNNNNNNNNNNNNNNNNNNNNNNNNNNNNNNNNNNNNNNNNNNNNNNNNNNNNNNNNNNNNNNNNNNNNNNNNNNNNNNNNNNNNNNNNNNNNNNNNNNNNNNNNNNNNNNNNNNNNNNNNNNNNNNNNNNNNNNNNNNNNNNNNNNNNNNNNNNNNNNNNNNNNNNNNNNNNNNNNNNNNNNNNNNNNNNNNNNNNNNNNNNNNNNNNNNNNNNNNNNNNNNNNNNNNNNNNNNNNNNNNNNNNNNNNNNNNNNNNNNNNNNNNNNNNNNNNNNNNNNNNNNNNNNNNNNNNNNNNNNNNNNNNNNNNNNNNNNNNNNNNNNNNNNNNNNNNNNNNNNNNNNNNNNNNNNNNNNNNNNNNNNNNNNNNNNNNNNNNNNNNNNNNNNNNNNNNNNNNNNNNNNNNNNNNNNNNNNNNNNNNNNNNNNNNNNNNNNNNNNNNNNNNNNNNNNNNNNNNNNNNNNNNNNNNNNNNNNNNNNNNNNNNNNNNNNNNNNNNNNNNNNNNNNNNNNNNNNNNNNNNNNNNNNNNNNNNNNNNNNNNNNNNNNNNNNNNNNNNNNNNNNNNNNNNNNNNNNNNNNNNNNNNNNNNNNNNNNNNNNNNNNNNNNNNNNNNNNNNNNNNNNNNNNNNNNNNNNNNNNNNNNNNNNNNNNNNNNNNNNNNNNNNNNNNNNNNNNNNNNNNNNNNNNNNNNNNNNNNNNNNNNNNNNNNNNNNNNNNNNNNNNNNNNNNNNNNNNNNNNNNNNNNNNNNNNNNNNNNNNNNNNNNNNNNNNNNNNNNNNNNNNNNNNNNNNNNNNNNNNNNNNNNNNNNNNNNNNNNNNNNNNNNNNNNNNNNNNNNNNNNNNNNNNNNNNNNNNNNNNNNNNNNNNNNNNNNNNNNNNNNNNNNNNNNNNNNNNNNNNNNNNNNNNNNNNNAGCACGUGAUGAUGGCCAUAUCAUGUCACUUAUGAAUUGCAUGUGAUGUUAAUCCUUUAUGCACCUUAUCUUGCUUAGAACGAUGGUAGCAUUAUGAGGUGAUCUGUCACUAAAAUUUCAAGACGAAAUUGUGUUCUCCCCGACUGUGCACCGUUGCGACAGUUCUUCGUUUCGAGACACCACGUGAUGAUCGGGUGUGAUAGACUCAACGUUCAGAUACAACGGGUGCAAAAUAGUUGCACACACGGAACACUCGGGUUAAGCUUGACGAGCCUAGCAUGUGCAGACAUGGCCUCGGAACACAUGAGACUGAAAGGUCGAGCAUGAAUCGUAUAGUUGAUAUGAUUAGCAUAGAGAUGCUUACCACUAAAACUAUUCUCGACUCACGUGAUGAUCGGACUUGAGAUAGUGGAUUUGGAUCAUGUACCACUCAAAUGACUAGAGAGAUGUACUUUUUGAGUGGGAGUUCUUAAGUAAUAUGAUUAAUUGAACUAAUUGUCAUGAACAUAGUCUAAUGGUCUUUGCCAAUUACGAUGUAGCUUGCGCUAUAGCUCUACUGUUUUUAUAUGUUUCUAGAGAAAAUUUAGUUGAAAGUUGAUAGUAGCAAACUUUGCAGACUGAGUCUAUAAAACCGAGGAUUGUCCUCGUUGCUGCGUAGAAGGCUUAUGUCCUUAAUGCACCACUCGGUGUGCUGCACCUCGAGCGUCGUCUGUAGAUGUUGUGAACAUCCUACAUACACGUUUCUGAUGACUACACGAUAGUUCAGUGCAAAAUACUGAAUGGCUUAGAAGCAAGGCGCCGAAGAUGUUUUGAAACAUCAUGGAACAUAAGAGAUGUUCUAAAGAGAUGAAAUUGUGAUUUCAUGCCUGUGCCCUUGUUAAGAGGUAUGAGACCUCCGACAAGAUUCUUUGUCCACGAAGUAAAGGAGAAAAUCUCAAUCGUUGAGCAUGUGCUCAGAUUAUGUGAGUACGACAAUCGCUUGAAUCAAGUGGGAGUUGAUCUUCCAGAUAAGAUAGUGAUGGUUCUCCAAAGUCACUGCCACCAAGCUGUGAUUGCUUCGUGAUGAACUAUAACAUAUCAAGGAUAGAUACAAUGAUCCUUGAGCAAUUCGCGAUGUUUGACACUGCGAAAGUAGAAAUCAAGAAGGAGCAUCAAUAGUUGAUGGUUAGUAAAACCACUAAGUUUCAAGAAAGGCAAGGGCUAGAAGGGAUACUUCGUGAAACGGCAAAACAAUUGCUGCACUAAUGAAGAUACCCAAGAUUAAACCCAAACCCGAGACUAAAGUGCUUCUGUAAUGAGGGGAACAGUCACUGAGGCGGAGCAACUCUAGAUACUUGGUAGAUAAGAAGGCUGGCAAAAGUCGAAAGAAGUAUAUUUGAUAUACAUGAUGUUGAUGUGUACUUUACUAGUACUCCUAGUAGCACGAGGGUAUUGGAUACCAGUUCGGUUGCUAAGUGAUUAGUAACACGAAAUAAAAGCUAUGGCAUAAACGGAGACUAGCUAAAGGCAUGAUCGGGUGUGAUAGACUCAACGUUCACAUACAACGGGUGCAAAAUAGUUGCACACACGGAACACUCGGGUUAAGCUUGACGAGCCUAGCAUGUGCAGACAUGGCCUCGGAACACAUGAGACUGAAAGGUCGAGCAUGAAUCGUAUAGUUGAUAUGAUUAGCAUAGAGAUGCUUACCACUAAAACUAUUCUCGACUCACGUGAUGAUCGGACUUGAGAUAGUGGAUUUCGAUCAUGUACCACUCAAAUGACNNNNNNNNNNNNNNNNNNNNNNNNNNNNNNNNNNNNNNNNNNNNNNNNNNNNNNNNNNNNNNNNNNNNNNNNNNNNNNNNNNNNNNNNNNNNNNNNNNNNCGAUGAUCUCGGCCUUCUUGAUCCAGCAAGAGAGACGGAGAGGUAGAUGAGUUCUCCGGCAGCGUGACGUCGCUCCGGAGGUUGGUGGUGAUCUUAUCUCAGCAGGGCUCCGCCCGAGCUCCGCAGAAACGCGAUCUAGAGGUAAAACCGUGGAGGUAUGUGGUCGGGCUACCGUGGCAAAGUUGUCUCAAAUCAGCCCUAAAACCUCCGUAUAUAUAGGUGGGAGAGGGGGGCCUUGCCUUGGGGCUCAAGGAGCCCCAAGGGGGUCGGCCGAGCCAAGGGGGGAGUCCUCCCCUUCCAAACCGAAUCCAACUAGGUUUGGAAGGUGGAGUCCUUCCCCUUUUUCCCACCUCCCCUUUUUUUCUCUUUGAUCUUCUUCCUAUGGCGCAUAGGGCCUUCUUGGGCUGUCCCACCAGCCCACCAAGGGCUGGUGCGCCACCCCCAAGGCCUAUGGGCUUCCCCGGGGUGGGUUGCCCCCCCCCCCCGGUGAACACCCGGAACCCAUUCGUCAUUCCCGGUACAUUCCCGGUAACUCCGAAAACCUUCCGGUAAUCAAAUGAGGUCAUCCUAUAUAUCAAUCUUCGUUUCCGGACCAUUCCGGAAACCCUCGUGACGUCCGUGAUCUCAUCCGGGACUCCGAACAACAUUCGGUAACCAACCAUAUAACUCAAAUACGCAUAAAACAGCGUCUAACCUUAAGUGUGCAGACCCUGCGGGUUCGAGAACUAUGCAGACAUGACCCGAGUGACUCCUCGGUCAAUUUCCAAUAGCGGGACCUGGAUGCCCAUAUUGGAUCCCACAUAUUCUAUGAAGAUCUUAUCGUUUUUCCGAACCAUUCCGGAAACCCUCGUGAUGUCCGUGAUAUCAUCCGGGACUCCGAACAACAUUCGGUAACCAACCAUAUAACUCAAAUACGCAUAAAACAAUGUCGAACCUUAAGUGUGCAGACCAUGCGGGUUCGAGAACUAUGUAGACAUGACCCGAGAGACUCCUCGAUCAAUAUCCAAUAGCGGGACCUAGAUGCCCAUAUUGGAUCCUACAUAUUCUACGAAGAUCUUAUCGUUUGAACCUCAGUGCCAAGGAUUCAUAUAAGCGUCUAACCUUAAGUGUGCAGACCCUGCGGGUUCGAGAACUAUGCAGACAUGACCCGAGUGACUCCUCGGUCAAUUUCCAAUAGCGGGACCUGGAUGCCCAUAUUGGAUCCCACAUAUUCUAUGAAGAUCUUAUCGUUUGAACCUCAGUGCCAAGGAUUCAUAUAAUCCCNNNNNNNNNNNNNNNNNNNNNNNNNNNNNNNNNNNNNNNNNNNNNNNNNNNNNNNNNNNNNNNNNNNNNNNNNNNNNNNNNNNNNNNNNNNNNNNNNNNNGGAGAGGAUCAUGAAGCUUCGGAUCAAGUUACUACUGAACUACGAAGGUCCACAAGGGCAUGCUCCGCACCAGAGUGGUACGACAACCCUGUGAUGGAAAUCAUGUUGUUGGACAACGGUGAACCUUCGAACUAUGAAGAAGCGAUGGCGGGCCCGGAUUCCAACAAAUGGCUUGAAGCUAUGAAAUCCGAGAUAGGAUCCAUGUAUGAGAACAAAGUAUGGACUUUGGUGGACUGGUGUGCAAGCUCCAGCGCUCCAUCUAUGGGCUGGUGCAAGCAUCUCGGAGUUGGAACAUUCGCUUUAAUGAGGUGAUUAAAGCGUUUGGGUUCAUACAGGUUUACGGAGAAGCCUGUCUGUACAAGAAAGUGAGUGGGAGCUCUGUAGCUUUCCUCAUACUGUAUGUGGAUGACAUAUUAUUGAUGGGGAAUAAUAUAGAGAUGUUGGAGAGCAUAAAGGCCUAUUUGAACAAAAGUUUUUCAAUGAAGGGCCUUGGAGAAGCUGCAUACAUAUUAGGCAUCAAGAUCUAUAGAGAUAGAUCAAGACGCCUCAUAGGUCUUUCGCAAAGUACAUACCUUGACAAGAUAUUGAAGAAGUUCAAUAUGGAAAACUCAAAGAAAGGGUUCUUGCCAGUUUUGCAAGGUAUGAGAUUGAGUAAGACUCAGUCGCCGACCACGGCAGCAGAUAGAGAAAAGAUGAGUUCUGUCCCCUACGCUUCAGCCGUGGGCUCUCUGAUGUAUGCCAUGCUGUGUACCAGACCUGAUAUAGAAGAUGAGUUAUGUCCCCUACGCAUCAGCCGUGGGAUCUCUAAUAUAUACCAUGCUGUGUACCAGACCUGAUAUAAACCUUGCCAUAAGCUUGGUAGGGAGGUACCAAAGUGAUCCCGGUAUGGAACACUGGACAGCGGUCAAGAAUAUCCUUAAGUACUUGAAAAGGACUAAGGAAAUGUUUCUCGUUUAUGGAGGUGACGAAGAGCUCGUCGUAAAGGGUUACGUUGAUGCUAGCUUCGACACAGAUCCGGAUGACUCUAAGUCACAAACCGGAUACGUAUAUGUGUUGAAUGGUGGGGCAGUGAGCUGGUGCAGCAGCAAGCAAGAAGUCGUGGCAACAUCUAGAUGUGAAGCGGAGUACAUAGCUGCUUCAGAAGCAACUCAUGAAGGAAUUUGGAUGAAGGAGCUCAUCACCGACCUUGGAGUGGUUCCAAGCGCGUCGGGUCCAAUGACACUCUUCUGUGAUAACACUGGGGCCAUUGCCAUAGCCAAGGAGCCCAGGUUUCACCGGAAGACGAAGCACAUCAAACGCCGCUACAACUCCAUCCAGGACCAUGUCCAGAGUGGAGUGAUAGAUAUUUGUAAAGUACACACGGAUCUGAAUAUUGCAGACCCGUUGACUAAACCUCUCCCACAAGCAAAACAUGAUCAACACCAUAAUGCUAUGGGUUUUCGAUACAUCACAAUGUAACUAGAUUGUUGACUCUAGUGCAAGUGGGAGACUGUUGGAAAUAUGCCCUAGACGCAAUAAUAAAAUGGUUAUUAUCAGAUUUCCUUGUUCAUGAUAAUUGUCUAUUGUUCAUGCUAUAAUUGUAUUAACGGGAAACAGUAAUACAUGUGUGAAUGAAUAGAUCACAAUGUGUCCCUAGCAAGCUUCUAAUUGGCUAGCUCGUUAGUCAAUAGAUGAUCAUGGUUUCCUGAUCAUGGGCAUUAGAUGUCAUUGAUAACGGGAUCACAUCAUUGGGAGAAUGAUGUGAUGGACAAGACCCAAUCCUAAGCAUAGCACUAGAUCGUAUUGUUCGUAUGCUAAAACUUUUCUAAUGUCAAGUAUCUUUUCCUUCGACCGUGAGAUUGUGCAACUCCCGGAUACCGUAGGAGUGCUUUGGGUGUAUCAAACGUCACAACGUAACUGGGUGACUAUAAAGGUGCACUACGGGUAUCUCCGAAAGUUUCUGUUGGGUUGGUACGAAUCGAGAUCGGGAUUUGUCACUCCAUGUGACGGAGAGGUAUCUCUGGGCCCACUCGGUAGAACAUAAUCAUGAGCUCAAUGUGACUAAGGAGUUAGUCACACGAUGACGUGCUACGGAACGAGUAAAGAGACUUACCGUAACGAGAUUGAACAAGGUAUAGGUAUACCGACGAUCGAAUCUCGGGCAAGUUCUAUACCGACAGACAAAGGGAAUUGUAUACGGGAUUGAUUGAAUCCUUGACAUCGUGGUUCAUCCGAUGAGAUCAACAUGGAGCAAGUGGGAGCCACCGUGGGUAUCCAGACCCCACUGAUGGUUAUUGGCCGGAGAGGUGUCUCGGCCAUGUUUGUCUGUCUCCCGAACCCGUAGGGUCUACACACUUAAGGUUCGAUUACGCUAGGGUUAUAGGGAAUUGUUAUACAAGGUUAUCGAAAGUUGUUCGGAGUCCCGGAUGAGAUCCUGGACGUCACGAGGAGCUCCGGAAUGGUCUGGAGGUAAAGAUUGAUAUAUAGGACGGAUGGUUUUGGACACCGGAAGUGUUUCGGGCCUCGUCGGUAACGUACCGGGACCACCGGAGGUGGCCCUGGGGGUCCACCGGAAGGGGGCCACGACCCCGAGAGGCUAGAUGGGCCACGUGCGGGAGGGAACCAGCCCCUAGGUGGGCUGGUGCGCCCCCACACUCAGCCCAUGGCGUAAGAAGAGGGGAGAGGGGGAAACCCUAGCGCAGGUGGGCCUAAGGCCCACCAGAAGGGUGCGCCACCCCUCCUCCCCCUCCUGGCCGCCGCACCUCCUCCCAUCUAGGGAUGCCGCCCCUCCCAGGAGAGGGAAACCCUCAAGGGGGCGCAGCCCCUCCCUCCCCCUAUAUAUAGUGGGCACUUUGGGCUGUUGGAGACACCAAUCUUCCUCUCCCUCGGCGCAACCCUGCUCUUCUUUCUCCUCCUCUUUGUCGGUGCUUGGCGAAGCCCUGCCGGGAGACCUCGUCUCUCCAUCGACACCACGCCGUCAUGCUGCCGGAGAUCUUCCCCAACCUCUCUCUCCUCCUUGCUGGAUCAAGGUGCGGGAGACGUCACCGGGCUGCACGUGUGUUGAACGCGGAGGUGCCGUGGUUCGGCACUAGAUCGGAAUCACACCGCGAUCUGAAUUGCCGCGAGUACGACUCCAUCAACCGCGUUCUAGCAACGCUUCCGCUUAGCGAUCUUCAAAGGUAUGAAGAUGCAUUCACCCCUCUCUCGUUGCUGGUCUCUCCAUAGGAAGAUCUGAAUAUGGGUAGAAUUUUUUUUUUUGAAUUUAUGCUACGUUACCCAACAGAUUUUACCUUGCUGAAAACCACUUGUCAGAUCCUUCUGCUCCUCGUUGGGUUCAACACUCUUACUUAUCGAAAGGACUACGAUUGAUCCUCUAUACUUGUGGGUCAUCACCCACCACCCAGGCGGUCUCCUCGCGGCCUAGGGGGGCCGGGCCAGCAGGUCACCUGGGUGACCUGUGGCCCCCAUCCGACCCUUCUUUGGCCUGUCUUUCGGAUCUGUUUGGAAACUUCUUCCCUCAAAAUUUCAGCGCAAUUGGAGAUGUUCUGAUAUUGCAACUCUUCAUGCUAUUUUCUCCGUUGAAUCCCGCAUCUGCUGUUUCGGCACCGGAAAGUUGUAAACUGUGUAAAAUAAGCCAAAACACUAUAAGUACACCAUCAUAAAGUGAAAUAUAUUAAUGAAUAGAGACAAAUUAUGAUGCAAAAUAGUGAUGCAUUUUGGACGUAUCACACAAUUACCACAAUGUAUCUCAAGGAUAGUCAAAGACAAGCACCAAGAGACUCUCAAUCUUCAAUCAGUUCACAAAAGAGGAAAUCACUCAUGAAAAUAUUCUUGUAAUCCAUGUCCAAUAGACCGCUAUCACCAUGGUCUCAGGGAUUAUACUAGAUGAGAUCAAGUGAGUACAUCAAUCCAAUACAUAGAAGAAGGGGAAACAUCAUGGGAUCACCCUAGGUUAACAUAGCCUAUGAGAACAAUCAAGAUCACAUCAUGGGAGAGAGAAUUAACCACAUAGCUACUAUAGAAGACCUCAGCCCCGAGGAGGAACUACUCCCUCUUCAUGGAGGGAGGAAGCAACGUCGAUGGAGAUGAAUCCGGGGGCACUUCCCCAUCCCAGAAGGGUGCCGACACAGGAAUUUUGGUCCCCCAAAACUUGUUGGCGAUGGCGGCGGAGAUCGGAAUUGCUUUUGGAGAAAAGGGUUCCGGAAUCAGGGUUUCCUCCACGAGGGUAAAAAUGGGAGCCAAGGUAGGGCACCAGAGGGGGUGGGCCCCACCCAAGGGGCCUCCUUGCGCGGCCAGGGGCACGUCGCGCCACGAGGGUGCCUGGAGGCCUGGUGGGCCCCCUGUGGCCCUCCUUCGGCCGUCUGGAGUCUUCUGGAACGCUGAUUUUUUUAUAUAUUUUUGUGGAUAUAAACCUGCAAUUCACAUACAUCAGCAGACAGGAACUCGCACUGGGUGCACUGAGUUAGUAGGUUAGUCCAAAUAUGUUGAAAAAGGUAUGAAAGUGUACAAAACACAUAGCAAUAUCACCCAAAACUUGCAUGGAGCAAGCAAAAAUUAUUUAUAUGUUUGGGACAUAUCAAUAGGCUAUCUUCUGGUGGAGUGAAUAAUUGGUUUUACAUGUAUAAGCACAUCGAUAACAUAAUACACCGUCCUUUCAACUAGUAAUACAUGACCCUCCGUGCUUCCUUCGGCCACUAGAACUACGCCCAUGCAUUGAUUUGUUUCCGGGAUGUAUAACAACAUUGGUUUGGCGAGCUGGGGAGCACCAAUAUUGGGUUAUUGCCAAGGAGUGUUUUGAUAUCUUCUAAAGCGGCACUAGCCUCCUUUGUCCAUUCAAACUUGUUUGUUUGUUUGAGUAAUUUGUAUAGCGCAUGGCCUUUUCCCCUAACCGUGUGNNNNNNNNNNNNNNNNNNNNNNNNNNNNNNNNNNNNNNNNNNNNNNNNNNNNNNNNNNNNNNNNNNNNNNGAACCGACUGAGGGAGGCCACGCAUGCUACGAGUCUCUGGACAGGUUAUUGGCACUUCCAACCGUGCCAAUGCUUUGACCUUGUCAGGAUUUGCUUCUAUACCUCUAUGGGAUACGAUGAAGCCAAGCAGUUUGCUAGAUGGCACUCCAAAGAAGCACUUCUCUGGAUUUAACUUGAUGUCAUAUGUUGUUGGGGAACGUUACAUGGGAAACAAAAAAAAUCCUACGCACACGAAGACCUAUCAUGGUGAUCAUCAUCUAUGAGAGGGAGAUCGGAUCCACAUAACCUUGUAGAUCACUAAGCGGGAAGCGUUAAGAAACGUGGUUGAUGUAGUGGAAUGUCUUCGCGAUCCAAAUCGUCGCUGUCCCACGAUCCGUCCCGAUCUAGCACCGAAGGACGGCACCUCCGCGUUCAGCACACGUAUAGCUCGAUGAUGAUAUCUGCCUUCUUAAUCCAGCAAGAGAGACGGGGAAAUAGAUGAGUUCUCUGGCAGCGUGACGGUGCGCCGGUGAUGGUGGUGAUCUAUUCCUGCACGGCUUCGCCUAAGCACCGCAGAAAUCCGAUCUAGAGGAAGAACUACGAACUAGAGGAGAGGGUAGCGCAUGGCUGAAUAUUGUAUCUCAAAAAACCCUCAAACCUCUAGUAUAUAUAGGAGGAAGGAGGGGGUAGGCUUCCGCACCAAGGUAGCCUCCCUUGGGCUCGGCCGAACUAAGAUAGGAGGAGUCCUCCUCCAAUCCUACUUGGAUUAGGACUCCUCCCCAAGUUGUCCACCUAUUUUGGUUUUUCCACCUUUUUUCAUCAUGGGCUUUCUUUGGUUGACUAGUCAACCCAUCAAGGGCUGUUGCGCCACCAUAAAGUUCACGUGCCCCCUUGGGGAGUGGUGGGCCGACCUGGUGGACCCUCAGUGCCCAUUCGUCACUCCCGGUACACUUCCGGCAAUGCCCGAAAUCCUUCCGGAAUCCAAACACCAACUUCUUAUAUAUAAAUCUUCGUUUCCGGACCAUUCCGGAACUCCUCGUGAUGUCCGGGAUCUCAUUUGGGACUCCGAACAAAACUUCUGUCACCAACACCUACAACUCAACUAUACCGAAAUGUCACCGAACAUUAAGUGUGUAGAUCCUGUGGGUUCGAGAACUAUGCAGACAUGACCUGAGACACUCCCCGGUCAAUAUCCAAUAGCGGGACCUGGAUGUCCAUAUUGGAUCCUACAUAUUAUACGAAACUCUUAUCGGUUGAACCUCUAUGUCAAGGAUUCAUAUAAUCCCGUAUACCAUUCUUGUUGUCCUUCGGUAUGUUACUUGCCCGAGAUUUCGUCGGUAUCUCCAUACCUAUUUCAAUCUCGUUACCGGCAAGUCUCUUUACUUGUUCUGUAAUACAAGAUCUCGUGACUAACUCUUCAGUCACAUUACUUGCAAGGCUUGUGUGUGAUGUUGUAUUACCGAGUGGGCCCCGAGAUCCCUCUCCGUCACACAGAGUUACAAAUCCUAGUCUUGAUCCAUGCUAAUUGAACGGACACCUUUGGAGAUGCCUGUAGAGUACCUUUAUAAUCACCCAGUAACGUUGCGAUGUUUGAUACACGCAAGGCAUUCCUCCGGUGUCAGUGACUUGCAUGAUCACAUUGUCAUAGGAAUGAAUACUUGACAUGCAGAAAACAAUAGCAACAAAAUGAAACGAUCAUAUGCUACGUUUAUAGUUUGGUUCUUGUCCAUCACAUCAUUCCCCUAAUGAUGUGAUCCCAUCAUCAAGUGACAACACUUGUCUAUGGCUAGGAAACCUUAACCAUCCUUGAUCAAAAUGCUAGUCAAUUAGAGACUCAUUAGGGACAUAGUUUUGUCUAUAUAUCCACACAUGCAUUUAUGUUUCCAUUCAAUACAGUUAUAGCAUGGAUAAUAAAAGAUUAUCUUGAAACAGGAAAUAUAAUAAUAACUAUUUUCUUAUUGCCUCUAGGGCAUAUUUCCAACAGUCUCCCACUUGCACUAGAGUCAAUAAUCUAGCCUCACAUCUUCAUGUGAUUUACAAUGUAAUGAAUCUAACACCCAUACAGUUCUGGUGUUGUUCAAGCUUUGCUCAUGGAAGAGGUUUAGUGAGCGGAUCUGCAACAUUCAGAUCCGUGUGCACUUUGCAAAUAUUUAUGUCUUCCUCCUUGAUGUAAUCGCGGAUGGCGUUGAAGCGUUGCUUUAUGUGUCUGGUCCUGAUAUGUCCCAAACGUAUCUUUAAUUUCUGCUUGUUCCAUGAUCUUUUGGAUGACAUUGUUAUAUGUUUUGCUACACUUUUAUAUCUUUUUACGCGUAUUUGGACUAACCUACUAACUCAGUGCACCCAGUGCCAAUUUAUGUGUGCUGAUGUCUUUUUUUGCAGGGGCUUUUACCCAAUUUUUCGGAGCCCCAAAAAUCCCGAGAAAUAUAUAUAUAUAACAGCGUACCGUAAGCUUCCAGAUCAUCGAAGAUGGGCCACAGGGGGUCACGGCCUGCCCAGGCGACCUCCUGGCGCGGCCUGGCCCCUGGCCGCGCCCACAGGCCGCCUGGGUGGGUCAAACCCCCUCUGACGUCGUCAUUUGGCCUAUAUUUACUCCUCCGUGAGGAAACCCUUCAAUCACAUCCAGAAUCGUGAAUUCUCCAUCAUUCCGCCGCCGCAGCGCUUCCGAGAUCGGGAGCGUCACGAGACCUCUUCCCGACACCGUGCCAGAGGGAGGAUUGACCUCCGGGAGCUUCUCCACCGCCAUGGUCACUUCCCGGACGUGACGUGAGUAGUCCUCCUUGGACCAUGAGUCCAUGACCAGUAUCUAUGUGAUGUGUUCUCUCCAAUCUUGUGCUUCAAUGAUUAGCCUUUGUGAGCUGCCCUACAUGAUCAAGGCACCUAUGUAAUUUUCCUGCUACUGCUAUGCUCGGUUUGUUGGGAUCCGAUGGAUUAUGAGAUUAUGCUCAUAUUGUUAUGAGUUAUAUAUUUGAUUAUCCUUUUAUAUUAAGUUCUUUAGUGAUUGCUACGGUAACAAAAGUCCUUCCUUGGCGCUAGGAAUUCUUCUUGCUACUUCUCUUGUUUGCGUCGGUUUUUUGCUUGAAGAGGAAAGGGUGAUGCAGCACAGGAGACGUAAGUAUUUCCCUCAGUUUGAGAACCAAGGUAUCGAUCUAGAAGGAGGGUCUCGUCAAGUCCAGAGUACCUGCGCAAACACAAACAAGCUUGCACCCAACGCUUCAAAGGGGUUGUCAAUCCCUUCAAGAUUGUUUGCAAAGUGAGAUCUGAAGGCGGAAAGUGCAACGAAGUAAAAAGUGUAAGGCUGAAAAUAUGGUGUGGAGUAGACCCGGGGGCCAUAGUGUUCACUAGAGGCUUCUCUCAAAAUAGCAAAUAUCACGGUGGGUGAACAAAUUACUGUCGAGCAAUUGAUAGAACCGUGCAAAGUAUUCACUAGAGGCUUCUCUCAAAAUGGCAAAUAUCACGGUGGGUGAACAAAUUACUGUCGAGCAAUUGAUAGAACCGUGCAAAGUCAUGACGAUAUCUAAGGCAAUGAUCAUACAUAUAGGCAUCACGUCCGAGACAAGUAGACCGAUACUCUGUGCAUCUACUACUAUUACUCCACACAUCGACCGCUAUCCAGCAUGCAUCUAGUGUAUUAAGUUUAUGACGAACAGAGUAACGCCUUAAGCAAGAUGACAUGAUGUAGAGCGAUAAUCUCAAACCAAUGAUGAAAACCCCAUCUUUUUACCCUUGAUGGCAACAACACGAUGCGUGCCUCGCUACCCCUUCUGUCACUGGGUGAGGUCAUCGCACGGUAUGAACCCAAAACCAAGCACUUCUCCCAUUGCAGGAAUCAUAGAUCUAGUUGGCCAGACAAAACCCACAACUCGAAGAGAAUUACAAGGAUAUGAAAUCAUGCAUAAGAGAGAUCAGAAGAAACUUAAAUAAGAUUCAUAGAUAAUCUGAUCAUAAAUCCACAAUUCAUUGGAUCUCGACAAACUCACCACAAAAGAAGAUUACAUCGGAUAGACCUCCAUGAAGAUCAUGGAAAACUUUGUAUUGAAGAUCCAAGAGAGAGAAGAAGCCAUCUAGUUACUAGCUAUGGACCCGUAGGUCUAUGGUGAACUACGCACGCAUCAUCGGAGAGGUCAUGGUGUUGAUGAAGAAGCCCUCCGUGUCCGAAUCCCCCCUCCGGCAGGGCACCAAAACGUGCCCCAGUUAGGAUCUUGCGGAGACAGAAGCUUGCGGCGGAGGAAAAGUACUUUCGAUGACUCCUGAUUUUUUUGGGAUUUUUAGGGAAUAUAUAGGCGCAACCCCUAGGGCAGAGGGCGCCCAGGGGGCCCACAAGCCUGUGGGCCGCGGCCUCCCCCCUGGCCGCGGGGUGGGGGCUGGUGGGGCCCCUGAGGCCCCCCUGCCUUGGCUCUCAAGCUUCCCGAUCUUCUUCUGUUACGGAAAAAAUCUUUUCGGGGAUUUUCUUCCUUUUGGACUCUGUUUCAAAAUCUCCUUUGAAAGGGGUCAAAAACAUGGAAAAAAAUACGGACUGGCACUUGGCACUGAGUUAAUAAGUUAGUCCCAAAAAAUAUAAAAGGCAUUUAAAACAUCCAAAGUUUGACAAGAUAAUAGCAUGAACCAUCAAAAAUUAUAUAUACGUUAGAGACGUAUCAAGCAUCCCCAAGCUUAACUCCUGCUCGUCCUCGAGUAGGGAAGUGGUAAAGAAUGAAUUUUUGAUGUGGAAUGCUACCUAGCAUAGUUGUCCUUUGCAACUUCUUUCAGGUGAGAUGAAUGUUAAGAUCCGUAAGAUUCGAAACAAUAGUUUGCUAUUGACAUGAAAACAAUAAUACUCCAAGCAAACUAGCAAGGUAAUCAUGAACUUUCAAAAUAACAAGGCCAAUGAAAGUUAUCCCUACAAAAUCAUAUAGUCUGGCUAUGCUCCAUCAUCCCUAACAUAGCGGUUCACCAUACGUGUAUGCUACGGGAAUCACUAACUUCAACACAAGUAUUUCUAGAUUCACAACACCCUACUAACAUAACUCUUAAUAUUAGCGAAUCCACGUCUCAAAACUAAUUGAUAGGAAUCAAGACUUCUCUUUCUACUCAAUGCACACGAGGAUGGAGGUUUCUGCAUCCUCUUUGGGUACCUAUCACAUUUGGGACUACUUUCAUAGCAUAAGCCAACUACCAAGUCACGCACCGCCGUGCUCUAAAAGAUAUAAGUGAAGCACUAGAGCAAAAGUAUCUAGCUCAAAAGAUAUAAGUGAAGCACUAUGAGCAAAAGUAUCUAGCUCAAAAGGUAUAAGUGAAGCACUAUGAUCAAAAGUAUCUAGCUCAAAAGACAUAAGUGAAGCACUAUGAGCAAAAGUAUCUAGCUCAAAAGAUAUAAGUGAAGCACUAUGAGCAUUCUAGCAAAAUCACGAUGAGUGCAUGUCUCUCUCUCUCUCUCUCAAAAAGGUGUGCAGCAAGGAUGAUUGUGACACAACAAAAAGAAAAGACUCCUAAGAUACAAGACGCUCCAAGAAAAACACAUAUCAUGUGGUGAAUAAAAAUAUAGCUCCAAGUAAUGUUACCGAUGGAUUGAAGACGAAAGAGGGGAUGCCUUCCCGGGGCAUCCCCAAGCUUAGGCUUUUUGGUGUCCUUGAAUUUGGCUUGGGAUGCCUUGGGAAUCCCCAAGCUUGAGCUGUUCCACUCCUUAUCUCUUUGUCCAUGAGUACAUCACCCAAAACUUGAAAACUUCACAGCACAAAACUUAAACAGAAACUCGUGAUAACAUUAGUACAAGAAAACAAACUAUCACUUCUUUUGGUACUAUAGCAAACUUGAAUUCCAUCUAUAUUGGUGUUGGGCUACUGUAUUCUCACUUUUCAAUGGCUAGUACCCCCCGAUACUAACCAUAUUUUCAUCAAAACAAGCAACCAACUCAACAAAAACAGAAUCUGUCAAAAACAGACCAGUCUGUAGCAAUCUGUAUACUUCGUAUACUUCUCGUACCUCAAAAAAUCGGAAAAAUUACCACGGCCUGGGAAAAAGGCAUAUCAACCAGCAACAAAAACAAUCAACUCAAAAGCUCUUUCUGAAUAAAAAUGAAAAAUCAUCUCGUGAGCGAAAAGUUUCUGUCUUUUUUCAGCANNNNNNNNNNNNNNNNNNNNNNNNNNNNNNNNNNNNNNNNNNNNNNNNNNNNNNNNNNNNNNNNNNNNNNNNNNNNNNNNNNNNNNNNNUCAGCAGGAUCAAACAACCAUUACCAAGACUAGUCGUAAAGGUUUUGCUUGGCUCAAACACAAAAAGAAACACAAAAAACACAAUCACAACAGAAUUGUGAUGGCGUGGACGCAACAAAACAUAAAGAAAAAGAUAAAUUCAUUGAGUUGCCUCCCAACAAGCGCUAUUGUUUAACGCCUGUUGGGGAUGUUACCUGUGGAUGACCCGCCUAGUUGGGCCGGGUCAUCCAUUGGGUGAUUCACCCAAACAUUUAGUUAGGCCUCGUUGUGGCCGAAUCAAGGUCGUAUGACAGUUGUGGCUCUUGGAAGGUCUCCAAGCUUCGGAAGAUGGUGACUUAGAAACCACAGGGGUCACGAGUUGUAGGAAGGAAAGAAUCCUUGUAAACCCUAGGGGAUCGACCUUUAUAUAAAGGCGAGUCCCGGGGGACAGAGGGUAGGUUAGAAAUCAUCGAGUGCUAGGUUUAGGCGAGUUACGCCUUCCUUGUAAUCGAAUCCACAUCAAUACACACCAAAGCGGGACGUAGGCUAUUACCUCUUCAAAGGGGCCGAACCUAGGUAAAUCGCCGUGUCUCUCCCACUUAACCCCUUUGAUUCGCCACCAAGGUGUGAUGGCUCCAGUACUAAGUCCUUUCACGAGGACAUCUGCCGUGAAAAAACCACGACAGUUGGCGCCCACCAUGGGGCCUACGCACGGUGGAGUUGACUUUUCAAAGGGAGCCCUACCAGGGUUUGGGAGUUACGCGAUGGCGCUCAUGACUCGGAGCCGCCGCGGGAUAGCCUACAUCGACAACCAGCAAUGGGGACCUGAAGCAAAUUCAAUCGAAUCUGGCUACAGGGUCCCCUUCGGCAAGAUCAACAUCUUCAUCGGCAUGAUCGGAUCAUCCGUUCCUGAGCCGGACAUCUCCACCGACAUCGUCGAGCCGGCCAAGUACGUCCGCCCAGUCAUAACACAGAAUUUAACUCGCCCGGUCUUUGUGGGGUUCACGCAGGGAUCGGAGGAACCAGAACUCUUGGCGACUCAGGAAGUUACCCCGGUCAACUCUGACGACGAGUCAUCCAUGGGCGAUUCAGAUUCCAUCCGGUCUCUCCAUGGGGACGGUCUCGGAGGCUUGUCGCUGGCCAUGGAUCCGGAAAUCCUUGACCGAACCCGCCGCCAUAUCGCCAUCUACAUGGCUGGGGCAACUCAACCCGCACAAAACCCUACCGGAGGCGAUGGGACCGGCGGGACAUCCAGAAGUGCGUCCGCAGUCCUGGUGGACUUAGCGGCGGAAAUCACGAGACUAAUGGCGACUCCCCUCACGCCAGAGAACCAAGAGGAGAUAAAUGCAGAGUUAGCAAAGCUCAGAGAGGUGGUGGCAAAGGCCCACCAGGAUGCUGAGAUGGAGUCCGCUAGGAUCGAGACUCGACAAGCCCAAAUCACAGCCGAAAGGAUGCGAUUAAACACUGACAACUAGUGGCUCGAAAGACAGCAGCGCGCGUCCGACGCCGUCCAUCAGCGGAGACACCAGGGUCGCCUGCCCCAUGACCUCAACCCGACCCGUCUGUUCGACACUCCCCGAACCCCCGGGAUGGGAGCCGCCCCGGCAGGAGGACCGGGCCGCCCACCUAACCCGCCGGUUCAGCCGAUUGAGGGUCAAAUUCCUCGUUUCCGGACCCCUCAAGGCCACUUCUCCAACCCGGUGGAUAACGUGCUUGCCGCAACUCGCCACCUGGAGUCCCUUUCGAUCCACGGCAACACCCCAGCUGAGACUGAAGCGAGGAACGCCAUCGAGAUGUUGAAAACGGCGGUGGUUCAAAACGCCCAGUUCUCGCAUAGCCUCGAGAGGUUGCACUCCACCCCUCAGGCAAGCUACCAGGAGCAGGCCAGAGGACUAGCCUGCCGUAAACAGUGGGCCGCGACACUUCCCGCAGGACAACCCGCCCGAGCGGAACCCGCCGGGCCGAGAUCUCCCGAAUAUCCAAGACGCCCCGGCCCCCCUCGUAGGGGGCGGAGGGCGAGUUGGGGUACCAUGCUUAUCCCCGGCCCAUCGGAAUGAAAGGAUGCCCAAAGACUUUAAGGGACCACGGAAAGUGCCUAAUUAUACACCAGACCUCGAACCAACGUCAUGGAUCGAGGGUUACGAGAUUGCCAUGGACAUGCUCGACGUAAACGAGGCGGUUUGCGCCCGAUACUUCACUAUGAUGCUCGAGGGGUUGGCACGCACCUGGUUGAAAAAUUUGCCUCCCAAUUCCAUCCAGUCCUGGGCCGAGUUAAAAGAGCGUUUCAUCAAAAACUUCCAGGGAACCUGCAAACGUCCAAUGACUAUUGUCGAUCUACAACACUGUGUUCAGCGCCCGGACGAAUCAGCCCACCAUUGGUCGUGGCGGGUGGCAGAAAUUAUUCAUUCGUCAGAUGGUAUUACGGCGGCUCAAGUUGUGCUCAUCCUCGAGCACAAUUGUCAUUACGAGCCCUUAGUACAGAAGUUGGGGCGACUCAAACGAGAGGUCCAAGACAUGGGCGAACUAAUGGACACCCUCACUAGGUAUCCCGAGGCCGAUGAUACCAAGGAUCCCGGCGAGGAUGGCAAGGCUAACUCGCCCAAAAAGGGGGAGUCGUCCAAAAACCAUACCCGUUUCCAGGGACGCAACCGUCACAAUCAGGGGACCAAUGGCAAGCGUAGACCGCAGGAGGAGCCCUCGGACUUGGUCGCCAACACCAAUGCUAAUGAUGGCAAAAAGAAGAACCGAGGCUUCAGUGGGAAAAGGCCGCGUAACUAGGAAGAGUUGCUCAAGGGCCCUUGCCCGCACCACGCCACGGCCGAUGGCCCGGCGAGUCAUUCUUGGGAAAAACUGUUUCGUGAUGCGAGAAUUUCGGGCGGAGGCAAUCAAGAAGAGCCAAAACGAAGAUCCAAACCAGCGCCAAGACCAACUCGCCGCGCCCAACCAAAGGCACAACCCCUUCGGCGGCUUUCCCGAACAGGGGGCUCAGGGAGGCCCGCAACCAGGCGGCGGCCAGUACCCGGUGCACCACCAGCGGCGGUACAACCCGCCGGGAGUUUUCCAGCAGCCGCUCCCGCAGGGGGCUCCACAGGACCAGGAUGACAAUGGGGGCUUCCGCGGCAAUCCCAAACAGCUAAGUAAUGGGCAGUACCACGUUUUCACCACUAAUGCUUGCAGGCGUGAUAAAAAGGUAAGUCACCGGGCGUACAGUGUAACAGAGCCAGCGAUUCCCAGAUAUCUCCACUGGUCCGAGCAGACCAUAACAUGGAGCAGGGAGGAUCACCCGCCAAGAAUAGAUAACCCGGGCGACCUGGCAUUAGUCGUGGCUCCCCAAGUAGGGGGUUACACCCUAUCAAAGGUAUUAAUGGAUGGUGGCAGCAGCAUCAAUAUCCUAUACUUCGACACCAUCUAGAGGAUGAAUCUAUUGGAGAAAGACUUGAUGCCUUCGAACACGGUCUUCCACAGAAUUGUCCCGGGAAAGUCGGCCUACCCCAUAGGCCGGGUCAGGCUCUCAGUAGCAUUUAGAACUGCGCAAAAUUACAGGUCGGAAUCUCUAAUCUUCGAGGUGGUCAAGCUGAAAAGCCCAUACCAUGCACUGUUCGGGCGACCGGCUUACGCCCGCUUCAUGGCCCGCCCGUGCUACGUCUACCUCAAGCUCAAAAUGCAUGGUCCUAAAGGACCCAUCACGGUUGAUGGAGACAGAAGGAUCGCAAAGGAAUGUGAAGAAGGGGAUGCGUCUUAUGCGGAAGUCGCCUGUGCGGCGGAAGAGCUCAAGCACCUUCGGGCCAAUGUUGACCCGGCUGACAUCUCACCACUCAAGAAGCCGACUACAGACUCUGAGUCGCCCCUCAAGUUCAAACCGACGGAUGACACUAAGACAAUCGAUUUCGUGCCUGGCGAUUCAUCCAAGCAGUUCACCAUUGGGACGGGUCUGGACCCCAAAUAGGAAAGCGCGCUCAUCGAGUUCAUCCGUGAGAAUCAGGACAUCUUCGCAUGGAAACCUUCUGACAUGCCUGGUGUACUGAGAGAAUUGGCUGAGCACCAUCUUAACGUUGACCCAAAAUGCAAACCUAUCCAACAGUACCUUCGCAGAUUCAACAAAGAACGACGCAAGGCGAUUGGAGAAGAAGUCGCCCGCCUUUUAGCCGUCGGGUUCAUCGUGGAAGUUUUUCACCCCAAAUGGCUGGCUAACCCGGUGUUGGUACUCAAGAAGAAUGGCACUUUCCGAAUGUGCAUUGACUAUACAGACCUCAACAGGGCUUGUCCCAAAGAUCCUUUCGCUCUUCCCCGCAUCGAUCAAAUCAUUGACUCGGUGGCGGGAUGCGAACGAUUGUGUUUUCUGGACGCCUAUUCAGGAUAUCACCAGAUCAAGAUGGCCGUGGAAGAUCAGGAGAAGACGGCCUUCAUAACCCCCUUCGGGGCCUUUUGCUAUGUGUCCAUGCCUUUCGGACUCAAAAGCGCGGGGGCGACUUAUCAACGCUGUAUCCAGAAUUGUCUUCGUAGCCAAAUUGGUCGCAACGUCCAUGCCUAUGUCGACGAUAUUGUGAUCAAGACCCGCCAGGGGGAGACACUACUUGAAGACCUUAAGGAGACUUUUGAUAAUUUAUGGGUAUAUCAGAUGAAGUUAAAUCCUACCAAGUGCGUUUUUGGUGUACCUGCAGGAAAAUUGCUGGGUUUCUUGGUAUCGGAGCGCGGCAUCGAGGCUAACCCGGACAAGAUCGAAGCGGUUACCUCUCUCGGAAAGCCGGCAAAUGUUAAUCAAGUUCAACGGCUGGCGGGUCGCAUUGCGGCUUUAAGUCGUUUUGUGAGUCGCCUAGGGGAAAAGGCGAUUCCUCUUUAUCAAUUAUUAAGGAAGUCUGGCCGAUUCGUGUGGACAAAUGAAGCAGACCAGGCGCUUGAGGCCCUAAAACGCCAAUUGGUUAACCCGCCGGUCCUGGCAGCCCUGACUGAAAAGGAUCCUAUGCUUCUGUAUAUCGCGGCAAAUUCCAAGGCAGUAAGUGUGGCUGUGGUCUUUGAAAGAAAGGAGGAAGGGAAGGAAUACCCAGUGCAACGCCCAGUAUAUUUUAUCAGCGAGGUGUUAACUCUUUCCAAACAGCGAUACCCGCAUUGGCAAAAACUGGUCUAUGGGGUGUUUAUGGCAAGUCGAAAACUUAAGCAUUACUUCCAGGAGCACCCGAUCACAGUGGUGAGUUCUGCUCCCCUUGGUGAUAUUAUCCAGAAUCGGGAGGCAACAGGGCCAAUCGCCAAAUGGGCGAUAGAGCUUGGGUCUCAUCACAUACAGUAUACUCCCCGCACAGCUAUCAAAUCCCAGGCACUAGUUGAUUUCGUUAACGACUGGACCGAGCUACAGAUUCCGGAAGACCGGCCUGACCUUACCUACUGGACUAUUUACUUUGAUGGAUCUAGGCAGCUGGAAGGCUCGGGGGCUGGUGUGGUGUUAGUAUCCCCUCAAGGAGAUAAGUUCUGUUACGUUCUCCGACUCAUGUUUCCCUGCACUAAUAAUGCGGCGGAAUAUGAAGCUUUGCUUCAUGGCUUACGACUCGCGAAAGAGAUGAACCUAACACGAGUCAGGUGUUUUGGCGAUUCCGAUUUGGUGGCGCAACAAGUUUCGGGUACCUGGGACUCUCGGGAUCCCAUGAUGGUGGCUUACAGACGAGUUGCCUCUGACGUAGCGGGUUAUUUUCAUGGCUAUCAGGUGGACCAUAUUGACCGCCGACUCAACGAGGCAGCUGACGCCCUCUCGCGACUCGGCUCACAGAGAAAACCGGUUCCCCUAAUGUUUUUCUGGAUAUCUUGCAUAAGCCAUCCGUGGUCUUGCCCUCAGAGGAGGAAUUGGCGAUACCAGAUCCCGAGUCUCAGCUCGUGGCAGCUCUCCAUGUCAUUCCGGAUUGGGUGCUCCCUUAUCUGGCUUAUCUCACUCGCGGCGAGUUACCCACCGACAAAGUUUUGGCUCGCCAGAUCGUUCAGCGCAGCAAAUCCAUGGUCAUCAUUAAUGGCUAGUUGUAUAAACGGAGCGCUUCUGGGGUUUUUUAGUGAUGUGUCUCCCCCGAAGAAGGAUGCGCGAUCCUAAAUGACAUUCAUUCCGGAGACUGUGGACAUCACGCCGAGUCACGUUCUUUGGUAUCAAAGGCUUUUCGUCAUGGUUUCUAUUGGCUGACGGCUCACGCAGAUGCAGAAGACAUAGUUCGCCGGUGCGAAGGGUGCCAACGUUAUGGGAGGCAGGCUCACAUACCGGCUCAAGAAUUGAGAAUGAUUCCCAUUACUUGGCCUUUCGCAGUUUGGGGGCUGGACAUGGUUGGUCCCUUUAAAAUGUCCUCCAACAAGAAGACCCACCUAUUGGUGGCGGUUGAUAAAUUCACCAAGUGGGUUGAGGCGGAACCUGUUGGAGCUUGCGAUGCGGAGACAACGGUCAAAUUUUUGAAGAAGCUGAUUUUCCGGUUUGGAUAUCCCCACAGCAUUAUUACUGAUAAUGGUACUAACUUGUCCCAAGGGGCGAUGCAGGAUUUUUGUCAUCGAGAACAUAUCCGACUUGAUAUUUCUGCGGUUGCUCACCCGCAAUCUAACGGGCAAGGAGAACGGGCGAAUCAGGAGGUCUUACGAGGGAUCAAGCCCCGACUCAUGGUUCCCCUAGAAAGGACUCCAGGGUGUUGGGUUGAAGAGUUACCUUCGGUACUGUGGAGUAUUCGGACUACCCCGAACCGGUCCACGAGAUUCACCCCUUUCUUUUUGGUCUAUGGAGCAGAGGCUGUUCUUCCUACGGACAUAAGGCAUGACUCCCUUAGAGUCGUCGCAUAUGUGGAACAAGAUAAUGAGCUGGCGCGUCAAGAUUCUUUGGAUGCCUUGGAGGAGGCAUGUGACCUGGCUGCGGCCCGUUCGGCUGUCUACCAGCAAGAUCUGCGGCGUUAUCAUAGUCGCCGGGUUAAGAGUCGGACCUUUCAGGAAGGCGACUUAGUGCUUCGUCUAAUACAAGCUCGAGCGGGCAUGCACAAGUUGUCACCCCCUUGGGAAGGGUCGUUCGUCGUCAGCAAGAACCUCCGCAAUGGCUCUUACUAUUUGGUGGAUCUUCGGCCUAAUCGACCGACCACAGAGGCUGAGUCAACUCGCCCCUCGAAUAUUGCCCAUUUGCGGCCUUACUACACUUAAGCUCUUAAGCUUUACACUUUGUAAGUUAUUCAGUUUCAUUAUGAAGUAAUAAAAUAUUCCCCGACUUGGGGGCUUCUCUAUCAAAAAGCAAAUUGUGUCAUCAUGUUGCGACCAUAUGAGUCGACAGAAUCUGCAUUUAGGGUGGGUGCACGAGCUUUCUGACUCGCCUCCCCCUAUCGCGACCUUAUGAGCCAACGAAACCUGCAUUUAGGGUGGGUGCACGAGCUUUCUGACUCGCCUCCCCCUGUCGCGACCUUAUGAGCCGACGAAACCUGCAUUUAGGGUGGGUGCACGAGCUUUCUGACUCGCCUCCCCCUGUCGCGACCUUAUGAGCCGACGAAACCUGCAUUUAGGGUGGGUGCACGAGCUUUCUGACUCGCCUCCCCCUGUCGCGACCUUAUGAGCCGACGAAACCUGCAUUUAGGGUGGGUGCACGAGCUUUCUGACUCGCCUCCCCCUGUCGCGACCUUAUGAGCCGACGAAACCUGCAUUUAGGGUGGGUGCACGAGCUUUCUGACUCGCCUCCCCCUGUCGCGACCUUAUGAGCCGACGAAACCUGCAUUUAGGGUGGGUGCACGAGCUUUCUGACUCGCCUCCCCCUGUCGCGACCUUAUGAGCCGACGAAACCUGCAUUUAGGGUGGGUGCACGAGCUUUCUGACUCGCCUCCCCCUGUCGCGACCUUAUGAGCCGACGAAACCUGCAUUUAGGGUGGGUGCACGAGCUUUCUGACUCGCCUCCCCCUCUCGCGACCUUAUGAGCUGACGAAACCUGCAUUUAGGGUGGGUGCACGAGCUUUCUGACUCGCCUCCCCCUGUCGCGACCUUAUGAGCCGACGAAACCUGCAUUUAGGGUGGGUGCACGAGCUUUCUGACUCGCCUCCCCCUGUCGCGACCUUAUGAGCCGACGAAACCUGCAUUUAGGGUGGGUGCACGAGCUUUCUGACUCGCCUCCCCCUGUCGCGACCUUAUGAGCCGACGAAACCUGCAUUUAGGGUGGGUGCACGAGCUUUCUGACUCGCCUCCCCCUGUCGCGACCUUAUGAGCCGACGAAACCUGCAUUUAGGGUGGGUGCACGAGCUUUCUGACUCGCCUCCCCCUGUUGCGACCUUAUGAGCCGACGAAAUUACUAUUGCUAUUUUUUGUUGUGGCAUAGUCCUGAAGGUUUUUAAGCCUUUUCUUUCUGAUGCUUGUUGAAAAUAUCCAUAGUUUGUUUGUUUUCACAUAUGAUGUUUUCCAAGUUUAAAGACAAGAAGGUGAUAAGAAUUGUUCCAUCCUUGGCGAAUUAAGCAUUAAGGCGGGUCAAAUAUUUCAAAUCGCCUUAAAGACGAUAUAAGGGUUCUCGCAGAAGGUAUCAUCAAAAACAGUACUGACUUGCGGAAAAAGGACCUAUUACAUGGCUCGCAGGCCAAAUUCAGUAAAGUUUACUUCGCUAACGCCUCGGGAUCAUCCUGGCGUGAGCUCUGUCCAACUUCGAUUUGCAAGUCGCCCAAUACCCAAUUGCAUCUGGCCAAAGCAGCAAAGUCGUCUUUGUCGGUCAGAAUUGAUGCCAAGUCUGCCUCCAAGUCGAAGGGUUUUUGGGCCGCCGAGGAGUUAGGCUGGUCGUCAUGAAGGUUGGCGGGCUGACUUUCUUAUUUCUGCUAUCGUAAGCCGCCUGGUAUUUUGUUAAAUCAAGGCUUGCGGCGAGUUGAGUUGCAGACAGCCGAGAAUCCUUGACGGCUUUUUGGUAAUCCUCUUCAACAAAUUCUGAUCCAUCGUCCUUGAGCUGAGGGAAGCCAACGGCUACUUCUUUUAAGUUAAUCUCUGGAGCAUACGCUAAGCAGCGACUCAGGGCAGUCAGAACACCUUUCCGGGCGGCUGACCGAGUUAACUCGCCAAUCUGGGGGGGAAGUGUAGACAAGCAUCCAAGUACCUUCUUGAUGGAAGUAAUAGGUUCCUUGGCACCCAUCACAGCUUUGACGGUCAACACACUGCCUGUGUACAGCUGCUCUGUCAGCGUAUAAAUCGCCUUCAGCAUCAACACACAGUCUUCUUGCAGGUUGGCGGCUCUUGGACCUGAAUUAUGAUGAUUAGCGACUUAACAUCAGUAUUAUGAGUAAAAAGAAAAAAAAAGGAAAAGAAGGAAAAAAGGGGGAUGAGGUUGAAUAUUUAAGUAAGGCUUACCAAAGACGGCUUGCGUCAUGUUGGAGAUGUGACGUUUUAAGCCGGACAGUUCCUGUUGAACAGUGGCCAGCCUAACUUCAGCUUUCUCUGCCCUCUUCAAAGCGGCAUUUUGUUCAGCCUGAGCUUCUUUUAACUCGGCCUUGAGUUUUACCAGUUCGGCCAAGGCCAAUUGACAUUUUUCCUCCGACUUAGCUCGGGCGUCUUGUUGUCUAGCUAAGUUUUUUCUUAAAUCACCCAGCGCCGAUUCGGUCUGAGCAAGGUGUUCCUAUUGAAAGUUUAAAAUAAGGGCAAGUCUCAGAAUUACUGCAAAGCAAUAUCCCUGACACUUGGGGGCUAAUGUAUAAUUUUUUCAGGUGAAAUUAUACAAAAAAUCAAGACCCGAAUCAUCUUUUACUGAUGACUCGGCCCUUGGGGGUUACUGGUCGCGAAGCUUUUUUAAAAAAAAUUCAAGACCCGGCUCAUCUUUUUCCUGAUGACCCGGCCCUUGGGGGUUACUGGUCGCGAAGGUUUUUCUAAAUUUUCAAAGACCCGGCUCAUCUUUUUACUGAUGACCCGGCCCUUGGGGGUUAAUGGAAAUAAUAUAAGUAUAAACAAAAUAUACCUCAUGUUUGUUGUUUAACAUCUUCAGCAGGUUCUUCUCCAUAUCAUAGCUCGCCUCCAGGCGAUUCGCAAAGCCAGAACAGAGUUCCUUAAACUCCAAAUUUGCAUAGUCAGAAAGUUUCGCCUUGGAGAGCCCAGACUUGGGAAUGGCCUGAGAGGAGGAUGCUACAUGUUUGGACAAAACUGUCGCCGCCGGUUUAGAAAAGCCAGAGCCAGUAAUAAACACGGCAUUUGGGUCUUCCGUUGUUGUCAAUGGGCUCGGCGGCUUGGGGGCGUCCAUUACUUCUCUCGGCGACUCAGGGAGAUCUACUUGAGUCGCGGGCUCAGCUUGAUCCGGAGUUGGAGUUGUUUCCCUCAUGGGGUCUGGAGCUGCGUCAGGAGUUGGUCCGCUGGUUUUCCUCGUCUUGGCUUGUGCCCUGCAAAAAAGGAGAAUAAGCACGUUAAGGAAUUGGAAAGUUCAUUAUUCUUAAAGGUCACGACAAGAUUAUCAAAAGACUUACCCCGGAACUCGAAUCAUUGGCGGAAGUGUUGACAUCACUGAGUCGCCCGAGGUAGGAGGAGAAUUCUGCAAAAGAGUUAUAUGUCAAUCAUACAGGCGGGUUACAAGCGUGACCCAAAGAGAAGUGGAGAAUGGCUAUUCAUAAUGAAUACCUCGCUUGGUUUUCUUUUGUUUGUUGCCGGUAGGCCGGAUACCAGAUCGCCAGAAUGACUUCGUGUUUUCCGAUUUGAGGUGUGCUGUGCUUUCUUCAGUAGGAAAUUCGGGUCCAGAUAAGCAUUUGGAUGAGAGAAGGGAACUUUCCCACAAAUUCGCCUGGCCGGCUUAAGUGGAGAAGGAGAUGAAUCGGAGGAAACGGAAAUUACCUCAACAGAGUCUUCUUGGCUUUCGUUAUCCUCAUUCUAUUUCAGGGAAAGGGAAAGAUGUAAAUAAAAGGUUAAACAGUGACAGGUGGCGAGUGAAAAGAGGACGGAUUUGUACCUCUGAAAGUGCAUCGCCGACUUGAGAUUCGUCGACUUCGGAUGGCUCAGCCGCAGCAGAUUUUCCUUUACCCUUGGCUUUCUUAGAAGGCGGCUUGACAUUUUUCAUGGCUUGCUUUUUGGGCCUCCUAGACGAGAACUUAUCGCCUUUCUAAAAUGGUAUAUUUACGAAACCACGAUAGUAGUAAAGCAUAAGGGAUAAAUACCGAGGACGAGUCAGGUUUGGUUACCUUGGGCGCCGGGUUAAUUUUGCAAAACGGCUUAAGGCCGAUUUGGCCGCAUUUUCCCGCAGGUUCUGAUGGGGAACGUCCCAUGGGAAACAAAAAAAAUUCUACGCGCACGAAGACCUAUCAUGGUGAUGUCCAUCUACGAGAGGGGAUGAGUGAUCUACGUACCCUUGUAGAUCGUACAGCAGAAGCGUUAGUGAACGCGGUUGAUGUAGUGGAACGUCCUCACGUCCCUCGAUCCGCCCCGCGAACAAUCCCGCGAUCAGUCCCAUGAUCUAGUACCGAACGGACGGCACCUCCGCGUUCAGCACACGUACAGCUCGACGAUGAUCUCGGCCUUCUUGAUCCAGCAAGAGAGACGGAGAGGUAGAAGAGUUCUCCGGCAGCGUGACGGCGCUCCGGAGGUUGGUGAUGACCUUGUCUCAGCAGGGCUCCGCCCGAGCUCCGCAGAAACGCGAUCUAGAGGUAAAACCGUGGAGGUAUGUGGUCGGGCUNNNNNNNNNNNNNNNNNNNNNNNNNNNNNNNNNNNNNNNNNNNNNNNNNNNNNNNNNNNNNNNNNNNNNNNNNNNNNNNNNNNNNNNNNNNNNNNNNNNNNNNNNNNNNNNNNNNNNNNNNNNNNNNNNNNNNNNNNNNNNNNNNNNNNNNNNNNNNNNNNNNNNNNNNNNNNNNNNNNNNNNNNNNNNNNNNNNNNNNNNNNNNNNNNNNNNNNNNNNNNNNNNNNNNNNNNNNNNNNNNNNNNNNNNNNNNNNNNNNNNNNNNNNNNNNNNNNNNNNNNNNNNNNNNNNNNNNNNNNNNNNNNNNNNNNNNNNNNNNNNNNNNNNNNNNNNNNNNNNNNNNNNNNNNNNNNNNNNNNNNNNNNNNNNNNNNNNNNNNNNNNNNNNNNNNNNNNNNNNNNNNNNNNNNNNNNNNNNNNNNNNNNNNNNNNNNNNNNNNNNNNNNNNNNNNNNNNNNNNNNNNNNNNNNNNNNNNNNNNNNNNNNNNNNNNNNNNNNNNNNNNNNNNNNNNNNNNNNNNNNNNNNNNNNNNNNNNNNNNNNNNNNNNNNNNNNNNNNNNNNNNNNNNNNNNNNNNNNNNNNNNNNNNNNNNNNNNNNNNNNNNNNNNNNNNNNNNNNNNNNNNNNNNNNNNNNNNNNNNNNNNNNNNNNNNNNNNNNNNNNNNNNNNNNNNNNNNNNNNNNNNNNNNNNNNNNNNNNNNNNNNNNNNNNNNNNNNNNNNNNNNNNNNNNNNNNNNNNNNNNNNNNNNNNNNNNNNNNNNNNNNNNNNNNNNNNNNNNNNNNNNNNNNNNNNNNNNNNNNNNNNNNNNNNNNNNNNNNNNNNNNNNNNNNNNNNNNNNNNNNNNNNNNNNNNNNNNNNNNNNNNNNNNNNNNNNGUGAGUUAUAUGAUCUCAUGGUCAUAGGAAUAAAUACUUGACACGCAGAAAACAGUAGCAACAAAAUGACACAAUCAACAUGCUACGUCUAUUAGUUUGGGUCUAGUCCAUCACGUGAUUCUCCUAAUGACGUGAUCCAGUUAUCAAGCAACAACACCUUGUUCAUAAUCAGAAGACACUGACUAUCUUUGAUCAACUGGCUAGCCAACUAGAGGCUUGCUAGGGACAGUGUUUUGUCUAUGUAUCCACACAUGUAAAUGAGUCUUCAUUCAAUACAAUUAUAGCAUGGAUAAUAAACGAUUAUCUUGAUACAGGAAUUAUAAUAAUAACUAUAUUUAUUAUUGCCUCUAGGGCAUAAUUCCAACAGUCUCCCACUUGCACUAGAGUCAAUAAUCUAGCCCUCACAUCAUCAUGCGAAUUACAUUGUAAUAAAUCUAACACCCAUACAGUUCUCGUGUUGAUCAUGCUUUGCCCGUGGAAGAGGUUUAGUCAGCGGGUCUGCUACAUUCAGAUCCGUGUGCACUUUGCAUUUAUUCACGUCCUCCCCUUCGACGUAGUCGCGGAUGAGGUUGAAGCAUCGUUUGAUGUGUCUGGACUUCUUGUGAAACUGUGGUUCCUUUGCUAAGGCAAUGGCACCCGUGUUGUCACAGAACAAGGUUAUUGGAUUCAGUGCGCUUGGCACCACUCCAAGAUCCGUCAUGAACUACUUCAUCCAGACACCCUCCUUAGCCGCCUCUGAGGCAGCCAUGUACUCCGCUUCACAUGUAGAAUCUGCUACAACGCUUUUCUUGGAACUGCACCAGCUUACCGCACCCCCAUUAAGAAUAAAUAUGUAUCCGGUUUGCGACUUAGAGUCGUCCGGAUCUGUGUCAAAGCUUGCAUCGACGUAACCCUUUACGGCGAGCUCUUCGUCACCUCCAUACACGAGAAACAUCUCCUUAGUCCUUUUCAGGUACUUCGGGAUAUUCUUGACCGCUGUCCAGUGAUCCACUCCUGGAUUACUCUGGAACCUACCUGCCAUACUUAUGGCCAGGCUAACAUCCGGUCUAGUGCACAGCAUUGCAUACAUGAUAGAACCUAUGGCUGAAGCAUAGGGGACGGAGCGCAUAUGCUCUCUAUCUUCAUCAGUUGCUGGGCACUGAGUCUUACUCAAUCUCGUACCUUGUAAAACUGGCAAGAACCCUUUCUUGGACUGUUCCAUUUUGAACCUCUUCAAAACUUUAUCAAGGUAUGUGCUUUGUGAAAGUCCUAUCAGGCGUUUUGAUCUAUCCCUAUAGAUCUUAAUGCCUAGAAUGUAAGCAACUUCUCCUAGGUCCUUCAUAGAGAAACUUUUAUUCAAGUAAUCCUUUAUGCUCUCCAAAAACUCUACGUUGUUUCCAAUCAGCAAUAUGUCAUCCACAUAUAAUAUUAGAAACGCCACAGAGCUCCCACUCACUUUCUUGUAAAUACAAGAUUCUCCAACCACUUGUAUAAACCCAAAUGCUUUGAUGACCUCAUCAAAGCGCUUGUUCCAACUCCGAGAUGCUUGCACCAGUCCAUAAAAGGAUCGUUGGAGCUUGCACACCUUGUUAGCAUUCUUAGGAUCGACAAAACCUUCGGGUUGCAUCAUAUACAAUUCUUCCUUAAGGAAACCGUUAAGGAACGCCGUUUUGACAUCCAUCUGCCAGAUUUCAUAAUCGAAAAAUGCAGCUAUUGCUAACAUGAUUCUGACGGACUUAAGCAUCGCUACGGGUGAGAAUGUCUCAUCGUAGUCAAUUCCUGGAACUUGUGAAAAACCCUUUGCCACAAGUCGAGCUUUAUAAAUGGUCACAUUGCCGUCAGCGUCCAUCUUCCUCUUAAAGAUCCAUUUGUUCUGAAUAGCCUUGCGGCCCUCAGGCAGUACCUCCAAAGUCCACACUUUGUUCUCAUACAUGGAUCCUAUCUCGGACUUCAUGGCUUCUAGCCAUUUGUUGGAAUCCGGGCCCACCAUUGCUUCUUCAUAAUUUGCAGGUUCAUUGUUGUCCAACAACAUGAUUGACAAGACGGAAUUACCGUACCACUCUGGAGCAGCACGUGGUCUCGUCGACCUGCGUGGUUCGACAGAAACUUGAACCGGAGUUUCAUGAUCAUCAUCAUUAACUUCCUCCUCAACCGGCGUCGCAACGACAGAGGUUUCCCCUUGUCCUGCGCCACCAUCCAGAGGGAUGAGAGGUUCGACAACCUCGUCAAGUUCUAUCUUCCUCCCACUCAAUUCUCUCGAGAGAAACUCCUUCUCGAGAAAAGCUCCGUUUUUAGCAACAAACACUUUGUCCUCGGAUUUGAGAUAGAAGGUGUACCCAACUGUCUCUUUUGGGUAACCUAUGAAGACGCACUUUUCUGCUUUGGGUUCCAGCUUUUCAGGCUGAAGCUUUUUGACAUAAGCAUCACAUCCCCAAACUUUAAGAAACGACAACUUUGGCCUUUUGCCAUACCACAGUUCGUAUGGUGUCGUCUCAACGGAUUUUGAUGGUGCCCUAUUUAAAGUGAAUACAGUUGUUUCUAAUGCAUAACCCCAAAACGAUAACGGCAAAUCGGUAAGAGACNNNNNNNNNNNNNNNNNNNNNNNNNNNNNNNNNNNNNNNNNNNNNNNNNNNNNNNNNNNNNNNNNNNNNNNNNNNNNNNNNNNNNNNNNNNNNNNNNNNNCAUCAGCUUCGGCAGCCUGGCGAGCAAGAGCGGCGCCGACCUGGACUCAUGUUAUGCAACUUUGUGGUGUCGACAAGUGAGUGCUGCCCUCUCAAUUCUUUUGUUGGAUAUAUGUAGUAUUUGUACAAUGUUAUUUCUUUUUCAGUCUGAUUAGUAACUAGAAGUUAUUCUUACUGUAGGUAUGCAGUUGAUGCUUAUGCAAUAUUUUGUGCGGGUAGGGCGAGGGAGGUGGUACCUGAUGAUCACAAAUUAGUUGAUUACUUGAAUUAUGUUUGCUUUAAGUUGCCCAUAGCACAUGUAGUAUUCUCGACACAUAAAUUUUAACAAAUUGCUCUGAGCUUUAUAGUUUCAUGGCUUUGUGAGAUGCUAAUCAUGAACUAAAAAUGCUCAUGAGCUUCUCUGAACUUCUCCAUACACGUACUAGCACAACGACUUCGGGUACUGUAAUUUUUACACCACCUCGAACCCAACUUCCAUUGCAGUGCCACUCAGUAAGUCAUAUUGAUUGGAUUUCUUUUUCUUACCAAGCGUAGCCGGCUCUUCCCGUGAUUCGAACUCUCACACGAAGAGUCUGCCCUCCGCCCCUCCUCAUGAAGGCCCAUUCCCACUCGACGGUAGCUCCCUCCCUCUCAUGCCAUGCUUCGGUUAUGUUUGUUUUGUCUUUAACUUGUUGGGGAACGUCGCAUGGGAAACAAAAAAUUUCCUACACGCACGAAGACCUAUCAUGGUGAUGUCCAUCUACGAGAGGUGAUAUUCGAUCUACGUACCCUUGUAGAUCGCACAGCAGAAGCGUUAAGAAACGCGGUUGAUGUAGUGGAACGUCCUCACGUCCCUCGAUCCGCCCCGCGAACCGUCCCGCGAUCCGUCCCACGAUCUAGUGCCGAACGGACGGCACCUCCGCGUUCAGCACACGUACAGCUCGACGAUGAUCUCGGCCUUCUUGAUCCAGCAAGAGAGGCGGAGAGGUAGAUGAGUUCUCCGGCAGCGUGACGGUGUUGGGGAACGUCACAUGGGAAACAAAAAAUUUCCUACGCGCACGAAGACCUAUCAUGGUGAUGUCCAUCUACGAGAGGUGAUAUUCGAUCUACGUACCCUUGUAGAUCGCACAGCAGAAGCGUUAAGAAACGCGGUUGAUGUAGUGGAACGUCCUCACGUCCCUCGAUCCGCCCCGCGAACCGUCCCGCGAUCCGUCCCACGAUCUAGUGCCGAACGGACGGCACCUCCGCGUUCAGCACACGUACAGCUCGACGAUGAUCUCGGCCUUCUUGAUCCAGCAAGAGAGACGGAGAGGUAGAUGAGUUCUCCGACAGCGUGACGGCGCUCCGGAGGUUGGUGGUGAUCUUAUCUCAGGAGGGCUCCGCCCGAGCUCCGCAGAAACGCGAUCUAGAGGUAAAACCGUGGAGAUAUGUGGUCGGGCUGCCGUGACAAAGUUGUGUCAAAUCAGCCCUAAAACCUCCGUAUAUAUAGGGGGAGGAGGGGGAGCCUUGCCUUGGGGUCCAAGGACUCCCAAGGGGGUCGGCCGAGCCUAAGGGGGGAACCCUCCCCUUCCAAACCGAGUCCAACUAGGUUUGGAAGGAGGAGUCCUUCCCCCUUUUCCCAGCUCCUCUUUUUUUACUCUUUGAUUUUCUUCCUAUGGCGCAUAGGGCCUUCUUGGGCUGUCCNNNNNNNNNNNNNNNNNNNNNNNNNNNNNNNNNNNNNNNNNNNNNNNNNNNNNNNNNNNNNNNNNNNNNNNNNNNNNNNNNNNNNNNNNNNNNNNNNNNNACAGAAUGACAUACGGGAUUAUAUGAAUCCUUGGCACUGAGGUUCAAACGAUAAGAUCUUCAUAGAAUAUGUGGGAUCCAAUAUGGGCAUCCAGGUCCCGCUAUUGGAAAUUGACCGAGGAGUCACUCGGGUCAUGUCUGCAUAGUUCUCGAACCCGCAGGGUCUGCACACUUAAGGUUAGACGCUGUUUUAUGCGUAUUUGAGUUAUAUGGUUGGUUACCGAAUGUUGUUCGGAGUCCCGGAUGAUAUCACGGACAUCACGAGGGUUUCCGGAAUGGUUCGGAAAUAUAGGAUGACCUCAUUUGAUUACCGGAAGGUUUUCGGAGUUACCGGGAAUGUACCGGGAAUGACGAAUGGGUUCCGGGUGUUCACCGGGGGGGGGGGCAACCCACCCCGGGGAAGCCCAUAGGCCUUGGGGGUGGCGCACCAGCCCUUGGUGGGCUGGUGGGACAGCCCAAGAAGGCCCUAUGCGCCAUAGGAAGAAGAUCAAAGAGAAAAAAAGGGGAGGUGGGAAAAAGGGGAAGGACUCCACCUUCCAAACCUAGUUGGAUUCGGUUUGGAAGNNNNNNNNNNNNNNNNNNNNNNNNNNNNNNNNNNNNNNNNNNNNNNNNNNNNNNNNNNNNNNNNNNNNNNNNNNNNNNNNNNNNNNNNNNNNNNNNNNNNUCACGAGGGUUUCCGGAAUGGUCCGGAAACGAAGAUUGAUAUAUAGGAUGACCUCAUUUGAUUACCGGAAGGUUUUCGGAGUUACCGGGAAUGACGAAUGGGUUCCGGGAGUUCACCCGGGGGGGGGGGGGGCAACCCACCCUGGGGAAGCCCAUAGGCCUUGGGGGUGGCGCACCAGCCCUUAGUGGGCUGGUGGGACAGCCCAAGAAGGCCCUAUGCGCCAUAGGAAGAAAAUCAAAGAGAAAAGAAAAAAAGGAGGAGGUGGGAAAGGGAAGAAGGACUCCACCUUCCAAACCAAGUUGGAUUCGGUUUGGAAGGGGAGACCUUCCCCCUUUGGCUCGGCCGACCCCCUUGGGGCCUCUUGAGCCCCAAGGCAAGGCUCCCCCUCUUCCCCCUAUAUAUACGGAGGUUUUAGGGCUGAUUUGCGACAACUUUGCCACGGCAGCCCGACCACAUAUCUCCACGGUUUUACCUCUAGAUCGCGUUUCUGCGGAGCUCGGGCGGAGCCCUGCUGAGAUAAGAUCAUCACCAACCUCCGGAGCGCCGUCACGCUACCGGAGAACUCAUCUACCUCUCCGUCUCUCUUCAUGCGUAGAUGUCUUCUCGAGUAGAACACAAAAGUUUUUGUCUUCUCGANNNNNNNNNNNNNNNNNNNNNNNNNNNNNNNNNNNNNNNNNNNNNNNNNNNNNNNNNNNNNNNNNNNNNNNNNNNNNNNNNNNNNNNNNNNNNNNNNNNNAACAUGCUACGUCUAUUAGUUUGGGUCUAGUCCAUCACAUGAUUCUCCUAAUGAUGUGAUCCCGUUAUCAAGUAACAACACUUGCCUAUGGCCAGGAAACCUUGACCAUCUUUGAUCAACGAGCUAGUCAACUAGAGGCUUACUAGGGACAGUGUUUUGUCUAUGUAUCCACACAAGUAUUGUGUUUCCAAUCAAUACAAUUAUAGCAUGGAUAAUAAACGAUUAUCACGAACAAAGAAAUAUAAUAAUAACUAAUUAUUAUUGCCUCUAGGGCAUAUUUCCAACAAUCGCUACCGCUCAGAUGGCAAGAAGCAGUGACGCCGACGCGGAGGCAAGGAAGGAGGCGAGGAGGAGCAUCCGCACCGGGCCGCCGCCGAUGGCGCCGGAGCAGUAGUUGCCGAACGCGCCGCCCGGGUACUCGUACUGCCGGUCGCCGCCCUCUUUGUUGGGUAACGUAGCAUAAAUUCAAAAUUUUCCUACGCAUGUUCAGAUCUUCCUAUGGAGAGACCAGCAACGAGAGAGGGGUAAGAGCAUCUUCAUACCUUUGAAGAUUGCUAAGCGGAAGCGUUGCUAGAACGCGGUUGAUGGAGUCGUACUCGCAGCGAUUCCGAUCUAGUGCCGAACAACGGCACCUCCGCGUUCAACACACGUGCAGCCCGGUGACGUCUCCCGCACCUUGAUCCAGCAAGGAGGAGGGAGAGGUUGGGGAAGAAUACCAGCAACACGACGGCGUGGUGUUGGUGGAGAGACGAGGUCUCCCGGCAGGGCUUCGCCAAGCGCCGGCACAGAGGAGGAGGAAGAAGUGCAGGGCUGCGCCGAGGGAGAGGGAAAACCGUGUCCUCCAAAGGCCAAAAGUGCCCACUAUAUAUAGGGGAAGGGGAGAGGGGGUGCCACCCCUAGGGUUCCCACCCUAGGGGGUGCGGCAGCCCUCCCAGAUGGGGGGUGUGGCGGCCAGAUGAGGGAGGAGGGGUGGCGCACCCCUCUGGUGGGCCUAAGGCCCACCUAAGUUAGGGUUCCCCCCUCUCCCCUUUUUUCUCGUGCACAUGGGCUGGGUGGGGGGCGCACCAGCCCACUUAGGGGCUAGUUCCCUUACCCACUUAGCCCAUCUAGCCUCCCGGGGUCGUCACCCCCUUUCGGUGGCCCCCCGGGACCACCUCCGGUGGUCCCGGUGGUCCCGGUGCGUUACCGGUGAUGCCCGAAACACUUCCGGUGUCCGAAACCAUCCGUCCUAUAUAUAAAUCUUUACCUCCGGACCAUUCCGGAGCUCCUCAUGACGUCCGGGAUCUCAUCCGGGACUCCGAACAACUUUCGGUAAUCUCGUAUAACAAUUCCCUAUAACCCUAGCGUCAUUGAACCUUAAGUGUGUAGACCCUACGGGUUCGGGAGACAGGCAGACAUGACCGAGACACCUCUCUGGCCAAUAACCAUCAGCGGGGUCUGGAUACCCAUGGUGGCUCCCACUAGCUCCACGANNNNNNNNNNNNNNNNNNNNNNNNNNNNNNNNNNNNNNNNNNNNNNNNNNNNNNNNNNNNNNNNNNNNNNNNNNNNNNNNNNNNNNNNNNNNNNNNNNNNAUGAUCGGGUGUGAUAGACUCAACGUUCACAUACAACGGGUGCAAAACAGUUGCGCACGCGGAACACUCGGGUUAAGCUUGACGAGCCUAGCAUGUGUAGACGUGGCCUCGGAACACAUGAGACCGAAAGGUCGAUCAUGAAUCAUAUAGAUGAUAUGAUUAGCAUGGGGAUGCUUACCGCUGAAACUAUGCUCAACUCACGUGAUGAUCGGACUUGAGCUAGUGUAGGUGGAUCAUGAACCACUCAAAUGACUAGAGAGAUGUACUUUUUGAGUGGGAGUUUAGCGAGUAAUUUGAUUAAGUUAAACUCUAAUUAUCUUGAACAUAGUCUAAGUCCACUUUGAAUAUAUUUGUGUUGUAGAUCAUGGCUCACGCGACAGUCACCCUGAAUUUUAAUACGUUCCUAGAGAAAGCUAAGUUGAAAGAUGAUGGAAGCAACUUUGUAGACUGGGCUCGUAAUCUUAAGCUAAUCUUACAAGCUCGGAAGAAGGAUUAUGUCCUUAAUGCUGCGCUAGGAGAUGAACCACCCGCUACGGCUGAUCAGGAUGUUGAGAACGCUUGGUUAGCACAUAAGGAGGACUACUCAGUAGUUCAAUGUGCAGUCUUGUAUGGCUUAGAACCAGGACUUCAACGUCGCUUUGAGCGUCAUGGAGCAUUUGAGAUGUUCCAGGAGCUGAAGUUUAUCUUUCAGAAGAACGCCCGGAUCAAGAGGUAUGAGACCUCCGAUAAAUUCUAUGCUUGCAAGAUGGAGGAGAACUCGCCUGUCAGUGAACAUGUGCUCAAAAUGUCUGGGGUACUCAAACCGUCUAGCUGAGCUGGGGAUUGAACUCCCACAAGAAGCUAUCACUGACAGAAUCCUUCAAUCACUGCCGCCAAGCUAUAAAGGCUUUGUGUUGAACUACAACAUGCAAGGGAUGAACAAGUCUCUUGGCGAGUUGUUUGCGAUGCUGAAAGUCGCAGAGUCUGAACUCCGUAAAGAACAUCAAGUGUUGAUGGUGAAUAAGACCACUAGUUUCAAGAGAAACGGCAAAGGCAAGAAGGGUAAUUCAAAGAAGAGCGGCAAGCCUUUUUCCAAUCCGACAAAGAAACCCAAAGCUGGACCUAAGCCUGAAACAGAGUGUUACUAUUGCAAGGGUAUGGGUCACUGGAAGCGCAAUUGCCCCAAGUAUUUGGCUGAUAAGAAGGCGGGCAAAGAAAAAUCAGGUAUAUUUGAUAUACAUUUUAUUGAUGUGUACUUAACCGACUCUCGUAGUAGUGCCUGGGUAUUCGAUGCCGGUUCUGUUGCUCAUAUUUGCAACUCGAAACAGGAACUGCGGAAUAGACGAAGGCUGGCGAAAGAUGAAGUGACGAUGCGCGUAGGAAAUGGUUCCAAGGUUGAUGCAAUCGCCGUCGGCACAGUUUCACUUCGGUUACCAUCAGGAUUAGUUAUGAACUUGAAUCAUUGUUAUUUGGUGCUUGCCUUAAGCAUGAACAUGAUUGGAUCGUGUUNNNNNNNNNNNNNNNNNNNNNNNNNNNNNNNNNNNNNNNNNNNNNNNNNNNNNNNNNNNNNNNNNNNNNNNNNNNNNNNNNNNNNNNNNNNNNNNNNNNNGGGGGGGGGGGGCAACCCACCCCGGGGAAGCCCAUAGGCCUUGGGGGUGGCGCACCAGCCCUUGGUGGGCUGGUGGGACAGCCCAAGAAGGCCCUAUGCGCCAUAGGAAGAAGAUCAAAGAGAAAAAAAGGGGAGGUGGGAAAAAGGGGAAGGACUCCACCUUCCAAACCUAGUUGGAUUCGGUUUGGAAGGGGAGGACUCCCCCCUUGGCUCGGCCGACCCCCUUGGGGCUCCUUGAGCCCCAAGGCAAGGCCCCCCUCUCCCACCUAUAUAUACGGAGGUUUUAGGGCUGAUUUGAGACAACUUUGCCACGGUAGCCCGACCACAUACCUCCACGGUUUUACCUCUAGAUCGCGUUUCUGCGGAGCUCGGGCGGAGNNNNNNNNNNNNNNNNNNNNNNNNNNNNNNNNNNNNNNNNNNNNNNNNNNNNNNNNNNNNNNNNNNNNNNNNNNNNNNNNNNNNNNNNNNNNNNNNNNNNNNNNNNNNNNNNNNNNNNNNNNNNCCACCAACCUCCGGAGCGACGUCACGCUGCCGGAGAACUCAUCUACCUCUCCGUCUCUCUUGCUGGAUCAAGAAGGCCGAGAUCAUCGUCGAGCUGUACGUGUGCUGAACGCGGAGGUGCCGUCCGUUCGGCACUAGAUCAUGGGACGGAUCGCGGGACGGUUCGCGGGGCGGAUCGAGGGACGUGAGGACGUUCCNNNNNNNNNNNNNNNNNNNNNNNNNNNNNNNNNNNNNNNNNNNNNNNNNNNNNNNNNNNNNNNNNNNNNNNNNNNNNNNNNNNNNNNNNNNNNNNNNNNNACAGCGUGACGGCGCUCCGGAGGUUGGUGGUGAUCUUAUCUCAGGAGGGCUCCGCCCGAGCUCCGCAGAAACGCGAUCUAGAGGUAAAACCGUGGAGAUAUGUGGUCGGGCUGCCGUGACAAAGUUGUGUCAAAUCAGCCCUAAAACCUCCGUAUAUAUAGGGGGAGGAGGGGGAGCCUUGCCUUGGGGUCCAAGGACUCCCAAGGGGGUCGGCCGAGCCUAAGGGGGGAACCCUCCCCUUCCAAACCGAGUCCAACUAGGUUUGGAAGGAGGAGUCCUUCCCCCUUUUCCCAGCUCCUCUUUUUUUACUCUUUGAUUUUCUUCCUAUGGCGCAUAGGGCCUUCUUGGGCUGUCCCACCAGCCCACUAAGGGCUGGUGCGCCACCCCCAAGGCCUAUGGGCUUCCCCGAGGUGGGUUGCCCCCCCCGGUGAACACCCGGAACCCAUUCGUCAUUCCCGGUACAAUCCCGGUAACUCCGAAAACCUUCCGGUAAUCAAAUGAGGUCAUCCUAUAUAUCAAUCUUCGUUUUUGGACCAUUCCGGAAACCCUCGUGACGUCCGUGAUCUCAUCCGGGACUNNNNNNNNNNUUCCGAACCAUUCCGGAAACCCUCGUGAUGUCCGUGAUAUCAUCCGGGACUCCGAACAACAUUCGGUAACCAACCAUAUAACUCAAAUACGCAUAAAACAGCGUCUAACCUUAAGUGUGCAGACCCUGCGGGUUCGAGAACUAUGCAGACAUGACCCGAGUGACUCCUCGGUCAAUUUCCAAUAGCGGGACCUGGAUGCCCAUAUUGGAUCCCACAUAUUCUAUGAAGAUCUUAUCGUUUGAACCUCAGUGCCAAGGAUUCAUAUAAUCCCGUAUGUCAUUCUGUUUUGUCCUUCGGUAUGUUACUUGCCCGAGAUUCGAUCGUCAGUAUCCGCAUACCUAUUUCAAUCUCGUUUACCGGCAAGUCUCUUUACUCGUUCCGUAAUACACGAUCCCGCAACUUACACUAAGUCACAUUGCUUGCAAGGCUUGUGUGCGAUGUUGUAUUACCGAGUGGGCCCCGAGAUACCUCUCCGUCAUACGGAGUGACAAAUCCCAGUCUUGAUCCAUACUAACUUAACGAACACCUUCGGAGAUACCUGUAGAGCAUCUUUAUAGUCACCCAGUUACGUUGCGACGUUUGAUACACACAAAGCAUUCCGCCGGUCUCAGUGAGUUAUAUGAUCUCAUGUUCAUAGGAACAAAUACUUGACACGCAGAAAACAGUAGCAACAAAAUGANNNNNNNNNNAUCACAUGAUUCUCCUAAUGAUGUGAUCCCGUUAUCAAGUAACAACACUUGCCUAUGGCCAGGAAACCUUGACCAUCUUUGAUCAACGAGCUAGUCAACUAGAGGCUUACUAGGGACAGUGUUUUGUCUAUGUAUCCACACAAGUAUUGUGUUUCCAAUCAAUACAAUUAUAGCAUGGAUAAUAAACGAUUAUCANNNNNNNNNNAGAUCCCGCAACUUACACUAAGUCACAUUGCUUGCAAGGCUUGUGUGUGAUGUUGUAUUACCGAGUGGGCCCCGAGAUACCUCUCCAUCACACGGAGUGACAAAUCCCAGUCUCGAUCCAUACUAACUGAACGAACACCUUCGGAGAUACCUGUAGAGCAUCUUUAUAGUCACCCAGNNNNNNNNNNNNNNNNNNNNNNNNNNNNNNNNNNNNNNNNNNNNNNNNNNNNNNNNNNNNNNNNNNNNNNNNNNNNNNNNNNNNNNNNNNNNNNNNNNNNCCAAGUGCCAGUUCCUGUUUUUUUCCGUGUUUUUGACCCUUUUCAGAGGAGGAUUUUAAACGGAGUCCAAACGGAACGAAACUUCCAAAAAGAUUUUUUCCGAAACAGAAGACGAUCGGGGGACUUGAGAACCAAGGCAGGGGGCCACCAGGGACCCCACAAGCCCCCUAGCCGCGGCCAGGGGGCCCGCACCUCCCAGGCUUGUGGGCUCCUUGGGCCUCCUCUGCCCUAGGUCUUUCGCCUAUAUAUUACCAAAAAUUCCAGAAAAAAUUAGGAGAUCAUCGAAAGUACUUUUCCGCCGCCGCAAGCUUCUGUCUCCGCAAGAUCCCAUCUGGGGCACGUUCUGGUGCCCUGCCGGAGGGGGGAUUCCGAUACGUAGGGCUUAUUCAUCAACACCAUGACCUCUCCGAUGAUGCGUGAGUAGUUCACCAUAGACCUACGGGUCCAUAUCUAGUAGCUAGAUGGCUUGUUCUCUCUCUUGGAUCUUUAAUACAAAGUUCUCCAUGAUCUUCAUGGAGAUCUAUCCGAUGUAAUCUUCUUUUGCGGUGUGUUUGUCGAGAUCCGAUGAAUUGUGGAUUUAUGAUCAGAUUAUCUAUGAAUCUUAUUUGAGUUUCUUCUGAUCUCUUAUAUGCAUGAUUUCAUAUCCUUGUAAUUCUCUUCGAGUUGUGGGUUUCGUUUGGCCAACUUGAUCUAUGAUUCUUGCAAUGGGAGAAGUGCUUGGUUUUGGGUUCAUACCGUGUGGUAACCUCACCCAGUGACAGAAGGGGUAGCGAGGCACGCAUCGUGUUGUUGCCAUCAAGGGUAAAAAGAUGGGGUUUUCCUCAUUGGUUUGAGAUUAUCCCUCUACAUCAUGUCAUCUUGCUUAAGGCGUUACUCUGUUCGUCAUGAACUCAAUACACUAGAUGCAUGCUGGAUAGCGGUCGAUGUGUGGAGUAAUAGUAGUAGAUGAAGAAAGUAUCGGUCUACUUGUCUCGGACGUGAUGCCUAUAUGUAUGAUCAUUGCCUUAGAUAUCGUCAUGACUUUGCGCGGUUCUAUCAAUUGCUCGAUAGUAAUUUGUUCACCCACCGUAAUAUCUGCUAUUUUGAGAGAAGCCUCUAGUGAACACUAUGGCCACCGGGUCUACUUCACACCAUAUUUUCAGCCUUACUCUUUUAGUUCGUUGCACUUUCCGCCUUCAGAUCUCACUUUGCAAUCAAUCUUGAUGGGAUUGACAACCCAUUCAUAGCGUUGGGUGCAAGCUCUUUUGUGUUUGCGCAGGUACUCUGGACUUGACGAGAUUCUCCUACUGGANNNNNNNNNNCUGCUCCUGUGCUGCAUCACCCUUUCCUCUUCAAGGGAAAAACCAACGCAAGCAAGUCUCCGUCAACAUGUCAAUUUCUGGCACUUUUGUUUGAGAAGUAGCAGAAGGAUUUCUAGCGCCGUUGCCGGGGAGGAUCAAGUCAAGAACUCAUCCAAGUAAGUGUCGCAAACUCAUCUCUUGCAUUUACUUUUUUGCCUCUCGAUUUCCUCUCCCCCACUUCUGAAAAACAAAAGUUUACAAAAAAAUAUUUGCCCUUUUCUUCGUUUGCCUUUUUCGUUCGCCGUUUUCUCUCGCUUGUUCUUUGUUCGCUUGUGUGCUUGCUUGCUUGCUGAAGUCACCAUGACUGAAAACACCAAACUUUGUGACUUUUCAAAUACUAAUAAUAAUGAUUUUAUUAGUACUCCGAUUGCUCCCGCCACUAGUGCGGAGUCGUACGAAAUCAAUGCCGCUUUGCUGAAUCUUGUUAUGAAAGAGCAAUUCUCUAGCCUUCCUAGUGAAGAUGUUGCAUCCCAUCUUAAUACCUUCAUUGAGCUUUGCGAUAUGCAAAAGAAGAAAGAUGUGGAUAAUGAUGUGAUUAAAUUGAAGCUUUUUCCUUUCUCGUUGCGAGAUCGAGCAAAAACUUGGUUUUCGUCUUUGCCCAAAAAUAGUAUUGAUUCUUGGAAUAUGUGCAAAGAUGCUUAUAUAUCCAAGUAUUUUCCGCCGGCUAAGAAUAUCUCUCUCCGUAAUGAUAUCAUGAAUUUUAAGCAACUUGAUCAUGAACAUGUUGCACAAUCUUGGGAGAGGAUGAAAUUGAUGAUUAGAAAUUUUCCCGCUCAUGGCUUGAGUCAUUGGAUGAUUAUACAAAUCUUCUACGCUGGCUUGAAUUUCGCUUCUAGAAAUAUCUUGGACUCCGCCUCCGGUGGAACGUUCAUGGAAAUCACGUUAGGAGAAGCCACAAAACUCCUAGCGAAUAUCAUGACGAACUACUCUCAGUGGCACACUGAAAGGUCACCUACUAGUAAGAAGUUACACGCUAUAGAAGAAAUUAACUCGUUAAGUGCUAAGAUGGAUGAGUUAAUGAAUUUGUUUGCUAGUAGAAGUGCUCCUUUAGAUCCUAAUGAUAUGCCAUUGUCUUCCCUGAUUGAGAGUAGCAACGCUAGCUUGGACGUUAAUUUUGUUGGUAGGAAUACUUUUGGCAACAACAAUGCUUUUAGAGGAAACUAUGUUCCUAGGCCUUUUCCUAGUAACUCCUCUAAUAACUUUGGCAACUCCCACAACAAUACUCAUGGAAAUUACAAUAGAUUACCCUUUGAUCUAGAGAGUAAUAUCAAAGAGUUUAUCAAUUCACAAAAGAUUUUCAAUGCGUCCAUAGAGGAAAAACUACUUAAAAUUGAUGAUUUGGCUAGGAGCGUUGAUAGAAUGUCUAGAUUGAUGCUUUGAAAGUUAGAUGUGCUCCUCCCAAGAUCAAUAUGGAUGAAACUUUGAAAGCUAUGCGUGUUUCCAUGAGUGAGAGCAAAGAAAGAACCGCCCAAAUUCGUGCUAGACAUGAAUGGCUUAAAGGCGUGUUCUCGUGAUAAGAAUCACGAAGAUCUUAAAGUGCUUGGUGUGACUCCCAUUGAAUCUUUGUUUUGUUGUGUCAAACCUAAUGAUGAUGGGGCUGGAUAUGAAUCCACUUUGGUUGAAAAAUGCCCCAAUGAUUCGGAGUCCAUCUAUCUUGAUGCUAAAAGCAUUGAAAGUGGAGUAGAAGAUAUUAAAACUUUGAGUAGUAAUGAAAUUACUACUUUUAAUUUCAAGGAAUUCAAUUAUGAUAGUUGCUCCUUGAUUGAAUGCAUUUCCUUGAUGCAAUCCAUGCUAAACUCUCCACACGCUUAUAGCCAAAACAAGGCCUUUACCGAUCAUAUCAUCGAAGCUAUGAUAAAAUCUCUUGAAGAGAAACUUGAAUUGGAAGUUUCUAUCCCUAGAAAGCUUCAUGAUGAGUGGGAACCUAUUAUCAAAAUCAAAAUCAAAAACUAUGAAUGCAAUGCCUUGUGUGAUUUGGGUGCUAGUGUUUCCGCGAUUCCAAAGUCUUUAUGUGAUGUUCAGGGUUUUAAUGAGAUUGAGGAGUGUUCUCUUAAUUUGCAUCUUGUGGAUUCUACUGUCAAGAAACCCAUGGUAAGGAUCAAUUAUGUUCUUAUUAUUUCAAAUAGGAACUAUGUAACCGUGGAUUUCAUUCUGCUUGACAUUGAUUGCAAUCCUACAUGCCCUAUCAUUCUUGGUAGACCUUUCCUAAGGACUAUCGGUGCUAUCACCGAUAUGAAGGAAGGGAAUAUUAGAUUUCAAUUUCAUUUAAGGAAGGGCAUGGAGCACUUUCCUAGAAAGAAAAUAAGAUUGCCUUAUGAAUCCAUGAUGAGGGCUACUUAUGGUUUGAGCACCAAAGACGACGAUACGUGAUUCUAUCGCUCAAUACCUGGCUAAGGACGUUAAACAAUAGCGCUUGUUGGGAGGCAAUCCAAUAAAUUUAUCUUUUUUCUUUAUGUUUUCUUGCGUCCUCACCAUCAUAAUUCUGUUAUCAUUGUGUAUUUUGUGUUUUUUGUGUGUUUGAGCCAAGCAAAACCUUUAUGACUAGUCUUGGUGAUGGUUGUUUGAUCCUGCUGGAAAAAGACAGAAACUUUUUGUUCACGAGAUUAUUUUUCAUUUUUAUUCAGAAAGAGCUUUUGAGUUGAUUCUUUUUGCUGCUUGUUGAUAUGCCUUUUUCCCACGCAGUAGUAAGUUUUCAAAAAAAUUGAGGUACCAGAAGUAUACGAAUUAUACAGAUUGAUAUAGACUGGUUUGUUUUUGACAUAUUCUGUUUUGUUGAGUUGGUUGCUUGUUUUGAUGAAACUAUGUAUAGUAUCGGGGGGUACUAGCCAUGGAAAGGUGAGAAUACAGUAAUCUAACACCAAUACAAAUAUAAAUCAUGAUUGAUAUAUUACCUAAAGAGGUGGUAAGUUGUUUUCUUGUGCUAAUGAUAUCACAAGUUUCUGUUUAAGUUUUGUGUUGUGAAGUUUUCAAGUUUUGGGUGAUGUUCUCAUGGACAAAGGGAUAAAGAGUCGAAAGAGCUCAAGCUUGGUGAUGCCCAAGGCAUCCCAAGCCAAAUUCAAGGACACCAAAAAGCCUAAGCUUGGGGAUGCCCCGGGAAGGCAUCCCCUCUUUCGUCUUCAAAUCCAUCGGUAACAUUACUUGGAGCUAUAUUUUUAUUCACCACAUGAUAUGUGUUUUGCUUGGAGCGUCUUGUAUCGUAGGAGUCUUUUCUUUUUGUUGUGUCACAAUCAUCCUUUCCGCACACCUUUUGAGAGAGACAUGCACUCAUCGUGAAUUGCUAGAAUGCUCAUCGUGCUUCACUUAUAUCUUUUGAGNNNNNNNNNNACUUAGAUCUUUUAGAGCACGGCGGUGCGUGACUUGGUAGUUGGCUUGUGCUAUGAAAGUAGUCCCAAAGGUGAUAGGUACCCAAAGAGGAUACAAAAACCUCCAUCUUCAUGUGCAUUGAGUAGAAAGAGAAGUCUUGAUUCCUCUCAACUAGUUUUGAGACGUGGAUUUGGUAAUAUUAAGAGUUAUGUUAGUAGGGUGUUGUGAAUCUAGAAAUACUUGUGUUGAAGUUAGUGAUUCCCGUAGAAUGCACAUAUGGUGAACCGCUAUGUUAGGAAGUCGUAGCAUAAUUGAUCUAUUGAUUGUCAUCCUUUGUGUUGAGGUCGGGAUCGCGUGAUGGUUAACACCUACAAACCCUUCCCCUAGGAGUAUGCGUUUAACACUUUGUUCCGAUUACUAAUAAAAACUUUCGCAACCAGUAUGUGAGUUCUUCAUGACUAAUGUGAGUCCAUGGUAUAGAUGCACUUUCACCUUCCACCAUUGCUAGCCUCUCUAGUGCCGCGCAACUUUAGCCGGUACACAAACCCACCAUAUGCCUUCCUCAAAACAGCCACCAUACCUACCUACUAUGGCAUUUUCAUAGCCAUUCCCAGAUAUAUUGCCAUGCAACUUCCACCGUUCCAUCUCGUGAUUUGUGCCAUCACUAUCAUAUUGCCUUUGCAUGAUCGUAAGAUAGCUAGCGAGAUGUUUCAACGUCGUACGCCAAGAUAGAUCGUUGUACAUCCCGGUACACUGCCGGAGGCAUUUUCUAUAGAGUCAUCAUCAUUCUGAGCUUUGAGCUGUGAGUAAAUAAAAGUGUGAUGAUCAUCAUUAUUAGAGCAUUGUUCCAUGUGAGGAAAUAAAAAAAAGAGGCCAAAGAGCCCAAAUAAAAAAAGAGAAAAAGAGAGGCCCAAGAGCCCAAAUAAAAAAAGGGAGAGAAAACGAGAGAAGGGACAAUGCUACUAUUUUUUUCCACACUUGUGCUUCAUAAUAGCACCAUGUUCUUCAUGAUUGAGAGCCUCUCGUUUCGUGAGCACCAUAUUCUAGUGGGAAUCUUUAUUAUAUAACUUGGCUUGUAUAUUCCAAUGAUGGGCUUCCUCAAAUUUCCCUAGGUCUUCGUGAGCAAGAAAGUUGGAUGCACACCACUAGUUCUCCUUUUGAGCUUUCACAUACUUAUAGGUCUAGUGCUUCCUUUGUAUGGCAAUCCUUACUCAUUCAUAUUGAUAUCUAUUAAUGGGCAUCUCCAUAGCCCUUUGAUACGCCGAGUCAAUGUGAUCAUCUCCUCCUUUUUGUCGCACAACCACCACCACACUCUAUUCCACCUACAGUGCUAUAUCCAUGGCUCACGCUCAUGUAUUGCAUGAUAGUUAUAAAAAGUUUGAGAAAGUAAGGGUGCGAAAACAAUUACUUGGCCAAUACCGGGGUUGUGAAUGAUUUAAAUUAGUUGUGUGAGGAUGAUGGAGCAUAGCCAGACUAUAUGAUUUUGUAGGGAUAACUUUCCUUGGCCUUGUUAUUUUGAAAGUUCAUGAUUACCUUGUUAUUUUGCUUUAAGUAUUAUUGUUUUCAUGUCAAUAGCAAACUAUUGUUUUGAAUCUUACAGAUCUGAACAUUCAUGUCACACGAAACAAGUUACAAAGGACUACUAUGCUAGGUAGCAUUCCACAUCAAAAGUUCAGUCUUUAUCACUUCCCCACUCGAGGACGAGCGGGAGUUAAGCUUGGGGAUGCUUGAUACGUCUCCAACGUAUCUAUAAUUUUUGAUGGUUUCAUGCUAUUAUCUUGUCAAACUUUGGAUGUUUUGUAUGCCUUUUAUAUCUUUUUUGGGACUAACUUAUUAACUCAGUGUCAAGUGCCAGUUCAUGUUUUUUCGUGUUUUUGACCCUUUUGAGAGGCGGAUUUUAAACGGAGUCCAAACGGAACGAAACUUCCAAAAAUAUUUUUUCCGAAACAGAAGACGAUCAGAAGACUUGAGAACCAAGGCAAGGGGCUGAUACGUCUCCAACGUGUCUAUAAUUUUUUAUGGUUUCAUACUAUUAUCUUGUCAAACUUUGGAAGUUUUGUAUGCCUUUUAUAUCUUUUUUGGGACUAACUUAUUAACUCACUGCCAAGUGCCAGUUCCCGCUUUUUCCGUGUUAUUGACCCUUUUCAGAGGAGGAUUUUAAACGGAGUCCAAACGGAACGAANNNNNNNNNNUGAAACAGAAGAAGAUCGGGGAGCAUGAGAACCAGGGCAGGGGGCCACCAGGGACCCCACAAGCCCCCUAGCCGCGGCCAGGGGCCCGCGCCUCCCAGGCUUGUGGGCUCCUUGGGCCACCUCUGCUCUAAGUCUUCCGCCUAUAUAUUCCCAAAAAUUCCAGAAAAAAUCAAGAGAUCAUCGAAAGUACUUUUCCGCCGCCGCAAGCUUAUGUCUUCGCAAGAUCCCAUCUGGGGCACGUUCUGGUGCCCUGCCGGAGGGGGGAUUCGGAUACGGAGGUCUUCUUCAUCAACACCAUGACCUCUCCUAUGAUGCGUGAGUAGUUCACCAUAGACCUACGGGUCCAUAGCUAGUAGCUAGAUGACUUCUUCUCUCUCUUGGAUCUUCAAUACAAAGUUCUCCAUGAUCUUCAUGGAGAUCUAUCCGAUGUAAUCUUCUUUUGUGGUGUGUUUGUCGACAUCCGAUGAAUUGUGGAUUUAUGAUCAGAUUAUCUAUGACUCUUAUUUGAGUUUCUUCUGAUCUCUUAUUUUCAUGAUUUCAUAUCCUUGUAAUUCUCUUCGAAUUGUGGGUUUUGUUUGGCCAGCUUGAUCUAUGAUUCUCGCAAUGGGAGAAGUGCUUGGUUUUGGGUUCAUACCAUGCGGUGACCUCAUCCAGUGACAGAAGGGUUAGCGAGGCACGCAUCGUGUUGUUGCCAUUAAGGGUAAAAAGAUGGGGUUUCANNNNNNNNNNNNNNNNNNNNNNNNNNNNNNNNNNNNNNNNNNNNNNNNNNNNNNNNNNNNNNNNNNNNNNNNNNNNNNNNNNNNNNNNNNNNNNNNNNNNAAUCACUUAGCAACCGAACUGGUAUCCAAUACCCUCGUGCUACUAGGAGUACUAGUAAAGUACACAUCAACAUCAUGUAUAUCAAAUAUACUUCUUUCGACUUUUGCCAGCCUUCUUAUCUACCAAGUAUCUAGAGUUGCUCCGCCUCAGUGACUGUUCCCCUCAUUACAGAAGCACUUAGUCUCGGGUUUGGGUUUAAUGUUGGGUCUCCUCAUUAGUGGAGCAACUGUUUUGCCGUUUCAUGAAGUAUCCCUUCUAGCCCUUGCCUUUCUUGAAACUUAGUGGUUUUACUAACCAUCAACUAUUGAUGCUUCUUCCUGAUUUCUACUUUCGCAGUGUCAAACAUUGCGAAUCGCUCAAGGAUCAUUAUAUCUAUCCUUGAUAUGUUAUAGUUCAUCACGAAGCUCUCACAGCUUGGUGGCAGUGAUUUUGGAGAACCAUCACUAUCUCAUCUGGAAGAUUAACUCCCACUUGAUUCAAGCGAUUGUCGUACUCAGACAAUCUGAGCACACACUCAACGAUUGAGCUUUUCUCCUUUACUUUGUGGACAAAGAAUCUUGUCGGAGGUCUCGUAUCUCUUAACAAGGGCACAAUCAUGAAAUCACAAUUUCAUCUCUUUAGAACAUCACUUAUGUUCCGUGACGUCUCAAAACGUCUUCGGCGCCUUGCUUCUAAUCCAUUAAGUAUUUUGCACUGAACUAUCGUGUAGUCAUCAGAAACGUGUAUGUCGGAUGUUCACAGCAUCCACAGACGACGCUCGAGGUGCAACACACCGAGUGGUGCAUUAAGGACAUAAGCCUUCUGCGCAACAACGAGGACAAUCAUCUGCAAAGUUUGCUACUAUCAACUUUCAACUAAAUUUUCUCUAGGAACAUAUAAAAACAGUAGAGCUAUAGCGCAAGCUACAUCGUAAUUGGCAAAGACCAUUAGACUAUGUUCAUGACAAUUAGUUCAAUUAAUCAUAUUACUUAAGAACUCCCACUCAAAAAGUACAUCUCUCUAGUCAUUUGAGUGGUACAUGAUCCAAAUCCACUAUCUCAAGUCCGAUCAUCACGUGAGUCGAGAAUAGUUUUAGUGGUAAGCAUCUCUAUGCUAAUCAUAUCAACUAUACGAUUCAUGCUCGACCUUUCAGUCUCAUGUGUUCCGAGGCCAUGUCUGCACAUGCUAGGCUCGUCAAGCUUAACCCGAGUGUUCCGUGUGUGCAACUAUUUUGCACCCGUUGUAUCUGAACGUUGAGUCUAUCACACCCGAUCAUCACGUGGUGUCUCGAAACGAAGAACUGUCGCAACGGUGCACAGUCGGGGAGAACACAAUUUCGUCUUGAAAUUUUAGUGAGAGAUCACCUCAUAAUGCUACCGUCGUUCUAAGCAAGAUAAGGUGCAAAAAAGGAUUAACAUCACAUGCAAUUCAUAAGUGACAUGAUAUGGCCAUCAUCACGUGCUUCUUGAUCUCCAUCACCAAAGCACCGGCACGAUCUUCUUGUCACCGGCGUCACACCAUGAUCUCCAUCAACGUGUUGCCACCGGGGUUGUCGUGCUACUCAUGCUAUUACUACUAAAGCUACAUCCUAGCAAAAUAGUAAACACAUCUGCAAGCACAAACGUUAGUUUAAAGACAACCCUAUGGCUCCUGCNNNNNNNNNNCCUUGAUCUCCAUCACCAAAGCACCGGCACGAUCUUCUUGUCACCGGCGCCACACCAUGAUCUCCAUCAACGUGUCGCCAUCGGGGUUGUCGUGCUACUCAUGCUAUUACUACAAAAGAUACAUCCUAGCAAAAUAGUAAACGCAUCUGCAAGCACAAACGUUAGUUUAAAGACAACCCUAUGGCUCCUGCNNNNNNNNNNNNNNNNNNNNNNNNNNNNNNNNNNNNNNNNNNNNNNNNNNNNNNNNNNNNNNNNNNNNNNNNNNNNNNNNNNNNNNNNNNNNNNNNNNNNCGGUUGCCGUACCAUCGACGUGCAAGUCGAUAUUAUCUAUUACAACAUGAUCAUCUCAUACAUCCAAUAUAUCACGUCACAUCGUCGUCCAUAUCACAUCACAAGCAUACCCUGCAAAAACAAGUUAGACGUCCUCUAAUUUUGGUGUUGCAUGUUUUACGUGGUGACCAUGGGUAUCUAGUAGGAUCGCAUCUUACUUACGCAAACACCACAACGGAGAUAUAUGAAUUGCUAUUUAACCUUAUACAAGGACCUCCUCGGUCAAAUCCGAUUCAACUAAAGUUGGAGAAACUGACACUUGCCAGUCAUCUUUGAGCAACGGGGUUACUCGUAGCGAUGAAACCAGUCUCUCGUAAGCGUACGAGUAAUGUCGGUCCAAGCCGCUUCAAUCCAACAAUACCGCGGAAUCAAGAAAAGACUAAGGAGGGAAGCAAAACGCACAUCACCGCCCACAAAAACUUUUGUGUUCUACUCGAGAAGACAUCUACUCGAGAAGACAAAAACUUUUGUGUUCUACUCGAGAAGACAUCUACGCAUGAAGAGAGACGGAGAGGUAGAUGAGUUCUCCGGUAGCGUGACGGCGCUCCGGAGGUUGGUGAUGAUCUUAUCUCAGCAGGGCNNNNNNNNNNGUUGAUCCGGCAAGAGAGACGGAGAGGUAGAUGAGUUCUCCGGCAGCGUGACGGCGCUCCGGAGGUUGGUGAUGAUCUUAUCUCAGCAGGGCUCCGCCCGAGCUCCGCAGAAACGCGAUCUAGAGGUAAAACCGUGGAGAUAUGUGGUCGGGCUGCCGUGGCAAAGUUGUCGCAAAUCAGCCCUAAAACCUCCGUAUAUAUAGGGGGAAGAGGGGGAGCCUUGCCUUGGGGCUCAAGAGGCCCCAAGGGGGUCGGCCGAGCCAAAGGGGGAAGGUCUCCCCUUCCAAACCGAAUCCAACUUGGUUUGGAAGGUGGAGUCCUUCUUCCCUUUCCCACCUCCUCCUUUUUUUNNNNNNNNNNNNNNNNNNNNNNNNNNNNNNNNNNNNNNNNNNNNNNNNNNNNNNNNNNNNNNNNNNNNNNNNNNNNNNNNNNNNNNNNNNNNNNNNNNNNUCAACGGACACCUUCGGAGAUACCUGUAGAGCAUCUUUAUAGCCACCCAGUUACGUUGUGACGUUUGAUACACACAAAGUAUUCCUCCGGUGUCAGUAAGUUAUAUGAUCUCAUGGUCAUAGGAAUAAAUACUUGACACGCAGAAAACAGUAGCAACAAAAUGACACGAUCAACNNNNNNNNNNUAAAGCAUUCCUCCGGUGUCAGUGAGUUAUAUGAUCUCAUGGUCAUAGGAACAANNNNNNNNNNAUAUUAGUUUGGGUCUUAGUCCAUCACAUGAUUCUCCUAAUGAUGUGAUCCCGUUAUCAAGUGACAACACUUGUCCAUGGUCAGGAAACCUUGACCAUCUUUGAUCAACGAGCUAGUCAACUAGAGGCUUACUAGGGACAGUGUUUUCUCUAUGUAUCCACACAUGCACUGUGUCUCCAAUCAAUACAAUUAUAGCAUGGAUAAUAAACGAUUAUCAUGAACAAAGAAAUAUAAUAAUAACUAAUUUAUUAUUGCCUCUAGGGCAUAUUUCCAACANNNNNNNNNNGUCACAUGAUUCUCCUAAUGAUGUGAUCCCGUAAUCAAGUGACAACACUUGCCUAUGGUCAGGAAACCUUGACCAUCUUUGAUCAACGAGCUAGUCAACUAGNNNNNNNNNNNNNNNNNNNNNNNNNNNNNNNNNNNNNNNNNNNNNNNNNNNNNNNNNNNNNNNNNNNNNNNNNNNNNNNNNNNNNNNNNNNNNNNNNNNNCGCUUCAAUCCAACAAUACCGCGGAAUCAAGAAAAGACUAAGGAGGGCAGCAAAACGCACAUCACUGCCCACAAAAACUUUUGUGUUCUACUCGAGAAGACAUCUACGCAUGAACCUAGCUCAUGAUGCCACUGUUGGGGAACGUCGCAUGGGAAACAAAAAAUUUCCUACGCGCACGAAGACCUAUCAUGGUGAUGUCCAUCUACGAGAGGUGAUAUUCGAUCUACGUACCCUUGUAGAUCGCACAGCAGAAGCGUUAAGAAACGCGGUUGAUGUAGUGGAACGUCCUCACGUCCCUCGAUCCGCCCCGCGGACCGUCCCGCGAUCCGUCCCACGAUCUAGUGCCGAACGGACGGCACCUCCGCGUUCAGCACACGUACAGCUCGACGAUGAUCUCGGCCUUCUUGAUCCAGCAAGAGAGACGGAGAGGUAGAUGAGUUCUCCGGCAGCGUGACGUCGCUCCGGAGGUUGGUGGUGAUCUUAUCUCAGCAGGGCUCCGCCCGAGCUCCGCAGAAACGCGAUCUAGAGGUAAAACCGUGGAGGUAUGUGGUCGGGCUACCGUGGCAAAGUUGUCUCAAAUCAGCCCUAAAACCUCCGUAUAUAUAGGGCGAAGAGGGGGAGNNNNNNNNNNNNNNNNNNNNNNNNNNNNNNNNNNNNNNNNNNNNNNNNNNNNNNNNNNNNNNNNNNNNNCGCCCCAAAGGGGGUCGGCCGAGCCAAGGGGGGAGUCCUCCCCUUCCAAACCGAAUCCAACUAGGUUUGGAAGGUGGAGUCCUUCCCCUUUUUCCCACCUCCCCUUUUUUUCUCUUUGAUCUUCUUCCUAUGGCGCAUAGGGCCUUCUUGGGCUGUCCCACCAGCCCACCAAGGGCUGGUGCGCCACCCCCAAGGCCUAUGGGCUUCCCCGGGGUGGGUUGCCCCCCCCCCCCGCCCGCAAGGCCUAUGGGCUUCCCCGAGGUGGGUUGCCCCCCCCGGUGAACACCCGGAACCCAUUCGUCAUUCCCGGUACAUUCCCGGUAACUCCGAAAACCUUCCGGUAAUCAAAUGAGGUCAUCCUAUAUUUCCGAACCAUUCCGGAAACCCUCGUGAUGUCCGUGAUAUCAUCCGGGACUCCGAACAACAUUCGGUAACCAACCAUAUAACUCAAAUACGCAUAAAACAGCGUCUAACCUUAAGUGUGCAGACCCUGCGGGUUCGAGAACUAUGCAGACAUGACCCGAGUGACUCCUCGGUCAAUUUCCAAUAGCGGGACCUGGAUGCCCAUAUUGGAUCCCACAUAUUCUAUGAAGAUCUUAUCGUUUGAACCUCAGUGCCAAGGAUUCAUAUAAUCCCNNNNNNNNNNNNNNNNNNNNNNNNNNNNNNNNNNNNNNNNNNNNNNNNNNNNNNNNNNNNNNNNNNNNNNNNNNNNNNNNNNNNNNNNNNNNNNNNNNNNGCAAAGUCAUGACGAUAUCUAAGGCAAUGAUCAUACAUAUAGGCAUCCCGUCCGAGACAAGUAGACCGAUACUUUCUGCAUCUACUAUUAUUACUCCACACAUCGAUCGGUAUCCAGCAUGCAUCUAGUGUAUUGAGUUCAUGACGAACAGAGUAACGCCUUAAGCAAGAUGACAUAAUGUACAGGGAUAAUCUCAAACCAAUUAUGAAAACCCCAUCUUUUUACCCUUGAUGGCAACAACACGAUGCGUGCCUCGCUACCCCUUCUGUCACUGGGUGAGGUCACCGCACGGUAUGAACCAAAACCAAGCACUUCUCCCAUUGCAAGAAUCAUAGAUCAAGUUGGCCAAACAAAACCCACAACUCGAAGAUAAUUACAAGGAUAUGAAAUCAUGCAUAUAAGAGAUCAGAAGAAACUCAAAUAAGAUUCAUAGAUAAUCUGAUCAUAAAUCAACAAUUCAUCGGAUCUUGACAAACACACCGCAAAAGAAGAUUACAUCGGAUAGAUGUCCAUGAAGAUCAUGGAGAACUUUGUAUUAAAAAUCCAAGAGAGAGAAGAAGCUAUCUAGCUAAUAGCUAUGGACCCGUAGGUCUAUGGUGAACUACUCACGCAUCAUCGGAGAGGUCAUGGUGUUAAUGAAGAAGCCCUUCGUAUCUGAAUCCCCCCUCUAGCAGGGCACCAGAACGUGCCCCAGAUGGGAACUUGCGGAGACAAAAGCUUGCGGCGGGGGAAAAGUACUUUCGAUGAUCUCCUGAUUUUUUAUGGAAUUUUUGGGAAUAUAUAGGCGAAAGACCUAGGGCAGAGGAGGCCCAGGGAGCCCACAAGCCUGGGAGGCGCGCCCCCUGGCUGCGGCUAGGGGGCUUGUGGGGUCCCUGGUGGCCCCUUCUACUUCUCAAACAACAGCGCCAAAAAUUGACACGUUGACGGAGACUUGCUUGCGUCGGUUUUUCCCUUGAAGAGGAAAGGGUGAUGCAGCACAAGAGCAGUAAGUAUUUCCCUAAUUUUGAGAACCAAGGUAUCAAUCCAGUAGGAGAAUCUCGUCUAGUCCAGAGUACCUGCGCAAAAACAAACGAGCUUGCACCCAACGCUAUAAAGGGGUUGUCAAUCCCUUCAAGAUUGAUUGCAAAGUGAGAUUUGAAGGCAGAAAGUGCAACGAAGUAAAAGAGUAAGGCUGAAAAUAUGGUGUGGAGUAGACGCGGGGGCCAUAGUGUUCACUAGAGGCUUCUCUCAAAAUAACAAAUAUUAUGGUGGGUGAACAAAUUACUGUCGAGCAAUUGAUAGAACCUCGCAACGUCAUGACGAUAUCUAAGGCAAUGAUCAUACAUAUAGGCAUCACGUCCGAGACAAGUAGACCGAUACUUUCUGCAUCUACUACUAUUACUCCACACAUCAACCGCUAUCCAGCAUGCAUCUAGUGUAUUGAGUUCAUGACGAACAGAGUAACGCCUUAAGCAAGAUGACAUGAUGUAGAGGGAUAAUCUCAAACCAAUGAUGAAAGCCCAUCUUUUUACCCUUNNNNNNNNNNNNNNNNNNNNNNNNNNNNNNNNNNNNNNNNNNNNNNGACCCCAUCUUUUUACCCUUGAUGGCAACAACACGAUGCGUGCCUUGCUACCCCUUCUGUCACUGGGUGAGGUCACCGCACGGUAUGAACCCAAAACCAAGCACUUCUCCCAUGCAAGAAUCAUAGAUCAAGCUGGCCAAACAAAACCCACAAUUCGAGGAGAAUUACAAGGAUAUGAAAUCAUGCAAAUAAGAGAUCAGAAUAAAUUUAAAUAAGAUUCAUGGAUAAUCUGAUCAUAAAUCCACAAUUCAUCGGAUCUCGACAAACACACCGCAAAAGAAGAUUACAUCGAAUAGAUCUCCAUGAAGAUCACGGAGAACUUUGUAUUGAAGAUCCAAGAGAGAGAACAAGUCAUGUAGCUACUAGCCAUGGACCCAUAGGUCUAUGGUGAACUACUCACGCAUCAUCGGAGAGGUCAUGGUGUUGAUGAAGAAGCCCUCCGUAUCCGAAUCCCCCCUCCGGCAGGGCACCAGAACGUGCCCCAGAUGGGAUCUUGCGGAGACAGAAGCUUGCGGCGACGGAAAAGUACUUUCGAUGAUCUCUUGAUUUUUUCUGGAAUUUUUGGGAAAUAUAUAGGCGGAAGACCUAGGGCAGAGGUGGCCGAGGGAGCCCACAAGCCUAGGAGGCGCGAGCCCCCCUGGCUGCUGCUAGGGGGCUUGUGGGGUCCCUGGUGGCCCCCUGCCCUGGUUCUCAGGCUCCCCGAUCUUCUUCUGUUUCGGAAAAAAUCUUUUUGGAAGUUUCGUUCCGUUUGGACUCUGUUUAAAAUCCUCCUCUAAAAAGGGUCAAAAACAUGGAUAAAAUAGGAACUGGAACUUGGCACUGAGUUAAUAAGUUAGUCCCAAAAAAGAUAUAAAAGGCAUACAAAACAUCCAAAGUUUGACAGGAUAAUAACUGAGUUAAUAAGUUAGUCCCAAAAAAGAUAUAAAAGGCAUACAAAACUUCCAAAGUUUGACAAGAUAAUAGCAUGAAACCAUCAAAAAUUAUAGAUACGUUGGAGAUGUAUCAAGCUUCCCCAAGCUUAACUCCUGCUCGUCCUCGAGUAGGGAAGUGAUAAAGACUGAAUUUUUGAUGUGGAAUGCUACCUAGCAUAGUUGUCCUUUGUAACUUCAUUCAUGUGACAUGAAUUUUCAGAUCCAAAAGAUUCAAAACAGUAGUUUGCUAUUACCAUGAAAACAAUAAUACUUCUCUAGAGCUAGUUUCAAUGUGAAUGAGUAGGGAUUGCCAUACAAGGGAUGCACUAGAGCUAUAAGUAUGUGAAAGCUCAAAAGGAGAACUAGUGGGUGUGCAUCCAACUUGCUUGCUCAUGAAGACCUAGGGAAAUUUUGAGGAAGCCCAUCAUUGGAAUAUACAAGCCAAAUUAUAUAGUAAAGAUUCCCACUAGUAUAUGGUGGUGACAAAACGAGAGGCUCUCAAUCAUGGAGAACGUGGUGCUAUUAUGAAGCACAAGUGUGGAAAAAGAUAGUAGCAUUGUCCCUUCUCUCUUUUUCUCUCUUCUCUUUUUUUGUUUGGGCACUUGGGCCUCUUUUUAUUUUUUAUUUUUUUAUUUGGGCUCUUUGACCUCUUUUUUUAUUUCCUCACAUGGGACAAUGCUCUAAUAAUGAUUAUCAUCACACUUUUAUUUACUCACAGCUCAAAGCUUAGAACGAUGAUGACUCUAUGGGAAAUGCCUCCGGUAGUGUACCGGGAUGUGCAACGAUCUAGCUUGGCGUAUGACGUUGAAACAUCUCGCUAGCUAUCUUACGAUCAUGCAAUGGCAAUCGGAGCGUGACAGCACAAGUCAUGAGAAGGAACAGUGGGAGUUGCAUGGCAAUAUAUCUCGGAAUGGCUAUGAAAAUGCCAUAGUAGAUAGGUAUGGUGGCUGUUUUGAGGAAGGCAUAUGGUGGGUUUGUGUACCGGUGAAAGUUGCGCGGCACGAGAGAGGCUAGCAAUGGUGGAAGGUGAAAGUGCAUCUAUACCAUGGACUCACCUUAGUCAUGAAGAACUCACAUACUUGUUGCGAAAGUUUUUAUUAGUAAUCGAAACAAAGUGCUAAACGCAUACUCCUAGGGGAAGGGUUGGUAGGUGUUAACCAUCGCGCGAUCCCGACCUCAACACAAAGGAUGACAAUCAAUAGACCAAUUAUGCUCCGACUUCCUAACAUAGCGGUUCAUCAUACGUGCAUGGUGCGGGAAUCACUAACUUCAACACAAGUAUUUUGUCACGCCCAAGAUGCGACCCUAUCCUCAAUUUGGCACGAAGGCCUCGUCAGGGAUAGAAGCGCAUCUCGUCGUGUCGCAAGAAUGGAUAUCGUUACAAGUACAUGUACUGAAAAGAAGUGGUAUAUAAAGAGAGUUGGCUUACACUCGCCACAAGCUACAUCAGAGUCACAACAGUACAUUACAUAAACAUCAUGAAGAAGAGCAGGGUCCGACUACGGACGAAAACAAACGAGAAAAUGAAACGACGUCCAUCCUUGCUAUCCCAGGCUGCCGGCCUAGAACCCAUCCUAGAUCGAUGAAGAAGAAGAAGAAGCAACUCCAAAUGAACAAUCAACGCGCUAGCGUCAAGUAACCUUUACAUGUACCUGCAAUUGGUGUUGUAGUAAUCUGUGAGCCACAGGGGACUCAGCAAUCUCAUUUCCAAAGGUAUCAAGACUAGCAAAGCUUAUGGGUGAGGUAUGGUUAAGUGGUGAGGUUGCAGCAGCGGCUAGCAUAUAUUUGGUGGCUAAACUUACGAGUACAAGAAAUAAGAGGGGGAAGAUCUACGCAUAGCGGACGGAAGCUACGGAUGAUCAAACGAAUGAUCCUGAACACCUACCUACGUCAGACAUAACCCCACCGUGUCCUCGAUCGGAGAAGGAACUCACGAAAGAGACAGUCACGGUUACGCACACAGUUAGCAAGUUUUAAUUAAAUUAACUUCAAGUUAUCUAGAACUAGUGUUAAACAAAGUUUCCACGUUGCCACAUAACCGUGGGCACGGCUUUCCGAAAAGAUUUAACCCUGCAGGGGUGCUCCAACUAGUCCAUCACAAAUUACCACAAGCCGCAUAGAAAUCCUCAAUCACGAAGCUCGCUAUCUCGUCGGAUUCCCUAGUGGAAAACCUCAACUCUGAGAUUACCCAAAGCAUCACCGGAAUCCCGAUGCACAAGAUAUUUCCAAAGGCAAAACUAACCCAGCAAGGCCGCCCGACGUAUCGACGAUCCCGAUAGGAUUCGCGUACCUCGUUCUCAGGACACGACGGAUGGGUCACACUAGGAGAACCAAACCUCGGGUUGCCCUGCGGUGGCCCCGUAGUCUGCCAAUUUGGACCAACACUCAUGAGGAGCACUGGCCCGGGGGUUGAUUAAAUUAUCCUCGGGGUCCGGAAAGUCCCUAUGCAAUUUUAUUAGGUGUUUAGGAAAAUGUAGUACCAAAGUUGGGCCUUGCCAGACUAGUCUUAAUCUAAAACGAAUUAUCAAGGGGGUCCCCAUAACAACCCCGAUCGUGUUAGGAGCGCUCAUUUAUGGAACAUAACACCGGUAGCCGGAAACUAAGGGGGCAAAGGUGGAACAAAACACCAGGCUAGAAAGGCCUAGCCUUCCACCUUUUACCAAGUAUAUAGGUGCAUUAAAUUAAAUAGCAUUUAAUAUGGUGAUAUAACAAGGAACCCAUGCUUUCACAUGGAAGCAUCUGCACCUGCAACUAGCAACGCUAUCAACAGGGUUAAGCAAGCAGUAACAUAGCCAAUCAGUGGUUUUCUAGGUUGAACAGGUGGAAGGUUUCAUGGCAUUGUUGAGAGGCUAAUAUUUAACAUGUGGUAGGCAACGAGACAUAAACGGUAGCAACGGUAAAACUAGCAUGGCAAUGAUAGUAAUGGUAUCUGGGGAAAUGGUCAUCUUGCCUGAGAUCCCGCUUGGAAGAAGAAUGCCUCCGUGAAGCAGACGAACCGACGUAGUCGAACGGGUCCUCACAUCCGACACGCUUGCGGAACUCUAUCGAGACGGGGGAAACCGGAAAUAAGCAUCAACACACGAUAUUCACCACACGAUGCACAACACAUAUGAUGCAUGAGCAGCUGAAUACAUGCAAGUUACGGCAUGACCAAUCACACAAUCAAACACUACACAUUAAGUGAAGUUCAAUAUGCAACGAGUUGCAUAUUGACGAAACUCCACGUUUAUUUAUUUAGUUCUAUCCCGAUUAGGUACACGUCAAUAUUAAAUGAUGUUAAACAUGGCAAGAGGUGAAGCACAAUUAAUCUACCUAUCUAGGCAUUUUAAAUGAGGUCGGAAAUGACAUAUAGCAUCUCCGAAACAACCUCACAUGUUAAUUUACAAUUCUGUCCAGAUCUGAACUAACACAUUUAGUUAGUUGUUAAACAGCAAAACAAAUAGGUUCACGUGAUUCUACGCGUCAAGGCAAGCAAUUUACACAUAGAAAUCAUCUCCAACGGAGCUACGGUUCAAAAGAUACAAGCACCGCAAGAUAUGAUGGCAUGAAUGCAAUAUGUGUGCAACGUCGGUCACGAGCACUUCAAAACAUGCAAACAGCAAGAGAAAAUGAAACUACACGAGAUUAUAAGCAAGAAUUCAUGUACGACACGAUCAAAUCGGAGCUACGGUUCAAAAGCUACGAGCAAAACAAGAAAUCACUACAAUCUACCAAAAUCAGCCACAUAACACUUUCUACGCCCGACAACUACGGCUGCACAACUCCGACAAACUCAACCAAGGCAUGGCACGAAAGAGGGCAAGACACACUACUACAAACAACUAACAACAACUAGCAUGUCAGCAAGGAGCCAGGAAAAGAAGACACAAAAUGGCAUCUCACACACUAUUUCAGACUUAGUGAAAAUUACACCUCCUGAAAGUGCAGUUUUCGAUCUGAAACCAUAUUGAUAGCAGCAAAACCAAUAGCUACAGGACUCCAAAGGGCAUGAAAAUUCACAGCAAGCUAGAGAAACCCAAGGGCUACAACUAACUCCAUUGGACCAACCUCAAAAGAGCUACAGAUCACAAGCUAGAAGAAAAAAAACAGCAACAAAAUAUAACCGAUUUCAGACUUAGAAAUAUUUCAGCACCUCCAAAUCAGCACUAUUUCUAGCAACUUGAGAGCAAGCAAAUCACACCUAAACAUGCAUUUCUGUUGCAACCAAAAAUACCAGGGGCUAGACAAAACAUCCAAGAACAACUCCCUAGUUGACAACUUAAUCAAACGAAGCACGGAAUAAAUCCUACGAAUUAAACAAAAGGGCAUCACGGCAAAAUAUCUCACGAACUAACUUACUCAAAAGCUAAAACUAAUUGCGCAGAAAAAUCACAUGGAUUUUUCUACCCCGGAAACAUAUAAAAUAUGUGGGGUUGCACAACAAUAUAAUGCCACACGAAAAUGCGGGAAAGAUAACCUAUACAUGGGAAAAUAAACUACCGACAAUCCAUACAUGCAAAAAUACCUAUGACCGCUCUAAAAUACAUGGAAUAAUGGUCCCUAAAACAUAGGCAUUUUAUCUAAGGCAUUCGAACAAACCGGACAUGCGCGAAAAUUAAAUUACGGGCAAAUCACAUUAGGACAGCACGCUAAACUAGGCAUUCGGCAUGCUAAACUACAUCAAACAAAAAUGCAAAUUGUAAAUUCGUAAUCUACGCGAAAUUCUACACGAAAACCAUAUACUACACGUUCCGAUCCGACUAACGGCUAAAAAGAUACGGACGUUUUAUUAUACGGCUAUCUCGUGAAAAGGAACUUAAUUCAGAUUAAAUCCUUAAAUACUACUGGGCCGAAUCUAAACUAAUUGGGCCUACAGUGCCAAAACGCGUCAAAACUAUACAUCGCAUGAGUAGGAAAAAGAAAGGAAAGGAAAUAAAAAGGCUCGGGGCGGCCUCACCUUGCUCUUGGGCCUAGCCCAAGCGGAGGAAGCUGGGCGGCCUGGCCGCGGCGCUGGUGGGGAGGCCGAAGGCCUGGGCCGGCUCAGGGCUCUCUGGGCCGCAGCGGGGAAGGCCUGGAGCGCUGGGGCCCACGUGGCCUGGCGAAGGGGCAGCCUCGAGCGGGCGACCACUCGUCGUCCUCCCAUCUCCUCGGGGAAGCGAGACCGAGAAGCCAUGGCGGUUGGAGCCUGGCCUAGGGAACGCGGGGAUCGCGGUGGCCGGCUCUUGGGGCAGCGGAUCCGGCCGGGAUCCGCCGGAUCUGGCUGCCGGUGGGGCUGCGACGAGGGAUCCUUGGCGGCGGCUCAGGUACGGGCGACGGAAGGCGGCAGGUUCGGGCAGCUCGGGCCGACGGCUGGCGGCUGCAGGUCUCGGCCGGCGGGGACGCUGGCCGGCGGCGAAGGCAGCCGGGUCUGGCGGCUGCGGCGAGUUGCUCCGGCCGGGAGACGCUCCGCCGGCUCGAUUCCGGGAGGAGGUCGGCGGGCACUAGAGCUGCUGGGCGUGGGAGGAGCCUCGGGCCCGGGCGGGCUUGCGAUGGGCUCGGUGGGCCCGCGGCGGCUAGGGCUGGUGGGAGAGAGAGGGGGAAUUAGGGUUAGGUGGCGCGGUUUUCGAGGUGGAGAGGGAUGGCAGUCUAAAAAUUAGGAGGGGGUAUUUAUAGAGAAAAGAGGGGCUCGGUUAACCGGAAUCGCGUUCCGGAUCCAACCGUGCGGUCGGAUUCGGACGAUUCCGAACGCAGGUAUGGGUACGUGGCCGUGUAGAGGGGAUAUCCGGAGACGAGAGGGAGAACGGGCGGCGCGGCAACGAUUUAAAAACAUCAACAGACGUCCGACGGUAGACCGAAUACGGUGCCGCUACGGUCGACCGUUCGGGUACCAGACGGACUCCGAUGGCGACGAAAUUUGACAACGGCCUAACUACGUCCAAAUAAGACCGCGCGUCAAAUCUCAACCCAAUCAGAGGAAGUUUUCAACACACUUUUAAAAACAAGGUUUGACGAUGCCGCGGGCGCGUGCGAGUGCGGUUGGGCUCAGAACGGACAACGACGAGAACCGGCAACUAAUAACGGAUGCAAGUUUUGAAAACUGGCGGCAACAGAGUGCCGAUGCAAAGCUGAUGAUGCGCAUGAUGCGAUGAUGAUGCGACAAAUAAAAAUAGACACACGACGGAAACCGAAAGAAAAGGGGAAUCUUCUGGAACGUCGGCAUCGGGCUGUCACAUAUUUCUAGAUUCACAACACCCUACUAACAUAACUCUUAAUAUUACCAAAUCCACGUCUCAAAACUAAUUGAGAGGAAUCAAGACUUCUCUUUCUACUCAAUGCACAUGAAGAUGGAGGUUUUUGUAUCCUCUUUGGGUACCUAUCACCUUUGGGACUACUUUCAUAGCACAAGCUAACUACCAAGUCACGCACCGCCGUGCUCUAAAAGAUCUAAGUGAAGCACAAAGAGCAAAAUUAUCCAGCUCAAAAGAUAUAAGUGAAGCACGAUGAGCAUUCUAGCAAAAUCACGAUGAGUGCAAGUCUCUCUCAAAAGGUGUGCAGCAAGGAUGAUUGUGACACAACAAAAAGAAAAGACUCCAACGAUACAAGACGCUCCAAACAAAACACAUAUCAUGUGGUGAAUAAAAAUAUAGCUCCAAGUAAUGUUACCGAUGGAUUGAAGACGAAAGAGGGGAUGCCUUCCCGGGGCAUCCCCAAGCUUAGGCUUUUUGGUGUCCUUGAAUUUGGCUUGGGAUUCCUUGGGCAUCCCCAAGCUUGAGCUCUUUCCACUCUUUAUCCCUUUGUCCAUGAGAACAUCACCCAAAACUUGAAAACUUCACAACACAAAACUUAAACAGAAACUCGUGAUAUCGUUAGCACAAGAAAACAAACUACCACCUCUUUAGUUACUGUAGUAAUCUUGAUUUCUAUUUAUAUUGGUGUUAGUAUACUGUAUUCUCACUUUUCCAUGGCUAGUACCCCCCGAUACUAUCCAUAGUUUCAUCAAAACAAGCAACCAACUCAACAAAAACAGAAUCUGACAAAAACAUACCAGUCUGUAGCAAUAUGUAUACUUCUGGUACCUCACAAAUUCUAAAAAAUUAUGACUGCCUGGGAAAAAGGUAUAUCAACCAGCAGCAAAAAUAAUCAACUCAAAAGCUCUUUCUGAAUAAAAAUGAAAAAUUAUCUCGUGAGCAAAAAGUUUUUGUCUUUUUCCAGCAGGAUCAAACAACCAUCACCAAGACUAGUCAUAAAGGUUUUGCUUGGCUCAAACACAAAAAAAAACACGAAAGACACAAUCAUAAGAGAAUUAUGACGGUUUGGACGCAACAAAAAAUAAAGAAAAAGAUAAAUUCAUUGGGUUGCCUCCCAACAAGUGCUAUUGUUUAACGCCCUUAGCUAGGCAUAAGGCAAUUCAAUGAUGCUCACACAAAAGACAAGAAUUGAAUCACAACGAGAGCAUCAUAAAGCAUGUGAAAAUCACAUCUAAGUCUAUCAUACUUCCUAUGCAUAGGCAUUUUAUAGGAAAACAAAUUAUCAAGACAACCAAUAGCUGCCAUAUGCAACGAAGAAGAAAGAGACAAGAGCAAUCUCAACAAAACGAGAGGUGAAUUGGUAACAUGAAAGUUUCUACCGCAAUAUUUUCCUCUCUCAUAGCAAUUACAUGCGGGAUCAUAAUCAAACUCAACAAUAUAGCUAUCACAAAGGAUAUUCUUUUCAUGAUCCACAUGCAUGCAAAGUUGGCGCUCUUCAAAAAUAGUGGGAUUAUCAUCAACUAAAGUCAUGACUUAUCCAAACCCACUUUCAAUAUUAUUGCAAAUAUCAAAUUCAUCAUGAGGCUUAAACAAAUUUUCAAGAUCAUAACAAAAAUCGUUACCCCAAUCAUGAUCAUUGCAGCAAGUAGUAGACAUAGCAAAACAAGCAUCCCCAAGCUUAGGGUUUUGCAUAUUUUUAGCAUGAUUGUCACUAAUAGAAUUUAUAGCGAAACCAUUGCAAUCAUGCUUUUCAUUCAAGGAGCCCUCAUGAAUCAUGAUACGUCCAUUUUGCAUCAUGUUUUCAUGUUGAUAUUUAUCGCUUCUUGGGCUGUUAUUUCACUUCACGGCACAAUACUUAUGCCUUUUCUCUCUUAUUUUGCAAGGUUUACAUGAAGAGGGAGAAUGUCGGCAACUGGAAUUCUGGCCUGAAAGUGGAGCAAAGUUGAGAUAUCUAUUCUGCGCAACUCCAAACGCCGUAAAAAUCAACGAGGAUUUUUUUUCCAGAUUUAUAAAAAAUACUGGGCUAAAGAAGCGCCAGAGGGGCGCCAGCAGGCGGCCACAAGCCUACACGGUGCAGCCACCCCCCCCCCCCAGGCCGCGCCACGAGGUCUUGUGGGCAGCCUGCUGGCCCACUGGCCCCCCUCUUCUACUAUAUGAAGGGUUUCAUGUAGAAAAAAUCAGGGAGGAGCUUUUUCAUGAAUUCGCCGCCGCCACGAGGCGGAACUUGAGCAGAACCAAUCUAGAGCUCCGGCAGGACGAUCUUGCUGGGAAACUUCCCUCCUGGAGGGGGAAAUCGUCGCCAUCAUCAUCACCAACACUCCUCUCAUCGGAGGGGACUCAUCACCAUCAACAUCUUCAUCAGCACCAUCUCAUGUCCAAACCCUAGUUCAUCACUUGUAACCAAUCUCCGUCUCGCGACUCCGAUUGGUACUUGUAAGGUUGCUAGUAGUGUUGAUUACUCUUUGUAGUUGAUGCUAGUUGGAUUACUUGGUGGAAGAGUUUAUGUUCAGAUCCUUGAUGCUACUCAUUACCUCUCUGAUCAUGAAUAUGAUUAUUCUUUAUGAGUAGUUACUUUUGUUCCUGAGGACAUGAGAUAAGUCAUGCUGAUAGUAGUCAUGUGAAUUUGGUAUUCGUUCGGUAAUUUGAUAUGUUGUAUGUUGUUUUUCCUCUAGUGGUGUUAUGUGAACGUCGACUACAUAACACUUCACCAUUAUUUGGGCCUAGAGGGAGGCAUUGGGAAGUAGUAAGUAGAUGAUGGGUGUUACUGCAACAAAAGACCUUCCAAUGGCGCCAGAAAUAGGCACGUUGUCGGGAAAUUAUCUUGACGUGCUCCUCCCGUCAACGGCGCCAGAAAUAGGAGUGUUGCUUGAUACUCGUCAGCAAGGGCACCAGGAAUCCUUCAGCUGCGGCUACGCCUUAAGGGACUUCCUAGGCAAGUAUGCAAAGGAUUUCCCCCGUGGCCUUCGAGCCUUGCGUUGGUGUUCCCUCGAAGCGGAAAGGGUGAUGUAGCACAGCGGUGGUAAGUAUUUCCCUCAGUUAGAGAACCAAGGUAUCAAUCCAGUGGAGGAGUAUCUCAAGAUCCUGCACAAACGCAAGCUGAGGGUAAUACUUACCGUCGAUGUGCUACAUCACCCUUUCCGCUUCGAGGGAACACCAAUGCAAGGUUCCAAGGCCACGGGAGAAAUCCUUUCCAUACUUGCCUAGGAAAUCCCUUAAGGCGUAGCAGUAGCUGAAGGAUUCCUGGUGCCGUCGACACAACUAUUUCCUGGUGCCGUUGCAAGGGAUACACAACAAACAUCAGAAGUAUUUCUGGCGCCGUUGCCGGGGAGGAGAAAUCAAGAUCUAUCCAAAUAGGUCUCACAAACUCUUCUAUUGCAUUUCCUUUUGUUGACAGUUGCCUCACGUUUUCCUCUCCCCCACUUCACAUUUGCCAUUUUCAUUCACCUUUCUCCCUUGUCGGUUUCUUGCUUGCUUGUGUGCUUGUUUGUUUGUUGAAGACAUCAUGUCUGAAAACACCAAACUUUGCGACUUCUCGAGCAAUAAUAAUAAUGAUUUUAUUAGUACUCCGAUUGCACCCGCCACUAGUGCGGAAUCGUAUGAAAUCAACGCAGCUUUGCUGAAUCUUAUUAUGACAGAGCAAUUCUCUGGCCUUCCUAGUGAAGAUGCCGCAUCCCAUCUCAAUACCUUCAUUGAGCUUUGAGAUAUGCAAAAGAAAAGAGAUGUCGAUAAUGACGUGAUUAAGUUGAAACUUUUUCCUUUCUCGUUGCGAGAUCGCGCAAAAACUUGGUUUUCUUCUUUGCCUAAAAAUAGUAUCGAUUCUUGGGAUUGGUGCAAAGAUGCUUACAUAUCCAAGUAUUUUCCGCCGGCUAAGAUCAUCUCCUUACGUAACGAUAUCAUGAAUUUCAAGCAACUUGAUCAUGAACACGUUGCACAAUCUUGGGAGAGGAUGAAGCUUAUGAUUAGAAAUUGUCCCACUCGUGGCUUGAGUUUGUGGAUUAUUAUACAAAUCUUUUACGCUGCCUUGAAUUUCGCAUCUCGCAAUAUCUUGGACUCCGCCUCAGGUGGAACAUUCAUGGAAAUCACGUUAGGAAACGCUACAAAACUCCUAGACAAUAUCAUGACCAACAAAUCUCAGUGGCACACUAAAAGGUCGCUCAGUGGCACACUAAAAGGUCGCCUGCUAGCAAAAAGGUGCACGCUAUAGAAGAGAUUAACUCGCUUAGUGCUAAGAUGGACGAGUUGAUGAAUUUGGUUUCUAGUAGAAACGCUACCGUAAUCCUAAUGACAUGCCACUAUCUUCUUUGAUUGAGAGUAGCAACGCUAGUUUGGACGUGAAUUUUGUCGGUAGGAACAAUUUUGGCAACAACAAUGCUUUUAGAGGAAACUAUGUUCCUAGGCCUUUUCCUAGUAACUCCUCUAACAAUUAUGGCAAUUCCUACGGCAACACUUAUGGAAAUCAUAACAAAUUACCCUCUGAUCUAGAGAGUAAUAUCAAAGAGUUCGUCAACUCUCAAAAGAUUUUCAGUGCGUCCAUAGAGGAAAAACUACUCAAAAUAGACGAUUUGGCUAAGAGCGUUGAUAGGAUGUCUUGUGAUAUUGAUGCUUUGAAAGUUAGAUGUGCUCCUCCCAAGAUCAACUUGGAUGAAACUUUGAAAGCUAUGUGUAUCUCCAUGAAUGAGAGCAAAUAAAGAACCGCCCAAAUUCGCGCUGGACAUGAAUGGUUUAAUAGGGUGCAUUCUAGUGAUGCAAAUCACGAAGAUCUUAAAGUGCUUGGUGUGUCUCCUCUUGAAUCUUUCUUUUCGCGUGUCAAACCUACUUAUGGAGGGGCUGGAUAUGAAUCCACUUUGGUUGAAAAACGCCCCAAUGAUUCGGAGUCCACCUAUGAUGAUAAAGGUGUGGAGAGUGGAGUAGAAGAAGUCAAAAUUUUGGGUAGUAAUGAAACUCCCACUUUGGAUUUCAAGGAAUUCAAUUAUGAUAAUUGCUCCUUGUUUUAAUGCAUUUCUUUGAUGCACUCCAGUGCAAACUCUCCACGUGCUUAUAGCCAAAGCAAAGCCUUUACCGCGCAUAUCGUAGAUGCUAUGAUGAAAUCUCUUGAAGAGAAGCUUGAACUAGAAGUCUCUAUACCUAGAAAACUUCUUGAUGAGUGGGAACCUACUAUCAAAAUCAAGAUCAAAAACUAUGAGUGCAAUGCUUUGUGUGAUUUGGGUGCUGGUGUUUCCGCGAUUCCAAAGUCUUUAUGUGAUAUUCUUGGUUUUCAUGAGACUGAAGAGUGUUCUCUUAAUUUGCAUCUUGCGGAUUCUACCGUCAAGAAGCCCAUGGGGAGGAUCGAUGAUGUUCUUAUUGUUGCAAGUAAGAACUAUGUACCCGUGGAUUUCAUUGUACUUGACAUAGAUUGCAAUCCUUCAUGUCCCAUUAUUCUUGGUAGACCUUUCCUAAGGACUAUUGGUGCUAUCAUCGAUAUGAAGGAAGGGAAUAUUAGAUUUCAAUUUCCCUUAAAGAAGGGCAUGGAUCACUUUCCUAGAAAGAAAAUAAGAUUGCCUUAUGAAUCUAUGAUGAGGGCUACCUAUGGUUUGAGCACCAAAGAUGACUAUACGUGAUUCCAUCACUUUCGCCUAGCUAAGGGCGUUAAAAAAAGCGCUUGUUGGGAGGCAACCCAACGAAUCUAUCCUUUUUCUUUCUGUUUUAUGUUUUUCACACUUUCAUAAUUCUGUUAUGAUUGUGUUUUUUGUGUUUCUUUUUGCAUUUGUGCCAAGCAAAACCGCUAUGAUUAGUCUUGGGGAUGAUCGUUUGGUCAUGCUGGAAAAGACAGAAACUUUCUGCUCACGAAAAGAAUUUUCAUGUUUUUUCUGUAAGAGAUUUUGAGUUGAUUCUUUUGCUGCUGAUUGCUACGCAAAUUCAUCAGACUGUCGUAAUGUUUAAGAAUUUUUGAAGUAGUAGAGGUAUACUAAACAUACAGAUUGCUACAGACUGGUCUGGUGUUAACAGAUUCUGUUUUUGUUGUGUUGGUUGCUUAUUUUGAUGAAACUAUGGAUAAUAUCGGGGGUUAUUAGCCAUGGAAGAUUAAAAGUACAGUAACCCAACAUCAGCGCAAGUAGAAUUUAAGUUUGCUACAGUACCUAAGGAAGUGGUGGUUUACUUUCUUGUACUAAUGUUAUCACGAGUUUAUGUUUAAGUUUCGUGUUGUGAAGUUUUCAAGUUUUGGGUGAAGUUCUUAUUGACAAAAAGAUAAAGAGUGGCAAGAUCUCAAGCUUGGGGAUGCCCAAGGCACCCCAAGGGAUUCAAGGAUGUCGUAAAAUCCUAAGCUUGCGGAUGCCCCGGGAGGGCAUCCCCGCUCUCGUCUUCAAUCCAUCGGUAACGUUACUUGGGGCUAUAUUUUUAUUCACCACAUGUUAUGUGUUUUUGCUUAGAGCGUCUUGUAUCGUAGGAGUCUUUUAAUAUAUUUUUUGUGUCACAAUCAUCCUUGAUGCACACCUAGAGAGAGAGACAUGCACUCACCGUGAUUUUGUCGAGCUUCACUUAUAUCUUUUGGUACACAAUUCAGCUCACUUAUGCUUCACUUAUAUCUUUUGGUAGACAAUUCAGCUCACAUAUGCUUCACUUAUAUCUUUUGAGAUAGAUACUUUUGCUCUAUGUGCUUCACUUAUAUCUUUUAGAGCACAGCGGUGCGUGGCUUGGUAGUUGAUCUAUGCUUUGAAAGUAGUCUCAAAAGGGGUAGUUAUCCAAAGGGAUGCGAAAACUUCCACCUUCAUGUGCAUUGAAUAGUUAGAGAAGUUUGAUUCAUCUCAAUUAGUUUUGAGUUGUGGUUAUGGUAAUAUUGAAGUCAUGUUAGUAAGGUGUUGUGGAUCUAGAAAUACUUGUGUUGAAGUUAGUGAUUCCCGUAGCAUGCACGUAUGGUGAACCACUAUGUGAUGAAGCCUGAGCAUGAUUAGUCUUUUGAUUGUCAUCCUUUGCGUGGCGGUCGGGAUCGCGCGGUGGUUUAUACCUACCAACCCUUCCCCUAGGAGUAUGCCUUGAAUGCUUUGUUUCGAUUACUAAUAAAACUUUUGCAACAAGUAUGUGAGUUCUUCAUGACUAAUGUUGAGUCCAUGGUUUAGAUGCACUUUCACCUUCCACCAUCACUAUCUUGUUAGUGCCGCGCAACUUUCGCCGGUGCACAAAACCCACCAUUAGCCUUCCUCAAAACAGCCACCAUACCUACCUACUAUGGCUUUUUCAAAGUCAUUCCAAGAUAUAUUGCCAUGCAACUACCACCAUGAGAUGUGCCACCACGUCUACAUUGCCUUUGCACGAUCGUAAGAUAGCUAGCAUGAUGUUUCCAUUGAUGUCUAUGCCAUGCUAGAUCAUUGCCACGGUACACUACCGAAGGCAUUCCAUAUAGAGUCAUAGUUGCUCUAAGUUUUGAGUUGAAAGUGUGAUGAUCAUCAUUAUUGGAGCAUUGUCCCAUGUGAGGAAAUAAAAGAGGCCAUAGAAACCCAUAAAAAAGAGGCCAAAGAUCCCAGCAAAAUAAAUAAAUAAAUAAAAGUAUGAGAGAAAAAGAGAGAAGGGACAAUGCUACCACUUAUUCCACACUUGUGCAUUUUGAGCACCAUGAUCUUCAUGAUUGAGAGUCUCUCGUUUUGUCACCACCAUAUAGCUAGUGGGAAAUUCUCAUUAUAUAACUUGGCUUGUAUAUUCCAAUGAUAGGCUUCCUCAAAAUUGCCUUAGGUCUUCGUGAGCAAGCAAGUUGGAUGCACACCCACUAGUUUUCUUUAAGAGCUUUCACAUACUUGUAGCUCUAGUGCAUCAUUUGUAUGGCAAUCCCUACUCAUUCAUAUUGAUAUCUAUUGAUGAGCAUCUCCACAGCUCAUUGAUAUGCCUAGUUAAUGUGACUAUCUUCUCCUUUUUGUCUUGCAACCCCCACCACAUUCCACACCAUCUAUAGUGCUAUAACCAUGCCUCACGCUCAUGUAUUGCGUGAGAGUUGAAAAUGUUUGAGAAAGUAAAGGUGUGAAACAAUUACUUGGCCAAUACCGGGGUUGUGCAUGAUUUAAACUCGUUGUACAAUGAUGAUAGAGCAUAGCCAGACUAUAUGCUUUUGUAGGGAUAACUUUCUUUUGGCCUUGUUAUUUUGAAAGUUCAUGAUUACUUUGCUAGUUUGCUUGAAUUAUUAUUGUUUCCACGUCAAUAGCAAACUAUUGUUUUGAAUCUAAUGGAUCUGAACAUUCACGUCACAUAAGGGGAAUUACAAAGGACACCUGUGCUAGGUAGCAUGAAAGCAUCAAAAAUUCAUUCUUAUCACUUCCCUACUCGAGGACGAGCAGGAAUUAAGCUUGGGGAUGCUUGAUACGUCUCAAACAUAUCUAUAAUUUUUUAUGGUUUCACGCUGUUAUCUUCUCUUCUUUGUAUGUUUUAUGUACCUUUUUAUAUCUUUUUGGGACUAACUUAUUAAUUCAGUGCCAAGUGUCAGUUCCUGUUUUUUCCGUGUUUUUGACUCUUUUCAGAUCUGAUUCUGGAAUGGAGUCCAAACGGAAGAAAAACCCCGAUAUGAUUUUUUCCCGAACGGAAGAAGUCCAGGGGGCUUUUGGGCCAAGCCAGGUUGGCUCCAGGGAGCCCACAAGCCCCCACUCCGCCAGCAGGGCGAGGUGGCGGUGGGCAGGAUUGUGGCCUCCCUGGCUGCCCCCUGACCUAGAUCUUUGGCCUAUAAAUUCCCAAAUAUUCCGCAAAAAAUCAGGAGAGCCUCGAAAAUACUUUUCCGCCGCCGCAAGCUUAGGUUUCCACGAGAUCUCAUCUGGAGACCCUUCCCGGCACACAGCCGGAGGGGACUUUGGAGUUGGAGGGCUUCUUCAUCAUCAUCAUCGCCCCUCCAAUGACUCGUGAGUAGUUCACUUCAGACCUACGGGUCCAUAGUUAGUAGCUAGAUGGCUUCUUCUCUCUCUUGGAUCUUCAAUACAAAGUUCUCCAUGAUCUUCAUGGAUAUCUAUCCGAUGUACUCUUCUUUGGCGGUGUGUUUGUCGAGACCCGAUGAAUUGUGGACUUGUGAUCAGAUUAUCUAUGAUAUAUAUUUGAGUCUUUGCUGAUUUCUUAUAUGCAUGAUUUGAUAUCCUUGUAAGUCUCUCCGAGUCUUGGGUUUUGUUUGGCCAACUAGAUCUAUGGUUCUUGCAAUGGGAGAAGUGCUUGGUUUUGGGUUCUGCCAUGUGGUGACCUUUCCCAGUGACAAUAGGGGCAGCAAGGCACACAUCAAGCAGUUGCCAUCAAGGGUAAAAAGAUGGGGUUUUUAUCAUUGGUUUGAGAUUAUCCCUCUACAUCAUGUCAUCUUACUUAAGGCGUUACUCUGUUCUUAUGGACUUAAUACACUAGAUGCAUGCUGGAUAGCGGUCGACGUGUGGAGUAAUAGUAGUACAUGGAGAAAGUAUCUGUCUAUUUGUUUCGAACGUGAUGCCUAUAGAAAUAAUCAUUGCAUAGAUAUCGUCACGAGUCUGCACCAUUCUAUCAAUUGCUCGACAGUAAUUUGUUCACCCACCGUCUACUUUAUUUCAUGAGAGAAGCCACUAGUAAACACUACGGCCCCGGGGUCUAUUUACAUCCAUCGUUUACAUCUCCGCUUUUACUUUGCUUUGUUACUUUGUUGCUUUCAGUUCUCACUUGGCAAACAAUCUAUAAGGGAUUGACAACCCCUUCAUAGUGUUGGGUGCAAGCUGUUGUGUUUGUGCAGGAUCUUGAGAUACUCUUCCGCCGGAUUGAUACCUUGGUUCUCAAACUGAGGGGAAAUACUUACCGUCGUUGUGCUACAUCACCCUUUCCGCUUCGAGGGAACACCAAUGCAAGGUUCCAAGGCCACGGGGGAAAUCCUUUGCAUACUUGCCUAGGAAGUCCCUUAAGGCGUAGCAGUAGCCGAAGGAUUCCUGGUGCCGUCAACACAACUAUUUCCUGGCGCCGUUGCAAGGGAUACACAGCAAACAUCAAUAAUCUAGUGCGCAAAACUCACUAGCAAUUGGAUCAACAUAAUUGGAUCUCUUAAAGAGAUUAGCAAGUGGAUGAGGAUCCAUAUCACUAGAUUUUCAGCAAGCGAAGAUGCAAGCAUAUUGAAGGCACAUAGCACACAAGCAAAGGAAAGGCAAGCGAAAGAAAUGGCGGACGAAAAACGAAAACAGAAAAGGCAAACGAAGAAAAGGGAAAAUAUUUUUUGUAAAUUUUUGUUUUUCAGAAGUGGGGGAGAGGAAAACGAGAGGCAAAAAAGUAAAUGCAAGAGAUGAGUUUGCGACACUUACUUGGAUGAGUUCUUGACUUGAUCCUCCCCGGCAACGGCGCCAGAAAUUCUUCUUGUUACUUCUCAAACAACAGCGCCAAAAAUUGACACGUUGACGGAGACUUGCUUGCGUCGAUUUUUCCCUCAAAGAGGAAAGGGUGAUGCAGCAGAGGAGCAAUAAGUAUUUCCCUCAGUUUGAGAACCAAGGUAUCAAUCCAGUAGGAGAAUCUCGUCAAGUCCAGAGUACCUGCGCAAACACAAACGAACUUGCACCCAACGCUAUAAAGGGGUUGUCAAUCCCUUCAAGAUUGAUUGCAAAGUGAGAUCUGAAGGCAGAAAGUGCAAUGAAGUAAAAGAGUAAGGCUCAAAAUAUGGUGUGGAGUAGACGCGGGGGCCAUAGUGUUCACUAGAGGCUUCUCUCAAAAUAGCAAAUAUUACGGUGGGUGAACAAAUUACUGUCGAACAAUUGAUAGAACCGCGCAAAGUCAUGAUGAUAUCUAAGGCAAUGAUCAUACAUAUAGGCAUCACGUCCGAGAUAAGUAGACCGAUACUUUCUUCAUCUACUACUAUUACUCCAUGCAUCGACCGCUAUCCAGCAUGCAUCUAGUGUAUUGAGUUCAUGAAGAACAGAGUAAGUCCUUAAGCAAGAUGACAUGAUGUAGAGGGAUAAUCUCAAACCAAUGANNNNNNNNNNNNNNNNNNNNNNNNNNNNNNNNNNNNNNNNNNNNNNNNNNNNNNNNNNNNNNNNNNNNNNNNNNNNNNNNNNNNNNNNNNNNNNNNNNNNUGCCUUAGAUAUCGUCAUGACUUUGCGCGGUUCUAUCAAUUGCUCGACAGUAAUUUGUUCAUCCACCGUAAUAUUUGUUAUUUUGAGAGAAGCCACUAGUGAACACUAUGGCCCCCGGGUCUACUUCACACCAUAUUUUCAGCCUUACUCAUUUUCUUCGUUGCACUUUCCGCCUUCAGAUCUCACUUUGCAAUCAAUCUUGAAGGGAUUAACAACCCCUUUAUAGCGUUGGGUGCAAGCUCUUUUCUGUUUGUGCAGGUACUCUAGACUUGACGAGAUUCUUCUACUGGAUUGAUACCUUGGUUCUCAAACUGAGGGAAAUACUCACUGCUCCUGUGCUUCAUCACCCUUUCCUCUUCAAGGUAAAAACCAACGCAAGCUCAAGAGAUGACAGAAGGUUUCUGUCUCCGUAGCAAUAACCCAGAAGGUAUUCCUUCGGUGUCCAAGAGUUGCAUGAUCUCAUGGUCAUAGGAACAUACACAUUGACAUGCAGAAAACAGUAGCAAUAAACUGACACAAUCAUAUGCUACGUUCAUAGUUUUUUGGUCUUGUCCAUCACAUCAUUCUCCCAAUGAUGUGAUCCCGUUAUCAAGUGACAACACUUGUCUAUGGUCAGGAAACCUUGACCAGCUUUGAUCAACGAGCUAGUCACUUAGAGGCUCACUAGGGACAGUGUGUUGUCUAUGUAUCCACACAUGUAUUUGAGUUUCCAAUCAAUACAAUUCCAUCAUGCAUAAUAAACGAUUAUCAUGAAUAAAGAAAUAUAAUAAUAACCAAUUUAUUAUUGACUCUAGAGCAUAUUUCCAACAGUCUCCCACUUGCACUAGAGUCAAUAAUCUAGUUCACAUCACUAUGUGAUUGUAAUGAACCUAACACCCAUACAGUUAUGGGGUUUGAUCAUAUCUUGCUUGUGAGAGAGGUUUUUAGUCAAUGGGUCUGAACCUUUUGAGAUAUGUGUGUGCUUUACAAAUCUCUAUGUCAUCCUAUAGAUGCUGCUACCACGCACCAUUUGGAACUAUUCCAAAUGACUGCUCCACUAUACGAAUCCGGUUUACUACUCAUAGUUAUUCAGAUUAGUGUCAAAGCUUGCAUUGACGUAACUCUUUACGACGAACUAUUUAAUCACCUCCAUAAUUGAGAAAAAUUCCUUAGUCCACUAGUUACUAAGGAUAGCUUUUGACCGCUAUCCAGUAAUCCAUUCCUGGAUCACUUCUGUACCCCUUGACAGAUUCAUGGCAAGGCACACAUCAGGUGCAGUACACAGUAUAGCAUACUAUAGAGCCUACGGCUAAUGCAUAGGGGACGACCUUCGUCUUUUCUCUUUCUUCUGCCAUGGUCGGGCCUUGAGUCUUACUCAAAUUCACACCUUACAACACGACCAAGAACUCCUUCUUUGCUAUUCUAUUUCGAACUCCUUCAAAGACUUGUCAAGGCAUGCAUUUCGUUGAAAGUUCUUUUAAGCGCUUUGAUCUAUCUCCAUAGAUCUUGAUGCUUAAUGUUCAAGUAGCUUAAUCCAGGUUUUCCUUUGAAAAACACCUUUCAAACAACCCUUUAUGCUUUCCAGAAAUUCUACAUUAUUUCCUAUCAACAAUAUGUCUACCACAUAUACUUAUCAGAAAUUCUAUAGUGCUCCCACUCACUUCUUUGGAAAUACAAGUUUCUCAUAAACCUUGUAUAAACCCAAAAGCUUUGAUCAUCUCAUCAAAGCGUAUAUUACAACUCCGAGAUGCUUGCACCAGUCCAUAGAAGGAUCGCUGGAGCUUGCAUACUUGUUAGCAUCCUUAGGAUUGACAAAACCUUCUCGUUGUAUCACAUACAACCUUUCCUCAAGGAAACCGUCGAGGAAACAAUGUUUUGACAUCCUAUGUGCAAUAUUUCAUAAAUAAUGCAGCAACUGCUAACAUAAUUCCAACAGACUUUUGACAUCUUUACGAGUGAGAAAGUCUCAUCAUAGUCAACUCUUUGAACUUGUCGGAAACAUCUUUGCAACAAGUCGAGUUUUUCUUAAUGGUGGCUUUUCACCAUCAUCGUCUGUCUUCCUUUUAAAGAUCCAUCUAUACUUAAUAGUCUUACGACCAUCAAGUAGUUCUUCCAAAGUCUACACUUUGUUUUUAUACUCGGAUCCUCUCUCGGAUUUCAUGGCCUCCAGCCAUUUACCGGAAUCCGGGCCCACCAUCGCUUCUCUAUAGCUCGUAGGUUCAUUCUUGUUCAACAACAUGACCUCCAAGACAGGGUUACCGUACCACUCUAUAGCAGUACGCGACCUUGUCGACCUACGAGGUUUGUAGUAACUUGAUCUGAAGCUUAAUGAUCACUAUCAUCUGUUUCCACUUCAAUUGGCGUAGGCGCCACAUGAACAACUUCCUGCGCCCUGCUACACACUGGUUGAAGUGAUGGUUUAAUAACCUCAUCAAGUUCCACCACCCUCUCACUCAAUUCUUUUGAGAGAAACUUUUCCUCGAGAAGGGACCCGUUUCUAGAAACAAACACUUUGCUUCCGGAUCUGAGAUAGGAGGUAUAGCCAACUGUUUUGGGUCUCCUAUGAAGAUGCAUUUAUCCGCUUUGGGUUCGAGCUUAUCAUGCUGAAACUUUUCCACAUAAGCAUCGCAACCCCAAACUUUUAAGAAACGACAGCUUUGGUUUCUCCAAACCAUAGUUCAUACGGUGUCAUCUCAACGGAAAUACGUGGUGCCCUAUUUAAAGUGAAUGCGGUUGUCUCUAAUGCAUAACCCAUAAACGAUAGUGGUAAUUCGAUAAGAGACAUCAUAGUAUGCACCAUAUCAACUAGGAUGCGGCUAUGACAUCCGGACACACCAUCACACUAUGGUGUUUUAGGUGGCAUGAAUUGCAAAACAAUUUCCACAUUGUCUUAACUGUGUACCAAACUCGCAACUCAGAUAUUCAUCUCUAUGAUCUUAUCGUAGACAUUUUAUCCUCUUGUCACGACGAUCUUCACUCUGAAAUAGCUUUGAACUUUUCAAUAUUUCAGACCUGUGAUUCAUCAAGUAAAUACUCCUGUAUCUACUCAAAUCGUUAGUGAAGUAAGAACAUAACGAUAUCAACUGCGUGCCUCAACAAUCAUUGGACUGCACACAUGAAAAAUGUAUUACUUCCAACAAGUUACUUUCUUGUUCCAUCUUACUGGAAAACAAGGCCUUCAGUCAUCUUGCCCAUGUGGUAUGAUUUGCAUCUCUCAAGUGAUUCAAAAUCAAGUGAGUCCAAACGAUCCAUCUGCAUGGAGUUUCUUCAUGCAUUUAUACCAACAUGACUCAAAAGAUUUGCAUCUCUCAAGUGAUUCAAAAUCAAGUGAGUCCAAACGAUCCAUCUGCAUGGAGUUUCUUCAUGCAUUUAUACCAACAUGACUCAAGCGGCAGUGCCACAAGUAAGUGGUACUAUCAUUACUACUUUCUAUAUUUUGGCAUCAAUAUUAUGAACAUGUGUAGCACUACGAUCAAGAUUCAGUAAACCAUUGAAGGUAUUUAUUCAAGCAAAUAGAAUAACCAUUAUUCUCUUUAAAUGAAUAAUCGUAUUGCAAUAAACACGAUCCAAUCAUGUUCAUGCUCAACGCAAACACCAAAUAACAAUUAUUUAGGUUUAACACCAAUCCCGAUGGUAGAGGAAGCGUGCGAUGUUUGAUCACAUCAACCUUACAAUUACUUCCAACACACAUCGUCAUCUCACCCUUGCUAGUAUCCUUUUAAUCCAUAGCUAUAAUUUCGAGUUACUAACACUUAGCAACUGAACCGGUAUCUAAUACCCUAGUGCUACUAGUAGUACUAGUAAGGUACACAUCAAUAUCAGGUAUAUCCAAUAUACUUUUGUCGACUUUGCGAGUCUUCUCAUCUACCAAGUAUCUAGGGUAGUUCCGCCUCAGUGACCGUUCCCCUCAUAACAGAAUCACUUAGUCUCGGGUUUGGCUUCAACCUUGGGUUUCUUCACUAGAGCAGCAACUGGUUUGUCGUUUCAUGAAGUAUCCCUUCUUGCCCUUGCCCUUCUUGAAACUAGUAGUUUUACUAACCAUCAACAAUUGAUGCUCCUAUUCGAUUUCUACUUUCGCGAUGUCAAACAUCAUGAAUAGCUUAAGGAUCAUCAUAUCUAUCCUUGAUAUGUUAUAGUUCAUCACAAAGCUCUAGUAGCUUGGUGGCAGUGACUUUGGAGAACAAUCACUAUCUCAUCUGGAAGAUUAACUCCCACUCGAUUCAAGCGAUUGUAGCACUCACACAAUCUGAGCACAUGCUCAACGAUUGAGCUUUUCUCCCUUACUUUGUAUACAAAUAAUCUUGUCGAAGGUCUCAUACCUCUCAACAAGGGCAUGAGCAUGAAAUCCCAAUUUCGUCUCUCCGAACAUCUCAUAUGUUCCGUGACGGUCAAAAUGUCUUUGGCGCCUCAAUUCUAAGCCGUUAAGCAUUACACACCGAACUAUCAUGUAGUUAUCAAAAACGUGUAUGUCAGAUGUUCGCAACAUCCACACACGNNNNNNNNNNNNNNNNNNNNNNNNNNNNNNNNNNNNNNNNNNNNNNNNNNNNNNNNNCGAGGUUCAGCACACCGAGCGGUACAUUAAGGACAUAAGCCUUUUGCGCAGCAAUGAGGACAAUCCUCAGUUUACGGACCCAGUCCGCAUAAUUGCUACUACCAUCUUUCAACUAAAUUUUCUCUAGGAACAUAUCAAAAACAGUAGAGCUAUAGCGCAAGCUACAACAUAAUUUGCAAAGACCUUUUGACUAUGUUCAUGAUAAUUGAGUUUAGCUAAUCAUAUAACUAAUAACUCCCACUCAAAUAGACAACCAUUUAGUCAUUCGAGUGGCGCAUGAUCCAAAUCCACUAACUCAAGUCCGAUCAUCACGUGAGUUGAGUAUAGUUUCAGUGGUGAACAUCUCCAUGUUAAUGAUAUCAACUAUAUGAUUCAUGCUCGACCUUUCGGUCUCUUGUGUUUCGAGGCCAUGUCUGUACAUGCUAGGCUCAUCAAGUUUAACCUGAGUGUUCCGCGUGUGCAACUGUUUUGCGCCCGUUGUAUGUGAAUGUUGAGUCUAUCACACCCGAUCAUCACGUGGUGUCUCGAAACGACGAACUGUCGCAACGGUGCAUAGUCGGGGAGAACACAAUUUUAUCUUGAAAUUUUAGUGAGGGAUCACCUUAUAAUGCUACCGUCGUUCUAAGCAAAAUAAGGUGCAUAAAAGGAUUAACAUCACAUGCAAUUCAUAAGUGACAUGAUUUGGCCAUGAUCUUGUGCUUCUUGAUCUCCAUCACCAAAGCACCGACAUGAUCUUCAUCGUCACCGGCGCCACACCAUGAUCUCCAUCAUUGUGCCGCCAUCGAGGUUAUCGUGCUAUCUAUGCUAUUACUACUAAAGCUACCACCUAGCAAUAUAGUAAACGCAUACGCAAGCACAAAUGUUAGUUUAAAGACAACCCUAUGGCUCCUGCCGGUUGCCGUAGCAUCGACGUGCAAGUCGAUAUUUAACUAUUACGACAUGAUCAUCUCAUACAUCCAAAAUAUCAUAUCAUGUCUUUGGCCAUAUCAUAUCACAUGCAUACCCUGCAAAAACAAGUUAGACGUCCUCUAAUUUGUUGUUGCAUGUUUUACGUGGCUGCUACGGGUAUCUAGCAUGAUCGCAUCUUACUUAUGCAAAGCCACAACGGUGAUAUGCAAAUUGCUAUUUAACCUUCUCCAAGGACCGUCUCGGUCAAAACCGAUUCACUAAAGUUGAAGAAACAGACACCCGCCAAUUAUCUUUAUGCAACAAGUUGCAUGUUAGUCGAUGAAACCGGUCUCUCGUAAGCGUACGAGUAACGUUGGUCUGGGCCGCUUCAAUCCAACAAUACCGCCGAAUCAAGAAAAGACUAAGGAGGGCAGAAAAUUGAACAUCAACACCCACAAACUCUUUUGUGUUCUACUCGAGAUAUCAUCUACGCAUGAACCUAGCUCAUGAUUCCACUGUUGGGGAACGUUGCAUGGGAAACAAAAAAAUUCCUACGCACACGCAAUACCUAUCCAUGGUGAUGAUCAUCUACGAGAGGGGAGAGUGAAUCUACAUACCCUUGUACAUUGCUAAGCGGAAGCGUAUAUAACGCGGUUGAUGUAGUGGAACAUCUUCGCGAUCCAAAUCGCAGCCCGUCCCGUGAUCUCAUCACGAUCCUUCCUGAUCUAGUGCCGAACGGACGACACCUCCGCGUUCAACACACAUACAGCUCGAUGACGAUCUCCACCUUCUUGAUCCAGCAAGAGGGGCGGAGAGGUAGAUGAGUUCUCUAGCACGACGGCGUGGUGGUGGUGGUGGUGGUGCUAUUCCAGCAGGGUUCGCCUAAGCACCGCUGAAACUAGAGGAGAAACAGAUCUAGAGAGAGAGGGCAGCACAUGACUGUUUUCUAUUGGCUCUAAAACCCUCAAAACCCUUAGUAUAUAUAGGAGGAUAGUAGGGAUAGGGUUGUGCCCUAGGCCUGCCUUUUUUCCCUUGCGCGAGAAGGAGAGGAGGAGUCCUCCUCCAAUCCUAUUUAGAGUAGGAUUCCUCCUUCCCACUUGGAACUCUUUUCACCUUGUGUUUUUUCCUUCUCAAACCUCAUGGGCCUUAGUGGGAACUUAUUCCAGCCCACUAGGGGAUGGUUUACCUCUUCCCACAGCCCAUGAGGCCCCUUGGGGCGUGACACCCUCCCAAUGGUCCCCGACACCCCUCCCGACACUCCCGGUACACUACCGAUGAGCCCGGAACUUUUUCGGUGACCAAAAUAGGACUUCCUAUAUAUCAAUCUUUACCUCUGGACCAUUCUGGAACUCCUCGUGAUGUCCAGGAUCUCAUCCGGGACUCCAAACAACCUUUGGUCACCAACACCUAUAACUCAACUAUACCGAAACGUCACCGAACCUUAAGUGUGCAGACCCUGCGGGUUCGAGAACUAUGCAGGCAUGACCUGUGACACUCUCCGGUCAAUAACCAAUAAUGGGACCUGGAUGUCCAUAUUGGCUCCCACAUAUUCUACGGAGAUCUCUAUCGGUUGAACCUCUAUGUCAAGGAUUCAGUUAAUCACGUAUGAUGUUCCCUUUGUCCUUCGGUAUGUUACUUGCCCGAGAUUCGAUCGUCGGUAUCCCCAUACCUAGUUCAAUAUCGUUACUGGCAAGUCUCUUUAUUCGUUCCGUAAUACAAGAUCCCGUAACUAACUCCUUAGUCACAUUGCUUGCAAGGCUUGUUGUGAUGUUGUAUUACCGAGUGGGCCCCGAGAUACCUCUCCGUCACAUGGAGUGACAAAUCCCGGUCUUGAUCCAUGCCAACCCAACAGAUACCUUUGGAGAUACCUGUAGAGCACCUUUAUAGUCACCGAGUUACGUUGCGACGUUUGAUAACCCACAAGGUAUUCCUCCGGUGUCCAAGCGUUGCAUGAUCUCAUGGUCAUAGGAACACAUACAUUGACAUGCAGAAAACAGUAGCAAUAAACUGACACGAUCAUAUGCUAUGUUUAUAGUUUUUGGGUCUUGUCCAUCACAUCAUUCUCCCAAUGAUGUGAUCCCGUUAUAGAGUGAUAACACUUGUCUAUGGUCAGGAAACCUUGACCAUCUUUGAUCAACGAGCUAGUCAAUUAGAGUCUCACUAGGGACAGUGUGUUGUGUAUGUAUCCACACAUGUAUUUGAGUUUCCAAAUCAAUACAAUUCCAGCAUGGAUAAUAAACGAUUAUCAUGAAUAAAGAAAUAUAAUAAUAACCAAUUUAUUAUUGCCUCUAGAGCAUAUUUCCAACAACCAACAUGGUGAAAGUGACUAGAUGAAAUUCCUGUGAGCCCUCAAGAACACUUUGCCUAUUAUAAGAACCCAUUUUGGCCUAUCCUUUGCCACAAAAGGAUUGGGAUACCUUGCUACACUUAUUGUUACUAUUGCUACUCGUUACUUGUUACAAUUAUCUUGCUAUCAAACAACUUGUUACCGCUAUUUCAGUGCUUGCAGAAAUUACCUUGCUGAAAACCACUUGUCAUUUCCUUCUGCUCCUCGUUGGGUUUGACAAUUUUACUUAUUGAAAGGACUACGAUUAAUCUCCUAUACUUGUGGGUCAUCAUGUUCGUCUCCCCCUUCAUUUGCUAAUCCUUCAUAGAGGUGGGGGAAUCCUGAUUUUGCAUGUUCACCGCGUAGUUAGGGCUAGGUUUUCAUUUUGUUGUGGUGUGGUUCAUAUGGAGGUGGCUCCGCCACAUCUAACACAUAUCGACGACUCGUCGACAAAGUCAAGGAACCUAUGGAUCAGUGUCAUCGUGCUUCGACAUUCUAUGGUGUUUGUUUGAUCGUGGGCUUGUUGUUGGCGGCCUCGUCUUUUUCUGGAUUUUUCCCCCUAGAGGAAACCGUGGGCUAGGUCACCUGUUCUUGCUCAUGAUGUUAGCUUGAUCGUUGACACGAAUCAGGAUGUGGCACUCACCGAUUUAGCAUCUGCCCCGAACUCCCAACGCACACCGCGGCUGGCUACAAAUAGAGACAUCUACAAGUAGUUUCUUUCUCUAGUUUUGUGUGGGUGACACAACUGUUGUUGUUCUCGUUGCCAUUCUCCCCUUUUAGACUAUUAGGAGGGAAAAAGCCCUCGUAGUUCCAAUUUUAUUGAAGACAAAACAAGAGUAAUUCAGACAAGCACGCGUCAUCCGCAUGUUACAAAAGAAAAGUAAAACAUGAAAGUUUCAAGGCUAGAAAACACCGGCAACUUAUUAUAUCAGCAAGGUAACUAAAAGUUUUAGUCUCUCCUCAACCGAUGCUACGCCGAUAAAAUCGAGCAGCGUUGUUUUCAAUUUCACAAGGAUUUUCUCGAGGGCUUAGAUGUACUUCUAAGUUUUGUCAAUGUCUUUUUUGUCGAAGUGAGGAUAAUUUUCCUAGUUCUAGAUAUUUAUUUUGUACUCGUUCUUCUAGUAAUACUCUAGAAAUUAGUAUAAAAAUACUUAUCUAUAUUUGACCUCACAAGAAAAGAUCCUAAGCUUUCCUCCUCCUAUUGUGGGUGCCGCCGCCGGUUUGCCUCAUCUUAGAUGGCCUUUGGGCCAUUGAGGUGCGAAGGACCUCGGCUCCGCACCGGCAUGAGGGGUCCCGUUCUUGCUUUUAUUAGGUUCAACAUCUUGGUUAAGGUUGUGUGGCGGCGACCAUGUUCCUCAACAGAAAUAAUGUCUCCCGUGUUUACCCCCGUCCCGAUGACGCGUCUAGCUUCAUGGGAGGGCGUAUGAAGUUUUGUCUUCACCAGCUCUCGCGGGAUUCGGUCUGUACUGGUUUUUGGUGGACAUGUUUGGAUCCGGUCUUUGUCCAUCUUCGUGUUGGUGUUUAUAGGCUUGGUCCUUCCAAUCUACGAAUUUCUUCAUCGGUGAUGGUUGUUGCUCUCGUGCACUAGUCCUAUGAUGCCUUAGCACGACCUAAUGUCUAGUACAACAAGGUUUUUCGGCCUCCAACGAGGGAGGGGCGAUAAUGGUGGCACACUUUUGGUUCACUUGAGUGUUUGUAGUCGUCUCUAGGUGGUUCACGGACCUGAUUGUAUAUUUUUUAUUAUCUCUUGUGUUCGUUGUACUGCCAUGGUUAAGAAUGAAUAGAUUGGAAUUUUCUCGCAUAAAAAAAUUGAUAAUUAGAAGCUGUAGUUUUGUCCAAUCUAUUAAGGGGAUACUCCUCCUUAUCCUUCAUAACACUAAACUUCGUAGUUUUUAAGGCCGCAUGGUCAAUUGAGGUCUUCAAUUUAGAACUGGGUUAUCCAAAUUUGACCAAGUCAACAAUUUCACAAGAAGCUCUCUCAUUCAAUUUUUAACACACCAUGCUCCUUAAUUUUAAAGCUUUCUCCUUCAAUUGAGGCAUACAAUUCUAAUGUUUUGAUUUUGACUUGAUCAAUCCUUUGUUGUGGCAAUGAAAUCUCUAAUUUCCUUAAGUUCCCCUGUUUUAAAGCCCCCUCAUCCAAUCCAGAUCUUUAAUUUGGAUUGGAUACACAAUUGAUUGGGUUGUUGUUCCGGGUUUCGUGGUGGGAUUUCCAUGAAUGGGUGGUGUGGUCUUGGUUGAAAAAAAAUGAAAGUGUUGCCCAUGACACGUUUAUCACCAACAUAAAACUUGCGUCUAACAAUGUAAAUAACUUUCUUAUGUAUUUGUAUUGAGUAAAAGAUGUUCUUCAAUCACACGAUCAAAAAGAUCCACCAAACACCACAAAAAGAAAAUGAUGCACUUAUGAAUGAUUCGCCAGGGAUUAGUCAUAGCAAACAUUCUCCUACCAAUAACUUCCUGAUUUUCAUCCUUGGCCCACUCUUCCUGUACUAUCUGAUAAAACACAUACUUCAUUAUAUCCUUUACAUGUCAAACAAAUCAACACUAAAUAAUUUCUAUAACUUUAAAAAAAAUAUCACACACACAUAUAUAUAUAUAAAUAAAAGAUGUACAUCCCAUAACAUAAACGGCGCGACAAAGCAUGCACUGUCCUCCUAGCCUACAAAGAAAAAUCAAAGAAAAACGAGCACGCUCUUUGCAUCGCACGAUUAGGGGCGACGUGGCGCGGCCUGCGCCACCCACAUCAUCAUCUUCUCGUUUGACCCGGCACCCCAGGCGGCUCGUCGUCAGUUCGUCCCUCCCUCCCUCCUUCCCCUGUGCUGUGCCAUCCCGAAGCGUAAACUGAAAAAUGGCGAGUGUGACCUCGAGGUGCUCCGGCCUCCUCCUCCCGGACCUGCGGCCGGGCCUCGCGGGGCUCCGCAGCCGCUCGCCUCCGCCUUCUUCUUCCCGCGUCCAUCUGCGCCGGUGCCGCCGCCGGCCGAGAACCCUGUCCUGCGUCGCGCCGCCCGACUCCGCGGAGCCGAAGACGGUGAGUCCUCGUAGCAUACUCAAACAGAUUCGGGGCAGUGGAUAGACUAAUCUGGUGCUUCUUUAGCUUCAUGCUCAUAAGAAACAGAAGUAAAAAAUUCCAGUCAGAUAGCAGUAUAGCAUGAACCGUGAAGUCAUUCCNNNNNNNNNNNNNNNNNNNNNNNNNNNNNNNNNNNNNNNNNNNNNNNNNNNAUUCCUGCUCCCGUUUGCUUCCACAGGACGAACAGCAGGUGAAAGCUGAGCUGGGUGAAGAGAAGGCUCAGCCAAGCAGCAGCACGCCCCAGGAGGCUGCUGUAGACCCACCUGUUCCAGACAGGGGUCUCAACAGACGGAUAGCUGUGCUCACCACGCUUGCAGCGGUGGGCCUCUUUGGAUCCCAAAGGCUCCAGCUUGGCGGGUUUUCUCUCAAAGAUCUUGCUGCCAAUGCUGUGCCAUAUGAAGAGGUUAGCGCUUCUUGGCCUUUGUCCUUUGACCCCGAGGAGCUUUGUGCACAGUUCUACACUGAACAUGAACAGAUAGAUAGAUAGAUACAAACUCUUCAGCUAAAUGUCAAACAGCAAAAGGAAGUUCGCUGCCAUUUUGUGUAUACUGAAAUCAGUCUAGUGCGACCCUCCAUACGUGUGUCAUUUAGUUACUAGAUUUUGUGCUUAGAAUUGCAGUAAUUGGACAACAAAGCAUCAUCUGGUGCAGUUCAGAUCAUGGUAGAGUUACAACUCACUGCAAGGGAAAUAGUUGCUUUAGAUACAACAAAAGAUGAGAUUCUUGCCGAAUCCGACCCAAUCAGUAUGUCUGUACUAAGGAUGACGGCCUGUAUCCAGAGUUUCCCUGGGGCGACCCUCCAGAUAUGUGUCAUUUAGUCACUAGAUGUUGUGCUUACAAUUGCCUGGCUUAGAGCAUCUCUAGUAGAACCCUCAAACCCUUAAAUCUAAAACCAGUUUUAAGGGUUGAGAAUUGGCCAUUUUUGACACUUUUAAGGGUUGAAAAACAAGGGCAAAGACUAGAACACUCAAACCCAACCCUUAUAACGGAAUAUUCCGUUAUAAGGGUUGGGUUUGAGGGUUCUAGUCUUUGUCCCAACCCCAACCCUUAAAACUGUCAUUUCAUAUAUCACACAUUUCAUCACAUUUCAUCAUAUGACAUAUCACAAAUUCAAUCACAUUUGACAUAAAACAAUAAUCAUUCUAGUUAUUAUUACACCACCGAAUAAAACAAUAAUCAUUCAAAUUAUUACAACAAUGUUUGAGCAAAUCACAACAAUUGUUCGAAUCAAAUAGGACAUAGAAAAGUAAAACAAAGAUACAUCAUAAUUCAUGAGUAAAACAUUUGACAAUGGAGAUAAAAUGUAAAGUGAAAUAAUAGCAACUUUGGAAGAUCAUGACAAUCUGAAGCAAAAUACAAGGUAAGCAUAUCAUGAAAAUUUGAAACCAAAUUAUUACAUGCUAACUUAUUUUUUAGCAGCAAUCUGAAGAAAAAUACAAGGUAAGCAUAUCAUGCAAAAUCUAUUUACUAGCCUCUAUUUGUAACUGAUUUCUUAGCAGCAAAAUCUGCCAUGAAAUCUGUUAUGAAACCUGAAACCUGAAAUCAUGGAACCUGAAGCAAAAUCGGUAUCAAUUGCACAGGGAAAAACCUGAAACAACUAAUUGCACAGGGCAUGUAUCAAUUGCACAGGGCAAAAUCUGUCAUGAAACCUGAAACCUGAAACCAUGAAACCUGAAGCAAAAUCUGUUAUGACUUGCCUGAAAAAAAUUCAGUUGGCUAGAAACUCACAUACACAGGGCAUGUAUCAAUUGCCUCUCUGCCAAUAAUUUUGUUCUACUUAUCUAGCAAAACCAGGAAGAAUAUGUACACUGGAGCUCGCGAGGGCACCAUGGUAGAAGUGUGGAGGUGGAGAAGGAUUGGAACAGGAGCUCAUCGGGGCGUCGGGGAACUGCUGCAGCGGCGAGGUGGGCGGCUCAGGCCGGGGCGGGGCGCCGCGAGGAGGCGGCGGCUGGAGACGGGAGCGGGAUGAAAAUCCCUCCCGCGCUGGAGAGGAAGCGGAGUGCGGGUUGGGAGGAGGAAACUCCUCCCAACCCUCACUUCUACAGGUUCAAAACAAGUUUGAGGGUUGGACCUCUAAAUUAUUUUACGGAUUUGAGGGUUUAGGGGUUCUAGUCUAUCGUUUUUUUCCGACGAAAACUGUAAAAAAGCGGUUAUUUUUAAGGGUUUGAGGAUUUGAGGGCUCUACUAGACUUGCUCUUAGUUGUAGAUGUUGAGGUAUAAAUGCAUAGCCCACCUUUCCUCAUUAGCUUGAGUUUUUUGGUGAACUGGCUGGUGCGUGCAGUCUACAUGGCAUCAGAGCUAGGAGGUAUUGAAGGUCUUGAGUUCAAGACACGGUUGACCCAAUUUAAAAAUUAAAAAUUUGCAGCCCACUUUCGGUCCAUGUUUAGGGCUGAGGGAGCCUCACGUGAGGGGGAGUGUUGACGUAUAGCAGUUCUAUAGUACACAUAUUAAGUCGAAUAUCUAAUGACUGGUCAUAUGCCCAUUUGAAUGUUAAUCCAACGAAGGGUUGCUUUCGAGAAUGCAUUACUCAAGUUGUAAGGAUGUUAGAUAUUUUUGGGGAAGAUGCCAGAAACUGAUGGGUUUGUUUAUUUGCAGUUCAUUGAUUUGGUACUGCUUCAUGUGAAACCUUGCUUCUGUACCUGUAUGGGGUGACCAUUAGUAAACUAGUGUUCAUAGUAUGUACACUAUGAUGAAUCGAUUUCAUGUGAAAUUGACAAGAAAUCCUAUUAUGACUGAGCCUCAUCUUUAUCUGGUUGCGCUGACUACAUUUAUGUCGCAUAGAGAAAUGCAUCUUUGAAUUGCAUGCUUGUUUGCUUUCAAAAUCUAAUUAACAUGAGAAAUGCAUCUGCAGGCUCUCUCAAAUGGCAAGCCCACUGUUGUCGAGUUUUAUGCGGAUUGGUGUGAAGUUUGUCGAGAGUUAGCUCCAGAUAUUUACAAAAUUGAGCAACAGUAUAAGUAAGCUGCCUUCAACAUUUUUAACUUCUAUAUAUCCCAUAGAAAUAGCAACUAUGAUUUGGUUCCUUCAUUGAAGAAUUGAUGGGUAUUUAUGCUUUUUUACUGAUCGUAAUGUGCACCUUCCAUAGAAUACAGCUCUGUAGCUGGACAGCUAUACCAAUACAGUGCAAGUGUAUGCAGUAUAAUACACUUGCCAUACCCAUACUAAAGAAUACUUAAAGUUCAUUAGUGAGUCUAGACAUCAAUAAUUCAACUCUGAGCUACACCCAGGUGCAUAUCCACUUGAUUUUCUAUGUGCAUUUACUCUUUUUGGAAAUAAACAUAAAUGUACAUUAUGUUAGAAGAGUAGUAGCCCUGGUACUAAAAUGCUUGCUGUAAUUGAUUUGCAAAAAAGAAAUGCUUGCUGUAAUCUCCAGAAACCACUAUAUCAACAACUUGGAUACAACUGCUGACUGAAUGCAUUUUCUUCUUCUUUUCUUUAGAUGCUAGUUAAUUUAUCUUAACAAUUCUUUAUAGGGACCGUAUCAACUUUGUCAUGUUGAAUGUCGACAAUACAAAAUGGGAACAAGAGCUUGAUGAAUUUGGAGUAGAAGGCAUUCCUCAUUUUGCCUUUCUGGAUAAGGAAGGAAAUGAGGAAGGAAAUGUUGUUGGGAAGCUUCCAAGACAAUAUUUUCUUGAUAAUGUGGUUUCUCUGGCAUCUGGUGAUCCAACGAUACCUCAUGCACGAGCCGUUGGUCAAUACUCGAGCGCGGAAUUCAGAAAAGUCCAUCAAGUUGCUGAUCCCAGAAGUCAUGGCUAGAAAUAACUCUUCAUUGCUAUCGGUUUUAGCGUAAUGCCAAGACUCAUGGACAAGUAGGCUUUAUUCUCUCUUGAAGAAGUAUAGUCCAAGUACUAGAAUGUAUGUUGUCCUUUUGCAGGAGAAGUGCAUAUAGCAGCUGAUUGUCAGUAUAUGAUGUCACCAGAUUUAGUGAAAUAGUUAUAUCUAUCUUCAGCAAUGUCCUGUUGAGGGCUGUUGAAGUUGAAAUAUAGCUCUUUACAAACAUAGCAAAGUAUGCUAUAGUAGGGCGUUUUGGAGCUCGGGCUCCAUGGCAUCCUUUAUUUUUGAAAAAUUCAAAAUUCAAAUUUUCGGUUUCAAAAUAAUCUGGAAAAAAUAUGCAAGUAUAAAAGGAUGAAAUGUAUAUGUGUGCAAAAAUUCUGGAUGAAAUACCUUAAGAUGCGAUCUGUGUAAAAAGAACAAAUUCAUGGACUUUUGGGGUGAAUAGUACCAUGUGUUAAAAAGCCACAUAUUUGUAUCUUUUGCACAUGUCUCGUUUCAACGUAUUUUGUUCUAAAAAUUUGCACACAUAUGUGUUAUGCCUUCAUGUAUAUCCGUAUUUUCUUCAGAUUUUUUUGAAAUGUAAGAAUAUGAAUUUUAAGGUUUUCAAAUAAAGGGUGCCAUGGAGCCCGAGCUCCAAAAGGCAUUUUCAAGUAUGCUACCACAACCUGUCAAUUUCUAGUAUGUACCUAAAUAAUGUCUUGCUGACAAAACCACUGAAGCUUUUAUUAUGGAGGCUAUACUUUCACCCAAGUCAAUAUAUAGUUAGAACAGAUAGUUUUACGCAUCUGUUGCAUGAUGUUUCAUAACUAUCAGGUCUCUUGUUACCCCUGAGGCCCUGACACUACUGGGUUUUUUUUCGAUCUGAUUCCUGCAGGAGGCCGAUAUAGGUUAGGCAUGUUCAGUCUUGGAGCCAAGAAUUUGGGCGUUGGGCAGAGCUGACCGAAUGCAGAAAUCACAUUAAAAUGGCAGCAGGAUCAGUGUUUCGUGUAUAUGAUUGUGGCAUUGUGCCAGUGGAUUAUCUGAUUCAGGCAUUUGGCUAGAACAUUGAGGAGAGUUGGUUACUACGAGAACCAGUGUAUUGCGUAUAAUUGAACACUGCCCACACCCCGCCAAAAAGAAACAGAUGCAUGCUAAUUGGUACUUUCUCAUCCGGAAUUACUUGUCAGUUGUCGCUCAAACGGUUGUCGCGACAAGUAACUAACUCUACGAUAUUGUGAUUCCGUUGAGCGUUGGCUCCUGCACUUGUUCUGGCUUUAGGGGGUUGCGUGUAGUAGUCGCUUCCAGGCUGUGUUUGGCAGGCUUGUGUUAUCCUAGUACUAACAAGGGCUUGUGUUUGGCAGGCUUGUGUUAUCCUUGUGUUAUCCCUAACUGUUAACUCUUUAGUCUUAUCUGCAACUUCCAUGGCCGUUCGGGCGCCCAGCCUGUUUUGGCACGCGACCACAGCUGGCUUCCCUUCCCCGGUUGCAGAACCUAAAAAACCAAAAUUCCAAUUCUAAUCCUUAUGGGGCAUCAGAAACGAAGCCCACGUGUCGUCCCACACUCGGGCGACGCUCAUACCCUAGCCAUCGAGGCGCGCGAGCUCCCUCAUCCCCUUCCUCCGACACCGCCGGGGGACGCCCGGGCCAACGGUGGCGGCGGAGGAAUCUUCUCUCCCGCGUCAAAGGGGUGUUGCGGAGCUCAAAAUGUGUGGUGACGCGGCCAAUCCAUCCUAAACGGUAGGACGACAAUGGCUGCGGCAGGCGGCGGCUGGCCCUGCCUCGGGCGACGUCUGCAGGCGCGGCGUGCGGCUUAGCCACGGGCGGCGGCGUUAGUUGCGGGUGUGGCGGUCGGCCCUGUUCGGGCAACGACGUCGUGCAAUGUGGCGGCGCACCAUCUGGUUUCAAAUAGACCGUGACGACGUGAGGGCCUGGUUGACAAGUCGGCGACGUACGUGCUAUGACCUUGGUUAGAUCUGAUCUGACCGGUGCGGCCUGUGCAGUACGUGGCGUCAGAGAUCGAUGGCGGUCCGUGCACACGCUGUUAGAUGAAGGUUCGUCAAACAUAUCCGGGUGAAAACCUUGCUCUAUGCUAGUUGCCAAGGCCGGUGAUGGCGACACUCUUCUGUGUCGUCCCCUUCCUGAAGGCAUCAUCAUGGAGAAGCUCCAAACUUCUAUCUGCUACCUCCGGAGGAAACCCUAUAUCAGUUGAUCGGAUGACGACGGCGCCCUUGUGUUGUUCGCCCCUUGGGGGCGUCAUUCUUGGAGGUGCGCACUGGUGCAUGCGAGGGACCAGUGGACGGUUUCUGCGGUGGAUCGGCGUAUCAGGUGACACAUCGACGGUGUAGGGUCUCGGCGGCAACGAAUGUGUGAUGACUGAUGCGCGUAGGGAGGUGGCGUCGUGUGGCAUCGUGGUGGCAUCAACGACAUGAGUGGCAAGAUGGAUGCAUCAAUAACUGCUGUGAAGAUGGAUUAGUGGAAGACGACGGCGGCAACCUCUGAGAGUGCACCGGACCGGUGUGUGUCCUAGACCCGGUAUGUGGCGUGAUUAGGCCCUCCGACUUUCGAUGUUAGGCUUCGGUGCGAGGUCUAUUUGGUAUUCGGUUCGGACUAUCGAUACUCCUUCAUCAACUCAAUAUGAGUAGCAACAUAUGUUGUCAAAAUGAUGAUUUCAAACUCAAUGAUGUAUUACUUUGUAAUGUUUUUAUGAAUAAUUAAUAAUAUAAUAAUAUGUAUCGUUCAGACGCAGAGACCGGGGGUCUUCCCCUUUAAAAAAGAAGUAUCUAACCUUAUAGCGAGCAGGAAUAUUGAAGCAAAAGUAGUGGGCUGCAAUCCCUCAAGAAAAACGAGAGCAAAAAUUCAUGUACCUGCCCCUCGAACCUGCCAGGAAAAAACUCAAGUUUUGACAUCUCUAACAGUGUAGUUUUCAAAAUGUAGUUUUGACCGUUUCUUUCUCUUAUAUAUGAAAAAUGAGAGCAGGCAUUCAUUGACCUGCUCCUUGAACGUUUUAUUACGAAAAGACUCGAGGUUUGGCAUAAACAUAGUCUUCAAAACGUAACUUUGGUCAUUUUCUUAUACGAAGACGAUAGCAGACAUUUCUCUACCUGCCCCUUGAAGGUAUUUUGAAAAGACUCGAGGUUUGACAUAAACAUAGUCUUCAAAGUGUAACUUGGACAGUGUUUCUUAUAUAUGAAAAACCUAUAGGGGCAAGUUGGUUGCCCGCACCAAUUUUGACGUGUUUGUAUAGACUUUUUAGACGAGUCUGACUAAGAAAAAAAAAUAACUUGUAAACCAUCAUUUGCAUAUUGUUUGAUUGUUCAUAUAUAAAUUAGCUGCAUGAGGGAAUUAAUUUUAAUACAAUGUUUGGUUGACCGCAUAACAUUAGUCGUACAUAGGACACUUUGUUUGAUCGCAACAUGCAUUAGGUGUUGUCAUCUACAACCGGACCCCUCAAACCCUCCUCAAAUGCCCGGACAAGUCUCCCGGGUACUGAUCGGUCAUGAAAAAGCAACCCACACAAACCCCUCAAACCGGCCUUAAACGCCUGGGCUGACCGACACCCCUCAUAUCCCGUGAGCCGGCUAGUGUCCCAUGUCCUACUCUACCUCGCCGGCGACCGGACCGACACAAUGAAGGGCGCAGCCAGCCGUCGGACAUGGGCAUGGCGGAGCCAGAUGAGCUCCGCUUAGUAUUAGUUUUUUAUGUUGCAUGUAAUAGUAUGGAUUUUAGGUUUCUAAUUUGAGGCAUCCGGGUGUAGAAUGAUUUAUGUGAGGCAUGACCGGUUAGUGUCCACGGACACGUCGAGCGCGUACGCAGGCAUUUGUGGGGUCUGAUUUGCAAGGUCCGGCUGUAGAUGCUCUUACCACACACGAUCUUAGCAAUUUCCCUCCUAGAUACGAAACAAAUUAUGAUGCAUCCUAGCUACUAUCAAGUGGCAGUUCACAUUAUUAAGAGCAAAAUGGCUGAAUGGGGAAAGUUCAUCAUCCAUCAUCUUCCUCUUCCUCUUACCUCUUAUGCCGUUGCUGUCACUAUUCCCCCUCCUCUUUUGCUGCUACCUCCUCUUCUGUUGUUGCUCUUGCUCUUCUUCUUCUUGUCCAGAUUCUUGUCUGGCCUAUGUUAUCCCACAUUGCAUGUGUCCACUCUAGCCUUUUGUUAUUCCAGACUUCGUUGUCAAAUACCUCAACACCAUGGCCAUCGAGGUAAACAUCGCCAGGCGUCAGAUCUUCCUCCUCACGCACUAGUUCAUGACAACCACAUUACAAGAUCUAGUUAUGCAGAAUGCAACAUGUAAUAACAAGCUUAACCUGGAUAGGGUAGGGAUGGAAUGACUUCUGAUCCAGGAUUUUGAACCUAUUCUUCAGAGCUCUAAAUGCCCUCUCAAUAGUUACUCUAUGGCUGGAGUAUUUGAGAUUGAACAUCUCCUGUGGAGUCCAAGGGUAGUUCCUACGAGAUAACUUGUUCACAUGGUACCCGGUCUUCCUGAAGGGUGGAAGAAAACCUGGACGACAUGCAUAGCCAACAUAUCCUAGGUAGAACUUGUCAUCAGGGAUGUUGAUGCAUGUCAUGAGGACGACUCAUGCUGUCACCGAGUAUAUUAGCAUCAUGUGGUGACCCUUCCCAGCCAUCGAGCACAUAGGUGAACUUUAGAUCAAAGUCAACAACAACAAGCACAUUCUCACUUGUGUAGUGCUCCCCCUAUAUGUCGCAGCUUGUGACCUCGUCACUCUGGGAGUGACAUGAGUAUCAUAUGUUGCCCCAAUGCAAUACUGAAAUGGCAAUACAAGUUUGUGUUAGUGCUCAUCUUAAACAAUCCAAGCAUAUCAAGCAAUGAACAACAUAUUGCAGUACUCACCUUGAAGUAUGGAUACAAUCUUGGGCUAGUGCGAAUCUUGGUAGGAGUCCGUCCAGUUGGUGACUUGAUCAUCUCUCCUAUGAGAUCCCCAACAACAUACAACACUUGCUUGAAGUAUCUUGAGAUGGUCUCCAUUGAUCUUCUGAACGUGUUAUGGAUAAUCCUGAACCUAUGGUUAUGGCCAACAACAUGAAGAAACAUGGCCACAUGCUUUUCCACACUGGUGUCAAUGUUAUCUUCUAGGAGACCCCUACUCCCGAAGGUCUAGACAAGUCUGACAGAUGGUGCUCUUUUCAUUCUAAGCACCCACACAACCUCUGUGUCAUUGCAGUUCUAUAUGUAGUUCAGAUUGGUGAUCCUCUCCCGCUCCCUCAUAGGCAUUAGAGCAUAUCUGAUGACAUGGUUCUCACCACGAUGAACAACUCUCUUGUGAAUGAACAUGACCCAUGUUUGAAUUACAGAUAUCAGUGAUGCGGUCUAAACUACCAGCCGCUUCCGUGCAUCCAUAACCUAGUCCGCAUCGAUGGUGCGUUGAGCAAUGGGAAAAUACAUCCUAGACCUUGCCUAACGACCUAACAACAUACAUAACAUAGAGGAGGGUUGUUGUUUUUACCAGCAUCAUAGAUGAGGAUGACGAAGGGGGGCAUGGUUGAGUCAAGGACCACGAAACGAUGGCCAAAUGGAAGAGCAACAACAACUCCUACUGCCGGAUCUACCGCCUCCGCCGCCGCUUGCACAGAUUCGAGUCGGCACCGUCGGUGGUGGUGAGGCUAGAGGAAGUGGUUGUAGUAGCGGUGACCGAGUAAAUGGGUGUGUGUGGGGGUGAGACUAGAUUUGGCGUCGUACCGCGCCCUCGAUUUCCAUCUCCCGCCAUCCCCACUCGCUUUCGCCCUACCCCCCAAGCGUGCGAGAUUGCGUCGCCCUUUGCCUCACUCAAUAGGAACCGCUGAUUGAUCAAUAGUUUCUAGCGAGCCAGGUUGAUGACUGUUUUAAGUCUCGUGCAGAUGCAAGCCAUCCCACUACAUUCACAAUCAAAUGCACAUUUCGUGGUCCAAGUGGACCUGGUUGCAAUUUUGUGGGCAACCAAACACACCCUAGUAGACUUUCCUCUACGUGCUACUUGAACGUAUUAUGAAAAAGACUCAAGGUUCGACAUAGGCAUGGUUUUUAAAAAAUGUAUUUUUUUUUCUCUUCUUCUAAUAAUAAUAUUUUCAAUGUUAUAUGAAUUAGUAGUUACAAAAUAAUUAUCACAAAUAUGAUGAUAUAUUCAGAAUUCUGACUACAUGUUUUCUGGUAUGGUAUUGCCUCCUUUCCAAAACAGAUGACAAUGUUGUAGUCAAAGUUUCGAAUUUUGACUCGUUAUAAUUAAGAAAAAUCAAGGUUCUAAAUAAACUUAUAGUCUUCAAAAUGUAGCAUUGACAUUUGUAACAAUAACAUUUUUCAAUCUUUUAAGAAUUUAGUAAUUAUAAAAUAAUCACCAGAAGUAAUAUGAUGGUAUUAUGAAGUAAUAUGAUGGUAUUAUCUGUAACACUAAUAAUGUUUGUAUGUAUUGAUGGUAAAAGUUAGAGAAUCCGAACUGCAUGCUUUGUACAUGGCCCGCAGAGGCGAGGCGGGGCAGACCAGAAACCCUCACCGCCGCUGCCAAGAGAACCAAGCUUCCGGUGCCGUUUUUCGGCGGCUCUUCUCUGCCGGCGAUCUCUUGGUCGUCGGUCGUGAGGGGGGUCGCCGGGCCCCACGCAUGCAGACCGUUUUUGGUUUAGGUUUAGGACCCAAGAAGCUUAGGUUUUGGAUCGUUCCACAUCUUUGCUUUGGCGGCGGCGACGACGAUGCUGAAUAAAAAAGCUCCAGAUUCUUCUCCGGCGAGGCGAUCAUCUCUAUGGUCGGUGAUGGAUUUGGGAACCAGUCUGUUCAAGCAGGGAUAUCGUGACGACGACGACAUCCUUGUGUUGGACUUGUAUCCUCGGGCUCCGCUGUUGUGACGGUAUGUGCUCCAGCGUCGACAUAGAGCUUGGGAGGUAGUCUAGGAGUGGAUGCAGAUUAUGGUUUUCAUCGAUGACAUGUGGAAGACGGAACAUGUGCUGGGUUCGUGAUUGAUGGAUGACAGAUAUGGUUUCCUCCAUCAACGUCUUAGUUGUGGUGGGGUGUCAGAUUUGGAGGUCGAUGACGUGUCCAGGGUGUUGACCCGGUCUGAUUCGUUUAAGGACAAUGGCUUCAUAUUUGGUGAGCCACCUUGAAGAUCCAUAAAGCUGCAUAUCAGCGAUGGAGCCGCGUCGAGCUCGGGUGAGGAGGUGAUUCAUCAUUUUUUUUCUUUGGUGGCUGUUGUGGUGGUGCCGAAGGCAGGUGACAGACGUUGGUAUCAAACUCAACGAUGUUCUCCUAUCUUAGUUUUGUCAUGUCGUUUUUACGUGACUUGUAAUUUGAUCUUUAUGAUAUAAAUGAAACACAUAUUGCUGUGCAAAAAAAUACAUGAUUUCUGUUCUUUGUGUAUCAUAAUAUUUGUUGUUAAAGAGAAGUAAUCUAAUUCUCUCCAACAACAAGUAUUUAGGAACAGGGAGUAAUAUGAUACUACCUCGUUUCAAAACAGAUGAUGAUAUCCUUAAAGUAUUUUGGAUAAUAUUUUUUUCCCGAGGACAUCAUAGGAGAUCUGCGUGUCAAUACGUUAUGGGAUAAUAAAUAACAGUCAAAGAUGCUUACUGCAGGCGGGGCCUGUUUUGGAGCGGAGGGAGCAUUCUUAAAUAUUUCUAUUUUGUUUCACUCGCAAAAAUGGUAUAUUUCUACUUUUACCAAUAUAUUUCUCCAUGAUUCAAAAGAAAAAGAAAAAGAGAGGCUGAGAUAUGUAAUCCUGAUAGAGAGUGUUUGUUAAAAGAACAUGACUUUUAUUCAUGUACUACUUCCUUCAUUCUUAAAUAUAUUUUUUCAAAUUCUAUUAAAGACUACAAACAAAAUAAAAUAAAUGAACCUAUAUUUUAAAAUAUAAUAACUACAUACAUGCGUUCCACAGCAGAGAGUACAGAACACGCCAUUGUAUCACGACGCUAUUGCCUACUUUGACCAGUAUGCUAUCCAGUGGAUAGAUUCCCACGCUUAGAUCGCCUAUUAGAUUUUCCUCAGGCCUCGUUUGGUUAAGGGGGAUUGGGGAGAUUUUGAGAGGGAGGGAUUUUAGGGAAUUGGGUGAAUCCCUUUGUUCCAUCCAAUCCUCUCAAAUCUCCGGGGUUUUGCUUCCUCUAGUCUUCCGAGGAGGGUUUUGAAACACAUGGAUAGGAAGGGAUUGAAGGGGAACGGAGGGGAUUGGGCUAAGCAAACCCCUCCUACCAAAUGGGCGUCCAAGGAUGUGUGGGGUUUCUGCCCCCCCCGGGGAUUUUUCUUUCAAACCCUCCCCAAUCCUCGUUAACCAAACGAGGCCUCAAGAAAGAUAGAAGUACAAGUACAACAUUGGAUGAAGACGGCGGUCUUCCCUGAAGAAACAAGUGGAAAGUCCCAUGCCAUACGGGUCCAGCUCAUGCGCGCGGUGCUGCCCCCACGUCCAGCUCCUUCACGCGGUGCCGCACCGACUCCAGCUCCUUCAAGGGCAGCUGCUCAUUCCUCUCAAGAAUCCAUCAUGACAUGAAGACCUUCAAGUGUAAGUGGCUCACGUUUAGAAAUGCGAGGAUAUGAAAACAGCAGAUUGUUCUCCUACCUCACUCCAGGUCUAGGCUAUCAACCUCGUCAAGAAUGAAUGACGUAUAGUAGUUUCUAAUGGCUAUGUCGUAAAUUUGUAAGUACUACCUCCAUUCCAAAAUAAAUAACUCAACUUUAUACUAACUUUGUACUAGAGUUAGUAUAAAGUUAAGUCACUUAUUUUGAAAUGGAGGAAGUACUUGGAUGUUAAAACUGAUGGUAGUAUAUUUUGAUGUGAGACUAGUCAUAUUAUUUUGCGAUGGUUGUAAUGGGCAUAUGGAAACUACUUGAAUGGUAAAAUCUGAUGGGAAUGAUAUCUACCAUGUUUUUUGUGCUGGUCAUCUCAUGCCAAACUUGUUUGAUUUAAUUUUUUGUUCAAAAUUUAACAAUUUCAGAAAACUGUGAAAAUAUUCUAGUAAAUUACACAUAUGUACAGUAUCAUUCUGGGAAAAUAUUACUCCAUUUGGAUUGAUGGUUUCCUAGAUAAUGGAAGUUUUAGUUUGCCGAUUUAUCCAGUUUUAUUGCCAUGUGUGCACUUGCAAGCGGGACCCAUUUAUCUGAAAUUAUGUCAAUAUUUUUAAACACUAGAUUAGACCUAGCUGCAAUGCAUUACACCGAUAUGUGGUGUUUUUCGCAACAAACCUAUAUAGCAGGUGUUUUGUGCAAUACUAGCACCAAUAACUAGUGGUUUGUGCAAUUUCCUCUACGGGUACAGGACGCGCGGUCUUCCUCGUGGAUCGUCGAACCUACGCGCGGUCUGGUCAGAUGUUAGGCCAACUUCAACUCACAAUUUUAAACGGACGUUAAUUGUAUCUGGAUUUUAUUCGUUUAGAUAGAACAAUAAAAUGGCGUCCGACUGUUUUUUAGAUGCGUCCAACAAACUUUAACUCCAACACACCCCGUUCGUACUGCAUGCAAAACAAACAAACAGACAUGUAGCUCCCAUGCCAAUGGCCAUAGUUCACGCGCUGACAACAAAACCAACAGGCGGCGAACAUAUGCUAGCCUACAAAAUUGGACCCAAGUUUCACGCCGGUAACAAAGCCAACGACCGGCACACUAGGCAGCCUUCAAAAUGAACAACUUUUUCCCAGUCUGGCUAACAAAAGCCAGCGACCGCACAGUAGUCAGCCUUCAAAAUGAACAAGUUCUUCCCAGGCCAUCUACCAAAAGUCAGUGUUCGGCACACUAGCCAGCCUUCAGAAAGAACGACCAUAGUCCUCGGUCCCUAGUUCAUGUCGCCUUGGUCGAACAUCUCCUUUUACCGGUUCUCGAACCAAACUUUGAUCAAGUUUACAAUCAUGAUUGCUAGUGCCACCUCUUUUGCUUUGGUGUCGACAAUGAUGGCCUUGAUUGCGAGCUUCUUCUCCUGGGCGGCGUCCUCCAUGUUGUGCUUUCUCCUCUUUGCGGCCUUCUUCAUGUCAAGUUUCUUUGUUUGGAGCUCCAAGUAUAUCUUCAUUUGCUACUUCUCUCCUCCCGCACUUUCUUUUGAGUCAUCAUACCUUCCAAAGUUGAUUGCAAUGUGAAGGAUGUCGUAUCACGCUUCGAGUAUUCUUGCCUAUCGACCCUCCUUAACAAAUAUACAUUCUCCUCCACGACCGUCUUCCCACCUUUCUUCUUUAGAGCGUCAUAUUUAUCUUUGAAAUUAAGGCAAUCUUUGAUGAACAACCAACAGUGUGUGAGAGUGAAUGGCUUGUCCUUCUAUUGGACCUUGAAGGCUUCCAAAGAUUUAAAUACCUACAAAAUUAAGAAGAUGACCACAAAUAAAAUAACAAGGACACAACAUACAUACCAAAAAACAUGAACAAUGCAUGAUAAUGAAAGAGGAAAGGCCAUACUAAGUCGCCGACGCCUAGUCCACUCACCAGACGUGAUUCAACGCUCUCAAGCGCGGCUUGAUACUUGUUGCAUUCUUACUGAACCCCCAUCUCUUUUGGAUUGAGUUGAUGCCACAAGUGAUCGCAAACUUGUAGGGCACGGACUUCCUUCGUUUGUGAAAGGUUUUAUGAACUCUUAUCCGAAAGACGACUCAUUUUUUCUUGGCACCGAUCUUGGGAUCUUGGUCUAUCUCCAUCCAUCUCUUGCAAAUCAAAGUGUACACAUCUUUGUUGUAUCAUCUCGUGCAAAUGCUUCCACCCCCUUCUUUGUGCCUCCGCUCUUUCGGUGAGCUCAUCGAUGAAGAUCAAUGGCUCCUCCGCAAUUUUGACCUAUUCUUCCUCGUUUUCGCAAUAGAUGUCCUCAUCUUCAUGCCAUGAGUUGCCAUGGUGGGCAUGUUCCACUUCAUGGGCAUCGAAGUCAUCGACACCAUAUUUUUCACGACUGUCUUGGCUUUGGGUCUCCCCUGGAUCAAAAGCACUGCCAUGGUCAAAAGUAUUGCUUUGGACGAAAGCAAUGCCUUAGUCUUCGUCAUGGAAUGCAUGGCCAUUGCCCUCGAAGAUGACAUUCUCCAUGAACUGGGUGUACUCAAGGUCGUUAGUCGGCGAUGUCGGGAGUGGCAUUCCAUCAAACUGUUGGAAAUAUGCCCUAGAGGCAAUGAUAAAAUAGUUAUUAUUAUAUUUCCUAUUUCAAGAUAAUCGUUUAUUAUCCAUGCUAUAAUUGUAUUGAAUGAAAACAUAAAUACAUGUGUGGAUAUAUAGACAAAACUAUGUCCCUAGUAAGCCUCUAGUUGACUAGCCAGUUGAUCAAGGAUGGUUAAGGUUUUCUGACCAUAUGCAAGUGUUUUCACUUGAUGACUGGAUCACAUCAUUGGAAGAAUGAUGUGAUGGACAAGACCCAAACUAUAAACAUAGCAUGUGAUCGUGUCAUUUUGUUGCUAUUGUUCUCUGCGUGUCAAGUAUCCAUUCCUAUGACCAUGAGAUCAUGUAAUUCACGGACACCGGAGGAAUAUCUUGUGUGUAUCAAACACCGCAACAUUACUGGGUGACUAUAAGGUUGCACUACAGGUAUCUCCGAAGGUGUCCGUUGAGUUAGCAUGGAUCAAGACUGGGAUUUGUCACUCCGUGUGACGGAGAGGUAUCUCGGGGCCCACUCGGUAAUACAACAUCACAUACAAGCCUUGCAAGCAAUGUGACUAAAGUGUUAGUCACGGGAUCUUGUAUUACGGAACGAAUAAAGAGACUUGACGGUAACGAGAUUGAAAUAGGUAUAGGGAUACCGACGAUCAAAUCUCGGGCAAGUAACAUACCGAAGGACAAAGGGAAUGGUAUACGGGAUUAUAUGAAUCCUUGGCAUAGAGGUUCAACUGAUAAUAUCUUCGUAGAAUAUGUAGGAUCCAAUAUGGACAUCCAGGUCCCGCUGUUCGAUAUUGACCGAGGAGUGUCUCAGGUCAUGUCUGCAUAGUUCUUGAACCCACAGGGUCUGCACACCUAAGGUUUGGUGAGGUUUCGGUAUAGUUGAGUUAUAGGUGUUGGUGACCGAAGGUGUGUUCGGAGUCCCGGAUUAGAUCACAGAUGUCACGAGGGUUUCCGGAAUGGUCCGUAAACGAAGAUUGAUAUAUAGGAUUGUUUCAUUUGGCCUCCGGAAAGAUUCUGGGCAUUGCCGGGAGUAUACCGAGAGUGACGAAUGGGUUCCGGGUUUUUACUGCGAGGGGGCCACCCACCCGGGAGAGAACGUAAUAGCCCAUGGGUGGCGCACCAGCCCUUAGUGGGCUGGUGAGGCCAGCCCAAGUGUACUAUUUCGGCCAAGGAAAGAAAAUCAAGGUGAAAGAAAAGGAGGGAGGUGGAAAGGAAGGAAGGGACUCCUCCUUCCCAAACCGAAUUAGAGUUGGAGUCCCUCCUCCUCCACUUCGGCCGACGUCCUAGGGGCUCCCUUCAGAUCCAAGGCUAGCCCCUCCCCUCCUCCUAUAUAUACUAGAGGUUUUAGCAUUUUUGAGACACAACUUUGCCACGUGCAACCCUAAACCUCUACUUCGUAGUUCUUCCUCUAGAUCGGUUUUCUGCGGAGCACGGGCGGAGCCUGAUACGUCCAUUUUGCAUCAUGUUUUCAUGUUGAUAUUUAUCGCUUCUUUGGCUGUUAUUUCACUUCACGGUACAAUUAUUAUGCCUUUUCUCUCUUAUUUUGCAAGGUUUACAUGAAGAGGGAGAAUACCGGCAACUGGAAUUCUGGCCUGAAAGUGGAGCAAAGUUGAGAUACCUAUUUUGCGCAACUCCAAACGCCGUGAAAAUCAACGGGGAUUUUUUCCCAAUUUAUCAAAAACACUGGGCCGAAGAAGUGCCAGAGGGGCACCAGGGGGUGCCCACAAGUCUGCACAGCACGGCCACCCCCCAGGCCGCGCCAUGGGGGCUUGUGGGCAGCCCACUGGACCACUGCCCCCCCUCUUUUUCUAUAUGGAGGGUUUCGUCCGGGAAAAAAUCAAGGAGGAGCUUUUUCGUGGUUUCGCCGCCGCUACGAGGCAGAACUUGAGUAGAACCAAUCUAGAGCUCCGGCACGACGAUCCUGCCGGGGAAACUUCCCUCCCGGAGGGGGAAAUUGUCGCCAUCGUCAUCACCAACACUCCUCUCAUCGGAGGGGAUUCGUCACCAUCAACAUCUUCAUCAGCACCAUCUCAUGUCCAAACCCUAGUUCAUUUCUUGUAACCAAUCUCUGUCUCGCGACUCCGAUUGGUACUUGUAAGGUUGCUAGUAGUGUUGCUUACUCUUUGUAGUUGAUGCUAGUUGGAUUAUUUGGUGGAAGAGUUUAUGUUCAGAUCCUUGAUGCUACUCAUUACCUCUCUGGUCAUGAAUAUGGUUAUGCUUUGUGAGUAGUUACUUUUGUUCCUGAGGACAUGGGAUAAGUCAUGCUAAUAGUAGUCAUGUGAAUUUGGUAUUCGUUCGGUAAUUUGAUAUGUUGUAUGUUGUUUUUCCUCUAGUGGUGUUAUGUGAACGUCGACUACAUAACACUUCACCAUUAUUUGGGCCUAGAGGAAGGCAUUGGGAAGUAGUAAGUAGAUGAUGGGUUGCUAGAGUGACAGAAGCUUAAACCCUAGUUUACGCAUUGCUUCAUAAGGGGCUUAUUUGGAUCCACUAGUUUAAUGCUAUGGUUAGACUUUGUCUUAAUUUUUCUUUCGUAGUUGCAGAUGCUUGCGAGAGGGGUUAAUCAUAAGUGGGAUGAUUGUCCAAGUAAGGGCAGUACCCAAGCGCGGGUCCACCCACUUAACAAACUAUCAAAGUAACGAAUGCGAAUCAUAUGAACAUGAUGAAACUAGCAUGACAGAAAUUCCCGUGUGUCCUCGGGAGCGUUUUUCCUCCUAUAAGACUUUGUCCAGGCUUGUCCCUUGCUACAAAAGGGAUUGGGCCACUUUUCUGCACCAUUGCUACUUUUGUUACUUGUUGCUUGCUACGAUUCAUCUCACCACACAAUCACUUGUUACCGACAAUUUGAGUGCUUGCAGAUAUUUCCUUGCUGAAAACCACUUGCCAGAUCUUUCUGCUCCUCGUUGGGUUCGACACUCUUACUUAUCAAAAGGACAACGAUUGCCCCUAUAAUUGUGGGUAAUCAAGACUCUUUUCUGGCGCCGUUGCCGGGGAGUGAAGUGCCUUUGGUAAGUGGAACUUGGUAAGGAAACAUUCAUAUAGUGUGCUGAAAUUUAUUGUCACUUGUCACUAUGGAUACUAAUCCUUUGAGGGGCUUGUUCGGGGUAUAUUCACCUCGAACGGAAGCACAAAUAGUUGCUCCUCAACCUGCUGCACCUACUGAAAAUAUUUUCUUUGAAUUUCCUUUGGGUAUGCUUGAGAAACAGCUGGCUAAUCCUUUUAUAGGAGAUGGAACAUCACAUCCAGACUUGCAUCUAAUCUAUGUAGAUGAAGUUUGUGGUUUAUUUAAGCUUGCAGGUGUGCCCGAGGAUAAGUUCAAGAAGAAGGUCUUUCCUUUAUCUUUGAAGGAUAAGGCGUUGACAUGGUAUAGGCUAUGUGAUGAUACUGGAUCAUGGGACUACAAUCGGUUGAAAUUGGAAUUUCAUCAAAAGUUUUAUCCUAUGCAUUUAGUACAUCGUGAUCGGAAUUAUAUUUAUAAUUUUUGGCCUCGUGACAGAGAAAGCAUCGCUCAAGCUUGGGGGAGGCUUAAAUCAAUGCUAUAUUCAUGCCCCAAUCAUGAGCUCUCGAGAGAAAUUAUCAUUCAAAACUUCUAUGCUCGGCUUUCUCAUGAUGAUCGCACCAUGCUUGACACUUCUUGUACCGGUUCUUUUAUGAAGAGAGAUAUUGACUUCAAAUGGAAUUUAUUGGAGAGAAUUAAACGCAACUCCGAAGAUUGGGAGCUUGAAGAAGGUAAGGAUUCGGGUAUGAAUUUCUCGUUUGAUUGCGUUAAAUCCUUUGUUGAGACAAGUACUUUUUGUGAUUUUAGCGCUAAGUAUGGACUUGACUCUGAGAUAGUAGCUUCAUUGUGUGAAUCAUUUGCUUCUCAUAUUGAUCUCCCCAAAGAGAAGUGGUUUAAAUAUCAUCCUCCUUUAGAAGUCAAUGUAGUUAAACCCACUCCAGUUGAAGAGAAAGUCAUUGCCUAUAAUGAUCAUGUGGUUCCUAGUGCUUACAUUGAGAAACCACCUUUCCCUGUUAGGAUAAAGGAUCAUUCUAAAGCUUCAACUGUGAUACGUAGAGGCUAUAUUAGAACACCUACACCCCCUGAGCAAAUUAGAGUUGAACCUAGCAUUGCUAUUAUCAAAGAUCUUCUGUCUGAAGAAGUUGAGGGACAUAAUAUUCACUUCUGUGAAGAUGCUGCUAGAAUUGCUAAACCUCACGCUAGAGACAAACAUAGGCCUCUUGUUGGCAUGCCUGUUGUUUCUGUUAAGAUAGGAGAUCAUUGUUAUCAUGGAUUAUGUGACGUGGGUGCUAGUGUUAGUGCAAUACCUCAAUCCUUAUAUGAUGAAAUCAAAGAUGAGAUUGCACCUGUUGAGAUAGAACCUAUAGAUGUCACUAUUCAGCUUGCCAAUAGAGAUACUAUCUGCCCUGUGGGAAUUGUUAGGGAUGUUGAAGUCUUGUGUGGUAAAACGAAGUAUCCUGCUGAUUUCCUUGUUCUUACUACCGCACAAGAUAGCUUUUGUCCCAUCAUAUUUGGUAGACCCUUUCUCAAUACCGUCAAUGCUCAUAUUGAUUGUGAGAAGCAAACUAUCACUGUUGGCUUUGAAGGUGUGUCACAUGAGUUCAAUUUCUCUAUGUUUGGUAGACAACCUCAUUAAAAGGAGUUGCCUAGUAGGGAUGAAAGUAUUGCCUUAGCCUCUAUUGCCGUGCCUCCUACUGAUCCCUUAGAGCAAUACUUGCUUGAGCAUGAAAAUGAUAUGCAUAUGGAUGAAAGGGAUGAGAUAGAUAGAGUUGUCUUAGAACAAUAUCCUAUCCUUAAGAAUAACUUGCAUGUUGAACUGCUUGGGGAUCCUCCCCCACCAAAGGGUGAUCCUGUGUUCGAGAUUAAACAGUUGCCUGAUACUCUUAAGUAUGCCUAUCUUGAUGAAUAGGAGAUAUAUCCUGUUAUUAUUAGUGCUAGCCUCUCAGAGCAUGAAGAAAAUAAGUUGCUAAAAACUCUGAGGAAGCACCGUGCUGCUAUAGGAUAUACUCUUGAUGAUCUUAAGGGCAUUAGUCCCACUCUAUGCCAGCACAAGAUUAAAACUAAUCCUGAUUUCAAACCAGUUGCUGAUCAUCAAAGGAGACUGAAUCCUAAGAUUAAAGAAGUAGUGAGAAAAGGAAUACUAAAGCUCCUGGAAGCAGGUAUCAUUUAUCCUGUUGCUCACAGCGAUUGGGUGAGUCCGGUGCAUUGCGUCCCUAAGAAGGGAGGCAUUACCGUUGUCCCUAAUGAUAAGGAUGAAUUGAUCCCUCACAGGUUUAUUACUGGCUAUAGGAUGGUGAUUGAUUUUAGGAAGUUGAAUAAGGCCACUAGGAAAGAUCAUUACCCUUUGCCUUUUAUCGACCAAAUGCUAGAAAGGUUGUCUAAACACACACACUUCUGCUUUCUAGAUGGUUAUUCUGGUUUCUCCCAAAUACCAGUUGUACAAUCUGAUGAGGAGAAAACCACUUUCACCUGCCCUUUCGGUACCUUUGCUUAUAGACGUAUGCCUUUUGGCUUGUGUAAUGCACCUGCCACCUUUCAAAGAUGUAUGAUGGCUAUAUUCUCUGACUUUUGUGAAAAGAUUGUCGAGGUUUUCAUGGAUGACUUUUCCGUUUACGGGUCCUCUUUUGAUGAUUGCCUCAGCAACCUUGAUCGAGUCUUAUAGAGAUGUAAAGACACCAAUCUUGUCUUGAAUUGGCAGAAGUGCCACUUUAUGGUUAAUGAAGGCACCGUCUUAGGACAUAAAAUUUCUGAAAGAGGUAUUGAAGUUGAUAAGGCUAAGGUUGAUGCAAUCGAGAAAAUGACAUACCCCACAGAUAUCAAAGGGAUAAGAAGUUUCCUUGGUCAUGCUGGUUUCUAUAGAAGGUUCAUCAAAGACUUCUCUAAGAUUUCUAGGCCUCUUACCAAUCUCUUGCAAAAGGAUAUCCCUUUUAUCUUUGAUGAUGAUUGUGAGGAAGCCUUCGAAAUACUUAAGAGGGCUUUGAUAACUGCACCUAUUGUUCAACCACCUGAUUGGAACUUGCCUUUUGAGAUCAUGUGUGAUGCUAAUGAUUAUGCUGUUGGUGCUGUCCUAGGGAAAAGAGUUGAUAAGAAGUUGAAUGUUAUUCACUAUGCUAGUAAAACUCUAGACAGUGCCCAGAGAAACUAUGCAACUACGGAGAUGGAAUUUUUAGCAGCCGUGUUUGCAUGUGAAAAGUUCAGGUCUUACAUAGUUGAUUCCAAAGUCAUUAUUCACACUGAUCAUGCUGCUAUUAAGUACCUUAUGGAGAAGAAGGACACUAAACCUAGACUUAUCAGAUGGGUUCUCUUGCUACAAGAAUUUGAUUUGCACGUUGUCGACAGAAAGGGUGCUGAUGACCCAGUAGCAGAUAACUUGUCUAGGUUGGAGAACGUUCUUGAUGACCCACAACUUAUUGAUGAUAGAUUUCCCGAUGAGCAAUUGAAUGUCAUCAAUGCUUCAUGUAGUGCACAGUGGUAUGCUGAUUAUGCAAACUAUAUCAUUGCCAAAUAUAUACCACCUAGUUUCACAUACCAGCAAAAGAAGAAAUUCUUCUUUGACUUGAGACAUUACUUCUGGGAUGAUCCUCACCUUUAUAAGGAAGGAGUAGAUGGUGUUAUUAGACGUUGUGUACCUGAACAUGAACAGGGACAGAUCCUACAUAAGUGUCAUUCCGAGGCCUACGGAGGACACCAUGUGGGAUAUAGAACUACACACAAGGUAUUGCAAUCAGGUUUCUAUUGGCCCACUCUCUUCAAGGAUGCCCGUAAGUUUGUCUUGUCUUGUGACGAAUGUCCAAUAAUAGGUAAUAUUAGCAAACGUCAGGAAAUGCCUAUGAACUAUUCACUUGUCAUUGAACCAUUUGAUGUUUGGGGCUUUGAUUAUAUGGGACCUUUUCCAAAAUCUAAUGGGUAUACUCACAUCUUAGUUGCUAUUGAUUACGUCACUAAAUGGGUAGAAGCUAUCCCCACUAGUAGUGCUGAUCACAAAACUUCUAUUAAGAUGUUGAAAGAAGUUAUCUUCCCUAGAUUUGGAGUCCCUAGAUAUCUAAUGACCGACGGUGGCUCACACUUCAUUCAUGGUGCUUUCCGUAAAACGCUUGCUAAGUACGAUGUCAACCAUAGAAUUGCGUCUCCCUAUCACCCUCAUUCCAGUGGUCAAGUAGAGCUAAGCAAUAGAGAGAUUAAACUGAUUCUACAAAAGACUGUCAACAGGUCUAGAAAGAAUUGGUCUAAGAAGCUUGAUGAUGCACUGUGGGCUUAUAGAACUGCCUAUAAGAAUCCCAUGGGCAUGUCUCCGUACAAAAUGGUGUAUGGGAAAGAAUGUCAUUUACCUCUUGAGCUAGAGCAUAAAGCUUAUUGGGCAAUCAAAGAGCUCAACUUUGAUUUCAAACUUGCCAGUGAGAAGAGGUUAUUCGACAUUAGCUCGCUUGAUGAGUGGAGAACUCAGGCAUAUGAGAAUGCCAAGCUGUUCAAAGAGAAGGUUAAGAGGUGGCAUGAUAAGAGGAUGCAAAAGCGUGAGUUCAAUGUAGGUGAUUAUGUCUUGCUAUAUAACUCUCGUUUAAGAUUCUUUGCAGACAAGCUUCUCUCUAAAUGGGAAGGUCCCUAUGUUGUUGAGGAAUUAAUCGUUCCGGUGCUAUCAAGAUCAACAACACGGAAGGUAAUUGUCCGAGAGUGGUAAAUGGGCAGAGAAUCAAGCAUUAUAUCUCAGGUACUCCCAUAAACGUUGAAAGGACUAUCAUUAAUACCAUAACUCCGGAAGAAUACCUAAGGGACAUUUAUCAGCCUGUUUCAGACUCCGGAAACGAAGAUGUAUGUGAUUCGGUAAGAAAACAGAGUACAAAACUUUCCCAAUAGAAAUUUUUCUCCGUUUUGGAAUAUUUAUAAAAUACAAAAAUUGGAAGUAGUCAGGAAAGUGCGCGAGGAGGCGACAAGCCUGCACGGCGCGGGCCCACCCCUGGCCGCGCCGUGAGGGCUUGUGGCCACCUCGUGCGCCUCCUGGACUCCGUUUUCGUGCGGGGUACUCCUUCUGGUCUGGAAAAAAAAUCAUUAUAUAUACUUCCGUUUGGUCUGACACCUGCAUCAUGCAGAUUUCCUCUGUUUUUCGUUUCGAGCCUAUUUCUGUUGCAGAUCUAGAUCGCUAUGACUUCCCCAAAAGCUCCAAAUGACAAGAUCUUCGAGAAGGUCAUCAAUCCCUACCUCACGAAAGUGCUGCAACAUCCUCAAUCUAUCGGGAUGCGUGAGGGGAUGUUGCACAUCCGUGAUGUUGAGGGGCCUAAGAAGACCAGAAGCAUGGAGACGAGGCUCGAAGCAAUGGAGCAACAAGUCUUCAAGUGCCAAGGGAUGGUGGAGCGUGGACUCAACGCCAACCACAUGAUGAUCAUGGAGUUCACCAACAAGCACAGGAUUGAUGCCAAUGACAUUGGGAAGCACCUCUCCAGGCUCUAUGACAUGGUUGAUCAACUCCACGGCCAGAUCUAUGACCUACAGAACCAAAACUGUGAGUAUGAGUAUAGAUUUAAAUCAAUAGGGUUGGAUGCAGAUUUGAGGAUUCCGGAGACUCGUUCAUCUUUCCAUGGUGGAGCACCUAUGCCUUGGAAGACGGAGGAUCAAACUCAUGUUGCAACAACUCUGCCACCAUCACCACCAAAGGAAGACAACUGAGCAUUGGUAUGGGCAAUCCCCUUGGCUUUUGCCAAGCUUGGGGGAGUUGCCCCAGUAUCGUAUCACCAUCACAUCUUUUGCCUUUACCUUUGUUUUAGUUUUCCUUUUCAGUUUUCUUUUUCUCUAGUAGUUUAAAAGUCUUAGUUUUUUAGUCUUGACUUUUGCUUUGUGUCACCCCCGAUGUAUUCUUGCUCGUGAGCCAUAUAAUAAAGAGUGUCCUAGUUGAAGGGCUUUGCCUCUUGCCAUGAUCAAAAGAGUGAGAAUAGAACAAAAGCAUGAAAGAUCAUGUAAUGAUCUUAUGGGAAGUGAUGGCUUCACAUAUAAAAAGAAUGAGGAUUGGAACUUGUUGAGGGUAGGCAAACGUAGACCUUGGUCAUUGUUGCAAUUAAUAGGAAGUGAUAAAGAAGGAGAGGUUCACAUAUAAAUAUAUCAUCUCUGACACCAUCUAUGAUUGUGAACACUCACUAAACUAUUACAUGCGUGGAAGUAGAUGUUGGACAAGGAAGACAACAUAAUGAAUUGUGUUUGCUUGGCUCUGAACAAUGUUAUAUGAUUAGAGAUCCGUUAGCACGUGACGAUUGCUUCCACCUCAUAUUAGCCAAAACUCCCGCACCAAGUAGAGAUACUACUUGUGCAUCUAUAAACCUUCAAACCAGUUUUGCCAUGAGUGUCCACCAUACCUACCUAUGGAUUGAAUAAGAUCCCUCAAGUAAGUUGUCAUCGGUGCAAGCAAUUGCUCUCUAAUAUGUAUGAUCUAUUAGUGUAUGGAAAAUAAGCUUUGUACGAACCUGUGAUGAGGAAGACAUAAAAGCGACAUACUGCAUAAUAAAGUUCUUUAUCACAGGGGGCAAUAUAAAGUGACGUUUCUCCGCACUAAGAGGACACACAUCCAAACCUCAAAAGCGCAUGACAACCUCUGAUUCCCUCUGCGAAGGGCCUAUCUUGUACCUUUACUUUUUACCCUUGAAAGAGUCAUGGUGAUCUUCACCAAUUCCUUAUUUUGCCUUUGUCUUGGCUACCGUCACAUGCUUGGGAAAGAUCUAUAUUCAUAUGUCAACUUGGAGGUAAGUAUUCAUGAAUUAUUAUUGUUGACAUUACCCUUGAGGUAAGCAGUUGGGAGGCAAAACUUUAAGCCCCUAUCUUUCUCUGUGUCCAGAUGAAACUUUGAUCUCAUGAGUACCACGUGAGCUGUAGCAAUUGUAGAGAACGAAAGAAUGAUUGAGGAUGUGGAUUUGCUUUACAAGCUCUUAUUUGACUCUUUCUCAUUUUGUGAUAAAUUGCAAUUGCUUCAAUGACUAAAGGCUAUUGGUUGUUACUUCUCGGUAAGGUUCUUGAUCCAUGCUUUACUUUGUGAAGGAAUUAUCACUUUAGCAUGAGAGAUUAUAUGUUGGUAUUGCUCUUCUGAUCUUGAUCAUGAUGCAUGCAUGUUCGUAUAUUGUUUUGUCGACACCUCUCUCCCUAAACAUGUGGACAUAUUUAUUGAGCUCGGCUUUCGCUUGAGGACAAGCGAGGUCUAAGCUUGGGGGAGUUGAUACGUCCAUUUCGCAUCAUGUUUUCAUGUUGACAUUUAUCGCUUCUUUGGCUGUUAUUUCACUUCACGGUACAAUUCUUAUGCCUUUUCUCUCUUAUUUUGCAAGGUUUACAUGAAGAGGGAGAAUACCGACAACUGGAAUUCUGGUCUGAAAGUGGAGCAAAGUUGACAUACCUAUCCUGCGCAACUCCAACCGCCGUGAAAAACAACGGGGAUUUUUUCCCAAUUUAUCAAAAAUACUGGGCCGAAGAAGUGCCAGAGGGGCACCAGGGGGUGCCUACAAGCCUGCACGGCGCGACCACCCCCAGGCCGCGCCAUGGGGGCUUGUGGGCAGCCCACUGGCCCACUGGCCCCCCUCUUUUGCUAUAUGGAGGGUUUUGUCCAGGAAAAAAUCAAGGAGGAGCUUUUUCGUGGUUUCGCCGCCGCCACGAGGCGGAACUUGAGCAGAACCGAUCUAGAGCUCCGGCACGACGAUCCUGCCGGGGAAACUUCCCUCCCGGAGGGGGAAAUUGUCGCCAUCGUCAUCACCAACACUCCUCUCAUCGGAGGGGAUUCGUCACCAUCAACAUCUUCAUCAGCACCAUCUCAUGUCCAAACCCUAGUUCAUUUCUUGUAACCAAUCUCUGUCUCGCGACUCCGAUUGGUACUUGUAAGGUUGCUAGUAGUGUUGCUUACUCUUUGUAGUUGAUGCUAGUUGGAUUAUUUGGUGGAAGAGUUUAUGUUCAGAUCCUUGAUGCUACUCAUUACCUCUCUGGUCAUGAAUAUGGUUAUGCUUUGUGAGUAGUUACUUUUGUUCCUGAGGACAUGGGAUAAGUCAUGCUAAUAGUAGUCAUGUGAAUUUGGUAUUCGUUCGGUAAUUUGAUAUGUUGUAUGUUGUUUUUCCUCUAGUGGUGUUAUGUGAACGUCGACUACAUAACACUUCACCAUUAUUUGGGCCUAGAGGAAGGCAUUGGGAAGUAGUAAGUAGAUGAUGGGUUGCUAGAGUGACAGAAGCUUAAACCCUAGUUUAUGCAUUGCUUCGUAAGGGGCUGAUUUGGAUCCACUAGUUUAAUGCUAUGGUUAGACUUUGUCUUAAUUCUUCUUUUGUAGUUGCGGAUGCUUACGAGAGGGGUUAAUCAUAAGUGGGAUGCUUGUCCUAGUAAGGGCAGUACCCAAGCGCUGGUCCACCCACAUAUCAAACUAUCAAAGUAACGAACGCGAAUCAUAUGAACAUUAUGAAACUAGCAUGACAGAAAUUCCCGUGUGUCCUCGGGAGCGUUUUUCCUCCUAUAAGACUUUGUCCAGGCUUGUCCCUUGCUACAAAAGGGAUUGGGCCACUUUUCUGCACCAUUGCUACUUUUGUUACUUGUUGCUUGCUACGAUUCAUCUCACCACACAAUCACUUGUUACCGACAAUUUGAGUGCUUGCAGAUAUUUCCUUGCUGAAAACCACGCUCCUAUAAGACUUUGUUGAGGCUUGUCCCUUGCUACAAAAGGGAUUGGGCCACUUUUCUGCAUCGUUGCUACUUUUGUUACUUGUUGCUUGCUACGAUUCAUCUCACCACACAAUCACUUGUUACCGACAAUUUCAGUGCUUGCAGAUAUUUCCUUGCUGAAAACCACUUGCCAGAUCCUUCUGCUCCUCGUUGGGUUCGACACUCUUACUUAUCGAAAGGACUAUGAUUGAUCCCCUGUACUUGUGGGUCAUCAGAGCCCUGCAGGAAUAGAUCAUCACCAUCACCGACGUGUCGUCACGCUGCCGGAGAACUCAUCUACUUCCCCGUCUCUCUUGCUGGAUCAAGAAGGCGGAGAUCGUCAUGGAGUUGUACGUGUGCUGAACGCGGAGGUGCCGUCCAUUUGGUGUUAGAUCGGGAUCGAUCGUGGGACGACGGUGAUUUGAAUCACGAAGUUGUUCCACUACAUCAACCGCGUUUCUUAACGCUUCCCGCUUAGCGGUAUACAAGGGUAUGUGGAUCCGAUUUCCCUCUCGUAGAUGAACAUCACCUUGAUAGGUCUUCGAGUGCGUAGGAAAAAAAUUGUUUCCCAUGCAACGUUCCCCAACACAAACAGCCUGUGUGCGCCUGAUACGUCCCAAAUGUAUCUAUAAUUUCUGUUUGUUCCAUGAUCCUUUGGGUGACAUUGUUAUAUGUUUUGCUUCACUUUUAUAUCAUUUUACACAUAUUUGGACUAACCUACUAACUUAGUGCAACUAGUGCCACUUUCUGUCUGGUGAUGUCUAUUUUGCAGGGGCUUUUACGCAAUUUUCUGAAGCUCGAAAAAAUCCAGAACAAAUAUAUAAAAAAUCAGCAAAACAGAAGCUUCCGGAUCACCGAAGGAGGGCCACAGGGGGGUCAGGGGCCUCCCUGGCGGGCCUGCUGGCGAGGCCAGGCCCUAGGCCGCGCCAGGAGGUCGCCUGGGUGGGUCCCACCUCCUCUGGUGUCCUCCUUUGGCCUAUAUUUAUAGUCCCGAGAGGAAACCCUCGUAGACUUUCUAGAAUCACGAAUUUCUCCAUCAUUCUACCGCCACAACGCUUCCAAGAUCGAGAGCGUCAGGAGACCUCUUCCCGGCACCCUGCCAGAGGGAGGUUUGACCUCCGGUAGCUUCUCCACCACCAUGGACGCUUCCCGGAUGUGCCAUGAGUAGUUCCCCUUGGACCAUGAGUCCAUUACCAGUAGCUAUGUGAUGUCUUCUCUCCAAUCUUGCUUCCAUGAUUGCCCCUUGUGAGCUGCCCUACAUGAUCAAGGCAUCUAUGUAAUUCUCUUGCUAUUGCUAUGCGCGGUUUGUUGGGAUCCACUGGAUAAUGAGAUUAUGUUCAGAUUGUUAUGAGUUAUAUAUUUGAUUAUCCUUUUAUAUUAAGUUACUUAGUGAUUCAUGCAUGUUCUCCGUUGCUUUUUAUUGCUUUGGACAAGUAGUAGAUCGUAACUCCAAGAGGGAGCGUUAUGCAUGAUUAUGGGUUCGGGCCCCUCGAUGUCUAUCUUGAGUUAUAGAAAUAUGGGACUAGGGGAUGUGCUUGCUGCCACCAGGGAUAAAACAACGGUGCUUGUGACCACGGUUGCAAGGAUUGUUUACCUUACGCAUAGUUCGUUAAUGCAUUUGUCCGUUGCUUUGAGUUUACACUUUGGGUGGGGCUCGCAACUUAAUACCGGAGAGAUGUUCUGGAUAGAUAUCUCAAGGUGGAUGAUUAGUAAGUAGAUGCUGAUGAAUAAACGGUCUACUUGUCUUGGUGUACUGCCCAUUACUAUCGAACCUCUAACUAUCAAGGAGCAUAAUUAGCAUUGCGGUGCGAUCAUAAUUCUGUCAAUUGCCCAACUCUGAUUUCUUUACCCUAGCAUAGUUGUUUAUCGUCUUUUGGGAGAGACACAUCACUAGUGAACUUCAUGUGACUCCGGUCCAUAUCACCAUCGUUGUUUACGCCUCCAUCAUUUACCGCUUUAUUUACUUUCCGUUGCAAUCACUGUUACCUUCCCGCUUGUGUUUUGAUCCUUUGCAAACUACAAGGCCGAAGAGAUUGGCAACCUCUUUGUACUUGUUGGGAGCAAAGUUAUUUGUUGUGUGUGCAGGUCCACGUCUUCUGCUAGCGCCAGGGUGGAAGACACCUACUUGUUGAGCCUAGGAGUCCUCCUGGUUCGAUGAACCUUACACUCUCCGUGUAAGGGAAAUUUGCUCCUGACUACAUCUCCACCUUCUACUUGGAUUAACCAACGAGGGGGCGAGAAGUAUAUACAUCAACUCGUCAUCAAGCGAAUUUCUUGCGCCGUUGCCGGGUACUCUGCUACCUCUUGAGCUUGCAUUGUUUUUCCCUUAAAGAGGAAAGGGUGUUGCAGAAAAGUAGCGAUAAGUAUUUCCCUCAGUUUGAGAACCAAGGUAUCAAUCCAGUAGGAGUAUCAAGAUGAGGCACCAAUGUACCUACGCAAAAACAAACAAACUUGCACCCAACGCGAAACAAGGGUUGUCAAUCCCUUCACGAUUAUUUGCAAGGUGAGAUCUAAAGGUGAAAAGUGCAACAAAGUAUUUUUGGUAUUUUUGUAGAUCUGAAUAUAGGAUGUGAAGUAGACCCGGGGGCCAUAGUGUUCACUAGAGGCUUCUCUCAUGAUAGCAAGUAUUAUGGUGGGUGAACGAAUUACUGUCGAGCAAUUGAUAGAAUCGCACAAAGUCAUGACGAUAUCUAAGGCAAUGAUCAUACAUAUAGGCAUCACGUCCGAGACAAGUAGACCGAUACUGUCUGCAUCUACUACUAUUACUCCACACAUGGACCGCUAUCCAGCAUGCAUCUAGUGUAUUAAGUUCAUAACAAACGGGGUAACACCUUAAGCAAGAUGACAUGAUGUAGAGGGAUACAUUCAUGCAAAUUGAUAUAAACCCCAUCUUUUUACCCUUGAUGGCAACAACACGAUGCGUACCUCGCUACCCUUUCUUUCACUCGGUGAGGACACCGCACAGUAUGAACCCAAAACCAAGCACUUCUCAUAUUGCAAGAAUUAUAGAUCAAGUUGGCCAAACGAAACCCAUAACUCAAAGAGAAUUACAAAGAUACGAAAUCAUGCAUAUAAGAGAUCAGAGGAGACUCAAAUAAUAUUCAUAGAUAAUCUGAUCAUAAAUCCACAAUUCAUCGGAUCUCGACAAACACACCGCAAAAGAAAGUUACAUCGGAUAGAUCUCCAUGAAGAUCAUGGAGAACUUUGUAUUGAAGAUCCAAGAGAGAGAAGAAGCCAUCUAGCUACUAGCUAUGGACCCGAGGGUCUGUGGUGAACUACUCACGCAUCAUCGGAGAGGCAAUGGUGUUGAUGAAGAAGCCCUCCGUGUCCGAAUCCCCCUCCGGCAUGGCACCAGAACGGUCCCCAGAUGGGAUCUUGCGUAGACAGAAGCUUGCAGCGGCGGAAAAGUAUUUUUGUGGCUCUCUUCUUUGGUUUUAGGAUUUUAGAGAAUUUAUAGGCGAAAGAGGUAGGGCAAAGGAGCCACGUGGGGCCCACAAACCUGCUAGGCGCGGCCCCCCUAGGGUGCGGCUAGGGGGCUUGUGACCUACCACGAGGUCUCCUGCCUUGGUUCUCAAGUCCCCUGCGUAUCUUCUGUUAUGGAAAAAAUCACCCCACAGGUUUUAUUCCGUUUGGACUCCGUUUAAUAUUCUUUUCUGAAAAAGGUCAAAACACGGAAAAAACAGAAACUGGCAUGAGGCACUAAGUUAAUAGGUUAGUCCCAAAAAAGAUAUAAAAGAGCAUUUUCAUGCAUAUAAAACAUCCAAAGUUGACAAGAUAAUAGCAUGGAACCACCAAAAAUUAUAGAUACGUUGGAGACGUAUCAAGCAUCCCCAAGCUUAACUCCUGCUCGUCCUCGAGUAGGGAAGUGAUAAAGACCGAAUUUUUGAUGUGGAAUGCUACCUAACAUAUUUGUUCUUUGUAACUUCUUUCUUGUGGCAUGAAUGUUCAGAUCCAUAAGAUUCAAAACAAUAGUUUAGUAUUGACAUGAAAACAAUAAUACUUCAAGCAUACUAGCAAAGUAAUCAUGAACUUUUGAAAGAAAUAACAAGGGCAAAGAAAGUUAUCCCUACGAAAUCAUAUAGUCUGGCUAUGCUCCAUCAUCCCCACACAAUGUAUUUAAAUCAUGCACAACCCUGGUAUUGGCCAAGUAAUUGUUUUCGCACUCUUACUUUCUCAAACCUUUUCAACUCUCACGCAAUACAUGAGCAUUAGCCAUGGAUAUAGAACUAUAGGUGGAAUAGAGUGUGGUGGUGGUUGUGAGGCAAAAGGAGGAUAUGGUCACAUUGACUCGGCGUAUCAAUGGGCUAUGGAGAUGCCCAUCAAUAGAUAUCAAUGUGAAUGAGUAGGGAUUGCCAUGCAACGGAUGCACUAGAGCUAAAAGUGUAUGAAAGCUCAAAAAGAAAACUAGUGGGUGUGCACCCAACUUGUUUCCUCACGAAGACCUAGGGCAAUUUUGAGGAAGCCCAUCACUGGAAUAUACAAGCCAAGUCAUAUAAUGAAAAUUCCCACUAGUAUAUGGAAGUGACAAAACAAGAGACUCUCUAUCAUGAAGAACAUGGUGCUAUUUUGAAGCACAAGUGUGGAAAAAGAUAGUAGCAUUGUCCCUUCUCUUUUUUUUCUCUCAUCAUUUUUUUUGUUUGGGCUCUUUGGCCUCUUUUUUUCAUUUUUUUGGUGGGCAUCUUUGACCUCUUUUUUUUAUUUCCUCAUAUGGGACAAUGCUCCAAUAAUGAUGAUCAUCACACUUUUAUUUACUUACAACUCAAUACUUAGAACGAUGAUGACUCUAUAUGAAAUGCCUCCGGCAAUGUCCUGGGACGUGUAACGAUCUAGCUUAGAUAUGACAUUGAAACAUCUCGCCAGCUAUCUUACGAUCAUGCAAUGGCAAUAUGAAAGUGACGGCACAUGUCAUGAGGCGGAACGUUGGGAGUUGCAUGGCAAUAUAUCUCGGAAUGGCUAUGAAAAUGCCAUAAUAGGUAGGUAUGGUGGCUGUUUUGAGGAAGGUAUAUGGUGGGUUUGUGCACCGGCGAAAUUUGCGCGGCACUAGAGAGGCUAUCAAUGGUGGAAGGUGAGAGUGCAUCUAUACCAUGGACUCACAUUAGUCAUGAAGAACUCAUAUACUUAUUGCGAAUGUUUUAUUAGUAAUCAAAACGAAGUGCUAAACGCAUACUCCUAGGGGAAGGGUUGGUAGGUGUUAACCAUCUCGCGAUCCCGACCGCCACACAAAGGAUGACAAUCAAUAAAUCAGUUAUGCUCCGACUUCCUAACAUAGCGGUUCACCAUACAUUCAUGCUACGGAAAUCACUAACCUCAACACAAGUAUUUCUAGAUUCACAACACCCUACUAACAUGACUCUAAUAUUACCGUAUCUAUAUCUCAAAACUAAUUGUGAGGAAUCAAACUUCUCUUACNNNNNNNNNNNNNNNNNNNNNNNNNNNNNNNNNNNNNNNNNNNNNNNNNNNNNNNNNNNNNNNNNNNNNNNNNNNNNNNNNNNNNNNNNNNNNNNNNNNNGGAGAGGAUCGUGUCAUUUUGUUGCUACUGUUUUCUGCGUGUCAAGUAUUUGUUCCUAUGAACAUGAGAUCAUAUAACUCACUGAGACCGGCGGAAUGCUUUGUGUGUAUCAAACGUCGCAACGUAACUGGGUGACUAUAAAGAUGCUCUACAGGUAUCUCCGAAGGUGUUCGUUAAGUUAGUAUGGAUCAAGACUGGGAUUUGUCACUCCGUAUGACGGAGAGGUAUCUCGGGGCCCACUCGGUAAUACAACAUCGCACACAAGCCUUGCAAGCAAUGUGACUUAGUGUAAGUUGCGGGAUCGUGUAUUACGGAACGAGUAAAGAGACUUGCCGGUAAACGAGAUUGAAAUAGGUAUGCGGAUACUGACGAUCGAAUCUCAGGCAAGUAACAUACCGAAGGACAAAGGGAAUGACAUACGGGAUUAAAUGAAUCCUUGGCACUGAGGUUCAAAGGAUAAGAUCUUCGUAAAAUAUGUAGGAUCCAAUAUGGGCAUCCAGGUCCCAUUAUUGGAUAUUGACCGAGGAGUCUCUCGGGUCAUGUCUACAUAGUUCUCGAACCCGCAUGGUCUGCACACUUAAGGUUCGACAUUGUUUUAUGCGUAUUUGAGUUAUAUGGUUGGUUACCGAAUGUUGUUCGGAGUCCCGGAUGAGAUCACGGACGUCACGAGGGUUUCCGGAAUGGUCCGCAACCGAAGAUUGAUAUAUAGGAUGACCUCAUUUGGUUACCGGAAGGUUUUCGUGCAUUAUCGGAAAAGUUUCGGGCUCAUCGGUAGUGUACUGGGAGUGCCGGGAGGGGUGCCGGGGACCAUCAGGAGGGGUGUCACGCCCCAAGGGAUCUCAUGGGCUAUGGGAAGAGAUAAACCAGCCCCUAGUGGGCUGGAAUAAGUUCCCGCUAAGGCCCAUAAGGUUUGAGAAGGAAAAAACACAAGGUGGAAAGAGUUUCCAAGUGGGAAGGUGGAAUCCUACUCCAAGUAGGAUUGGAGUAGGACUCCUCCAUCUCCAAUUUCGGCCAAACCUUUAGGUUUUGAGGCUGCCUCCUCCCCUCCCUCCCUCCUAUAUAUAGUGAGGUUUUAGGGCUGAUUUGAGACAACUUUUGCCACGGCAGCCAGACCACAUACCUCCACGGUUUUACCUCUAGAUCGCGUUCCUGCGGAGCUCGGGCGGAGCCCUGCUGAGAUUAGAUCACCACCAACCUCCAGAGCGCCUUCACGCCGCCGGAGAACUCAUCUACCUCUCCGUCUAUCUUGCUGGAUCAAGAAGGCCGAGAUCAUCGUCGAGCUGUACGUGUGCUGAACGCGGAGGUGCCGUCCGUUCGGCACUAGAUCGGAGCGGAUCGUGGGACGGAUCGCGGGACGGUUCGUGGGACGGUUCGCGGGACGGAUCGAGGGACGUGAGGACGUUCCACUACAUCAACCGCGUUUCUUAACGCUUGUGCUGUGCGAUCUACAAGGGUACGUAGAUCGGAAAUCCCCUCUCGUAGAUGGACAUCACCAUGAUAGGUCUUCGUGCGCGUAGGAAAUUUUUGUUUCCCAUGCGACGCUCCCCAAGAGCGAUUUCACCAUGUACCAUCUGUAAGUAUAGAAAGGACCGGUAUUUGUCCAUCAUGUUUGACAUACACUUAUGAAUAACAAUUAUUUGAUCAAUUUAUUUAUAUAUAUAUUUCUGUUCCGUGGCAACGCACGGGCACUAAACUAGCUUUUUAUUUUGCAUGUUAAAUAUGAAUAUAUGAUACUAUGUCCCGCAGAGGUUGUUAGGGCUAUGGGAGGACGACGAUCCUCUCUUGAGCUAUUGAUGAGGGGGAGCAAGGGUAGAUCAAGCGUUCAAUGAUGGUGGUGAGACAACUAGCGAGGUUGAGUCAACGGCGAAGAUAAAUAAUGAUGAUAAACGACAUGAGUUUGUUGUCCCGUGGCAACGCACGGGCACUAAAAUAGUCAUACAUAAAAUAAAGACAAGAGAAAAUAAGAGAAAAAAAUGCGAGCAACACCGGAUCAACGAAAGUUGUAGCAUCCCGCAACAGUUGCGCCCACUGCAAAAAUUCCACCACACUUCAAUGUCAUCAGAUUGUCGUGUACCAAGCAACACCUUUAAAAAAGACCGUGACGACGACGAUGCCGCUGUCCGAACGAGUCCUAAGAUUUCUCCCGAUACACGGAGGAGAGUGGGGUGAGGUGCACCCGACACCCUUCAAGAAGGGUGGCGACGCCCACAAGCGUCACCACAUCGGUGUCAGCCAGACCCGAUAGAAAUUUCUCCCAACCCCUCACACCCACAGAUCAGGACCAACCGUCGGCUAUACCAUGCCAACCACCCAGCAAAAUGUGCCAUGAGGACACCACCAUCGUCUCACCACAACAAACACAACGAGUCCAGCUAGACCAAAAUGAAGCCACCGUAGGCAGGGAUCGAUAGUACCGCAGACUUGUGGGAGGGAACAACCUCCACCGGCUUAGGCAGUAGCAUACCGGAUGCACGAGCAGGAGCAUGCUGGGCCAACUACGCAGCCGAGCCCAGACCGGACCCUCUAAGCUCCCGCUGCGGCGCUACAGCAGACGCAACACAGUAGCCGCCGCCCUCGAAAAAUGCUAUUCGCCGCCCGUUGCGGCAAAUUACGAGGGCUUCGCACAGAGAAAGGGCGAGCGAGGGAUGAUCUGGGCCAGCCCAUUACGGUUGCGGGGAUCCCGGUUUUGGAAACCUUCUAGACUUACCCAACCGUUUUAUUUUGAUUUUGGGAACUUUCUAGAAGAUUCCCUGAACCAGUUUUCUUUCAUUUUCUUUUUUCUUUUAUGUUUCUUUUUUUCCUGUUUCUGUUUCAAAAAUGUUCCGGAACUCAAAAAAAUGUUCCAGAAUUUGAAUUUUUUUCCAAAAUUUGAAUAAAUGUUCCGGAAUUGGAAAAAAUAUUUCAGAAUUUAAAAACAUAUUCUGUAAUUUUUAUAAAAAUGUUUUGGAUUUUUCAAAAAAAGUUAUGAAAUUUGAAAAAAUGUGCUGGAAUUUGAGAAAAUGUGCCAGAAUUUGAAAGAAUGUUCCGGAAUUUUAAAAAAAUAGAAGAAAAUUACUGGAUUUUUUUGAAACAAAAAAAAAGAAAGCUGGACCGACCCAGUUGGGGGCGAGCCCCUAUGCGUUGCAGCUCGUACCUGCCGAAGAUGGGCUCGCCCAGUCGGGGGCGCCACCCCUAUGCGGAGCGGGACUCCUUGCCGCAACGGCCGCGAAUAGGAGAUCCUGCCGCCCUCAUCCACCUUAGCUCGCCAGACAGGCCCCACUCUCACCAUCUAUCCGUGUCGCUAGAUUCAAUCAUCUUGAGAGCUUCACGAGAAUCAAGGUAUCGUGUGUUAGCGAGUGCAACGUUUUCUCUGAUCUGAACUUCAGCUGGCAAAUGGACCAUUCUCCGACGUCUCGCGCGCCCCGUGAUCGGUCAUAAAACUUGGUUCGAUUCUUCGAUUCCCCGGAUCAAAUACUACGUCCUGGUGAUGCAGCGUGUACCUGGACGGCACAGCCAUGCGUGAGGGCGACGGUCCGCGUCGCCGGCCGUUGCACUUGCCCCUGCCCCCGGGCAGUCAGUAGUCACCGCGCGCGCAGCAUCAUGGCAACGGCAUCCCUCUCCGGAUCCGCCCGCGCGAGGAUAUCCCCUCUCCACCGCGCGCGCGACGGCAGCCUCACGUUCGUUAGCUUGGUCUCCGAUCGCGCGUCGCGCCGCGCCGUGCGUCACACGAGAAAAACACGGCACGGCAUGGGCCUGCGCCGCAACGGACAAAGCCGAUGAGCCGUGGCCGCACUCCUCGUCCGCCACCCGGCGGCACGGCGCCGGAACAAAACACCGGCCCCGGCCUCGACGAGACCAUCCGGCUCGCGCAUCGCCCACGUGGACCAGUCGGCCCCGGGCGCGCGCAGUUUCCUCCACUUUUCCCACUGGCAGCAGCCAGCAGCAGCUCGCGAGCUGUAUAAGUAGAGCGCGGCAGCACCCCCAGUUAAAGGAACAUCCACCCAACACCAGCACCCAAGCAAGCAGUGAAAGAGAGGAAGCCGGAGCUACCUCAAGAGCCUUCUUUUCCAGUCCAGCGAGUGUGUGUACGUAGCAGACCGAAGAGUUAGAGCAAUGGCUGGGGCGGUCGGCGUCUGGUUCGCCAAGUUGGGCAGGGAGGCUGCGCCGGCGGCAGAGGCCGAGGUCGUCGGCCGGCGAAACCAGGGCGACGGCCUGCUCGAGGCGGAGGCCGCGAAGACGGUGCAGAUCCAGGAGAGGAGGAGGAGGAACAGCAGCGUCCUCUCCAACUCCGAGGACACGGUGUGCAUGCUCAUGGACCGCUUUUCCCCGGCCUGAUGCGCCGGUGAACCGGCGGUGUUCGCAGGCACAUGGGAAAUCUAUACCGUGUGCUGUGAUUGCGUUGGUUCCUCUUGUACAUAAGCUCCAAUCCAGUGAUGGUAGUGCUCAUGCCUUCCGUUCGAAAAAAAUUAUAAAUAAAUUAUGCGGCUAGUUGAAUCAACUGUAUUAUAUCAUGUGUACGACUGUAUCCUUUGAAUGGAUUGUUUGGUUUCUAUGGCAUCUCGCUGACUAUGCUGCUGCCUUUCUUUUUCGAAAACGCUAAAAACCUGACAUCAAAUUUUUAAGCAUGGAAAAGCUGACUUUUUUCAUCGCAAUUUAUACUGAUGUAAUGAUAACAAGUUUAAUUUGCAAGUAUAGCAAUUUUUUGGCUAAAAAAUGUACCAAGGCGGAUUUGCCAAGCUCACCAACUAAAUUUGCCAUCCUCAACAAAUAUAAUUUGCCAUAAAAAAGAAUUCGAUUUGCCAUAGUCAAAAAUCUUUUUAAUUUGGUGUUGGUCAUGCUUUUGGUGAUACAUUUGCUAUUGUGGUUUUGCUCAAUCUUCUUUCAUUUCUUAAAAUUGGAAGAUUACAGUUCUUGCAGCAUCUUAUCAAGAGCUUUUUAUUGAGAGGUGAGAUAAUCACUAUGACUCGAAAUUGACACCUCACCCAACCUAUGUUUUCUGUUGUUGACCUACUCAUCAAAAUAGGGGUAAUUAUCCAGAUGAUAAAAUAGGUACUUGCCAAGAUGUUCCAACAACAUAGAAGACGCUAUGAGGAUUUGGCAACGUAUCGAUAUCAUGCUCACCCCCACCUUCGAUGAUCAUCGGACUCCGUAUUUGCCUCUGGAGUCAACCACUCUACUUAGACUUACAUCCUACUGGCUAUUCUUUGGAAGACCCGGGACGCAGGAGACGCCAAGAUUUUAGGGGCGAGGACAUCCAUAGUGCGAUCACUUUCAAAUGCAUCAUCGACAACAUUGAUCUUUGGUUGCACCACCUCUCCAAACAACGCGACAAGGUGGUUGAAUCGUCGUGGCAACUUUAUAUCUCUUGAUGUGUGAAUGUGCCCUUGUAAUUCAACUAUGUAAAUGAUUUUGUAUAGUGUUACCGUUUGAAUAACAUAUUCAGGUGGGGCUCCCCCUCCCGUUAGGAUGUAUUUUUCCUAAAUGGUUUUGGUGAGUGAUGAUAAUAUGUUUUGCGGACUAAUCGUGUGCAUUUAGUUUUAGAGAUUAUCACACGGCACGAGACCGUUUAUUUCCCCUUGGUUUUUAAGAGAGAAGACGGUUAUUUUUCGACGAUUUUCGUUUGGUGGUCUUGAGUCAUAGGUAAUCCGUACAAUCAAAAGGGGAUCCGUUUUUUAAAAUGUUAGGAUGAAAUCAAGACAUACACAGUCACUUUACACCCCAUUUUCCUUUUCCACACUUGGGGUUUCAUCCCCCUAUGUUUGUGUUUUUUAGAGGCAGCUAAGUGGUAGUACCGUGCUGACCAAUGGUAGUACCGCUCGCAGUUCAGUGCUGCUACCAUCUCCGCUUAUAUUGUGCUCUCUCGGCUUACAGCGGAAGUUGGAUGGUAGUAGAGAGCAGUAUUACCGCUCGGGCAGUUCUACAGCUCGAUCUACUAUCCCACUUCCACUUCCCGGUGUAGGCGCAAGUACUAAGCGGAAGUACCGCUCUAACCCUGCGGUAGUACCGCUUGUGUGGUACUACAAGUAUCUUCUUAGCUUGGAGUACCGCUUACAUUUUUCUCUCUCGAUAUCACACUCCUUUGAGUGGUAGUAGAACGGCAGUAGUGAGAGCGGUAGUGCCGCUCUUUGUGGAAGUACCGCGCUGCCUUAUUCUACUAUCAUAGUUUCACCCGCACUUGCAGCACCUGGCGGUAGUAUCGCUCCCGCAACACCGCCGCAUCCUUGGUCCUCUAAGUUGCACGUUGCGGUGGAAUCUAUCGUGCCAGUGGAAGUACCGCUCGCCCGAACAGUACUAUCGUUUAUGCAUGAGCUGAAGGGGCAUAACGGUUGGAUCCACCCCCUUUCUAUAUACGUGAAUCUUCUUCCCCAAGUUGACUUACCUCUUUCCCACAAGCUCCAUUCUUGCUCCUAAGCUCAUUUUCGCCCAAUCUCUCUCCCUAGCCAUCAAAACUUGUUGAUGCUCUAGGGUUUGGAGGAGAAGGCCUUGAUAUACACUUUCACCAAGAUAAAUUUAAUUCCACACACUAAUCCCUUGUGGAUCUUGUUACUCUUGCGUAUUUGAGCACCCUAGACUGGAGAGGACACCUCGAAGUCACACUUCAUUGUGGUGAAGCUUCGUGGUGCGUUGGGAGCCUCCAAUUAAAUUAUGGAGAUUGCCCCAAUCUUGUUUGUAAAUGUUCGAUCGCCGCUUUCAAGAGCACCAUUAGUGGAAUCACGAUACCUCGCAUUGAGUGAGGGCAUGAGGAGAAUACGAUGGACUUAGUGGCUUUUUGGAAAGCAUUGUGUCUCCACACGCUCUAACAAAAACGUACUCCCUUCAAAGGGAAGGAACUUCAGUAAUACAUCCUUGUCUCCAUUGGUUCUUUUUGUGGUUACUUGUUACCUUUACUUUGUGCAAGUUAUUAUCAUGUUGAAUAUUUGGAUUGCUUGCUAGUUGUUGUUGUUAGCAUCAUAUAGGUUGUUCAUCUAGUUGCAUAUCUAGACAACAUAUUUGUUACUUAACCUAAUUUGUUUAAAAGAGCUAAAAAUUAGUACUUGCCUAUUCAUCCCCUCUAGUCAACCAUAUCAAUUUUUUUCAUACAGUCACAUCGAUUGGUUCUAAAAAAAAUCAUGAUUGACACAACUGUUUCAAAGAGGGGCGGUGUGUCUUAUAACGAGUUGGAUUUCACCAAGGUAAAUAGAUAAACCAAUAAGCCAAGCAAAAGUCCACAAGUAAAAUAAUACCACUGGCCCAACAAAACAAACAUGGCCAGAAGUCCCAAAAAAACGAUAGAAGACGCCUUGAGGCCAAGGGGCCAAAGAAGUACUACAGUGGCAUACGUAGAACCUCAGCCUGAGAGUGCCACAAUUCAAAUUUUAUGAAAAUUUACACUACAAAAGUACAAAUAGUAUAAUUUGGUUUAAACAUCAUCAUAACCUCAACAGUCUUAAAAUAGCAUCAAUUUAUUAGAUAUUUAGUGUUAAAUAUAUAGUGUAAGUCUUUUACAAUUUUAAUUAGAGAGGUUAUCAUGGCACCUACGGUAUCCCCACUAGAUCCUCCCCUUGACAAGGAGGUCGCAUAGAAAUAAGGUAGGCCCAUGAAUGCCAUCAAUCAUCGCAUUAAGGAAUCUUUUGUCCCAAUGCUUAGAAAGCGAACAACAUCGCUGCAUAAAAUUCGAAUGAUUUGAACACAAUCAUUACUAUUCGUCCACAAGUUUUAGGUCACGUCGGCAAAAACAGAGCAAGGGCUGUGUUUCGUUCGGCUGUUGUAGUAGAAUUAUGCAUGCUUUUGUUGUAUGGUUACUCCCUCCAGUUUCAAAAUAAUUGUCAUGGUUUUUGUUUAAAUUGUUAGAAGGAUGGAGUAUUUUCUUAAGCAUUAGAAACCAGACAUUAGAUUAUGUGGCCACAUGUGCAGAUGUGCAGGGCAUCAAUGAAAUAUCCGUAAGUGUUAAAGUUACGAUUCUAGUAAUCUCAUGCUAGCCAAUAAAGUUAACAUCUGAUAAUCUAUGGCUCGCAAAAGAAGACGAAAUAUCUAAACUACUAUAUUCACUUCACCUUGCUUCAACGGUCGGCCAUUUUUCAAGGAGAACUCUACACAAUUUUGUCAGGAAAAUGUGUGCCCUAUUUGGCCGUUAAGGUAUCAAAUAGUUUAUUUUUCCCAUACAAGGCACAUUUGACAUCCCCGGUCGCUCCUUCGUCCUAAAUGGGUCAGCCCUUAUAACAAGAGAACAUUAUGGGCUUAUUCUAGUUUUAGAAACUUUCUAGAGUGUCCUCCAUCGUUUUUCCUUUUUUGUUUGUUUUGUUUUCACGCUUUCUAUCAACCGGGUGUUUGGCUGUGUCCCCUUUUUUGCUGUUCGUUUGUCUUUAUUCCUUUAUUUAAUUAUUAUUCAGUACAUGAACAUUUCAAAAUUCAUCAAUAUUUUUAAUUUAAAAACAAAAAUUUGAACAGUUCUCCAAAUUCAUGAUAUUUUAGUUUAUGAAAAUUGUAAAUUCAUGUACAUUUUUUUAGAAAGGCAUGAACUUCUUUUUUUAAUUCCUGGACAUGUUUUUGUAAAUUUAUGACUAUUUCUGAAUAUUUUUUUAUUUUUACUUAAAAACCAAAACUAGUAAAAUCUGGUUCUUUUUCCUGAAAUAUUAGUAUCUUCCACAGAUGGGCAAACAAAAACCAAUCGACCAUGUACGUUCGUGGAUCGAGGCUUUCCAUCUUUUUGGAUGGAUGCCUCAAUGUGCUUUUAAAAAUCAUUAUUGAUAAUGUUCGCGCGGGUAAAAGAGAGACAAUAUUGUUGAGCCAGCCCAAUUACAGCCUCUUUACCGAAGUAUUUUGAGUAUUUAUUUGAGAAGAGAUUGAUACCGCGAAGAAGAUGUUUUCAAAAGAUUCCAUUGUAUUUCUUAGUCAUAGGAGUUACUUCACAUUUUCUUGAAUGUCGGAUCCAAGUCACUGUACUCUCUCUGUAAGUUAAUAUAAAAGCAUUUAUAUCACUAGGUAGUUAUCUAAACGAUUUUAUAAUAGUUUACAGAGGGAGUACAUGUUAUUCUUAUGAGUAUGAAUAAAAUUACAUGUGUUUCUCAAAAAAGAAAAGCUCCUUUUUUGAGUAAAAAAAGAAAAGCUCCUGAAAAUGCGGUACAAUUUUCUCAGUUACGAGGAUCAUGAGCUGGGCUACACUCUCUGUCAGCCUGGCAAGGUACAUGUCCACGACCCACCAGACUCGGCCCAAAACAAGUCAGCGAAGCGAAGGCAGAAGGGCAGCGUUCUGCUCCUCCGCUCUGUUCUCUCGUCUCAGUUCCCCAACUUCCGGCGCAAGCUGAAACCCUCGGGCCCCGACCGCGGCAGCCGCCGAUCCAGCCCCCGCCGCGAUGGAGUUCGCCCUCGUCGACGGCGAGCAGUUCUCGCCCUCCUGCUCCACGCUCGUCAUGGUCUGGAUGCCAGUUUCCUCCGAAAUCUAUCUUUGGUAACGGUGUCUCCUUCUGGUUUCUGACGUUGCUGACCCGCCCCCUCCCUCUCGGCCUCGUGCAGCCCGCGCUUUCGAUCGGCAACGUGGGGCAGCUCGCCGUGGACCUGCUGAUACCGUCGGCGAAGGCGAGGCGGGUGGCGUACCUCGACGAGCCCUCCGUGCUGCCCUGCGUCGGCAACGACGCCUUCGGCCCCGACGCCGUCGGCGACCUCGCGCUCGCGCUCGAAGGUAGGGCCUCUCGAAUCCCGAAAACUUUGUCCUCCUGUGCUGUGCUCGCUGAUUGUUUGAUGGAUUGUGUUAGUGGUGCUGCUAUUUACUACUAGUUGCUUGCAACGUUGGCCUUUGUUUUGUGCAUACCAUCUGUUUGUUGGAAUGCGGUGCUGCGUGUGCUCUUGUCCGCUAUGCACGCUGCUGCUCGAUGAAACGCGUUUACCAUGUUGCGUGUGUACUCUGUCUCCUACGCCUGCCACUGUUUGAUGGAAUGUGUUUCGGCGCCGCAUGUACACACUGUCUGCCACACAUGCCACUGUUUUGUUUUUAUUUUCGAAUUAAGGAGCUCUUUGCUCCCGAUUUUUAUUUCAACAGUUUAGAACUUACAGACCCACGCAACACUAUACCCCUUCGAGCAAACUACGUUAUUGCAGAGCACUAGGUUUUAACUUCUCAAGGAAUAGAUCAGAAGAAACAUCAACACCAGGGCGGCAAAAUAACAACUACCAAAGAUAACUGCUGAUCAUGUGAAACAUAGCAUAGAUCUGCAAUACGAGGCCUGCACGACCACCAUCUUCCGGAUCACCCCACGACAAUCCUGAGAGUUGUUAGUCCCCAGUCUCUGCCUCGAUUGUAUAACUCCAUGUCCACCUUAGAAAGAAGCAGUGCCGCUGAUUGUAAUACCUGUUUGUUUCAUCCUCUCUGCAAUUCAGCCUACCAUGACUUCCAGUGAGAAUUCUGUACAAUUAUUUGGGUAGGAUCAUUAGUAAAGAGGUCCUAUUUGGUCAUUAACCACAACAGCUAACUCUGCUGCUAGUUAUGGUUUGUAUGAUCUAUUAUAUAUAUAUUUCCCAAGGAACCCUCUCUUAACUAGAACAAACCUUAAAAAAAGACCAGUUAAUCUUGUCAUAAGCUUUUUCAAAAUCCAGUAAAAAGGCUAACAUCUGAUUUUCUUCUAUUAAUUUCAUCUAAAAGCUCAUACAGUAUACUUACAUCAUCUAAAGUGAACCUACCGUUAAUAAGUGCUGUCUGUACUGGAGCAAUUAUUUUCUCAGCAACUUCUACAGCCCCGUUAUUCACUAUUUUAAAAAAAAAUAUAUAAGCAAAACAUCAAAUAAGCAUAUAGAUACGUAUUGUUGAAUAGUGUCAGCUCCAACACCCUUUGGCAAUAAAGUCAAAAUCACAUAAUUAAAUCUCGCAAGGCCUAACCUAACAUGAUAAACUCAUUAAACAUGAACAAUAAAUCAUUAAUGCUGACAAAAUUCNNNNNNNNNNNNNNNNNNNNNNNNNNNNNNNNNNNNNNNNNNNNNNNNNNNNNNNNNAGGAAAACCAUCUGGCCCAGGAGCUUUAUUUCUUUCAUUUGAAAAACUGCCAUUCUAAUCUCCUCUAAUGUUAAUUCCUCUACUAAGCAAGGUCCUAUCUAUAUCAUUAAGAACAACAGGCGUAUCAAUGUCAAUGCAAAUGUUUAAAUUGUUAUUAUCAGCAGGACCAAAUAAGUUUUUAUAAAAAGAGAUUGCAGUGCUGUGCAUACUGUAUGCUUGUAUCUGCUAUGCACAUCAAUUGUUUUAGACAUAGAUUGUUUGUUCCGAGGCAGGGAGGGAGGGAGAGAUAAAUGAUAAACACACAAAUAUGUGCUGGUUUUGGAAUAUGUUGUUGAAAUAUAUUGCCUGCCUCCCUCCAUCAGUUCAGACUCUUGGAUGAGUUGGCUGGAGCAUGAAAUCAAUAUGGUAUCCGAGCCAGGAAGUCUUGAGUUCAAGACCCUGCCAACGCAGUACUAAAAUUAAACGAUUCUGCGACCUACAUCGAUCCCACGUCUAAGGACUAAAAUAACCUAGAUGUGAGGGGGGGUGUUGAAAUAUAUUGCCCGCCUCCCUCCAUCAGUUCGGACUUUUGGAUGAGUUGGUUGGAGCAUGAAUUCAAUAUAUGUCUCUACCUAGUUAGUUGCUGAAAUACGGGUAUGGCAUGCAGACUCACCUGCUUUCUCAUUUUUGCGUGCAGAGUAUGAAUCAAUGUCUCAUGGGCUGGCUUUCAUUCAACAAAGGUCUCCAAUUGUUACAGUAUGCUGAGCUUACCUCUUUUGGCAUAUGCUGCCAUCUUCCUAUAAUUUGCGAAUUGGUAGCAGUAUCUAACCAGUGAAUAUAAUAUGACCACUUUGAUUUCUCGUUACAAAUGCAGGGGAUGAUGGUUUCGUUUGCAAAAAAUGUUGCUAAUUUCAUCAGUAGCAUUGGGAAGGACCAUGUUGUUAUUCUUUCAAGUUUAGACUCUGGCAAGAGAAGAGUAAUUGAUGCAUCCAGGUAUUUGAAAUGUCUUGCUACCCAGAUUCCAUAUUUUGGAUUUGGAUGUUCUUUCAAGAUUGUGCCAUUAACACGUUUCAUCAUGCAGUGAUAUGCUGUAUUACCUUUCAAGUUGCAAUGAGGAUGGUUCUGAUCCAGAAUGUGAGAAACUAGGGUGGAAGAAACUUGAGGAAUAUGAUCCAUCUCAGCGACUGUGGAAAUGUCUUGCUAGUCUAGUUGAGGGCGGUGUUCUUUCAGAAGAUAUGGCUGAGGAUCCUGAAGAGAUGACCGCAAGUGAUUACUAUGCGACCUUGCCAUUUGCAGCUCUAUUCUUUGCCUGCAAGGUAUCUGAUUUUAUUUUAUCUCUAAUAAAGUAUUUUGUCAUUUAAAGUUGCUGUUAUAACAUCUCCCUAUGUUAUGAUAGGCCAAAGGUUUGAAAGUUAGCUGUGUAUUAUGCUACUGUUCAGAAGGGGACAAUAUGCCAGAAUCUUUCCACUUAGCAGAAGCAGUAUGCAAACUUCGAGGUCAAGACCCUGAACAAUUCCACGGUAUAUCUCUAUAUCACCUCAAGCACUUUUCCCCUUUUACUCUGGAGUGAACCCACUAAUCACAAACAUAUAGUUAUUUUAUUCCUUUGUCUCGAAGUGCCUAACAUCUCUUGCAACAACUGCUCUGGUUUACAGUACUUGUUUUUAUGGGUUUACAAUACUCUGUUAGGAAUGCAAUCCUCAGUAUUCUGUGAUUAAAGUGAAUGGUUGGGUUUUCUGUGUAAACGAGUGGUUCUAUGAAUUUACAGGAAAUGGGUCAAAUGGAUGGACUAUUCCCUUGUCAUGGAAAUCAAUUUAUGGACCACCUCCCGAUAUGUCUAUUUUCUAGACUGACUGACCUAGUAAGUCAAUCUGAUAUAUUUUUUUGAAUCUCGCUUUCAGCUAUUUUAAUUCCAAGAGCAAAACUGUUUCUGAAUGAACAACCUCAUUCUGAAAACUAGGGAUAGCAUUAAAGCAUAAUACAAGGACACUCAGUUUAAGGGAAUGACAUGUGCAAAUGUGUGUGUGCCGCCUUGUUUGCUUCUCUGCAGACACGACUAAACUUAGAUCCCUUGAAAGUUAAUCUCGUAUCGAGUAUGGCAGUGUUGCACCCAGUAAUUUGUAAACCAUUUCGCUACAAUUUCAUGCUAUCUGGAUUUUUUGUUCUUUAGCUUUGUUUAUUUUUGUUGUUUUGUAUGAAAUGAUCUUGUUAUGAAUUAUUAUAUUUUCAUUUUAAUGAUAUAAUUCAGCCUUUUCUUAUAUUGGCAUUGUUGUUGAUAGGUCUUCUGCUUUAUAAGAUUAUUUUUUACCCAGAUAUUGUACUUAACAAAGAGUCCUUGGUCAUAGAAUAUACUCAUAUACUAGGGAUGUUCUGUCCGUCUAUCUAAAUAAUGAGUAGGAACUAAUGCCACUUAGAAGAAAUACAUGAUCCUCCCACUUACCGCUCCACUUCAAUCCAAUGGACUUUGUUAAUACGAAUACCGAACCUAGCUUGAUGGAGAUUGGUUGCAACCUCAGAGGCAUGUCGUGAACCAUUACUGGGAGAAUGAUCGCUUAAAUGAACCAUAACGAGCAUCUGUCUCACUCUAACAAGUUUGAUGAGCUCUUGGUAGAUCUGUCCCUAGUAGUAUCUACAAAGCAAGCUGAGAACCAUAAAUUGAUCACUCAAACCUCAUAGUAUUAUGCCAAGUUAGUCAUGUCAUGGAGAAAUAUUUUGUAUUUGAAGAUCUGACCAAGUUUUCCGUUUCCCUUUUGCUGAAAAAUAACAGAAUAAGUUAGCAGGACAUCUUUUUCUUACUUAUUUCUCGAGGUCUAGUAGAAUAAAACUGGUCCACAGGAGAUUAUCAUCUAUUUGGGCAUGUACAAUGGUGCUAUCUUAGGAGUGCCAUGUAGGAUAAAUGCUGAGGUGGAGGAGAGAGAAUUCGUAAGAAAAGGCUUGUCUUCUCUUAUUUAAGAGAUCAUCUCUUAGCACAAUAUGUCUCACCACGCUUUUAGGAACAUCUAGUUAUUGUAGAGGCUGCUAAGAGAUAAUCCACUGUAGACAUGUUUUUAUUGUCAUCUUUAAAUUACAUGCAAGCCUUAAGAUAAAACUGUCUUAUCAACCAUUGUACAUGCCCUUAGUACCACUGGCCACGUGCAAAUUAUUUGAAGUAAUGAGUCGUGCAAAUUGGUAAUAAGUGCUAACCAACAUCAACCACCUAGCAAUAAUAACUCCAAUUUGUUGAUGGAUUUCUUUAAAGCCCUUGUUUCUUAUUAAUACUGUUGUACCAUUAUCAGCUGCCAUGUUGCCAUACCACAUUAUUCCCUGUGACCCAUGGUAUUAAACAAAGGCCAAAGUUGGAUCUAGACAGCAAAGCUGUUGGUCCAUGGUGCAAUGUGAUACACUCCCUGGGUUCCAAAUUACUCGUCCUUUUUUCCUUGUGAAUCACUGAAGCCUACAGUUAAAAGAAAACUUGAGCGGUCUUGCUGAAAUUGUAUCCCAUGGUCGGGUACCUUUACGGUAAAACUAUGCACUACUAUAUAUUUAGUAAGCUUACGCUAAAACUUUAACCCUGACUUCAAUCAGUUGUAUCUUGCAUUUCCGGGCUGGUUCAUGACGUUCUUUUUUUCUCGCGAUUUGACAGGUGAGGUUGCAAUCAUGGACAGCGCUGUAUCGAGGAUGAGGAAGGAUAUUAGCUUCAGGUUUUUGUUUUAGCGAGAAGAUAUUAGCUCUAGGUUGUGUACCAGAAAUCCCCAGGAUGUUGAGUCGCCGACCCUCUUUCGUCAAGCAACAAACAGUAUUCACCCGUUUAGAACUGUUGGAGGCAUCGUGGUACUUGGAACCUGGAAUUUAUGUGUCCUUACAAAGUCGUAUCCGUCUUGGUCAUUCAACUCGCAGCAACUAAUUGCCAUGUUGUAACACCACCAACCUUAAUAAAAUUAUGUGGGAUUCCUGACUCUGAUUUGCGGCUAUUCCUCAUGUCUAAGUGGAAUAGAUUUAUUACUUUUUACUUUUAAAAAUACACCGUCUGCCUUUGUACACUCUGUUGAGAUGGAUUUUUUUUUGUUUAGAAAAAAUUCCAAUCUAUAUUCAUCGAUUGCCAUGGUAGUACAAAGAACACCAAAUCUAAUCAGCAAGCCGUAGUAGACAAUUGAGAAAUUGAGGUGCUGAGGCCACCAUUGCACCAGAACAACAAUUGUUGUCUGAAGUAAAACCAUAGGUCGGAAGGGAUUCAUGAGCACUAACAAAUGUAUGCUAGAUCUGUUAGAGUAAAACGAGAUUGAAUGAAAGUGAAUGGACGAGCAGUCCUCUUUCUAUUGAUUCUCAAGUAUAUAUACAUCUGAAAGAGGUGCGAAGAAGAGGUGUCUGUUCGGAGGCAUCCCUCCAGAACAGGUGCCUGUUGGCAAUAGACACAAAGAGGAGACACGACUGUUCGGGUUGGACAUAUUCCUUGAAUUAAUCUACUAAUUAAUUUCUAACACUCCCCCUUGUACAACACCGCUCCUUGAAUGUUUCAUCGUUGAAAGCUUCUUGCAUAUAGAUCUUCCAUCUUGAGAAAUCUUCCAGAUAAUCUUGAGAGUCUCCCCCAAAAACCCUGUGGGAAAAAUAGGAGGAGAAUAGAGUAGAUAUGUUGCUAAAACUCCUUUAAACCCAGUGGGAAAAAAUAAGGAGAAAAUGAUGCAACAUAUGAUGAUUAUUGUCUCUUGAUAACUCAUAUGAGAAAAACCUUUGAAGAAGGAGAAAACUCAUUGAUAAGUUUAGAGAACAAUUAAUAUGUCUUGAGUACUUCCUUUAAAAACCCUGGUAGGGAAAAUAGAAAGUAUGACAUAUGAUCUUUGAGAAGAUAUUGCCUCACUAAAAACCAUCAUGAGAAACUUUGAGAGAAAACUCAUAAGGGAAAAGAGUGCAAUCGUACAUGCCAUUGAAAACUCCUUUAAAACCCAAUGGGAAAAAUACAAGGAGAAAAUGAUAUGGCUGUUGGAGAACGUCGCAUGGGAAACAAAAAUUUUCCUACGCGCACGAAGACCUAUCAUGGUGAUGUCCAUCUACGAGAGGGAUAUUUGAUCUACGUACCCUUGUAGACCGCACAGCAGAAGCGUUAAGAAACGCGGUUGAUGUAGUGGAACGUCCUCACGUCCCUCGAUCCGCCCCGCGAACCGUCCCGCGAUCAGUCCCACGAUCUAGUGCCGAACGGACGGCACCUCCGCGUUCAGCACACGUACAGCUCGACGAUGAUCUCGGCCUUGUUGAUCCGGCAAGAGAGACGGAGAGGUAGAUGAGUUCUCCGGCAGCGUGACGGCGCUCCGGAGGUUGGUGAUGAUCUUAUCUCAGCAGGGCUCCGCCCGAGCUCCGCAGAAACGCGAUCUAGAGGUAAAACCGUGGAGAUAUGUGGUCGGGCUGCCGUGGCAAAGUUGUCUCAAAUCAGCCCUAAAACCUCCGUAUAUAUAGGGGGGAGAGGGGGGCCUUGCCUUGGGGCUCAAGGAGCCCCAAGGGGGUCGGCCGAGCCAAGGGGGGAGUCCUCCCCUUCCAAACCGAAUCCAACUAGGUUUGGAAGGUGGAGUCCUUCCCCUUUUUCCCACCUCCCCUUUUUUUCUCUUUGAUCUUCUUCCUAUGGCGCAUAGGGCCUUCUUGGGCUGUCCCACCAGCCCACCAAGGGCUGGUGCGCCACCCCCAAGGCCUAUGGGCUUCCCCGAGGUGGGUUGCCCCCCCCGGUGAACACCCGGAACCCAUUCGUCAUUCCCGGUACAAUCCCGGUAACUCCGAAAACCUUCCGGUAAUCAAAUGAGGUCAUCCUAUAUAUCAAUCUUCGUUUUUGGACCAUUCCGGAAACCCUCGUGACGUCCGUGAUCUCAUCCGGGACUCCGAAUAACAUUCGGUAACCAACCAUAUAACUCAAAUACGCAUAAAACAGCGUCUAACCUUAAGUGUGCAGACCCUGCGGGUUCGAGAACUAUGCAGACAUGACCCGAGUGACUCCUCGGUCAAUUUCCAAUAGCGGGACCUGGAUGCCCAUAUUGGAUCCCACAUAUUCUAUGAAGAUCUUAUCGUUUGAACCUCAGUGCCAAGGAUUCAUAUAAUCCCGUAUGUCAUUCCCUUUGUCCUUCGGUAUGUUACUUGCCCGAGAUUCGAUCGUCAGUAUCCGCAUACCUAUUUCAAUCUCGUUUACCGGCAAGUCUCUUUACUCGUUCCGUAAUACAAGAUCCUGCAACUUACACUAAGUCACAUUGCUUGCAAGGCUUGUGUGUGAUGUUGUAUUACCGAGUGGGCCCGGAGAUACCUCUCCGUCACACGGAGUGACAAAUCCCAGUCUCGAUCCAUACUAACUCAACGAACACCUUCGGAGAUACCUGUAGAGCAUCUUUAUAGUCAUCCAAUUACGUUGCGACAUUUGAUACACACAAAGCAUUCCUCCGGUGUCAGUGAGUUAUAUGAUCGCAUGGUCAUAGGAACAAAUACUUGACACGCAGAAAACAGUAGCAACAAAAUGACACGAUCAACAUGCUACGUAUAUUAGUUUGGGUCUUAGUCCAUCACAUGAUUCUCCUAAUGAUGUGAUCCCGUUAUCAAGUGACAACACUUGUCCAUGGUCAGGAAACCUUGACCAUCUUUGAUCAACGAGCUAGUCAACUAGAGGCUUACUAGGGACAGUGUUUUCUCUAUGUAUCCACACAUGCACUGUGUUUCCAAUCAAUACAAUUAUAGCAUGGAUAAUAAACGAUUAUCAUGAACAAAGAAAUAUAAUAAUAACUAAUUUAUUAUUGCCUCUAGGGCAUAUUUCCAACAGUCUCCCACUUGCACUAGAGUCAAUAAUCUAGUUCACAUCACCAUGUGAUUCCAACGAAUGCAACACCCAUAUAGUUAUGGGGUCUGAUCACGUCUUGCUCGUGAAAGAGGUUUUAGUCAACGGUUCUGGAACUUUCAGAUCCGUGCGAUCUUUACAAAUCUUUAUGUCAUCUUAUAGAUGCUGCUACUAUGUGCUAUUCGGAAAUGCUCCAAAUAUCUACUCUACUAUACGAAUCCGUUUCACUACUCAUAGUUAUUCGGACUAGUGUCAAAGCUUGCAUUGACGUAACCCUUUACGACGAACUCUUUAACCACCUCCAUAAUCGAGAAAAAUUCCUUAGUCUAUUUAGUUACCAAGGAUAACUUUGACCGCUGAUCAAUGAUUCAAUCUUGGAUCACUCUGUGUACCUCUUAACAGACUUGCUGCAAUGUACACAUCAGGUGCGGUACUCAGCAUGGCAUACUUUAGAGUCUACGACUAAGGCAUAGAAGACGACCUUCGUCUAUUCUCUUUAUUCUGCCGUGGUCGGGUUUUGAGUCUUACUCAAAUUCACACCUUACAACGCAACCAAGAACUCCUUCUUUGCUGAUCCAUUUUGAACUCCUACAAAAACUUGUCAAGGUAUGCAUCUUGUUGAAACUUCUAUCAAGCGCUUUCGAUCUAUCUCCAUAGAUCUUUGAUGCUCAACGUUCAAGUAGCGCAAUCCAGGUAUUCCUUUGGAAACUCCUUUCAAACAACCUUGUAUGCUUUACAGAAAUUCUACAUUACUUCUGAUCCACAAUAUGUCAACCACAUAUACUUAUCAGAAAUUCUAUAGUGCUCCCACUCACUUCUUUGGAAAUACAAGUUUCUCAUAAACCUUGUACAAACCCAAAAUCUUUGAUCAUAUCAUCAAAGUGUAUAUUCCAACUCCGAGAUGCUUGCACCAGUCCAUUGAAGGAUCGCUGGAGCUUGCAUACUUGCUAGUAUCUUUAGGAUCGACAAAACCUCCUGGUUGUAUCACAUACAAUGUUUGCUCAAGGAAACCGUCGAGGAAACAAUGUUUUGACAUCCUAUGUGCAAUAUUUCAUAAAUAAUGCAUCAACUACUAACAUAAUUCUAACAGACUUUUAGCAUCGCUACGAGUGAGAAAGUCUCAUCAUAGUCAACUGUUUGAUCUUGUGGGAAACAUCUUUGCGACAAGUCGAGCUUUUCUUAAUAGUGACUUAUCACUAUCAUCGUCUGUCUUCCUUUCAAAAAUCCAUCUUUACUCAAUAGUCCUAUGACCAUCAAGUAGUUCUUCCAAAGUCUACACUUUGUUUUCAUACAUGGAUCCUUUCUCGGAUUUCAUGGCCUCGAGCCAUUUGUCGGAAUCCGGGCCCACCAUUGCUUUCUUCAUAACUCGUAGGUUCACUGUUGCUCAACAACAUGAAUUCCAAGACAGCGUUACCGUACCACUCUGCAGUAGUACGUGACCUUGUCAACCUACGAGGCUUGUAGUAACUUGAUCCGAUGCUCAAUGAUCACCAUCAUCAGCUUUCACUUCAAUUGGUGUAGGCGCCACAGGAACAACUUCCCGCGCCCUGCUACACACUGGUUGAAGUGUUGGUUCAAUAACCUCAUCAAGUUCUACCACCCUCCCACUCAAUUCUUUCGAGAGAAACCUUUCCUCGAGAAAGGAUCCGUUUCUAGAAACAAACAUUUUGCUUUCGGAUCUGAGAUAGGAGAUGUACCCAACUGUUUUGGAUAUCCUAUGAAGAUGCAUUUAUCCGCUUUGGGUUCGAGCUGAAACUUUUUCACAUAAGUGUCGAAGCCCCAAACUUUCAAGAAACGACAGUUUAGAUUUCUCUAAACCUCAGUCUAUACUGUGUCAUCUCAACAAAAAUACGCGGUGCCCUAUUUAAAGUGAAUGCGGUUGUCUCUAAUGCAUAACCCAUAAACGAUAGUGGUAAUUCGAUAAGAGACAUGAUAGCAUGCACCAUACCAAAUAGUGCAUGGCUAUGACGUUCAGACACAUCAUCACAAUAUGAUGUUCUAGGUGGCAUGAACUACGAAACAAUUUCCACAUUGUCUUAACUGCGUACCAAAACUCGUAACUCAGAUAUUCAUUUCUAUGAUCAUAUCGUAGACAAUUUAUCCUCUUGUUACGACGAACUUCACUCCGAAACAGAAUUGAACUUUUCAAUAUUUCAGACUUGUGAUUCAUUAAGUAAAUACUCUUGUAUCUACUCAAAUCGUCAUUGAAGUAAGAACAUAAUGACAUCCACUACGUGCCUCAGCACCCAUUGGACUGCAUACAUCAAAAUGUAUCACUUCCAACAAGUUACUAUCUUGUUUCAUCUCAAUGAAAACAAGGCUUUUCUCAUGUGGUAUGAUUCCAUGUCACUAGUGAUUCAAAAUCAAGUGAGUAUAAAGAUCCAUCAGCAUGGAGCCUCUUCAUGCAAUUUAUACCAACAUGACUCAAGCGGCAGUGCCACAAGUAAGUGGUACUAUCAUCAUUACCUCGUAUCUUUUGGCACCAAUAUCAUGAACAUGUGUAACACUACAAUCGAGAUUCAAUAAACCAUUGAAGGUGAUUAUUCAAGCAAAUAGAGUAACCAUUAUUCUCUUUAAAUGAAUAAUCGUAUUGCAAUAAACACGAUCCAAUCAUGUUCAUGCUUAAGGCAAGCACCAAAUAACAAUUACUUAGGUUUAACACCAAUCCCGAUGGUAGAGGGAGCGUGCGACGUUUGAUCAUAUCAACCUUGGAAACACUUCCAACACGUAUCGUCACCUCGCCUUUAGCUAGUCUCCGUUUAUGCCGUAGCUUUCAUUUCGUGUUACUAAUCACUUAGCAACCGAACCGGUAUCCAAUACCCUCGUGCUACUGGGAGUACUAGUAAAGUACACAUCAACAUCAUGUAUAUCAAAUAUACUUCUUUCGACUUUUGCCAGCCUUCUUAUCUACCAAGUAUCUAGAGUUGCUCCGCCUCAGUGACUGUUCCCCUCAUUACAGAAGCACUUAGUCUCGGGUUUGGGUUUAAUGUUGGGUCUCCUCAUUAGUGGAGCAACUGUUUUGCCGUUUCAUGAAGUAUCCCUUCUAGCCCUUGCCUUUCUUGAAACUUAGUGGUUUUACUAACCAUCAACUAUUGAUGCUUCUUCCUGAUUUCUACUUUCGCAGUGUCAAACAUUGCGAAUCGCUCAAGGAUCAUUAUAUCUAUCCUUGAUAUGUUAUAGUUCAUCACGAAGCUCUCACAGCUUGGUGGCAGUGAUUUUGGAGAACCAUCACUAUCUCAUCUGGAAGAUUAACUCCCACUUGAUUCAAGCGAUUGUCGUACUCAGACAAUCUGAGCACACACUCAACGAUUGAGCUUUUCUCCUUUACUUUGUGGACAAAGAAUCUUGUCGGAGGUCUCGUAUCUCUUAACAAGGGCACAAUCAUGAAAUCACAAUUUCAUCUCUUUAGAACAUCACUUAUGUUCCGUGACGUCUCAAAACGUCUUCGGCGCCUUGCUUCUAAUCCAUUAAGUAUUUUGCACUGAACUAUCGUGUAGUCAUCAGAAACGUGUAUGUCGGAUGUUCACAGCAUCCACAGACGACGCUCGAGGUGCAACACACCGAGUGGUGCAUUAAGGACAUAAGCCUUCUGCGCAACAACGAGGACAAUCAUCUGCAAAGUUUGCUACUAUCAACUUUCAACUAAAUUUUCUCUAGGAACAUAUAAAAACAGUAGAGCUAUAGCGCAAGCUACAUCGUAAUUGGCAAAGACCAUUAGACUAUGUUCAUGACAAUUAGUUCAAUUAAUCAUAUUACUUAAGAACUCCCACUCAAAAAGUACAUCUCUCUAGUCAUUUGAGUGGUACAUGAUCGAAAUCCACUAUCUCAAGUCCGAUCAUCACGUGAGUUGAGAAUAGUUUCAGUGGUAAGCAUCUCUAUGCUAAUCAUAUCAACUAUACGAUUCAUGCUCGACCUUUCGGUCUCAUGUGUUCCGAGGCCAUGUAUGCACAUGCUAGGCUCGUCAAGCUUAACCCGAGUGUUCCGCGUGUGCAACUGUUUUGCACCCGUUGUAUGUGAAAGUUGAGUCUAUCACACCCGAUCAUCACGUGGUGUCUCGAAACGAAGAACUGUCGCAACGGUGCACAGUCGGGGAGAACACAAUUUCGUCUUGAAAUUUUAGUGAGAGAUCACCUCAUAAUGCUACCGUCGUUCUAAGCAAGAUAAGGUGCAAAAAAGGAUUAACAUCACAUGCAAUUCAUAAGUGACAUGAUAUGGCCAUCAUCACGUGCUUCUUGAUCUCCAUCACCAAAGCACCGGCACGAUCUUCUUGUCACCGGCGUCACACCAUGAUCUCCAUCAACGUGUUGCCACCGGGGUUGUCGUGCUACUCAUGCUAUUACUACUAAAGCUACAUCCUAGCAAAAUAGUAAACACAUCUGCAAGCACAAACGUUAGUUUAAAGACAACCCUAUGGCUCCUGCCGGUUGCCGUACCAUUGACGUGCAAGUCGAUAUUAUCUAUUACAACAUGAUCAUCUCAUACAUCCAAUAUAUCACAUCACAUCGUUGGCCAUAUCACAUCACAAGCAUACCCUGCAAAAACAAGUUAGACGUCCUCUAAUUUUGUUGUUGCAUGUUUUACGUGGUGACCAUGGGUAUCUAGUAGGAUCGCAUCUUACUUACGCAAACACCACAACGGAGAUAUAUGAAUUGCUAUUUAACCUUAUACAAGGACCUCCUCGGUCAAAUCCGAUUCAACUAAAGUUGGAGAAACUGACACUUGCCAGUCAUCUUUGAGCAACGGGGUUACUCGUAGCGAUGAAACCAGUCUCUCGUAAGCGUACGAGUAAUGUCGGUCCAAGCCGCUUCAAUCCAACAAUACCGCGGAAUCAAGAAAAGACUAAGGAGGGAAGCAAAACGCACAUCACCGCCCACAAAAACUUUUGUGUUCUACUCGAGAAGACAUCUACGCAUGAACCUAGCUCAUGAUGCCACUGUUGGGGAACGUCGCAUGGGAAACAAAAAAUUUCCUACGCGCACGAAGACCUAUCAUGGUGAUGUCCAUCUACGAGAGGGGAUAUUCGAUCUACGUACCCUUGUAGAUCGCACAGCAGAAGCGUUAAGAAACGCGGUUGAUGUAGUGGAACGUCCUCACGUCCCUCGAUCCGCCCCGCGAACCGUCCCGCGAUCAGUCCCACGAUCUAGUGCCGAACGGACGGCACCUCCGCGUUCAGCACACGUACAGCUCGACGAUGAUCUCGGCCUUCUUGAUCCAGCAAGAGAGGCGGAGAGGUAGAUGAGUUCUCCGGCAGCGUGACGGUGUUGGGGAACGUCACAUGGGAAACAAAAAAUUUCCUACGCGCACGAAGACCUAUCAUGGUGAUGUCCAUCUACGAGAGGGGAUGUGUGAUCUACGUACCCUUGUAGACCGUACAGCAGAAGCGUUAGUGAACGCGGUUGAUGUAGUGGAACGUCCUCACGUCCCUCGAUCCGCCCCGCGAACCGUCCCGGGAUCAGUCCCACGAUCUAGUGCCGAACGGACGGCACCUCCGCGUUCAGCACACGUACAGCUCGACGAUGAUCUCGGCCUUCUUGAUCCAGCAAGAGAGACGGAGAGGUAGAUGAGUUCUCCGGCAGCGUGACGGCGCUCCGGAGGUUGGUGAUGAUCUUAUCUCAGCAGGGCUCCGCCCGAGCUCCGCAGAAACGCGAUCUAGAGGUAAAACCGUGGAGAUAUGUGGUCGGGCUGCCGUGGCAAAGUUGUCGCAAAUCAGCCCUAAAACCUCCGUAUAUAUAGGGGGAAGAGGGGGAGCCUUGCCUUGGGGCUCAAGAGGCCCCAAGGGGGUCGGCCGAGCCAAAGGGGGAAGGUCUCCCCUUCCAAACCGAAUCCACCNNNNNNNNNNNNNNNNNNNNNNNNNNNNNNNNNNNNNNNNNNNNNNNNNNNNNNNNNNNNNNNNNNNNNNNNNNNNNNNNNNNNNNNNNNNNNNNNNNNNNNNNNNNNNNNNNNNNNNNNNNNNNNNNNNNNNNNNNNNNNNNNNNNNNNNNNNNNNNNNNNNNNNNNNNNNNNNNNNNNNNNNNNNNNNNNNNNNNNNNNNNNNUUUACUCGUUCCGUAAUACAAGAUCCCGCAACUUACACUAAGUCACAUUGCUUGCAAGGCUUGUGUGUGAUGUUGUAUUACCGAGUGGGCCCCGAGAUACCUCUCCGUCACACGGAGUGACAAAUCCCAGUUUUGAUCCAUACUAACUCAACGGACACCUUCGGAGAUACCUGUAGAGCAUCUUUAUAGCCACCCAGUUACGUUGUGACGUUUGAUACACACAAAGUAUUCCUCCGGUGUCAGUGAGUUAUAUGAUCUCAUGGUCAUAGGAAUAAAUACUUGACACGCAGAAAACAGUAGCAACAAAAUGACACGAUCAACAUGCUACGUAUAUUAGUUUGGGUCUUAGUCCAUCACAUGAUUCUCCUAAUGAUGUGAUCCCGUUAUCAAGUGACAACACUUGCCCAUGGUCAGGAAACCUUGACCAUCUUUGAUCAACGAGCUAGUCAACUAGAGGCUUACUAGGGACAGUGUUUUCUCUAUGUAUCCACACAUGCACUGUGUUUCCAAUCAAUACAAUUAUAGCAUGGAUAAUAAACGAUUAUCAUGAACAAAGAAAUAUAAUAAUAACUAAUUUAUUAUUGCCUCUAGGGCAUAUUUCCAACAAUGGCAUAUAAAGACACUUGUGUUUAUAUUGUCUCAUUAAAAACCUUUUAUGAGAAACCAAUAGGGAAAACUCAUCAAGGGAAAAAGAGUACAAUAUAUGCAAUCUGAUGAUUGUUAAUAGGUUAUAGUUUGGGAGAUUACUCCCCCUGAACUUUGCAAAUAUGAAGGAUGUCUCAUACCAAUUCCAUUGACAUGAACAUGAGAUUCUGUAUAAUCUGUUGGAUUAUAACAGUAGUUUGUUUGCAAAUUAUUUCCUCACUUUUCUAUAAUCCGUGAGGCUAAGUAAUUUCCGAGCAAUGUGAUUUAUGAUAUUGCUCUUCAUAUAACCUAUAUGUAUUGAGUAACACAAGUGGAAGUAUCUUGGUAAAUCAAGUUAUGUGAUUCUGAUGAAUCUCAACCACAUGAUUUUGAGUGUGGUUAACCAUUCUACUAAGUUAUGCAUAUUUUGCAAUGCCUUUAGAUAAAGCAAUUAUGUUAGAAUGAUAACUGGAAAUAACCACUAAAAUCCAUUUAUAUGACUUCCAUGUGAAGGCUAUUCCAGCAAAUUCACUCAUUGAUAUGGCAUCGUUGGGAUCAAAUAAAGAGCCAAUAUCAUUACAUCAUAUCAUGGUCAUAUCUUCUAUUUCCUGAUGGAAAUAUCCAAGAUUUACUGUAAUCUUCAGAUAUAAGAUGAUAGUACUUAUAUCAACCAUAUAUCUUUUGUUUGAGGUUGCACUCCGAAUAAAGAUAGCAAAUAUAGUGUCAGGCCUGACGUAGUUUGCAAGUAUAUGAGUGCUUUGACAUUAGUGAGAUAUAGAACUUCAGGUCCUAGUAUCACUUCAUUAUCACCCCUAGGUAUGAAUGAAUUUGUACCUUAUCAAAGGUAGUAUGACCAUACAUGUAUUUUGUUGAUAUGAUAUAUCCAAAUUGAACUUCUCGUAUAUGUUUGGAUAUAUGUAGACUGAUAUGUAUUCUUGAGAGAAUGCUCAAGUUGUAAACUUAAGCUAAAUUUGGUUGAAUCCAAAUUUUCCGUCUUGAGAUGAUUUUAUGUAUGUUUAGGUCUUGUAGAGACAUUGAUGAUGAAAUCAUCAUAUACACUGAGGUGAUGUAAGGAAAUAAAAUUUUGGUAUUCCUUUAUUAACACAUAAACAAUCAUCAUCCUUUGAGUAAUCCUCUGAAGGAGGAACUCGUCUAGUCGGUAAUACCAUAUGAUUCACGACUAUUUCUAGUCAUAGAGUGACUUCUGAAAUUUUACACAUAUAUGUUGCGAUUUAUUUUGGAUUCGGAAUUGUAAGCCCUUGAGGUACUUCGUUAUAAAUUUCUGAAAUGAGUAACCCAUAUGAGUAUGUAGUCACUUCAUCCAUUAACUACAUGGAUAAUAUUAUUUGUACUGCCAAUGAUAUUUGUUAUAUAAACUUAAUUCCACUCAUACCAAAAGGGUAUGUUACAUCAUAAUUUGAUGUCGGGUCUCUGCGUGAACCCUUUUGCUACAAGCCUCGAUUUCUCACCACCUCAUUGAAUUUGUCUAUGAAUGAGAAGCUUUUAGUAUUCCAUAUGGAAGACACUUAUGAGGAGUAGGUAUUACUGUGGUAAAUACCACUCUUUGCUGAGCGAGUGCUAUUCUUCAUUACUUGCUUCCUUUUAUGUGAACCAAUAUGAAUGCAAGAGGCACUCUAUCAUGGAUUUUGGUUCAGGGCCCAAAAGGUUUUAGCAAUUUUCAGAAGAAAUAUAUGUCGUCAAAUGUAGACUUUUGUUAUAUGAUUCUGGAUGAAUCGGUGAAAUUUGUGGAAAUGUAUUUAUUCCUUUUAACUCCUUGUGAUUUCCUACAACAAUGGAGUCAAGGUGUUUCAAUGUCCCGGCACCAAAACAUUUGUGCACAUCUAUGUGGGGCUUUGGAUGAUGAGCAUCCAGUGAGGUGUCUUUCAACUUGAUGUUGAAUUACAUUUACUGGUUAAGGAUUCGAUUUCCUCUAUUUCCGCGGAAGCAUAUGCGAGAUUAUAUCUCGUGUGGUCAGAUUUCUCCCCCUCUUGCUCUCAUUUUGGGAGAAGAGUGGUUUAUCAGGUACCUCCACUCUUUCUGACACUUUACUGGAGGAAUAUAAUUGAGUACACCUUUGUCAUCAGUAAAUGUAUGUGGCAGAUUUGCAAUGUGUUGCAAAUAUGUGAUUCUAAACUUCUUGUUCAGAUUCUUUGAGUACGUGGAUAUAAGGACUGAAUGUGAAUAACAUUUCUAAUUUAUUUCUUGGCAUUUUUUGUGGUACUAAUCUCCCCCUAAUGCCAAAAAUGUCCUUAUUGCUGAUGCAAUCAGCAUACGGGCUAUGAAUGAUUUUGAUUGACGGAUAAAUUUUUAUUCCUCACAUAGAUCCCUAUUUUUUGGGAGAGCCCAUUGAUGUAUGCCGGAGUGGUGAUAUUGUUAUGUAACCGUAUUAUCGCAGAUAGGAAAUACUUUGUUGAUUUCCACGUAAUUACUACAAGGGGAAAGUAGUAUGAUAUGCAGUUGGUAUGAUUUAGAUCAUACUUACGGUGUGUAAGGUCGUAGUUGUCCAGUAAGAGGCUGGUAAAUUUACAAUUCUUUAAAAUUGGUCAUGUAAUAAAUUUCACUAUCUUUGAUAAGAUAUUGAAUUACACAAUUCUGGGUAUGUACAUAAGGUACCAUUGCUAAUGAAAUGGGUUCAACAACAUUGUCCAUUUGAAUGGGUAUAUCCGUUGUCCAGGAUAAUUAGCUCUUACUUUGAUAAGUUGAGCGAUUAAUUUGGUAAGGUCAUUCAUGGUUGUGUGUGACAAGGGACACACUUGAAAUCAUUUUGUAAAUGUUUCCAUGAGUGCCAUGAAGUAUCUAUAUAAGACAACAUAAUGAUUGAGUAAUCCACAUAUCUUCUGAAUGUGUUCAAGGAAGAAUGAGUGGCUCAUUUAGAAUUGUAAGGUGAGAGUGCCUUAAAUUAAUUUCCCCUAUCACACAUGUGGUGCACAUAAAAAUUUGAUGAUUGGGAAAUUUUGCAACUUGUUAAGUUGUGACCAAUAGAAUUGCCAAUAAUUUUUCUAAUCAACCCCAAAUAGGAUUGUAAGGCUUAAAGCCAAGUAUUUUGUAAGAUUUAGAAAAUUAUUUUGUACGCAACAAAACUGAGUAUGAAUUGAUUCACACAUUCAAAAAUUAUCAAAUAUAAUGCCCAAGAAAUAGGAUAAUGGACAUUGCACUACAUGUAGUAGUACAAGUAUAGGCAAACAAUAUUUUGGGAAUAAUCAGGAUAUUACAUGAGGUAUCCCAUAUUAUUGAAAAAUGAAUUACACAAACAUAUCAUAGGUGCAAACGAAUUGAUCAUUCUUUUCUUGCACUAUGUUUGCGGUUCUCCUUCUGAUGAAGAUUCGAGAACAUCAUUUACCAGAAUAGUUUCUGGUCGUAUGUUUGCAAAUUUUCAAAUAUCCCAAUGAACUUAUUUGCCUUUUAAUAAAUUUGUAGUGUGGUUUGACCAUAUGUUUGAGGGUUUGGUAAUCAUAUGUACGAUAUUUAUGUAACCACACAUUUGACAAAUUUGAGAGUUGUCUUUGUGAUCAUUUGGAAAUGAUCAAUUCCCAAUUAAAAGGUAAUUCUGCCAUUGGUUGUCUUUAGCCUCCACUUUACUUUGAAUUCCUCAUGGUUCUAUUUUGUGACCACUCACUUGCUACUCAAUACUAGCAAAUAUUUGAAAUAAUGGUAUGGCACCCGUUGGGUGAAUAUUAUGAUUUUAAGAAAUAAAUGUUUCUUUACCAUGAAAAUGGUAAUGCCAUCAUAAGAGGAUGUAAAGUGUAUUAUGGGCUUUUCCAUUAGAUUCAAAUACGAAAACUAUCUGAUCACAAAAUCUCAACUUAAACUUGAUUUUAUAACUACCAAAUUGUAAGUUGCAAUAGGCUUGAGGCCUUGAAAAAUUAUUGGGUGAUCAUUCCAAAUGUGCUCAUGGCAUCAUGUUUCUUUUAAGGAAAAUAUUCAAGGUGAAUAAAUAUUCAUCCAUUAUUUUCUUAGUUUGAUAACUAAGUGAAGUUGGUGAUUUAUAAAAUGCAUAUGCCCAUAUUAGCUAUUAAGAUAAUAGCCACGACACAUUUUCCCAAGGUGGAGUUAUAGUGGCAACAAUGCCACAUGUGGAUAUAAUGACUGAUGUCAUGAAUCAUCUUAAAAUAAAUACUCCCACCAAAUCAUGCAUUUGGUGUAUUUGGAAAUGUCAGCCAUGUGUUACUUGAAAAUGCUAAUGCAUUUAUUUAAUUUACUGCUAUGAGAAAGUGGCAUCUAUGAAUAAAUGAUUUGUUUGAGAACAAUCAUGGCCAAGGUGAUCCUUGGUGAACCUAUGUAUAUCCUUCAAUACAACACAUGCGAUGAAAUUAUUGCUAAUGUUUUGGAUGUCAUUCUUGAGGAAGUGUGUGACUUUAGAGUCAUUGCCAAAACGUAUAGACUUUGCAUGCUUAACAUUGAUUAGUCACUAUGAUAGUAUCAUCACAAUGUCAUGUUGACAUUGCAGAAGUCCUUGGGAACACUUGCUAUAAAUUAUAGUAUCCAUGUUGAUGGACGGACGACACUAUAAUUAGAAAUAGUGACAUAGGCUUGACUGCCAUGUAUUUUACCAAUGUAAUAGAAGGUAAUCACAAGUAAAUGCAAAUAUUUACGUAGUUCCCUAUGACGCAUUCAAGCAAAAUGAGGCUUGAUUGGUUGAUAUUAUCACAAAAAUACCAUUUCGGCAUAUAGCAAGUGUGCAAAACAAUAUUUACUAUGAGAGUAAAAUAUUUUAGUAAACAACAACAAUAAAUGCUUCGGAGGAGCAAAUUCUAGUAUGGAUGAUGCCAUAUAGCCAUAUGUGUUGACCUCAAUUUAUAUAAGAUAACACUUUGAAGAUAAUCACCAAUAUGGUGUAGAUCUCGGUGUAAUAGAAAACAUAGUCUGACUUUUGUCAGUAGAUGUUCAUAAUUCUAUUACCUUAUGUUAUGCUAUAUUUAAGAAAAUCACUUUGAAGAUAAUCAUAUGUCAGAAUGACAUGAUAUGUAGACCUUGCAGUAAUAGUGGAUAGUCUGUAAACUUUUACAGUAGAUGCCAAUAUUGCCUUAUGAUAUCUAGAGGUAGUCACAUCUAAUAUUAAUAUUUGGAAGAGAACUUUGAAGGUAAUCAUCUUGUAAACACAGACAAGAUGUAGACCUCAUAGUAGUGAUGAAUAAUCUGCGAAUUGUGCAGUAGAUGUCAUCAAUACCUUGUGAUUCACAAAUAAAAUUUUGGGCUAUGUACACAUUAAUAUUUGGAAGAGCACGUUGAAGAUAGUCAUCUUGUCAAAAAUGGCAAAACGUAGAUCUUAUAGUAGUGAUGGAUAAUCUGCAAAAAUAUGCAAUAGAUGCCAUCAAAUACCUUGUAAUUCACAAAUAAACUUGGAUGCCAUCAUAUUAAGUAUGAGAAUACGCGAUCCUUGUUUUGAAUUACAAUAAGAUUUGCAAAAAUUAAAAUUAAUUGCAAAAAUAGUUGUUCUCCUAAAACGCAUGCCUUAGGAAAUGUUUGCGGCAAAGACAUAUAUAUUGUCUUAAAUACCGAAGGAAUAAAUGCACGCAAAGUAUAUUUUUUUUGCAUUUAGUAUUACUGUGGUAAUACAUAUGGAUGCAAACCUUAAUAAUUUACAUAUUUAUGUAAUAUAUGAAAACCAGAGGGCUUCAAAUGCAGCCAACAUAUUUCUGUAAUUUCACGCACAAAAAGUAUAACGAUUAAUCUGCAAAGUAUUCUAAGCCUGAUGGCUCAAUGGGGAUAUGUAAGGGAUUGUCUUUCUUUGCGUGGAUAAGAAUCAAACUGAUGCGUUUGGGUCGUCACUGGGGAGGAUGCUGCCUCGUGGAUGGCGCGAGGGCUCCGCGGUCAAGCGUGAGCGAGAGGUCAGGUCGUCGUGUUGGACGACGGUCGCGUCUGAGGACGCACCACCGGGACUCGUGUCUUGGUCCGUUGGAGCCGGCUGAUGGCCAUGAUGGGGCUUCGCGUCGUGGGAUAGCGACGGGGCCGAGGGUCGCCGUGCGCUCCGGGAUGGUGGCCGCCGUUUCAUCGACGCCGGUAUUGCCUCCCAUUGUCGGGGUGUCUCGCAUGGAUCGAGUCCUCGCCACGUCGGACGUCAUAUUUUACAAGUAGAAGAAACGCCUUCAUGAUGUGGAUGAAGUGCAAUCGCCUCUUCACGAAAGUGGCCGUUAGUGUCACGCAGCCAUGCUUACCGUCGGCCUCUUUAUGGAUGAUUUGAUGAAGCAAUUCGUGAAGAGGGCAAUAAGCAUUGAUCGUGGAUGCCAACGCACGUGUUUUUUUGUCCGUCUUCCUUGUUCGAUGAUUUCUUCCUGCUUCUGUUUGAGUAGCGAUCGAUCCAUUUCGUCAUCGCUAUGCGCGCAUGAUGGAAGAAGUGAUAAACAAAACACAACUACUAUUGUCAUUAGAUAGUGAUUGAUCACAAUAAGACAAAAUCAGAAAUAAAAAGAAAAACCGGCAAUCCCUAAUCCAGUUUCCUCUUUUACGCAUCCAUGCAUGCCCAUGGAUUCUUGCCGUGGAUGGGCAGCAGCGACAUAAAUUUUUUCUGUGCGGAAGCCUUGUGCGCUGGAUGGAGUCCUCAUUGCGAGUGUAGAUGCGGGUGCCGCCCUGACUGAUGUUGCCAUCAGCGUCAAGACUUGAUGCGGUAGUCCGCCGUGCCGGAGAACGUAGAACGUCGGCAACGCUGGGAAUUACAACGUUUUUUUAUCUCGGCCUAAUCGCUCGGAUAAUGGUGGAUGCAUGCUGAUCGAUUUCUCCUGUACAUGUGCAUGCAAACCGGAGAUCCAAUGGAUUUUUCAUACAUGUGCAUGCAAACCGGAGAUUCAAUGGAUUUUUCUGUUCAGUGUGUUCCCAAAUCGUGGUUAGCAGCAAGUGCCCGCUGCCGCUGCAUGCUUCUUCCCAUUGAUGCCGCUUGCGAUGGAGACCGGCGCCAUGGGCAGUUGUUGUGCGUCGUCGGGUGUGACAAUCUGGCGCUGUUGCCUGCAUGCGGCCUCUGUCGUUCUUCAUUGUAGCCUAUCUCUCUAGCGGAGAGCAAAGUGCAUGAAAGUGAAUGGACGAGCAGUCCUCUUUCUAUUGAUUCUCAAGUAUAUAUACAUCUGAAAGAGGUGCGAAGAAGAGGUGUCUGUUCGGAGGCAUCCCUCCAGAACAGGUGCCUGUUGGCAAUAGACACAAAGAGGAGACACGACUGUUCGGGUUGGACAUAUUCCUUGAAUUAAUCUACUAAUUAAUUUCUAACAAGAUCCACCUAAGACGAACACUAUUCGGAUCCUACAAGUUCUGUCGGAGACACACCUUCCAAUGAUGCUAGAUUCAAGAUGGGAAUGGGCCAGCCUGGACCUGGCCUUGGACCUGGCCCCGCUGCCUCAAAGCCAAUUUCAGGGCCGACCCAAAAUUCAGCUAGAACUGCAUAGUUGAGCCAGAUGCGUCCUUGUUUCAGGAAUGCUUGUUGAGGUAGAGCGUCUUUUCAUUGGGCCGGAUGCGGAAGGGGCCGACCUCCUCGGACGCGCCAUAGCCGACGGAGGACCAGCCAGGCCCGCCGUUGAGCCAGAGGAUGAGCGGCGUGACGGGCCCGUCCGUCGGGGCUGCCUCGAUGAGCCAGUAGAAGAGCGUGUGGCCGCGGGCCUGGUUGACCGUGACGUAGCCCGUGUACUGCGAGAAGUCCACGUUGGACGGCUGCCCUGGGAGCUCCCGGAUCCGGUAGCCCUCCUGGUCGGCCAGCGCUGCGGCGGCUGGCAGUGACAUCGACGCCCACACUAGCAGCGCCGCGAGCCAUCGGCUGGUGGUGGAGUGGAGGAAGCGGGCAGUGGAGCUGAGCUUACAAGCACGCAGCUUGCUUGCACUUGCACAGUAUGCAAACACUCGUGUUGCCGCUGCUGACAAAAGCUUAGCUGUAUGAUACUAGGGUUGCUUGCAUGGAUUUCGGCGGGAGAUUUGAUUUUCUGAUCCUUACGCCAUGACAGCUAGCUGAGGGGCCUCGGCUGGGCUGGAUCCCCGACGAUAAAGAAAUGGGGAGGAGGCGUGUGUGUGAAUGGAGGCGGAAGGAAGAAGAUGAGGCUGGACACAUGGGGCUGGAGCCUUGAAGGGGCAUGUGCGAUGGUGGUGACACUAGCAGUGGCAGUGGCGGGAGGUAGCCGGGCAACGUGAUCAGAUUACUGGGUCAACCCGUGUAGUCCAUUGGGUCGCACGGUGCCGACUCUAGUGACCCAUUUAUGUUUCAGGUCCAACCCACCUGGCCCAUUGGCCUCGACAAAUUGGGUCGGGUCAGUGACCCAGGGGGCCGACCCGACCCAUUCCCAUCUUGAUGCUAGAUGCAUCACUAAAAUAGGCACUAAGUGAGAAAAACCUUGUUCCAUCUUUAUCCACCGUUGUGUUGCCUUCAUAAGUACGUAGGACAUAAAACAGACCUAGAACACCAAAAAAAAAAGUAAGACCUGCCCGUCGGCAAUGGUCAGGGUCCACCGCACCUCCAUCUCCAUGAUCCUAAGGCCACAACAGAUGAAGCAGACCCGGGACGGGGCGUGUUGACGUAUAAUGUGUUGCCCAGUCUCUUUCAUCAGAUCGGUCUUUUGGUUGCAUUGGCUAGAGCAUGCACUUCUACAUGGUAUUAGAGUUAAGAGGUCUUGAAUUCAAAACUCGGCUGACGUAAUUAAAUUGCAUCUCUUCCAUCAGAUCUUAGGUUAGACGGAUUUCGGUCUGAUGCAAGAUUCCGUGCCGUGUUAGUGGGCAGCCGCUUUAUGAGAAAAUAGGCGCCAAAAGUUCGUUCUGCAGCCGAGGCCAUUGCGUAGGAUGCCACAUUCGUUGGCGGGUGACUGGUAAACAUGGCGAUCACACGCCCUUCAAAUUCUAAGCACAUGUCUGCGAUCAGAUUACAGCUGCUGCGGUCCGUCUCCGUGGCUUCCCCUUCUGGCCGUUGACAAGCUGCUGAGCCCAACAGGUCUUUCAGGGUGUGCCGUUAAGCAUAACCACCUGCAUUAUGCUCCACACCACUCUACUGUAGGAACAAUCUAGAACUUUUGAUGUGCACAUGAUAAUUUUUUGCAUGCAUUUAUUUAGCCAGACCCAAUUGAAAGUUUCAAGUACGCGAUGGGGCAAAAAAAGAUGCACGUAAGCAAACACCCCCGAAGUAUAUGCAUUAGGUUUUUCUGCUUUGAAACGUCUAUCUAUAUACUCUGUCGCAAAAAAAAAAACGUCUAUCUAUAUACUGCCUUCAUUUCUAAAUAUAAUCUUUUUAUAGAUUUUACUACGAAUUACAUACUGAUGUAUAUAUACAUACUUUAGUGUGUUGAUUCGUAUGUACUCUCUCUGUAAACUAACAUAAGAGCAUUUAGAUCACUAUUUUAGUGAUCUAAAUGCUCUUAUAUUAGUUUACAGAGGGAGUAGUCUAUAGUAAAAUUCUAUAAAGAUUUAUAUUUAGAAACGGAGGAAGUAUAAUAUAUAGUCUCACGAGGGUGUUUGUUGUGACCCGUAAGAUUUGCGUCAUGAUUUUUCUUUGGCCGCAGUUUGAGAUAACCACACGAUCAUUUCGGCAUGGGAUGGUCUCCUUCGGUUCACCCGUCCAAUCAUACCUGGCCAAAUGGGCCGGCAAGGCAUGGCCCAGCACGGCCCGUUGUAAUCGAGCCUGGCACGGCAUAACCCUACUCGGGCCGUGUCGUGCCGGCCCGUGGGCUGCGCCUCCAGGUCCAAGCACAGUCCGGUUAUCAAACAGUCCGACAUGUUGGCCCGAUUAGCACGCUGGGUCGCAUAUUUUUAGCCUCAUGGGCUCAUUUUUAGGUCCAUUGGGCUGUAUAUAAUAAUAAUAAAAAUUAAACGGACCGUACCGUGUCGGCCCGCGUGCCCAGCCUUCAGGCCCAGACACGGCCCGAGGCGUGCUGGACACGAGCGAUUAAAGCGUGCCGGGCCAGACCCGUAUGGUGUCAGGCCGGCGUGCUAUCAGGGUCGGUCCAUACAUAUUCCGGGCCCUGGGACGAGACGAUAAAAUGAGGCCCUUGUGGACAAAUCAAAUGUUUUUCGGAAGAAAUUUCGUACAUAGCAUAGAUUGAUCGUCCAAAAUACUACAUCAGAAUAAUAUGAAAACAAUAUAGUUCUAUAAAAGAGCGCUCUUCUAAGUUGCAGAAAAGAGACUAUCAUUUCGCUCUUUUAACUAUGAAAACUUGUCAAAACUGAUAGCAACUUGAACAUUUUAUUUAUUUUUUACUUUUUUUUCUCAGAGAUAAACAAUUUUUAGAACACAUGUCACCAAAUAAUUACAGAAAAACUGUCAAUAUAUACAGGGAACAAAAGCAUCUGAGUAUGGGCAUAUGGCUUGAUGUCGAAUUGUCGAUGUAGUUUCCGAGAUCUACAAGGUUGCAAUACUCAUUCCCCGUCCCCCCUUCUCAUCCCUGGAUCAAAUGAAGGUUUGAAAAACAGGCCAACAAAAGAGUAAAAACUAGGAAGAGAAGAAUUGAAGAUGUCAGAUGGAGAGGCGGGUCGUUUAACAGGAAUGAAAAAGAGUACUUCAUUAGGCGAAGAAGGGAGACGUACCAUCUUUGAUGUGGUGAUGCCUCAAACGUCUAUUGAUGGGCAACGUUGAGGAUGCAAUGAGAGGUGAUUGGGGAAGGGGAUAGCACCAUUGGUCUCCAUUAGUGGAUGCAGGGAGCACCACCUCGAAUUUGGAAGUGCACGAGGGGCGGCGUUGUUCUCUGGGAUUGGAGAAUUUGGGGGAGGAGCCGAGGAGGCGAGGUUUUUUCAGGAGCCGAAGAGGCAAGGUGACUGGAGGAGAUCGAUGGAGUGCUGCAGCAGCCUAGCGAACCAGCGAUCGAUUCUUUCCGUCCGGGAGUGCUAGCUACGUGAUGGGCUUGAGCCUUUUUUUCCCUCCUAUUUUUUUGACCUAAAGGAAAAAAAUAUCCUAAUACGUAAAAUGUACUACUACCUAGAAAGGGGCCCCUACGUCCCAGGGCCCCAGGGCGGUAGCCCCGUUGCCCCGACCUAUGGGCCGGCCCUGCGUGCUAUCGGGCGACCCGAUUUACACGGCCCGUUUAGCCAGAUGUGCGUCCAAUUACCUCUUCAAGCUGUCCUUCUGAAUGCAUCAAAUUUGACCCGUCGACCACCGUGUGAUUUACUGAGUUGCCACUGUACUAUCAAAAUAAUCACUAUUCAGUUUACUUGGCUUCUUUGGGAGAUUUGACGAAGUUGCCAUUGUAUCAAAAUUACCAUCAUUCAAUUUACUUUCUUUCGUAAUGUUUUUACCAUGGUGGAAUAUGAUAUAUGAACCUAAGAGAAAAUUGCAAAAUGUGUUAGGCGGGAUGUUCUUUGAGGGUAAUAACAAGGUGUGCUAUUAAUUUCUUUUCCUUUUGUGGAAUCUAUUAACAUUUUUUGUUGAUAGACUUUUCCUUCUUUAUUUAUUCACUAGUACAAAUGCCCGUGCGUUGCACCGGGCAAAAUAAACAUAACGGGAUUCAUGUCAUUCUGCAUCAUUUUUUUAUAUCCGAUUUUACUAAAUGUCUAUGAUAAAGUUAAACGUGCAUAUUUUCUUAUUUUUAAUAAAAGUUAAUGUUUUCAUAAAGAUUGGACCACUUUCUAAGUAUAGUUCAAUUUUUAAGAAACCGGAACAUUUCUUUAAAAAGAGCAAUUUUAAACAUAUUUUGCUCCUGUUCGACUUUGACAAACAUUAUAACUAGCAACUAUGUGGAAGUAUUGUUUCUAUAGACAUGCCUAUAACAGUUUGACUAAAAGGAAAAAUAUAAAUAGGUACAUUCAAGAACAAAGGAACCACAGUGUUCCAAGUUCAAAAAAAAACUUUGAACAGAUGGCAACGAGUAUAUAUACCAAAACAAAAAAAUGAACGACAAUUGCAAACAUAACUCGUUGCAUCCAUCAAGAGUGCUUGUCACGUAAUAUCAUCUCCAGCUUCACACUAAUCUAAGGGAGAAAAGUAUCCAAGGUACAUGAACCACACAAAACCAACCCUAGUUGGAAUGUAAAAUUAUCCCAUCUAGGACUGCAUGGUGUCACCCACAUCUGUUUCCCCUUGCACUUCACUAAUCAUGUACUGGAAUUGAACUAAUCCAUCUGCUAGGAAAUGAGAAAUAGGAUUCAGUAAUGUAUGUCAAAUAACCAUGUUGCACUAUUCAACACGAAAAUAUAGCAUUGAUGUACAAUUCAAACUAACAAUCUCAAACGUAUGGGGGUAACCGUUGGGCGCCGGUUUAUGUAUGUUAAUUUCCGCUAAACCUUUUGUUACCGAGGGAUCUGUUGAAUGGAAUGAAAUCGGGAGCUUUGGUCAUGAAUUCAAAAAAAACAUGUUAUCAAAAGGAAGUUAUGUUGGAAAUAUACCCUAGAGGCAAUAAUAAAUUAGUUAUUAUUAUAUUUCUUUGUUCAUGAUAAUCGUCUAUUAUCCAUGCUAUAAUUGUAUUGAUUGGAAACACAGUGCAUGUGUGGAUACAUAGACAAAACAUUGUCCCUAGUAAGCCUCUAGUUGACUAGCUCGUUGAUCAAAGAUGGUCAAGGUUUCCUGACCAUAGGCAAGUGUUGUCACUUGAUUACGGGAUCACAUCAUUAGGAGAAUCAUGUGACGGACUAGACCCAAACUAAUAGACGUAGCAUGUUGAUCGUGUCAUUUUGUUGCUACUGUUUUCUGCGUGUCAAGUAUUUGUUCCUAUGACCAUGAGAUCAUAUAACUCACUGACACCGGAGGAAUGCUUUAUGUGUAUCAAACGUCGCAACGUAACUGGGUGACUAUAAAGAUGCUCUACAGGUAUCCCCGAAGGUGUUCGUUGAGUUAGUAUGGAUCGAGACUGGGAUUUGUCACUCCGUGUGACGGAGAGGUAUCUCGGGGCCCACUCGGUAAUACAACAUCACACACAAGCCUUGCAAGCAAUGUGACUUAGUGUAAGUUGCGGGAUCUUGUAUUACGGAACGAGUAAAGAGACUUGCCGGUAAACGAGAUUGAAAUAGGUAUGCGGAUACUGACGAUCGAAUCUCGGGCAAGUAACAUACCGAAGGACAAANNNNNNNNNNNNNNNNNNNNNNNNNNNNNNNNNNNNNNNNNNNNNNNNNNNNNNNNNNNNNNNNNNNNNNNNNNNNNNNNNNNNNNNNNNNNNNNNNNNNNNNNNNNNNNNNNNNNNNNNNNNNNNNNNNNNNNNNNNNNNNNNNNNNNNNNNNNNNNNNNNNNNNNNNNNNNNNNNNNNNNNNNNNNNNNNNNNNNNNNNNNNNNNNNNNNNNNNNNNNNNNNNNNNNNNNNNNNNNNNNNNNNNNNNNNNNNNNNNNNNNNNNNNNNNNNNNNNNNNNNNNNNNNNNNNNNNNNNNNNNNNNNNNNNNNNNNNNNNNNNNNNNNNNNNNNNNNNNNNNNNNNNNNNNNNNNNNNNNNNNNNNNNNNNNNNNNNNNNNNNNNNNNNNNNNNNNNNNNNNNNNNNNNNNNNNNNNNNNNNNNNNNNNNNNNNNNNNNNNNNNNNNNNNNNNNNNNNNNNNNNNNNNNNNNNNNNNNNNNNNNNNNNNNGGGAGGACCCCCCCCUUGGCUCGGCCGACCCCCUUGGGGCUCCUUGAGCCCCAAGGCAAGGCCCCCCUCUCCCACCUAUAUAUACGGAGGUUUUAGGGCUGAUUUGAGACAACUUUGCCACGGUAGCCCGACCACAUACCUCCACGGUUUUACCUCUAGAUCGCGUUUCUGCGGAGCUCGGGCGGAGCCCUGCUGAGAUAAGAUCACCACCAACCUCCGGAGCGACGUCACGCUGCCGGAGAACUCAUCUACCUCUCCGUCUCUCUUGCUGGAUCAAGAAGGCCGAGAUCAUCGUCGAGCUGUACGUGUGCUGAACGCGGAGGUGCCGUCCGUUCGGCACUAGAUCAUGGGACGGAUCGCGGGACGGUUCGCGGGGCGGAUCGAGGGACGUGAGGACGUUCCACUACAUCAACCGCGUUUCUUAACGCUUCUGCUGUGCGAUCUACAAGGGUACGUAGAUCGAAUAUCCCCUCUCGUAGAUGGACAUCACCAUGAUAGGUCUUCGUGCGCGUAGGAAAUUUUUUGUUUCCCAUGCGACGUUCCCCAACAGUGGCAUCAUGAGCUAGGUUCAUGCGUAGAUGUCUUCUCGAGUAGAACACAAAAGUUUUUGUGGGCAGUGAUGUGCGUUUUGCUGCCCUCCUUAGUCUUUUCUUGAUUCCGCGGUAUUGUUGGAUUGAAGCGGCUUGGACCGACAUUACUCGUACGCUUACGAGAGACUGGUUUCAUCGCUACGAGUAACCCCUUUGCUCAAAGAUGACUGGCAAGUGUCGGUUUCUCCAACUUUAGUUGAAUCGGAUUUGACCGAGGAGGUCCUUGUAUAAGGUUAAAUAGCAAUUCAUAUAUCUCCGUUGUGGUGUUUGCGUAAGUAAGAUGCGAUCCUACUAGAUACCCAUGGUCACCACGUAAAACAUGCAACAACAAAAUUAGAGGACGUCUAACUUGUUUUUGCAGGGUAUGCUUGUGAUGUGAUAUGGCCAACGAUGUGAUGUGAUAUAUUGGAUGUAUGAGAUGAUCAUGUUGUAAUAGAUAAUAUCGACUUGCACGUCGAUGGUACGGCAACCGGCAGGAGCCAUAGGGUUGUCUUUAAACUAACGUUUGUGCUUGCAGAUGCGUUUACUAUUUUGCUAGGAUGUAUCUUUUGUAGUAAUAGCAUGAGUAGCACGACAACCCCGAUGGCGACACGUUGAUGGAGAUCAUGGUGUGGCGCCGGUGACAAGAAGAUCGUGCCGGUGCUUUGGUGAUGGAGAUCAAGGAGCACGUGAUGAUGGCCAUAUCAUGUCACUUAUGAAUUGCAUGUGAUGUUAAUCCUUUUUUGCACCUUAUCUUGCUUAGAACGACGGUAGCAUUAUGAGGUGAUCUCUCACUAAAAUUUCAAGACGAAAUUGUGUUCUCCCCGACUGUGCACCGUUGCGACAGUUCUUCGUUUCGAGACACCACGUGAUGAUCGGGUGUGAUAGACUCAACGUUCAGAUACAACGGGUGCAAAAUAGUUGCACACACGGAACACUCGGGUUAAGCUUGACGAGCCUAGCAUGUGCAGACAUGGCCUCGGAACACAUGAGACUGAAAGGUCGAGCAUGAAUCGUAUAGUUGAUAUGAUUAGCAUAGAGAUGCUUACCACUAAAACUAUUCUCGACUCACGUGAUGAUCGGACUUGAGAUAGUGGAUUUGGAUCAUGUACCACUCAAAUGACUAGAGAGAUGUACUUUUUGAGUGGGAGUUCUUAAGUAAUAUGAUUAAUUGAACUAAUUGUCAUGAACAUAGUCUAAUGGUCUUUGCCAAUUACGAUGUAGCUUGCGCUAUAGCUCUACUGUUUUUAUAUGUUUCUAGAGAAAAUUUAGUUGAAAGUUGAUAGUAGCAAACUUUGCAGACUGAGUCUAUAAAACCGAGGAUUGUCCUCGUUGCUGCGUAGAAGGCUUAUGUCCUUAAUGCACCACUCGGUGUGCUGCACCUCGAGCGUCGUCUGUAGAUGUUGUGAACAUCCUACAUACACGUUUCUGAUGACUACACGAUAGUUCAGUGCAAAAUACUGAAUGGCUUAGAAGCAAGGCGCCGAAGAUGUUUUGAAACAUCAUGGAACAUAAGAGAUGUUCUAAAGAGAUGAAAUUGUGAUUUCAUGCCUGUGCCCUUGUUAAGAGGUAUGAGACCUCCGACAAGAUUCUUUGUCCACGAAGUAAAGGAGAAAAUCUCAAUCGUUGAGCAUGUGCUCAGAUUAUGUGAGUACGACAAUCGCUUGAAUCAAGUGGGAGUUGAUCUUCCAGAUAAGAUAGUGAUGGUUCUCCAAAGUCACUGCCACCAAGCUGUGAUUGCUUCGUGAUGAACUAUAACAUAUCAAGGAUAGAUACAAUGAUCCUUGAGCAAUUCGCGAUGUUUGACACUGCGAAAGUAGAAAUCAAGAAGGAGCAUCAAUAGUUGAUGGUUAGUAAAACCACUAAGUUUCAAGAAAGGCAAGGGCUAGAAGGGAUACUUCGUGAAACGGCAAAACAAUUGCUGCACUAAUGAAGAUACCCAAGAUUAAACCCAAACCCGAGACUAAAGUGCUUCUGUAAUGAGGGGAACAGUCACUGAGGCGGAGCAACUCUAGAUACUUGGUAGAUAAGAAGGCUGGCAAAAGUCGAAAGAAGUAUAUUUGAUAUACAUGAUGUUGAUGUGUACUUUACUAGUACUCCUAGUAGCACGAGGGUAUUGGAUACCAGUUCGGUUGCUAAGUGAUUAGUAACACGAAAUAAAAGCUAUGGCAUAAACGGAGACUAGCUAAAGGCAUGAUCGGGUGUGAUAGACUCAACGUUCACAUACAACGGGUGCAAAACAGUUGCGCACGCGGAACACUCGGGUUAAGCUUGACGAGCCUAGCAUGUGUAGACGUGGCCUCGGAACACAUGAGACCGAAAGGUCGAUCAUGAAUCAUAUAGAUGAUAUGAUUAGCAUGGGGAUGCUUACCGCUGAAACUAUGCUCAACUCACGUGAUGAUCGGACUUGAGCUAGUGUAGGUGGAUCAUGAACCACUCAAAUGACUAGAGAGAUGUACUUUUUGAGUGGGAGUUUAGCGAGUAAUUUGAUUAAGUUAAACUCUAAUUAUCUUGAACAUAGUCUAAGUCCACUUUGAAUAUAUUUGUGUUGUAGAUCAUGGCUCACGCGACAGUCACCCUGAAUUUUAAUACGUUCCUAGAGAAAGCUAAGUUGAAAGAUGAUGGAAGCAACUUUGUAGACUGGGCUCGUAAUCUUAAGCUAAUCUUACAAGCUCGGAAGAAGGAUUAUGUCCUUAAUGCUGCGCUAGGAGAUGAACCACCCGCUACGGCUGAUCAGGAUGUUGAGAACGCUUGGUUAGCACAUAAGGAGGACUACUCAGUAGUUCAAUGUGCAGUCUUGUAUGGCUUAGAACCAGGACUUCAACGUCGCUUUGAGCGUCAUGGAGCAUUUGAGAUGUUCCAGGAGCUGAAGUUUAUCUUUCAGAAGAACGCCCGGAUCAAGAGGUAUGAGACCUCCGAUAAAUUCUAUGCUUGCAAGAUGGAGGAGAACUCGCCUGUCAGUGAACAUGUGCUCAAAAUGUCUGGGGUACUCAAACCGUCUAGCUGAGCUGGGGAUUGAACUCCCACAAGAAGCUAUCACUGACAGAAUCCUUCAAUCACUGCCGCCAAGCUAUAAAGGCUUUGUGUUGAACUACAACAUGCAAGGGAUGAACAAGUCUCUUGGCGAGUUGUUUGCGAUGCUGAAAGUCGCAGAGUCUGAACUCCGUAAAGAACAUCAAGUGUUGAUGGUGAAUAAGACCACUAGUUUCAAGAGAAACGGCAAAGGCAAGAAGGGUAAUUCAAAGAAGAGCGGCAAGCCUUUUUCCAAUCCGACAAAGAAACCCAAAGCUGGACCUAAGCCUGAAACAGAGUGUUACUAUUGCAAGGGUAUGGGUCACUGGAAGCGCAAUUGCCCCAAGUAUUUGGCUGAUAAGAAGGCGGGCAAAGAAAAAUCAGGUAUAUUUGAUAUACAUUUUAUUGAUGUGUACUUAACCGACUCUCGUAGUAGUGCCUGGGUAUUCGAUGCCGGUUCUGUUGCUCAUAUUUGCAACUCGAAACAGGAACUGCGGAAUAGACGAAGGCUGGCGAAAGAUGAAGUGACGAUGCGCGUAGGAAAUGGUUCCAAGGUUGAUGCAAUCGCCGUCGGCACAGUUUCACUUCGGUUACCAUCAGGAUUAGUUAUGAACUUGAAUCAUUGUUAUUUAGUGCCUGCGUUGAGCAUGAACAUUAUAUCUGGAUCUUGUUUAUUGCGAGACGGUUACUCUUUUAAGUCAGAGAAUAAUGGUUGUUCUAUUUCUAUGAGUAACAUCUUUUAUGGUCAUGCACCCAAUGUGAGAGGAUUGUUCAUAUUGAAUCUUGAUAGUGAUACACACAUACAUAACAUUGAGACCAAAAGAGUUAGAGUUAACAAUGAUAGCGCCAUAUUUUUGUGGCACUACCGCUUAGGUCAUAUUGGUGUAAAGCGCAUGAAGAAACUCCAUGCCGAUGGACUUUUGGAGUCACUUGACUUUGAUUCGCUUGACAUGUGCGAACCAUGCCUCAUGGGCAAGAUGACUAAAACUCCGUUCUCUGGAACAAUGGAGCGUGCAAGUGACUUGUUGGAAAUCAUACAUACCGAUGUGUGUGGUCCGAUGAGCGUAGAGGCACGCGGCGGAUAUCGUUAUUUUCUCACCUUCACUGACGAUUUGAGUAGAUAUGGUUAUGUCUACUUAAUGAAGCACAAGUCUGAAACAUUUGAAAAGUUCAAGCAAUUUCAGAGUGAAGUUGAAAAUCAUCGUAACAAGAAGAUCAACUUCCUACGGUCUGAUCGUGGGGGUGAAUAUCUGAGUUUCGAGUUUGGUGCUCACUUAAGACAAUGUGGAAUUGUUUCACAGUUGACACCGCCUGGAACACCACAACGUAAUGGUGUGUCCGAACGUCGUAAUCGUACUUUAUUAGAGAUGGUGCGAUCUAUGAUGUCUCUUACCGAUUUGCCGUUAUCGUUUUGGGGUUAUGCAUUAGAAAUAGCUGCAUUCACUUUAAAUAGGGCGCCAUCAAAAUCCGUUGAGACGACACCAUACGAAUUGUGGUAUGGCAAAAGGCCAAAGUUUUUCGUUUCUUAAAGUUUGGGGAUGUGAUGCUUAUGUCAAAAAGCUUCAGCCUAAAAAGCUGGAACCCAAAGCGGAAAAGUGCAUCUUCAUAGGUUACCCAAAAGAGACAGUUGGGUACACCUUCUAUCUCAAAUCCGAGGGCAAAGUGUUUGUUGCUAAAAAUGGAGCUUUUCUCGAGAAGGAGUUUCUCUCGAGAGAAUUGAGUGGGAGGAAGAUAGAACUUGAUGAGGUUGUCGAACCUCUCAUCCCUCUGGAUGGUGGCGCAGGGCAAGGGGAAACCUCUAUCAUUGCGACGCUGGUUGAGGAGGAAGUUAAUGAUGAUGAUCAUGAAACUCUGGUUCAAGUUUCUGUCGGACCACGCAGGUCGACGAGACCACGUGCUGCUCCAGAGUGGUACGGUAAUCCCGUCUUGUCAAUCAUGUUGUUAGACAACAAUGAACCUGCAAAUUUGAAGAAGCAAUGGUGGACCCAGAUUCCAACAAAUGGCUAGAAGCCAUGAAGUACGAGAUAGGAUCCAUGUAUGAGAACAAAGUGUGGACUUUGGAAGUACUACCUGAGAGCCGCAAGGCUAUUCAGAACAAAUGGAUCUUUAAGAGGAAGACGGACGCUGACGGCAAUGUGACCGUUUAUAAAGCUCGACUUGUGGCAAAGGGUUUUUCACAAGUUCAAGGAGUUGACUACGAUGAGACAUUCUCACCCGUAGCGAUGCUUAAGUCCGUCAGAAUCAUGUUAGCAAUAGCUGCAUUUUUCGAUUAUGAAAUCUGGCAGAUGGAUGUCAAAACGGCGUUCCUUAACGGUUUCCUUAAUGAAGAGUUGUAUAUGAUGCAACCCGAAAGUUUUGUCGAUCCUAAGAAUGCUAACAAAGUGUGCAAGCUCCGGCGAUCCAUUUAUGGACUGGUGCAAGCAUCUCGGAGUUGGAACAAACGCUUUGAUGAGGUGAUCAAAGCAUUUGGGUUUAUACAAGUGGUUGGAGAAUCUUGUAUUUACAAGAAAGUGAGUGGGAGCUCUGUGGCGUUUCUAAUAUUAUAUGUGGAUGACAUAUUGCUGAUUGGAAACAACGUAGAGUUUUUGGAGAGCAUAAAAGAUUACUUGAAUAAAAGUUUCUCUAUGAAGGACCUAGGAGAAGCUGCUUACAUUCUAGGCAUUAAGAUCUACAGGGAUAGAUCGAAACGCCUGAUAGGACUUUCACAAAGCACAUACCUUGAUAAAGUUUUGAAGAGGUUCAAAAUGGAAUAGUCCAAGAAAGGGUUCUUGCCAGUUUUACAAGGUACGAGAUUGAGUAAGACUCAAUGCCCAACAACUGAUGAGGAUAGAGAGCAUAUGAGCACCGUCCCCUAUGCUUCAGCCAUAGGUUCUAUCAUGUAUGCAAUGCUGUGCACUAGACCGGACGUUAGCUUGGCCAUAAGUAUGGCAGGCAAGUUCCAGAGUAAUCCAGGAGUGGAUCAUUGGACGGUGGUCAAGAAUAUCCUGAAGUACCUGAAAAGGACUAAGGAGAUGUUUCUCGUGUAUGGAGGUGACGAAGAGCUCGCCGUAAAGGGUUACGUCGAUGCAAGCUUUGACACAGAUCCGGACGACUCUAAGUCGCAGACCGGAUACGUAUUUAUUCUUAAUGGGGGUGCGGUAAGCUGGUGCAGUUNNNNNNNNNNNNNNNNNNNNNNNNNNNNNNNNNNNNNNNNNNNNNNNNNNNNNGAGCGUCGUAGCAGAUUUUACAUGUGAAGCGGAGUACAUGGCUGCCUCGGAGGCGGCUAAGGAGGGUGUCUGGAUGAAGCAGUUCAUGACGGAUCUUGGAGUGGUGACAAGUGCACUGAAUCCAAUAACCUUGUUCUGUGACAACACGGGUGCCAUUGCCUUAGCAAAGGAACCACAGUUUCACAAGAAGUCCAGACACAUCAAACGAUGCUUCAACCUCAUCCGCGACUACGUCGAAGGGGAGGACGUGAAUAAAUGCAAAGUGCACACGGAUCUGAAUGUAGCAGACCCGCUGACUAAACCUCUUCCACGGGCAAAGCAUGAUCAACACGAGAACUGUAUGGGUGUUAGAUUUAUUACAAUGUAAUUCGCAUGAUGAUGUGAGGGCUAGAUUAUUGACUCUAGUGCAAGUGGGAGACUGUUGGAAUUAUGCCCCAGAGGCAAUAAUAAAUAUAGUUAUUAUUAUAAUUCCUGUAUCAAGAUAAUCGUUUAUUAUCCAUGCUAUAAUUGUAUUGAAUGAAGACUUAUAUACAUGUGUGGAUACAUAGACAAAACACUGUCCCUAGCAAGCCUCUAGUUGGCUAGCCAGUUGAUCAAAGAGAGUCAGUGUCUUCUGAUUAUGAACAAGGUGUUGUUGCUUGAUAACUGGAUCACGUCAUUAGGAGAAUCACGUGAUGGACUAGACCCAAACUAAUAGACGUAGCAUCUUGAUCGUGUCAUUUUGUUGCUACUGUUUUCUGCGUGUCAAGUAUUUGUUCCUAUGACCAUGCGAUCAUAUAACUCACUGACACCGGAGGAAUACUUUGUGUGUAUCAAACGUCGCAAAGUAACUGGGUGACUAUAAAGAUGCUCUACAGGUAUCUCCGAAGGUGUUCGUUCAGUUAGUAUGGAUCGAGACUGGGAUUUGUCACUCCGUGUGAUGGAGAGGUAUCUCGGGGCCCACUCGGUAAUACAACAUCACACACAAGCCUUGCAAGCAAUGUGACUUAGUGUAAGUUGCGGGAUCUUGUAUUACGGAACGAGUAAAGAGACUUGCCGGUAAACGAGAUUGAAAUAGGUAUGCGGAUACUGACGAUCGAAUCUCGGGCAAGUAACAUACCGAAGGACAAAGGGAAUGACAUACGGGAUUAUAUGAAUCCUUGGCACUGAGGUUCAAACGAUAAGAUCUUCGUAUAAUAUGUAGGAUCCAAUAUGGGCAUCCAGGUCCCGCUAUUGGAUAUUGACCGAGGAGUCUCUCGGGUCAUGUCUACAUAGUUCUCGAACCCGCAGGGUCUGCACACUUAAGGUUUGACGUUGUUUUAUGCGUAUUUGAGUUAUAUGGUUGGUUACCGAAUGUUGUUCGGAGUCCCGGAUGAGAUCACGACGAAUGGGUUCCGGGUGUUCACCGGGGGGGGCAACCCACCUCGGGGAAGCCCAUAGGCCUUGGGGGUGGCGCACCAGCCCUUAGUGGGCUGGUGGGACAGCCCAAGAAGGCCCUAUGCGCCAUAGGAAGAAAAUCAAAGAGUAAAAAAAGAGGAGCUGGGAAAAGGGGGAAGGACUCCUCCUUCCAAACCUAGUUGGACUCGGUUUGGAAGGGGAGGGUUCCCCCCUUAGGCUCGGCCGACCCCCUUGGGAGUCCUUGGACCCCAAGGCAAGGCUCCCCCUCCUCCCCCUAUAUAUACGGAGGUUUUAGGGCUGAUUUGACACAACUUUGUCACGGCAGCCCGACCACAUAUCUCCACGGUUUUACCUCUAGAUCGCGUUUCUGCGGAGCUCGGGCGGAGCCCUCCUGAGAUAAGAUCACCACCAACCUCCGGAGCGCCGUCACGCUGUCGGAGAACUCAUCUACCUCUCCGUCUCUCUUGCUGGAUUAAGAAGGCCGAGAUCAUCGUCGAGCUGUACGUGUGCUGAACGCGGAGGUGCCGUCCGUUCGGCACUAGAUCGUGGGACUGAUCCCGGGACGGUUCGCGGGGCGGAUCGAGGGACGUGAGGACGUUCCACUACAUCAACCGCGUUCACUAACGCUUCUGCUGUACGGUCUACAAGGGUACGUAGAUCACACAUCCCCUCUCGUAGAUGGACAUCACCAUGAUAGGUCUUCGUGCGCGUAGGAAAUUUUUUGUUUCCCAUGUGACGUUCCCCAACACCGUCACGCUGCCGGAGAACUCAUCUACCUCUCCGCCUCUCUUGCUGGAUCAAGAAGGCCGAGAUCAUCGUCGAGCUGUGCGUGUGCUGAACGCGGAGGUGCCGUCCGUUCGGCACUAGAUCGUGGGACUGAUCGCGGGACGGUUCGCGGGGCGGAUCGAGGGACGUGAGGACGUUCCACUACAUCAACCGCGUUUCUUAACGCUUCUGCUGUGCGAUCUACAAGGGUACGUAGAUCGAAUAUCACCUCUCGUAGAUGGACAUCACCAUGAUAGGUCUUCGUGCGUGUAGGAAAUUUUUUGUUUCCCAUGCGACGUUCCCCAACAAGUUAAAGACAAAACAAACAUAACCGAAGCAUGGCAUGAGAGGGAGGGAGCUACCGUCGAGUGGGAAUGGGCCUUCAUGAGGAGGGGCGGAGGGCAGACUCUUCGUGUGAGAGUUCGAAUCACGGGAAGAGCCGGCUACGCUUGGUAAGAAAAAGAAAUCCAAUCAAUAUGACUUACUGAGUGGCACUGCAAUGGAAGUUGGGUUCGAGGUGGUGUAAAAAUUACAGUACCCGAAGUCGUUGUGCUAGUACGUGUAUGGAGAAGUUCAGAGAAGCUCAUGAGCAUUUUUAGUUCAUGAUUAGCAUCUCACAAAGCCAUGAAACUAUAAAGCUCAGAGCAAUUUGUUAAAAUUUAUGUGUCGAGAAUACUACAUGUGCUAUGGGCAACUUAAAGCAAACAUAAUUCAAGUAAUCAACUAAUUUGUGAUCAUCAGGUACCACCUCCCUCGCCCUACCCGCACAAAAUAUUGCAUAAGCAUCAACUGCAUACCUACAGUAAGAAUAACUUCUAGUUACUAAUCAGACUGAAAAAGAAAUAACAUUGUACAAAUACUACAUAUAUCCAACAAAAGAAUUGAGAGGGCAGCACUCACUUGUCGACACCACAAAGUUGCAUAACAUGAGUCCAGGUCGGCGCCGCUCUUGCUCGCCAGGCUGCCGAAGCUGAUGUAGAGCACGAACGCCGGGGCCUGCGCGUCCAGCCAGUCGAGGCAGGAGCGGUCCUGCUAAAGGAGGCUGCUGGACGACGCCGGGGAGAGCUUGUGGAGCGGACCAACGGCGAACACGGGCACGCCAGCGAGGUCGCGUCGGGUGGCCGCCAGGUCGUCGGCCUCCAGCGCGUCGAAGGGGUUGAAGACGAACCCCGCAGAGCUUCGCAUCGCCUCGACCGCCCGCGCAGCAGCUUGCACAUUAGCUCGUGCUCGUGACGGCUGUUGCUGUUGGCGCCCAUCAGGUCCCGGACGCGGUACGGCGGUAGCUCCCUCACCGGCGCGUCCAGCUGCGACUCAGCCCUCACCGGGAGGUAGCCCUUGUGGCAGAGCACCAGGUGGCCACGAAGUUGCGGAAGCAGGCGGCGCUGCCGGUGCGGGGGCACCAGCGUCGGCACGCCCAGCCGCCGCGCCACGCGCACGAGGGCCAGCAGGUGCGCGUCGGCGACCAGGCACGCGACCUGGUCCCUGGCGCCGGGAGCCUCCAGCACGGCGGCCAGGCGCUCCCAGAACGGCGCCUCGCAGGAGCUGUUGACGACGAAGAUGUGCUCCAUGGUGGCCGUCACCGUCUCCAGGGUGCCCGUGGGGAAGCCGUCGGGGACGGGCACAAAGUCGUAGGCCGGGUGGCGGGACGGGUCGGGUGCCGUCCGUCGCCGCCCUUUGCCGUCCGCGCGCUGCCUUGCUCCACCAUGGCCGCUCCGCUCGAAAGAAAGCGUGUGGAUAAGAUAGAAGAAAGGACUGCGGGUUGAAUACUCAGAAGUUGAGGGACUUUUCUAUAAAAGUGACAACGACGCGAUGGACGACUAAGUUCCAUAAGGUAGAUUCCUCUACCUUUCGCAUAGAAAAUUUAACAAAAGCUGAAUCAUUAAAAAAAAUUAUAAUUAAGCAAGAGAUAAUCUGAGGGGCGGUGCCUAUACGAUAUGCAGCUGCUCUUGGUUACAUAUUACACCGGUAUAAAAGAAGCUGAAAGCAACCAAAAUGGAACAGUAGAGAGAAAUGAAGCACCUUCUUCGAUCUGCUGCUGGAGUAGGUAGUAGUCGAGCUCGUCCAUCACAUCCUCUGAGUCAUAAAGCAGCUCUCUGAGAUCAUCCAGUGACUGGGCCAGAGGCUUGUUGUCGAUCCUCCUACCCUCAGAAGCAGCAAGAACCAUCUCCACGUACUUCAUCUCAAGUUUGAGUUUCUCCACAUCUUCAGCAAGCCCGAUUUCCCGAGUCCAGGCUACCAUCUGUUGAGUGAAGAGGCUCCCAAGGAUGCUUUGCACUCAAGAGGAAAGGAGAGGUAUAGCAAACUAAAAGGCAGGCUUUUCGGCAAAUGAAAAGAGUUGAACAAUGCACCAAAAAGCAGCUAACUUUACCAAGUAGCACUGCUAGGAUCCCUUCAACUGAUGCACAGGCCCCUCAUGGCAGCUCGAGACGGGGUCCGCACAGCUGUGGAACUACAUGGAAGCCCUUGCGUCAAGUAUUUGGUCCACGGCUGCAAAAAACUCCUCUUUACCGAUGAAUAUGACGAGCUUAUGGUGUUACAUGACAAGUAUCGUACUACUUAGAAAGUAUUUUCGUGGAAGCUGGCCAAGGAAGCAACAUAUUCAUAUGGUACAGAAUCGCAGAGACUUUUCUUACCCCCGCGUGCUGCGUACCAGCGAGAGGGUGAGCCGCACCAAGGCCAGGGGAGCCCCACGGGCAGGAUGAGGCCACGACAUGAGUCCUCCACCACUCGACGGGAUGCUGCGAUGGAGAUCGACGACGUUGAUGGCUGCGCCAAGGCCACCACCCCACCCGCGCGUGGACCCGGAGCAGAAUCUCCGGCGGGGCAUUUCCUCGAACACACCCAGGGCGCGGAAUUUCCUCGAACACGUCCGGGGCGCGGACGCGCUGAGUAUGUCUGAAGCGAUUUGAUUUUGCAAUGGACACCAGUAGCGGCGGCAGAGGAUGUCUAAAGCGAGGCCUGACGCUGGUGUUAUUACCUUGGCAACGACGUGCGGCGCUGCCCCCUGCGCGAUCUGACGGCCCGCACCGGCCUCCUCCUGCGCCCCUCCGCCCGCGCUGGCCUCCGACGCGGCUGCACCGUCGGCGGUGGCGGAUUCGGGGAAGGAGGGUUUGGCGGGAGGGCGGGGCAUCACCGGAGGCGACGGGGCCGCGACGGAGAAGAGCUCGAGCGGCGCGAUCCUGAGGCGGCCCGCGGCGCCCCGCCGGGUGUAGUCGGGAGUGUGGUGCAUCUCCGCGUCCGCGUCCGCGUCGUCGUCCGGCAGGGAGGGCUGGGCGGCCUCCGACGAGCCCGUGCAGCUGGCGACGUCCGGCAGGGAGGGCGGGGCGGCCUCCGAAGAGCCCGUGCAGCUGGCGACGUCCGGCAGGGAGGGCGGGGCGGCCUCCGAAGAGCCCGUGCAGCUGGCGACGUCCGGCAGGGAGGGCGGGGCGGCCUCCGAAGAGCCCGUGCAGCUGGCGACGUCCGGCAGGGAGGGCGGGGCGGCCUCCAACGAGCCCGUGCAGCUGGCGACGUUUUCUUCACUUAAAACGAACUACGGGUUGAUUAUCAGUAAACGCAGGGGGUUUUCUGUAAAAGUGCAUGACGCACGACAGAAGCAUUAGCUCCUUUAUUAUUAGAAAAAGAUAAGUAAUGUAGCAUUGUUUAAGUAAAGGGAUAACAUCGUAACAUGAUUGUCACCAACCACCUGCAUUAUGAUUGACACUGUCAAGGACGCUUUCGGCUUGAGGGGAUCCAGGUCACAGAACCGUCGGAUUGCCAGAUCCGGAAUUUUCAUACUAUUACGACUGUAGGAUCAUAUGUCACCUUCAUUGGGUAUCAUGAAGUGGACGUGUCAAGCUAUCUCUGGUAAUAUGAGCGUGUCUAUGCACAGAGCAAAACGAACGCGUAGCUUGUUAGGUUUGUGCCGCGUUUUUCUCUUGCCGCAUAUACGGUCUAGAAUAUUCUAUGAUCGAACUAAUCAAAAUUCAAAAGCGGUUGCUAAUAAUUUCGAUCAAACACAUGUGCUCCGUUCCAUCAAGCAAUCCAGCCUCCCGUCGUCCUUCUCCUCUCUCGUAUUGCAUUCACCAGCUGUGACGUCAACCUCAGCAACAACAACGAUGCUAAAUAAAAAAAAAAAAGAUGACUACAGCGCCGACACAUGCAUUGUCGCACCCGCGCCGACGAGCGCGCACAACUCCCAAAGCCAUCACCAAUCGUUGCAUCGCAGCAUGAGGAGCCGUCGGGGCUGCUCGAUAGCAACACCGAGCUCGUCACCACGUCAAACUUCAUUGCAGCUCCGACAAAAGCUUCAUUGCAGCUCCGACGGAGUCCAUUCUAUCCUCACCGCAACUUCACCGACUCCGAUGACGUUCCAUUGCAGCUCACCGCGGCAAAAACCAUCCUGGAUUUAAGCCGGUAGCACCGGCGAGCGUAGUACCGUAGCACGGGUGCGCCCUGCGGGGUCGCUCCCCGACCUGUCUUGCAACACCAACGAGCGUUGCAUCAUAGCUUCGACGCACCAACAAAAAGCGUUGCAUAGUAGCACCACGACAAUAGCCAUCCUAGCUUCACACCGGUAGCACCGGAGAGUGUUGCGCAAUGCCGAUGCGUGAUGUGGCGUCGCUCCACCUCUGGCUUGUACCGCCGGCGAGUGUUGCAUCAAAGCCAUUGGGCUGCGUGAUGAGCGUUGCAUGACAGGAGCGGCUAAACAAAAAACGGCCAUCGGCUGUGCAAGGGAUUGGGAAUCACAAUGUUUGGGUGCGCCAGCUUGCUUGAAGAACGCAUCCAUGGCGGGGAUCCAACAUGAGGAAGAAAGCGAUAAAGAAAGAAGCAGGGGGUUUUGUUCGGGGAAAGGGAAAAAAUGAAGGGCAUGCGUAAGGAACGAGGGGCGGUGGGUGGGCCUCCACGUGACACGUGGUGUGCGUACGAGAAGGUUUGCACAAGACGAGAAUCAUCCGACUUCAAUAAACGUUUUCCAAUUCAAAACCUUAAAACACCAGCAAUUUCCCUUUCUUUUAGGGAGACUUUUGUACUAUGUUGAAAUAUGAGGUGCCUUUUAGGCUCAUCCAAUAUUUUUUGAAAAAUAUUAAGGGACCGUGUGGAUUAUGUGACUAGGUGGUGGGAAUUUUAGUACCACCCUAGAUUUGAAGGAGUUGAACCUCUUUGUAAGGGUUCCUCUUCUAUAUGCUAUUGGAUCUUGAGAAAAGAAUUGGUUCCCGCGCGCUCCUCCUCAGUCCCGCGCGCAUCGUGUUCCGUCAAUGAGCCGAUCCGAGCUCAGAACCAUGAAUGAGCCUAUCCAAUCUUAGAACCAUGUCACUCAUGCGCAUAUGCUUAAUGUUGCCCGUCACAAACGGGGAGUUCUUAGCAUAUGAUUCACGAUCUGAGACAUCAAAUAAUGGGCUAUUGUCGACUCAUACGUUGGGUCCAACCACAUCCCUUCACCCAGCUGCACCUAUAUAUUGGAGGUGUCGGCCAACCCUAGUCGUGACCCCAUCCCGUCCACCGUGUGCAUGGUCCUACAAGAGAGUAGGCCUCCAAAACCCAUGUCCCUUGAGAUCAUGUACGCGACAGGGACAAUUAGGUCUGGGGGCUGAUACGUCUCCAACGCAUCUAUAAUUUUUUUAUUGUUCCAUUCUGAUAUAUUAUCAUUCUGGAAUACUUUUUGGGUAUUUAUUUACCAAUUUAUAUUAUUUUUGAGGACUAACCUAUUGACCCUCUGCCUAGUGCCAUUUGUUGUUUUCUGCAUGUUUUUCAUUUUCUAGAUUUUCAAUACCAAACGAAGUCCAAUUACCCUGAAACUUUUUUUAAGAUUUUUUCAGGACCAAAAGAAGACCAACGAGCACCGGAAGAAGACUGGAGGCCACCCGUGGGCCCCACAAGCCAACACGACCCGACCGGGGGCGCCGUGAUGGCUUGUGGGCCCCUCGACGCCCUCCUGACUCUGUUCUCUGGCUUAUAGAUUCUCAUAUAUCCUAAAAACCCUAGAGCCAGCCCCGAAACACUUCUUACACCACCACAAGUCUAUGUUCCGACGGGAGGCCAUUUGCAGCUCCGUUUCGGCACCCUGUCGAAGGGGGAUCGAUCACGGAGGGCCUCUUCAUCAACAUUGCUGGCCUCAUGAUGAUGUGUGAGUAGUUCACCACAGACCUACGGGUCCAUAGCUAGUACAUAUAUGUCAAUCUCUCUCUCUCUCUCUCUCUCUCUCUCUCUCUCUCUCUCUCUCUCUAAUACAAUGAUCAUCACAUCUUCGCUUUAAUCCACAUGAUGUAAUUCCUUUUGUGCGGUGCGUUUGUUGGGAUCCAAUGAAUUAUGGGUUUAUGUUCAGAUUAUUCAUGAUAGAUAUUUGAGUCUUCUUUAAAUACUAAUACGAUUCUUAUGUGCAUGUUUAUGAUAGCUUCGUAAUUCUCUCUCAUCUAUUGGAAUAGUUGGCCAACUAGAUUGAUAUUUGUUCGAUGAGAGAGGUGCUCGUAGUAGGUUCAACCUGAGGAAUUUCUAUAUCCCAGUGACAGAAGAGGACAAAAUGUGUCUUUGUGUUGCUGCUACUAAGAGUAAAACGACGGGGUUUAUUCAUAUUGCUUGAGUUUAUUUUGUCUACAUCAUGGCAUCGUUCUUCAUGCAUUACUAUGUUUUACUUAAUACUCUAGAUGCAUGUUGGAUAACGGUCGAUGAGUGGAGUAAUAGUAAUAGAUGCACGCAGGAGUCGGCCUAUUUGUUUAUGAACGUGAUACUUAUAUACACACUAUCAUUGCCGUGAGUAUCGUAUAACUAUCCGCUCUUCUAUCAAUUGUCCAAUGAUAAUUUGUUUACCCACCGUAUGCUGUUUUUCAUGAGAGAUGCCAUUAAGAAAAAUUAUGCCCCCAGGUCUAUUCAUAUAUUUACAAAACCUUUAAUACCUUGCUAUUAUUUACUUGUUUUUAUUUUAUUUUUUAAUUUACAAUUAUCUACACACCUCACUUGCUUGCGAAUAACAAGAUCAAGGGGAUUGACAACCCUUUUGCCCGUGUUGGGUGUAAGUUGUUUGUUCUUUCGUGUGCAGCCGUUGAAUACGAUUGUGGUUGCUAUUCUUAUUGGUUCGAUAAACCUUGUUUUCAUAACCGAAUGAAAUACUUAUCCACAUUGUGCUGUGAUAACCCAUUCUUUUUUAUGAAAAACCGAGCGCAGAUCACAAGUACCAGGAAGGAUUUCUGGCCCCAUUGCUGGGGAAUAUCAUUACCAACUACCAAGUAACUUCACACAAAUUUUCAUUCACUUGUUCCUCUUUUUAUUUUCUAGUAUAUCUAGUUUGUCUCAUAAAAAAUCAAAAGUACAAAAAUAUUUACCUUUACUUGCUUUGCUUGUCACUAGUUUGCAUCUUUACUAUCUAGUUUACUUGUCUAGCUAUGCUAUCUUUAUCUUUGUCACAUUAAAACAGAAAGUGAAAUGCAAAGAUUAAGAUAAAUGGAUCCUCACCCACUAGCCAAUUUUUUAAAAGACCCAUUUAUAUUGAAACAAUUGCUAGUGAGAGUGCACUAGAUUAUCUUUACGAGGUCUUGCUUGAAAAUCAUGAAUCCAAAAAUUGUGAAAUUUAUAAAGUGAUUCAUGAUAGUUUCUUGAAUGAAAAUCAUGAUUGUUAUAUUGUUGAAUUUGAAUAUGAUCCUACAUGUAAUCACUAUGAAAGAGGGAAAUAUGGUUAUAGAAAUUUUCAUGUUACUUACGUAACUCUCUUGAUAUUCAAAUUGUUAAUGCUUCAUUCUUCCUACUUGCUUAUGCUAGACACUUCUUGUGAUAAUAAAUUGUUUGUUUAUAAAAUGCCUAAGCAUAGAAAGUAUGUUAGACUUAAAUGUACUUGUCGCCCCAGCUGUGCCUCUUGCUGCAGCGGCUGAAAGCCAUCGUAGCAGCGCCUUCGUGAACGUGCACCGCGCCAUCUUGACCUCCCCUGCACGCGGACAACCGUCUGGUGCGCCACCACACGCUCCCACCGCUCCGGCGCGCGGAACACCAGCGCACGAGCACGCGAACAAGGGUCUCACCAUUUGUAAUCAUGUUCAUAACAAUUUGUUGCCAUUAAAUAGAAGAAAAGACACGGAGGUAAUUAUGUUCAUAACAAUACCAACCCACCUUUCCAUGAAUCCUAGUUUUAACAUAAUUGUUUGGAGGUAGUCCCAUUCAACUGUGUCAUAUGCCUUCAUCAUAUCUAAUUUAAGUGUUCAGUGUUGAUCUUUCUUUGCCUUAUUCCUCUUCAUAAAAUGAAGGCAUUCACAUACAGUUAUAUUAUUGUCAGUAAUUAACCUUUCUGGGAGGAAAGCAGACUGCUCGUCAAAAAUGAUCUCUGAGAGGACUAGCUUGAAACGGUUAGCAAUCACCUUGAAAGUAAUUUUAUAUAGGACAUUACACAAGCUUAUAAGACGGGCUGUGUCAAUGAUGUGGUUUUUUUUUACCUUAGGGAUCAAGACGAGUAAGACGUGUUAUUGAUGCAUUCUGUUGAUUCAGUCCCCUCAACAAUUCACAACACUGCAUUUAUGACUUCAUCGUCACAGACCUCCCAGUGUUACCGAAAGAAAUGAGAUGGGAGUCCAUCUGGCUGAAACACAACGUCCGGGCUGGGCUUUCACGCUGCUUUUCGAGCCGGGUUUGCAAGCAUAUGUUAAAAAACCAGGCCCAGCCCGGCCGACAUAUGAUCAAAGAGAUAAUGAAAUGAAACGAAAUCACUAAUUAACGAAUACUUCUUUCAAAGAUCACUCCAACCUCCUAGGUCGCGAUAAAUGACACAUUGUAUGUGUGUCACUUGUCGUAACCUGAAAAUUUUCUCUUUUCUCUUUUUUCGUAGAUUCUUUUUUUCAAAACAUGUUAUCUCCUAAACUGUGCGUUUAAAUCUCGAACCGUUUUCAUCAUUGAAUUUCCCGCGUCGAGAUCUUCAAAAUUAGAUCCUAUGUUGAUAGAUUUUGAAGAACUUUUCUUUCAAGAAAAAACCGAACAAAAAAAUCAUGCCUCCCGUGAGAGAAAAAAACAAAAUACACAUUUUUUCGUAUUUUUUCCUUUUCAAAAAACACGAGCAUGUCUAUCACAAAGGCAAAACCAUACCUCUCGUUGAAGCAAACCGUGCCACUUGCAAAAAAAAACGCGUUUUCCCAACAAAAAACAAAAAAUAAAUUUUUUUGUUUUCGAAAGGCAUGGCCGUGCCUAUCGCAGAGGCAAAACAUGCCUCACGAAAGCAAAAAACCAUGUUUCUCAUGAAAAAAAAGUGUGUUUUUGAAAAAAUCACAAAAAAUAAAAACUAAUCUAAAAAGCUAAAAACACGUGUAAAAAAAUAAAAAAAUUUGAAAAAGCGCUUAGAAUAUAACACGGACGGCGGCUGAAAACUCGCCAAGCGGGAGAGUGCUUUCUUAAAGGCUCCUUCCGGAGCGCUCGACUAGUGACUCGUAUAUGCCAAGAAGGUAGGUUUGCUGUUAAAUUAGUCUCAAUAAUUGCACCCCCAUCCAUCUAAUUUAAUAAUAGCACAUGACAUGGUACUCCCACUUUGCCAUCCACAUCAUCCAUCUACUUUAGAAUCUUGAUCGGCCCUUUGUAGAAAGAGCCACCAACCCAGCGUGGAUAAAACCAGCUUGAUCAGUAAGGUACAUGUCCCCCUCUCCCAUCUCACCAUGUCACUGACUAGGAUUGGCACAAACAUCAUAGUUCACCAAGGUCCCUGGGAAAAACGGCCUCCAGGAAAAGGAAUUUUUGUUACACAAAUCCUCCAACACUCCAUGCAAGUCUAUCACAUGCAUAGUGUAAUACUGGUACCGAUCGAGAAGAGCAGAUGAAAAAAAUUAAGUACACGUGGCGAUGUCUCUGGCUGCUACGGCGGUCGGCCACGGCCAGAAGAGAACUCAGAAGGUGGCCUUCUUGAGCGAGGUGAUGGUGACCGACGACCCGAGCGGCGAGGACCCGACCUGCACGUCGAAGGAGUCGUAGCGGAGGAAGAUCUCGGCGACGAGGAGGCGCGCGAUGAGCACCACGAAGUCCUUGCCGGCGCACUGCUUGUCCUGCAGCGUCGGCGUCGCCGACUCUGGCCCGUUGGACCACACGACGUACCGGAGCAGCCGCUCGCCGUCCUCGCCCAUGAACCUGUCGGGGACGUACUCCUCGGCGCGCUGGAACACCCGCGGGUCCUUGGUCGCCAUGGGCUGGUACCCGAACAUCAGCUCCCCCUCCCGCACCUCGUACCCGUAGUCGUGGCUCUCCACCACCAUGUCCUUCUUGGCGCGCCCGUACUGCAUCGCCACCGGCGGCUCGAUCCGCAGCGCCUCGUACACGGCCGACUUCACCAGCGGCAUCUCGGCGAGCGCCUGCAUGGUCACCUCGCCGCCGUUGGCGCGCACGGCGGCGCGCACCUCCGUCGCCAGGCGGCCGUGCACCCGGCCGCCUGCGCGGCCCAGCCACUUCACCAGCGACGGGAACAGGAUCUUCAUGCCGCCGAAGGAGUUGAAGCACAUGGCGAAGAGGAUGUUGUGCACCGCCUCCUCCCGCGCGAUGCCCAGCCGCUGGCCCUCGUCGAUAACCGCCUUGCCGGCGUCGCGGAAGAAGUCGGCCAGGCGGCCGUAGUCCUUCUUGACGAGCGCCGGCGGGAGGCGGAAGGUGUGGAGGAGGCCGUCCUCGACGAGGGUGGGCAGGCCGAGGUUGAGCAGCGGGCUGAUCUGGAACAGCACCCACUUGGUGAUCAGCUUGGGCCCUUGGUCGCGGAGCGGCGAGUCGACGGGGUCGCGGCCGAGGAGCGCCUGGCAGAGGAAGCCGAAGGCGGCGGCGUCGUUGUAGUUGCCGAAGUCGGCCUUGCCGACGCGCGCGAGGUCGGUCUCCAUGCGGCCGAAGAGGUCGCCGUAGACCUCGCGGAAGGUGGGGAUGACGUGCUGGCGGCGGUGGGUGAGGAGGUGGAAGAGGAGCGACUUGAGCGGCGCGUGGUUUGCCUCGGCGGGGUCGACGUAGGAGAGCACGCGGUAGCCGCCGGUGAGGUCGGUGGAGGGCAUGAAGGUGCCGGUGAAGAGGUCGGUCUUGUCGACGAGCGAGGUGUCGAAGAGGACCGGGAAGGAGGCGGCGUCGAGGAGCGCCACCACGCGGGGGUCCUUGGCCACGAAGGGGCCGGGGGGCAUGUUGAGGCGCACCACCGUGGAGCGGUGCGCGCGGACGCGGGCGGCGAAGAAGCCGUCGCGCCCGCCGGGCCCGUAGAAGUACUCGAGACGGUCCUUGAGCGCGCCCAGCACCGGCGGGCCGUGCUCGCCCGGCACCUUGCGCAGCGGCAGCCGCCGCUUCGGCGACAGCACCUCGUGCCGGUCCGUCGCGGAGGCGGACGCCCGCGUCUGCCGCCGUCUGGUGCCCGCGCUCGGCGCGGAGAAGGAGAGCUGGUGGACCGCCGUCGCCAUUUGCUGUGAUCCGUGCGAGAGCUACGGAGGGAAGGGAAGUGCUACAGCUCGAGUAGUUGAGCAAAGUCCACGGCGGCUGCUGGUGGUGGUGUGCCGUGUGCAGUGCCGGUACUCGUGGUAGUAUAAUGACUCGGUGCGUGUGUGGGGGCGGCUAUUUAAAAAGCGGCGUUGGAGACGGGCAGUGCGCCUUGACUGCGCGCGUGGUGGGAGUGGGAAACGUGGGCCUUUUCGGACGGUGCGCCGCUCGCGGGGUCACGGCCGGUGGUGUGUCUGAUCGCAGAGCAGCUUCCGCUCACCGACCCCGGCGCGGCCUCGUGCACUUGGAGAAUCGGUAAAAGGUGGCCACUAGUGGCACCAUCUCCGACCACAUUUGACUAAUUUGAUCUUUGAUAGAGUACGUUGUUAGAGUAACUUCAACGUGCCGAUCUAAAUUUGCCAGGCGGACACGAGCGUCCGCUUCUGUACAUGGAUCGGCUUGUUCGUCCAACGCUGAUCGAAUUCAUUUUUUAUCAACGAGAAAAAAACAUAAAAAAUAAUUUAGGACAGUAAAACUGAGCCUAAUCCCAGCCUUCUCACGUCCUUAGCAUUUCUGGCCGUCCGUUUAGCUGAUUUGAUCAUUUCUGGUCGUCAGAUAUGCUGUCCUAAGGGGCAGCUACUCCAGAAGAAAAAUCAAAGCUCACUAGUACACUGGGCCAGACAGCCCAACAUCUGGCCGAGUAUAGACAGCCCACGGUCGUUGCGCUGCCUCCCGUCUCCGUGAAAAAAAGUAUUGAGGAACAGAUUGGGCCAUUGGGGGCGGUCUACGCAGAGGAUGCGGACGGGUGCUCAAUACUGCCGGCUACGCGGGCGGUCUGCGAUGGGAUCCAGCCGACGCGCCGUGUUGAAUCGGUCCAGCUGAGGCAUGCGAGGGAACUAGCGUGAGGGGAUCCAGCAGAUGCGGGUGGCGGCGUCAACGAGGGGCUGAGGCCGUAUCUAUGGGAUUUGCGGCGGGAGGCGGCGCGUGCGAGGCUGGGCGAUUUAAUUUUAUUGUAGUUGCACCAGCCAAUGAGCGACUCCAUGGACAUCUUCGACGGGAGGACCAGAGGGGCGCCUGUAUAUGUUGUGCCUCUUCCGGCUGUCUUCAUUCCUCCUACCUCUGGCAUAUGUGCUUCAUGCCAGGUCAGCGGUAGCGGCAGGUGUACGAGAGGCGAGGGCGACAAGAAAGAGGCCAACGGCAACAGAGCACACCGUGCUCCUACCCCCCGCAGUGUGGGUUCUCUUAACACCAUCCCCUUCUCCUCGUUCAGGAGCUGCGCGUGCAACCCCUCAGAGACGGCACCUUCUAUGCGUCACAGACCCCUCUGUUUCUGCCUCAAACAUCCCCCAGUCGAAUGUUUCAUCUCUGUGCUUCGCUUCUGCAAAUCAAUCAAGCUUGCACGGGAUGACCCAGGUAUCGUCCUACUCCCAAAACCUGUUAGAUUUUCAAUCAUUAUCUAUUAGCCUAACUAGAUGUGUUCCUUUUGCUCGAAUUGAUAUUUAUGUUCAAAAUCCAAAAUCAUUAAUCUAUUUCUUUCUAACAUUUUUUUGGGGAACCAAGCAUAGUAUGAAAUCUUGCUUGUCCAUGUAUAAUCGGAUCUAAUGGUCAAUUAGAUUGAUUCCUUCGGUUGCUUACAAUUGCACUGUUUGUGGUUUGCAUGAUCUUGCUCGCAAGGUGUAAUUCAGCGGAGCUGCAGCCGGUGGAAGUCGACCAGUCAUCUUGGUCUAAGGGAAGUUGAUAUCAAUUGAUGUGUCUGCAAAAAAGGUAAAUAUAUCUAUUCAACAUUGCUUUGCUUUCAUUGAGAUAAAUUAAAUUUCUAGCCAAGCAAAGCAAUCAAAAACAAGAUGAUUAGUGUUAGUUUAAUUAGGCAAUACUAUAUAUAUAUUAUACAGUAAUAAAUGAUUACUCCAUUAAUUUGGUUCCACUUUAAAAGACCGACGCUAGCAAGGGCGUGUACAAUUUUAUUUGAAGAACCUUUCAAGUAUUAUUAGUGUGAAGAUCUUUUUAUUGGACCAAACUACAUGAUUGAUUUACUAACCAGCGAGCAGGUAAUACUAAUUUGGGUAAGGUUCUUUUAUGUGUUGCUUGCAUAUUCAAUAAAAUAAAAUAAAAUGGACAAGUCAACUUCUAAAAUAGUUGGGGUGUCCCUGGGGAAGCAGUACUUGCACCGCAUCCAGGAAAAUGUGGGUAUAUAUGAAAUCACGUGAACUUGCUGUCAUACGUUUCAAAAAGAUUAGAUGCUCUAAAAAUAUUCUAAGGCUUAUACUGAUUGUGUGGUUUGGUUGUGAACUUGCAUUUGGGCAACCACUUCUCAAAUUGGGAUCCUUAAAAUGGGUAAUUUUGCUAACUAGGAUUAUGUCUAAUUUUGUACAGAUUUUAGUUUUACCUGGCACUAAUUUCCCCACUGCAAAUUCAUCAUUUUUGGUAUCAAUUACACAUAAAUGUAUUUGGUGCAUUACCAUAUAAAAUUUAGUUUGCAAAGUAUUAGGUACAUUACCCAAACAUUUGUCCAACCAAGUUGCCUCUGAGAAUGAAAGAGGAAAAUAACAACAGUGUGCAGGAAGCCUAAAUGAAUUUAUGUCAUCGUAUUGUGAAACAUACUUUGUCGAGAAAAGGGGUUGAGAACACACUGUUUAUUGCUCACACAAAGCUGUCAAAUGUCUAAUAUUUGGGUGAUGGUGCGAACGGGGUCUUCUUGCAGGUUUUACUUCUAUCCCACAUAGUCAUAACUUGCCUAUUCACAAACCCCAGCUGCUGCAGAUGAUGCAUGUGUUUGCAAUAAAUAUGUUAACGAUAAACUGAACUAUUGAUUCAGUAACUCUAAUUUUGGUGCAACGAUCUUCAACAAGGAUGCAUUGACACUGAUUCCUUUUUGAGUUUCCGUAAGCAGUGCUUAAUUUGGAUUACGACAAGAGAUCAAUUCUUAAGGUUGUACUGAACCAGCACACUGUAUUUAUUACUGUGGCAGUACUAUAAUCUUUUUAUUAUGCUUUUUAAAGUAAAUUUUAAGUCUGUCUCUUCUCAUAAAAUUUGGGAAUCUAAGGCUCUUCAGUAGGUUUUUUACAAAAAAGGCUUUUCAGAAGCUACUACAUGAAUAUGGUUAGUUGCUCACAUCAUAUGCAUGCUUUUCUUUCUUUAACUUUCAAAUGCUUGUGAAUCAUGUGCAGAAGUAGUGUUACAUGUAACCCUGUAGGCGUUGAACUAGAUACCAAUCAAUUAGUGCUGUUAGGAAGAUAAUAUAGGUUUUGAUCUGUCCAGAGGUGAUGCAAUGCUUCUCUAUUCCCAUUUCAGUACAUAUUAACCUCCAGCACAUGCAUGGAUUUUUGCGCAUAUUGGCUACUUUAUAGCCGUAACUUCUUCUAGUUGAAUUACAUGUAAGUUGUGUCCUCUAUUUAAUAAGUUGUUUGUAUUUUGGCUUGUACAAAUGAUUUACGCAUCCUUGCAACGACUGUUGCAAGACAUGGAAGAAGAACAUAAAUCAAUCUAAGAUGAUUUCAGAAACCAAAGACGUAGUAUAUGUAUAUUACCUUUGAUUUUCAGGAAUAUAAGAAUAAUCAUGUGUGGUUUUCUUUCAAUGUGGAAAUUAUUACGACGAUCCUUCAUCAGAGAUGGACACAUGCAAGAUUUUAUUCUUAUAAAAAGCAUUUCUUGUUUCUAACUUAGAUUCGGCAAAUAUUUGAUUGGAGCUGAUUUGUGUACUACGGUACUCCCAAAAAUCGUAGCUUCCAUCCAGCGGCUUUGGCAGAGUUACGUUUCGUCAAUUCCUGGAUUUAUAGAUGUUGUUGCUUUUCGAAAAAAGGCUUGUUGCUCCUUGAUCAAGGUUAUUAACUUUUAGAUAUGUUCUCGUGUAUGUUCAUGGUAAUCCAGUGGUGAGUAACAAUUUAUUUUUGACCUUUCCAUUUGAAAGUAACAAUAAGAAUAACAUGUCCCAAAAUAGUGUUUUACCUCUUUUGCUUAGAGUACCUCAGGUCUAAGAAAAAACGGAAAUUUUCCUAUUUCAAUAGUUUAUGUUCAGUUAUGCUUACCUUCCAUAUCUUUGUUUAUUUAUAGAAAUACCAUUAAAUACAAUGUCAAAAUAGCUGGGCGCAGCAACGCGCGCCAAUCAUGAUCUAGUUAAGCAUUAAAAGCCGGCCACGAAGGACGGUGGUAGUCCACGCGUUGCGUCCGCAUUACAUUAAAUUAAAAUAAAAAAACUAAAAUUGCGUCCAUGCAGUCCUAGGCGUCGUCGUCUAGCACGCUCCUCCUCCUCCGCCUCCCGUCGCUCCUCCUCCUCCUUCUCCAGCUCCAUGAGCCGCAGGCCUUCGGCGCGCUUCGCGUGCAGGUGCACCGACCUCCAGUGCUCGAGGUAGGUCAGCUCCUACAACGGGGGUCGCGCCGAGCCAGAUGGGCGGCGCGCUAACGAACUCCUCGACGAUGCCGGUCCACUAGUAGACCUGCCGUGGCAGCGCGGGCUCGGGCUUGGGCUUCGGCGGAGGUGGUAUGACGCAGUCGCCGGCGGCCGACAGUGCCAUGGCCUCCGCGAGCUGCCGCUGGUACGCCUCCUCCUCUUCCGCGACGCGUCGAGCUUCUUCCUCGAUGUCGCGGAGGACACCAGCGAGCGCCGCCUGGUAGGCGACCUCAACCUCCGGGUCCUCGUCGCUGAUGACAGGCGGGGGCGACGGUGGGCCUCCUGGCUGCACUUGGCUCUGCUCCUCGUGCUCCACCGCGAACCACACCUCCCAGUUAGGGGAGUCGGUCGCGUAUGUGGGGUCUCGCCGCCGCUUAGUCACCUCCUCCAGAUGCACCCGCGUCGACCGCGGCACAGCCGACACCGGAAUCCUCUCCGGAUUCAGGUGCCAGCCAUGCGGCAGCGUGACAUCCGGGUAAGGGAGUGCGAUGCGGUGCUCCGAGUGCCAUCGCGCUUGGUGCACCGGGACGCUCACGCGCUGGCGAGGCCGGGAAAACGAUGGCGGGGAGUUGGCGCGGGGGNNNNNNNNNNNNNNNNNNNNNNNNNNNNNNNNNNNNNNNNNNNNNNNNNCGGGGCCUUGCCCUUGUUUGGGAAGCCGUCGACCAUGGUGGGCUAAGGUUUCGGUAGCCAGGAGGUGGCGAGAUGGGGACGAGGACGGGUUCUGGAAGUGGCUGGCGGAACCCACCGCAUGCUUGGAAUAAAAAAGGCCGGCCACGGUCGCCGACGCGUGGGACCGAGGAUGGAGGUUGUCAUAAAUUAUGUUGACCGCGGUGGUUGGGGGCGGACACCGAGGGGGCGCGCGCGUCCCUUCGCGUUCGCGCCGACGCAUUUCAGUCCCAAAUUUGGGCUGGAAAUGGGUCGGCGCGUUGGGCCAUCUUUUUUGCUUGCGCUGACCCAAACGGACGACGGCGGACGAAAUGGGUCGCCCCGUUGGAGUUGCUCUUAGAGCAUGAGCCACAUGUCUCAAAUGACCCCUUCUACGCAUGCAGACGCGUCCGGUUAGUGAUCGAACAGGAAAAAAACAAAUUCAAUACGUUUGGUCUGUUCGCGAACCUUCGUUUUCAUCUCAAAUAUAGAACAGAUAUGAGGGCUCGCACACGCGUCCAGACGUGCCCGAUCAGUCUGCCUCAUAGGACGCGGACCCAUCCGUGACCACUUUUCUUCUUUAUUCAUUCUUUUCUUUCUCUCUCUUCCUCUCCGCCAAUCACGUGCAAGUGACCGGAGAAAACGUGAAAUGUGGUUGCGAGUGGCGAAGCUAGAAACUAAAUAUAAAGAGGGUCAAAACAUGUCAUAUAAUGUUAGAGGGGCCAAAUCACCUAAACCUAGCUAAUUUUGUUUGACAAAUGGAAGAUUAAGAGUACAUAUAGGUGUAUUUGUGAGAGCAUAGGGGCCCAAGGCCCCUGCCAGCAUCCCCUGCCUCCGCCACUGAUGGUUGCGCGGACGAACAAAUAGAGGACACACCCGUUCACUAACCGGGCGCAUCUGCAGACGUUUAGGGAGUCAUAUUUACAAUGUUCGGUUGUAAAUGUUCUUAAAGCAUCUUUUAACUCUCACCCGUAAGUUUUAACUCUCACCCAUAAGUUUUCUCCGUACAUGAAGGUGAACGUACAUUUUAAACACUCAACCAAACCAGACGCAAUUCAUACAAACAUGAUUAUCAGAGUUCUAAACCUUUAUAAAGGACCGAAGGACACGCCCCUUAUUCCCAAACCAAUCUAAUAUCAAGUCUCUUUUGUUUGUCACCUCCUUCAAAAAGUAAUAGUUGUUGAGCACAAGCGUGGUCAUGAACUAUGAGUCUUCAUCAACCACCAACCGCAUCAUCCAUUUCCCCAAUCUUUAUGAACUAGUGCAUGUUGGAUGGGAGGACUUGAGGAAGCUGAGCCUUAAUGAUGAACCUCGUCCGGAGGAGGCAACCGACGACGAGGUGAAGGUGUUCUAGAUCAAGGAGGAAGAACUCGCACAAGAAGGAGACGAUGAAUCCAUUCCACAUGAGUAUCCUUCGAACCCUUAUCAGUUCAAAAUCCAAGGAUCUAUUCCGUUAUUUACUCUUGAGCCUCCCCAAAAGGAAUGGGAAAAGGAAUCACCUACCCUCGAAGUAGAAAAAGGAAAAGAUCAAGGAUUUGGAGCAAGUUUCUAAGACUUCUCUGAACACCAUUGUAGAAGGUAUUGAUUUUUUAUUGGUUGACGAGCAAAGACCAAGAGGCAAGGGUCGAUGGUCUAUUACAUAAGACUCGACUCAUGGCUAACACCGUUAAUCAAAAUGUUGCACAACUUACGUCUUUGACCCAGGUUGUAGAUCAUGAGCAAGUUGUGAUUGGGGAGAUGACAUAGCCCUUCAAGAACAUCUUCACCACCUGCAGGGAUACCCAGGAGUGCAUCAAGUGCUAAGUGUCAUAGGGUAAGUCCUCCAAAGUUCAUAUUUGGUUUUCAUACAUGGAUACUAUCUCGGUUUUCAUGGCCUCUAGCCAUUUGUUGGAAUCCGGACCCAUCAUCGCUUUCUCAUAGUUCAAAGGUUCUUCGUUGUCUAAAAACACGACUUUCAAGACAACAUUACUGUACCGCUCACGGGUAGUACGUAUCCUUGUCGACCUAUAAAGUUCGGUAGGAUUUUGAUCUGAAGUUUCGUGAUCAUAAUCAUUAACUUCCUUUCGCAUCACAAAAUCAUUUUUCUGUGUUGCAUGAUGCUUACUACACAACUUUAUUCUUGUAAACGUUGUUGGGCCUCCAAGUGCAGAGCUUUGUAAGACAAUAGCAAACUUCCCUUAAGUGGACGACCUAAGGUUUAUCAAUCCAUGGGAGGUCUAGGAUCCAGAUGGUCUCUCUCAAGCAACCCUAAAAAUCAAAUACAACAAAUCUUUUAUGUCCCCAACACACCCAAUACAAUGUCAAAUUGUAUAAAUGCACUAGUUCGGCGAAGAGAUGGUGAUACAAGAGUAGUAUGGAUAAUAGAAAUAGAUUUUCACAACCGAAUAAAUAAAAACAACGAGGUAACAAGUAGUAAACACAGAGCAAAAGGGUAUAUUAAUGCUUGCAAAUAAGGCCCUGGGUUAAUAAUUUCACUAGUGCAAUCUCUCAACAAUGCUAACAUAGUAGAAUCAUAUGGUCAUCCCUCAACAUGCAACAAAGAAUCACUCCAAAGUUCCUAUUAGCACAGAACAUAAUAAUAAGUUGUUGUAGGCAGCUAACCACCUCAAAGUUAUUCUUUCUGAUCAAUCUUUUGGGCUAUUCCUAUAGGUCUCAUAAACAACCCUAGAGUUCAUAGUAAAAUAACACAUAUGAUACAUAUCAAUCAACCCUAAUGUCACCUAGAUACUCCAAUUUCACCUCUAGUAUCCGUGGGUUAAUUAUUUGACAUGCCUCAAACAAUUUCAGAUUCAUCAUAUUCAAUCCGGCAUAAAGAAGUUCAAAUAGUACCCCAAGAUUUCUAUCGAAGAAAGUAGGAUGAAAACGUGCAAUCACCCCCUAUGUAUAGAUCCCCAAGGUCACUAGAAUCCGCAAGUUGACGCCAUAACAUAUAUCGAGUGAAUUAAUGGAAUACCCCAUUGUCACUACGGGUAUCCACAUGCAAGACAUACAUCAAGUGUUCUCAAGCCCAAAAUAUUCGAUUCAACAUAAAGGGAUCUCAAAGAGAAAGAUUCUAUUCAUCACAACAAGAUAGCAAGGGAAGAACACCAUAUGAUCCAACUAUAUAUAUUAACAAAGCUUGUGAUACAUCAAGAUCAUGCCAUCUCAAGAACACAAGAGAGAGAGAGAGAGAUUAAACACGUAGCUACUGGUAAAUACCCUCAGCCACGAGGGUGAACUACCCCCUCCUCGUCGUGGCCUCCACCGAGAUGAUGAAGAUGGCCACCGAUGAUGAUUUCCCCUCUCCGGCAGGGUACUGGAAAGGCUCCAGAUGUGUUUUUAUUUGAUACAGAGAGUUGCAGUGGCGUAGAAGAAGUUGUCUCCUAAUUUCUGAGGGUUUUUAUAAAUAUAGGAUUUUUCAGCAUUGGAAACAUGCCAAACGGAGCCACAUGGGCCCCACCACACAACAAGGCGCGACUAGGGGGUGGCCGUGCCGUGUUGCCUCGUGGCCCACACGUGGCUCCCCUCUGGUGAUUCUUCACUCCAAUAUUUCUCAUAUGUUCUAGAAAAAAUGAUCAAGAAGUUUUGAGCGAUUCUAAGAACUUUCAUUUUCUACACAAGAAACAACACCAUGGUAAUUGUGUUGUAAACAACGUCAAUCCGGGUCAGUUCUAAUUAAAUCAUUUAAAGUGCAAAAAAACCAUAUAAAAGUAUUGUAAACAUAGGCAAACAUGGAAAGAAUACUUCAUAAAUCAUCGAUACAUUGGAGACGUAUCAAUGCGCUACUCUCCAAUUCAAGAGAUGGUUCGAUAACCUAAUCAAGUUCUACCUUCCCCCCGCUCACUUCUUUUGAGGGAAACUCCUUCUCUAGAAAGGAUCCAUUCUUGGCAACAAAAUUUCUUCACUUCGGAUAUGUGAUAUAAGGUAUACCCAAUUGUCACUUUCGGGUAUCAUAUUAGGACGCACUUCUCUGCUUUGGCUUCGAGAUUAUCAGGCUAAAGCCUCUUGACAUAUAUGUCGCAUCCCCAAACUGUAAGACACGACGACUUGGGUUUCUUGCCAAACCAUGAUUCAUACGAUGACGUCUCAAUGAAUUUAGAUGGUGCCCUAUUUAAAGUGAAUGUGGUUUUAUCUAAUGCAUAACCCCAAAAGAUAGUGGAAAAUUGGAAAGAGACAACAUAGAACACACCAUAUCUAGUAGAGUACGAUUACGAUGCUUGGACACACCAUUACGAUGUGGUGUUCUAGGUGGCGUCAGUUAUGAAACAAUUACACAUUUUCUUCAAUUCAUACCAAACUCGUAACUCAUAUAUUCACCACCAUGAUUAGAUCAUAGAAAUCUUACUUCUUGUUACGAUAUUUUUUUUACUUCACUCUAAAACUCUUUGAACUUUACAAAUAUUUCACACUUGUGUUUCAUCAAGUAAAUAUACCCAUAUCUACUUAAGUUAUUUGUGAAGGUCAGAAAAUAACGAUAUUCACUGCAUGCUUCAACGCUCAUCGGAUCGCAUAUAUUGGUAUAUAUUAUUUACAAUAAUUCGCUUGCCCGCUCAUUGUAUCGGAUGAUGCAUGGUUCACACGUUUCAAUCGAUUCAAAAUUGAGUGAUUCCAGAAGUCCAUCGGCAUGGAGUUUCCUCAUGCGCUUUACAUCAAUAUGACCCAAGCAAUGAUGCCACAAGUAUGCGGUAUUAUCAUUAUUUAUUUUUCUUAUUUUGGCAUCAAUAAUAUGAACAUGUGUAUUACUAUUAUCGAGGUUCAAUAACAAUAAACCAUUCACCAUGGAAGCAUGACCAUAAAAGAUAUUAUCAUAUAAAUAGAACAACCAUUAUUUUUGGAUUUCAAUGCAUACCAUCUCGCAAUAAAAAAAGAUCCAAAUAUAAUGGUCAUGCUUAGCGCAGACACAAAAUAACAAGUAUUAAGGUUUAAAAUUAAUCCCGAAAGUAGACGUAGAGGGAGAGUGCCGACGACGAUCACAUGAACCUUUGAGCCAUUUCCAACGGGCCUCGUCACCUUGGCCUUAGCUAGUCUUUGUUUAUUUUGUAGCUCCUAUUUUGAGUUAAAAUAUUAACAGUUGAACCAGUAUCAAAUACCCAGGGGCUACUACAAGUAGUAGUAAGGUACAUAUCAAUAACAUGUAUAUCAAACAUAUCAUUGUUGGCAUUGCCACCCUUCUUACCUGCCAAAUACUUGGGGAUUUCCACCUCGAGUGGCCAUUCCCCUUGCAAUAUAAACUGAUGGUCUUCUUGACCAUCAACACUUGAUGCUCUUUCUUGAUUUCUACUUCCGUGGUCUUAAGCAUCGCAAAAAUCUCACAGAAUGUCUUGUUCAUCACUUGAAUAUUAUAGUUCAUCACAAAGCCCUUGUAGCUUGGUGGAGGUGACUCAAGAACUCUCUCAACCAAAACUUCCCAAGUAAUGUUUUGUCCUAACUGAUUUAAGAAGAUUGUGUAUUGAUACGUAUCCAACAUAUCUAUAACUUUUUAUUGUUACAUGAUGUUAUAUUAUAAUUCGUGGAUGUUUUAUGAUCAUUUUACAACAACUUUAUAUCAAUUUUUGGGACUAACCUAUUGACAUAGUGCCUAGUGCUAGUUGCUGCUUUUUGCUGUUUCUUUCUUCGCAGAAAAUCAAUAUAAGAUGAAGUCCAAAUGACACAAAACUUUAUGGAGAUUUUUUUGGACUAGAAGGAAACUUGUGAGCCAAGAGGGAGCACGAGAGGAGGCCCACACGACCCACUAGACACCAGGGCACGCCCAGGGUCCCUCGCGUGGCCUUGUGCCUAAUGAGGCCCUCGGGCGUCUCCUCCACCGCCUGUGAGCUCUAGAAAUACCCCAAUAUUCAAAAAAUCCUAGAGGAGUCGACGAAAAAUCGUUUCAGACGCCGCAAGUUCGAGAAGCCACGAAAUCCAAUCUAGAGCUCAUUCCGGAGAGGAACACGAUCACGGAGGGGUUCAUCAUCCUCAUUGGUGCUCCUUCGAUGAUGCGUGAGUAGUUCAUAUCAGACAUACAAGUCCAUAGGAAAUAGCUAGAUGGCUUUCUAUCUCGUUUUGUUUCUCAAUACAACGGUCUCUUGGAGAUCCAUAUGAUGUAACUCUUUCUUUUGUGGUGUGUUUGUUCGGAUCCGAUGAAUUGUGAGUUUAUGAUCAGAUCUAUGAAAUCAUAUUCAUGCUUGAUUAUUAUAGCCUCGUAUUUCUUCUCCGACAUUUGGUUUUUGUCUGGCCAACUUGAUCUUUUAUCUUGCAAUGGGAAGAGGUGCUUUGCGAUGGGUUCGAUCUUGAGGUGCUCAAUCUUAGUGACAGAAAGAGACGUGACACGCAUGUAUCGUUGCUAUAAAGGAUAAAACAGUGGGGUCUAUUCCUACAUGAAUAGAUCUUGUCUACAUCAUGUCAUCGUUCUUAAGGCAUUACUCCAUUUCUCCAUGAACUCAAUACAUUAUAUGCAUGCUGGAUAGCGGUCGAUGUGUGAUGUAAUAGAAGUAGAUGCAGGCGAAGUCGGUCUAAUUAUCUUGGAUGUGAUGCCUAUAUACCUGAUCAUUGUCUUGAAUAUCUUCAUAAUUAUUUUCUCUUCUAUCAAUUUCCCAACAGUAGUUUGUCUACCCACCGUUUGUUAUUUUCUCGAAAGAAGCCACUAGUGAAACCUACGACCCGCGGGUCUACUUCACAUCAUCCAUUUGCAAUAUCUACUUUGCUAUUCACGUUUCUAUUUUAUCUGCUCUUUUAUUUUCAGAUCUAUAUUAUCAAAAAACCCCAAAAUACCUUGCUGCGUUUUAUUUGCUAUCACUCUUAUUUGCAUCUAUCAGUCUAUCCUUACUUUACCCACGAGGAAUUGACAAACCCUCCACGCAUUGGGUUGCGAGGAUUUGCUAUUUGUGUGCAGGUGCCGCUUACAUAGUCUUGUGGAUCUUCCUACUCGACCGAUACCUUGGUUUCAUAACUAAGGGAAAUACUUGUUGUCAUUGUGCUAGAUCGCUCAUUAAUCUUGGAGGGAAACCAACACAAUUAGCGACGAGUUAAGAUUUCUGGCGCCGUUGCCGGGGAAGAUCAAGUCAAGAUCUAUGGGUUCUUAUCCACAAAUUCAUCUCCUUGCAAUUAUAUUAUUUUCCAUUUGCCUCUUGUUUUCGUCUCCCCUACUUCACAAAAAAUGACUUUUAUUUUCCUUCUUUCCGUUUGCCGUUUUCUGUCCGGAUCUCUUGUUUGCUUGUGUUCUUGUUGUCAUCAUCAUGAGUUACUUUGGUAUGACAUAAAUAGAUGAUGGCGGUGUUGGGAAACGUCGCAUGGGAAACAAAAAAAAUUCCUACGCACACGAAGACCUAUCAUGGUGAUGAUCAUCUACGAGGGGGAGAUCGGAUCCACAUACCCUUGUAAAUCACUAAGCGGGAAGUGUUAAGAAACGCGGUUGAUGUAGUGGAACGUCUUCGCGAUCCAGAUCACCGCCGUCCCACGAUCCGUCCCGAUCUAGCACCGAACGGACGGCACCUCUGUGUUCAGAACACGUACAACUUGAUGACGAUCUCCGCCUUGUUGAUCCAGCAAGAGAGACGAAGAGGUAGCUGAAUUCUCCGGCAGCACGAUGGCGUGGCAAUGAUGAUGGUGGAUCUACUCCAGCAGGGCUUCGCCGUGUCGUACCGAUAUAGCUACGAGGUGUCACGAAGUAGUGGAGGGAGAGAGGUUUGCACAAAGGCUUGAGGUGCAAAACCCCUCUCAAAUCUCCACUAUAUAUAGGAGGAACAAGAGGGAGGGUGCCUUGCCUCCUACUCCAACUAGGAGGGAUCGGCCGAGCCAAGGAGGAAGGUCUCCUCCUCCAAUUCGGUUUGGUGGGGAAGUCCUUUCCUUCUGGUCCACCUCCUUCCUUUUUUUCUUUCUUAUUCCAUUAUUUUUGCCUUGGCCGAAAUAGGCUUAUUGGGCUAACUUCACCAGCCCACUAAGGGCUGGUGCGCCACCGAUCGGCCUAUUAGGUCCUCUCCCAGGUGGGUGGCCCCUCCCGGUAAAACCCCGGAACCCAUUCGUCACUCCCGAUAUUUAUCGAUAAUUCCCGAAAUCUUUCCGGAAGCCAAAUGCAACAAUCCUAUAUAUCAAUCUUCGUUUCUGGACCAUUCCGGAGACACUCGUGAUGUCAGGGAUCUCAACCGGGACUCCGAACAACAUUCGGUUACCAACAUCAAUAAUUCAACUAUACCGAAAACGUCACCGAACCUUAAGUGUGCAGACCCUGCGGGUUCGAGAACUAUGUACACAUGACCGAGACACUCUCCGGCCAAUAUCCAAUAGCAGGACCUGGACGUCCAUAUUGGAUCCUACAUAUUCUAUGAAGAUCUUAUCCGUUGAACCUCUAUGUCAAGGAUUCACAUAAUCCCGUAUGUCAUUCCCUUUGUCCUUCGGUAUGUUACUUGCCCGAGAUUCGAUCGUCGAUAUCGCCAUACCUAUUUCAAUAUCGUUACCGGCAAGUCUCUUUACUCAUUCCGUAAUACAAGAUCCCGUGGCUAACUCUCUAGUCACAUUGCUUGCAAGGCUUGUUUGUGAUGUUGUAUUACCAAGUGGGCCCCGAGAUACCUCUCCGUCACACGGAGUGACAAAUCCCAGUCUUGAUCCAUGCUAACUCAACAGACACCUUCGGAGAUGCCUGUAGAGUACCUUUACAAUCACCCAGUAAUGUUGCGACGUUUGAUACACACAAGGCAUUCCUCCGGUGUCAGUGAGUUACAUGAUCUCAUGGUCAUAGGAAUGUAUACUUGACAUGCAGAAAACAAUAGCAUCAAAAUGACACGAUCAUAUGCUACGUUUAUAGUUUGGGUCAUGUCCAUCACAUCAUUCUCCUAAUGAUGUGAUCCUGUCAUCAAGUGACAACACUUGUCUAUGGCUUGGAAACCAUAACCAUCCUUGUCCAAUAGGCUAGUGAACUAGAGGCUCACUAGGGACAUUGUUUUGUCUAUAUAUCCACACAUGCAUUUAUGUUUCUAUUCAAUACAAUUAUAGCAUGGAUAAUAAACGAUUAUCUUGAAAUAGGAAACAUAAUAAUAAAUAUUUUAUUAUUGCCUCUAGGGCAUAUUUCCAAUAGGCAGGACACCUAAAAUUGGACGUUGAUACGUCGCCAACAUAUCUAUAAUUUUUUAUGGUUUCAUGCUAUUAUCUUGUCAAACUUUGGAUGUUUUGUAUGCCUUUUAUAUCUUUUUUGGGACUAACUUAUUAACUCAGUGCCAAGUGCCAGUUCCUGUUUUUUUCCGUGUUUUUGACCCUUUUCAGAGGAGGAUUUUAAACGGAGUCCAAACGGAACGAAACUUCCAAAAAGAUUUUUUCCGAAACAGAAGACGAUCGGGGGACUUGAGAACCAAGGCAGGGGGCCACCAGGGACCCCACAAGCCCCCUAGCCGCGGCCAGGGGGCCCGCACCUCCCAGGCUUGUGGGCUCCUUGGGCCUCCUCUGCCCUAGGUCUUUCGCCUAUAUAUUACCAAAAAUUCCAGAAAAAAUUAGGAGAUCAUCGAAAGUACUUUUCCGCCGCCGCAAGCUUCUGUCUCCGCAAGAUCCCAUCUGGGGCACGUUCUGGUGCCCUGCCGGAGGGGGGAUUCGGAUACGGAGGUCUUCUUCAUCAACACCAUGACCUCUCCUAUGAUGCGUGAGUAGUUCACCAUAGACCUACGGGUCCAUAGCUAGUAACUAGAUGGCUUCUUCUCUCUCUUGGAUCUUCAAUACAAAGUUCUCCAUGAUCUUCAUGGAGAUCUAUCCGAUGUAACUUUCUUUUGCGGUGUGUUUGUCGAGACCCGAUGAAUUGUGGAUUUAUGAUCAGAUUAUCUAUGAAUCUUAUUUGAGUUUCUUCUGAUCUCUUAUAUGCAUGAUUUCAUAUCCUUGUAAUUCUCUUCGAGUUGUGGGUUUCGUUUGGCCAACUUGAUCUAUGAUUCUUGCAAUGGGAGAAGUGCUUGGUUUUGGGUUCAUACCGUGUGGUAACCUCACCCAGUGACAGAAGGGGUAGCGAGGCACGCAUCGUGUUGUUGCCAUCAAGGGUAAAAAGAUGGGGUUUUCCUCAUUGGUUUGAGAUUAUCCCUCUACAUCAUGUCAUCUUGCUUAAGGCGUUACUCUGUUCGUCAUGAACUCAAUACACUAGAUGCAUGCUGGAUAGCGGUUGAUGUGUGGAGUAAUAGUAGUAGAUGCAGAAAGUAUCGGUCUACUUGUCUCGGACGUGAUGCCUAUAUGUAUGAUCAUUGCCUUAGAUAUCGUCAUGACUUUGCGCGGUUCUAUCAAUUGCUCGAUAGUAAUUUGUUCACCCACCGUAAUAUCUGCUAUUUUGAGAGAAGCCUCUAGUGAACACUAUGGCCACCGGGUCUACUUCACACCAUAUUUUCAGCCUUACUCUUUUAGUUCGUUGCACUUUCCGCCUUCAGAUCUCACUUUGCAAUCAAUCUUGAUGGGAUUGACAACCCAUUCAUAGCGUUGGGUGCAAGCUCUUUUGUGUUUGCGCAGGUACUCUGGACUUGACGAGAUUCUCCUACUGGAUUGAUACCUUGGUUCUCAAACUGAGGGAAAUACUUACUGCUCCUGUGCUGCAUCACCCUUUCCUCUUCAAGGGAAAAACCAACGCAAGCAAACUUCCGCGUAGCUCCUGUGCUGCAUCACCCUUUCCUCUUCAAGGGAAAAACCAACGCAAGCAAGUCUCCGUCAACAUGUCAAUUUCUGGCACUUUUGUUUGAGAAGUAGCAGAAGGAUUUCUAGCGCCGUUGCCGGGGAGGAUCAAGUCAAGAACUCAUCCAAGUAAGUGUCGCAAACUCAUCUCUUGCAUUUACUUUUUUGCCUCUCGAUUUCCUCUCCCCCACUUCUGAAAAACAAAAGUUUACAAAAAAAUAUUUGCCCUUUUCUUCGUUUGCCUUUUUCGUUCGCCGUUUUCUCUCGCUUGUUCUUUGUUCGCUUGUGUGCUUGCUUGCUUGCUGAAGUCACCAUGACUGAAAACACCAAACUUUGUGACUUUUCAAAUACUAAUAAUAAUGAUUUUAUUAGUACUCCGAUUGCUCCCGCCACUAGUGCGGAGUCGUACGAAAUCAAUGCCGCUUUGCUGAAUCUUGUUAUGAAAGAGCAAUUCUCUAGCCUUCCUAGUGAAGAUGUUGCAUCCCAUCUUAAUACCUUCAUUGAGCUUUGCGAUAUGCAAAAGAAGAAAGAUGUGGAUAAUGAUGUGAUUAAAUUGAAGCUUUUUCCUUUCUCGUUGCGAGAUCGAGCAAAAACUUGGUUUUCGUCUUUGCCCAAAAAUAGUAUUGAUUCUUGGAAUAUGUGCAAAGAUGCUUAUAUAUCCAAGUAUUUUCCGCCGGCUAAGAAUAUCUCUCUCCGUAAUGAUAUCAUGAAUUUUAAGCAACUUGAUCAUGAACAUGUUGCACAAUCUUGGGAGAGGAUGAAAUUGAUGAUUAGAAAUUUUCCCGCUCAUGGCUUGAGUCAUUGGAUGAUUAUACAAAUCUUCUACGCUGGCUUGAAUUUCGCUUCUAGAAAUAUCUUGGACUCCGCCUCCGGUGGAACGUUCAUGGAAAUCACGUUAGGAGAAGCCACAAAACUCCUAGCGAAUAUCAUGACGAACUACUCUCAGUGGCACACUGAAAGGUCACCUACUAGUAAGAAGUUACACGCUAUAGAAGAAAUUAACUCGUUAAGUGCUAAGAUGGAUGAGUUAAUGAAUUUGUUUGCUAGUAGAAGUGCUCCUUUAGAUCCUAAUGAUAUGCCAUUGUCUUCCCUGAUUGAGAGUAGCAACGCUAGCUUGGACGUUAAUUUUGUUGGUAGGAAUACUUUUGGCAACAACAAUGCUUUUAGAGGAAACUAUGUUCCUAGGCCUUUUCCUAGUAACUCCUCUAAUAACUUUGGCAACUCCCACAACAAUACUCAUGGAAAUUACAAUAGAUUACCCUUUGAUCUAGAGAGUAAUAUCAAAGAGUUUAUCAAUUCACAAAAGAUUUUCAAUGCGUCCAUAGAGGAAAAACUACUUAAAAUUGAUGAUUUGGCUAGGAGCGUUGAUAGAAUGUCUAGAUUGAUGCUUUGAAAGUUAGAUGUGCUCCUCCCAAGAUCAAUAUGGAUGAAACUUUGAAAGCUAUGCGUGUUUCCAUGAGUGAGAGCAAAGAAAGAACCGCCCAAAUUCGUGCUAGACAUGAAUGGCUUAAAGGCGUGUUCUCGUGAUAAGAAUCACGAAGAUCUUAAAGUGCUUGGUGUGACUCCCAUUGAAUCUUUGUUUUGUUGUGUCAAACCUAAUGAUGAUGGGGCUGGAUAUGAAUCCACUUUGGUUGAAAAAUGCCCCAAUGAUUCGGAGUCCAUCUAUCUUGAUGCUAAAAGCAUUGAAAGUGGAGUAGAAGAUAUUAAAACUUUGAGUAGUAAUGAAAUUACUACUUUUAAUUUCAAGGAAUUCAAUUAUGAUAGUUGCUCCUUGAUUGAAUGCAUUUCCUUGAUGCAAUCCAUGCUAAACUCUCCACACGCUUAUAGCCAAAACAAGGCCUUUACCGAUCAUAUCAUCGAAGCUAUGAUAAAAUCUCUUGAAGAGAAACUUGAAUUGGAAGUUUCUAUCCCUAGAAAGCUUCAUGAUGAGUGGGAACCUAUUAUCAAAAUCAAAAUCAAAAACUAUGAAUGCAAUGCCUUGUGUGAUUUGGGUGCUAGUGUUUCCGCGAUUCCAAAGUCUUUAUGUGAUGUUCAGGGUUUUAAUGAGAUUGAGGAGUGUUCUCUUAAUUUGCAUCUUGUGGAUUCUACUGUCAAGAAACCCAUGGUAAGGAUCAAUUAUGUUCUUAUUAUUUCAAAUAGGAACUAUGUAACCGUGGAUUUCAUUCUGCUUGACAUUGAUUGCAAUCCUACAUGCCCUAUCAUUCUUGGUAGACCUUUCCUAAGGACUAUCGGUGCUAUCACCGAUAUGAAGGAAGGGAAUAUUAGAUUUCAAUUUCAUUUAAGGAAGGGCAUGGAGCACUUUCCUAGAAAGAAAAUAAGAUUGCCUUAUGAAUCCAUGAUGAGGGCUACUUAUGGUUUGAGCACCAAAGACGACGAUACGUGAUUCUAUCGCUCAAUACCUGGCUAAGGACGUUAAACAAUAGCGCUUGUUGGGAGGCAAUCCAAUAAAUUUAUCUUUUUUCUUUAUGUUUUCUUGCGUCCUCACCAUCAUAAUUCUGUUAUCAUUGUGUAUUUUGUGUUUUUUGUGUGUUUGAGCCAAGCAAAACCUUUAUGACUAGUCUUGGUGAUGGUUGUUUGAUCCUGCUGGAAAAAGACAGAAACUUUUUGUUCACGAGAUUAUUUUUCAUUUUUAUUCAGAAAGAGCUUUUGAGUUGAUUCUUUUUGCUGCUUGUUGAUAUGCCUUUUUCCCACGCAGUAGUAAGUUUUCAAAAAAAUUGAGGUACCAGAAGUAUACGAAUUAUACAGAUUGAUAUAGACUGGUUUGUUUUUGACAUAUUCUGUUUUGUUGAGUUGGUUGCUUGUUUUGAUGAAACUAUGUAUAGUAUCGGGGGGUACUAGCCAUGGAAAGGUGAGAAUACAGUAAUCUAACACCAAUACAAAUAUAAAUCAUGAUUGAUAUAUUACCUAAAGAGGUGGUAAGUUGUUUUCUUGUGCUAAUGAUAUCACAAGUUUCUGUUUAAGUUUUGUGUUGUGAAGUUUUCAAGUUUUGGGUGAUGUUCUCAUGGACAAAGGGAUAAAGAGUCGAAAGAGCUCAAGCUUGGUGAUGCCCAAGGCAUCCCAAGCCAAAUUCAAGGACACCAAAAAGCCUAAGCUUGGGGAUGCCCCGGGAAGGCAUCCCCUCUUUCGUCUUCAAAUCCAUCGGUAACAUUACUUGGAGCUAUAUUUUUAUUCACCACAUGAUAUGUGUUUUGCUUGGAGCGUCUUGUAUCGUUGGAGUCUUUUCUUUUUGUUGUGUCACAAUCAUCCUUUCCGCACACCUUUUGAGAGAGACAUGCACUCAUCGUGAAUUGCUAGAAUGCUCAUCGUGCUUCACUUAUAUCUUUUGAGCUAGAUAAUUUUGCUGUAUGUGCUUCACUUAGAUCUUUUAGAGCACGGCGGUGCGUGACUUGGUAGUUGGCUUGUGCUAUGAAAGUAGUCCCAAAGGUGAUAGGUACCCAAAGAGGAUACAAAAACCUCCAUCUUCAUGUGCAUUGAGUAGAAAUAGAAGUCUUGAUUCCUCGCACUUAGUUUUGAGACAUGGAAUUGGUAAUAUUAAGAGUUAUGUUAGUAGGGUGUUGUGAAUCUAGAAAUAUGUGACAGCCCGAUGCCGACGUUCCAGAAGAUUCCCCUUUUCUUUCUGUUUCCGUCGUGUGUCUAUUUUUAUUUGUCGCGUCAUGAAUGCACAUAUGGUGAACCGCUAUGUUAGGAAGUCGUAGCAUAAUUGAUCUAUUGAUUGUCAUCCUUUGUGUUGAGGUCGGGAUCGCGUGAUGGUUAACACCUACAAACCCUUCCCCUAGGAGUAUGCGUUUAACACUUUGUUCCGAUUACUAAUAAAAACUUUCGCAACCAGUAUGUGAGUUCUUCAUGACUAAUGUGAGUCCAUGGUAUAGAUGCACUUUCACCUUCCACCAUUGCUAGCCUCUCUAGUGCCGCGCAACUUUAGCCGGUACACAAACCCACCAUAUGCCUUCCUCAAAACAGCCACCAUACCUACCUACUAUGGCAUUUUCAUAGCCAUUCCCAGAUAUAUUGCCAUGCAACUUCCACCGUUCCAUCUCGUGAUUUGUGCCAUCACUAUCAUAUUGCCUUUGCAUGAUCGUAAGAUAGCUAGCGAGAUGUUUCAACGUCGUACGCCAAGAUAGAUCGUUGUACAUCCCGGUACACUGCCGGAGGCAUUUUCUAUAGAGUCAUCAUCAUUCUGAGCUUUGAGCUGUGAGUAAAUAAAAGUGUGAUGAUCAUCAUUAUUAGAGCAUUGUUCCAUGUGAGGAAAUAAAAAAAAGAGGCCAAAGAGCCCAAAUAAAAAAAGAGAAAAAGAGAGGCCCAAGAGCCCAAAUAAAAAAAGGGAGAGAAAACGAGAGAAGGGACAAUGCUACUAUUUUUUUCCACACUUGUGCUUCAUAAUAGCACCAUGUUCUUCAUGAUUGAGAGCCUCUCGUUUCGUGAGCACCAUAUUCUAGUGGGAAUCUUUAUUAUAUAACUUGGCUUGUAUAUUCCAAUGAUGGGCUUCCUCAAAUUUCCCUAGGUCUUCGUGAGCAAGAAAGUUGGAUGCACACCACUAGUUCUCCUUUUGAGCUUUCACAUACUUAUAGGUCUAGUGCUUCCUUUGUAUGGCAAUCCUUACUCAUUCAUAUUGAUAUCUAUUAAUGGGCAUCUCCAUAGCCCUUUGAUACGCCGAGUCAAUGUGAUCAUCUCCUCCUUUUUGUCGCACAACCACCACCACACUCUAUUCCACCUACAGUGCUAUAUCCAUGGCUCACGCUCAUGUAUUGCAUGAUAGUUAUAAAAAGUUUGAGAAAGUAAGGGUGCGAAAACAAUUACUUGGCCAAUACCGGGGUUGUGAAUGAUUUAAAUUAGUUGUGUGAGGAUGAUGGAGCAUAGCCAGACUAUAUGAUUUUGUAGGGAUAACUUUCCUUGGCCUUGUUAUUUUGAAAGUUCAUGAUUACCUUGUUAUUUUGCUUUAAGUAUUAUUGUUUUCAUGUCAAUAGCAAACUAUUGUUUUGAAUCUUACAGAUCUGAACAUUCAUGUCACACGAAACAAGUUACAAAGGACUACUAUGCUAGGUAGCAUUCCACAUCAAAAGUUCAGUCUUUAUCACUUCCCCACUCGAGGACGAGCGGGAGUUAAGCUUGGGGAUGCUUGAUACGUCUCCAACGUAUCUAUAAUUUUUGAUGGUUUCAUGCUAUUAUCUUGUCAAACUUUGGAUGUUUUGUAUGCCUUUUAUAUCUUUUUUGGGACUAACUUAUUAACUCAGUGUCAAGUGCCAGUUCAUGUUUUUUCGUGUUUUUGACCCUUUUGAGAGGCGGAUUUUAAACGGAGUCCAAACGGAACGAAACUUCCAAAAAUAUUUUUUCCGAAACAGAAGACGAUCAGAAGACUUGAGAACCAAGGCAAGGGGCUGAUACGUCUCCAACGUGUCUAUAAUUUUUUAUGGUUUCAUACUAUUAUCUUGUCAAACUUUGGAAGUUUUGUAUGCCUUUUAUAUCUUUUUUGGGACUAACUUAUUAACUCAGUGCCAAGUUCCAGUUCCUAUUUUAUCCAUGUUUUUGACCCUUUUUAGAGGAGGAUUUUAAACAGAGUCCAAACGGAACGAAACUUCCAAAAAGAUUUUUUCCGAAACAGAAGAAGAUCGGGGAGCCUGAGAACCAGGGCAGGGGGCCACCAGGGACCCCACAAGCCCCCUAGCCGCGGCCAGGGGCCCGCGCCUCCCAGGCUUGUGGGCUCCUUGGGCCACCUCUGCUCUAAGUCUUCCGCCUAUAUAUUCCCAAAAAUUCCAGAAAAAAUCAAGAGAUCAUCGAAAGUACUUUUCCGUCGCCGCAAGCUUCUGUCUCCGCAAGAUCCCAUCUGGGGCACGUUCUGGUGCCCUGCCGGAGGGGGGAUUCGGAUACGGAGGGCUUCUUCAUCAACACCAUGACCUCUCCGAUGAUGCGUGAGUAGUUCACCAUAGACCUAUGGGUCCAUGGCUAGUAGCUACAUGACUUGUUCUCUCUCUUGGAUCUUCAAUACAAAGUUCUCCGUGAUCUUCAUGGAGAUCUAUUCGAUGUAAUCUUCUUUUGCGGUGUGUUUGUCGAGAUCCGAUGAAUUGUGGAUUUAUGAUCAGAUUAUCUAUGACUCUUAUUUGAGUUUCUUCUGAUCUCUUAUUUUCAUGAUUUCAUAUCCUUGUAAUUCUCUUCGAAUUGUGGGUUUUGUUUGGCCAGCUUGAUCUAUGAUUCUCGCAAUGGGAGAAGUGCUUGGUUUUGGGUUCAUACCAUGCGGUGACCUNNNNNNNNNNNNNNNNNNNNNNNNNNNNNNNNNNNNNNNNNNNNNNNNNNNNNNNNNNNNNNNNNNNNNNNNNNNNNNNNNNNNNNNNNNNNNNNNNNNNGUCAGUGAGUUAUAUGAUCUCAUGGUCAUAGGAACAAAUACUUGACAGGCAGAAAACAGUAGCAAGAAAAUGACACGAUCAACAUGCUACGUCUAUUAGUUUUGGGUCUAGUCCAUCACAUGAUUCUCCUAAUGAUGUGAUCCCGUUAUCAAGUAACAACACUUGCCUAUGGCCAGGAAACCUUGACCAUCUUUGAUCAACGAGCUAGUCAACUAGAGGCUUACUAGGGACAGUGUUUUGUCUAUGUAUCCACACAAGUAUUGUGUUUCCAAUCAAUACAAUUAUAGCAUGGAUAAUAAAUGAUUAUCAUGAACUAAGAAAUAUAAUAAUAACUAAUUUAUUAUUGCCUCUAGGGCAUAUUUCCAACAUGAAUAUCUCGGAGGUGUCGCUUGUGCGCUACUUGGAUCGGAUUGGAUCACAAUGUGAGUAUGACUAUGCUAACCACGAUCUCUAGACCAUUAACGCAUUUGGUCUACAAGGGUAUGUAGACACACUGCUCUCUCGUUGUUGUGUUUUCCAUGUAAUGUUCGCCAACAGUGGCAUCGUGGGGUAGGUAUAUGCGUAGAUGUUAUUUACAAGAUUAGAACAUAAACUUGUUGUGGGUGUUGAUGUUCAUAUUGCUUACCUCCUUUUUAUUUUGCAUUUGCUGAUAUAGUGGGAUGAAAAAACUCAUACCAACUUUACUUGUCCUCGUGCAAGAGACGAGUUCCACAAUUGACAUGCAAUUUGUAUUGCAUAUGUGGCUAGCGGGUGUCUGUCUCUCCUACUUUAGUUGAAUCUGGUUUGAUAAAGAUGGUCCAUGUAGAAGAUGAAAAGUCAACUUGUAUAUCACCAUUGUCGCUUUGCGUAGGUAAAAAUGGUUCUUAUUAGUUUCCCUAGAAGCCACGUAAAACAUGCAACAAUAAAGUAGAGGAUGUCUAACUUGUUUUUGCACGACAUGUGAUGUGGUGUGGUAUGAUCAUGACAUGUUAUCAUAUAUGUGAUGUAUGAGAUGAUAAUGUUUUGUAAUAGUUCACGAGUUGCAUCUAAAUGAGUACGACAACCGGUAGGAGCCAUAGGGUUUUCUUAAUUUUAUGUAUAAUCUAUGUGUCAAUCAUUAAAUGUCAUGUAAUCGCAUUACUUUAUCGCUAUGAGUUAGCAAUAGUUGGCGGAGACAACUGAUACGUCUCCAACGUAUCGAUAAUUUAUGAAGUAUUCAUGCCAUAUUUAACCAUAUAUACAAUACUUUUAUAUAGUUUUGAUGCACUUUAUAAUUAGAACUAACUCGGACUGACGUUGUAUUCAGCAUAAUUACCGUGGUAGUGGUCUUUUUGUGCAGAAAAUAAAAGUUCUUGGAAUCUUCCAGAAUUUUGGCAAUUUUUCUAGGGCAAAUAAGAAAUACUAGAGCGAGGAACCACCGUAAGGGGGGGCACCUGUUGGUGCCAAACCAACAGGGUGCAUCCACCCCCAUGGGCAUACCCUGAUGGCUUGGGCCACCUCGAGUUCCGUUUGGCGUGAUUCCAAUGCUGAAAAAUUCUAUAUAUAUAGGAACCCCCACAAAUAAAUCUAGAACUUCUACUGCACCACCGCAAGCCUCUGUACCGAAUAAAACUUACCCCGAUCCCUCUUCCAGCACCCUGCAGGAGGGGGCAAUCCUCACCGGAUACCAUCUUCGUCAUCCCCAUGCUGUCCAUGACGAGGAGGGAGUGGUUCACCCUCGGGGCUGAGGGUAUGUACCGGUAGCUAUGUGAUUCAUGUCUCUCUCUCAUGUUCUUCAGAUGCCAUGAUGUUGAUGUAUCACGGGCUUUGUUAAUAUAGUUGGAUCAUAUGGUGUUUGUCCCUUGCUAUAUUGAUGUACGAAUUGAAUUUUAUCUUCGAUAUUUUGUUAUGUCGGAUUGAAUAUUGGAUUUGAGAUCACUUGUUGUAUGUCUUGCAUGUGGAUACCCGUGGUGACAAUGGAGUGUUCUAUUGAUUCACUUGAUAUAUGUUUUGGUACUCAACCUGUGGAUUUUCCGUGGUGACAGUGGGGUAAUCUAUGCAUAUGGGUUGAUACACGUUUUGUCCUAAUUUCUCCGAUAGAAAUCUUGGGGUGAUCUUCGAAGUUAUUUGUGUUGGAUUGAAUAUGAUGAAUCUAAAUUGUUUGAUGCAUGUCGAAUAAUUAACCCACAGAUACUUGAGGUGACAUUGGAGCAUCUAGGUGACAUUAUGGUUGAUUGAUGUGUAUCAUUGGUGUUAUUUUAGUACAAACUCUAAGGUUGUUUGUGACACUUAUAGAAAUAGCUCAAUAGAUUGAUCAGAAAGAAUAGAUUUGAGGUGGUUCUACUAGCUACAACAAUAUCAUCUUAUGUUCUCCGCUACUUCUGAACUUUGGAGUGAUUCUUUGUUGCACGUUGCGGGAUGAUCAUAUGGUUCUAUUAUGUUAGCAUUGUUGAGAGAUUGCACUAGUGGAAAUAUGAACCCUAUGCCUUAUUUCCAAGCAUUUAUACAAUGUUUUGCUCGCUGUUUUCGACUUGCUACCUUGUUGUUCUUAUAAUUUUCAGAUUAUAAAAACCUAUAUCUACUAUUCAUACUACACUUGUAUCACCAUCUCUUAGUUGAACUAGCGCACCUAUACAAUUUGCGAUUGUAUUGGGUGUGUUAGGGACACAAGAGAUUUCUUGUAUUUGAUUGAACGAUUUCCUGAGAGUGACCAUAUUCAUCCUACACCUCCCACAUAUUGAUAACUCUUAGGUCAUCCACUUGAGGAAAAUUUUCUGUUGUCCUACAAAACUCUGUACUUGGAGGCCCAACAACGUCUACAAGUAUAAAGUUGCAUAGUAGACAUCAAGUUCUUUUCUCGCGCUAUUGCUCGAAAGUUGAGUGCUUGAAGGUAUAUAUUUAGACCAUGCAAUUAUAUUUUCUUGUGUAACAUUAGUUUGGUUUAUAAAAGAAAACUACAAAAAAAGGAAUUGAUGUGGCCUCAAGUGCUUCGUCUUUAUAAUGUCUUUCGUCAAAAUGAUGGAUCAGUAAAUUGUGCCAAAUUGUUAGAAGAAGAGUUCAAUAAAAUUCUUAACAUUAAAUACUUGAAUGAUGAUCAUGAUAAUAAUGUUGUUAGUAUGGAUUCUAUGAAUAUCCAUGAUGCUAAUGAUAUGCAAAGACACAAGGUUGGGGAUGCUAUGUUUGAUGAAGAUGAUCUUUUUAGUCCCCCAAGUUUUGAUGAGCAAACUUAUUAUGAUGAUGACAUGCCUCCUAUCUAUGAUUAUUAUGGUAAUGACAUGUAUGCUAUAAACAGUCACGAUAACCAUGAAACUUGUCAUCGUGAUUUUAAUAUUCAAUAUGGUUAUGUAAACCAAGUGUCUCAUGAUAGUUAUUUUUUUGAGUUUGCUCCCACUACUACGAAUGAGGAGAAAAUUGCUUAUGUGGAAAGUAAUAAAUUUUCUAUGCACGUGGAUCAUGAAAAGAAUGCUUUAUGUGAUAGUUAUAUAGUUGAACUCCUUAAUCAUGCUACUAAAAAUUAUUAUGAUCUAGGAACAUAAGCUUUUAGGUAUUGCAAUAAUAUCAAGUUUCCUCCUUAUCUGUUCAAAGUUUUCAAGCCAUGCUUGUUUUGCCUUCCUAUGCAAUUUGAUUCUUGCUACAAUAAAUGGUUUGCUUUAAAAAUCCAUAUGCAUAGGAAGUGGGUUAGACUUAAAUGUGUUUGUAAUGUUAUUCAUGAUGCUCUUUUGCAUGUUUCAAUUAUUACUUUUUAUGUGAGCAUCAUUAAAAUCAUCAUGCCUAGCUAAAUGGUGUUAAAGAACAGCGCUUGUUGGGAGACAGCCCAACAAUUUUCCUUUCUAUUUUUGUGUGUUCACAUGAUUAAGCUACGGUAGUAAUCAUGUUUUUUGUAUUUUAUUUUAAUUAGGUUCCAAGUAAACCUUUGGGAUAGUGUGGAUACUUGUUAGUUUGAUUUUGUGCAAAAAGAGAAACUUUUACGUCGAGUGCAUAAUUUUUGUGAUUUUACUUGAGCAUUAAAAAAUUAUGAAAUUCUUACACAUUUUUUAUAUGAAAAUUAUUUGAGUUGUCCUAUGUUUUCAUAAUUUUCAAAGAUAGGGAAGUAAGGUUUAAGUUCAGAUAUUAGGGACUAUUUUUUUUUGACCAAUGCUGCAUGCAUAGGUUGCUUGUUUUAGUGUUUCCAUAUCUUAUAUUUAGUGAUAUAAAUAAUGGAAAUGAUAGAAUGGAGUAGGUAUUAUGCGAAAACAAUUAUUAAUCUUAUCUUGGUAGUAUCUAAGUGAGUGAUCUAUAUUUGUUACACUAACCCAUCUCACGAAAGUCCGUUAAAUUUUGUGUGAUUGAAAUUUUCAAGUUUUAGGUGAGAUACCGAUAUGAGGACAAUAAGGAGUGGUGAGACCCUAAGCUUGCAGAUUCCCAAAAAAGCCCAAGGUGCUAAAAUUGUGGGUUCCCAUGGUGAUAAUGGGUUGAUACACCUUCUUGACUUUCUCCGAUAGAAAUCUUCGGGCGAUCUUUGAAGUUCUUUGUGUUGGAUUGAAUAUGAUGAAUCUGAAAUUGUUUGAUUCAUGUCAAAUAAUUAACCCACAGAUAAUUGAGGUAACGUUGGAGUAUCUAGGUGACAUUAGGGUUGAUUGAUGUGUAUCAUUGGUGUUAUUUUAGUAUGAACUCUAGGGCUGUUUGUGACACUUAUAGGAAUAGCUCAAUAGAUUGAUGAAAAAUAAUAGCUUUGAGGUGGUUCUAGUACCUACAACAAUUUCAUCUUAUGAUCCCCGCUACUUAUGAACUUUGAAGUGAUUCUUUCUUGCACAUUGAGGGAUGAUCAUUGAUGAUCCACAAGUGUAGGGGGUCUAUCGUAGUCCUUUUGAUAAAUAAGAGUGUCGAACCCAACGAGGAGCACAAGGAUUUGACAAGUGGUUUUCAGCAAGGUAUUCUCUGCAAGCACUGAAAUUAUCGGUAACAGAUAGUUGUGUGGUAAGAUGAUACGUAGCAAGUAGCAAGUAACAACGGUAACAAAGGUGCAGCAAAGUGGCCCAAUCCCUUUUGUAGCAAGGGACAAGCCUGGACAAACUCUUAUAGGAGGUAAAGCGCUCCCGAGGACACACGGGAAUUUUUGUCAAGCUAGUUUUCAUCAUGUUCAUAUGAUUCGCGUUCGCUACUUUGAUAGUUUGAUAUGUGGGUGGACCGGUGCUUGGGUGCUGCCCUUACUUGGACAAACCUCCCACUUAUGAUUAACCCCUCUCGCAAGCAUCCGCAACUACGAAAGAAGAAUUAAGACAAAGUCUAACCAUAGCAUUAAACUAGUGGAUCCAAAUCAGCCCCUUACGAAGCAACGCAUAAACUAGGGUUUAAGCUUCUGUUACUCUAGCAACCCAUCAUAUACUUACUACUUCCCAAUGCCUUCGUCUUGGCCCAAAUAAUGGUGAAGUGUUAUGUAGUCGACGUUCACAUAACACCACUAGAGGAACAACAACAUACAACGCAGCAAAAUAUCGAACGAAUACCAAAUUCACAUGACUAAUUAUAGCAAGACUUAUCCCAUGUCCUUAGGAACAAAAGUGACUACUCACAAAGCAUAAUAAUAUUCAUGACCAGAGAGGUAUUGAAUAGCAUCAAGGAUCUCAACAUAUAAUCUUCCACCGAGUAAUCCAACUAGCAUCAACUACAAAGAGUAAUUAACACAACUAGCAACCUUACAAGUACCAAUCGGAGUCGUGAGACGGAGAUUGGUUACAAGAGAUGAACUAGGGUUUGGAGAUGAGAUGGUGCUGAUGAAGAUGUUGAUGAUGAUGAGUCCCCUCCGAUGAGAGGAGUGUUGGUGAUGACGAUGGCGAUGAUUUCCCCCUCCAAGAUGGAAGUUUCCCCGGCAGGACGGCCCUGCCGGAGCUCUAGAUUGGUUCUGCUCAAGUUCCGCCUCGUGGCGGUGGCGAUUCCUCCUGAAAGCCUCCUCUUGAUUUUUUCUGGAACGGAACCCUCCUUAUAGCAAAAGAGGGGAGCCAAAGGGCCAACAGGGAGCCCACAAGCCCCCUAGGCGCGACUAGGGGGGUAGGCCGUGCCUAGCAAGCUUGUGGCCUCCUGGUGGCUCCCCUCUGGUACUUCUUCGCCAAGUAUUUUUUAUGAAUUCCAAAAUAAAUCCUCGUUGAUUUUCACGGCUUUUGGAGUUGCGCAGAAUAGGCAUCUCAAACUUUCUCCUUUUUAAGGCCAGAAUUCCAGCUGCCGGCAUUCUCCCUCUUCAUGUAAACCUUGCAAAAUAAGAGAGAAAAGGCAUAAGUAUUGUACCGUGAAGUGUAAUAAGAACCCAUAAAGACAUAAAUAUCAACAUGAAAGCAUGAUGCAAAAUGGACUUAUCAAUCAUAUGAUUCUAUUAUGUUAGCAUUGAUGAGAGAUUACACUAGUGAAAGUAUUAACCCUGGACCUUAUUUCCAAGCAUUUAUACAACGUUUGUUCCUUGUUUGCCACUUGCUACCUUGUUGUUUUUAUACUUUCAUAUUACAGAGACCCAUCUCUUUGUUGGAACUAUGCCCUAGAGGCAAUAAUAAAUUAGUUAUUAUUAUAUUUCUUUGUUCAUGAUAAUCGUUUAUUAUCCAUGUUAUAAUUGUAUUGAUUGGAAACACAAGUAAAUGUGUGGAUACAUAGACAAAACACUGUCCCUAGUAAGCCUCUAGUUGACUAGCUCGUUGAUCAAAGAUGGUUAAGGUUUCCUAACUAUAGACAAGUGUUGUCACUUGAUAACGGGAUCACAUCAUUAGGAGAAUGAUGUGAUGGACAAGACCCAAACUAUAAACGUAGCGUAUGAUCGUGUCAGUUUAUUGCUACUGUUUUCUGCAUGUCAAUGUAUCUGUUCCUAUGACCAUGAAAUCAUCCAACUCCCGGACACCAUAGGAAUACCUUGUGGGUUAUCAAACGUCGCAACAUAACUGGGUGACUAUAAAGGUUCUCUACAGGUAUCUCCAAAGGUGUCUGUUGGGUUGGCAUGGAUCAAGAUUGGGAUUUGUCACUCCGUGUAAUUGAGAGGUAUCUCGGGGCCCACUCGGUAAUACAACAUCACAACAUGCCUUGUAAGCAAUGUGACUAAGAAGUUAGUUACGGGAUCUUCUAUUACGGAACGAGUAAAGAUACUUGCCGGUAACGAGAUUGAACUAGGUAUGGAAAUGUCGACGAUCGAAUCUCGGGCAAGUAACAUACCGAAGGACAAAGGGAACAACAUACGGGAUUAACUGAAUCCUUGACAUAGAGGUUCAACCGAUAGAGAUCUUCGUAGAAUAUAUGGGAGACAAUAUGGACAUCCAGGUCCCGCUAUUGGUUAUUGACCAGAGAGUGUCUCAGGUCAUGUCUGCAUAGUUCUCGAACCCGCGGGGUCUGCACGCUUCAGGUUUAGUGACGUUUCAAUAUAGUUGAGUUAUAUGUAUUGGUGACCGAAGUUUUGUUUGGAGUCCCAGAUGAGAUGCCGGACGUCACAAUGAGUUACGAAAUGGUCCGGAAACGAAGAUUGAUAUAUAGGAAGUUGGUAUUUGGAUUCUGGAAGGUUUUCGGGCUUUGCCGACAGUGUACCGGAAGUGACGAAUGGGUACGGGGGCCCACUGGGUGGGCCCACCACGCCCCAAGGGGUCCACGUGGGUUUAUUGGAUCUGCAAUAAGGCAUAAUGGGCUGACAAAGUCAUUCAAGGAAAGGCCAUGAGGAAAAAGUGGAAAAUCCAAAAGAGGUGGGAAAUUAAGGAAGGAGUCCUAAUCCAAGUGGGAUUGAAGGAGGACUCCUCCCUCCUCCACUUCGGCCGACCCAAGGGCUCCUCCCUUGUGGCGCAAGGCCUGCCACCUACCUCCUCCUAUAUAUACUAGAGGUUUAGGGCUAUUUGAGACACAACUUUGCCACGUGCUGCCCUCUCCUCUAGUUCGUAGUUCUUCCUCUAGAUCGGUUUUCUGCCGAGCUCAGGCGGAGCCCUGCAGGAAUAGAUCACCACCACCACCCAAGACCGUCACGCUGCCGGGGAACUCAUCUACAUCCCCGUCUCUCUUGUUGGAUCAAGAAGGCAGAGAUCUUCAUCGAGCUGUACGUGUGCGGAACACGGAGGUGUCGUCCGUUCGACACUUGAUCGGGACAGAUCGUGAGACGGUUCAUGGGACGGAUUGUGAAGACGUACCAGUACAUCAACCACGUUUAUUAACGCUUCCGCUUAGCAAUCUACAAGGGUAUGUGGAUCUGAUCUCCCUCUCGUAGAUGAUGAUCACCAUGAUAGGUCUUCGUGUGCAUAGGAAUUUUUUUGUUUCCCAUGCAACGUUCCCCGACACUCUUCGCCGAACUAGUGCACCUAUACAAUUUUCCAUUGUAUUGGGUGUGUUGGGUACAUAAGAGAUUUCUUGUAUUUGACUGCAGGGUUGCUUGAGAGAGACCAUAUUCAUCCUACACCUCCGACGGAUUGACAAAACUUAGGUCAUCCACUUGAGGGAAAUUUGUUGUUUUCAUACGAAACUCUACACUUGGAGGCCCAACAACAUCUAAAAUAAUAAAGUUGCAUAAUAGACAUCAACAACCACAUGACGAAACCUUCGAGAUGAUGGAGAUCAUGGUGUCAUGCCGGUGAUGAUAGGGAUCAUGCCAGUGCUUUGGAGAUGGAGAUCGAAAGCACAAGAAGACAAAGGCCAUAUCAUCUCACAUAUUACUUACAUGAGAUGUUUUUCUUUUAUUAUGCAUCUUAUUUUGAUUAGAAUGGUGGUAGCAUUAUAAUAUGAUCAAUCACACUUAAUAUCAAGGUAAAAGUGUUUCCCUUAGUAUGGACCAUUGCAAAAGUUUGUCGUUUCGAAGUACCUCGUGAUGCCCGGUGUGAUAGACUCUGGUUUUACGCAUGCAUAAAUACUUUGCUUAACUUGAUGAUCCUAAAAUGUACACACAUGGUAUCAGAACAUAGAGAACCAAAAGGUUAAAGAUGGGUCAUAUGAAUGAUAUGAUCAUUAUGUUGAUGUUCAGAAACCACUCCAUCUCACGUGAUGAUCGGACUUGGUUUAGUGGAUUUCUAUCAUGUAUCACUUAGCAACUUGAGGGAUGUUGAUUUAAGAGGGAGUUCAUCACUAGUUUGAUUAAUCGAAUUAAUUAUCUUGAACAUAGUCUAAAAAAUACUUUACAAAAAUGAUGUAGAUUAAUGGCUCGUGUUGUAGUUGCGCUCAAUUUUAGUGCGUUCCUAGAGAAACAAAAGUUGAAAGACGAUGGAAGCAACUUUGCAGUGUGGCUCCGUAAUGAGUGGAUUGUCCCCACUCCCGCACAGAAGACUUCUAAUAUUGAUGCACCACUAGGUGUGCCCCCGUCCCCUAUGUCCUCACACGCUAUGAACAUCUGGCAGACACGUAAUUAUGACUACUAGAUAGUUUAGUGCGCCAUACUUUACGGCUUAGAACCAAGGCUCCAAAAACAUUUUGAGCACCACGGAGGAUAUGAGAUGCUUGAGGAACCGAAAAUGAUGUUUUAGACUCACGCCCGUGUGGAUAGGGAUGAAGCCUCACACAAAUUCUUUGGCUAUAAUAUGGAGGAAAACAACUCUCUUAGUGAGCACGUACUCAAAAUGUCUGGGUACGUGACUCCUCGCUAAUUGCGUUGGUUUCCCUCCAAGCUUAAUGGGUGAUGUAGCACAUCGACGACAAGUAUUUCCUUGAGUUAUGAAACCAAGGUAUCAAUCUAGUAGGAAGAUCCUCAAGACUAUGUAAGCAACACGUGUAGACAAAUAGCAAAUCUUCGCAACCAACGCGUGAAGGGGUUGUCGAUCCCUCGUGGGUAAAGUAAGGAUAGAUUGAUAGAUGCAAAUAAGAGUGAUAGAAAAUAAAACACAACAAGGUAUUUUUGGGUUUUUUGAUAAUAUAGAUAUGAAAAUAAAAGAGAAAAUAAAAUAGAAACGCAAAUAGAAAAAUAGAGAUUGCAUAUAGAUGAUGUGAAAUAGACCCGGGGGUCGUAGGUUUCACUAGUGGCUUCUCUCGAGAAAAUAGCAAACAGUGGUAGACAAAUUACUAUUGGGAAAUUGAUAGAAAGGCAAAUAAUUAUGACCAUAUUCAAGACAAUGAUCAUGUAUAUAGGCAUCACGCCCAAGACAAGUAGACCGACUUUUUCCUGCGCCUACUUCUAUGACUCCACACAUCAACCGCUAUCGAGCAUGCAUCUAGUGUAUCAAGUUCAUGGAGAAACGGAGUAAUGCCUUAAGAAUUAUGACAUGAUGUAGACAAGAUAUAUUAAUGUAGGAAUAGACCCCAUCCUUUUAUCCUUGAUAACAAUGACACAUGCGUGUCAUGUCUCUUUCUGUCACUGAGAUUGAGCACCGCAAGAUCGAACCUAUCACAGAGCACCUCUUCCCAUUGCAAGAUAAAAGAUCAAGUUGGCUAGACAAAAACCAAAUAUCGGAGAAUAAAUACGAGGCUAUAAUAAUGAAUCAUGAAUAUGAUUUCAUAGAUCUGAUUGUAAACUCAAAAUUCAUCAGAUCCCAACAAACACACCGCAAAAGAAAGAGUUACAUCAUAUGGAUCUCCAAGAGACCAUUGUAUUGACAAACAAAAUGAGAGUGAAAGCCAUCUAGCCACUGCCCGAACACCCGUAGGUAUGAUAGGAACUACUCAUGCAUCAUAAGAGGAGCACCAAUGAAAAUUUCAAUACUCAAACAUAUCAACAAGCAACCAAGUCUUUCAAAAUAUCAGCGCUAAAGAACGUUAUCCCUAGCCCAUCAUGCUCUAUCAUUGAUCCAUUCAUGCAACACACCCAAAUAUUAACUAUAUCCAAUGCUCAAGUAUCAUAAUGGUGUACCUUAGUUGGUGCUUUAUAAGAGAAGAUGCAGACUCAAAGUAAAAUAAAAAAUGCAUAAAGUAAAUAGAUAGGCCCUUCACAGAGGGAAGCAUGUAUUUGUAGAGGUGCCAGAGCUCAAAGUGAAAAACUUAGAGAUAAUUAUUUUUGGGUGGUAUGCUUUUCAUUCAACAAACACAACUAAGAGUUUCCAAUACCCUCCAUUUUAAAUAAAUUAUAGGUGGUUCCCAAAGGAAAAAUAUAGUCUAAUCCUUUUACCACCAUUCUUUCACAUUCCACGGCUAGCCGUAUCCACGGGUACCAUCCAUAUCAGCACUUUCCAAGGAAUUUAUAAUUUGACAACUUAAUAUAAUUCUUUUUGCAUUUUGGGAGUGGGCAUCCCUAUUACCGCCAUAUUCUCGUGCAAUUAUAAGUGAAUAAACACUCAUCUUGAGAAGAACUUAUUUAACGCGAAGAUAUCGGCCAUCCCUCGCCACUUCAUGAGCGGUACGGGCACACAAAACAGAGAUAUAUUUUGAACAUUAGAGUUGGCACUUGCAAAUUUACUUGGGACAGUGUUGAAAUACCAUAUAUAGGUAGUCAUGGUGGACUCAUUUGGAACAACCUUGGGUCUAAGAUUUGGAUUUACAAGCAGUAUUCCCGCUUAGUACAAGUGAAGGCUAGCAAAUAGAUUGAGAAGCGCCCAACCUAGGAACGAAAAUCAUCAUAAUUGGACAUUAAAUAUAACUAACACCGAAUAAUGCAACACAAGUAGGAUACAAUUUCAUACCAUAAUUAUUGACUUCAUGUGCGUGCAUAGGGAAUUACAAACUUUAACACCAAUAUAGUUACUAAAGUAUAAUUACUCAUCAACAUAACUCACAUAUCACUAUCUUCAUAUCGCAAAACUAUUGCAAAGAAUCAAGUUUAACAUCCAAUGAUCUUCUUCAAAGUUUUUAUUAUGUCUUUCCUGGAUAUUCAUCACUUUAGGACGAAAUUUUUAAAGAAAAUUAACAUUGCAAAUAACAAGCUCUCAAACAAAUAUAAGUGAAGAACGAGAGCACAAGUUUCUCUAAAAAUUUCAACUCUCAAAAUAAUAUAAGUGAAGCAAGAGAGAAUUUCUUCAAAAUUUCUGCUACCCUCAAAAUAAUCUAAGUGAAGCAUGACAGCAAAUUUCUUCAAAAUAACAGCACCACCGUGCUCAAAAAGAUAUAAUGAAGAACUUGAGCAAUUCCAUGGCUCAAAAAAAUUAAGUGAAGCAUAACGAUCGAUUCUAACAAAUCAUAGCAUAAUUUAGCUCUCUGUAAUGUGUGUGUACAACAAGGUUUAUUAUGAAAAACUAAACAACAAAGUAAGCAGAGACACAAAUGAGACAAGACACUCCAAGCAAAACUCAUGAUAUGUGACGAAUAAAAAUAUAGCUCGAAGUAAAAUUACCGAUGGUUGUUAGAAGAAAGAGGGGAUGCCUUCCGGGGCAUCCCCAAGCUUAGUUGCUUGGUACUCCUUAGAUAUUACCUUGAGGUGCCAUGGGGCACCCCCAAGCUUAGGAUUUUAUCACUCCUUAUUCCUUCAUCCAUUGUCAUCUCACUCAAAAUUUGAAAACUUCAAACACACAAAACUCAAUGAAAUUUUCAUGAGAUCCGUUAGUAUAAGAAAAACAAACUUUACUUUAGGUACUUUUUAAAACCUAUUCCAAUUUUGUUUUUGCAUUAUACCUACGUUUUCUAACUUUACCAUGGCUUAUACCCUCCGAAACAAACCAUAGAAUCACGAAAACAAGCACAUAACGCAAACAAAAUAGAAUCUGUCAAAAACAGAACAGUCUGUAAAGACUUGAAUUUUACUCAUACUUUUGUAACUCCACAAAUUCUGAAAAAUUGGAAACAUAGGGAAUUUUUAUAUAAAUCUUGUGUAAAAAAUUCAGACACUUUUGACGUUGUGUGAUUUUCAGAAUUUUUUCUAUUGGAUGCAAAAGUUUCUGUUUUUUAACAGGAUUAAAGCAACUCAGACCCCACAUAAUCCCAAAGGAUUUACUUGGCACAAACACUAAAAAAUAUAAUAGUAGCAUAAUUUUUCAAACCCUCAAGAACAGAAAGCAAAAGGGAAAAACAAAUUCUAUUCACUAGGUUGCCUCCGAACAAGCGUUAUCAUUUUACGCCCCUAGCUAGGCAUAUAACAUAGAUUCAAGUAUUACUACCUUUAGUUUUCGUGGAUGCAUCCUUAUUAGUAUAUUUCUCAAAAAUAACAUGAAACACAUUAUCCAUAAAAUUUUAGCAUUAUCAAGUUGCCCAUCUAUGUAUCCCCUUUGAUUACCGGCAACAAUCCAAGAAUAUUGUUGAUUAACAUUGUUGAAAACUUUUUGGGUCAUAUCUAAAACAGGAAUCUCCUUUUUAAGAUUACCAUCAAAUAUUUGAUUAUUAGCGAGAAAAUAUCUCAAAACAUAAUCACUAUUAUAGAGAAUUUCAUUUACUAUCGGCUUUUCAUGGUUCAUACCAUAAAAGUCAAAGAUUUCCCAAGCUUCCCGAACUAUAUGAUCAAAUUCAUUCACAAGAACAAGGGUGGCUAUCUUCUUAGCUCUAGGAUCUUCUAUAACGGGUAGUUUAUAAAAAAUAUUUGCAAAGUAGAAUGAGUACAGAUAAAUCUAUUCUCAAGUUCCAGAACUAGUGUUGACAUAGCUUCCGCAUAAGUUUUGGUUCUUUUGAGUAAACGAGUAUUAUCACAAGUCAAAGUUCCAACACAAUUAAAUAAUUCUUGGAUAGCUUCUUUUCCCAUAACAUUCCCUUGUUCCAAAAUAAAGGUUUUAUCAUCCAUAUUACCAGGACGUCUUCUACUUCUCAAACAACAGUGCCAGAAAUUGACACGUUGAUGGAAACUUGCUUGCGUUGGUUUUUCCCUUGAAGAGGAAAGGGUGAUGCAGCACAGGAGCAGUAAGUAUUUCCCUCAGUUUGAGAACCAAGGUAUCAAUCCAGUAGGAGACUCUCGUCAAGUCCAGAGUACCUGCGCAAACACAAAAGAGCUUGCACCCAACGCUAUAAAGGGGUUGUCAAUCCCUUCAAGAUUGAUUGCAAAGUGAGAUCUAAAGGCGGAAAGUGCAACGAAGUAAAAGAGUAAGGCUGAAAAUAUGUUGUGAAGUAGACACGGGGGCCAUAGUGUUUAGUAGAGGCUUCUCUCAAAAUAGCACAUAUUAUGGUGGGUGAACAAAUUACUAUCGAGCAAUUGAUAGAACCACGCAAAGUCAUGACGAUAUCUAAGGCAAUGAUCAUACAUAUAGGCAUNNNNNNNNNNNNNNNNNNNNNNNNNNNNNNNNNNNNNNNNNNNNNNNNNNNNNNNNNNNNNNNNNNNNNNNNNNNNNNNNNNNNNNNNNNNNNNNNNNNNCCUCUAGAUCGCGUUUCUGCGGAGCUCGGGCGGAGCCCUGCUGAGAUUAGAUCACCACCAAUCUCCGGAGCGCCGUCACGCUGCCGGAGAACUCAUCUACCUCUCUGUCUCUCUUGCUGGACCAAGAAGGCCGAGAUCAUCGUCGAGCUGUACGUGUGCUGAACGCGGAGGUGCCGUCCGUUCGGCACUGGAUCGUGGGACGGAUCGCGGGACGGUUCGUAGGACGGUUCGCGGGGCGGAUCGAGGGACGUGAGGACGUUCCACUACAUCAACCGCGUUCACUAACGCUUCUGCUGUGCGAUCUACAAGGGUACGCAGAUCGGAAAUCCCCUCUCGUAGAUGGACAUCACCAUGAUAGGACUUCAUGCGCGUAGGAAUUUUUUUGUUUCCCAUGCGUCGUUCCCCAACAAUUCACACGUAUGUGUUGGUGAAAUCUCCUCCUUGUUGAUAUAGAAAACAAGGGAGAAGAUUAUCUUCGAUGAAGUGGUGGUGGUGGCAGCAGAACUCUCACACGAUUCAUCAAGCACAACUGAAAUGAGAAGUGGAGGGAGAGAGAGGGAGCCACCAUGGUGAAGGGAUGGGGCUGCCCCUGUGCAUCCUCUCCUUUAUAUAGGGGUACACAGACGGUUGGUCACCACUAUCCCAUCCUCCAAGGGAGGGGCUGAUACGUCUCCAUCGUAUCUACUUUUCAGAGCUCUUUUGCCCUUGUUUUGGACUCUAUUUGCAUGAUUUGAAUGGAACUAACCCGGACUAACGCUGUUUUCAGCAGAAUUGCCAUGGUGUUGUUUUUUUGCAGAAAUAAAAGUUCUCGGAAUAUCCUGAAAAUUUACAGAGAUAUUUUCUGGAAUAAAAGAAAAAUACCUGCGCAAAGAUCCACCGGAGGGGGCGUGUGUCAGUGGGCCACAAGCCCACAUGCCGCGGCCACCCCCUAUGGUCGCGCCCUGCAGGCUUGUGGGGCCCACAUGGCACCACCGCCCCCAAUCUCAGCUCUAUAUCUUCCGUUUCGCCUAGAAAAAAAAUCAAAGAGAAGGUUUCAUCGCGUUUUGCGAUACGGAGGCGCCACCACAUCCAGUUCUUCAUCUGGAGGGCAGAUCUGGAGUCCGUUUCGGGCUCCGGAGAGGGGAAAUCGUCGCAAUCGUCAUCAUCAACCUUUCUCCAUUAACAAUUCCAUGAUGCUCUUCAUCGUUCGUGAGUAAUCUCAUCGUAGGCUUGCUAGACGGUGAUGAGUUGGAUGAGAUCUAUCAUGUAAUCGAGUUAGUUCUUGACGGGGAUUGAUCCCUAGUAUCCACUAUGUUCUAGAUUGAUGUUGCUACUACUUGGCUAUGCUUAAUGCUUGUCACUAGGGCCCGAGUGCCAUGAUUUCAGAUCUGGUCCUAUUAUGUUGUCGCCAAUAUAUGUGUGUUUUAGAUCCUAUCUUGCAAGUUGUAGUCACCUACUAUGUGUUAUGUGUUGGAGAAUGUCGCAUGGGAAACAAAAAAUUUCCUACGCGCACGAAGACCUAUCAUGGUGAUGUCCAUCUACGAGAGGGGAUUUCCGAUCUACGUACCCUUGUAUAUCGCACAGCAGGAAGCGUUAAGAAACGCGGUUGAUGUAGUGGAACGUCCUCACGUCCCUCGAUCCGCCCCCCGAACCGUCCCACAAACCAUCUCGCGAUCCGUCCCACGAUCCGCUCCGAUCUAGUGCCGAAUGGACGGGACCUCCACGUUCAGCACACGUACAGCUCGACGGUGAUCUCGGCCUUCUUGGUCCAGCAAGAGAGACGGAUAGGUAGAUGAGUUUUCCGGCAGCGUGACGGUGCUCCGGAGGUUGGUGGUGAUCUAUCCGAGCAGGGCUCUGCCCGAGCUCCGCAGAAAUACGAUCUAGAGGGAAAACCGUGGAGGUAUGUGGUCGGGCUGCCGUGGCAAAGUUGUCUCAAAUCAGCCCUAAUACCUCAGUAUAUAUAGGAGUGAGGGGGAGGGACCUGCCUUGAGGCUCAAGAGAGCCCCAAGGGAUCGGCCGAAGCAAGGGGGGAAGUCCUCCCCUUCCAAUCCUAGUCCAACUAGGAUUGGAAGGUGGAGUCCUUCUCCACUUUCCCACUUCCCCUUUUUUUCUUUUUCUUUUGAUUCCUGCGCAUAGGGCCUCUAGGGCUGUCCCACCAGCCCACUAAGGGCUGGUGCGGUACCCCUAAGGCCUAUAGGCUUCCCCCGGGUGGGCUGCCCCCCGGUGAACAUCCGGAACCUAACCAUAUAACUCAAAUACGUGUGUGAUCUCAUCCGGGACUCCGAACAACAUUCGGUAACCAACCAUAUAACUCAAAUACGCAUAAAACAUCGCCGAACCAUAAGCAUGCAGACCCUGAGGGUUCGAGAACUAUGUAGACAUGACCCGAGAGACUCCUCGGUCAAUAUCCAAUAGCGGGACCUGGAUGCCCAUAUUGGAUCCUACAUAUUCUCCGAAGAUCUUAUCGCUUGAACCUCAGUGUCAAGGAUUCAUAUAAUCCCGCAUGUCAUUCCCAUUGUCCUUCGGUAUGUUACUUUCCCGAGAUUCGAUCGUCGGUAUCCGCAUACCUAUUUCAAUCUCGUUUAUCGGCAGGUCUCUUUACUCGUUCUGUAAUACAAGAUCCCGUGACAUACACUAAGUCACAUUGCUUGCAAGGCUUGUGUGUGAUAUUGUAUUACCGAGUGGGCCCUGAGAUACCUCUCCGUCACACGGAGUGACAAAUCCCAGUAUUGAUCCAUACUAAGUCAACGGACACCUUUGGAGAUACCUGUAGAGCAUCUUUAUAGUCACCCAGUUACGUUGUGACGUUUGAUACACAUAAGGCAUUCCUCCGGUGCCAGUGAGUUAUAUGAUCUCAUGGUCAUAGGAAUAAAUACUUGUCACACAGAAAAACAGUAGCAACAAAAUGACACGAUCGACAUGCUACGUUCAUUAGUUUGGGUCUAGUCCAUCACAUGAUUCUCCUAAUGAUGUGAUCCUGUUAUCAAGUGACAACACUUGCCUAUGGCCAGGAAACCUUGACCAUCUUUGAUCAACAAGCUAGUCAACUAGAGGCUUACUAGGGAGAGUGUUUUGUCUAUGUAUCCACACAAGUAUUGUGUUUCCAAUCAAUACAAUUAUAGCAUGGAUAAUAAACGAUUAUCAUGAACAAAGAAAUAUAAUAAUAACUAAUUUAUUAUUGCCUCUAGGGCAUAUUUCCAACAUUAUGACCCGGCAACCCCGGAGUGACAAUAGCCGGAACCACUCCCGGAGAUGACCAUAGUAUGAGGAGUUCAUGUAUUCACCGCGUGUUAAUGUGUUGGUCUGGUUCUUUAUUAAAAGGAGAACCUUAAUAUCCCCGUAGUUUCCAUUAGGACCCCGCUGCCACGGGAGGGAUGGACAAUAGAUGUCAUGCAAGUUCUUUUCCCUAAGCACGUAUGACUACAUACGGAAUACAUGCCUACAUUAGAUCGAUGAACGGGAGCUAGUUACAUAUCUCUCCGUGUUAUAGCUGUUACAUGAUGAAUCACAUCCGUCACACUCAUCCAUCACCGAUCCACUGCCUACGAGUCUUUUACUACUGGUCCUCGCUACGUUACUUUGCCUAGGCUUGUCCCUUGCUACCAAAGGGAUUGGGACACUUUGAUGUUGUUGUCACUACUGCUGUAACUUGUUACUCUGCUGCUGCUGCUACUGUUGUUCCUUACUACUCCGCUGUUACUUGUUGCAAGACUUUGUUGGAGCCGUAGCUGGGGAAGCAUUCUUCUCAAGAAUAAUCCCCCGUCCACGUGCUGGCGCCAUUGAUACAACAGUUAGGAAUAGUGUGCCGUAUCAAUAGAUCGUUUCUGGCACCGUUGCUAUCAUACUACCUUGCUACUGAUACUUUGUUUGCAGACACUAAUCUUUCAGGUGUGGUUGAAUCUGACACAUUCAGCUGCUAAUACUUGAGAAUAUUUUUUAGCUUCCCAUCUUGGCGAAUCAAUAAAUUUGGGUUGAAUACUCUACCCUCGAAAACUGUUGCGAUCCCAUACGCUUAUGGGACAUCAAGGGUUUUUCUGGCGCCGUUGCCAGGGAAGCACAGCUAUAUUCUCUGAGUCACUUGGGAUUGAUGUUUGUUGAUCACUAUGAGGAAUCCGAAAGAUACAAGAACGAAAAUCUUGCCUUCCACUACGAGGAGAGGUAAAGAACUGUCAUCUAGCUUUGCACUUGAUUCACCUUCAGUUAUGAGUAAGUUUGCGACUUCGCCUCCUGAUACGUCUCCGUCGUAUCUAUAAUAUUUGAUUGUUUCAUGCCAAUAUUCUACAACUUUCAUAUACUUUUGACAACUUUUUAUACUAUUUUUGGGACUAACAUAUUGAUCCAGUGCCCAGUGCCAGUUCCUAUUUGUUGCAUGUUUUUUGUUUUGCAGAAUAUCCAUACCAAACGAAUUCCAAACGUAAUAAAAACUUACAGGGAUUUUUUUGGAAUAUUUAUGAUUUUUGGGAAGAAGAAUCAACGCGAGGCGAUUCACGGAGUGCCCACAAGCCCUGUGGUCGCGGCGAGGGGGUGGGCCCGCGCCAGGGAGGCUUGUGGCCACUCCUUAAGGCGGUUGGAGCCCUUCUUUCGCCGCAAGAAAUAUAAUAUCCGGAAGAAAAUCGUGUAAACAUUUCAGCCCAAUCGGAGUUAUGAAUCUCCGGGAAUUUAAGAAACAGUGAAACGCAGAAUCUGGGAGCGCAGAAACAGAAGGACACAUACAGAGAGAUCCAAUCUCGAAGGGGCUCUUGCCCCUCCGCCACCAUGGAGACCAUGGACCAGAGGGGAAACCCUUCUCCCAUCUAGGGAGGAGGUCAAGGAAGAAGAAGAAGGAGGGGGGCUCUCUCCCCCUCUCUCCCGGUGGCGCCAGAACGCCGCCCGGGACAUCAUCGUGUGACGACGAUUUACACCAACACCUCUGUCAUCUUCACCAACAUCUCCAUCAUCUUCCCCAUCUAUAUUCAGCGGUUCACUCUCCCGCAACCCUAUGUACCCUCUACUUGAACUUGGUGCGUUAUGCUACAUAUUAUUAUCCAAUGAUGUGUUGCUAUCCUAUGAUGUCUGAGUAGAUUAUCGUUGUCCUAUCGGUGAUUGAUGAAUUGCUAUGAUUGGUUUAAUUUGCUUGUGGUUAUGUUACUGUCCUUUGGUGCCCAUCAUAUGAUCGCGCACGUGGAUCACACCAUAGGGUUAGUUGAAUGUUGAUAGGACUAUAUAUUGGUAGGCUAGAGUGACAGAAGCUUCAAACCUAGCAUAGAAAUUGAUGCAUAUGGGAUUGAAGGGGGACCAAUAUAUCUUAUUGCGAUGGUUGGGUUUUACCUUAAUGAACGUUAGUAGUUGCGGACGCUUGCUAAUAGUUCCAAUCAUAAGUGCAUAGAAUUCCAAGUAAGGGAUGACAUGCUAGCAGAGGCCUCUCCCACAUGAUACUUGCUAUCGAUCUAGUAACGUUGUCAAUUGCUUAGGGACAAUUCCGCAACUCCUACCACCACCUUUUCACACUCGUUAGACACUCAUAGUUGUUUCUUUAUCUAACUAGCCCCUAGUUUUAUUUACGUGUUCUUUCCUUUCUUGCAAGCCUAUCCUAUCACUCCUACAAAGUACUUCUAGUUUCAUACUUGUUCUAGGUAAAGCGAACGUAAAGUGUGCGUAGAGUUAUAUCGGUGGUCGAUAGAACUUGAGGGAAUAUUUGUCCUACCUUUAGCUCCUCGUUGGGUUCGACACUCUUACUUAUCGAGAAAGGCUACAAUUGAUCCCCUAUACUUGUGGGUUAUCAAGACCUUUUUCUGGCGCCGUUGCCGGGGAGCAAUAGCGUGGGGUGAAUAUUAUCGUGUGUGCUUGUUUGCUUUAUCACUAAGUAGAUUUAUUUGCUGUUCUAAGUUGUUCUCUAUCUUUAGUUAUGGAUUUGGAACACGAAAUACCAAAAAAAUUAGGUGUAUUUGCUACUCAUGGAGAUGGGGAACCUCCUAAAACCCUCGAGGCUCGUUAUGUGGAAAAUAUUAUGCACUUCUUUAAUAAUCCUGAGAAAGCCCCAUUCAAUUAUAUAAUGGGAUACACGUUGGAUCAACGUGAAUACUUUAGGGAUUAUCCCUUGGCUCAAAAAGGGAAACUUUUAUGGGAUCAAAUCCAUUUGUUGAAAUGGUAUGCUUGGGAACUAUGCAAGAGAUAUGGUGUUACUUGUUGCUCUAGGAUGAAGGCUCCACACCUUCCCUUUUCUUGUGAAUUUAAUGAUCAUAGAACCUUGGCUUCUUAUGCUAAUGGUAUAUAUGAUUACUAUGAUGUGGAUCAAAUAGAAGAGUUUGUUGCUUUUAUGGGUGCUUAUGAAAUUGAGGCUGUGUUUAAAAGGUGUGAUGAUAAUGAUGAUGCUCCUUACCGAUCUGAAAAUUUGGCUAUGCUUCGUUAUUGUUAUACUAAUUAUGAAUAUAAUUCCCGUAUUGAACGAUUUAAGGAGAAAUCCUAUGCUGCCCAAGAAGAGACUAUUAUUUUGCAGGAAACUAUGGAAGAAGAAAAUGCUGAAAUUGUGAGCUCAUUAGAUGAAAAAGAUGAAGAGGAGAGUGAAGAACAAAAGGAGGAAGAGNNNNNNNNNNNNNNNNNNNNNNNNNNNNNNNNNNNNNNNNNNNNNNNNNNNCUAGCUACCCGUGUCACCUUCUAAUGAGAGUAACUCUUCUACUCAUACAUUAUUUAAUUUCCCUUCGUUCUUACUGAAGGAUGAAUGCUAUGAUCCCUUGGAUUCGUUUGAAAUAUCCCUUUUUGAUGAACUUGAUGCUUGCUAUGCUUGUGGCCAUGAUGCCAAUAUGAAUGAUGCUUAUGAAGAUGAGCUAGCUAUAGUUCCUUAUGUUACACAUGAUGAUUUUGAUGAAUAUAAUAUGCAUGUGCUUGCUGCUCCUACUUGCAAUUAUUAUGAGAGAGGAACUACAUCUCCACCUCUCUAUGUUUCCAAUACGAUAAAAUUGCAAGAAACUGCUUAUGCUAUGUAUUGGCCUUUACUUGAUGUGCAUGAAUUGUUGUUUUAUGACAUGCCAAUGCAUAGGAAGAGAGUUAGACUUCGUCAUUGCUUGAUAUAUGUUACCUUGUGCUCACUACUAAAUUUCAAAUCAUUGCUAAUUAAAAUUGGCUUUGAUAUACCUUGGGAUCCGGGUGGAUCCAUUACUUGAGCACUUUAUGCCUAGCUUAAUGGCUUUAAAGAAAGCGCUGCCUGGGAGACAACCCGGAAGUUUUAGAGAUUCAUUUAUUUUUGUUGAGUGCUUUUAUUUAGUUAAAAACAAAAAAAAUAUAGAGGGGAACUUAAAAACUUUUUCAAAAAGAGAAGCGAUUGAAAGGUGAUGCAUUGCGGAAAUGAGGGUCGACCUUGAACACUUGUGUUCAUGCUCAUGGAAACAAUGUAGAAUUUUUCAUGGAAGUUUCUCAAAAAAAUAUUUAUCCCCUUGUACAAUUCCUUUGUGUUUUUAAAAAUAAUGUGCCAAGUAAAGCCUUUACGAUUAGUUUGGGAGAUAGUUGUUUGAUCACGCUGAGAAAAGACAAAAACUUUCUGCUCACGAAAUUAAUUUUCAUUUUUAUUCUGGAAGAGAUUUUGAGUUGAUUAUUUUAGCUGCUGAUGGAUAUGCAAAUUUUCUAGACGUUCGUAAUUUUUCAGAUUUUUUGAGAUAUCAGAAGUAUACGGAAUAUACAGAUUGCUACAGACUGUUCUGUUUUGACAGAUUCUGUUUUCUAUGCAUUGUUCUCUUAUUUUGAUAAAUCUAUGGGUAGUAUCGGGGGGGAUGAACCAUGGUGAAGUUGGAUUACAAUAGAUAUAAUGCUUAUAUGAAUUUAGAAUGAGUUCACAAAAGUACUCGAAGUGGUGAUUUAUUUUAUUAUACUAACGGAUCUCAUGAAGUUUUGUUGAGUUUUGUGUGAUUGAAGUUUUCAAGUUUUGGGUGAGAGCACGAUGGAUGAAGGAAUAAGGAGAGGCAAGAGCCUAAGCUUGGGGAUGCCCGAGGCACCCCAAGGUAAUAUUCAAGGAAAACUCAAGCGUCUAAGCUUGGGGAUGCCCCGGAAGGCAUCCCCUAUUUCGUCUACAAUCUAUCGGUAAUUUUACUCGGAGCUAUAUUUUAAUUCGUCACAUGAUAUGUGCAAAUGCUUGGAGCGUCUUUUGUGUUUAUUUUUCCUUUUUCUUUUAUGCACCAUGCUGGUAUGAGAUAGUCCUUGGUUGGCUUUAUAGAAUUCUUCUUGUGCUUCACUUAUAUCUUUUGAAGUUUGGAUUGCAUGUNNNNNNNNNNNNNNNNNNNNNNNNNNNNNNNNNNNNNNNNNNNNNNNNNCCUACACAUAGAAAACCGCCAAUAUGUAGAAUGCUCUUUUGCUUCACUUAUAUUUCUUAGAGCGGGGCAUAUCUUUUGUAGAAAGAAUUAAACUCUCAUGCUUCACUUAUACCUAUUUAGAGAGUUAACAGGAGUUGGCCAUUCACAUGGUUAGUCAUAAAAUCCUACAUAAAACUUGUAGAUCACUGAAUAUGAUAUGUUUGAUUCCUUGCAAUAGUUUUGCGACAUGAAUAUGUGAUAUUAGAGUCAUGCUAGUGAGUAAUUGUGUAUUCGUAGAAAUACUUGUGUUAAGGUUCGUGAUUCCCAUAGCAUGCACGUAUGGUGAACUGUUAUGUGAUGAAGUCGGAGCAUGAUUUAUUUAUUGAUUGUCAUCCUCUGUGUGGAGGUCGGGAUCACGCGAUGGUUAACUCCUACCAACCUUUCCCCUAGGAGCAUGCGUGUAGUACCUUGUUUCGAUGACUAAUAGACUUUUGCAAUAAGUAUGUCAGUUCUUUAUGACUAAUGUUGAGUCCAUGGAUUAUACAUACUCUCACCCUUCCAACAUUGCUAGCCUCUCUAGUACCGCGCAACUUUCGCCGAUGCAUUACACCCACCAUAUAGCCUUCCUCAAAACAGCCACCAUACCCACCUAUUAUGGCAUUUUCAUAGCCAUUCCGAGAUAUAUUGCCAUGCAACUACCACCUUUCCGUCUCAUGACAUGUGCCACCACUUCCAUAUUGCCAUUGCAUGAUCGUAAGAUAGCUAGCAUGAUGUUCCAUGGCUUGUCCAUUUUUUUUAUGUCAUUGCUAUGCUAGAUCAUUGUCACGGUACACUACCAAAGGCAUUUCAUAUAGAUUCAUCAUUGCACUAAGUAUUGAGUUGUAAGUGUGAUGAUCAUCAUUAAUAGAGCAUUGUCCCAUGUGAGGAAAUAAAAGAGGCCAGUGAAGCCCAUUUAUAAAAAAGAGGCCAAAGAUGCCCACCAAAAUUAAAAAACAUAUAAAAAAAGAGGCCAAAGAGCCCACAAAUAAAAAUGAGAGAAAAGAGAGAAGGGACAUACAAAGUUCUCCAUGACCUUCAUGGAAAUAUAUCCGAUGUAACUUUCUUUUGCAGUGUGUUUGUCGAGAUCCGAUGAAUUGUGGAUUUAUGAUCAGAUUACCUAUGAAGAUUAUUUGAGUCUCCUCUGAUCUCUUAUAUGCAUGAUUUCGUAUCCUUGUAAUUCUCUUUGAGUUAUGUGUUUUGUUUUGCCAACUUGAUCUAUAAUUCUUGCAAUAGGAGAAGUGCUUGGUUUUGGGUUCAUACCGUGCGGUGUCCUCACCCAGCGACAGAAAGGGUAGCAAGGCACGCAUCGUGUUGUUGCCCUCAAGGGUAAAAAGAUGGGGUUUAUAUCAUAUUGCAUGAAUUUAUCCCUCUACAUCAUGUCAUCUUGCUUAAGGCGUUACUCUGUUUGUUAUGAACUUAAUACACUAGAUGCAUGCUGGAUAGCGGUCGAUGUGUGGAGUAAUAGUAGUAGAUGCAGAAAGUAUCGGUCUACUUGUCUCGGAUGUGAUGCCUAUAUGUAUGAUCAUUUCCUUAGAUAUCUUCAUGACUUUGCGUGAUUCUAUCAAUUGCUCGACAGUAAUUCGUUCACCCACCGUAAUACUUGCUAUCAUGAGAGAAGCCUCUAGUGAACACUAUGGCCCCGGGGUCUACUUCACAUCCUAUAUUCAGAUCUACGAAAAUACCAGCAAUACUUUGCUGCACUUUUCACCUUCAGAUCCCACCUUGCAAAUAAUCGUGAAGGGAUUGACAACCCCUUUUUCGCGUUGGGUGCAAGUUUGUUUGUUUUUGCGCAGGUACAUUGGUCCCUCAUCUUGAUACUCCUACUGGAUUGAUACCUUGGUUCUCAAACUGAGGGAAAUACUUAUCGCUACUUUGCUGCAUCACCCUUUCCUCUUCAAGGGAAAAACCAACGCAAGCUCAAGAGGUAGCAAGAAGGAUUUUUGGGGCCGUUGCCGGGGAGUAUUCAAAGUGAAGCAUACCAAAUAACUAUCGCAAACUCAUCUCUUGCAUUUACUUUAUUUGCCUUUUGCCUCUCGUUUUCCUCUCCCCCACUUCUGAAACGUUAUUUCCGAAAAUACCAAAAAUAUUUUCCUUUUUAUUCGAUCUUCUUCCAUUCGCCUUUUUGUUGCUAUGUUUGCUUGUGUUGCCAUGUGCCUUCUAUUUGCUUGCAUCUUCGCUUGCUAAAACUCUAUUGAUAUGGAUCCUCAUCCACUUGAUAAUCUUUUCAAAAUACCAAAUUAUGAUGAACAAUUUGCUAGUGAGUUGAGUGCACUUGACUAUCUCUAUCGAGUUUUGUUUGAAAAUCAUGAAUCUGAAAAUUUUGAUGAAGUGUUGAAAGAAGAAAAUUAUAAAGUGGUUCAUGAUAUCUGCUUGAAUGAAAAACAUGAUUGCCAUGUUGUUAGUAUGAAUUCUCUAAAUAUCAAUGAUGCUAAUAAUAUGCAAAACCACAAGCUUGGGGAUGGUAUGCUUGAUGAAGAUGAUAUUUUUUGUUUCCCAAGUUUUGGUGAUGACCCUUAUGCUAUAAUUGAUCAUGAAAAGAAUGCUUUGUGUGAUAGUUAUAUUGUAAGACUCCUUCAUGAUGUUACUGAAAAUUACUAUGAGAGAGGAACAUAUGCUUUUACAUAUUGCAAUUAUAUCAAGCUUCCUCUCUAUGUGUUCAACGUUUUGAAGUUAUGCUUGUUUUUGCUUCCUAUGCUAGUUAAUUCUUGUUCCCAUAAUAUGUUUGCUCCCAAAAUCCCUAUGCAUAGGAAGUGGGUUAGACUUAAACGUGUUUUUUCCAUUCAUGAUGCUCUUUUGCAUAUCUCAACUACUACUUUUUAUGUGAGCAUCAUUGAAAUCGUUAAGCCUAGCUAGGGGCGUUAAACGAUAGCGCUUGUUGCGAGGCAACCCAAUGAAUAAAUUUGUUUUUGCUUUUCACUUUCUGUUUUGUUGUGUCCACACCAUCAUAAUUCUGUUAUGAUUGUGUUUUAUUAUGUUUUUAGUGUUUGUGCCAAGUAGAACCUUUAUGAUUAGUUUUGGUGAUAGUUAUUUAAUCAUGCUGAAAAAGACAAAAACUGCGUGCUCACGAAAUUAUUUUUAUUUCCUAUCCAGAAAGAGCUUUUGAGUUGAUUCUUUUUUCUGUUGAUUGAUAUGUAAAUUUCCAUAAUUUUCAUAAUUCUUUAGAAUUUUUGGGAUAACAGAGGUAUACGAAAUAUACAGAUUUCUACAGACUGUUCUGUUUUUGACAGAUUCUGUUUUUGUUGUGUUGAUGGCUUAUUUUGAUGAAACUAUGGUUAGUAUCGGGAGGUACUAGCCAUGGAUAAGUGAGAAUACAGUAAUAUAACAUCAAUUUAAAUGGAAAUCAAGUUUACUACAGUACCUAAAGAGUUGGUGGUUUGUUUUCUUAUGCUAAUGAUAUCACGAGUUUCUGUUUAAGUUUUGUGUUGUGAAGUUUUCAAGUUUUGGGUGAUGUUCUUGUGGACAAUGGAAUAAAGAGUGGAAAGAGAUUAAGCUUGGGGAUUCCCAAGACAUCCCAAGCCAAAUUCAAGGACACCAAAAAGCGUAAGCUUGGGGAUGCCUCGGGAAGGCAUCCCCUCUUUCGUCUUCAAUCCAUCGGUAACGUUACUUGGAGCUAUAUUUUUAUUCACCACAUGAUAUGUGUUUUGCUUGGAGCGUCUUGUAUCGUUGGAGUCUUUUCUUUUUGUUGUGUCACAAUCAUCCUUGCUGCACACCUUUUGAGAGAGACUUGCACUCAUCGUGAUUUUGCUAGAAUGCUCAUCGUGCUUCACUUGAGUGGGACAUGCACUCAUCAUGAAUUUGAAUUUGUUAGAAUGCUCAAUGAGCUUCACUUAUAUCUUUUGAGCUAGGCAAUUUAGCUUGCAUGUGCUUCACUUAUAUCUUUUGAGCUAGAUAAUUUUGCUCUAGUGCUUCACUUAAAUCUUUGUAGAGAACGGCGGUGUCAUAUUUUGAAGAAAUAAAAACUCUCGAUCUUCACUUAUAUCUUUUUGAGAGUGCUCUCUCUAAGUAACUUGGUAAUUGGCGUGUGCUAUGAAAUUAGUCCUAAAUAUGAUAGGCAUCCAAAGAGGAUAUGAUAAAAACUUUCAUAUUCAUGUGCACUGAUUAGUAAGAGAAGUUUGAUUCCUCACAAUUAGUUUUGAGAUAUAGAUACGUUAAUAUUAGAGUCAUGUUAGUAGGGUGUUCUGAAUCUAGAAAUACUUGUGUUGAGGUUAGUGAUUCCCGUAGCAUGCAUGUAUGGUGAACCGCUAUGUUAGGAAUUCGGAGCAUAAUUGAUUUAUUGAUUGUCAUCCUUUGUGUGGCGGUCGGGAUCGCGAGAUGGUUAACACCUACCAACCCUUCCCCUAGGAGUAUGCGUUUAGCACUUUGUUUUGAUUACUAAUAAAACUUUCGCAAUAAGUAUAUGAGUUCUUCAUGACUAAUGUGAGUCCAUGGUAUAGAUGCACUCUCACCUUCCACCAUUGAUAGCCUCUCUAGUGCCGCGCAAAUUUCGCCGGUGCACAAACCCACCAUAUACCUUCCUCAAAACAGCCACCAUAACUACCUAUUAUGGCAUUUUCAUAGCCAUUCCGAGAUAUAUUGCCAGGCAACUCCCACCAUUCCGUCUCAUGACAUGUGCCGUCACUUUCAUAUUGCCAUUGCAUGAUCGUAAGAUAGCUAGUGAGAUGUUUCAAUGUCAUAUCUAUGCUAGAUCGUUGCACAUCCUGGGACAUUGUCGGAGGCAUUUCAUAUAGAGUCAUCAUCGUUCUAAGUAUUGAGUUGUAAGUAAAUAAAAGUGUGAUGAUCAUCAUUAUUAGAGCAUUGGCCCAUGUGAGGAAAUAAAAAAAAGAGGUCAAAGAAGCCCACCAAAAAAAAUGAAAAAAAGAGGCCAAAGAGCCCAAACAAAAAAUGAUGAGAGAAAAAAAAGAAGGGACAAUGCUACUAUCUUUUUCCACACUUGUGCUUCAAAAUAGCACCAUGUUCUUCAUAAUAGAGAGUCUCUUGUUUUGUCACUUCCAUAUACUAGUGGGAAUUUUCAUUAUAUAACUUGGCUUGUAUAUUCCAAUGAUGGGCUUCCUCAAAAUUGCCCUAGGUCUUCGUGAGCAAACAAGUUGGGUGCACACCCACUAGUUUUCUUUUUGAGCUUUCAUACACUUUUAGCUCUAGUGCAUCCGUUGCAUGGCAAUCCCUACUCAUUCACAUUGAUAUCUAUUGAUGGGCAUCUCCAUAGCCCAUUGAUACGCCGAGUCAACGUGACCAUCUCCUCCUUUUGCCUCACAACCACCACCAUACUCUAUUCCACCUAUAGUUCUAUAUCCAUGGCUAACGCUCAUGUAUUGCGUGAGAGUUGAAAAGGUUUGAUAAAGUAAGAGUGUGAAAACAAUUACUUGGCCAAUACCGGGGUUGUGCAUGAUUUAAAUACAUUGUGUGGGGAUGAUGGAGCAUAGCCAGACUAUAUGAUUUUGUAGGGAUAACUUUCUUUGCCUUUGUUAUUUCAAAAGUUCAUGAUUACUUUGCUAGUAUGCUUGAAGUAUUAUUGUUUUCAUGUCAAUAGUAAACUAUUGUUUUGAAUCUUAUGGAUCUGAACAUUCAUGCCACAAGAAAGAAGUUACAAAGAACAAAUAUGUUAGGUAGCAUUCCACAUCAAAAAUUCGGUCUUUAUCACUUCCCUACUCGAGGACGAGCAGGAGUUAAGCUUGGGGAUGCUUGAUACGUCUCCAACGUAUUUAUAAUUUUUGAUGGUUCCAUGCUAUUAUCUUGUCAACUUUGGAUGUUUUAUAUGCAUGAAAAUGCUAUUUUAUAUCUUUUUUGGGACUAACCUAUUAACUCAGUGCCUCAUGCCAGUUUCUGUUUUUUCCGUGUUUUGACCAUUUUCAGAAAAGAAUAUUAAACGGAGUCCAAACGGAAUAAAACUUGUGCGAUGAUUUUUUCCAUAAUAGAAGAUACGCAGGGAACUUGAGAACCAAGGCACGAGACCUCGUGGGAGGUCACAAGCCCCCUAGUCACGCCCUAGGGGGGCCGCGCCUCGCAGGCUUGUGGGCCCCACGUGGCUCCUUUGCCCUACCUCUUUUAACUAUAAAUUCUCUAAAAUCCCGAAACCAAAGAAGAGAGCCACGAAAAUACUUUUCCGCCGCCGCAAGCUUCUGUCUCCGCAAGAUCCCAUAUGGGGACCGUUCUGGUGCCCUGCGGGAGGAGGAUUCGGACACGGAGGGCUUCUUCAUCAACACCAUUGCCUCUCCGAUGAUGAGUGAGUAGUUCACCACAGACCUUCGGGUCCAUAGCUACUAGAUAGAUGGCUUCUUCUCUCUCUUUGAUCUUCAAUACAAAGUUCUCCAUGAUCUUCAUGGAAAUAUAUCCGAUGUAACUUUCUUUUGCGGUGUGUUUGUCGAGAUCCGAUAUAUUGUGGAUUUAUGAUCAGAUUAUCUAUGAAUAUUAUGUGAGUCUCCUCUGAUCUCUUAUAUGCAUGAUUUCGUAUCCUUGUAAUUCUCUUCGAGUUAUGUGUUUCGUUUUGCCAACUUGAUCUAUAAUUCUUGCAAUAGGAGAAGUGCUUGGUUUUGGGUUCAUACCCUGCGGUGUCCUCACCCAGUGACAGAAAGGGUAGCAACGCACGCAUCUUGUUGUUGCCAUCAAGGGUAAAAAGAUGGGGUUUAUAUCAUAUUGCAUGAAUUUAUCCCUCUACAUCAUGUCAUCUUGCGUAAGGCGUUACUCCGUUUGUUAUGAACUUAAUACACUAGAUGCAUGCUGGAUAGCGGUUGAUGUGUGGAGUAAUAGUAGUAGAUGCAGACAGUAUCGUUCUACUUGUCUCGGAUGUGAUGCCUAUAUGUAUGACCAUUUCCUUAGAUAUCGUCAUGACUUUGCGCGAUUCUAUCAAUUGCUCGACAGUAAUUCGUUCACCCACCGUAAUACUCGCUAUCAUGAGAGAAGCCUCUAGUGAACACUAUGGCCCCGGGGUCUANNNNNNNNNNNNNNNNNNNNNNNNNNNNNNNNNNNNNNNNNNNNNNNNNNNNNNNNNNNNNNNNNNNNNNNNNNNNNNNNNNNNNNNNNNNNNNNNNNNNUAAUCAGUGCACAUGAAUAUGAAAGUUUUUAUCAUAUCCUCUUUGGAUGCCUAUCAUAUUUAGGACUAAUUUCAUAGCACACGCCAAUUACCAAGUUACUUAGAGAGAGCACUCUCAAAAAGAUAUAAGUGAAGAUCGAGAGUUUUUAUUUCUUCAAAAUAUGACACCGCCGUUCUCUACAAAGAUUUAAGUGAAGCACUAGAGCAAAAUUAUCUAGCUCAAAAGAUAUAAGUGAAGCACAUGCAAGCUAAAUUGCCUAGCUCAAAAGAUAUAAGUGAAGCUCAUUGAGCAUUCUAACAAAUUCACGUUGAGUGCAUGUCCCUCUCAAAAAUGAGUGCAGCAAGGAUGAUUGUGACAAAACAAAAAGCAAAGACUCCUAUAAUACACGACGCUCCAAGAAAAACACAUAUCAUGUGGUGAAUAAAAAUAUAGCUCCAAGUAAUGUUANNNNNNNNNNNNNCGCAUCCCCAAGCUUACGCUUUUUGGUGUCCUUGAAUUUGGCUUGGGAUGUCUUGGGAAUCCCCAAGCUUAAUCUCUUUCCACUCUUUAUUCCAUUGUCCACAAGAACAUCACCCAAAACUUGAAAACUUCACAACACAAAACUUAAACAGAAACUCGUGAUAUCAUUAGCAUAAGAAAACAAACCACCAACUCUUUAGGUACUGUAGUAAACUUGAUUUCCAUUUAAAUUGAUGUUAUAUUACUGUAUUCUCACUUCUCCAAGGCUAGUACCCCCCGAUACUAACCAUAGUUUCAUCAAAAUAAGCUAUCAACACAACAAAAACAGAAUCUGUCAAAAACAGAACAGUCUAUAGCAAUCUGUAUAUUUCGUAUACCUCUGUUAUCCCAAAAAUUCUGAACAAUUAUGAAAAUUAUGGAAAUUUACAUAUCAAUCAACAGAAAAAAGAAUCAACUCAAAAGCUCUUUCUGAAUAGGAAAUAAAAAUAAUUUCGUGAGCACGCAGUUUUUGUCUUUUUCAGCAUGAUUAAAUAACUAUCACCAAAACUAAUCAUAAAGGUUCUACUUGGCACAAACACUAAAAACAUAAUAAAACACAAUCAUAACAGAAUUAUGAUGGUGUGGACACAACAAAACAGAAAGUGAAAAGCAAAAACAAAUUUAUUCAUUGGGUUGCCUCGCAACAAGCGCUAUCGUUUAACGCCCCUAGCUAGGCUUAACGAUUUCAAUGAUGCUCAAACCAUAAGUAGUAGUUGAGAUAUGCAAAAGAGCAUCAUGAAUGGCAAAAAACACGUUUAACUCUAACCCACUUCCUGUGCAUAGGGAUUUUGUGAGCAAACAAUUUAUGGGAACAAGAGUUAACUAGCAUAGGAAGCAAAAACAAGCAUAACUUCAAAACGUUGAACACGUAGAGAGGAAGCUUGAUAUUAUUGCAAUAUGUAAAAGCAUAUGUUCCUCUCUCAUAGUAAUUUCAGUAACAUCAUGAAGGAGUCAUACAAUAUAACUAUCACACAAAGCAUUCUUUUCAUGAUCAAUUUUAGCAUAAGGGUCAUCACCAAAACUUGGGAAACAAAAAAUAUCAUCUUCAUCAAGCAUACCAUCNNNNNNNNNNNNNNNNNNNNNNNNNNNNNNNNNNNNNNNNNNNNNNNNNNNNNNNNNNNNNNNNNNNNNNNNNNNNNNNNNNNNNNNNNNNNNNNNNNNNGUUAAGGCGGUACUCUCUUCUUAUGGACUUAAUACACUAGAUGCAUGUUGGAUAGCGGUCGACGUGUGGAGUAAUAGUAGUAGAUGCAGAAAGUAUCGGUCUACUUGUUUUGGACGUGAUGCCUAUAGAUAUAAUCAUUGCAUAGAUAUCGUCACAAUUUUGCGCGGUUCUAUCAAUUGCUCGACAGUAAUUUGUUCACCCGCCGUCUGCUUGCUUUCAUGAGAGAAGCCACUAGUAAACACUACGGCCCCGGGGUCUAUUCACAUCCAUCGUUUACACCUCUGCUUUUACUUUGCUUUGUUACUUUGGUGCUUUCAGUUCUCACUUGGCAAACAAUCUAUAAGGGAUUGACAACCGCUUCAUAGCGUUGGGAGCAAGCUUUUGUGUUUGUGCAGGAUCUUGAGAUACUCCUCCACUGGAUUGAUACCUUGGUUCUCAAACUGAGGGAAAUACUUACCACCGCUACUCUACAUCACCCUUUCCGCUUCGAGGGAACACCAACGCAAGGCUCCAAGGCCACGGGGGAAAUCCUUUGCAUACUUUCCUAGGAAGUCCCUUAAGGCGUAGCCGCAGCUGAAGAAUUCCUAGUGCCGUUGCUGAGGAGUAUCAAGCAACACUCCUAUUUUUGGCGCCGUUUGAAGGUCUUUUGUUGCAGUAGCAGAAGUAUUUCUGGCGCUGUUGCCGGGGAGGAGAAAUCAAGAUCUAUCCAAGUAGGUCUCACAAACUCAUCUCUUGCAUUUACUUUUGUUGCNNNNNNNNNNAUAGCCGCAGCUGAAGAACUCCUGGUGCCGUUGCUGAGGAGUAGCAAGCAACACUCCUAUUUCUGGCGCCGUUGGAAGGUCUUUUGUAGCAGUAGCAGAAGUAUUUCUGGCGCCAUUGCCGGGGAGGAGAAAUCAAGAUUUAUCCAAGUAGGUCUCACAAACUCAUCUCUUGCAUUUACUUUUGUUGCCAGUUGCCUCUUGUUUUCCUCUCCCUCACUUCACAUUUGCCGUUUUCAUUUGCCUUUCUCCUUUGCCGUUUUCUUUUGCCUUUUUCCUUUUUCGUUCGCCCUUUUUCUCUCGCUUGCUUUCUGUUUUCUUGUGUGCCAUGUGCCUUCAAUAUGCUUGCAUCUUCGUUUGUUAAUCUCUUUAAGAGACCCACUUAUGUGGAACAAAUUGCUAGUGAGUUGAGGGCACUUGACUAUCUUUAUGAAGUUUUGCGUGAGAUGCGUGGAUCUGAAAAUUGUGAGGAAGAAAUUUAUGAAGUGAUUCACGAGGUCUCCUUGGAUGAAAAGCAUGAUUGCAAUGGUUUCACUAUAAAUUCUAUUAGUGACAAUCAUGCUAAAAUUAUGCAAAACCCUAAGCUUGGGUAUGCUAGGUUUGCUAUGUCCACUACUUGUUGCAAUAAUCAUGAUUGGGGUGAUGAUNNNNNNNNNNNNNNNNNNNNNNNNNNNNNNNNNNNNNNNNNNNNNNNNNNNNNNNNNNNNNNNNNNNNNNNNNNNNNNNNNNNNNNNNNNNNNNNNNNNNCCUUUUCUCUCUUAUUUUGCAAGGUUUACAUGAAGAGGGAGAAUACCGACAACUGGAAUUCUGGUCUGAAAGUGGAGCAAAGUUGACAUACCUAUCCUGCGCAACUCCAACCGCCGUGAAAAACAACGGGGAUUUUUUCCCAAUUUAUCAAAAAUACUGGGCCGAAGAAGUGCCAGAGGGGCACCAGGGGGUGCCUACAAGCCUGCACGGCGCGACCACCCCCAGGCCGCGCCAUGGGGGCUUGUGGGCAGCCCACUGGCCCACUGGCCCCCCUCUUUUGCUAUAUGGAGGGUUUUGUCCAGGAAAAAAUCAAGGAGGAGCUUUUUCGUGGUUUCGCCGCCGCCACGAGGCGGAACUUGAGCAGAACCGAUCUAGAGCUCCGGCACGACGAUCCUGCCGGGGAAACUUCCCUCCCGGAGGGGGAAAUUGUCGCCAUCGUCAUCACCAACACUCCUCUCAUCGGAGGGGAUUCGUCACCAUCAACAUCUUCAUCAGCACCAUCUCAUGUCCAAACCCUAGUUCAUUUCUUGUAACCAAUCUCUGUCUCGCGACUCCGAUUGGUACUUGUAAGGUUGCUAGUAGUGUUGCUUACUCUUUGUAGUUGAUGCUAGUUGGAUUAUUUGGUGGAAGAGUUUAUGUUCAGAUCCUUGAUGCUACUCAUUACCUCUCUGGUCAUGAAUAUGGUUAUGCUUUGUGAGUAGUUACUUUUGUUCCUGAGGACAUGGGAUAAGUCAUGCUAAUAGUAGUCAUGUGAAUUUGGUAUUCGUUCGGUAAUUUGAUUUGUUGUAUGUUGUUUUUCCUCUAGUGGUGUUAUGUGAACGUCGACUACAUAACACUUCACCAUUAUUUGGGCCUAGAGGAAGGCAUUGGGAAGUAGUAAGUAGAUGAUGGGUUGCUAGAGUGACAGAAGCUUAAACCCUAGUUUACGCAUUGCUUCAUAAGGGGCUUAUUUGGAUCCACUAGUUUAAUGCUAUGGUUAGACUUUGUCUUAAUUUUUCUUUCGUAGUUGCAGAUGCUUGCGAGAGGGGUUAAUCAUAAGUGGGAUGAUUGUCCAAGUAAGGGCAGUACCCAAGCGCGGGUCCACCCACUUAACAAACUAUCAAAGUAACGAAUGCGAAUCAUAUGAACAUGAUGAAACUAGCAUGACAGAAAUUCCCGUGUNNNNNNNNNNNNNNNNNNNNNNNNNNNNNNNNNNNNNNNNNNNNNNNNNNNNNNNNNNNNNNNNNNNNNNNNNNNNNNNNNNNNNNNNNNNNNNNNNNNNCGCCCGCCCCUGCGCCAGCCCCGGCCGCCCCUGCGCCCCGCCCCGGCCUGAGCCGCCCACCUCGCCGCUGCAGCAGUUCCCCGACGCCCCGAUGAGCUCCUGUUCCAAUCCUUCUCCACCUCCACACUUCUACCAUGGUGCCCUCGCGAGCUCCAGUGUACAUAUUCUUCCUGGUUUUGCUAGAUAAGUAGAACAAAAUUAUUGGCAGAGAGGCAAUUGAUACAUGCCCUGUGUAUGUGAGUUUCUAGCCAACUGAAUUUUUUUCAGGCAAGUCAUAACAGAUUUUGCUUCAGGUUUCAUGGUUUCAGGUUUCAGGUUUCAUGACAGAUUUUGCCCUGUGCAAUUGAUACAUGCCCUGUGCAAUUAGUUGUUUCAGGUUUUUCCCUGUGCAAUUGAUACCGAUUUUGCUUCAGGUUCCAUGAUUUCAGGUUUCAGGUUUCAUAACAGAUUUCAUGGCAGAUUUUGCUGCUAAGAAAUCAGUUACAAAUAGAGGCUAGUAAAUAGAUUUUGCAUGAUAUGCUUACCUUGUAUUUUUCUUCAGAUUGCUGCUAAAAAAUAAGUUAGCAUGUAAUAAUUUGGUUUCAAAUUUUCAUGAUAUGCUUACCUUGUAUUUUGCUUCAGAUUGUCAUGAUCUUCCAAAGUUGCUAUUAUUUCACUUUACAUUUUAUCUCCAUUGUCAAAUGUUUUACUCAUGAAUUAUGAUGUAUCUUUGUUUUACUUUUCUAUGUCCUAUUUGAUUCGAACAAUUGUUGUGAUUUGCUCAAACAUUGUUGUAAUAAUUUGAAUGAUUAUUGUUUUAUUCGGUGGUGUAAUAAUAACUAGAAUGAUUAUUGUUUUAUGUCAAAUGUGAUUGAAUUUGUGAUAUGUCAUAUGAUGAAAUGUGAUGAAAUGUGUGAUAUAUGAAAUGACAGUUUUAAGGGUUGGGGUUGGGACAAAGACUAGAACCCUCAAACCCAACCCUUAUAACGGAAUAUUCCGUUAUAAGGGUUGGGUUUGAGGGUUCUAGUCUUUGCCCUUGUUUUUCAACCCUUAAAAGUGUCAAAAAUGGCCAAUUCUCAACCCUUAAAACUGGUUUUAGAUUUAAGGGUUUGAGGGUUCUACUAGAGAUGCUCUAAGCCAGGCAAUUGUAAGCACAACAUCUAGUGACUAAAUGACACAUAUCUGGAGGGUCGCCCCAGGGAAACUCUGGAUACAGGCCGUCAUCCUUAGUACAGACAUACUGAUUGGGUCGGAUUCGGCAAGAAUCUCAUCUUUUGUUGUAUCUAAAGCAACUAUUUCCCUUGCAGUGAGUUGUAACUCUACCAUGAUCUGAACUGCACCAGAUGAUGCUUUGUUGUCCAAUUACUGCAAUUCUAAGCACAAAAUCUAGUAACUAAAUGACACACGUAUGGAGGGUCGCACUAGACUGAUUUCAGUAUACACAAAAUGGCAGCGAACUUCCUUUUGCUGUUUGACAUUUAGCUGAAGAGUUUGUAUCUAUCUAUCUAUCUGUUCAUGUUCAGUGUAGAACUGUGCACAAAGCUCCUCGGGGUCAAAGGACAAAGGCCAAGAAGCGCUAACCUCUUCAUAUGGCACAGCAUUGGCAGCAAGAUCUUUGAGAGAAAACCCGCCAAGCUGGAGCCUUUGGGAUCCAAAGAGGCCCACCGCUGCAAGCGUGGUGAGCACAGCUAUCCGUCUGUUGAGACCCCUGUCUGGAACAGGUGGGUCUACAGCAGCCUCCUGGGGCGUGCUGCUGCUUGGCUGAGCCUUCUCUUCACCCAGCUCAGCUUUCACCUGCUGUUCGUCCUGUGGAAGCAAACGGGAGCANNNNNNNNNNNNNNNNNNNNNNNNNNNNNNNNNNNNNNNNNNNNNNNNNNNNNNNNNNNNNNNNNNNNNNNNNNNNNNNNNNNNNNNNNNNNNNNNNNNNUUAUACCUACCAACCCUCCCCCUAGGAGUAUGCGUUGAAUGCUUUGUUUCGAUUACUAAUAAAACUUUUGCAACAAGUAUAUGAGUUCUUCAUGACUAAUGUUGAGUCCAUGGUUUAGAUGCACUUUCACCUUCCACCAUCACUAUCUUCUUGGUGCCGUGCAACUUUCGCCGGUGCACAAUACCCACCAUUAGCCUCCCUCAAAACAGCCACCAUACCUACCUACUAUGGCUUUUUCAAAUUUAUUCUGAUAUAUAUUGCCAUGCAACUACCACCAUGACAUGUGCCACCACGUCUACAUUGCCAUUGCAUGAUCGUAAGAUAGCUAGCAUGAUGUUUCCAUUGAUGUCUAUGCCAUGCUAGAUCAUUGCCACGGUACACUACCGAAGGCAUUCCAUAUAGAGUCAUAGUUGCUCUAAGUUUUGAGUUGAAAGUGUGAUGAUCAUCAUUAAUGGAGCAUUGUCCCAUGUGAGGAAAUAAAAGAGGCCAAAGAAGCCCACACACACACACAAAAAAAGAGUCCAAAGAGCCCACCAAAUAAAAAAAUGAGAGAAAAAGAGAGAAGGGACAAUGCUACCACUUUUUCCACACUUGUGCAUAUUAAGCACCAUGAUCUUCAUGAUUGAGAGUCUCUCGUUUUGUCACCANNNNNNNNNNCAAAAAAAAGAGGCCAAAGAGCCCACCAAAAUAAAAAAAUGAGAGAAAAAGAGAGAAGGGACAAUGCUACCACUUUNNNNNNNNNNUCAUAUAGCUAGUGGGAAAUUUUCAUUAUAUAACUUGGCUUGUAUAUUCCAAUGAUAGGCUUCCUCAAAAUUGCCUUAGGUCUUCGUGAGCAAGCAAGUUGGAUGCACACCUACUAGUUUUAUUUAAGAGCUUUCACAUACUCGUAGCUCUAGUGCAUCAUUAGUAUGGCAAUCCGUACUCAUUCACAUUGAUAUCUAUUGAUGAGCAUCUCCACAGCUCAUUGAUAUGCCUAGNNNNNNNNNNCCAUAUAGCUAGUGGGAAUUUUUCAUUAUAUAACUUGGCUUGUAUAUUCCAAUGAUAGGCCUCCUCAACAUUGCCUUAGGUCUUCGUGAGCAAGCAAGUUGGAUGCACACCCACUAGUUUUCUUUAAGAGCUUUCACAUACUCGUAGCUCUAGUGCAUCAUUUGUAUGGCAAUCCCUACUCAUUCCCAUUGAUAUCUAUUGAUGAGCAUCUCCACAGCUCAUUGAUAUGCCUAGUUAAUGUGACUAUCUUCUCCUUUUUGUCUUGCAACCUCCACCACAUUCCACACCAUCUAUAGUGGUAUAACCAUGGCUCACGCUCAUGUAUUGCGUGAGAGUUGAAAAGGUUUGAGAAAGUAAAGGUGUGNNNNNNNNNNGUAUGCUUUUGUAGGGAUAACUUUCUUAUGGCCUUGUUAUUUUGAAAGUUCAUGAUUACUUUGCUAGUUUGCUUGAAUUAUUAUUGUUUCCACGUCAAUAGCAAACUAUUGUUUUGAAUCUAAUGGAUCUGAACAUUCACUUCACAUAAGAGGAAUUACAAAGGACACCUAUGCUAGGUAGCAUGAAAGCAUCAAAAAUUCAUUCUUAUCACUUCCCUACUCGAGGACGAGCAGGAGUUAAGCUUGGGGAUGCNNNNNNNNNNNNNNNNNNNNNNNNNNNNNNNNNNNNNNNNNNNNNNNNNNNNNNNNNNNNNNNNNNNNNNNNNNNNNNNNNNNNNNNNNNNNNNNNNNNNCCGAUGAAUUGUCGAUUCGUGAUCAGAUUCUCUAUGAUAUAUAUUUGAGUCUUUGCUGAUUUCUUAUAUGCAUGAUUUGAUAUCCUUGUAAGUCUCUCCGAGUCUUGGGUUUUGUUUGGCCAACUAGAUCUAUGAUUCUUGCAAUGGGAGAAGUGCUUGGUUUUGGGUUCUACCAUGUGGUGACGUUUCCCAGGGAAAGUAGGGGCAGCAAGGCACACAUCAAGUAGUUGCCAUCAAGGGUAAAAAGAUGGGGUUUUUAUCAUUGGUUUGAGAUUAUCCNNNNNNNNNNUGAGUCUUGGGUUUUGUUUGGCCAACUAGAUCUAUGAUUCUCGCAAUGGGAGAAGUGCUUGGUUUUGGGUUCUACCAUGUGGUGACCAUUCCCAGUGACAGUAGGGGAAGCAAGGCACACAUCAAGUAGUUGUCAUCAAGGGUAAAAAGAUGGGGUUUUUAUCAUUGGUUUGAGAUUAUCCCUCUACAUCAUGUCAUCUUGCUUAAGGCGUUACUCUAUUCUUAUGGACUUAAUACACUAGAUGCAUGCUGUUGGGGAUAUUCCCUGCUGUUGUGACCCGCAAAUAUGGGUCGGGUUACUGUUAAGGCGAUUCAUCCUUUAAGGCUAGUUGGGCCUCAGCNNNNNNNNNNNNNNNNNNNNNNNNNNNNNNNNNNNNNNNNNNNNNNNNNNNNNNNNNNNNNNNNNNNNNNNNNNNNNNNNNNNNNNNNNNNNNNNNNNNNAGUAGCGGUGGUAAGUAUUUCCCUCAGUUUGAGAACCAAGGUAUCAAUCCAGUGGAGGAGUAUCUCAAGAUCCUGCACAAACACAAAAGCUUGCUCCCAACGCUAUGAAGCGGUUGUCAAUCCCUUAUAGAUUGUUUGCCAAGUGAGAACUGAAAGCACCAAAGUAACAAAGCAAAGUAAAAGCGGAGGUGUAAACGAUGGAUGUGAAUAGACCCCGGGGCCGUAGUGUUUACUAGUGGCUUCUCUCAUGAAAGCAAGCAGACGGCGGGUGAACAAAUUACUGUCGAGCAAUUGAUAGAACCGCGCAAAAUUGUGACGAUAUCUAUGCAAUGAUUAUAUCUAUAGGCAUCACGUCCAAAACAAGUAGACCGAUACUUUCUACAUCUACUACUAUUACUCCACACGUCGACCGCUAUCCAACAUGCAUCUAGUGUAUUAAGUCCAUAAGAAGAGAGUACCGCCUUAACCAAGAUGACAUGAUGUAGAGGGAUAAUCUCAAACCAAUGAUAAAAACCCCAUCUUUUUACCCUUGAUGGCAACUACUUGAUGUGUGCCUUGCUGCCCCUACUUUCCCUGGGAAACGUCACCACAUGGUAGAACCCAAAACCAAGCACUUCUCCCAUUGCAAGAAUCAUNNNNNNNNNNACAAAGACUCAAAUAUAUAUCAUAGAUAAUCUGAUCACAAAUCCACAAUUCAUCGGAUCUCGACAAACACACCGCCAAAGAAGAUUACAUCGGAUAGAUCUCCAUGAAGAUCAUGGAGAACUUUGUAUUGAAGAUCCAAGAGAGAGAANNNNNNNNNNAGAUCUAGUUGGCCAAACAAAACCCAAGACUCGGAGAGACUUACAAGGAUAUCAAAUCAUGCAUAUAAGAAAUCAGCAAAGACUCAAAUAUAUAUCAUAGAGAAUCUGAUCACGAAUCGACAAUUCAUCGGAUCUCGACAAACACACCGCCAAAGAAGAUUACAUCGNNNNNNNNNNACUACGGACCCGUAGGUCUGAAGUGAACUACUCACGAGUCAUUGGAGGGGCGAUGAUGAUGAUGAAGAAGCCCUCCAACUCCAAAGUCCCCUCCGGCAGAGCGCCGGGAAGGGUCUCCAGAUGAGAUCUCGCGGAAACGGAAGCUUGCGGCGGCGGAAAAGUAUUUUCGAGGCUCCCCUGAUUUUUNNNNNNNNNNNNNNNNNNNNNNNNNNNNNNNNNNNNNNNNNNNNNNNNNNNNNNNNNNNNNNNNNNNNNNNNNNNNNNNNNNNNNNNNNNNNNNNNNNNNUGAAUGCGUAACUUUUUUGGCACACUAGUUUAAUGCCUAGAUUUAGUUCACACUAGUUUAAUGCCUAAAGGAAUUUUGUUCAUAUUAUGUAGGAUGUUUCAGCCGGAUAAAUAUCCGGGACUUGAUGAGUUCUACGAGCAGAAGCAUCGUGCGGUGCUAGUUGAAAGAGGAGAAGUAAUUAUGAUGGUCUUGAUGAUUAUUUUUCUAUAUUCCAUGAUUUUCAUAUUGUGACAAAUUAUGCGAUUGUUGGUUUAGGUUCCUCCAGUACUUUGUUUGAGGGGGCACAACCCGAAUGAAUCUCUGUUAUAUGACCCUCGGUACGAGCCUUAUUUUAGAAGAAUGGAUCUUCUUCAGUUUGUGCUCAACUUUAAAGGCACACCACCAUGGUUGAACGCCAUGGUACUUACCGCCCUUACAGACCGUUGGAGGCCGGAGACGCACUCUUUUCACCUUCCUCUUGGUGAGAUGACAAUAACUCUAGAGGAUAUUGGUAUGAUCACCGGGCUUCCUAUCGAGGGCAGGGCUCUUACAGGGAAGGUUAGGUCCGAUGGAUGGCGACAAAGGGUUGCACCAUUGAUACGCCCAUUUUGCAUCAUGCUUUCAUGUUGAUAUUUAUUGCUUUAUGGGCUGNNNNNNNNNNNNNNNNNNNNNNNNNNNNNNNNNNNNNNNNNNNNNNNNNNNNNNNNNNNNNNNNNNNNNNNNNNNNNNNNNNNNNNNNNNNNNNNNNNNNGGUAUUUCUUUAUGUGGCGCCAUGGGCCCCUUGGGCUGACUCCACCAGCCCACUAAGGACUUGUGGCGCCACCCAAGUGCCUUGUGCUCACUCCCGGGUGGGUGGGCCCCUCCCGGUGAACUCCCGGAACCCAUUCGUCACUCCCGGUACACUACCAGAAUUGCCUGAAACUUUCCGGUGACCAAAUGAAACCAUCCUAUAUAUCAAUCUUCGUUUCCGGACUAUUCAGGAAACCCUCGUGACGUCUGUGAUCUCAUCCGGGACUCCGAACAACAUUCGGUAACCACACAUAUAACUCAACUAUACUAAAACAUCAUCGAACCUUAAGUGUGCAGACCCUCCGGGUUCUAGAACUAUGUAGACACGCCCCGAGGCACUCCUCGGUCAAUAUCCAAUAGCGGGACCUGGAUGCCCAUAUUGGAUCCUACAUAUUCUCCGAAGAUCUUAUCGGUUGAACCUCAGUGUCAAGGAUUCAUAUAAUCCCGUAUGUCAUUCCCUUUGUCCUUCACUAUGUUACUUGCCCGAGAUUUGAUCGUCGGUAUCCACAUACCUAUUUCAAUCUCGUUACCGGCAAGUCUCUUUACUUGUUCUAUAAUACAAGAUCCCGUGACUUACACUUAGUCACAUUGCUUACAAGGCUUGUGUGUGAUGUUGUAUUACCGAGUGGGCCCCGAGAUACCUCUCCGUCACAUGGAGUGAAAAAUCCCAGUCUUGAUCCAUACUAACUCAACGGACACCUUCAGAGACACUUGUAGAGCACCUUUAUAGUCACCCAGUUACGUUGUGACGUUUGAUGCACACAAGGUAUUCCUCCGGUGCCACUGAGUUAUAUGACCUCACGUUCAUAGGAACAAAUACUCGACGCACAGAAAACAGUAACAAUAAAACGACACGAUCAAUAUGCUACCUUCAUAGUUUGGGUCUAGUCCAUCACUUGCAUAUAGCCAGGAAGCCUUGACUAUCAUUGAUCAACUGGCUAGCCAACUAGAGGCUUGCUAGGGACAUUGUUUUGUCUAUGUAUNNNNNNNNNNNNNNNNNNNNNNNNNNNNNNNNNNNNNNNNNNNNNNNNNNNNNNNNNNNNNNNNNNNNNNNNNNNNNNNNNNNNNNNNNNNNNNNNNNNNUGUCUUGUUUUUUUUUUUCUUUUUUAGGGAGGUAAACGGCUUGUAUUUUGAAAUAAAAAAAGGUACAUAAUACUACUUCCUCUAUCUUAAAAUAACUGUUUUAAUUUUAUACUAUCUUUAGUAUAAAAUUAUAUUAAAUUUAAGAUAUUUAUUUUAGAACAGAGGGAGUACUACUGAAUUCAUAUUGUUGUCAAAAGUCAGAGCCCAUGAUAUGCUGUGAUAACAAGCUUAAAUUAAAAUAUUGCAUGCAUGAAAUAAUACAUUGGGAUCUGCCCACCACGUGUCAAGCGGGUCCGCGGAGAAUUGUCCAGACCGCGCGCCACCUGUUCCGUCGACCCCAGCAGGUCCUGGCAGCUGCCGGCCUGUACAUAUUUCCUAUCCGCGCAGGCACAGCCUAGCACAAAUCAAACCCCAAGCCCGAGGCCAUCCAUCCAUCCCUGCGCAGAGCUCGAUCCGCACAGUGCGAGGCUUGAGAUUUUUCCAGGUCUCGGCGAUUCGGGGGAAGAUGGCGCCGUCGUUCCUCGCGAUGAAGACGGGCGCGGCGUCCGGCGCGUCGGAGGCGGCGCAGGCGCUGCUCGAGUCGGACCUGCGGGAGCUGGGCAUGGCCGCGCGGAAGCUCGCCAACCACGCCAUCGUCCUCGGCGGCGGCCUCGGCNNNNNNNNNNNNNNNNNNNNNNNNNNNNNNNNNNNNNNNNNNNNNNNNNNNNNNNNNNNNNNNNNNNNNNNNNNNNNNNNNNNNNNNNNNNNNNNNNNNNAGCCUCCACCGAUCAGUAAAUGCAGUGAUUGCCGCAGCGUUCAGGUUGGGCAUUGACCGGCUCACAAGCUGAAUGAAUGGAAGGAGUCGUGUCAUCUCGAUGUAUGGUGUGUACUGCUCAUCAUACGACAUGACAGUCAAUGCCCCGUGAGACCGAAUCUUCAAGGGCAUAAGCUUCAGCAAACAUAGAGUGAUAUGAUUAUGGUUUGAUCUUUUCAAAUAAAUACAUGUUUUUUGAAGAUGAUAGUAUGUUGUAUUUACCAUCAGCAGCUCCGACAUCAAGUAGGCCCGGUGUUCAACGUCAUAGGCAUCAUUCAAAAGCCACACCAUCUCACAUAUUACAAAAAAAAUCAAGUAACUUCUCAUAUAUAUUCAUCUACUCAUAUAUGAAUAGUCAUCUACUCAUCUAAAUAUUACAAAAAACAACUAACUUCUCAUAUAGGAAUAAUCAUCCACUCAUCUACGAAUAGGAAUAGGAAUAGUCAUCUACUCAUCCUACUCAUAUAGGAAUAGUCAUCUACUCAUCUACAUAUAGGAAUAGGAAUAGUCAUCUACUCAUCCUACUCAUAUAGAAAUAGUCAUCUACUCAUUUACAUAUUACAAAAAAAUACAACUAACUUCUCAUAUAGGAAUAAGCAUCUACUCAUCCACAUAUAGGAAUAUGAAUAGUCAUCUAGUCAUCCUACUCAUAUAGGAAUAGUCAUCUACUCAUCUACAUAUAGGAAUAGGAAUAGUCAUCUACUCAUCCUACUCAUAUAGGAAUAGUCAUCUACUCAUCUACAUAUAGGAAUAGGAAUAGUCAUCUACUCAUCCUACUCAUAUAGGAAUAGUCAUCUACUCAUCUACAUAUAGAAAUAGGAAUAGUCAUCUACUCAUCCUACUCAUAUAGGAAUAGACAUCUACUCAUCUACAUAUAGGAAUAGGAAUAGUCAUCUACUCAUCCUACUCAUAUAGGAAUAGUCAUCUACUCAUCUACAUAUAGGAAUAGGAAUAGUCAUCUACUCAUCCUACUCAUAUAGGAAUAGUCAUCUACUCAUCUACAUAUAGGAAUAUGAAUAGUCAUCUACUUAUCUACUCAUCUACGUAUUACAAAAAAUACAACUAACUUCAAAACCACACCAUCUACUCAUAUAGGAAUAGUCAUCUAUGGAUCGUACAUGAUCAUCUACUCAUCUACUUAUCUAGGAAUCAUAAAAUACAACUAACUUCUCAUAUAUAUUUCAAAUCCAAGCAAAACAUGGCUCUCAUCCAAACUAACACAAAUCUGAAAAAUUUACAAUAUUAUUUGGAUAGAAAGAUGGGAAAUAGAAAAGAUUACCUUCUAAACCAAUUUAGGGUAUAAAUCUACGAAAAAAGUCCACAGAUCUGAAGGAUUUAAAAUAGAUGCUUGAGAGGAGGAGAUGAGGCAGCCGUCGCCACGCUCUGUGAGGAAGAAAACGAGUGCGGUGGGGGUUGGGAGAGGGCCGUCCCGCGACUGGAUAAGUAAGGGUGUGGUGCCUAAGCCCUCGACGUCACACUGCCGUAAGUGCAACGACUGAGGCUUAGGCGUCACACUACUUGGUGCGGUGGGGUCGGACGUCGGGGUGGACAGGGAUGUGGCCUAGUCCGGCCUCGGCCAUGUGUAGGAGGAGCUGGCAUCUCUUGGACGCGAGCGCCGGGUCAAAUCGGGGCCUCGGCCGGCCGACCAGCGACGCCACCCGCGCACGCGGCUGAGACCCAGCCCGGCGUCGCGAUCACACGCACGAUCAUUCUGUCGCUUGCCGAUGGCCCUGCCACCCCAUGCAUGCAUGGGACGCGUGCUUGCUCGCGUACGUGACAAUCUGGCCUUUGCUUUGUCCGAUUACCCGUCCCUAACCAUCAUACUGUCACAGUUCAUACUUCAUACUGUCACAGUUCAUACUGUCACGCGGUGACCCAGACAAGCAAUCAUGGACAAUGGUUGGUCGUAUUUAUUUUAUGUUUACUGGGAGGACGUAGAAUUAGGUGCUGGCUGCGAUCAAGAGGGAGGGAACCAACAACAUUUGUAGAUCUUGGCAUACAUGAUGAUGAUGCUGGUCUCCAGCGAAUACAGCCAAUUAUUUGUCGUGUGUCAUGUGAGGCGCGCGCAUCACAUCACACCACGCCAGCUUCUUCUGCUAGCUGUGGAGGGAAGAAGAAUGUGGCGUAGAUGGUUUUGUUUAGCAGUUUAUAGGCUCUGCAUUGUCCCUUGCUCGGUACUGUUGCCCAUGGGACUUUCUAUUCCGGAAUACUUGCGGCUCCGUGCAUGCAUACAAUAGUUCGGACAGCGGACCUACUAUUUUUUGCACGAGCACUGAAUGACAGAAACACUUUAGCCUCGUGAAAAUGCAUGCGAUAGGGCGCCAAGGUUUCGUCAACUUGUCACACCAUGCACGCUCAUGGCAUGACGACCACAAAAGGCGUUGGAUCGGCCGGCGAAAGGCUCGGGCAAAGGUUUGCUCCUGGCUUGGACCGCAUGCUGGAUGAAACGGCCGCUUCCGCUCGCCGUCCGUUCGUUCGUCCCAUAAAGGUUUUUGCACAAAGCUGAGACACACCACCGGUUGCUGCUUGCCACCAUACCCUGCAACGGCAUCGCAAAGAUCGCCAGCAUCUGCAUCGGUAUCUGCAAAUAUUCUCUCGUGCUCUUCCGUCCAUCCAUUCAUCAGUCAUUUCAUUUCGCUGGACGGACGCAACGUGUUCCGGAGCUGAUCUGAAUGUAGAGGGCCUAUGAACAGAAGGAACCACAGUCCCAACAGCAGAUUGUGGGUUGUACGUACAAGUCUGAUGAUGGGAAGCACUCACUCGUCGGUGUCGAACUUGACCUGAAUCAAGACUCAACAGCUCGAGACAGAAGCAGCUUCAGCUGGCCUGAAGCCAUGGAGCCAUCGAAAACCACCAAAGGCUGGAAAAAAACACUCAAGUUACCCUUGACCGUAGCCUUUCUCUCGAACUCCGACGCUCUCAAAGAAAAGUUGAAGCAAGCUAGCUAGGGAGCUUUACCGAAAGGCUCUCCCUCGCCUGCUUUCGCAUCUCGUUGGGCCACUGCUGGAUUCCCCUAGGUUUCUGUAGCCACAACUCACAACUGAACAAAUGUUCAUAAAAAAACAGAGACAAAACAGUCAUGCCCAUUUGCCCAAAUUUGCCCAUAAGAAACACUCGUAAAACGCUGGCACGCAAAACUCUUUUACAUUUCGUGUAAAAACAGUUCUGCGAAUAUUCUAUUUUACGGGUUAACUACGAGGCAUCUGCUCGGCCGCAGUCCAUUUCGGCCCGUAAACAGAAAACCAUAAAUUAGCCAAUUUAAUGACGAUUCCAACGAUUGAGUUUAUGUUCAAAUAAUAAAAUAUAGUUCGCACGUAAAUAAAAGCAUACUCCCUCUGUUCCUAAAUAUAGGUCUUUUUAGAGAUUGUAUUAGUGGACUACAUACGAAGCAAAAUGAGUGAAUCUACGUUUUAAAAUAUGUCUAUGUACAUCCGUAUGUAGUCCUCUAAUGAAAUAUCUAAAACUAUUUAUAUUUAGAAACGGAGGGAGUAGUCUUCUACGACAAACGCAGAAGAACUUCAUGCAAAAGCAACAACCACGUCCAUCAUCAUCUUGGUCGCUUCUCAUCCGUCGUCAUGAUCUUCACUCCGCACCACCGCCAUCGAUGACAUCGCCGCGAACAAUGUCAUCACCGGUACUUGUUUCAACUGCGGCACGGAAAGCAUAGCAGGGCGCACUGAAAGCAUCUGCGACACUGGUUCCAACUCUUAAUGGGAAAACAUCACCGGCACCAAAACACCCACCGAUCGUCGCUACCAUCCUCUCUUCAAGAUGUCUCUCCUUGCCAUAUCAUGUCAUUCUUUGACGAUGUCGUCCAUGUCAUCGCGGUUCAAUGUCAUGAUCUUGUCGGAGGGGAUUGCGCGUGCGUGACAUCCACGAUGACAGGGAAGGUUGUGAGGCUUCCAUGGCGACGAAGAAUGACCGGGGAAGAUGAACCAGAGCGGACGAAGGCGGGGCAAUGGCAGCGAAGGGGGUGGGAAGCGGAAACAUCCGCGCGAAAAUUUCCCUCGUGCCAAAUCUCGCUACGGAUAGGGGGUGAGGUCGGAUUGGCCUCCCAUCCCAUAAAUCUAAAGGUUGAAGACGAACUAUUGUCACACCCCGUAAAUAUUUACAGGUCGCGGUCCUAUACAGGUCUGAUCGGACAACUUUUUUCACGUGGACCCGUAUUUUAUUGGUCAGGACAUUAUACAGGGUUGCUGUAGAUGUUCUAAGGCAGCCAAAAGUGAGCACACACGUCCCUUAUGAACUGUUGCCUCGUGUCAUGGGUGAUGACAAGCUUCCACAGCGUAUUGGUAGUAUAUACAUGAACCAGGUUUGUUUUUAGAAAAGAUAUGAACCAGGUUAAGGCAGUGACUGUGGCUUUGUCCGUGCCUUUUCGUGUGCUCCUUCCAUGCCCCAUACCACGGCACGCCAUGGCGCACUGCCAGGCGCCAAGCCCAUCGAUCUCCGGCACACGACGCAGGCACGCCCACCACGCACCGGGCAGAGGCGGACUGACACACCCCCACCGGCACGAGCGCUGGUGACCAGUGACACCGAAGCCUCUUUUGGUGCGGCGAGGGAGCAGCCGGCUCGCCGGGUACCUGGCGCUGCGUCGUGAUCUACCUACCACCACUGUAAACCUGCACCUCUCUCUGUAUCUCCGUCCCUCUACGCAAUAAAUGGCGGGUACGCCAGCGCCUCCGGCAUUCAUGGCCGGAGCACGCCUCCCCAUUUAUCACGGCCAGGUCAGGCGAUGAUGUCCUUGGACGAUUCAAACAUUUUCCCAAGGCAGCGGCGCGAGUUCUUCAAAGUUCAAAAACCUGCAGGCUUCGGUGUUCCUGGUCGCUUGACCUGUCUGACAGAGAGAGAUGGCUGGAUCAUAUGGUAAUGGCGGCAUGGACGUUGGUGUUAACGAAAAGAACAGUCUUUACCUGGUCUCGUGCCGCGAGAUUCCCUUCAUUCCUCUCGUUGUUAGCGCCUAAUCAGCCCGGCUCGCGCCCAGUUGGGCUAAUCUAAUGCCGCUUUUGGCUUGUCGCGUGAUCCGGACAGACGGGCCUCUGGAUCACUAGUAACUCUACAAAAUGAGCAACUCCGGACGAGUCAUCUCGUUGGGUAUAGCACACUGUAAAAAUCUCGGCGUUCCUACUGAAUUCCCGGGAAACUGAUGCGUUUGGAAACUGCUUCAGUUUUAUGUGAGGUGGUUGGCAGGGCCAGGUCGAGGCAUACCGAACACGUGAACGGCCCUAGCACUCUACGUGAGCUUCACUCUUGCUGUGACCGAUCCUGAUGGCGAUUAUACCAAAAAAGAAAGAGUAUUUUUAAGUCAGUAGGGUGGACGGCAGUCGAGUCUUGCAGAGAGGGGUUGCUGAAACUGUAGUUUAGGAGAAAGCCAGCACUGUUGGUUGAAUAAACAAAUUAACAAAGCGGGGUGGGGUGAUGGAGGAUACGUGCUUUUGAGGCAAGCUGAGCAGGAGAGCAGGGUGGCGGUGGCACUCGCUCAAAGAAAACAAAAUUCGCCAUCCUGCCUCCUUCUCCCUCCGUCCUCACUCCUAAAAUCGGAAUCAUUUAACUCCGCACCUAAUACAGACGCCAGAAUACCAGGGGUACGCCAUUAUUGCGACCGAGCAAGCUCCCCGUUCUCCUGCUCCUUGUACGCGAGCCGAGCCGAGCCGAGCCGAGCAUCCAUCCAUCACUCCCCAAAUGCCUUAGCAGAGAGUGGCUUCGAGGAUUGUCGCCAUGAUGCAGGGGAGCAGGAAAGCCAAGGGANNNNNNNNNNNNNNNNNNNNNNNNNNNNNNNNNNNNNNNNNNNNNNNNNNNNNNNNNNNNNNNNNNNNNNNNNNNNNNNNNNNNNNNNNNNNNNNNNNNNUAUCAUCAGGCAUAGUAUGAAGCAUAGAAUCUCUAGCAGUAGUAUCACAAGCAUCAUCAAGCACAGGCGACAUAUCAAGAUUUCUAGCAGGAGGUGAUGUCGCAAACUUACUCAUAACUGAAGGUGAAUCAAGUGCAGAGCUAGAUGGCAAUUCCUUACCUCCCCUCGUAGUUAAGGGCAAGACGUUAUUCUUCGGAUCCUUCAGAUUCUUCAUAGUGAUCAGCAGAUAUAAAUCCCAAGUAACUUAGAGAAUAUAGCAAUACCUCCCCGGCAACGGCGCCAGAAAAAUGUUGACGUCAGCUGUGCUUCCCCGGCAAUGGCGCCAGAAAAGUGUUGAUCCUGCAAUCUCUAGUGUUAGCUAGACGAAUGCUUAUGACAACGAACCUUCUCCUGCAACGGCACCAGAAGAAUGCUGCUAGCACUCCCCGGCAAUGAGACUGGAAGAAUGUUGUUGAUGGCCCACCAGCGCGUGGGUUCGCAGCAGUUUUCGAUGGUAGAGUAUUCGACCCAAUUUGUUGAUCGCCUAAAGGAGGUGAGAGAAUACUCUCGAGUAUUAGCAGCUGAAUUUAUCAGAUUCAACAACACCUGAAAGAUUAGUAUCUGCAAGCACAGUAGUAACGACAAAGUAAUAUGAUAACAACGGUGUCAGAAACGAUCUGUUGACGACAGACUAUUCCUAACAAUUGUAUCAAUGGCGCCUUCGUUGCCGCGUUGACGGAAGUUGUCAAUUGUCGUCAACGGUAGGUGAACCAACAGUGUAGCAGGUAGCAGCAGUGUAACGAGCAGUAGCAGCGGCAAGGAACAACAGUAGUGACAGCAGUAGCAAGUAGCAAUAGUAGCAAGCGACAGUAGUAGCAACAGUAGCAGCAGAGAAAAACAAGUAACAACCCUAGUGAUAGCAGUAGCAGCAGCAGAGCAAACAAGUAACAGCAGUAGCAACAGUAGUAGCAGCAGCAGCAGAGCAAGACAAGUAACAGCAGUAGCAACAGUAGGACAAACUCGUAGGCAAUGGGUCGGUGAUUUGUUUGGAUGAUAUUCAUCAUGCAACAACUAUAACACAGAGAGAUAUGUGGCUAGCUCCCGUUCGUCAAUGUGAUGUAGGCAUGCAUUCCGUGUGUCGUCAUACGUGCUUAGGGAAAAGAACUUGCAUGACAUCUAUUGUCCAUCCCUCCCGUGGCAGCGGGGUCCAAAAGGAAACUACGGGAUAUUAAGGUUCUCCUUUUAAUAAAGAACCGGACCAACGCAUUAGCACUUGGUGAACACAUGAACUCCUCAAACUAUGGUCAUCACCGGGAAUGGUUCCGGUUAUUAUCACUCCGGGGUUGCCGGAUCAUAACACAUAGUAGGUAACUACAACUUGCAAGAUCGGAUCUAAAACACACAUAUAUUGGUGACAACAUAAUAAUUUCAGAUCUGAAAUCAUGGCACUCGGGCCCUAGUGACAAGCAUUAAGCAUGGCAAAGUAGUAGCAACAUCAAUCUUAGAACAUAGUGGAUACUAGGGAUCAAUCCCCAUCAAAACUAACUCGAUUACAUGAUAGAUCUCAUCCUACUCAUCACCGCCCAGCGAUCCUACGAAUAGAUUACUCACGAACGACGAAGAGCUUCAUGGACUUGGAGAGGGAAGGAGGUUGAUGAUGACGAUGGCGACGAUUUCCCCUCUCCGGAGCCCAAGACAGACUCCAGAUCUGCCCUCCAGAUGAAGAACAGGAGGUGGCGGCGCCUCCGUAUCGAAAACGCAACGAAAACUUCUCUUUUUAUUUUUUCUGGGACGAAAGGCAACUUAUAGAGCUGGAGUUGGGGGCGGCAGGUGCCUGUGGUCCCCACAAGCCUGCCUACCGCCACCAGGGGGAUGGUGGCGGAGCAGGGGCUUGUGGCCCACUGGCCCACCCCGUGAGGUGGAACUUGGCGCAGAUAUUUUUGAUAGUUUCCAAAACUGCUCCCCGUAAAUUUUUAGGACGUUUGGAGAACUUUGAUUUCUGCACAAAAAUAACACCAAGGCAAUUCUGCUGAAAANNNNNNNNNNNNNNNNNNNNNNNNNNNNNNNNNNNNNNNNNNNNNNNNNNNNNNNNNNNNNNNNNNNNNNNNNNNNNNNNNNNNNNNNNNNNNNNNNNNNUUGUGUGCAUCAAACGUCACAACGUAACUGGGUGACUAUAAAGGUGCUCUACAAGUGUCUCUGAAGGUGUCCGUUGAGUUAGUAUGGAUCAAGACUGGGAUUUUUCACUCCAUGUGACGGAGAGGUAUCUCGGGGCCCACUCGGUAAUACAACAUCACACACAAGCCUUGUAAGCAAUGUGACUAAGUGUAAGUCACGGGAUCUUGUAUUAUAGAACAAGUAAAGAGACUUGCCGGUAACGAGAUUGAAAUAGGUAUGUGGAUACCGACGAUCAAAUCUCGGGCAAGUAACAUAGUGAAGGACAAAGGGAAUGACAUACGGGAUUAUAUGAAUCCUUGACACUGAGGUUCAACCGAUAAGAUCUUUGGAGAAUAUGUAGGAUCCAAUACGGGCAUCCAGGUCCCGCUAUUGGAUAUUGACCGAGGAGUNNNNNNNNNNAUGCCUACAUAGUUCUCGAACCCGCAGGGUCUGCUCACUUAAGGUUUGAUGAUGUUUUAGUAUAGGUGAGUUAUAUGUGUGGUUACCGAAUGUUGUUCGAAGUCCCGGAUGAGAUUACGGACGUCACGAGGGUUUCCGGAAUGGUCCGGAAACGAAGAUUGCUAUAUAGGAUGGUUUCAUUUGGUCACCGGAAAGUUUCGGGCAAUUCCGGUAGUGUACCGGGAGUGACGAAUGGGUUCCGGGAGUUCACCGGGAGGGGCCCACCCACCCGGGAGUGAGCACAAGGCACUAGGGUGGUGCCACAAGUCCUUAGUGCGCUGGUGGAGUCAGCCCAAGGACCCCAUGGCGCCACAUAAAGAAAUACCAAAAGAAAAGAAAAAGAAAAAGAAAAAGGGAAAGAGGGAGGUGGGAAGGAAGAGGAGGACUCCUCCUUCCUCAAACCGAAUUGGAGGAGGAGUCCUCCUCCUCCUAGCGUCGGCGCACCCUUGAGGGCCUUGUCCCUCAAGGAAAGCCCCUCCCCCUCCCUCCUAUAUAUAGUAGUGUUUUAGGGCUGAUUUGAGACAACUUUUGCCACGUGCAACUCAACCNNNNNNNNNNGUGUCUACAUAGUUCUAGAACCCGGAGGGUCUGCACACUUAAGGUUCGAUGAUGUUUUAGUAUAGUUGAGUUAUAUGUGUGGUUACCGAAUGUUGUUCGGAGUCCCGGAUGAGAUCACAGACGUCACGAGGGUUUCCUGAAUAGUCCGGAAACGAAGAUUGAUAUAUAGGAUGGUUUCAUUUGGUCACCGGAAAGUUUCAGGCAAUUCUGGUAGUGUACCGGGAGUGACGAAUGGGUUCCGGGAGUUCACCGGGAGGGGCCCACCCACCCGGGAGUGAGCACAAGGCACUUGGGUGGCGCCACAAGUCCUUAGUGGGCUGGUGGAGUCAGCCCAAGGGGCCCAUGGCGCCACAUAAAGAAAUACCNNNNNNNNNNNNNNNNNNNNNNNNNNNNNNNNNNNNNNNNNNNNNNNNNNNNNNNNNNNNNNNNNNNNNNNNNNNNNNNNNNNNNNNNNNNNNNNNNNNNGCCGAGCGCGUGCGGGAGACCCCACAAACAAACCUCUUUUUUAUCCCUCGCUCUUCUCUCUCUCUCUCUCUCUGUCUCUCUGGGUCGAGCUCUGUAGUUUGCACAGCGCAGGUCGAGUUGGGUAUAUGUACAAGCAACUGAGCCGGUGGGGUCGACGGGACGGAACAGGUGGCGAUCCACCUGGACAGUUCCCGGGCGACGUCCGCUGGCCCGGCGACACGUGGGGCGUUAUUGCGUGCAUGCAUGCAUGCAUUAUUACCGCGUAUCGAGUUUCUUCUUCAGAUGAAGCGUCAUAGAGUUUGACUUUGUGACCUCCGGAUGUACGCCCGGCGACCCAGGAUCAGUACGAGUACAAAAUGUAGCAUAGAAGCAACAGGCAUUUUUUUUAAAGGAGGAUGUACUCCCGAUCUCAUGGUGCAUACGGUCACUCUAUUAAUUUUUCAUAAAAAAUUAUAAAUUAAUAUAUGAGUAAGGCUCGAGGCAUCAUCUUGGCAACAAUUGCCGCUACUCUUAACCCUUGAUGCAGGGAUGCAGAAUGUUCGAACCUAAUACCAAACAAACAUCACACCAAACCUAACAUCUAAUACCGGAUGCCUCACCCCAGCCACAUACCGGGACUGGGUCACACACCGGUCUGGCUCUCUCACCGAGGCAGCCACCAUCGUCUUCCACCGAUCCAUCUUUAGAGCAGAUACUGAUGCACAAACCUUGCAAGCCUGCCGCCGACGCCACCAUGGCGCGAGACAGCACAAUCACCCUGCGCUCGAUCAUCAAGCCGCAUCCAUCAAAAAUAUCCACCAUGCCGCCAAUACCUGUCGUCAUCGAUGCGGUAAAUACAACGUCACACCAACUCGCAACCUUCACACCAUCGCCACUACUAGAACUACGAGGAGCCCAUCACCCAUAACAACUCUCCCCUGAACACGAGGUCCUCCCAAGACGGCGCCUCCAUGAAGGAUACGACGUGUGGGACGCCGCUGUCGCCCAAUUCGGAUGAAUUUUAGACUUUCGUCCGGCAGAGAUUCGGGGGUGGAUAGGACAGACCUCGGCUUCGCCUCCAUGGAGGGUAACGGCUUCGAGUGACGUCAUCGAUGUCGGGCCGAACAAGCCGGCCAAAGUUUCCUCCAGUCCCAUCCUAUACUACCAAACCUCCAUCUGCUCCAGAUCCGACAAUGAGCCAAACCGCAACCUGCACAGAUGAAAGAGCCAUGGGGCUCAACCCGCAAGGAAGAAGGAUCGAGAAGAACCCAUCGUAGAUCUCCACAUGAAGAAUCCAACGGUCCGACGUGGCCAGCGACGACCACCACCACCCCGCGUCGUCCGACGACGUCCAAACACAGGAAUGCAGAUGGAUUCGAUCUGGAUUCGGUGGCACCCGCGACCACCGGUCAUGCCCAACACAGUCACAACCUCGCCACAAACAGGCCGUCGCCGCCAUGCCGCGCACGACGUCGCCGGGUGACCCGCCCUCCGCGCCACCGGACUCCACGCUUGCCCGACGCUCCUCUCGAUCCCGUUGUCCCACGCCAACCAAGACGGAAAGGGUAGGGAGAAGCCCCGCCGCAGCCCUGCCGGCCAAGCUUCGCCCAACGGCGCUGCGAACGGCGACGGGGAGCGGGAGAAGUGGAGGAGGGACAAGAACGACAGCUAGGAUUUCCCUGGGCUCGCCCGCGGGGGCGACGUGAGGGGCGAGGCGAGGGUCUUAUUUGACUCAAGAUUUAAGAAACACGCAAAAUGGGAGUGACCUUAGUUAGCAACCAUUACAAGCCAGGGAUUACGAUUCACUAACUAUUUACGAAAAUUUAUAUUAUAAUGACAUCUCCAAACGCGGACCCUUAGAGCAUCUUCAAUGGGUGAUAUAUUAUAGACACAAAAACAACGAUUUUUUGCAUACUUGUCGUUAAAAGAACUUCUCGAAUAGAUGUGUAGAUGAAAAAAAUAUCUGCAGCUUCCGAAGAUGUAAAUUACAACACUUCGCGUUGCAAAUAUACAUCUUCACUCAGAGUAGAUGUAAAAAAUGACGGCCAAGCGCCAACUGCCCAACCGCUUUCAUUUUCCUUUCGUUCGCCCGCCAGUUGCCCGCCCACCGCCCGCCCAUCGGGCCAUGGCCGACUCUCACGACCCCGUCGCCUCCUUCGCCCACCACGUUGGGGCCUUCAUCGGCGUGAUCACCACCCCCUAAUCCCGCUUCCGUCUCCUUGCCGCCGCCCCGGUUUUCCCCCACCCCGGUUGAUCGCUGUCGUGGCUGCAGCCCCACUGCCAGAUUCGGUCGCUCCAUCGGCCCCGCCUCCGGUCCCGCAGCUGCCUGCCUCCAAAUCUGGUGAAUUGGUCGCUUCUCCGUCGUCGAAUCGCCGCCGCACUGUCGUAUGAUUUGAGAUCCCAUCGCCGCCUCCGGGUUCGGGGCACCCACCGUCCCUACGUCGCUCCUCCUCCUCUCUCCGCAUCGAAUGGCUGCCCCUCUCCUGCUGCAUCAUUGCUGCUUCGCAGCCCGAUAUCGCGUCAUCGUCUUUUCGAUUCACCACCCCGGUCGCUGCCCCGGCGCCGCCGCCCCGAAUCGCGUCACGCCACCGCCAUCCCCAAUACUGCCGCCCCGCUUAAGCCGCCGUCGACUAAUUUUUAAAUCUCUAGUUUGCAUCUUCUAUUGGAGUUGCUCUUUUACAUCUCCGUUUUGUAUCAACUAUUGGAGUUGGCCCUUUUUUGGAGAUGUAAUUUUUUACAUCUCCCGUAUUACAUCUCUAAAUUUGCAUCUUCUAUUAGAGAUGCUCAUAAUACACCCACGAGCAUGCGAACAACUCAUUCAAAACGGGCAUGUAUUUUCGUGUGUCCGAUUUCCUCCAAGCCGGAAGCAAACCAUUGAGGCUUUAUGGAGUUCAGACCUCCAAAAUAUAGGAUCCGACAUCACCGACCGAUACGUAGCCCGCACAUCUGGAGAGUUCUAUACUGUUUCGACAUCACCCCUCCUCUUUUUUCGUCUCCGCACUGAAUCACCUUAGACAUCCAUCUUUACCGCGCUUUUCACUUUCACGCCACAUGGAUCCAUACUUAAAGCUGCCAGAGACGACAAAGGUGGAGGAUCCACAGAAGGUGGUCGCGUGAAGAUCAACUCGGCGACAUAGCAAGCUCGUCGUCUUAAAUCCAAGGCAAAGAAUGGACCGGAUGACGAAAAGAAGGGCGAUGGGGGAGGCAGGUGGUGCCUGGGAUAGGGUACCGGGGUCAUGCGGUACCUGGCACACGGGGAGCCUCCGUCGUCGCUAUCAUCAAGGCUAAUGUUGCUUGGUGGCAUAAAAGUAGGGAGGGCGAGUUCUUGUGCGACGCGUGGUUGGCCACUAGCCUCGAUCCAAUCCAUGACAUGGAGAAAAAGGGCAUGACAUUUUGGACCAACAUUCAUACAUGCUACCAUAAACACAAGCGUUUCAUGCUUUAUUCCAACGAGGUGAUCCGUAACCAUGAAUCAAAAUUCCUCAACCAUCGUUGGUUCAUCAUUCAAGAGGUCGUGUCGAAGUAUUGUCACCACUUGGCACAUCUCAUCUCACAAUGGUCUAAUGAUGCACAAACCUGUGAACAAGUAAGUUUAUUUUGUCCAAUAUGCAUGAUUGUUUAUCACUAACCAGAUGUGCAUGAUUUUUUAUCAUUAGCCGGAUAUGCAUAGCGAUCUGCUUCGAAGAUGUCCUAAAAGACCUAACCCUUUUUACACAUGAAGCAGUAGAAAGAGGAGGAGGAGACCCGCUAGUAAUGAGCGGAGCAAUGUGUGCUAGGGUUUCUAGAAAGAUAUAAUCAUUGUAUAUAUUCGGUCGGACCCAUGGUCAAAACUAAAAUAAGAAUGAAGUCUCGAAAACUUUUAUUUGAUAAUGUAGUUAUCCGAAAGGAAGAAGAUGUAUCUGUUUUUUUCUUCUGGAAAUGUUUUAGUUGGAAGAGCAAAAAUGGACCGUAGGUUUUUCUUGUACUCACACGUCCGAUCCAGAAUUACUAAAAACACAAGUAUUUUAAGGAGAGAAACAACGUGGCUGCCAUAUCCACCACACACACGCAGUGUACCAAAAAUAUCUCAUUGGCCACCCAUAUCUGGCAGCCGUACACAUCAUCUUAAUAAACGGAUUACUCUCAGAAUCGUGGUCGACAUGGGCUCCGGAUCAAUGCGUGACCACCCACCGCCGGGGACCAUCAGAUUAACCCAAGAUCCAGCACAAACCACCCGUGCUAAUCCUGAUUAGGCUCUCCGUCGACCACAAAUAUCAAGCGUACGAAGGCAUCCAUCUCUAUCGGCUUCCACGUUUUCCUGCCGGAUCGCCAUGGUCGAUUAUCUUAUUGGCCCUGUUCAUCCGGUGGGGCCCCGUGACUCAGACGGCACGCGAGCUGUCACGUCGGGAAGUCGGCAGAAGGGUCCGCCACUUGAACGCCGCCACGUGGGAACGACUGGGGACGUGUUGGAGCACGUACGUCGCCCUUGCUGUCCUCUGACCGGACGAACCUAUCCGAAGCUUCACAAAGACCGCAUAGCCUUCGUCCAUGUCGUAAUAGCAAUUUCAACGGGGUGAUUUAUUUCAUCGGUUAUCCUCCGUUUGGCUUCGUGUCCAUGGAUCUAUUGUCAAAAUGUGUCCGUUUCGCGUUCGCAUCAAACUAUUUUUGUCUAAAUUUAGGAUUGAAAUGUGUCGACGUGGACACGAAGCGGACGCACGCGCGUCUUCGGUGUCCGCCCCAUCUACACCCGCCGGUCGUCCAAUUACGUGUGGUCAACUUAAUUAAUGAUGGCCACCCUCCGUGGCUCACACAUCAGCUACCGCGGGCGGUCUUUUUUAAUCCGAGCGUGCGGAGGGGUUCGGCCUCAUCUCGCCACCUCUCUACUUCCACGUCGGCGACCAAACCCUAGCCAGCAGCCAUGGCCGGCUACGCCCAAAGCAAGGGCAAGCCCCCGUCGUCUAUCCCCGCGCGCUGCGCCUGAAGGAGGUCGCCUACCUCCAGCAUAAGAGGGCGCUCCGUGUGGCGAAGGAGCGCGCCGUGAUGCGCCACCGCCGCCACUAGCACUCCCCGCACCGGCAUAGCCCGCCCCGCACCGGCACAACCCGACCUCACCGACCCCGACACCGCCGACGAGGACGCCUAGGGUAAUGCAGUUUAGUUUUUCUAAUGUUUAAUUAUAAUGUAAUGAGGACGCGUGGACUCUCGCCGGCCUUCAUGACCAGCUUUAAUGUUUAAUUUAUGUUUGUUUUUAUUUUUGGAAAUGUCUGGAUUUUUUUAGGCGUCGUCACAAAAUGGGUCGGACGAGCGUUGGGCGCAUGCGUCGACCCAAACGCAGAAGCGGACGUUGGUGUUCGCAAGGCCGACCCAAAUGGACAAAAAACGAACAAAAGUGCCGGCCGACCAGUCGGUCGGUUGGAGUUGUUCUAAGAGCAUCUACAACCGGGCGUUGCAAAUCCGAACCCUCAAACGUCCGUGGACGCGUUCAGGCGCGUUCACGGACACGUCAAGCUUCAAAUAAUACAUUUUACAACCGGACAUCUUAUUUUAGGAUCUACAAAUCAAUACAAAAACAUGUAAGAUAUGAAACCUACGUAAUAUGUAGAACCUAUUGUUGGGGAACGUUGCAUGGGAAACAAAAAAAAUUCUACACACACAUAAGAUCUAUCCAUGGUGAUGACCAUCUACGAGAGGAGAGAUCGGAUCCACAUACCCUUGUAAAUCGCUAAGCGGGAAGCGUUAAGAAACGCGGUUGAUGUAGUCGAACGUCUUUGCGAUCCAAAUUGCAAGCCGUCCCGCGAUCCAAUCACGAUGUAGCACCGAACGGACGACACCAUCGCGUUCAGCACAUGUGUAGCUCGAUGAUGAUCUCCACCUUCUUGAUCCAGCAAGAGAGACGAAGAGGUAUCUGAAUUCUCCGGCAGCACGACGACGUGACGGUGAUGAUGGUGGAGCUACUCCGGUAGGGCUUCGUCGUUGUGACAGCCCGAGACCGACGCUCCAGAAGAUUCGCCUUUUAUUCCGUUGCCGCCGUACGAUUAGAUUGUCUGUCGCAUUCAUCAUCACAUCAUCUGCAUGGCAUCGGCACUCCGUUGCCGCCAGUUUUCAAAACUUGCAUCCGUUAUUAGUUGCUGGUUCUCUCCGUUUUCGUCGUUGAUCGUUUUGAGCCCAACAACACACGCGCGCGCCCGCGACAUCGUUUAAAUAUUGUUUUCAAAAGUGCAUUUAAGAUAUUCUCGGAUUGGGUUGAAACUUGGCGUGCGGUUUUACUCUAGUGUCGGUAGGCCGUCUGCCAAACUUCGUCGCAAUCGGGGUCCGUUUGAUACCCGAACAGUCUACCGUAGCGGCAAUGUCUUUGGUUAAUUUAUCGGACGUUUUUCGGUUUUAAAACUCGUGUCAUGAGCUGCUCAUUUCCCUCUCAUCUUAGCCAAAAAAACCGCUACACAGCCCACCAUAGCCCACCUAGUGCUUAGGCAUCACCGGAGCCGUCCGAUCUCGAUCGGAGGGUCGAAGACCGGACUAAAAAUCCCCUCAAACCCUAGCCAAUGCUAUAAAUAGCAAGCCCCUUACAAAUUAGUCUCUCUCCCUCUCCUCCUCCUCAAAAUCCGUGGCCCACCGCUCCUUCCACGCUACUUGGCUGACCGUCGCAACAACUGCCCUCGCCAACCCCACGCCGCAACCUCACCCUCCACCACCAGCCACCGUCGUGGCCCUCGCGACCCAGAUCGAGCCCACCAGGGCCCGACGUGCCCCGCACGCCCUGCUCGCUCGGGGAGAGGAGCAGUCCGAGCGCAACUCCCUCCUCCCGUGGCGCUCUGCACAGCUCGCCGGCCCCAAGUGUCGCGCCGCCGCCUCCCGCCGAACACCAUGCGGCCAGCAGUCGCCAACCGCGUCCCGCCGGCCCUGCUCGCAUUCCCGCCGCCAGUUCCUGUCGCCGGGUGCUGCACCGCACAGCCCCGAGCUCCCGAUCCAACCGGGAUCUGGAUCCCGCUCGGCAGGACGAGGCAACUGUCGUGCCAGGCCGCCCCUUCGCCUCGGGCCUUGCCCAGCCCACGAACCGGCCUAGCCACGGGGCCUCCUCUCCAGUCGCCACGACCCAGUCGAGUCGAGCCAGUGUGUGGGCCGCCUCUCGCGCUGCCUUGGGCCGCCUCCCUUUCGGCAUGCCCAGCCUCUUCCGACAUGGGCCUUGGCCUCCUAAGGUGAGAUAGCACCCGAGCCCUCUAUCUUGCGCCCCCGUGCGCAUUUUAGUAUAUUGCGCCCAUGACUGUUUCGGCCCAAUAGUUAGUUUCGGCCCGUAGUUUUUUUAUUACGGCGAAUUUAGUAAUUUUUAGAAAAAGCAUACUUUUCAAACGCCCGUAGCUUUUAAUCCAUGCAUCGGAUCACAACAAGUUGGAUAUGUAACUUGGCUAGAAUUUCGUGUAAAUCAAUAUUUUCCAACUCUCAUGCAUUUUUAAAACUGUUUAGAGUGCUAUUUGCAUCGGUUUGCGCGUCGACAUGAUAGAAAUGGUUUAGGUCAUAGUUAAUUAACCGUAGCUCAGUUGGAGAUGAGCCAUAUAUGUAAAUAGAUUAGAACAACGAGCAGAAUCACUUGAACCACUUUGUUUUGCUGUUUAACAAACAUAAAGUAUGGUUAGGACAUAUCUGGACAUAUUACAAAGUUAACACGUGGGGUCGUUUCGGAAAUGCUAUAUGUCGUAUCCAGCCUCAUUUAAAAUGCCUAGAUAGGUAGAUUAAUUUGUGCUUCACCCCCUUGCCAUGUUAAGAACAUUUUAGUAUUGCCAUGUAAAUAAAUGGGAGUGAACUAAAUAAUUAAAUGUGGAUUUCGCUUCACUUAAUGUGUAGUGUUGGAUUGUGUGAAUUGUCAUGCCAUGCCUUGCAUAUUUGAAACUGUUCAUGCAUCAUGUGUUGUGCAUCAUGCGAUGCAUGUGCCGUGGUGAAUAUCGUGUGUUGAUUCUUUUCUGGUUUGCUUUGUCUCGAUAGAGUUCCGCAAGCGUUUCGGAAUGUGAUGAUCCGUUCGACUACGUCGGUUCAUCUGCUUCACGGAGUCAUUCUUGUUCUAAGCAGAAUCUCAGGCAAGAUGACCAUUUCCCUAGAUAUCAUUAUUAUCAUUGCCAUGCUAGUUGUCUCGUUUCUCUCCUUAUGUCGCACUGCCUACCACUUGUUAAAUGUCAGCCUCCCAACAUUGCCAUGAAAACCUUCAACAUUUCUAUAACCUAGCAAACCACUGAUUGGCUAUGUUUCUGCUUGUUUAACCAUUGGACAUCGUUGCUAGUUGCAGGCGCAACUGCUUCCAUGUGCAAAGCUGGAUUCCUUGUUAUAUGACCAUAUUAAUGCUAUUUAAAUUAAUGCACCUAUAUAAUUGGUAAAAGGUGGAAGGCUCGACCUUUCUAGCCUGGUGUUUUGUUUCACCUUUGCCGCCUUAGUUUCGGCUAUUGGUGUUAUGUUCCAUAAAUUAGCGCUCCUAACAUGCUUGGGGUUGUUAUGGGGACCCCCUAGAUUCUCGUUUUGGGAUAAAGCUCGUCUGGCAAGGCCCAACAUUAGUACUAUAUUUUUCCAACAUAAUAAUCCCGCUAAUACUUAAAACAUAGGGAGUUAACGCUACACGAGGAGUAAUUCAACAUAAUACGGGGGGCAAUGCUGAUGGUGUUGGUCCCAAACAGAGCAGUUUAUUAACGCUAUCCGGGGCAACUCGGCGUUUGGCAUGGUAACCAUCGCUCAUCCGGUGUGCCCUGAGAACGAGAUACGCGGCUCCUAUCGGGAUUGUCGGAGCGUCGGGCGGCCUUGCUAGACUUGUUUUACCUUUCUCGAGCGUCUUGUGCGAGGGAUUCCGAGGAUGCUUUGGGUUAUCUCGAGCUUGAGGUUUUCCAAUAGGAACCCGAGGAGAUCACGAGUCUCCCUGAUCGAGGUCAUUCCGUCGCAGCGUGUGGUAGUUUGUGAUGGACUAGUUGGAGCACCCGUGCAGGGUUAAAUCUUUCGGAAAGCAAGAGUUUCUUCUUCUUCUUCUUCGUCGUCGAUCUAGGAUGGGUUCCAGGACGAUGAUACGUCCCAAACGUAUCUAUAAUUUUUGUUUGUUCCAUGAUCUUUUGGAUGACAUUGUUAUAUGUUUUGCUACACUUUCAUACCUUUUUACACAUAUUUGGAAUAACCUACUAACUUAGUGCACCCAGUGCCAGUUUCUGUCUGCUGAUGUCUUUUUUGUAGGGACUUUUACCCCAAUUUACCGAGUCCCAAAAAUCCCGAGAAAAAUAUAUAAAAAUCAGCGUGACGGAAUCUUGGGGAGCACCAAAGGCGGGCCAGAGGGGAGCCACGCGUCGCCCAGGCGGCCUCCUUGCGCGGCCUACCCCCUGGCCGCGCCCACAGGCCGCCUGGGUGGGGCCCACCUCCUCUGGUGCCCUACCUUGGCUCCUAUUUUUACCCCCAUGGAGGAAACACUGAUUCUGGAACCCUUUUCUCCAGAAGCAAUUCCAAUCUCCGCCGUCAUCGCCAACAAGUUUCAGGGGACCAGAAUUCCUGUGCCGGCACCGUGCCGGGACGGGGAAGUGCCCCCGGAUUCAUCUCCAUCGACGUUACUUCCUCCCUCCAUGAAGCGGGGGUAGUUCCUCCUCCGGGCUGAGGUCUUAUACAGUAGCUAUGUGGUUAAUUAUCUCUCCCAUGAUGUGAUCUUGAUUGUGAUCAUGGCUAUGUUAAUCUAGGGUGAUCCCAUGAUAUUUCCCCUUCUUCUAUGUAUUGGAUUGAUGUACUCACUUGAUCUUAUCUAGUAUAAUCCCCAAGACCAUGGUGACAGUGGUCUAUUGGACAUGGAUUAGAAGAAUAUUUUCAUGAGUGAUUUCCUCUUUUGUGAAUUGAUUGAAGAUUGAGAGUCUCUUGGUGCUUGUCUUUGACUAUCCUUGAGAUACGUUGUGGUGAUUGUGGUGCUCUCUUUGGAUGGCCGCGGUGACAUUGGGAAAUCCAUAGAGAGAACUACGAACUCUGAGGUGUGCUUUUGUAGCUCUACAUAAUUCUCGUCCUCUCUUGAUCACAAAGGAAUGACUUCCGAGUACGUCUCCACUGCAUGCUUAGUGGAAAUAUCAUGUGAUUAGACUAUGUUAAUAUUGUUGGGAGUUGCCACUAGUGAAAGUAUGAAGCCUAGGCCCUGUUUCUCACCAGUGUUACACCGUUUAUGCUCACUUUUGUCACUUGCUACCUUGCUGUCAUUUUGAUUUCAGAUUUAUAUUACCCUGCUUUGCCACACCUAUCACCCAUAUUUUACCAUCUCUUCGCCGAACUAGUGCACCUAUACAACUGACAAUUUUAUUAGGUGUGUUGGGGACACAAGAGACUUCUUGUAUCUUAAUUGCAGGGCUGCUUGAGAGAGACCAUCUUCAACCUCUACUUCCCCGAGUUCGAUAAACCUUAGGUCACCCACUUGAGGGAAAUUGUUCUUGUCCUACAAACCUCUGCGCUUGGAGGCCCAACAUAGUCUACAAGAAUAGAAGCGUGCGUAGACAUCAGACGACAGCCUGGGAUAGCAAGGAUGGACGUCGUUCUUUUAUCCUUUGUUCUUGCCCGUAGUCGGACCCUGCUCUUCUUGAUGAUGACUGGAUAUUUUUGUAUUGAUGUGAUCUUGAUGUAGCUUGUGGCGAGUGUAAGACAACUCUUUAUACUCAUCUUUUCAGUACAUGUACUUGUAACGAUACCCAUUCUUGCGAAACAACGAGAUGCGUUUCUAUCCCUGUCGAGGCCCUGGCGCCAAAAUAAGGAUAGGACCGCAUCUUGGGCAUUACAAGUUGGUAUCAAAAUAGUACCGACCUAGGAGCCCCCUUGAUUGAUCGAACUUGGCCGAGUCGAGUCUAGUGAAAAACUACUUUGAGUCUAGUUAUAUAUCAGGGAGUAGGAUUCUUUUUUCUCCUCUUCUAUGCUCUGGUGAGGAAUCUUGACAUAAUAAUUUUAAUUCUACUUCUCUUGUCACUAAAAAAAUUUUAGGAUCACGCGGAUAUUUUUGGAAUCUAUAUGAUGUCGAUGUGACGGAGUUCUGUAUUGCUGCCUCCUGUUGUGUUGAUUUUAUUCCGGGGAGUUAAGCUCGAGGGGAUUCUUGAGCACAUCGUGAUAAUUCAGAUUUGUUAGUAUCUCAGGACGAAGGAUGUUCGAAAUUGCUUCAAUACUAGUAGUGGCAAGAUAACCCCGGCAUCCCCAGUACUGGUGUAGAGAGUUCGGGGGUACUGCCAUACUUAGUAUCGUUGUGAUUAUGAGGGUUUGAGAUAGAUGAGUUUCCGAGAUCUCUGGUUAUGUGUUGACGGAUGUGAUACACUGGACGGGUAGUGUUAUUGCUAGGAGUUGAGUGAUGAAUUUUACUCCUUGUAUCCGUGGACCCGAUUGCAUGACCAGAAAAUUUUGGGAGUUCUUAGGUGGGAAUUCAAAUAGUUACUUAUAGGAUAAUCUUCCAACAGAUGCAUGAGUGUGGUUGGGGUUCGACAUCUAGUGGAUUCGUUUGUUGACGGUCGUCUUACAACGAUUCUCGUUGUGUCUUAAAGAGUCCUUGUAGCUUGCUAUGACUCGGGGACGCUUCGUAUGUCGUGUGCACUGCCUUUUACAUGAUGGAUACUGUAGGAUCGAGCCCAUGCAAAUCUAUCUACGAAAAUGUCGGAUAUAAUCUAUGUCAUGAAUUUGUUCCAGCUUGUGUCAUAAGCCUCAUCCUUUGUUUUGUUGGAGUAUGGUAAUUCGAGUUGCUUCGAUGUCAAGUGGUGAAUUCAUAUCUUUCCUAAGUGGUGUUUUCAUAUUUUUAUGGGAAUGCAAAUUCUUUUGCUCAAUCAAGUUGUCUUAUCAAUUCUUUGCAACGGAGUUGUCAUGGCAAUUCAUUUCCAAAUGGUGUGCUUCUCUUCGAGUCAAUUCUAUCAUUUUCAAGAUUUGCAAGAUCAAUCUCUCAUUUCUUUCCGGAGUUCAUCUCAUCUGUCCCAAGUUGUCUUUGUUUUUCCCCGCCCUCCAGCCCUUUUUCUUCAAUGUUUCAAUUAUCAUCCAAAUAUCUUCCUUUCAUUAUUUCUUUUGCUAUCUUUUCUUUUCUUUUGUUCCCGGUGAGUCUGGGUGAAGAUUCUCAGGAGUUUCGAGUUCAUCAUUUAUAUGUUUUUGUUUUCUUCUCCCGUGGAGAAAAUCAAGUUUUGGUGUCAUCAUAUCCUUUUCAUCCUUUAAAUUCUUCCCAUGUUGAAAAUUCUUAUCAAGCCUCUCUUGUUAUACAUAUAUCUCGUUUCUACCCGGAGGGCCGAAGAUAUCUCAGAGUCUCUUGUCUUCAAUCCUUCUAAUUAAUUCGAGGUGCUAACCUCAUCAGGAUUUUACUUGUACCGGCACAAUCAAUAUUUCUUAGCAAUCCAUUCAUCCAGUGUUUUCUUUCAAUGGGCCCAUAACCCACAGGUUCUUUCCCAGGAUCUUAUCUGAUUCUUGUAAUCUUUUCCUGAAGAUAUCUAAUUCUUUUUAAAUAUGACGUAAGAAUGAAUUCCAUUAGUCAUAUUCCUUCCUCAAGGUCAAUCUGAAUUAUUUCAUCAUUGGCUCAACUUUUCAUAUUCUUAUUCCGGAGUGUCUUAGUUAUUCUUCCUGGUGUUCUCCUCAUCAUUUUCAGCUUGGAAGACCGAAGGAGUGUUUCUAUCAAAUCUUGUCCAUUCUUUUGAAGAUUGUCAUCUUAGCUCGUGCUAUCUUCUCAAUUGUUGUCAAUCAUGAGAAAUUAUCCAUAUAUAUCUGGUGCAUUUCAAUGCUGUUUUCAUUUCUCAAUCCUCCGAAGGUCAUCAUUUAAGAAGAUUUCUUCAUUCUUAGCUUUCAGCUUUCACUCUCAAGUUCUUCUCAAUUGUUGUCUCUUCGUUCGUAUCUCAGUUAUUCUGGUGUCUUGUUCAAGUUUUCUCUCAGGUGGAUCAUGAUCUCUUCGCUAUCUUGUAUCUCCAUUCAUUCUUGGUAUCAUUAUUCAUUUGUGAAUUCUUACCGGUGUUUCUUCCAAGAUUUCUUCUAGUUCAUGCUCAUAUCUCUUCGUGAAGCUUCAUCUAAGUCAUGACACGGCCUGAAUCCUAUUCUUUUCAUCCUUCAUAUCUUUGUAUCAUUCUUUUGUAUACGGAGGUUCGUCAUGGUGGUUCUUCAAGAUUUCAUUCGUUCUCAAUGAGUUAUUCAAGAUUCUUGUUGGAGAACCUCAAGUAUUCUUUCUCUUGCAUUUGAAAGUGCAAUUCUUCCUCCUUUUUCCUUUGAGGUGGUGUUAUAGCUUUCUUGAUUCAUGAGGAGUCCCUUCGAGAAUUGUUUCAGGAAUGGGAUAUUUAAACCCACCAAUUCUAUGAUCAUGAGAUACUUUUAACCCAUGGUUUCUUCAUUGAGUUAUCUUGGAUUAGAUUUCACCUAAAGCUUUCCUAAGGAUUGUUUCUAUUAUGGUGAUUAUUGUCGUUCCAAGUUCUCAACAUAUUCUCUUGGUGUAAGAAGUUUUGCCUUUCUUGUUGCAUCCAAGCAAUCUUUGUUUUUAUUAGUGUCUGGUUGUCACCUCAUUAUUUUGAAAUGGUUUCCAUAAGCCCACAACAAGCUUGUUCUUUUCGUUGUUGGUUUUCCAACAACUCCGUUCAAUUAUUUUGCAAGGAGGCUUGCCAAAUUCAAUUGUGGUAGUAGUUGUCAUUUUGUUCUCCAUUCUUUCCUCUCAAUGAUCUAGUUUCUAUUCUCUUGUCCGGAGAUGUUGUGAUGUUGCUCUUGUUAUUCAAACAUCUCAGGUUGUCAAGAUCAUGUUCUUUCCUUGCUUGUCAAUUUAGUUGGUUUGUUGUGAAUCUUGCCAACAUAUUUCCAUCUUAAAAAAAAUUUGUCCUCAAUUUCCUACCAAAGUGCUACCGACAUUUUGUGUGAAUUCUUGUUGGUUUUCUCAUAUCAUUCUUCAUCUCUGUCUAACCUUCAAGGGUCGUUGGUUUGACUCGUUUGUCAAAGAAGCGACUAAGUUUUACCUCUUGCUCUUCUCUUCCUCUCCCCCCUUUCAUUCUUAGAUCUCGGGGUGAGAUCUCUUACUAGUGUAGGAGAGUUGUGACAGCCGAGACCGAUGCUCCAGAAGAUUCGCCUUUUAUUCCGUUGCCGCCGUGCGAUGAGAUUGUCUGUCGCAUUCAUCAUCGCAUCAUGCACAUCAUCUGCAUGGCAUCGGCACUCCGUUGCCGCCAGUUUUCAAACCUUGCAUCUGUUAUUAGUUGUCGGUUCUCUUCGUUUUAGUCAUUGACCGUUUUGAGCCCAACCACACACGCACGCGCCCACGACAUUGUUUAAAAAUUGUUUUUCAAAGUGCGUUGAAGAUAUUGUCUGAUUGGGUUGAAACUUGGCGUGCGGUCUUAUUCGAGUGUAGGUAGGUCACGUGCCAAACUUCGUCGCAAUUGGAGUCCGUUUGAUACCCGAACGGUCGACCGUAGUGCACCGUAUUUGGUUAAUUUAUCAGACGUUUUUCAGUUUUAAAACUCGUGUCACGAGCUGCUCAUUUCCCUCUCAUCUUAGCCCCAAACCCGGCUACACAGCCCACCAUAGCCCACCUAGUGCCUAGGCAUCGUCGUAGCCGUCCGAUCUCGAUCGGAUGGUCAAAGACCGGACUAAAAAUCCCCUCAAACCCUAGCCACUACUAUAAAUAGCAAGCCCCUUCCAAAUUAGUCUCCCCCCUCUCCUUCUCCUCAGAAUACAUGCCCCGCCGCUCCUUCCAUGCCACUUGGCAGUGAUACGUCUCAAACGUAUCUAUAAUUUUUGAUGGUUUUACGCUGUUAUCUUGUCAUCUUUGGAUGUUUUAUGUACCUUUUAUAUCUUUUUUUGGACUAACUUAUUAAUUCAGUGCCAAGUGUCACUUCGUGUUUUUUUCUGUGUUUUUGGCUCUUUUCAGAUCUGAUUUUGGAACAGAGUCCAAAUGGAAUAAAAUCCCCGAAAUGAUUUUUUUCCAAAUGGAAGAAGAUCAGGGGGGCUAUGGGCCAAGCCAGGAGGGCUCCUGGGAUCCCACAAGCCCCCACUCCGACACCAGGGGGAGGCGGCGGUGGCAGGGCUUGUGGCCUCCCUGGCCGCCCCCUGACCUAGAUCUUUGGCCUAUAUAUUCCCUAAAAUACAGCAAAAAAUCAGGGGAGCCUCGAAAAUACUUUUCCGCCGCCGCAAGCUUCCGUUUCCGCGAGAUCUCAUCUGGAGACCCUUCCCGGCGCUCUGCCGGAGGGGACUUUGGAGUUGGAGGGCUUCUUCAUCAUCAUCAUCGCCCCUCCAAUGACUCGUGAGUAGUUCACUUCAGACCUACGGGUCCGUAGUUAGUAGCUAGAUGGCUUCUUCUCUCUCUUGGAUCUUCAAUACAAAGUUCUCCAUGAUCUUCAUGGAGAUCUAUCCGAUGUAAUCUUCUUUUGCGGUGUGUUUGUCGAGAUCCAAUGAAUUGUGGAUUUAUGAUCAGAUUAUCUAUGAAUCUUAUUUGAGUUUCUUCUGAUCUCUCAUAUGCAUGAUUUCAUAUCCUUGUAAUUCUCUUCGAGUUGUGGGUUUUGCUUGGCCAACUAGAUCUAUGAUUCUUGCAAUGGGAGAAGUGCUUGGUUUUGGGUUCAUACCGUGCGGUGACCUCACCCAAUGACAAAAGGGGUAGCGAGACACGCAUCGUGUUGUUGCCAUCAAGGGUAAAAAGAUGGGGUUUUCAUCAUUGGUUUGAGUUUAUCCCUCUACAUCAUGUCAUCUUUCUUAAGGCGUUACUCUGUUCGUCAUGAACUCAAUACACUAGAUGCAUGCUGGAUAGCAGUCGAUGUGUGGAGUAAUAGUAGUAGAUGCAAAAAGUAUCGGUCUACUUGUCUCAGACGUGAUGCCUAUAUGUAUGAUCAUUGCCUUAGAUAUCGUCAUGACUUUGCGCGGUUCUACCAAUUGCUCGACACUAGUUUGUUCACCCACCAUAAUAUUUUCUAUUUUGAGAGAAGCCUCUAGUGAACACUAUGGCCCCCGGGUCUACUUCACACCAUAUUUUCAGCCUUACACUUUUUCUUCGUUGCACUUUCCGCCUUCAGAUCUCACUUUGCAAUCAAUCUUGAAGGGAUUGACAACCCCUUUAUAGUGUUGGGUGCAAGCUCUUUUGUGUUUGUGCAGGUACUCUGGACUUGACGAGAUUCUCCUACUGGAUUGAUACCUUGGUUCUCAAACUGAGGGAAAUACUUACUGCUCCUGUGCUGCAUCACCCUUUCCUCUUCAAGGAAAAAACCAACGCAAGCAAGUCUCCGUCAACGUGUCAAAUUCUGGCGUUGUUGUUUGAGAAGUAGCGGGCAGCAGCUGCAGAGGCUGCUAGGAAUGUGAUACGUCUCCAACGUAUCUAUAAUUUUUGAUGGUUUCAUGUUAUUAUCUUAUCAAACUUUGGAUGUUUUGUAUGCCUUAUAUAUAUAUAUUUUUGGGACUAACUUAUUAACUCAGUGCCAAGUGCCAGAUCCUGUUUUUUCCAUGUUUUUGACCCCUUUCAGAGGAGGAUUUUGAACGGAGUCCAAACGGAACGAACCUGCCAAAAAGAUUUUUUCCGAAACAGAAAAAGAUCGGGAAGCCUGAGAAUCAGGACAGGGGCCCUGCAGGGACCACACAAGCCCCCUAGCCGCGACCAGGGGGGCCCGCACCUCCUAGGCUUGUGGGCUCCCUGGGCAACUGACGUCAGCUGUGCUUCCCCGACAAUGGCGCCAGAAAAGUGCUGAUCCUGCAAUCUCUAGUGUUAGCUAGACGAAUGCUUAUGACAAUGAACCUUCUCCUGCGACGGCACCAGAAGAAUGCUGCUAGCACUCCCCGACAAUGAGACUGGAAGAAUGUUGUUGAUGGCCCACCAAUGCGUGGGUUCNNNNNNNNNNNNNNNNNNNNNNNNNNNNNNNNNNNNNNNNNNNNNNNNNNNNNNNNNNNNNNNNNNNNNNNNNNNNNNNNNNNNNNNNNNNNNNNNNNNNNNNNNNNNNNNNNNNNNNNNNNNNNNNNNNNNNNNNNNNNNNNNNNNNNNNNNNNNNNNNNNNNNNNNNNNNNNNNNNNNNNNNNNNNGUCAGAUUCAACCACACCUGAAAGAUUAAUAUCUGCAAGCACAGUAGUAACAUCAAAGUAAUAUGAUAACAACGGUGUUAGAAACGAUCUGUUGACGGUAGACUAUUCCUAACAAUUGUAUCAAUGGCACCUUCGUUGCCGCGUUGACGAAAGUUGUCAAUUCCCGUCAACGGUAGGUGAACCAACAGUGUAGCAGGUAGCAGCAGUGUAACGAGCAAUAGCAGCGGCAAGGAACAGCAGUAGUGACAGCAGUAGCAAGUAGCAACAGUAGUAGCAACAGUAGCAGCAGAGCAAAACAAGUAACAAUAGUAGUGACAGCAGUAGCAGCAGCAGAGCAAAACAAGUAACAACAGUAGCAACAGUAGUAGCAGCAGCAGCAGAGCAAGACAAGUAACAGCNNNNNNNNNNNNNNNNNNNNNNNNNNNNNNNNNNNNNNNNNNNNNNNNNNNNNNNNNNNNNNNNNNNNNNNNNNNNNNNNNNNNNNNNNNNNNNNNNNNNGAGGGUGGGUGCACGAGCUUUCUGACUCGCCUCCCCCUGUCGCGACCAUAUGAGCCGACGAAACCUGCAUUAAGGGUGGGUGCACAAGUUUCCUGACUCGCCCCCUCCUGUCGCGACCAUAUGAGCCGACAAAAUUACUCGUGUUAUGAUUUGACCUUGGAAAUUUUAUUUUCACAGAUAAUGUGCUCAAGGUUUUCAUCCUUGGCGGAUUGAGAAUUUCAGGCGAUUCUGAUAAGGAUUAACAAAAUAUUUUAAACCGCCUCAAAGGUGGUAUAAGGGUUUCUUGCAGAAGAUGUCAUCAAAAGAUAGUACUGACUAUUACAUGGCUCUUGGGCCAAAUUCAAGGAAAAUCUAUCCCGCUAAGUCCUGGCGUGAGCUCUGACCAGCUUCGAUUUGUAAAUCGCCCAAGACCCAAUUGCAUUUGGACAAAGAGGCGAAAUCGUCUUCGUCGGUCAAGAUUGAUGCCAGGUCUGUCUCCCAGUCAAAGGGAUUCUUGGGUCGCCGAGGGAUAAGGUUGGUCACCACGAAGGUUGGCGGGUUGAUUUUCUUAUUCUUGUCAUCGUAAGCCGCCUGAUAUUUUGUCAAGUCAAGGCUGGCGGCAAGUUGAGUCGCGACCAGUCGAGAAUCCUUGACAACCUUCUGGUAGUCUUCUUCCACGAACUCCGAGCCGUCAUCUUUAAGCUGAGGGAAGCCGGCAGCUACUUCUUCCAAAUUAAUUUCUGGAGCAUACGCCAGGCAGCGACUCAGAGCCAUCAAGACACCCUUCCGGGCGGCUGAUCGGGUUAACUCACCGAUCUGGGGAGGCAGUGUGGAUAGAUAUCCAAGCACCUUCUUGAUGGAAGUUAUGGGCUCCUUUGCACCUAUCACAGCUUUGACGGUCAGCACACUGCCUGUGUACAGUUGUUCCGUCAGUGUAUAGAUCGCCUUCAGCAUCAACACGCUGUCGUCUUGCAGAUUGGCGACUCUCGAGCCUGUGAUUAAAUAACCGGUAAGAUAAACAUUAAGGAAUUUUCCCAAGGAAGAGGAUAGGAUUGGAGAAUUAGGUAAAGCUUACCAAAGAUGGCUUGUGUCAUGUUGGAAAUAUGGCGCUUUAAGCCGGAUAGCUCCUGCUGCACAGUUGCCAGCUUUGCUUCUGCUUUUUCGGCUCUUGUCAAAACUGCGCAGUGGUCGGCCUGAGUUCUUUCUAACUCGGCUUUGAGCUUUUCCAGUUCAACCAGAGCCAAUCUAUAUUUUUCUUCCGACUGAGUUCGGGCAUCUUGUUGGUCAGCCAAGUUUUUCCUUAAGUCGCCCAGGGCUAGUUCGGUCUGGGCAAGGCUUUCCUGUUCAAAAUUUAGAACAAAGACAAGUCUCAGAAUUAUUGCAAGGCAAUACCCCUGACACUUGGGGGCUAAUGUAUAAUUUCUCAAAGGAAAUUAUACAGAAAUCAAGACCCGGCUCAUCAUUUUACUGAUGACCCGGCCCCUGGGGGUUACUGGUCGCAACGCUUUUUAAAAAAAGACCCGGCUCAUCAUUUUACUGAUGACCCGGCCCUUGGGGGUUACUGGGAAUAAUACAGAGUAUAAAGUUUACCUCAUGCUUGUUAUUUAACAUCUUUAGCAGAUUCUUUUCCAUCUCGUAACUUGCUUCCAGGCGACUUGCGAAGCCAGAACAGAGCUCUUUAAACUCCAGACCUGCAUAGUCAGAAAGCUUCGCCUUGGAAGGCCCAGACUCGGGUAUUGAUGGAGAAGGGGAUGCUAUAUGUUUGGAGAGGAUUGUCUCUGCCGGCUUGGAGAAACCAAAACCAGUGAUGACCACAGCAUCUGGGUCAUCAGCUGUCGCCAUUACGACCGGUGAUCUAGGGACAUCUGUUGAUCCUUUGGGCGACUCAGGAGGGUUUGCUUGAAUUGACGGCUCGUUUUGACUCGGAUCUCCUUGAGUCGGAGUAGCUUUCCUUGGAGGUUCAGAAGUGGCGUCUGGGAUUGAUCCACUGGUCUUCCUCUUUUUGGCUUGCGCCCUUAUGAAAGAGAUAGGCGUGUCAAAAAAUUAAAAAGAGUAUUAUUCUCAAGGGUCAGGACAAGGAACUUACCCCGGGACUCGGAUCAUUGGUGGAAGGGUCGACAUCACUGAGUCGCCAGAAGAGGGGGGAGAAUCCUGCAGAAUUUGUACAUCAAUAAUACUGGCGGGUUAUGACUGUGAUCCAAAGCAGCACGAACGAUGGUUGCUCAAAUAAGGAAAGGAGGUACCUCGCUUGGUUUUCUUUUGUUCCUUGUUGGCAGGCCAGGUGUCAGGUCGCCAGAAUGACUUCGCGUUUUCUGUUUCGAGGCGUGCUGCGUUUUCUUCAGUAAGAAAUUUGGGUCCAAAUGGGCAUUUGGAUGUGAGAGAGGUACUUUCCCACAUAUUCGCCGGGCCGGCUUAGGUGGAGAAGGAGAUGAAUCGGAGGAGACGGAAAUUACCUCGACAGAGUCUUCCUGGCUCUCGUUAUCUUCAUUCUAUUAUAAGAGGAGCGAGAGAUAAAUAAAAGUUAAAAGGUGAUAAGUGGCGAGUGAAAAUGAGGACGGAUUGGUACCUCUGAGAGUGCGUCGCCAGCUUGAGAUUCGUCGACUUCAGAUGGCUCGGCCGGAGCCGAUUUGCCUUUGCCUUUGUUUUUCUUGGAAGGCGGCUUAGCACUCUUCAUGGCUUGUUUCUUAGGUCUCCUAGACCAGAACUUGUCGCCUUUCUGGAAGAGGAUAUGGCAUGAAGUCAUGAUGACAGUAAAACAGAUGAAAUAAAAAUUGAGGGCGAGUUAGCUUUGGUUACCUUGGGUGCCGGGUUAAUCUUGCAGAAGGGCUUAAGGCCGAUUUGGCCGCAUUUCGCUGCAGGUUCGCCGGUCAGUUUCCUGAUGAUGGUGACGAUGUCUUUUUCUGUUAAUGCUGUGUGGAAGUAGCAUUGGGGAUGAUCCAGAGUACCGUCAAACUCGCACAUCAGGCCGUCUCGGCGGCUCAGAGGAAGGAUUCGCCAUUCGACCCAGCAGCGAAUCAAGUCAACCCCGGUGAGACCGUUGUUCGUCAAGGAUCUCAGUUCGGACAGAAUUGGGACGAAUUCCGACUCUUCCUCUUCGGUGAGCUUGUCGGGGAGCUUGAAGUUGACUGGAAGGCGGCUUGGCCUGUAACCAUGAAGUUUGUUUUCGCCGGCAGGGGAUGUUUCCUUGCAGUAGAACCAAGAUUCACCCCAGCCUUUGGGAUGGCUAGGCAUAGUGAGUGCAGGGAACGGACUGUCCCUGCGACGUUGGACGUUGACCCCGCCGAGUUCCAAACUGGGGCCAUUGUGGAAUUCCGUCUGGCGAUUCAAGUGGAAAAAGUACCAAAACAGAGGGACGGAAGGCUCGAUCCGCAAAUAAGCUUCGCAAAGGACUUGGAAUUGACUUAGGUUGGUUAUGGAAUUGGGUCCCAAAUCCUGGAGUCGGACGUUCAUAAAAUUCAGGGCGUCUCUAAGGAAUUUAGAUCCGGGCGGUUUAAAACCCCGUUCUAAGUGUUCCACAAAAACUACAAUCUCCCCUUCCUUGGGGCUGGGUAGGUCUUCUCCUAACCCGGUGCGGCAUCCAAUGACGUCUUGAGGAUCCAAGCAGCCCGCUUUCACGUAAUUCGCCAAAACAGCAUCGUCAAUUUUGGUGGGUAGCCAAUCACUCUUGAAAACGGCACCCAUGCUACAAAUAGGCAAGAAAAUGGUAUUACAUGUCUCGAACAUAUAUUGUGUGAGUCGGGACUAGCUUCUGCCUAACCCGCCGGAUCGGGAGGCCGGGUUGGGCUGAUGUGGCGACCUAUCGGAGCAGGGCUAUACUUAGAAGCGACACUACUGUGGGUGGUAGAAUUUAUUCUUUCCGAAACGCUAAGGGAAGGACGAGGUUUCCGAACAGCUUUUUGCAAACAGUGAAAGAGGAAUGGAUCUAUUCAACAGAUAUAAAGGCUUACGGACAUGGCUAAAACAUGAACGAUGUGUGGUCAGGAUGGUGCCUCAUGUUCAAAAAGACUAGUCUAUUUAGAAAUUUCGCAAGGGCACAGAUGGAUAGCAUUGCUCGAAGCACUGGGUGCCCUAAUGGCGCUCGGGCUAAAUCAGUUCGACAGCUAAGAUGGUGACGAGCAUAGAGCUUCGGAACUAUGGCAAUGGUGGCAGCAAGAACAGAAAAUAAAUCUACCCUUAAGAAGGGGGAACCGUGGCCUAACCUGAAGAUCUUGGUCGAAGAGGAUCGGCGAGGAUGGAGGCUGUUGGAGAAUGAGCGGAGCCUGGCGACGGUGACGACGUGCGGGCGGCGCUGGAGCUCCUCGAACGGCGCCGGAGCUCUUUGAACGGCAGCGGUGUGUGGGCAGCGCCGGGGCUCCUCGAACGGCGACGGCUUGCGGGCGGCGCUGGAGCUCCUCGAACAGCAGCGGCUUGCGGGCAGCGUCGGAGUUCUUCGGACGGGGGUGGAGUUCGCGGCCGGCGGCGAAGCCUUCGGGAUGCGGAGCGUUUUCUUCUCGCUGAGAUGAUGGUGGAGGGAUUGAUGGGACUGGUAGGUGGCCGGUGUCAGCCCUGUCCCUUCCGCCUAUUUAUCAGGACGGGCGCGGAGAUCGAGGCUCUAUGAGCGGGAACCGUCGAGGAAGGAAAGAUUCGCUAUGAUGGCGCCCGAAAAUUUCGGGAUAAUGACGCACCAAAAGAUCCGUUGAGAUUGUGUUGGAGUUCCCGAAAAUCGAGGGCUAAGGAGAGUACUGAUGGGAAAUGCGUUGGCGGCUCAGAGACUUUUUCCGGUACCAAUUGGCGAGUUAAGAUUUCUGGUGCAAGGAGGAACACAGAAGAGUGAAUCGCCUUCGACUAAAAUGGAGGCAUUGGCAUGAAGAUUCAAGUCAAUUUGGGGCCUAAUGUUGGGGAUAUUCCCUGCUGUUGUGACCCGCCAAAUAUGGGCUGGGUUACUGUUAAGGCGAUUCAUCCUUUAAGGCUAGUUGGGCCUCAGCCCGGGCGGUUCGAAGUUGCAGGAUGGUUAUGAUUUAUGGAAGGACUCUGGGUUUGACAAGACGGCGACUUAGAGACCGCGGUGGUCAUGAUUUGUAAAAAGGAAGGGACUCUUGUAAACCCUAAGGCUUCGACCUAUAUAUAAAGGCGAGUCUGGAGGGGGAGAGGUAGGUUAGAAAUUAUCGAGUGCUAGGUUAGGGCGAGUUACGCCUUCCUUGUAAUCGAAUCCACAUCAAUACACACAAAACAGGACGUAGGCUAUUACCUCUUCUCGAGGGGCCGAACCUGGGUAAAUCGCCGUGUCCCUCCCGCUUAACCCCUUUGAGUCGCCACCAAGGUGCGAUGGCUCCAGUACUAAGUCCUUUCACUAGGACAUCUGCCGUGACAAAACCACGACACAUGCUGGAUAGCGGUCGACGUGUGGAGUAAUAGUAGUAGAUGUAGAAAGUAUCGGUCUACUUGUUUUGGACGUGAUGCCUAUAGAUAUAAUCAUUGCAUAGAUAUCGUCACAACUUUGCGCGGUUCUAUCAAUUGCUCGACAGUAAUUUGUUCACCCGCCAUCUACUUGCUUUCAUGAGAGAAGCCACUAGUAAACACUACGGCCCCCAGGUCUAUUCACAUCCAUCGUUUACACCUCCGCUUUUACUUUGCUUUGUUACUUUGGUGCUUUCAGUUCUCACUUGGCAAACAAUCUAUAAUGGAUUGACAACCCCUUCAUAGCGUUGGGAGCAAGCUUUUGUGUUUGUGCAGGAUCUUGAGAUACUCCUCCACUGGAUUGAUACCUUGGUUCUCAAACUAAGGGAAAUACUUACCACCGCUACGCUACAUCACCCUUUCCGCUUCGAGGGAACACCAACGCAAGGCUCCAAGGCCACGGGGGAAAUCCUUUGCAUACUUUCCUAGGAAGUCCCUUAAGGCGUAGCCGCAGCUGAAGAAUUCCUAGUGCCGUUGCUGAGGAGUAUCAAGCAACACUCCUAUUUUUGGCGCCGUUUGAAGGUCUUUUGUUGCAGUAGCAGAAGUAUUUCUGGCGCUGUUGCCGGGGAGGAGAAAUCAAGAUCUAUCCAAGUAGGUCUCACAAACUCAUCUCUUGCAUUUACUUUUGUUGCCAGUUGCCUCUUGUUUUCCUCUCCCUCACUUCACAUUUGCCGUUUUCAUUUGCCUUUCUCCUUUGCCGUUUUCUUUUGCCUUUUUCCUUUUUCGUUCGCCCUUUUUCUCUCGCUUGCUUUCUGUUUUCUUGUGUGCCAUGUGCCUUCAAUAUGCUUGCAUCUUCGUUUGUUAAUCUCUUUAAGAGACCCACUUAUGUGGAACAAAUUGCUAGUGAGUUGAGGGCACUUGACUAUCUUUAUGAAGUUUUGCGUGAGAUGCGUGGAUCUGAAAAUUGUGAGGAAGAAAUUUAUGAAGUGAUUCACGAGGUCUCCUUGGAUGAAAAGCAUGAUUGCAAUGGUUUCACUAUAAAUUCUAUUAGUGACAAUCAUGCUAAAAUUAUGCAAAACCCUAAGCUUGGGUAUGCUAGGUUUGCUAUGUCCACUACUUGUUGCAAUAAUCAUGAUUGGGGUGAUGAUCUUUCUUAUGAUCUUGAAAAUUUGUUCAAACCACAUGAUGAAUAUGAUAUUUGCGACAAUAUUGAGAGUGGGAUUGGAGAAGUCAUGACUUUAUUUGAUGAUAAUCCCACUAUUUUUGAAGAGCAUCAACUUUGCAUGCAUGUGGAUCAUGAAAAGAAUAUCCUUUGUGAUAGUUACAUUGUUGAACUCGAAUAUGAUCCCACAUGUAAUUGCUAUGAGAGAGGAAAAUAUUGUGGUAGAAACUUUCAUGUUACCAAAUUACCUCUCGUUAUAUGGAGAUUGCUAUUGUCUCUUUCUUCUUCCUUGCAUAUGGCAACUAUUGGUAGUCUUGACAAUCUGUUUUCCUAUAAAAUGCCUAUGUAUAGGAAGUAUGUUAGACUUAGAUGUGAUUUUCACAUGCUUUAGGAUGCUCUCGUUGUGCUUCAAUUCUUGUCUUUUGUGAGAGCAUAAUUCAAUGCCUAGCUAAGGGCGUUAAACAAAAGCGCUUGUUGGGAGGCAACCCAAUGAAUCUAUCCUUUUUCUUUCUGUUUUGUGUUUUCCACACUUUCAUAAUUCUGUUAUGAUUGUGUUUUUUGUGUUUCAUUUUGCGUUUGUGCCAAGCAAAACCGUUUUAAUUAGUCUUGCGGAUGAUCGUUUGGUCAUGCUGGAAAAGACAAAAACUUUCUGCUCACGAAAAGAAUUUUCAUUUUUUUCUGUAAGAGCUUUUGAGUUGAUUCUUUUUGCUGCUGAUUUAUACGCAAAUUCUUCAGACUGUCGUAAGUUUUCAGAAUUUUUGGAGUACCAGAGGUAUACGAAAUAUACAAAUUCCUACAGACUGGUCUGCUGUUAACAGAUUCUAUUUUUGUUGUGUUGGUUGCUUAUUUUGAUGAAACUAUGGAUAGUAUCGGGGGGUAUUAGCCAUGGAAGAUUGAAAAUACAGUAAUCCAACAUCAGCACAAGUAGAAUUUAAGUUUUCUACAGUUCCUAAGGAAGUGGUGGUUUGCUUUCUUGUACUAACGUUAUCCCGAGUUUCUGUUUAAGUUUCGUGUUGUGAAGUUUUCAAGUUUUGGGUGAAGUUCCUAUGGACAAAGAGAUAAAGAGUGGCAAGAGCUCAAGCUUGGGGAUGCCCAAGGCACCCCAAGAGAUUCAAGGAUGCCGUAAAAUCCUAAGCUUGGGGAUGCCCCGGGAAGGCAUCCCCUCUCUCAUCUUCAAUCCAUCGGUAACGUUACUUGGGGCUAUAUUUUUAUUCACCACAUGUUAUGUGUUUUUGCUUGGAGCAUCUUGUAUCGUAGGAGUCUUUUAUUUUUUUGUGUCACGAUCAUCCUUGUUGCACACCUAGAGAGAGAGACAUGCACUCACCGUGAUUUUGUCGAGCUUCACUUAUAUCUUUUGGUAGACAAUUUAGCUCACAUGUGCUUCACUUAUAUAUUUUGAGCUAGAUACUUUUGCUCUAUGUGCUUCACUUAUAUCUUUUAGAGCGCAGCGGUGCGUGGCUUGGUAGUUGAUCUAUGCUUUGAAAGUAGUCUCAAAAGGGGUAGUUAUCCAAAGGGAUACGAAAACUUCCACCUUCAUGUGCAUUGAAUAAUUAGAGAAGUUUGAUUCAUCUCAAUUAGUUUUGAGUUGUGGUUAUGGUAAUAUUGAAGUCAUGCUAGUAAGGUGUUGUGGAUCUAGAAAUACUUGUGUUGAAGUUAGUGAUUCCCGUAGCAUGCACGUAUGGUGAACCGCUAUGUGAUGAAAUCUGAGCAUGAUUAGUCUAUUGAUUGUCAUCCUUUGCGUGGCGGUCGGGAUCGCGCGAUGGUUUAUACCUACCAACCCUCCCCCUAGGAGUAUGCGUUGAAUGCUUUGUUUCGAUUACUAAUAAAACUUUUGCAACAAGUAUAUGAGUUCUUCAUGACUAAUGUUGAGUCCAUGGUUUAGAUGCACUUUCACCUUCCACCAUCACUAUCUUCUUAGUACCGUGCAACUUUGGCCGGUGCACAACACCCACCAUUAGCCUCCCUCAAAACAGCCACCAUACCUACCUACUAUGGCUUUUUCAAAUUUAUUCUGAUAUAUAUUGCCAUGCAACUACCACCAUGACAUGUGCCACCACGUCUACAUUGCCAUUGCAUGAUCGUAAGAUAGCUAGCAUGAUGUUUCCAUUGAUGUCUAUGCCAUGCUAGAUCAUUGCCACGGUACACUACCGAAGGCAUUCCAUAUAGAGUCAUAGUUGCUCUAAGUUUUGAGUUGAAAGUGUGAUGAUCAUCAUUAAUGGAGCAUUGUCCCAUGUGAGGAAAUAAAAGAGGCCAAAGAAGCCCACACACACACACAAAAAAAGAGUCCAAAGAGCCCACCAAAUAAAAAAAUGAGAGAAAAAGAGAGAAGGGACAAUGCUACCACUUUUUCCACACUUGUGCAUAUUAAGCACCAUGAUCUUCAUGAUUGAGAGUCUCUCGUUUUGUCACCAUCAUAUAGCUAGUGGGAAAUUUUCAUUAUAUAACUUGGCUUGUAUAUUCCAAUGAUAGGCUUCCUCAAAAUUGCCUUAGGUCUUCGUGAGCAAGCAAGUUGGAUGCACACCUACUAGUUUUAUUUAAGAGCUUUCACAUACUCGUAGCUCUAGUGCAUCAUUAGUAUGGCAAUCCGUACUCAUUCACAUUGAUAUCUAUUGAUGAGCAUCUCCACAGCUCAUUGAUAUGCCUAGUUAAUGUGACUAUCUUCUCCUUUUUGUCUUGCAACCUCCACCACAUUCCACACCAUCUAUAGUGGUAUAACCAUGGCUCACGCUCAUGUAUUGCGUGAGAGUUGAAAAGGUUUGAGAAAGUAAAGGUGUGAAACAAUUACUUGGCCAAUACCGAGGUUGUGCAUGAUUUAAAUUCGUUGUGCAAUGAUGAUAGAGCAUAGCCAGACUAUAUGAUUUUGUAGGGAUAACUUUCUUUUGGCCUUGUUAUUUUGAAAGUUCAUGAUUACCUUGCUAGUUUGCUUUAAUUAUUAUUGUUUCCACAUCAAUAGCAAACUAUUGUUUAGAAUCUAAUGGAUCUGAACAUUCACGUCACAUAAGAGGAAUUACAAAGGACAUCUAUGCUAGGUAGCAUGAAAGCAUCAAAAAUUCAUUCUUUAUCACUUCCCUACUCGAGGACGAGCAGGAGUUAAGCUUGGGGAUGCUUGAUACGUCUCAAACGUAUCUAUAAUUUUUUAUGGUUUCACGCUGUUAUCUUGCCAUCUUUGGAUGUUUGAUGUACCUUUUCUAUCUUUUCUGGGACUAACUUAUUAAUUCAGUGCCAAGUGCCAGUUCCUGUUUUUUCUGUGUUUUUGACUCUUGUCAGAUCUGAUUUUGGAACGGAUUCCAAACGGAAUAAAAACCCCGAAAUGAUUUUUCCCCGAAGGGAAGAAGAUGAGGGGGGCUCUGGGCCAAGCUAGGUGGGCUCCAGGGAGCCCACAAGCUCCCACCACGCCACUAGGGGGGGAGGCGGCAGUGUGAGGGCUUGUGGCCGCCCAAGCCACCCCCUGACCUAGAUCCUUGGCCUAUAUAUUCCCAAAUAUUCAGCAAAAAAUCAGGGGAGCCUCGAAAAUACUUUUCCGCCGCCGCAAGCUUCCAUUUCCGCGAGAUCUCAUCUGGAGACCCUUCCCGGCACCCUACCGGAGGGGACUUUGGAGUUGGAGGGCUUCUUCAUCAUCAUCAUCGCCCCUCUAAUGACUCGUGAGUAGUUCACUUCAGACCUACAGGUCCGUAGUUAGUAGCUAGAUGGCUUAUUCUCUCUCUUGGAUCUUCAAUACAAAGUUCUCCAUGAUCUUCAUGGAGAUCUAUCCGAUGUAAUCUUCUUUGGCGGUGUGUUUGUCGAGAUCCGAUGAAUUGUGGAUUUGUGAUCAGAUUAUCUAUGAUAUAUAUUUGAGUCUUUGUUGAUUUCUUAUAUGCAUGAUUUGAUAUCCUUGUAAGUCUCUCCGAGUCUUGGGUUUUGUUUGGCCAACUAGAUCUAUGAUUCUUGCAAUGGGAGAAGUGCUUGGUUUUGGGUUCUACCAUGUGGUGACGUUUCCCAGGGAAAGUAGGGGCAGCAAGGCACACAUCAAGUAGUUGCCAUCAAGGGUAAAAAGAUGGGGUUUUUAUCAUUGGUUUGAGAUUAUCCCUCUACAUCAUGUCAUCUUGGUUAAGGCGGUACUCUCUUCUUAUGGACUUAAUACACUAGAUGCAUGCUGUUGGGGAUAUUCCCUGCUGUUGUGACCCGCAAAUAUGGGUCGGGUUACUGUUAAGGCGAUUCAUCCUUUAAGGCUAGUUGGGCCUCAGCCCGGGCGGUUCGAAGUUGCAGGAUGGUUAUGAUUUAUGGAAGGACUCUGGGUUUGACAAGACGGCGACUUAGAGACCGCGGUGGUCAUGAUUUGUAAAAAGGAAGGGACUCUUGUAAACCCUAAGGCUUCGACCUAUAUAUAAAGGCGAGUCUGGAGGGGGAGAGGUAGGUUAGAAAUUAUCGAGUGCUAGGUUAGGGCGAGUUACGCCUUCCUUGUAAUCGAAUCCACAUCAAUACACACAAAACAGGACGUAGGCUAUUACCUCUUCUCGAGGGGCCGAACCUGGGUAAAUCGCCGUGUCUCUCCCGCUUAACCCCUUUGAGUCGCCACCAAGGUGCGAUGGCUCCAGUACUAAGUCCUUUCACGAGGACAUCUGCCGUGACAAAACCACGACACAUGCUGGAUAGCGGUCGACGUGUGGAGUAAUAGUAGUAGAUGUAGAAAGUAUCGGUCUACUUGUUUUGGACGUGAUGCCUAUAGAUAUAAUCAUUGCAUAGAUAUCGUCACAACUUUGCGCGGUUCUAUCAAUUGCUCGACAGUAAUUUGUUCACCCGCCGUCUGCUUGCUUUCAUGAGAGAAGCCACUAGUAAACACUACGGCCCCGGGGUCUAUUCACAUCCAUCGUUUACACCUCUGCUUUUACUUUGCUUUGUUACUUUGGUGCUUUCAGUUCUCACUUGGCAAACAAUCUAUAAGGGAUUGACAACCGCUUCAUAGCGUUGGGAGCAAGCUUUUGUGUUUGUGCAGGAUCUUGAGAUACUCCUCCACUGGAUUGAUACCUUGGUUCUCAAACUGAGGGAAAUACUUACCACCGCUACUCUACAUCACCCUUUCCGCUUCGAGGGAACACCAACGCAAGGCUCCAAGGCCACGGGGGAAAUCCUUUGCAUACUUUCCUAGGAAGUCCCUUAAGGCAUAGCCGCAGCUGAAGAACUCCUGGUGCCGUUGCUGAGGAGUAGCAAGCAACACUCCUAUUUCUGGCGCCGUUGGAAGGUCUUUUGUAGCAGUAGCAGAAGUAUUUCUGGCGCCAUUGCCGGGGAGGAGAAAUCAAGAUUUAUCCAAGUAGGUCUCACAAACUCAUCUCUUGCAUUUACUUUUGUUGCCACUUGCCUCUCGUUUUCGUCUCCCUCACUUCACAUUUGCCGUUUUCAUUUGCCUUUCUACUUUGCCGUUUUCUUUUGCCUUUUGCCUUUUUUGUUCGCCCUUUUUCUCUCGCUUGCUUUGUGUUCGCUUGUGUGUCAUGUGCCUUCAAUAUGCUUGCAUCUUCUUUUGUUAAUCUCUUUAAGAGACCCACUUAUGUGGAACGAAUUGCUAGUGAGUUGAGGGCACUUGACUAUCUUUAUGGAGUUUUGUGUGAGAUGCGUGAUUCUGAAAAUUGUGAGGAAGAAAUUUAUGAAGUGAUUCACGAGGUCUCCUUGGAUGAAAAGCAUGAUUGCAAUGGUUUCACUAUGAAUUAUAUUAGUGACAGUCAUGCUAAAAUUAUGCAAAACCCUAAGCUUGGGGAUGCUAGUUUUGCUAUGUCCACUACUUGUUGCAAUAAUCAUGAUUGGGGUGAUGAUCUUUCUUAUGAUCUUGAAAAUUUGUUCAAACCUCAUGAUGAAUAUGAUAUUUGCGACAAUAUUGAAAGUGGGAUUGGAGAAGUCAUGACUUUAUUUGAUGAUAAUCCCACUAUUUUUGAAGAGCAUCAACUUUGCAUGCAUGUGGAUCAUGAAAAGAAUAUCCUUUGUGAUAGUUACAUUGUUGAACUCGAAUAUGAUCCCACAUGUAAUUGCUAUGAGAGAGGAAAAUAUUGUGGUAGAAACUUUCAUGUUACCAAAUUACCUCUCGUUAUAUGGAGAUUGCUAUUGUCUCUUACUUCUUCCUUGCAUAUGGCAACUAUUGGUUGUCUUGACAAUCUGUUCUCUUGAGCUUGCGUUGGUUUUCCCUUGAAGAGGAAAUUUUGAUGCAGCACAGGAGCAGUAAGUAUUUCCCUCAGUUUGAGAACCAAGGUAUCAAUCCAGUAGGAGAAUCUCGUCAACUCCAGAGUACGUGCACAAACACAAAAGAGCUUGCACCCAACGCUAUAAAGGGGUUGUCAAUCCCUUCAAGAUUGAUUGCAAAGUGAGAUCGGAAGGCGGAAAGUGCAACGAAGAAAAAGAGUAAGGCUAAAAAUAUGGUGUGAAGUAGACCCGGGGCCAUAGUGUUCACUAGAGGCUUCUCUCAAAAUAGCAAAUAUUACGGUGGGUGAAUAAAUUACUGUCGAGCAAUUGAUAGAACCGCGCAAAGUCAUGACGAUAUCUAAGGCAAUGAUCCUACAUAUAGGCAUCACGUCCGAGACAAGUAGACCGAUACUUUCUGCAUCUACUACUAUUACUCCACACAUCGACCGCUAUCCAGCAUGCAUCUAGUGUAUUGAGUUCAUGACGAACAGAGUAGCGCCUUAAGCAAGAUGACAUGAUAUAGAGGGAUAAUCUCAAACCAAUGAUGAAACCCCCAUCUUUUUACCCUUGAUGGCAACAACACGACGCGUGCCUCGCUACCCCUUCUGUCACUGGGUGAGGUGACCUCACGGUAUGAACCCAGAACCAAGCACUUCUCCCAUUGCAACAAUCAUAGAUCAAGUUGGCCAAACAAAACCCACGACUCGAAGAGAAUUACAAGGAUAUGAAAUCAUGCAUAUAAGAGACCAGAAGAAACUCAAAUAAGAUUCAUAGAUAAUCUGAUCAUAAAUCCACAAUUCAUCGGAUCUCGACAAACACACUGCAAAAGAAGAUUACAUCGGAUAGAUCUCCAUGAGGAUCAUGGAGAACUUUGUAUUGAAGAUCCAAGAGAGAGAAGAAGCCAUCUAGCUACUAGCUAUGGAUCCAUAGGUCUAUGGUGAACUACUCACGCAUCAUCGGAGAGGUCAUGGUGUUGAUGAAGAAGCCCUCCGUAUCCGAAUCCCCCCUCCGGCAGGGCACCAGAACGUUCCCAGAUGGGAUCUUGCGGAGACAGAAGCUUACAGCGGCGGAAAAGUACUUUCGAUGAUCUCCUGAUUUUUUCUGGAAUUUUUGGGAAUAUAUAGGAGAAUGACCUAAGGCAGAGGUGGCCCAGGGAGCCCACAAGCCUGGGAGGCCCCCCCCUCGGUGGCCGCGGCUAGGGGGCUUGUGGGGUACCUGGUGGCCCCCUGCCUUGGUUCUCAAGUUCCCCUAUCUUCUUAUGUUUCGAAAAAAAAAUUUGGAAGUUUCGUUCCAUUUGGACUCCGUUUAAAAUCCUCCCCUGAAAAGGGUCAAAAACACGGAAAAAGCAGGAACUGACACUUGGCACUGAGUUAAUAAGUUAGUCCCAAAAAAGAUAUAAAAGGCAUACAAAACAUCCAAAGUUUGACACGAUAAUAGCAUGAAACCAUCAAAAAUUAUAGAUACGUUGGAGACGUAUUAGUUAUCAAAUGUCGCAACAUAACUGGGUGACUAUAAAGGUGCUUUGCAGGUAUCUCCAAAGGUGUCUGUUGGGUUGGCAUGGAUCUAGACUCGGAUUUGUCACUCCGUGUGACGGAGAGGCAUCUCAGGGCCCACUCGGUAAUACAACAUCACAACAAGCCUUGCAAGCAAUGUGACUAAGGAGUUAGUUACGGGAUCUUGUAUUACAGAACAAGUAAACAGACUUGCUAGUCGAGAUUUAACUAGGUAUGGAGAUACCGACGAUUGAAUCUCGGGCAAGUAACAUAUCGAAGGACAAAGGGAACAUCAUACGAGAUUAACUGAAUCCUUGACAUAGAGGUUCAACCGAUAGAUAUCUUCAUAGAAUAUGUGGGAGCCAAUAUGGACAUCCAAGUCCCGCUAUUGGUUAUUGACUGGAGAGUGUCUCGGGUCAUGUAUGCAUAGUUCUCGAGCCCGCAGGGUCUGCACACUUAAGGUUCGGUGACGUUUCCAUAUAGUUGACCUAUAGGUGUUGGUGACCGAAGGUUGGUCGGAGUCCCGGAUGAGAUCCCGGACGUCACAAGGAGCUCCGGAAUGGACUGUGGGUAAAGAUUGAUAUAUAGGAAGUCCUGUUUUGGUCACCGGAAAAGUUUCGGGCUCAUCGGUAGUGUACCGGGAGUGCCGGGAGGGGUGCCGGGGACCAUUGGGAGGGGUGUCACACCCCAAGGGGCCUCAUGGGCUGUGGGAAGAGAUAAACCAGCCCCUAGUGGGCUGGAAUAAUUUCCCACUAAGGCCCAUAAGGUUCGAGAAGGAAAAAAUACAAGGUGGAAAGAGUUUCCAAUUGGGAAGGAGGAAUGCUACUCCAAACAGGAUUGGAGGAAUCCUCCUCUCCUCCUUGCGCAAGGGGAAAAAGGCAGCCCUAGGGCGCAGCCCUCUCCCUCCUCUCCUCCUAUAUAAACUAAGGGUUUCGAGGGUUUUAGAGACAAUAGAAAACAGCCACGUGGUGCCCUCUCCCUCUAGAUCUGUUUCUCCUCUAGUUUCAGCGGUGCUUAGGCGACGCCCUGCUGGAAUAGCAGCAGCGGCACCACCACCACCACCACCACGCCGUGCUGGAAAACUCAUCUACCUCUCCGCCCCCUCUUGCUGGAUCAAGAAGGUGGAGAUCGACACCGAGCUAUACGUGUGCUGAACGCGGAGGUGUCGUCCGUUUGGCACUAGAUCGGGAAGGAUCGUGGUGGGAUCGCGGGACGGAUCAUGAUGAGAUCGCGGGACGGGCUGCGAUUUGGAUUGCGAAGAUGUUCCACUACAUCAACCGUGUUAUAUACGCUUCCGCUUAUCGGUCUACAAGGGUAUGUAGAUUCACUCUCCCCUCUCGUAGAUGAUCAUCACCAUGGAUAGGUAUUGCGUGUGCGUAGUAAAAAAAAUUGUUUUCCAUGCAACGUUCCCCAACAUUGGUUUGAUUUGUGUUCGCUACUUUGAUAAUUUGAUAUGUGGGUGGACUGGUUCUUAGGUGUUGUUCUUACUUGAACAAAUAUCCUACUUAUGAUUUACCCCCUCGCAAGAAUCCGCAACUACGAGAAAAGUAUUAAGAUAAAAUCUAACCAUAGCAUUAAACAAUUGGGUCCAAAUCGGUCCCUUAUGAAGUAGCGCAUAAACUAGGGUUUAAGCUUCUGUCACUGUAGGAACUGAUGUCUACUAUGCAACCUUCUCCUUGUAGACGUUGUUGGGCCUCCAAGCGUAGAGGUUUGUAGGACACUAGCAAUUUUCCCUCAAGUGGGUGACCUAAGGUUUAUCAAUCCGCGGGAGGCGUAGGAUGAAGAUGGUCUCUCUCAAGCAACCCUGCAACCAAAUAACAAAGAGUCUCUUGUGUCCCAAACACACCCAAUACAAUGGUAAAUUGUAUAGGUGCACUAGUUCGGCGAAGAGAUGGUGAAAUAAGUGCAAUAUGGAUGGUAGAUAUAGGUUUUUGUAAUCUGAAAUUACAAAAACAACAAGGUAACAAAUGGUAAAAGUGAGCACGAACGGUAUUGCAAUGCGUGGAAACAAGGCCUAGGGUUCAUACUUUCACUAGUGAAGUUCUCUCAACAAUGAUAACAUGAUUGGAUCAUAUAACUAGCCCUCAACAUGCAACAAAGAGUCACUCCAAAGUCACUAAUAGCGGGGAACAAACGAAGAGAUUAUUGUCGGGUACGAAACCACCACAAAGUUAUUCUUUCUGAUCGAUCUAUCAUAGAGUUCGUACUAGAAUAACACCUUAAGAUACAUAUCAACCAAGACCCUAAUGUCACCUAGAUACUCCAUUGUCACCUCAAGUAUCCGUGGGUAUGAUUAUACGAUAUGCAUCACACAAUCUCAGAAUCAUCUAUUCAACCAACACAUAGAACUUCAAAGAGUGCCCCAAAGUUUCUACCAGAGAGUCAAAACGUGUGCCAACCCCUGUGCAUAGGUUCCCAAUGUCACAAACCCGAAAGUUGAUCACCAAAACAUACAUCAAGUACUCACAUGAAUCCAUGUGUGCCAACCCAUAUGCAUAGGUUCCCAAUUGUCACAAACCCGCAAGUUGAUCACAGCAGAUAGACACGUGCAAGACAUACAUCAAGUGUUCUCAAAGACUCAAUCCGAUAAGAUAACUCCAAAGGGUAAACUCAAUUCAUUACAAGAAGGAGAGGGGGAAGAACAUCAUAAGAUCCAACUAUAGUAGCAAAGCCCAUGGUACAUCGAGAUCAAGACAUCUCAAGAACACAAGAGAGAGAGAUCAAACACAUAGCUACUGGUACAUACCCUCAGCCCCGAGGGAGAACUACUCCCUCCUCGUCAUGGAGAUCGCCGGGAUGAUGAAGAUGGCCACCGGAGAUGGAUUCCCCUCCGGCAGGGUGCCGGAACGGGCUCCAGAUUGGUAUUUGGUGGCUACAGAGGCUUGCGACGGCGGAACUCCCGAUCUAGGUUUCUUUCUGGGGGUUUCUGAAUUUAUAGGAAUUUAUGGUGGUGGAAUUGCGUUAGUUGGGCCCACGAGGAGGUCACAAGCCUACGCGCCACCACCGAGGGGGGUGGCGGCGUGAGGGCUUGUGACUCCCUCGUGGCCCAUCUGGCCUUCUCCCAAAGCUUCGGGGGUCUCUUUUGGUCCAAAAAAAUCAUCGUAAAGUUUCAUUCCAUUUGGACUCCGUUUGAAAAUGGGCCAAAAACACGAAAAAAACAGAAACUGUCACUUGGCACUGAGUUAAUAGGUUAGUCCCAAAAAAUAUAUAAAAUAACAUAUUCAUGCAUAUAAAACAUCCAAAGUUGACAAGAUAAUAGCAUGGAACCAUCAAAAAUUAUAGAUACGUUGGAGACGUAUCAGGAACCCAUCACCUAAUAACUACUCCACAAUGCAUUCCCUUAGGCACAAAUAUGGUGAAGUGUCAUUUAGUCGACGUUCACAGGACACCACUAAGGGAAUCACAACAUACAUAUCAUCAAAAUAUCAAACACAUAUCAAGUUCACAUGAUUACUUGCAACAAGAUUUCUCUUGUGGCCUCAAAAACAAAAGUAACUACUCACGAGUGAUAAACAUGCUCAAGAUCAAAGGGGUAUUAAAUAGCAUAAUGGAUCUAAACAUAUAGUCUUCCACCAACUAAACCAUAUAGUAAUCAACUUCAAGAUGUAAUCAACACUACUAGUCCCCCACGAGUACUAAUCUAAGGUUCCGGUACAAAGAUUGAACACAAGAGAUGAACUAGGGUUUAAGAGGAGAUGGAGUUGUUGAAGAUUGUCCUCCCAAAGAUGAAUGGGUUGUUGGUGAUGACGAUGGCUUCGAUUUUCCCCUCCGGAAGGGAAGAUCCCCCGGCGAAAUCGCUCCACCGGAGGACAAAAGUGCUCCUGCCCAAGUUCCACCUCGAGAUGGCGGCGUUCCGUCCAGAAAGUCCUUUCUUUACUUUUUUCUUGGUCAAAAUGACUUAUAUACCAGAAGAGGGGCACCAGAGGUGGGCCGAGGAGGGCAAAACCCACCAGGGCACGCCUGGGGGGCCGUGGCGCACCUAGGUGGGUUGUGCACACCUGAUGGCCUCCUCUGGUACUUAUUUGCUCUAAUAUUCCUUAAAUAAUCCAUAAAAAAUCUCCGUGAAAUUUUAGCUUAUUUGGAGAUGUGCACAAUAGGUGGGUUGACGUAGCUUUUUCCAGGUCGAGAAUUCCAUCUACCGACAAUCUCCCUCUUUGUGUAAACCUUGCAUAUUAUGAGAGAAAGGGCAUUAAAAUUACUCCAUAAAGCAUUAUUAUGCAUAAAACAUUAUAAAUAACAGUAACAAAACAUGAUGCAAAAUGUACGUAUGAGAACCUCUGGCCAUCGGUGAUGGUGUCCUAGAUUAGGGGGUGCUAGCCAUGACAGUUCCCGGACAUAUGGGUGAGGCCGAGGACAACCAAAACAACCAAAUGGUUGGACACAUUCAUCGGGUCCCAUGAGAAUCAAGAUGAAUUCUUUCGAAGACUUGGCUCACGCCUCUCCCAUUGAUCCACCUUGUAUAGGUGCAAAGACUGCCAUGUAGGCGAAAAAAAUCUGAUGUGGCAAGGUAAUUAAGAGUAGAGAGAUGAGUGUUGUAACCCGAGGAAGAAACAAUGUCAAGCAUGUGAACAUAGGCAAAACACUUAAAUGAAAGAAACCCACCAAUACAUGAAGAACUUUAGUUGCUAAAUCAUUAAAUGAAGGAGCUUAGCCAACAACAAGUUAAGCACAUAUGCAUUGAGGGCUUUAGUUGUUAAAUUCCUUAAUAUGCUUAGCAUCUUAUCUUAGCAUCAAUGCAUUGGAAGUAGCCUAAUACUCCAAUACUUAGAGAUGAUCUUCGGCACAUUUAUCCUUAGAUAUAACCGACCUAUGUGAAACCCUAGGCACCUCGGGUAUCUAUAUAAGCCAAGGGGUGAGGAUUGUAGACACUAACUCAUACACACACGAUAUCAUGUUGGAUCAACCUUUAUCUUGUACCCCCUCAAUUAAUAGAAUCAACAAAUGACGUAUGGUAUUAUAUUUUCGAGAGAACCUGGGCCUAGGUGAAACAUGUAUCCAUGUUACCAUCAGGCGAAGGAUACUAGUUUGGGUACCCCAACCCGAGAUCUGCUGGAUUUCACUCGAUCAGUCGACGAGAGUAAAUAGAGAUCUGGAAAGAGAGGGGAUUUGGGGUGGUAAUUUUCUACUCACAUCAUAAAACAUAAAUUUUGACGAGUUAUUUUAAGUUUGUUCCUAGAGUACCAAAAACAAUCAAGUGUGUGGGGUAAUACAUGCUCGCUUUUUUCAAAAUGAUGUGCUACCGUUUAACAAUAUCUUACAUCUAAUGAAUCAAGUUCGUUUCAUAUUCGUGAAAUUUACUAUUCAUUUGUUGAUUCAAUUGUGCAACAUUUACAAGUUACAGUUCUUGUUCAUAUGCUUGAUACAUCGACUUCAUGUUGUGCUUGGUCUUUGCCACCGCCACGACAUGUUUCUUAUAUCUCUGAUGCUGCAUUGUUAGCCUCUCUCGACAAGAGCCUGUGUGUGGGAUGAUAUAUGUGAAUCUCUUGCGCGUUGCAUGGCUGAUUAUUUGGCAUGCGAGGAGAAUAUUUACUCAAUCAUUUUUGCCUUGGAUUGCCUUUUUAUGAUGCAGCACCACACCUCGUGUUGUGUUUUUUUCACGACACACGUCCUCGUGAAAGAACUAAGUUGUGACGACAUCGUUAUUAGGUGAAAACUGGACGGGGUUGAUCAGAAGCGAGAGUCAUGAGUUUGCCCUGGUUCGGCCCCUCACGAUGGAGGUAAUAGGAUACUCCUGCUUGAUUGCUAUUGAUGGCGGUGGUCUCGAUUACAAGGGCACUAUUUCGUUGUCUCUGUCUCAAGAGCUAUCAAAACAUAUGUCUUGAGACCUAUCAAAACAUCUGUCUAAAAACUUGUCUUCUAAGACCCGUCCCUCUGAUGACCGAGGGACUCCCUUUAUGUAAUAUCCGAGUCCCUGGGGUUACAAGAGAUUUCGCGUUAUACCCGUAGUCGGAGUCCUACUCUAAGUCCUCUGAGUCAUAUGUAUCUUCUAAGUCGGGAGGUCUCCAUCUUGUAUUUGGACUCCUUAUGGAUGAAACUUCGCAUAGGUCUAGAUCAUGUAGCAAGCAGGGUCCUAUAGCACGCUAAGUCAUGUCCUUAUAGCCAACUUGUCUCGAGAGACUUAUCUCCUGGUCGACCUAACUCUAGACCUAACUUAUCUCCAAAGAUGACUUAUGUCGAGGCCGACUUAAAUCCAAACAUUCCUUAACUAUAGAGAUGACUUAACUCCCGAAAUGACUUAUGUCUAGGUCGGGUCUUUAGGCACCUACUGACUCUCUUCGUCUUGUUGGCCUUUCUACCCAUUAAUAAUAUUUAGUGAGCUUGGUGGUAGUUAGAAUCAAGUCUACAGCGGAUGGUUUCACUCAUGUGGUUUUCAAGCAUGUUCAGUGGUAGUUUAAUGUGACAUCUCAUGUUUUAGCUACUAAAUCAUGUAUGAGCUUUACUGGUCUUUCUGUUUUACAUUCUACUUCCCAUUGCAUCCACAAGACUAAUUGUAAUGUUGUUGCUUGAUCAAUAAAAUGACGGUGUUCCCUCUCUAAUUAUUUUUUAAAAGAGUAGGAAACUAGGUAAGCAAGGGCCCAACAAACGUACCUGAGGCUGCUGGCCCAUCCUAUUCCCCAAAAACAACACAAAGCCCCAACCCCUUCCCUAAAAAAGGCCCCAACCUCUCCCCUCAAACCAAAAAAAAGAAAAAAAAAAGGCCCCUACCUCUUCGGCCGCCCCUGAUGAUCGGUCGGCCGCCAGCCGCCGCCUGGGCGGCGUCAUCGAACCUUCUCCUUUUUCCUUCCCUUUGCCGGAAACCCUCUCGUCCGGCGGCAAAAUCGACAAAUCUGACCCGUGAGGUGAAAAAAUUCACAAAUUGGACCGUGUUUUAAAAAAAUCGCUAAACUGACCCUUUUAUGUGACGCCCGACACAUAGGCGCCAAACUACACUAUGUGACGCAUUAGCCGUAGGCGCCACACCCCCGUCCACGCUGGCGUCCGACCCGAUCGCACCCCUAGCAGUGUGACGCCUAAGUAUGAGGCGUUGCACUUGUGGUAGUGUGGCGCCGAGGGAUUAGGCGCCACACUCUCACUUAUCCAGCCACGGGCUGGCCCUCCCCCACCCCCUCCUCAUUCACCCCCAUCGCUAGAGAGAGUUCUCCCUCGAGUUCCCCUCUCCCCUACCUCAAAUCCAUCUCCAAAUCAAGCAGUUCUGAAGCUUUGUUCUGGGCAUUUCGUCUCCAAUCCCUCCCUUAAGUUAAUCCCCCCCGAUCCCCUCCCUCUCAUCCAAAAAAAAUCUCAUUUGCUCACUUUUUUGCAAAUGUGAGGAAACCUUAAUUCUACAUGAAAUUUGGGAUGUAUAUGAUAUUGUUGCACUUGUUUGUAUGUAAGGAUAAGUGGUAUGAUAGGGUAAGGAUUAGGGUUGCUUGGAUGUUAGGAUUAUGGUUGUGUUGGGGUUAGGGGUAAGAUGGGGUUAGGAUUAUGGUUGUUUGGAUAUUAGGAUUAGGUAUUUUUAUUAUGCAUAUUUUGUAGUGUUUUGAUGAUUGCUUAUACAAAAUAUUGUAUGUUGUGUUGUUUAGGGAUAGGAAGAACAUGUGUUUAUGUUCAUCACGUGGACAAAGAUGCCUUUUUAAAAGGCAAUAUUGAUUCGGACCCGGAUGAGCUUGACAUGUUGUUUGAUUGUUGUCCUAGCUAUGCUGAGUUGUUGGAACAAGUCUGAAAGGAUUUGAAUUGGAUGGACCCAAGUGAUGUUGUUGAGUUUGAUGGUAGGCAUAAUGUGGGAUUAGGAAUGCACAUUCAUUGGAAGACCAUGCGUGUCAACUCCGAGCAACGUUGUCUUGGAUACAAGGAUACGGUGGCUGAAUCACUAGACAAGGCUCUAGAGUUAUUUGCCAUAAAAGAUGAUCCUAACUUGCACUUGGAUUUGAACCGGGUUGCCUCUCUGACUGUUGAUGCUAGUCCUCCACGCAUCAACGAAGAGGCCAACAUUAAACCUUUUUUGACCCAACAAUCAAGGACAACAUUGACCUAGAAUUCAAACAUCCAACAUGAACCAUUGCUAGAGGAGAAUAAUGAGCAUGAUGAUGAUGAGAAUGAUGAUAUUAUUCUCCAUGACAACAGCCUUGGUGAUUUGGACAAAUAUAAUUUGCAAGACACAAUGGACCAUUCUAUUCCAUACUCACGUGGCUAUGCAUCGAAGUCGGACAAUGACAGUCCCGAUGAAGAAGUUAAUGAGGAAGGGUUCAUGGCAAAGGAGUUGAAGCUUUCACGAAGGUAUUAGGGCGGGAUCACCGGACACCAUUGUUCGAGGGUCUUAGUCUUGCGUAUGAAACCAUGGUUGAUGGAGGCGAAGGCAUAUUGUUUGGAGUUAGGCCACCUUCUCACCGGGACAAACAUGGGAAGAAUAUUAUUUUUCCGGGGUCAAAGUUCGAAACAUUCCUGGAACUGAAGAUGUGGUUGGAUGAAUAUUUGGUUAUGCGUUAUCAUCCACACAAAGUUGUUCAUUCGAACAUGAAGUUGCGUUACACGGUUGCAUGUGAGGAUUCAGGAUGUCCAUGGAUUGUCCGUGGAAGACCUUGGAAAGGAGGGCCCAAAUGGAACAUUGUGAGUUGUAUGCCUCACCUGCGCCGAGGCAAGAGGGUUGAUAGCAAGCUUUCAUCGCAAAACCAUAGACAACUCACCUCCGAGUUCAUAUCUUACAGGCUUUCGAACUCCAUUUCCUCUCUUCCUACAGUGAGCAUAAAAAGCGUACAAGAUCUUGUGAAAUCCCUCUUUCACUACCAUGAGAAAUACGGGAAGGCAUGGAAAGCAAAGCAAUCCACAUUCAAGAUGUUGUAUGGUGAUUGGGAACAAGCAUACAACCGACUACCUAGGUUGUUGGGAGCUAUUGUCGCCACUAACCCCGACAUGGUUCAUGUGGUCGAGCCGUAUGGGGAGAAAACAAGGAUUCACAAUGGAAAGACGGUCCGCGUAUUUGGUCGUGCAUUUUGGGCAUUUCAGUAAUGUCUGAGGGCUUUUCAGCACUGUCGGUUGGUCAUCUCCAUCGAUGGCACGUUCUUGACCGGGCAAUUCAAGAGCACUGUGUUGGUUGCAAUAGGAAAUGAUGCCAAUAACCGGUUGUUCCCUUUGGCUUUUGCUUUGGUUGAGGUGGAGAAAAAUGUUAACUGGGAAUGGUUCUUGCUAAUUUUGAGAACCAAGGUACUACCGUUUGAAAGGGAAAUCUGUAUCAUAUCGGAUCGCCAUCCAGGAAUACUUAACGCGGUUGACAUCGUCAUUCCCGGGCAUGCUCCUGUGCACCAUUGAUGGUGCAUGAGGCAUUUAUGUGCAAACUUCUACCGGGCAUGUGGUAGCAAGGAGUUGAUUGAUAAUCUUCAAGAUUGUUGUCAAGCUUUUUCUGACAAACGAUUUGCAAGAUUGUAGAAUGCUUUGGUUGCAAACAAUAAACUUGAUGCAGGGGGUCUUGAGUUUCUCAACAGGCACAUUCAACUUAGGCCAAAGUGGGCACGAGCUUAUGAUGGAGAUGGCCGAAGAUAUGAUCAAAUGAAAAGAAACAUGGCAGAACGCUUCAAUAGGGUGUUGAAGGGUGUUCGUGCUUUUCGGUGACGGCAAUAGUUCAAUACACAUUCGACAAGUUGAGAUCAUACUUUCUAAAGUACUCAAGUGAAAUGGAUGAUCAGAUUGCGGGAGAGAACAAGAAAAAGUAAAAGUACAAGUUCCCACCAAAGUUAAUAAAUGGAUGGAAUUUCAAUCAUGGAAAGGCUGACUCCCAAACAACUACUUUGUACAACAACGAUGAUUGGACGUACCAUGUGAAUGAGCCCGGAGGAAUGACAAACGGUGGCCAGCAACACGGAAACAGGGCGUUCAAGGUAUCUUUAUCGUUGUGUGAUUGCUCUUGCAGGAGGCCAAGGUUGAUUCAUCUCGCAUGCUCGCACUUUUACACGGCAGCUCGCACUGGGAAUGUGGACGUCAACCAUCUGCUAACCACGAGGGAGUCCGGGUUCUCUAUCAUGACCAUGAAGCAUACAUGGGCUCCUAGAUUUGAACCAUACUUUGACCGAUCACAAUGGCCGGAGUAUCGUGAGCUUCAACUAUGGCCCGACCCGGAAUGAAAGCUGGUAAAAUGGGGAAGAUGACAAACAAAUCGUUUUUGAGGAGACAUGGAUGGAUGGGUCCAUGAUGGUGGCCGAGAAAUGGGGGACAACCAAUUCCAAGAGCCUACUCAGAGAUCACAUUGUCGAGAGUGUGGUGUAACAGGGCACAACACAAGAAGGUGUACUAACCCUAAGUAGUAGCCAACAAGGUCCUAGCCAAGCAAGUAGUAGCCAACAAGGUCCUAGCCAAGCAAGUACAAUCCAACAACGUCCUAGCCUAGCAAGUGGCAGCCAAUAAGUUCCUAGUCAACAUGUUCCUAGCCAACAUGUUCCUAGCCGGCAUGGACUUACUAGAGGACGUGCUCAUGGGAUAGUGCGUGCUGGUGCUAGAGGCAGAGGUGGGAGAGCUCGUGGACUUACUAGGAUUCGUAUGUGUGGAUACCUACGAGGACCAUUUCCGUAUGUCAUAGUAUUGACUUAUCUUUUUCAUGUUGUUUUUAAUGCUCCCUUCUAUGUUAACCAUGUACUAUCGUUAUUUUACUAACUAUUAUGUUGCUAUUUUUUUGUAGGUAUGGUGGCAUCUCAACCCAACAAGGCAAGAACAGAGUGGGUGGAGGACAAGGAUGCAGUCGGUGAGGACCAGGGGUCGUGGGAGAGGGAUGCAAAGAAGUUGAGAGAGGAGGACGCAGCCAAAGCGAAGAGGAAGAAGGAGAGGAGAGGGAAGCGGCGAGGAAGGAGGAGCUGGAAAUAACGCUUGACUACUACAACUACCAUAAGCGGAUUAAGGAUGAGCACAAGAACAGGAUGCAGAAACAUCAAAGGGAUUUCGUAGCAAACUAUAAGAAGUUAACCGCACAGAAUGCAUCAAAGAGAGAGCGGGAGCAUCAAUGCUUCACGGAGAUGGUAAUGAAAGAGGCUUCAAAAAUGCGUAAAAGGGAAGAGGAAGGAGAAAGGAAGAAGAAGAAGGGAAAUGCACCUUGCUCGACACAAUAGAGCAUGCUACUUAUUUUCGUCAUGCGGCUUUCAUCUUUGAACCUAUUGUGUUGUUGAACCUUGUCCACUUGCACGCUUUGUUAUUUGGAACUUCUCUACUAUGAAACUCCUCUAUUAUGAAACUAUUUUAUGGAACUCAUGUAUGUUUUGCUGGGAUAAUUUAUGAUUUGCUAUGCUGGAUUAUUUAUGAUGUCUUAUUAUGUGAUAAAUUAUGAUGUGGCUGUGAUAAUUUGUGACAUGGCUGUGACAAACUACACUGCAGUUUGAGUGUGUGGCGCCUUACACCUAGGCGUCACACAUGCCAAAUGGUACGGCGCCCUUCUCUUAGGUGUCACACAUGGGAAACAUAGUAGUAACACAUACUGCCAACUUUGUGUGGCGCCAUAUACCUAGGUGUUGCACAUGUGUGGCGCCCUUCACAUAGGCGUUACACAUGCAAAAUUUCACAAAAUGACAACUUUAGAUUAACAUAUAGCUUUCUAACAGAGAUUAACAAAAAAAUUCCAUUCGAACCACACAGUGACAACAAAUCAUAAGCUUAAUAUAAUUUCCAUUAGAACCAAAAGCUUGAUUUCAUGGUAAUACAAGUUCAUCAACGAGUUAAACCAAAGACAAACAUUGCUACUAGUUCAACAACUUAAAAGGUUUAUGUCUCUAGAAUAGCCUUGGUUUCAUCAGCUUGUUUAUUGAUCUCUUUGCACUAUGACACACGAAAAUGACAUGUAAGGCAAGUAAAGAUGUGUAGUAGUGUUCAGAGAUAACAUAGGGAGCACACUUACCACAAAGUUGAGCACUCGAGCAAAAGGCGUUUGAUAACCUUAGUGAAUUAGCUUGUUGUAUUCUCCAUGGGAAAGUUCAUCGAAUGAAGUGGGACCUUCCAAUAUGUCCUCCUGAAAAGCCGGCGGACAAAUCUCCACUCGAGUAUUCUCCUGAAACCAUCUGACGUAGUUGUUGAACGCAAGUGAACAAUGCUCCCACACCUGGGUUCCCGGCGUACUCCUAGCUUCCUCCACACUUUGCUCAAACAUAGUGACAUACUUCUUAUGAUGCUUAUUCCAAUCCUUGAUCUUUCGUUGCCUCCUCCUAUGCAACCUGCCUUUUACAUACCUCAUUAUUAGCUCACUCAAUACUUAGCUCAAACAUAGUUCUUUAUUGUAUUUGUGCAUGCUUUGCUACCUGUGAAGUUAUGCUUCUGUGUCCACCCACUCCGGCGGGUGACCCUGAAACAACCCAAAUUGAUGCAACAAACUAUGCGGGAGAUGAAACUGAACGACCCAAUUGCAUAUUAGGGGACAACACAUUAGCCAAAGUUAUUUUUCCUGCAAGUAUAUUGGAUUGAGCUGGAACGUGUGUGCAUCACCAAAGCUUGCCCCGGCACCAUAUGGCUGCCAUUCCACCUACAACACAACAAAAAAAGGCACCAUUCAUUUUUUCCUUUCAUUUAGGGAGUUAGCUCAGUGAUGUUUACCUGCUCGGCGGUAAGCGAGUCCAUCUCAUUGGUGUAUUGCUUGUACAAGAUAUUCACAUCGCUCGUCACCUCCGAUACUGUGUCCCACUUGUAAGCCCAGGUGGGAAGCCGUACAGGGUUGUCAUGGUCAUCCCAGGCCUUGAACGUUACCUCUCUAGGGCAUCCAACAGGAAGGCGUUUCUAGCUCCAUACCAAAAGUAGGAGCAUAGACCCAACAAUUCCGCCGUCUCUUGUGGACCUAUGACAAGCUUCGUCCAACUACAAAUAAAUACAAACAUGGAUGAGUUAAGCGCAAAGGUAUAAUCCAAACAAAAACUUACUAUGAACAAUUUAUUACCUGUCGGUACAGGUAGGCCAAUGCGGCCGACCCCCAGCUGAACUUGUUGUCGAAAACCGUCAACGCCUUCAGCCACAUCCAUUGAGGAUUCUUGCCACUACCGUCAGCGAAUAUAGUCCUAGAGAUAACAUACCACAUGUACACACGAUCAUAAGUCUGGAUCACUUCGUCAUUGGCGUCCUCAGGACAAUGAGCAAAGUUGGCUGCAAUCCAAGUGAAAGGAGCGCCAGCCGGGACUCUAUCAUUCUUCCCUCCAUCUUCUGCCUCCGGCUCUGGAGGUGACAUACCAAUAAGGGCCUCCGUUUGUUGUCGGCAUCCCUCAGAAUCAGUGCUCAUACAAAGAGGUUUCCCCUCGAUUGGAAGUGCAGUUAUCAUGGAAACAUCUUGAAGAUUCACGGUCAUCUCUCCGGUCCGUAGGUGAAAACUAUGGGUCUCCGGGUUUUUUCACUGUUUUGACCCGAGGGGGUAAGUUAAUCACGGAAAACUCGUUUGGAAAGAAUUUCACGUUUUGACCCUUUUCUUGAAACGCCGUAGACCGUGGCGUUGCAGCCCUAUGGAGAAACGCCAUUCUACUGUGGCGUUGCAGCCCUUCUGUGAAACGCCUGUGUAAUGUGGCGUUUCUGGCCUGAGGUGAAACGUCAGGUACCAUGGUGUUUCUUGGCUUUAUAUUCUGCCACCCCGACCCCCUCGCCACCAACCACCAUUUCUCCUCUUCUCUUGUUCUUCCUUUGACGAAAAAGCUCUCCCUUGUGCUCAAGAUCCCCCCCUUCGAUCUCCCUCCUCCCUCAACCUUUUAGUUGGUUCUUUGAGGCAAAUCAAAGAGGCCGGUAAGCUCCUCCAAUCCCUCCAAUUAGUUUUUGCAAUGACUUUUUAUUUGUGUAGAUUUUUUUUGCACUAGGUGUUCCAUUUAUGUUGCAUUGUAUUGGUUGGUUUAUUAUUAUUGAUAAGAUGGUUAUGCCUAAUUUGGUUGGACAAGGGUUAGGGUUAGUGUUAGGUUUUGUGUUGUGCCCAAUUUGGAUGGAUAAGGUUUAGGGUUAGGGUUUGUGUUAAUGCCUAAUUUGGAUGGACAAUGGUUAGGGUAAUGUUUUGUUAGUUGUUUUGUUAUACUUAGAAUUGGUAAUUUUGUCCCCUUUUUUAGAUCGACAAUAUUGUGAAUAUUCAUUAUGUUGACAAAGAGGCAUUCGUGAAUAUUGAUAUUGUUGACAAAUAUGAGGAAGUGUUGACAUUUCUUGAUAGUUCUACUUAUGAAGAGGUUGUGGCAGAAAAUCGGAUAAGAUUGAAGUGGGUUGAUCCAAGUGAUCAAGUAGAAUUAUUAGGAAGAUAUGAUGUUGGGUCGGCACACAAGUGUUGAAUGAAGACAAUGCCUAUCAAGUCCAAUUUGCAUUGGGUUGCAUACAAGGAGGUUGUUGCAUCCUCGAUAGACAAGUCACUCAAAGUGUUUGCUAGUACGGUGGUCAAUGCUCCUCUUCAUGUUGACUUGAACCAGCCCUUAGUAGAUGAUUUGAGCCCGUAUAAUGGUGCGGCACCUAUUAUUGAGCAUAAAGUAGAAGUGUCGGUCAAUGAGUAUCCCCAAUAUGAGUUUGGAGGUAGUGCACCGAUUAAAGAUGAUGGUCAUGACUCCGACGAAGAGUGUGAGAGGCAACACAACAUUGUUGGUGACGUAGAGGCUCAAGUAAGGCAUGAUGACACGGAUCCUGACAUUGUUUAUCAGCGUGCUUGUGUGGAUGAGUCGGAUGAUGAAGGCCCGGUGAAUGAGUUGGAUGAGGAUGGUAUCACUGAGAAAGAAGCGGAGUGGUAUACAAAAAUCACCGAUAGGGAUCACAAAGUUCCCUUGUUUUGUGAUGUUAGCCUUGCAGAUAAGGCUUUAGUCAACGGUGGCAUGAGAAAGAAAAUUGAUGCUAGAAUGUUCCCAAGUAGCACACCCAACUCGAUUUGUACGUCUUACCUAAAGAAAGGUUUGAUGUUCGAGGACAUUCUAGAAUUGAAGAUGUGGUUGUGUGAGUAUGCCGUCAAACACUACAUGCCUUUCAGAGUUGUGCACUCGGACUGCCACAAGCGAUACACCGUGAAAUGCGAGGUAGAAAAUGCAAAUGGAAAGUCAAUGCAAGACUCAUGAAAGAUGGUUUGUGGAAGAUAAGUAGUUGCAUUGCAACUCACCAAUGCACACCGCCGACAGAUGAAGCACCAGAGACACACCAUCAGUUAACCUCAGAAUUCAUCGGUUAUAAAUACCAGAAACAUAUAGCUGAGGAUCCAACCAUUAAAGUGAAGUUGUUGAUGAGUUGGGUUUUCGAGAGAUUUGGAUAUAAGGUCAAGUACGGGAAGACAUGGAAGGCCAAACAGGUCGCUUUAGAAUGUUGUAUGGUGGAUGGGAAGAGGCGUACAACAUGCUACCCCGGUUGCUGGGCGCGAUGGACUAUAGAAACCCCGGAAUGUACCACUAUGUCCAAGAUAUUGAAGGAGUGUUCAGUCGUGCCUUUUGGACGUUUGGCCCAUGCAUUGCAGCUUUUGAGAAUUGUCGUCCGGUUUUGUCUAUAGAUGGAACAUUCCUGACUGUCAAAUACAAGGGCACACUAAUGAUAGCAAUGGCACAUGAUGCUAAUGAUCAGGUGUUGCCUGUGGCAUUUGCUUUGGUGUCAGUGGAGAACCAAGACAACUGGGAAUGGUUCAUGAGACUUGUGAGAAGCACGGUGAUUCCUCCCAAUAGGGAGGUAUGCAUCAUAUCUCUUCGACACCAAGGCAUAUUGAAGGUCGUGGAUGUUCACAUUCCAGGGCAUGCGAGACUUCACCAUCGAUGGUGCAUGAGGCACUUCGUUGCAAACUUUUACAGGGCUUGUAAGAACAAAGAUCUGGCGAAGGAUCUUAACUCUGCAUGUGUGGCCUUCUCCGUUGAGUCGUUCACGAAACGAUUGAACAAAAUAUAUGAGAAGGCAAAUGAAGGUGGAAAAGAAUUCCUACAAAGGAAUAUAGAUGAGAGACAUAAGUGGUCACGGGCACGUGACAAAGGAGGCAUGAGAUAUGGCGACAUGACAAGCAAUCUUGUUGAGUGCUUCAACUUUGUCUUGAAGGGGGCAUGUCAGUUGCCGGUCACGGCAAUAGCUGAAUAUACCUUUUACAAGCUCAAUGAGUAUUUUUUGAAGCACUCCGAAGAAAUUGACAAGUUGGUUGGUGAGAGUGAGAAGCCUCCCAAUGAUAUCUAUCCGAAGAAGGUUGCCGAGUGGCUAGAGUUUCAAAAAGAGAAGUCAGCCAUGCAGCGACCACUUGUUUCGAUAACGCUGAAAUGAAAUACCAAGUGGAUGAGCCAGGCGGUACAACGAGAGAUGGGCAAUCAUAUGGUGGUCGCUCAUUUAUGGUUUCCCUUCGGACGCGGCAUUGCACUUGUGAGCGGCCUAGUAAGUACCACUGGACAUGCUCGCACAUGAUGACGGCAUGUCGCAUGAGGAAUUUGCCCUUCUCUGAUGGUGUAGUUGUGAGGUUGCAUGAAUUCAACUUGCAAACUCAUCAGUUAACAUGGGCGUCGAGAUUCCACCCUUUUCUUGACCCAUCACAGUGGCCAGAGCACACGGCCCUAAUAUUAGGCCGGAUCCAGAGAUGAUGGUUCAACCGAAGGGUAGAAGGAGAACAAAACGAUACAGGAAUGAUAUGGAUGACCUGAUGAGCACCAGACAGUUUGGUAGUGGACAUUUCAUGGAGCCACGUGAUAGGAACCAAUGCGGUGAUUGCAAUGAAACGGCACAUAAUAAGAGGACUUGCAAAAGAAACAAUGCAUCUACUAGUGAUGUGGGGGGCAGAGGUGGUUCAAGUGCUGGCGGUGGUACACGUGGUGGUUCAAGUGGUGGCCUUGCUAUGGGCCGAGGAUCCGGCGGUGGUAGACGUGGUGGUUCAAGUGGUAGCCUUGCUAUGGGACGAGGAUCCGACGGUGGUAGACGUGGUGGCCUUGCUAUGGGACGAGGAUCCGGCGAUGGUAGACGUGGUGGCCUUCCUGUGGGCCGAGGAUCCGACAGUGGUGGUAGACGUGGUGGUUCAAGUACUCGUGGAGGUUUUAUGGGUAGAGGUUCGGGUGGUGGUAGAGGAAUGUUCGGUUACCUACGAGGACCAUUUCCGUAAGUUUACUACAUUUCAUUAUUAUUGUCAUGUUGUACAUUUUUUGUUGUCACAUAUUUGACUUAUUUAUCAUGUUGUUUUUCAUGCUCCUUUGUAUGUUAUUGUACUAACUGUGAGCCUUGAUGUUUUUAUGUAGGUAUGGCGGCGUCUCAACCCAACAAGGGGAAAAUGGAGUGGGGCAGAGAAGGAUGCAGCCAGUGAGGAGCAACGGUUGAUGGAGAGGGCUGCAAAGAAGUUGAGAGAGCAGGACGCAGCCGAAGCAAAGAAGAUGGAGAGGGAGCGCCAGUACGAAGAGAAUGAAGCAAAGAGGAAGGAGGACCUCAAUAUGUUCCUUGAGCAUCGUGCUUAUGAUAAAAAGAUGAAGGAGCAUCACAAGAAGGUGAUGGAGCAACAUCACAAAGAAUGGGCAGCUAAAUUUAAGAUUGCUAUGGCAGAGGGUGCAACAAAGAGAGAGCAGGAGAAUGAACUCUUCAUGGAGAGGGUGCUGGAAGAGGCUUCAAAAUGCGCAAAAGGGAAGACGAAGAGGAAGAAGAGAGGAAGAAGAAAAAGGGGAAGCGGCCUUGCUCGACACAAUAGAGCCGGAGGCUUCUAUUCUCAUGCGCGCUUUCAUGUUUGAACCCUAUGUGUUGAACCUUGUUCGCUUGCGCGCUAUCUGACUAUGAAAUCCACUAUUAUGUACUUUAAGAACCCUAUGUGUUGAACCUUGUUUGCUUGUGAUGUUUGUACUUUAUAUGGGCUAUGUGAUGUGUGUAUUCUUUGUUCUUAGUUGCAUAUGUGAUCUGUAUGUUGUCUGUGUGAAGGUGCUAAAUGUGGUCUGUAUGUUGUCUGUGUGAAGAUGCUAAAUUUGCAAAAUCAUGUAUGUGAAACGCCAGCCCUAGUGGCGUUUCAGCCUGUCCCUGCAACGCCAGCCUUAGUGGCAGCGUUGGCAUCCUGCAUAGAAACGCCAGUUGUUAUGGCAUUGCAGCCUCUACAAGAAAUGCCAGCCUCAAUAGCGUUCCCUUAGUCCAGUACCACACUUUCCAUGUCUUCUGCAGCGUUGGCAUCCUGCAUAGAAACACCAGCUAUGAUGGCGUUGCAGCCUCUACAAGAAACGCCAGCCUCUGUGGCAUUCCCUUAGUCCAGUACCACUAUUUCCAUGUCUUCGGCAGCGUUGGCAUCCUGCAUAGAAACGCCAGCUAUGAUGGUGUUGCAGCCUCUACAAGAAACGCUAGCCUCUGUGGCGUUCCCUUAGUCCAGUACCACUAUUUCCAUGUCUUCGGCAGCCAUGAAUACUUCAAACUUCAAACUUCAAAACCCAAGUUAGAAUGACAUGACAAGUUGAUACUUCAAACUUCAUAACCCAAGUUAGCAUGACAAGACAAGUUGAUACUUCAAACUUCAUAACCCAAGUUCUUAAUUCAAACAUCAAAGUACUUAAAAUUCCAUAAGCCAAGUUGAUACUUCAAACUACUUAAAACUACAUAACCUAAGUUCCUACUUCAAACUUCAAAGUACAUAAAACUCCAUAAGACAAGUUCAAUACUAGCAUGACAUGACACUAAUAGUUCAUAACCAUCUUGCCCUUAGUGACGUAGCCCUCUGGAGUAUUCUGCCAACCAGGACGUCGGACGUUCCUUGAGCUAGCUCGACGCGUUUCUUCCGUCGCCUGAGUGGGUUGACUUGGCUGCGGAGCAUCUUCCAUCUACGAAUCCCCAAACUCGAUGAAGUCCGGAUCCGCGGCCUCGUUGUCUGACUCCUCUUCUUCUUCAAACUCCUCAACAUGUGCUCGGCUAGAAGAAGCACGUGCUCGACUCGAAGACGGACGAGCGGAAGAGGCCCGUGGACGGCUGGCACACGGACGAGCGGAAGACUGCACAUCCAUCGUGUACUGCGCACGUGCCCUCACAUCGUUGGACGAAACACCAUGGCAAGAAAGUAAAGCCGCUAGUGUGCGACACCGAUUGGUGACCUUCUGCGCAAGGAAAACAUAAUGACAUGUUAAUAUGCUAACAAAGCUACGACAACUAAAACAAAGGUUAACAAGGCAUCUAACCUGUAGAGUAGUUCUAACAAACUCGUCUGUUUGUGAAGAUGGGGCACGGCCAAGGGCCACGUUACUAUCGUUGAUACAUCUCCAUAGCUCCGUGCCCUGGAUAAAACAUAUGUGACAUACCACCCACGAAUAAAUGACACUUGUUCAUAUUUUAAAGAAUAAACAUACCACUCGGUCAUGAAGAGGGCCAUAGUCAAGAUGCGCUCCAACUGUCUCCCUAAUAGAAUUGUUGAAUGCAGCAUCAGCAGCCUCACUCGGCAGUAAGUCCAAACAAUCGGAACGAGUCCAGGCUGCCUUAUGGAUAACUCUAUACUCUGUAUGCAUCCACUCCAAAUGCCUUAAAUAUGCCGCCUCGUCAGUGUCGGGUGUUUGAUCAUUUUCAACUCGAGCAUGUUCGUGAGCAUUCCACAUGGCCACCCAAAUCAUGUGGUGCUCCUCCCAAUUGAUGACACUCUUACUGGUUUGAUGGUUUGUCCUACAAAGCAAUAGUUCAGUACUACAUCAGUUCCAUUUUUUCGUGUUAGACAUUGAUCAACAGGAUAAACACGUGAUACAAAAUACUCACUUGUAUAGUUGCACACUUGUCUCGACGUAAUCCGGCGGGGUGCGUUGUUGUACCCCGAACUGCUUUGAAACAUGAUGAGGAAGAUGUCACUCCACCGCAAAGAAGCAUAUCAUGGGGCACCACACACGCCAAAGAUGCUAGUCACGAAGGCACAUGUUGCUCAGAGGAAACUGCCUAAGUACCGUGUACAGCCUCCAAUUCACCUACAUAACGACAAUUCACUCGACCAUCCAUGAAAAAUUUCCAGACAAUUUGCGAAAGCAUUUACCUGUUCAUAAUUCAACAUGUCUAGCUCGCUUAUGUAUGCCAUAUACCGCCCCAUAGCUGCAAUACUGGUCCAUUGGACAUUAGCCCAUCUGUGUGUGAUAGUGGGGUACCGCUCCUCAUCUCCGUCAAACGGGUACAUCCAAUGUUCUUCCAGAGGAAGGCUGAGGUUACAACCAACACGCAUACGCUCCCACAUCCAAACCUGUAGGGCCCAAACAAAACCUCCAAGAGUGGACGUCGGCUUACUCCUCAUACAUGCUCCAUCCAACUACAAAUUUAAUAAAAUGAAAAUGCAUCAUAUACCCAUUUAAUAUAAUGAAAAUGCAUCAUAUACCCAUUGAAUAAAACAAAAAUGCAUGAUUAAACCGUACCUGAUGGUACAAGAAGGCUAGUGCUGCCGAACCCCAACUCCACUUAACAUCCCACUCACGAAGAGGAUCCAAAAACAUCCACGAGGUUGUGUCCCUCGUGCCAUCCGAAAACACCACUUGGGUCAAAAGAUUCUAGAGGUAAGCCCUAGCGAACCUCUCCACAACAAGCGGACUAGCAUCCCUUGGGCACUUGCGAAAAUAUCUCUGUAUCCAAGAGAACAACACACCGGAUGGCCUAGGAUCCUUCGAGGCUUCAUUAGUCCAUGGCUCGGGUUCAACACCAACCAAUGCUUGAUGACCCACAAGUAUAGGGGAUCAAUCGUAGUCCUUCCGAUAAGUAAUAGUGUCGAACCCAACAAGGAGGAGAAGGCUCUCAUAAACGGAUUUCAGCAAGGUAAUAACUGCAAGCACUGAAAGUAGCGGUAACAAGUGAUGGUGUAGCGAGGUGAAACGUAGCAAGCGAAAAGUAACAAGUAACAAGUAGUAGCAACGGUGCAGCAAGUGGCCCAAUCCCUUUUGUAGCAAGGGACAAGCCUGAACAAAGUCUUAUAGGAGGAAAAGCGCUCCCAAGGACACACGGGAAUUUCUGUCAUGCUAGUUUCAUCAUGUUCAUAUGAUUCGCGUUCGUUACUUUGACAGUUUGAUAUGUGGGUGGACCGGCGCUUGGGUACUGCCCUUAAUUGGACAAGCAUCCCACUUAUGAUUAACCUCUCUUGCAAGCAUCCGCAACUACAAAAGAAGAAUUAAGACAAAUUCUAACCAUAGCAUUAAACUAGUGGAUGCAAAUCAGCCCCUCACGAAGCAACGCAUAGACUCGGGUUUAAGCUUCUGUCACUCCAGCAACCCAUCAUCUACUACUACUCCCCAAUGCCUUCCUCUAGGCCCAAAUAUGGUGAAGUGUUAUGUAGUCGACAUUCACAUAACACCACUAGAGGAAAAGACAACAUACAGCAUAUCAAAAUACCGAACGAAUAUCAAAUUCACAUGACUAUUAUCAGCAUGACUUAUCCCAUCUCCUCGGGAACAAAAGUAACUACUCACAAAGCAUAAUCAUAAUCAUGAUCAGAGGUGUAAUGAAUAGCAUCAAGGAUCUGAACAUAAACUCUUCCACCAAGUAAUCCAACUAGCAUCAACUACAAAGAGUAAUCAACACUACUAGUAACCUUACAAGUACCAAUCGGAGUCGUGAGACAGAGAUUGGUUACAAGAGAUGAACUAGGGAUUGGAGAGGAGAUGGUGCUGAUGAAGAUGUUGAUGAAGAUGCCUCCCCUCCGACGAGAGGAGUGUUGGUGAUGACGAUGGCGACGAUUUCCCCCUCCGGGAGGGAAGUUUCCCCGGCAGGAUCGUCCUAUCGGAGCUCUAGAUUGGAUCUGCUCAAGUUCCGCCUCGUGGCGGCGGCGAAACCACGAAAAAGCUCCCGAAUGGUUUUUUCUGGACCAAAACCCUUCAUAUAGCAAAAGAGGGGGGCUAGUGGGCCAUCAGGGAGCCCACAAGCCCCCACUCCGCCACCAGGGGGUGGUGGCGGUGGCAGGGCUUGUGGAGCCCUGGUGGCCCCCUCCGGUAGUUCUUUCGCCCAGUAUUUUUUAUAUAAUCCCAAAAAAAUCCACGUAACUUUUCAGGGCAUUUGGAGAUGUGCAGAAUAGUGGACUAAGAUUUGCUCCUUUUCCAGUCCAGAAUUCCAGCUGCCUGAAUUCUCCCUCUUCAAAUAAACCUUGCAAAAUAAGAGAAAAAAGGCAUAAAUAUGGUACCACAAAGUAAUAUAACAGCCCAUAAAGCAAUAAAUAUCAACAUGAAAGCAUGAUGCAAAAUGGACGUAUCAACUCCCCCAAGCUUAGACCUCGCUUGUCCUCAAGCGAAAACCAAGUUCCAUAAACAUGCCCACAUGUUUGGGGACGAAGGUGUCGAUAAAACAUAAUACGAACAUGAGGGCAUCAUGAUCACACAUAGAACAACAAUAGAUGAUAAAGAUUCUUAUGGGAAAGUAAUAAUUCCUUCACAAAGCAAAGCAUGAAGCAAUAACCUUACCGAGAAGUAACCAACAAUAAUCCAUAGUCACUGAAGCAAUUGCAAUUUAUCACAACAUCAGAAAGAGUCAAAUAAGAGCUUGUUAGGCAAAUCCACAUACUCAAUCAUCUCUUUUGUUUUCCACAAUUGUUACAACUCACGUGGUACUCAUGGUGUCGAAGUUUCAGCUGGACACAGAGGAAGAUAGGGGCUUAUAGUUUUGCCUCCUAACGGUUUACCUCAAGGGUAAAGUCAACAAUAAUAAAGCAUGAGUACUCAACUCCAAGUUGAUAUAUGAAUAUAGAUCUUUCCCAAACAUGUGACGGUAGCCAAGACAAAGGCAAAAAUAGGGAAUUGGUGAAGAUCACCAUGACUCUUACAAGGGCAAAAAGUAAAGGUACAAGAUAGGCCCUUCGUAGAGGGAAACAGAGGUUGUCAUGCGCUUUUGAGGUUUGAAUGCGUGUCCUCUUAGUGCGGAGGAACGUCACUUUAUAUUGCCUCCCGUGAUAAAGAACUUCAUUAUGCAGUCUGUUGCUUUUAUGCCUUCCUCAUCACAGGUUCGUACAAAGCUUAUUUUCCACACACUAAUAGAUCAUACAUAUUAGAGAGCAAUUUUUAUUGCUUGCACCGAUGACAACUUACUUGAAGGAUCUUAUUCAAUCCAUAGGUAGGUAUGGUGGACUCUAAUGGCAAAACUGGGUUGAAGGUUUAUGGAUGCACAAGCAGUAUCUCUACUUGGUGCGGGAGUUUUGGCUAAUAUGAGGUGGAAGCAAUCGUCACAUGCUAAGGGAUCUCUAAUCAUAUAACAUUGUUUGGAACCAAGCAAACACAAUUCAUUAUGUUGUCUUCCUUGUCCAACAUCUACUCCUAAGCAUGUAAUAGUUUGGUGAGUGCUCACAAUUGUAAAAAGUGUCUAAGAUGAUAUAUUUAUAUGUGAACCUCUCUUUCCUUAUUACUUCUUAUUAAUUGCACCAAUGACUGAGGUCUAUGUUGAUUUAUUCUCAACAAGUUUCAAUCAUCAUACGUGUCAUAUGUGAAGCUAUCACUUUUCAUAAGAUCGUCUCAUGAUCUUUCAUGCUAUCGUUCUUUUCAUACUAUUGAUCAUGGCACAAAGCAAAGACCUUGACUAAGAUACUCUUUAUUAUAUAGCUCGCAAGCUCGAAUACAACGAGGGAGAGAGACAAAAGCAAAAGACUCAAACUAAACACUAAAGACUUAUUCCUCUAAGAGAAGAAAUAAAAACUGAAACGGAAAGAACUAAAACAAAGGUAAAAGCAAAAGAUAUAAAGGUGAUACGAUACCAGGGCAACUCCCCCAAGCUUGGCAGAAGCCAAGAGGAUUGCCCAUACCAAUGCUUAGUUGUCUUCCUUUGGUGGUGAUGGUGGUGUUGUUGGAGUAGUCUGAUCCUCCGUCUUCCAAGGCAUAGGUGCUCCAUCAUGGCAGGAUGAACGAGUCGCCAGAAUCCUCAAAUCUGCAGCCAAACUUAUUGAUUUAAAUAUGUACUCAUACUCACAAUUUUGAUUCUACAGGUCAUAGAUCUGGCCUUGAAGUUGAUCAACCCUGUCAUAGAGCCUGGAGAGGUGUUUCCCAAUAUCAAUGGCAUCCAUCUUGUGAUUGCUAGUGAACUCCGUGAUCAUCAUGUGGUUGGCGUUGAGUCCACGCUCCACCAUCUAUUGGCACUUGAAGACUUGUUGAUCCAUUGCUUCGAGCCUCGUCUCCAUGCUUCCGGUCUUCUUAGGCCCCUCAACAUCACAGAUGUGCAACAUCCCCUUGCUCAACUUGAUAGAUUGAGGGUGUUUCAGCACUUCCGUGAGGUAGGGAUUGAUGACCUUCUCAAAGAUCUUGUCCUUAGGAGCGUUUGGGGAAGUCAUGAUGAUCUAGAUCUGUCACGGAAACAGGCUCGAAACAAAAACAGAGGAAAACUGUGAGAUACGGAGAUCAAAACCUUCGGGCGAGUAUAUAUUGAUUUUUUUUCUGGACCAGAAGGAGUGCUCCGCAAGAAAACGGAGUCCGGGAGGCACACGAGGUGCCCACAAGCUUGCCCUCCGCCACCAGGGGGGUAGGGGUGGUGGCAGGGCUUGUGGCCGCCUCGUGCGCUCUCCGGAGUGCUUUUCAUUUUUCUAAUUUUCCAAAAAUUCCAAAACGGGGGGAAUUUCCUAUUGGAAAAGCAUCGGAGUCCAAUUUCUUACCGAAACAGAUACAUCUUCGUUUUCAGGGUCUCAAACAGGCUGAUAAACAUCCCUUAUGUACUCCUCUGGAGUUAUGACAUUGAUGAUAUUGGUCUCAACAUUUAUGGGAGUACCAGAGAUGUAAUGCUUGAUUCUUUGCCCAUUAACCACUCUAGGAAAAUUUCCUUCCGUGUUAUUGAUUUUAAUGGCACCCGAACGAUAUACUUCCUCGAUAACAUAGGGACCUUCCCAUUUAGAGAGAAGCUUGCCUGCAAAGAAUCUCAAACGAGAAUUGUAUAGCAAGACAUAAUCACCUACAUUGAACUCUCGUUUCUGUAUUCGUUUGUCGUGCCAUCUCUUAACCUUUUCCUUGAACAACUUGGCGUUCUCAUAUGCCUGGCCCCUCCAUUCAUCUAAUGAGCUGAUAUCAAAUAACCGCUUCUCACCGGCAAUUUUGAAAUCGAAGUUGAGCUCUUCGAUUGCCCAAUAAGCUUUAUGUUCCGGCUCAAGAGGUAAAUGACAGGCCUUACCGUAAACCAUUUUAUACGGCGACAUGCCCAUGGGAUUCUUAUAAGCAGUCCUAUAAGCCCAUAGUGCAUCGUCAAGUUUGCUAGACCAGUUCUUUCGAGAUCUAUUGACGGUCUUUUGUAGGAUCAACUUGAUCUCCCUAUUACUCAACUCCACUUGACCACUAGACUGAGGAUGAUAAGGAGAUGCAACUCUAUGGUUGACAUCAUACUUAGCUAGCAUCUUGCGGAAAACACCAUGAAUGAAGUGUCAACCGCCAUCAGUCAUCAAGUAUCUAGGGACUCCAAAUCUUGGGAAUAUGACUUCUUGAAGCAUCUUAAUAGAGGUGUGGUGAUCAGCAUUUUUAGUGGUGAUAGCUUCUACCCACUUAGUAACGUAAUCCACAGCAACUAAGAUGUGAGUGUACCCAUUGGAACUCGAGAAGGGUCCCAUAUAAUCAAAGCCCCAGACAUCAAAUGGUUCAAUGACAAGUGAAUAGUUCAUUGGCAUUUCCCGACGCUUACUGAUAUUCCCUAUUCUUUGGCAUUCGUCACAAGACAAGACAAACUUACGGGCAUCCUUGAAGAGAGUGGGCCAAUAGAAACCUGAUUGCAAUACCUUAUGAGUAGUUCUAUCUCCAGCAUGGUGUCCUCCAUAGGCUUCGGAAUGACACUUCUGCAAGAUCUGUCCCUGUUCAUGUUCAGGCACACAACGUCUAAUAACACCAUCUACUCCUUCCUUAUAAAGGUGAGGAUCAUCCCAAAAGUAGUGUCUCAAAUCAAAGAAGAAUUUCUUCUUUUGCUGAUAGGUGAAACUGGGUGGUAUGUAUUUGGCUACAAUAUAGUUUGCAUAAUCGGCAUACCACGGUGCACUAUGUGAAGUGCGGAUGACAUUUAAUUGCUCAUCAGGAAAGCUGUCAUCAAUAGGUAGUGGGUCAUCAAGGACAUUCUCUAGCCUAGACAAGUUAUCUGCUACAGGGUUAUCAGCACCCUUUCGGUCAACGACGUGCAAAUCAAAUUUCUGUAGCAGGAGAACCCAUCUGAUCAGCCUAGGUUUAGCGUCCUUCUUCUCCAUAAGGUACUUAAUAGCAGCAUGGUCAGAGUGAAUAGUGACUUUGGAGUCAACUAUGUAAGAUCUGAACUUUUCACAUGCAAACACGACUGCUAAAAAUUCCUUCUCCGUAGUGGCGUAGUUUCUUUGGGCACUGUCUAGAGUUUUACUAGUGUAGUGAAUAACAUUCAACUUCUUGUCAACUCUUUGUCCUAGAACAGCACCAACAGCAUAAUCACUAGCAUCACACAUGAUUUCAAAGGGCAAGUUCCAGUCAGGUGGUUGAACAAUAGGUGCGGUUAUCAAAGCCUUCUUAAGUAUUUCAAAGGCUUCCUCACAAUCCUCAUCAAAAACAAAAGGAACAUCCAAUAGCAGCACGGUGCUUCCUCAGAGUUCUUAGUAACUUCUUCUCUUCGUGCUCUGAGAGGAGAGCACUAAUAAUGACAGGAUAUAUCUCCUUCUCAUCAAGAUAGGCAUACUUAAGAGUAUCAGGCAACUGUUUAAGCUCGAACACAGGAUCACCCUUUGGCGGGGGAGGAUCCCCAAGCAGUUCAACAGGCAGAUUAUUCUUGCGAAUAGGAUAUUGUUCUAAGAGAAUUUUAUCUAUCUCAUCUCUCUCCUCCAUAUGCAUAUCAUUUUCAUGCUCAAGCAGAUAUUGCUCUAAAGGAUCCGUAGGAGGUACGGCAAUAGAGGCAAGAGCAACAAUUUCAUCCCUUCCAGACGACUCUUUUUCAUGGGGUUGUCUUCCAAACUUAGAGAAUUUAAAUUCAUGAGACACACCCUCGAAACUAACUGUGACGGUCUGCUUAAUGCAAUCAAUGUGAGCAUUGACAGUGUUGAGAAAGGGUCUACCAAAUAUGAUGGGACAAAAGCUAUCUUGUGCAGUACCAAGGACGAGGAAAUCAGUAGGAUACUUCGUCUUACCACACAGGACUUCUACGUCUCUCACAAUUCCCUCAGGGCAGAUAAUGUCUCUAUUAGCUAGUGUAAUAGUGACAUCAAUGGGUUCUAACUCAGCAGGUGCAAUCUCAUCUUUGAUUUCAUCAUAUAGAGAACGGGUAUUGCACUAACACUAGCUCCCAUAUCACAUAAACCAUGGUAACAGUGAUCUCCUAUCUUGACAGAAACAACGGGCAGGCCAACUAUAGGUCCGUAUUUGUCUUCCGCGUGAGGUUUAGGAAUUCUAGCGGAGUCCUCACAGAAUUUGAUAACAUGCCCAUCUAUGUCUUCGGCUAAAAGAUAUUUGAUAAUAGCAACACUAGGUUCAACUCUAAUCUCCUCAGGGGGGUGCAAGUGGUCUAAUGUAACCCCUACGUGUCACGGUUGGAGCUUUAGAAUACUCCUUUAUCCUAGAAGGGUAUGGUGGUUUCUAAGUGUAAGCACAAGGAACAACAGGAUCACUAAAAGCAAUGACUUUCUCCUCAACUAGAUUGGUUUUGGCUAUGUUGCUUUCUAUAGGAGGAUGAUAUUUAAACCAUUUCUCUUUGGGAAGAUCAACAUGAGCAGCAAAAGAUUCACAUAGAGAAGCUACUAUCUCAGAGUCAAGUCCAUACUUAGCGCUAAAAUCUCUAAAAGUGUUUGUCUCAACAAAAUAUUUAACGCAAUCAAACUGGAAAUUCAUACCUGACACCUUACCUUCCUCCAGCUCCCAAUCUUCAGAGUUGCGUUUGAUUCUCUCCAAUAAAUUCCACUUGUGGUCAAUAUCCUUCUUCAUAAAAGAACUGGUACAAGAAGUGUCAAGCAUGGUACGAUCUUCAUGAGAAAGCCGAGCAUAAAAGUUUUGAGUGAUGAUUUCUCUCGAGAGCUCAUGAUUGGGGCAUGAAUAUAGCAUUGAUUUGAGCCUCCCCCAAGCUUGAGCUAUGCUUUCCCUGUCACGAGGCCAAAAGUUAUAAAUAAAGUUCCGAUCACGAUGUACUAAAUGCAUAGGAUAGAACUUUUGAUGAAAUUCCAAUUUCAACCGACUGUAGCCCCAUGAUCCAGUAUCAUCACAUAGCCUAUACCAUGUCGACGCCUUAUCCUUCAAAGAUAAAGGAAAGACUUUCUUCUUUACCUCAUCCUCGGGCAAACAUGAAAGCUUAAAUAAACCACAAACUUCGUCUACAUAGAUCAGAUGCAAGUCUGGAUGUGAAGAUCCAUCUCCUGUGAAAGGAUUAGCCAGCAGUUUCUCAAGCAUACCCGAAGGAAUUUCAUAAAAGAUAUUUUCAGUAGGUACCGCAGGUUGAGGAACAACUCCUCGUGCUUUCGUUCAUGGUGAAGAUACCCCGAACAAACUCCUCAAAGGAACAGUUUCAAUAGUGACAAGUGACAAUAAAUUUCAGCACAGUAUAUAAAUGUUUCCUUACCAAUUUCCACUUACCAAAGGCGCUUCACUCCCCGGCAACGGUGCCAGAAAAGAGUCUUGAUGACCCACAAGUAUAGGGGAUCAAUCGUAGUCCUUUCGAUAAGUAAGAGUGUCGAACCCAACGAGGAGCAGAAGGCUCUGAUAAACGGAUUUCAGCAAGGUAAUAACUGCAAGCACUGAAAGUAGCGGUAACAAGUGAUGGUGUAGCGAGGUGAAACGUAGCAAGCGAAAAGUAACAAGUAACAAGUAGUAGCAACGGUGCAGCAAGUGGCCCAAUCCCUUUUGUAGCAAGGGACAAGCCUGAACAAAGUCUUAUAGGAGGAAAAGCGCUCCCAAGGACACGCGGGAAUUUCUGUCAUGCUAGUUUCAUCAUGUUCAUAUGAUUCGCGUUCGUUACUUUGACAGUUUGAUAUGUGGGUGGACCGGCGCUUGGGUACUGCCCUUAAUUGGACAAGCAUCCCACUUAUGAUUAACCUCUCUUGCAAGCAUCCGCAACUACAAAAGAAGAAUUAAGACAAAUUCUAACCAUAGCAUUAAACUAGUGGAUGCAAAUCAGCCCCUCACGAAGCAACGCAUAGACUCGGGUUUAAGCUUCUGUCACUCCAGCAACCCAUCAUCUACUACUACUCCCCAAUGCCUUCCUCUAGGCCCAAAUAUGGUGAAGUGUUAUGUAGUCGACAUUCACAUAACACCACUAGAGGAAAAGACAACAUACAGCAUAUCAAAAUACCGAACGAAUAUCAAAUUCACAUGACUAUUAUCAGCAUGACUUAUCCCAUCUCCUCGGGAACAAAAGUAACUACUCACAAAGCAUAAUCAUAAUCAUGAUCAGAGGUGUAAUGAAUAGCAUCAAGGAUCUGAACAUAAACUCUUCCACCAAGUAAUCCAACUAGCAUCAACUACAAAGAGUAAUCAACACUACUAGUAACCUUACAAGUACCAAUCGGAGUCGUGAGACAGAGAUUGGUUACAAGAGAUGAACUAGGGAUUGGAGAGGAGAUGGUGCUGAUGAAGAUGUUGAUGAAGAUGCCUCCCCUCCGACGAGAGGAGUGUUGGUGAUGACGAUGGCGACGAUUUCCCCCUCCGGGAGGGAAGUUUCCCCGGCAGGAUCGUCCUAUCGGAGCUCUAGAUUGGAUCUGCUCAAGUUCCGCCUCGUGGCGGCGGCGAAACCACGAAAAAGCUCCCGAAUGGUUUUUUCUGGACCAAAACCCUUCAUAUAGCAAAAGAGGGGGGCUAGUGGGCCAUCAGGGAGCCCACAAGCCCCCACUCCGCCACCAGGGGGUGGUGGCGGUGGCAGGGCUUGUGGAGCCCUGGUGGCCCCCUCCGGUAGUUCUUUCGCCCAGUAUUUUUUAUAUAAUCCCAAAAAAAUCCACGUAACUUUUCAGGGCAUUUGGAGAUGUGCAGAAUAGUGGACUAAGAUUUGCUCCUUUUCCAGUCCAGAAUUCCAGCUGCCUGAAUUCUCCCUCUUCAAAUAAACCUUGCAAAAUAAGAGAAAAAAGGCAUAAAUAUGGUACCACAAAGUAAUAUAACAGCCCAUAAAGCAAUAAAUAUCAACAUGAAAGCAUGAUGCAAAAUGGGCGUAUCAAUGGUGCAACCCUUUGUCGCCAUCCAUCGGACCUAACCUUCCCUGUAAGAGCCCUGCCCUCGAUAGGAAGCCCGGUGAUCAUACCAAUAUCCUCUAGAGUUAUUGUCAUCUCACCAAGAGGAAGGUGAAAAGAGUGCGUCUCCGGCCUCCAACGGUCUGUAAGGGCGGUAAGUACCAUGGCGUUCAACCAUGGUGGUGUGCCUUUAAAGUUGAGCACAAACUGAAGAAGAUCCAUUCUUCUAAAAUAAGGCUCGUACCGAGGGUCAUAUAACAGAGAUUCAUUCGGGUUGUGCCCCCUCAAACAAAGUACUGGAGGAACCUAAACCAACAAUCGCAUAAUUUGUCACAAUAUGAAAAUCAUGGAAUAUAGAAAAAUAAUCAUCAAGACCAUCAUAAUUACUUCUCCUCUUUCAACUAGCACCGCACGAUGCUUCUGCUCGUAGAACUCAUCAAGUCCCGGAUAUUUAUCCGGCUGAAACAUCCUACAUAAUAUGAACAAAAUUCCUUUAGGCAUUAAACUAGUGUGAACUAAAUCUAGGCAUUAAACUAGUGUGCCAAAAAAGUUACGCAUUCACACUAAUAUGAACUAAAUCUAGGCAUUCACCUAGUGCCACUAAUAUGAACUAAAUCUAGGCAUUCACCUAGUGCCACUAAUAUGAACUAAAUCUAGGCAUUCACCUAGUGCCACUAAUAUGAACUAAAUCUAGGCAUUCACCUAGUGCCACUAAUAUGAACUAAAUCUAGGCAUUCACCUAGUGCCACUAAUAUGAACUAAAUCUAGGCAUUCACCUAGUGCCACUAAUAUGAACUAAACCUAGGCAUUCAUCUAGUGCCAAUAAUAUGAAGUACAACUAGGUUCACCUACAGCCACCAUAAACUACACCUAGAACCACCAUAAACUACACCUAUAAACCAUCACAAAAUAUAUUUUACUUCAAAACAUACGUUACACCUAGUGCAAAAAAGAUCUACACAAAUACAAAGUCAUUGCAAAAACUAAUUGGAGGGAUUGGAGGAGCUUACCGGCCUCUUCGAUUUGCCCCAAAGAACCAACAAAACGGUUGAGGGAGGAGGGAGAUCGAAGGGGGGAUCUGGAGGCCGAGGGUAUCUUUUUUCGUCAAAGAAACGAACCCGAGAAGAGGAGAAAGGGGGUUGGUGGCCGACGGGGUCGGGCUGGCAAAUUAUAAAGCCAAGAAACGCCAGGGUGCAUGGCGUUUCAUCUCAGACCCGCAAUGCCACAAUGGCUGGCGUUUCACACGACUAGAAACGCCACAGUGGACAUGCGUUUUGUGCAUGGCCAGAAACGCCACAAUAGAGUGGCGUUUCUCCAUAGGGCUGCAACGCCACGGUCUAUGGCGUUUCAAAAGGGUCAAAACGUGAAAUUGUUUCCAAACGAGUUCGUUCCGUGAUUAACUUACCCCCCUCGGGUCAAAACAGUGAAUUUUUUUUGGCACAUAAUGCCUCCCACCCCCUCUUUCUACUAAAUACCUAGGGUUUGGCCCUCCUCGUGCUUCCUCAUGCUCCUUUCAUCCCCUCCCAUCCUGGCUGGUGGCUAGUCGUGUUCUCACUGGUGCCAGUCUCCACACUACACCUGCAAGAUCUAGUUGCUCCGUCAUUCUGGUCGCUUGCCUCGACCCCACCCCCCUUGGACACUCCCCAUCCUCUCCCAUGGGAUGCUCCCCAGUUUCUUCAUCAAUGGCAUCACCAGCAGGCAAGGUACUACCAUCUUCCCCCCAUACAUUAGUGGAGAAUCCAGCAUUCAUAUAUUAGUAGAUUAUGAAUUACAAUUUUGUAGAUGGAUGGACGGAACUGUUGGUUUUGGCUGUUAUUUGUAGUAUAUUAUGUAAUAUAUGUUAGCAAGUAUAUGGAUAAGUUUAAAUGUUUAAUUGCUCAUUUUGAAUUUUGAGAUUUUAUAUAUUUAGAUGUAUAAUGAUUAUUAAUUUUACCUCUUAUCUAUUUUCUAUAUGCCUACAAUAGAAUAUUUUGGUAUAUUACAAAGCUAGGUGCAUGGAAUUAUGGUAUAAUAAAUAAAAAAAUUAGAUAUAAGUUGGCAAGUUUCUGUUUAAUCUGCAAUCCAAGUGAAAGGAGCGCCAGCCGGGACUCUAUCAUUCUUCCCUCCAUCUUCUGCCUCCGGCUCUGGAGGUGACAUACCAAUAAGGGCCUCCAUUUGUUGUUGGCAUCCCUCAAAAUCAGUGCUCAUACAAAGAGGUUUCCCCUCGAUUGGAAGUGCAGUUAUCAUGAAAACAUCUUGAAGAUUCACGGUCAUCUCUCCGUCCGUAGGUGAAAACUAUGGGUCUCCAGCCUCCACCGAUCAGUAAAUGCAGUGAUUGCCGCAGCGUUCAGGUUGGGCAUUGACCGGCUCACAAGCUGAAUGAAUGGAAGGAGUCGUGUCAUCUCGAUGUAUGGUGUGUACUGCUCAUCAUACGACAUGACAGUCAAUGCCCCGUGAGACCGAAUCUUCAAGGGCAUAAGCUUCAGCAAACAUAGAGUGAUAUGAUUAUGGUUUGAUCUUUUCAAAUAAAUACAUGUUUUUUGAAGAUGAUAGUAUGUUGUAUUUACCAUCAGCAGCUCCGACAUCAAGUAGGCCCGGUGUUCAACGUCAUAGGCAUCAUUCAAAAGCCACACCAUCUCACAUAUUACAAAAAAAAUCAAGUAACUUCUCAUAUAUAUUCAUCUACUCAUAUAUGAAUAGUCAUCUACUCAUCUAAAUAUUACAAAAAACAACUAACUUCUCAUAUAGGAAUAAUCAUCCACUCAUCUACGAAUAGGAAUAGGAAUAGUCAUCUACUCAUCCUACUCAUAUAGGAAUAGUCAUCUACUCAUCUACAUAUAGGAAUAGGAAUAGUCAUCUACUCAUCCUACUCAUAUAGGAAUAGUCAUCUACUCAUCUACAUAUAGGAAUAGGAAUAGUCAUCUACUCAUCCUACUCAUAUAGAAAUAGUCAUCUACUCAUUUACAUAUUACAAAAAAAUACAACUAACUUCUCAUAUAGGAAUAAGCAUCUACUCAUCCACAUAUAGGAAUAUGAAUAGUCAUCUAGUCAUCCUACUCAUAUAGGAAUAGUCAUCUACUCAUCUACAUAUAGGAAUAGGAAUAGUCAUCUACUCAUCCUACUCAUAUAGGAAUAGUCAUCUACUCAUCUACAUAUAGAAAUAGGAAUAGUCAUCUACUCAUCCUACUCAUAUAGGAAUAGACAUCUACUCAUCUACAUAUAGGAAUAGGAAUAGUCAUCUACUCAUCCUACUCAUAUAGAAAUAGUCAUCUACUCAUUUACAUAUUACAAAAAAAUACAACUAACUUCUCAUAUAGGAAUAAGCAUCUACUCAUCCACAUAUAGGAAUAUGAAUAGUCAUCUAGUCAUCCUACUCAUAUAGGAAUAGUCAUCUACUCAUCUACAUAUAGGAAUAGGAAUAGUCAUCUACUCAUCCUACUCAUAUAGGAAUAGUCAUCUACUCAUCUACAUAUAGGAAUAUGAAUAGUCAUCUACUUAUCUACUCAUCUACGUAUUACAAAAAAUACAACUAACUUCAAAACCACACCAUCUACUCAUAUAGGAAUAGUCAUCUAUGGAUCGUACAUGAUCAUCUACUCAUCUACUUAUCUAGGAAUCAUAAAAUACAACUAACUUCUCAUAUAUAUUUCAAAUCCAAGCAAAACAUGGCUCUCAUCCAAACUAACACAAAUCUGAAAAAUUUACAAUAUUAUUUGGAUAGAAAGAUGGGAAAUAGAAAAGAUUACCUUCUAAACCAAUUUAGGGUAUAAAUCUACGAAAAAAGUCCACAGAUCUGAAGGAUUUAAAAUAGAUGCUUGAGAGGAGGAGAUGAGGCAGCCGUCGCCACGCUCUGUGAGGAAGAAAACGAGUGCGGUGGGGGUUGGGAGAGGGCCGUCCCGCGACUGGAUAAGUAAGGGUGUGGUGCCUAAGCCCUCGACGUCACACUGCCGUAAGUGCAACGACUGAGGCUUAGGCGUCACACUACUUGGUGCGGUGGGGUCGGACGUCGGGGUGGACAGGGAUGUGGCCUAGUCCGGCCUCGGCCAUGUGUAGGAGGAGCUGGCAUCUCUUGGACGCGAGCGCCGGGUCAAAUCGGGGCCUCGGCCGGCCGACCAGCGACGCCACCCGCGCACGCGGCUGAGACCCAGCCCGGCGUCGCGAUCACACGCACGAUCAUUCUGUCGCUUGCCGAUGGCCCUGCCACCCCAUGCAUGCAUGGGACGCGUGCUUGCUCGCGUACGUGACAAUCUGGCCUUUGCUUUGUCCGAUUACCCGUCCCUAACCAUCAUACUGUCACAGUUCAUACUUCAUACUGUCACAGUUCAUACUGUCACGCGGUGACCCAGACAAGCAAUCAUGGACAAUGGUUGGUCGUAUUUAUUUUAUGUUUACUGGGAGGACGUAGAAUUAGGUGCUGGCUGCGAUCAAGAGGGAGGGAACCAACAACAUUUGUAGAUCUUGGCAUACAUGAUGAUGAUGCUGGUCUCCAGCGAAUACAGCCAAUUAUUUGUCGUGUGUCAUGUGAGGCGCGCGCAUCACAUCACACCACGCCAGCUUCUUCUGCUAGCUGUGGAGGGAAGAAGAAUGUGGCGUAGAUGGUUUUGUUUAGCAGUUUAUAGGCUCUGCAUUGUCCCUUGCUCGGUACUGUUGCCCAUGGGACUUUCUAUUCCGGAAUACUUGCGGCUCCGUGCAUGCAUACAAUAGUUCGGACAGCGGACCUACUAUUUUUUGCACGAGCACUGAAUGACAGAAACACUUUAGCCUCGUGAAAAUGCAUGCGAUAGGGCGCCAAGGUUUCGUCAACUUGUCACACCAUGCACGCUCAUGGCAUGACGACCACAAAAGGCGUUGGAUCGGCCGGCGAAAGGCUCGGGCAAAGGUUUGCUCCUGGCUUGGACCGCAUGCUGGAUGAAACGGCCGCUUCCGCUCGCCGUCCGUUCGUUCGUCCCAUAAAGGUUUUUGCACAAAGCUGAGACACACCACCGGUUGCUGCUUGCCACCAUACCCUGCAACGGCAUCGCAAAGAUCGCCAGCAUCUGCAUCGGUAUCUGCAAAUAUUCUCUCGUGCUCUUCCGUCCAUCCAUUCAUCAGUCAUUUCAUUUCGCUGGACGGACGCAACGUGUUCCGGAGCUGAUCUGAAUGUAGAGGGCCUAUGAACAGAAGGAACCACAGUCCCAACAGCAGAUUGUGGGUUGUACGUACAAGUCUGAUGAUGGGAAGCACUCACUCGUCGGUGUCGAACUUGACCUGAAUCAAGACUCAACAGCUCGAGACAGAAGCAGCUUCAGCUGGCCUGAAGCCAUGGAGCCAUCGAAAACCACCAAAGGCUGGAAAAAAACACUCAAGUUACCCUUGACCGUAGCCUUUCUCUCGAACUCCGACGCUCUCAAAGAAAAGUUGAAGCAAGCUAGCUAGGGAGCUUUACCGAAAGGCUCUCCCUCGCCUGCUUUCGCAUCUCGUUGGGCCACUGCUGGAUUCCCCUAGGUUUCUGUAGCCACAACUCACAACUGAACAAAUGUUCAUAAAAAAACAGAGACAAAACAGUCAUGCCCAUUUGCCCAAAUUUGCCCAUAAGAAACACUCGUAAAACGCUGGCACGCAAAACUCUUUUACAUUUCGUGUAAAAACAGUUCUGCGAAUAUUCUAUUUUACGGGUUAACUACGAGGCAUCUGCUCGGCCGCAGUCCAUUUCGGCCCGUAAACAGAAAACCAUAAAUUAGCCAAUUUAAUGACGAUUCCAACGAUUGAGUUUAUGUUCAAAUAAUAAAAUAUAGUUCGCACGUAAAUAAAAGCAUACUCCCUCUGUUCCUAAAUAUAGGUCUUUUUAGAGAUUGUAUUAGUGGACUACAUACGAAGCAAAAUGAGUGAAUCUACGUUUUAAAAUAUGUCUAUGUACAUCCGUAUGUAGUCCUCUAAUGAAAUAUCUAAAACUAUUUAUAUUUAGAAACGGAGGGAGUAGUCUUCUACGACAAACGCAGAAGAACUUCAUGCAAAAGCAACAACCACGUCCAUCAUCAUCUUGGUCGCUUCUCAUCCGUCGUCAUGAUCUUCACUCCGCACCACCGCCAUCGAUGACAUCGCCGCGAACAAUGUCAUCACCGGUACUUGUUUCAACUGCGGCACGGAAAGCAUAGCAGGGCGCACUGAAAGCAUCUGCGACACUGGUUCCAACUCUUAAUGGGAAAACAUCACCGGCACCAAAACACCCACCGAUCGUCGCUACCAUCCUCUCUUCAAGAUGUCUCUCCUUGCCAUAUCAUGUCAUUCUUUGACGAUGUCGUCCAUGUCAUCGCGGUUCAAUGUCAUGAUCUUGUCGGAGGGGAUUGCGCGUGCGUGACAUCCACGAUGACAGGGAAGGUUGUGAGGCUUCCAUGGCGACGAAGAAUGACCGGGGAAGAUGAACCAGAGCGGACGAAGGCGGGGCAAUGGCAGCGAAGGGGGUGGGAAGCGGAAACAUCCGCGCGAAAAUUUCCCUCGUGCCAAAUCUCGCUACGGAUAGGGGGUGAGGUCGGAUUGGCCUCCCAUCCCAUAAAUCUAAAGGUUGAAGACGAACUAUUGUCACACCCCGUAAAUAUUUACAGGUCGCGGUCCUAUACAGGUCUGAUCGGACAACUUUUUUCACGUGGACCCGUAUUUUAUUGGUCAGGACAUUAUACAGGGUUGCUGUAGAUGUUCUAAGGCAGCCAAAAGUGAGCACACACGUCCCUUAUGAACUGUUGCCUCGUGUCAUGGGUGAUGACAAGCUUCCACAGCGUAUUGGUAGUAUAUACAUGAACCAGGUUUGUUUUUAGAAAAGAUAUGAACCAGGUUAAGGCAGUGACUGUGGCUUUGUCCGUGCCUUUUCGUGUGCUCCUUCCAUGCCCCAUACCACGGCACGCCAUGGCGCACUGCCAGGCGCCAAGCCCAUCGAUCUCCGGCACACGACGCAGGCACGCCCACCACGCACCGGGCAGAGGCGGACUGACACACCCCCACCGGCACGAGCGCUGGUGACCAGUGACACCGAAGCCUCUUUUGGUGCGGCGAGGGAGCAGCCGGCUCGCCGGGUACCUGGCGCUGCGUCGUGAUCUACCUACCACCACUGUAAACCUGCACCUCUCUCUGUAUCUCCGUCCCUCUACGCAAUAAAUGGCGGGUACGCCAGCGCCUCCGGCAUUCAUGGCCGGAGCACGCCUCCCCAUUUAUCACGGCCAGGUCAGGCGAUGAUGUCCUUGGACGAUUCAAACAUUUUCCCAAGGCAGCGGCGCGAGUUCUUCAAAGUUCAAAAACCUGCAGGCUUCGGUGUUCCUGGUCGCUUGACCUGUCUGACAGAGAGAGAUGGCUGGAUCAUAUGGUAAUGGCGGCAUGGACGUUGGUGUUAACGAAAAGAACAGUCUUUACCUGGUCUCGUGCCGCGAGAUUCCCUUCAUUCCUCUCGUUGUUAGCGCCUAAUCAGCCCGGCUCGCGCCCAGUUGGGCUAAUCUAAUGCCGCUUUUGGCUUGUCGCGUGAUCCGGACAGACGGGCCUCUGGAUCACUAGUAACUCUACAAAAUGAGCAACUCCGGACGAGUCAUCUCGUUGGGUAUAGCACACUGUAAAAAUCUCGGCGUUCCUACUGAAUUCCCGGGAAACUGAUGCGUUUGGAAACUGCUUCAGUUUUAUGUGAGGUGGUUGGCAGGGCCAGGUCGAGGCAUACCGAACACGUGAACGGCCCUAGCACUCUACGUGAGCUUCACUCUUGCUGUGACCGAUCCUGAUGGCGAUUAUACCAAAAAAGAAAGAGUAUUUUUAAGUCAGUAGGGUGGACGGCAGUCGAGUCUUGCAGAGAGGGGUUGCUGAAACUGUAGUUUAGGAGAAAGCCAGCACUGUUGGUUGAAUAAACAAAUUAACAAAGCGGGGUGGGGUGAUGGAGGAUACGUGCUUUUGAGGCAAGCUGAGCAGGAGAGCAGGGUGGCGGUGGCACUCGCUCAAAGAAAACAAAAUUCGCCAUCCUGCCUCCUUCUCCCUCCGUCCUCACUCCUAAAAUCGGAAUCAUUUAACUCCGCACCUAAUACAGACGCCAGAAUACCAGGGGUACGCCAUUAUUGCGACCGAGCAAGCUCCCCGUUCUCCUGCUCCUUGUACGCGAGCCGAGCCGAGCCGAGCCGAGCAUCCAUCCAUCACUCCCCAAAUGCCUUAGCAGAGAGUGGCUUCGAGGAUUGUCGCCAUGAUGCAGGGGAGCAGGAAAGCCNNNNNNNNNNNNNNNNNNNNNNNNNNNNNNNNNNNNNNNNNNNNNNNNNNNNNNNNNAAGAGGGAGGAUCAGCAGCAGCACAGCCCCAAGGGCCAAGCAUGGCAAGCGACUGAUCCUCCUUGUCGUCUCUUCCGCCGGGCGAUUGCAUUUGGCGUUCCCUGAUCUUCAAUUUUUGUUUGUGCUUGUGCUCGGCAGGUUCUGCACCACGGGGCUCCCCAGCGACGUCGUGAUCGAGGUGGGCGACAUGACCUUCCAUCUCCACAAGGUUGGUGCUGAUUCUUGUCUCUACUCUGCCAUGAAAUUCCCGCUUUUCCCCAUCCCUCGUCCUGGUGGAAACAGUUCCAGUAACUCGCAUUUUUGUUUGUCUUGCUCACCGUCCGCUGCCAAUCUUGCACUGUCACUGUCUCGAGCUUGGGAUUUCACCGCGGUUCUUGAUCUUGAGACUAAACUGACCUGCGGCUGAGGUUUCGUUUGAUGCCUUGCUUGCAGUUCCCGCUAAUGUCCAAGAGCAAGAAGAUCCACGACCUGAUUAUGAACAAGGAAUCGAGCCUGGCGAGGCAGGCGGGGGGGGGGGGGGAUGAGGAGGAGGAAGAUGGGGCAGGGGAGAUCAGGGAGGAGGAGGUGGUGCUGGAGGCAGACGAGGAGGCCGACGCGCACCGCAUCCGCCUCCCGGACUUCCCCGGCGGCGCCGAGGCGUUCGAGCUGGCCGCCAAGUUCUGCUACGGCGUCAAGCUCGACCUCACGCCGGCCACCGCCGCGCCGCUCCGCUGCGCCGCCGAGCGCCUCGGCAUGUCCGACGACCACGCCGAGGACAACCUCGUCUCCCGCGCCGACCGCUUCAUGUCGCACACCGUGCUCAGGAACCCCAGGGACGCCAUCCGCGCGCUCAGGUCCUGCGAGGGUCUUCUCCCCCUCGCCGACGACCUCGGCCUGGUGUCCCGCUGCGUGGACGCCAUUGCGGCCAAGGCCGCCGCGUCCACGCCCACCGCGCUCUUCGGCUGGCCCAUCAACGACGCGGGAGCCGGCGACCGCCCCCGCCACAAGAAAAAUGCCGGCGCCGGGGCCACGUCCACGCUGUUCGACGACCUCGCCGGCUUGUCCCUGUCCACGUUCACCCGUGUCAUUGCCGCCAUGAGGGAGCGGGGCGUCGGCCCUGAGGUCCUGGAGGGGGCUCUCAUCGCCUACGCCAAGCGGUCGAUCCCUGGGCUUUCACGCUCUGACCGGCACGCCGGCGGUGGUGCCGCCGCCGCGGCUGCCGCGCCACGGUCGGCGGACGGCGACCAGAAGGCGCUACUCGAGACCGUCAUUGUCAACCUCCCGGAGGAGACCAUCAAGAGCAGUGCCCACACCGGCACGGCAGUGGGCGCCACCACCGCGCGCGUCCUGUUCGGCCUGCUGCGCACGGCAAACAUUCUGCAGGCAUCAGAGGCUUCCCGUGACAUGCUGGAGCGGCGCGUGGCCUCCAGGUUGCCCGACGCGGCCGUCGACGACCUGCUCAUCCCGAGCUACUCGUACCUCGUGGAGACGCUCUACGACGUGGACUGUGUGGAGCGCAUCGUGCGGCACUUCCUCGAGGGCCGAGGCGGCGGUGUCGAGGAGGUCGACGAGGAGUGCAGCGAGGCGGAGACGCCGGGCAGAGAGGCUAGCAGACGAGCCAUGCUGGCCGUGGGCAGGCUGAUGGACGCCUACCUUGGGGAGAUCGCCACGGACGCCAACCUGAAGACAGACAAGUUCUGCGACCUCGCAUGGGCAUUGCCGGACGGCGCCCGCGUCUACGACGACGGCCUUUACCGUGCCGUCGACAUCUACAUCAAGGUUUCUGCCGAGCACAUUUCGAAUGCCAUCUUGAUCGAUGCUUGCGGCGCAAUGCCGGUGCUCAGAAGCCGCUGCUGUUCUUUGUGCAGGCACAUCCAGCGCUGAGGGAAGAGGAGAAGGAGAAGGUGAGCGGCGUGGUGGACGGGCGCAAGCUGACGCUGGAGGCGUGCACGCAUGCCGCGCAGAACGAGCGUCUGCCGCUGCGGACGGUGGUGCAGGUGCUCUUCUUCGAGCAGCUCCAGCUGCGCCGGGCCAUCGCCCGGACGAUGGUGGCGAAUGAAGGCGGUGCAGCAGUCCAAGGAGAGGAAGAAGGCGACAGCGAUGGUGGUCGGACAUGGCGGGUGGCGACCAGGGGAAACCAAAUGCUCAGGCUGGACAUGGACAGCAUGCGGAACCGGGUGCAGGAGCUAGAGCGGGAGUGCACCACCAUGAGGAAAGCCAUUCAGAAGAUAGACCGCCGAGGCGGCGCCGCUGGGGAUAGGGGCGCGGCACCGGCUGCGGAGGGCAGGUGGGGUUCAAUGGUGACCAAGAGGUUCGGAUGCAAGUUCCCGGCGCAGGUCUGCCAGUCACAGCCGCGGUCGGUGGUGGCGCGGCCUCGCCGGGCACGGAUUGAGCAGAGCCCCUGAUACCUCCUCCUUCCCCACUGCACAUGAUAGCUUUCCUCAGCUUCCCUGUUUUGUUCUCUUGAUUCUUUGCUUCGAUUUGUGAAAAUACGAGGGGUUUUCCUAGGAGGAAUUGUGAGCUUCAUCAUGUUUGAUCGAUCAAAUUUCGCUGUAGCAGUGCACAAUCGUUCCAUGUGUCAUCUAUAGCUGGCUAAUGCAUCAUGUCACAUUUUGGCUAAACAAAUUGCCUCAUUGUUCUCACCACUUAUACAAGACAAAAAGCCUUUGCCAAAAUUAACAGGAUUCGUCGAGACACUAAACUAGAGUAAGAGAGAAAUGGAUGCCAAUGGCAGGCUGUCUCACCAGUAGUCCCCGCAGGAGCAGGCGCCGUCCUUGAAAUGGUGGAACCGCUUGUUGUCCCUGACGAUGAUCUCGCGGCCGGUCACCUUGGCGAUGAGCUUGACGGCGCUGUGGCAGUCCCCACAGAUGCGGAGGUUCUUCAUGACCCGCAGCGGUGUGCCGGGCGGCGUGCUCACCAGCCCGAACGCGAUGGCCAGGCGCUCGCUGUGGUACAUGAGCGCGCGCUCCUUGGCGGCCUCGUCAAUGUCGUGCAGCACGAAUCGGGUGUCCGGCACGUACCCCGCCGCGCGUAUCUGCUCAUGCAGCUCGCGCACCUUCUCGUACGCCUCCUUCCGCUUCGCCUGCGCCGCGUCCGCGGGCUUCCCCGGUGCCGGCCUCGACGCUCCCUCGAGGACGCGCCGCGCGUCGGCGGGUGCGCCGAGCUUGCAGUACAGAGUGGCGAUCCUGAGCACGAUGGGCGUGGCGAUCCCGGAGUGCCGGGACGUGGACUUGGAGAGCAGGCGAUGGCCUCGUCUGAGGGAGGCCAGCGAGAGCGCGUCGACGUAGCACUGGAGGACCGCGGCCUGCUCUUCGGGCGCGAGUUGGCCUGACGCGCCGGUGCCGCCUCUCCGACUAAGCAUUUCGUCGAGCAGGUUAACUGCCCCCUCGAGGUCGGGUUCUUGGCAGACCCUCCGGAGCUGGUCGCGGUCCAGGCGGCACUUAGUGCUACUGGUCGAUACGAUAUCCGCAAUAGAAGCGGCGUCGGCGGUCGCGUAGCGGAGCAGCGGGCGGCUACGAACGCGGCUGUAGCAGCGGGUCUUCGACGUCGUUGCGGCCGGUUGGAGAAGGCCUCCUAGAGUAGCACGGUCGCCGAGGAUGGCGGAGGUGAGUAAGGGGGAUGGGUGAGACGCCGCCGGUGCCGCGAGUCCUGGGGAUAAUAGCAUAUCUGCCGGCGACGCGGGUAAGAGGAGGAACUGGGGGAGUGCCUGGUAUGCGAGGUAACCGAAUGCAGAGUGCGAGGGAGGACGACGAAGAGGUCACGGUUUGUGGACGAGAUGUCAAUUCGUGUUGGGCCGGUAAGCUUAAGCCCAUACAUACAUAGGCUUUUAUAGUUUUAAGCUACACAGGAGGCAAGUCCUUCCCCACAUGCUAUUUAGCGCUUCAGGCGGUAGUUAUAGUUCAUUUCGCAAACUAGUGCAUUUUGCUCAAGAAAUAAAAAAAGCAAACUAGCGCACAGUAGUCGUACGUAAUGCGCUGCCCAUGUACAGAGUUGCUUCUUUGUCUUUUCAAACAUGUCACAGGAAGAUUCAUGAAAUUUCCAACAGUUCUUGGGAGCUUCUAAAAGUUAUGAAUGGUUUUUAUCUUGGUUUUCUGUUUGAUUUUCUGUUAGGUUGUUUCCUGAUCCUUUUUUUAGUUUUUCUUUUCUUUUUUUGUUUCGUGAAUUCCUUUUUCAAAUGUGUGAACUUUUUCAAAUAUGCAAACUUUUUUUUCAAAUUACAUUUCUUUGAAAUUCACAACCAAUCAAAAUUCUUUAAAAAAAUCAAGGUUGGUAGUUUUUAAAAUUCAUAAACAUUUUAUUGAGUUUGUUAACAUUUUUAAACUUGCAUUUUUCCAAAUUCAUGAACCUUUUUUCAAAACCCCUGCUUUCUUUUUUGAAUAUACGUAAGUUUUCAAACGCAUGAAUGAAUGCAAAUUCACGAUUUUUUUAAACUGUGAACUUUUUCCGACUACCAAAUUUUCCAGAUUCAUGAACCUUUUUUCUAUAUACAAGAUAUUUUUUCAAAUAAACAUUCAUGUACUUGGAGAAAUAUUAAUGCAAUUCAACAAAUGUUCAUGAAAUUCAUAUAAAGUUCUUGAGAUUCAAAAGUGUUCGUUAAGUUAAAAUAAACUUCAUGGACUUCAGAUAAUGUUGAUGAAAAUUGAAUAUUUUUCCAUGGAAUUCAAAUAAGGUUCAUGGAAUUCAAUAAAAGUUCAUGGAAUUCAAUAAAAGUUCGCGGAAUUAAAAAAUGUUCAUGGAAUUCACACAAAUCAUAAAUUCAAAAACAAUUCACGGAAUUUCAAAUUAUUCUUAAAGUUCAUGGAAAUCAUUUUUAUGAAAUUUAAAUAAUGUUCAAGAAAUUCGCAAACAUUUUCCUGGAAUCCAAAUAAAGUUCAUGAAAUUGAAAUAAUGUUCAUGAAAUUCGAAUAAAGUUCAUUGACUCAAAUAAUGUAUAUGUAACUAAAAUAUUUGUUCAUCAAAUUAAAAAAAAUCAUGCAAUUCAAAUAAAGUGCAUGAAAUCCAGUAUAAGUUUAGUGAAUUCAAAAUUUAUGAAGUCACAAAAAGUUCAUGGAAUUCCAAAAAGUUCAAGGAAUUUACAUUUUGUUUCAUCCAAUCAAAAUGUUCAUAAAAUUAAAAUAAUCUACACAAAAUUCAAAUAAAUGUUGAAGAAAUUCCAAUGAACUUCAUGGAAUCCAAAAAUGGUUCACGAUAUUCGAGUGAAAUUCACGAAAUGUAGAAAAAUGCACUCCCUCUAUCCCACAAUAUAAGAUUGUUUUUGAAGCUAACAUAGCUUGAAGAAUGAUCUUAUGUUGUGGGAUGGAGAGUAGUACUUCGUACUAAAACAACAUCCAUGGAAUUCAAAUGGUGUUCAUGAAAUUCAAUUAAUGUUUGUGACAUUCAAUUAAGUUAAUAUAAUUCAGUACAACUUCUCAUUAUGCAGUUUUCUUAUUCCUGUAUAGAUCUGUGAAGGUUGUUUAUGUUGAGUUUUUUUAGUAGAUAAUAUUCAUUUUAAAUAAUGGUGUUCUAUGUAUCCUUCCAUCAUUUUUAAUCUUUCUUUACCGGUUCAUCUAAUAUCCUUUUUUCUAAUUAUUAUUCUAAUGGCAUGUGUCAAGAAUAAAACUACUAACUCCACUUCCAAGAUGUAAUUUUUUAUAGUUCUUAUUAGGCUUAAUACCCAAUGAACAAAGUAGUUUAGUGUUUCUUUAUUUCUUCUUGUUUUACAUGAAGGAUCUGUUCCUAUGGCUAUUGUUACUCCAAUUAGGGUUCCUUUGAUUCAAAGCAAUUUCGUAGGAUUUUUGGAGGGUUAGAAUCCAUAGGAUUUUUUCCUACGUUUGUCAUUUGAUUCACAUGAUUGGGUCCUAUAGGAUUUUUUCCUAUGGAACCAAAUGUAUUAUAUUUCAAUGUAAAUCUAGCAUGAAAUCCAACUUCCUUUUCCAAUUCCUUUCUUUUUUCACUUGCACCAAACACUCUAUGUGAAUCCUAUAGGAUCCAAGUGUACAUGCCACUCAAAAGCUAUAUUUUCUAUAUCGCCGCGUUUUGAAAAUCCUAUAAAUCAAAGAUGACCUUAUUCUCAAUAUUUUUGAAGUUCUAUAUUCCUUUUUUCAUGUAUUUUUUUGAAUGCGGAACGUAAUGGAACUCGUGUUCACAAUGAUCAAACGGAGGGAAGAAAAAUGAACGAACGAAACAAAUAUAAUUGAAAACGGAUAAUGGAGAGCUGGUUUAGUGACCUUCGAGGAAUACAGUCUAGAAGAUAAGCUAGAGACCGUCCGGCAACAAUUUUGCUCCCAACUCCAUUGUCGGAGCGAGCGGAGCGUACCCGAACUCCCCUAAUUUGUGGGGCUGAAGUGGUGGAGCGGAGCGGCGCAUAGUUAAUUUUUUUGGAGCAACCCUUCUGUCACUCAUUGUUUCAGCAAAAUCCGAAUCGAGUCAAAAUUACAUAAAAUGCCACCGCCAAGUGAAAAACGCAAACUUGUAUGCUCCCAUUUAUGUCGCCUCUCUCUCUCUCUAUCGCACUCGAGAGGGUUGUAUUUGCCUCCAAUCGGUUGGCAGCCUAUGCUUUCCUGGAGCGGGGCCAACCGAACGCUCCAUGACCGCUCAACUUGCUCGCUAGAGUGCUUCCAGCGCCGAGAGGAGCGGAGCGGGCAAUUUCGUUGGAGUGGUGUGUCGGCAAACAUGCCCCUAGUAGGCACUAAAGGGGAGCUCUCAUAUCCUUCGGCUUAAACAUUGAUGCAGAACAUAUAUAUCUCGCUCACAAUAUGUAGACCUUCGGUCUCGCUUGAAGCGUCCACCGUCCCUCACUCUGUAGCUACUAAGUGAGCCUCUUCGCUUUCUUUUUUUCGGUUUUCUUUGUUUCUUCAUUUGUUUCCUUUAUUAAUUUUUCAUUUUUUCUUUGUUUUUUCAACGGGUCUCUUCUUUCUUUCAUGAUUUCACUUGUUUUUCUUUUCUUUGCUUUGCUUUCUCCUUGUUUUGCCUUGUGUCUUUCUCGUACUUCACUGGUCUUUGCCUUUUAUUGUUUCUUUAUUUGUUUUCAUCAUUUCUUUUGUUUUCUUUGCAUCUUUCUUGGUUUUCGUCAUUUUUCUUUGUUUUCUUGUGUCUUUCUUGGUGUUCACCAACCUCUUUGAUUUUCUUUUUUAGUUUCUUCAUCUUUCUUUGUUUAUUUCUUGAUUUUCAUCGAUUUUGUUGAUUUUUCUUUCUCUGUUUCAAUUCAUUUGCAAUUGGUUAUUGAUCAGAGAGUGUCUCGGUCAUGUCCACAUAGUUUCUGAACUCGCGGGGUCUGCACACUUAUAGUUUAACGACGUUUCGGUAGAGUGGAAUUAUGUAUGUUGGUGACCGAAUGUUGUUCGGAGUCCCGGAUGAGAUCCCGGACGUCACGAGGAGUUCCGGAAUAGUUUGGAGACAAAGAUUGGUAUAUAGGAAGGAUACAUUUGGCUUUCGGAAGGAUUUCGGGCAUUACCAGUAAAGUACCGGGAGUGACGAAUGGGUCCCGGGGUUUCACCGGGAGGGGCCACCCACCUGGAGAGGGACCAAAUAGGCCCAAGGGUGGUGCACCAGUCCCUGGUGGGCUGGGCAGCUAGCCCAAGUGGUCCUAUUCGGCCGAAGUGGAAAAAGAGAGAGAGGUGGGGAAAACCUACUAGGAGGAGGACUCCUCCUCCACCAAACCGAAUUGAAGGAGGACUCCUCCCCCCCUUGGUGCGCCGGCUGAACCCCUAGGGUUUUCCCUAGGGCGCCACCCCUCCCUCCCUCCUAUAUAUAGUGGAGGGUAGAGAGGCUAGCCGCACCUCAAGCCACGGCACAACCCUUCUCCCUCCACUACUUCGUGACACCCCGUAGGCUAUUCUGAUAGUGCACGACUGUAACGCCCAAGAUGCGGUCCUAUCCUUAUUUUGAUGUGAGGGCCUCGACAAGGAUUUAAACGCAUCUCGUCGUUUCGCAAGAAUGGAUAUCGUUACAAGUACAUAUACUGAAAAGAUGAGUAAAGAGUUGGCUUACACUCGCCACAAGCUACAUCAAAAUCACAUCAAUACAACAAUAUCCAGUCAUCAUGAAGAAGAGCAGGGUCCGACUACGGACGAAAACAAACGAUAAAAGAACAACGUCCAUCCUUGCUAUCACAAGCUGUCGGCCUGGAACCCAUCCUAGAUCAAAGAAGAAGAAGAAGAAGAAACUCCAAAUGAACAAUAAUCGCGCUCACGUCUUAAUAUCCUUUACGUGUAACUUCAACUGGUGUUGUAGUAACCUGUGACCACAUGGACUCAGCAAUCUCAUUUCCAAAUGUAUCAAUACUAGCACAGCUUAAUGGGUGCUCUAUGGUUAAGUGGUGAGGCUGCAGCAAGCGACUAAGCAUUUAUUUGAGGUGGCUAACUUAUGAGUACAAGAAUAAAAGAGGGGGGUGAUCUACGCAUAGAAGACGUGAACUACUGAUGAUCAAAAGGAUGAUCCUGAACACCUACUUACGUCAGACAUAACCCCACCGUAUCCUCGAUCGGAGAAGGAGCUCACGAAAGAGACCGUCACGGUUACGCACUCAAUUGGUAAGUUUUAAUUAAGUCAACUUCAAGUUAUCUAGAACCGGAUGUUAAAAAAGUUUCCAUGUUGCCACAUAACUGCGGACACGGCUUUCCGAAAGAUUUAACCCUGCAGGGGUGCUCCAACUAGUCCAUCAUAAACUACCACACGCUGCGACGGAAUGACCUCGAUCAGGGAGACCCAUGAUCUCCUCGGGUUCCUAUUGGAAAAACUCAACCUCGAGAUAACCCAAAGCAUCCUUGGAAUCCCUCGCACAAGAUGCUCGAGAAAGGUAAAACAAGUCCAGCAAGGCCGCCCGACGUGCCAACAAUCCCGAUAGGAGCCGCGUAUCUCGUUCUCAGAGCACACCGGAUGAGCGUUGGUUACCACGCCAAACGUCGAGUUGCCCCGGGUAGCGUUAAUAAGCUGCUCUUUUUGGGACCAACACCAUCAACACUGCCCCCCUAUAUUAUGUUGAAUUACUCCUCGUGUAGUGCUAACUCCCUAUGUUUUCAGUAUUAGCAGGAUUAUUAUGUUGGCAAAUAUAGUACCAAUGUUGGGCCUUGCCAGACAAGCUUGAUCCCAAAACAAGAAUCUAAGGGGUCUCCAUAACAACCCCAAGCAUGUUAGGAGCGCUAAGUUAUGAAACAUAACACCGGUAGCCGAAACUAAGGCGACAAAGGUGGAAUAAAACACCAGGCUAGAAAGGCCGAGCCUUCCACUGUUUACCAAGUAUAUAGGUGUAUUAAUUUAAAUAUCAUUAAUAUGGUGAUAUAAUAAGGAAUCCAUGUUUGCACAUGGAAGCAGCUACACCUGCAACUAGCAAUGCUAUCCAAUGAUUAAACAAGCAGUAACAUAGCCAAUCAGUGGUUUGCUAGGUUGUAGAAAGGUUGAAGGUUUUUAUGGCAAUGUUGGGAGGCUGACAUUUAACAGGUGGUAGGCAGCGCGACAUAACGAAAGAAUCGAGACAACUAGCAUGACAAUGAUAGUAAUUGUAUCUAGGGAAAUGUUCAUCUUGCGUGAGUUCCCGCUUGAAAAAAGAAUGACUCCGUGAAGCAGACGAACCGACGUAGUCGAACGGAUCAUCACAUUUCGACACGCUUGCAGAACUCUAUCGAGACGAAGCAAACCGGAAAAGAAUCAACACACGAUAUUCACCACGACACAUGAACGAUAUGAUGCACAACACAUGAUGCAUGAGCAGUUUCAAAUAUGCAAGGCAUGGCAUGGCAAUUCACACAAUCAAACACUACACAUUAAGUGAAGCUCAAUAUGCAACGAGUUGCAUAUUGACGGAACUCCACAUUUAAUUAUUUAGUUCACUCCCAUUUAUUUACACGACAAUUUUAAAAUGUUUUUAACAUGGAAAGGGGGUGAAGCACAAAUUAAUCUACUUAGGCAUUUUAAAUGAGGCCGGAAACGACAUAUAGCAUUUCCGAAACGACCCCACGUAUUAACUUUGUAAUCUGUACAUAUCUGUCCUAACCACAUUUUAUGUUUGUUAAACAGCAAAACAAAGUGGUUCACGUGACUCUACUCGUCGUUCUAGUCCAUUUACAUAUAUGGCUCAUAUCCAACGGAACUACAGUUAAUUAACUACGACCUAAACCAUUUCUAUCACAUCAACACGCAAACCGAUGCAACAAACAUUCUAAACAUUUUUAAAAAUGCAUGAGGGUUGGAAAAUAUUAACCUACGAGAAAUUCUAGCCAAGUUACAUAUAAAAACUUGCUGUGAUCCGACGCACGAAUUAAAAGUUGCGUGCAUUUGAAAAAUAUGCUUUUUCUAAAAAUUACUAAAUUCAUCGUAAUAAAGAAAAACCUACGGGCCGAAACUAACUAUUGGGCCGAAACAGGCAUGGACGCAAUAUACUAAAAUGCGCACGGGGCGCAAGAUAGAGGGCUCGGGUGCUGGCUCACCUUAGCAUCCCAUGGCGGAAGAGGCUGGGCAGGCCGAAAGGGAGACGACCCAAGGCAGCGCGAGAGGCAGCCCACACACUCGCUCGGCUCGACUAGGCCAUGGCGAUUGGAGAGGAGGCCCCGCGGCUAGGCCGGUUCGUGGGUUGGGCGAGGCCCGAGGCGAAGGGGCGGCCUGGCACGGUAGUUGCCUCGUCCUCCCUGGCGGGAUCCAGAUCCCGAUUGGAUCGGGAGCUCGGGGCUGUGCGGUGCAGCACCUAGCGACGGGAACUACCGGCUGCUGGCGGCGCGUUGUCCGGCGGGAGGCGGCGCCGCGGCACUUGGGGCCAGCGAGCUGCGCUGAGAGUCGCGGGAGGAGGGAGCUGCGCUCGUGCUGCUCCUCUCCCCGAGCGAGCAGGGCGUGCGGGCCAGUUCGGGCCCUGAUGGGCUCGAUCUGGGUCGCGAGGGCCACGACGGUGGCUAGUGGUGGAGGGACAGGUUACAGCGUGGGGUUGGCGAGGGCAGCUGCUACGACGGUCAGGUGGCGGCGGGGUUGUUGCGUGAUGUCAGCCGUGCUUCCCUGGCAACGACGCCAAGAAUAGUCGUGUCGAGGGCAUCAGGAAUCCUUCUGCUGCGGCUACGCCUUAAGGGACUUCCUAGGCAAAUAUGCAAAGGAUUUCCCCCGUGGCCUUGGAGCCUUGCGUUGGUGUUCACUCGAAGCGGAAAGGGUGAUGUAGCACAGCGAUGGUAAGUAUUUCCCUCAGUUUGAGAACCAAGGUAUCAAUCUAGUGGAGGAGUAUCACAAGAUCCUGCACAAACACAAAAGCUUGCUCCCAACGCUAUGAAGGGGUUGUCAAUCCCUUAUAAAUUGUUUGCCAAGUGAGAACUGAAAGCAACAAAGUAACAAAGCAAAGUAAAAGCGGAGGUGUAGACGAUGGAUGUGAAUAGACCCGGGGGGCGUAGUGUUUACUAGUGGCUUCUCUCAUGAAAGCAAGUAGACGGUGGGUGAACAAAUUACUGUCGAGCAAUUGAUAGAACCGCGCAAAGUCGUGACGAUAUCUAUGGCAAUGAUUAUAUCUAUAGGCAUCACGUCCAAAACAAGUAGACCGAUACUUUCUGCAUCUACUACUAUUACUCCACACGUCGACCGCUAUCGAGCAUGCAUCUAGUGUAUUAAGUCCAAAAGAACAGAGUAACGCCUUAAGCAAGAUGACAUGAUGUAGAUGGACAAUCUCAUAUCAACGACAGAGCCCAUCUUGUUACCCUUGAUGGCAACUACUUAAUGUGUGCCUUGCUGCCCCUACUGUCACUGGGAAAGGUCAGCACAUGGUAGAACCCAAAACCAAGCACUUCUCCCAUUGCAAGAAUCAUAGAUCUAGUUGGCCAAACAAAACCCAAGACUCGGAGAGACUUACAAGGAUAUCAAAUCAUGCAUAUAAGAAAUCAGCAAAGACUCAAAUAUAUAUCAUAGAGAAUCUGAUCACGAAUCGACAAUUCAUCGGAUCUCGACAAACACACCGCCAAAGAAGAUUACAUCGGAUAGAUCUCCAUGAAGAUCAUGGAGAACUUUGUAUUGAAGAUCCAAGAGAGAGAAGAAGCCAUCUAGCUACUAACUACGGACCCGUAGGUCUGAAGUGAACUACUCACGAGUCAUUGGAGGGGCGAUGAUGAUGAUGAAGAAGCCCUCCAACUCCAAAGUCCCCUCCGGCAGGGCGCCGGGAAGGGUCUCUAGAUGAGAUCUCGCGGAAACGGAAGCUUGCGGCGGCGGAAAAGUAUUUUCGAGGCUCCCCUGAUUUUUUGCUGUAUUUUAGGGAAUAUAUAGGCCAAAGAUCUAGGUCAGGGGGCGGCCAGGGAGGCCACAAGCCCUGCCACCGCCGCCUCCCCCUGGUGUCGGAGUGGGGGCUUGUGGGAUCCCAGGAGCCCUCCUGGCUUGGCCCAUAGCCCCCCUGAUCUUCUUCCAUUUGGAAAAAAAUCAUUUCGGGGAUUUUAUUCCAUUUGGACUCUGUUCCAAAAUCAGAUCUGAAAAGAGCCAAAAACACAGAAAAAAACACGAAGUGACACUUGGCACUGAAUUAAUAAGUUAGUCCAAAAAAAGAUAUAAAAGGUACAUAAAACAUCCAAAGAUGACAAGAUAACAGCGUAAAACCAUCAAAAAUUAUAGAUACGUUUGAGACGUAUCACUGCCAAGUGGCAUGGAAGGAGCGGCGGGGCAUGUAUUCUGAGGAGAAGGAGAGGGGGGAGACUAAUUUGGAAGGGGCUUGCUAUUUAUAGUAGUGGCUAGGGUUUGAGGGGAUUUUUAGUCCGGUCUUUGACCAUCCGAUCGAGAUCGGACGGCUACGACGAUGCCUAGGCACUAGGUGGGCUAUGGUGGGCUGUGUAGCCGGGUUUGGGGCUAAGAUGAGAGGGAAAUGAGCAGCUCGUGACACGAGUUUUAAAACUGAAAAACGUCUGAUAAAUUAACCAAAUACGGUGCACUACGGUCGACCGUUCGGGUAUCAAACGGACUCCAAUUGCGACGAAGUUUGGCACGUGACCUACCUACACUCGAAUAAGACCGCACGCCAAGUUUCAACCCAAUCAGACAAUAUCUUCAACGCACUUUGAAAAACAAUUUUUAAACAAUGUCGUGGGCGCGUGCGUGUGUGGUUGGGCUCAAAACGGUCAAUGACUAAAACGAAGAGAACCGACAACUAAUAACAGAUGCAAGGUUUGAAAACUGGCGGCAACGGAGUGCCGAUGCCAUGCAGAUGAUGUGCAUGAUGCGAUGAUGAAUGCGACAGACAAUCUCAUCGCACGGCGGCAACGGAAUAAAAGGCGAAUCUUCUGGAGCAUCGGUCUCGGCUGUCACAACUCUCCUACACUAGUAAGAGAUCUCACCCCGAGAUCUAAGAAUGAAAGGGGGGAGAGGAAGAGAAGAGCAAGAGGUAAAACUUAGUCGCUUCUUUGACAAACGAGUCAAACCAACGACCCUUGAAGGUUAGACAGAGAUGAAGAAUGAUAUGAGAAAACCAACAAGAAUUCACACAAAAUGUCGGUAGCACUUUGGUAGGAAAUUGAGGACAAAUUUUUUUUAAGAUGGAAAUAUGUUGGCAAGAUUCACAACAAACCAACUAAAUUGACAAGCAAGGAAAGAACAUGAUCUUGACAACCUGAGAUGUUUGAAUAACAAGAGCAACAUCACAACAUCUCCGGACAAGAGAAUAGAAACUAGAUCAUUGAGAGGAAAGAAUGGAGAACAAAAUGACAACUACUACCACAAUUGAAUUUGGCAAGCCUCCUUGCAAAAUAAUUGAACGGAGUUGUUGGAAAACCAACAACGAAAAGAACAAGCUUGUUGUGGGCUUAUGGAAACCAUUUCAAAAUAAUGAGGUGACAACCAGACACUAAUAAAAACAAAGAUUGCUUGGAUGCAACAAGAAAGGCAAAACUUCUUACACCAAGAGAAUAUGUUGAGAACUUGGAACGACAAUAAUCACCAUAAUAGAAACAAUCCUUAGGAAAGCUUUAGGUGAAAUCUAAUCCAAGAUAACUCAAUGAAGAAACCAUGGGUUAAAAGUAUCUCAUGAUCAUAGAAUUGGUGGGUUUAAAUAUCCCAUUCCUGAAACAAUUCUCGAAGGGACUCCUCAUGAAUCAAGAAAGCUAUAACACCACCUCAAAGGAAAAAGGAGGAAGAAUUGCACUUUCAAAUGCAAGAGAAAGAAUACUUGAGGUUCUCCAACAAGAAUCUUGAAUAACUCAUUGAGAACGAAUGAAAUCUUGAAGAACCACCAUGACGAACCUCCGUAUACAAAAGAAUGAUACAAAGAUAUGAAGGAUGAAAAGAAUAGGAUUCAGGCCGUGUCAUGACUUAGAUGAAGCUUCACGAAGAGAUAUGAGCAUGAACUAGAAGAAAUCUUGGAAGAAACACCGGUAAGAAUUCACAAAUGAAUAAUGAUACCAAGAAUGAAUGGAGAUACAAGAUAGCGAAGAGAUCAUGAUCCACCUGAGAGAAAACUUGAACAAGACACCAGAAUAACUGAGAUACGAACGAAGAGACAACAAUUGAGAAGAACUUGAGAGUGAAAGCUGAAAGCUAAGAAUGAAGAAAUCUUCUUAAAUGAUGACCUUCGGAGGAUUGAGAAAUGAAAACAGCAUUGAAAUGCACCAGAUAUAUAUGGAUAAUUUCUCAUGAUUGACAACAAUUGAGAAGAUAGCACGAGCUAAGAUGACAAUCUUCAAAAGAAUGGACAAGAUUUGAUAGAAACACUCCUUCGGUCUUCCAAGCUGAAAAUGAUGAGGAGAACACCAGGAAGAAUAACUAAGACACUCCGGAAUAAGAAUAUGAAAAGUUGAGCCAAUGAUGAAAUAAUUCAGAUUGACCUUGAGGAAGGAAUAUGACUAAUGGAAUUCAUUCUUACGUCAUAUUUAAAAAGAAUUAGAUAUCUUCAGGAAAAGAUUACAAGAAUCAGAUAAGAUCCUGGGAAAGAACCUGUGGGUUAUGGGCCCAUUGAAAGAAAACACUGGAUGAAUGGAUUGCUAAGAAAUAUUGAUUGUGCCGGUACAAGUAAAAUCCUGAUGAGGUUAGCACCUCGAAUUAAUUAGAAGGAUUGAAGACAAGAGACUCUGAGAUAUCUUCGGCCCUCCGGGUAGAAACGAGAUAUAUGUAUAACAAGAGAGGCUUGAUAAGAAUUUUCAACAUGGGAAGAAUUUAAAGGAUGAAAAGGAUAUGAUGACACCAAAACUUGAUUUUCUCCACGGGAGAAGAAAACAAAAACAUAUAAAUGAUGAACUCGAAACUCCUGAGAAUCUUCACCCAGACUCACCGGGAACAAAAGAAAAGAAAAGAUAGCAAAAGAAAUAAUGAAAGGAAGAUAUUUGGAUGAUAAUUGAAACAUUGAAGAAAAAGGGCUGGAGGGCGGGGAAAAACAAAGACAACUUGGGACAGAUGAGAUGAACUCCGGAAAGAAAUGAGAGAUUGAUCUUGCAAAUCUUGAAAAUGAUAGAAUUGACUCGAAGAGAAGCACACCAUUUGGAAAUGAAUUGCCAUGACAACUCCGUUGCAAAGAAUUGAUAAGACAACUUGAUUGAGCAAAAGAAUUUGCAUUCCCAUAAAAAUAUGAAAACACCACUUAGGAAAGAUAUGAAUUCACCACUUGACAUCGAAGCAACUCGAAUUACCAUACUCCAACAAAACAAAGGAUGAGGCUUAUGACACAAGCUGGAACAAAUUCAUGACAUAGAUUAUAUCCGACAUUUUCGUAGAUAGAUUUGCAUGGGCUCGAUCCUACAGUAUCCAUCAUGUAAAAGGCAGUGCACACGACAUACGAAGCGUCCCCGAGUCAUAGCAAGCUACAAGGACUCUUUAAGACACAACGAGAAUCGUUGUAAGACGACCGUCAACAAACGAAUCCACUAGAUGUCGAACCCCAACCACACUCAUGCAUCUGUUGGAAGAUUAUCCUAUAAGUAACUAUUUGAAUUCCCACCUAAGAACUCCCAAAAUUUUCUGGUCAUGCAAUCGGGUCCACGGAUACAAGGAGUAAAAUUCAUCACUCAACUCCUAGCAAUAACACUACCCGUCCAGUGUAUCACAUCCGUCAACACAUAACCAGAGAUCUCGGAAACUCAUCUAUCUCAAACCCUCAUAAUCACAACGAUACUAAGUAUGGCAGUACCCCCGAACUCUCUACACCAGUACUGGGGAUGCCGGGGUUAUCUUGCCACUACUAGUAUUGAAGCAAUUUCGAACAUCCUUCGUCCUGAGAUACUAACAAAUCUGAAUUAUCACGAUGUGCUCAAGAAUCCCCUCGAGCUUAACUCCCCGGAAUAAAAUCAACACAACAGGAGGCAGCAAUACAGAACUCCGUCACAUCGACAUCAUAUAGAUUCCAAAAAUAUCCGCGUGAUCCUAAAAUUUUUUUAGUGACAAGAGAAGUAGAAUUAAAAUUAUUAUGUCAAGAUUCCUCACCAGAGCAUAGAAGAGGAGAAAAAAGAAUCCUACUCCCUGAUAUAUAACUAGACUCAAAGUAGUUUUUCACUAGACUCGACUCGGCCAAGUUCGAUCAAUCAAGGGGGCUCCUAGGUCGGUACUAUUUUGAUACCAACUUGUAAUGCCCAAGAUGCGGUCCUAUCCUUAUUUUGGCGCCAGGGCCUCGACAGGGAUAGAAACGCAUCUCGUUGUUUCGCAAGAAUGGGUAUCGUUACAAGUACAUGUACUGAAAAGAUGAGUAUAAAGAGUUGUCUUACACUCGCCACAAGCUACAUCAAGAUCACAUCAAUACAAAAAUAUCCAGUCAUCAUCAAGAAGAGCAGGGUCCGACUACGGGCAAGAACAAAGGAUAAAAGAACGACGUCCAUCCUUGCUAUCCCAGGCUGUCGUCUGAUGUCUACGCACGCUUCUAUUCUUGUAGACUAUGUUGGGCCUCCAAGCGCAGAGGUUUGUAGGACAAGAACAAUUUCCCUCAAGUGGGUGACCUAAGGUUUAUCGAACUCGGGGAAGUAGAGGUUGAAGAUGGUCUCUCUCAAGCAGCCCUGCAAUUAAGAUACAAGAAGUCUCUUGUGUCCCCAACACACCUAAUAAAAUUGUCAGUUGUAUAGGUGCACUAGUUCGGCGAAGAGAUGGUAAAAUAUGGGUGAUAGGUGUGGCAAAGCAGGGUAAUAUAAAUCUGAAAUCAAAAUGACAGCAAGGUAGCAAGUGACAAAAGUGAGCAUAAACGGUGUAACACUGGUGAGAAACAGGGCCUAGGCUUCAUACUUUCACUAGUGGCAACUCCCAACAAUAUUAACAUAGUCUAAUCACAUGAUAUUUCCACUAAGCAUGCAGUGGAGACGUACUCGGAAGUCAUUCCUUUGUGAUCAAGAGAGGACGAGAAUUAUGUAGAGCUACAAAAGCACACCUCAGAGUUCGUAGUUCUCUCUAUGGAUUUCCCAAUGUCACCGCGGCCAUCCAAAGAGAGCACCACAAUCACCACAACGUAUCUCAAGGAUAGUCAAAGACAAGCACCAAGAGACUCUCAAUCUUCAAUCAAUUCACAAAAGAGGAAAUCACUCAUGAAAAUAUUCUUCUAAUCCAUGUCCAAUAGACCACUGUCACCAUGGUCUUGGGGAUUAUACUAGAUAAGAUCAAGUGAGUACAUCAAUCCAAUACAUAGAAGAAGGGGAAAUAUCAUGGGAUCACCCUAGAUUAACAUAGCCAUGAUCACAAUCAAGAUCACAUCAUGGGAGAGAUAAUUAACCACAUAGCUACUGUAUAAGACCUCAGCCCGGAGGAGGAACUACCCCCGCUUCAUGGAGGGAGGAAGUAACGUCGAUGGAGAUGAAUCCGGGGGCACUUCCCCGUCCCGGCACGGUGCCGGCACAGGAAUUCUGGUCCCCUGAAACUUGUUGGCGAUGACGGCGGAGAUUGGAAUUGCUUCUGGAGAAAAGGGUUCCAGAAUCAGUGUUUCCUCCAUGGGGGUAAAAAUAGGAGCCAAGGUAGGGCACCAGAGGAGGUGGGCCCCACCCAGGCGGCCUGUGGGCGCGGCCAGGGGGUAGGCCGCGCAAGGAGGCCGCCUGGGCGACGCGUGGCUCCCCUCUGGCCCGCCUUUGGUGCUCCCCAAGAUUCCGUCACGCUGAUUUUUAUAUAUUUUUCUCGGGAUUUUUGGGACUCGGUAAAUUGGGGUAAAAGUCCCUACAAAAAAGACAUCAGCAGACAGAAACUGGCACUGGGUGCACUAAGUUAGUAGGUUAUUCCAAAUAUGUGUAAAAAGGUAUGAAAGUGUAGCAAAACAUAUAACAAUGUCAUCCAAAAGAUCAUGGAACAAACAAAAAUUAUAGAUACGUUUGGGACGUAUCAUCGUCCUGGAACCCAUCCUAGAUCGACGACGAAGAAGAAGAAGAAGAAACUCUUGCUUUCCGAAAGAUUUAACCCUGCACGGGUGCUCCAACUAGUCCAUCACAAACUACCACACGCUGCGACGGAAUGACCUCGAUCAGGGAGACUCGUGAUCUCCUCGGGUUCCUAUUGGAAAACCUCAAGCUCGAGAUAACCCAAAGCAUCCUCGGAAUCCCUCGCACAAGACGCUCGAGAAAGGUAAAACAAGUCUAGCAAGGCCGCCCGACGCUCCGACAAUCCCGAUAGGAGCCGCGUAUCUCGUUCUCAGGGCACACCGGAUGAGCGAUGGUUACCAUGCCAAACGCCGAGUUGCCCCGGAUAGCGUUAAUAAACUGCUCUGUUUGGGACCAACACCAUCAGCAUUGCCCCCCGUAUUAUGUUGAAUUACUCCUCGUGUAGCGUUAACUCCCUAUGUUUUAAGUAUUAGCGGGAUUAUUAUGUUGGAAAAAUAUAGUACUAAUGUUGGGCCUUGCCAGACGAGCUUUAUCCCAAAACGAGAAUCUAGGGGGUCCCCAUAACAACCCCAAGCAUGUUAGGAGCGCUAAUUUAUGGAACAUAACACCAAUAGCCGAAACUAAGGCGGCAAAGGUGAAACAAAACACCAGGCUAGAAAGGUCGAGCCUUCCACCUUUUACCAAUUAUAUAGGUGCAUUAAUUUAAAUAGCAUUAAUAUGGUCAUAUAACAAGGAAUCCAGCUUUGCACAUGGAAGCAGUUGCGCCUGCAACUAGCAACGAUGUCCAAUGGUUAAACAAGCAGAAACAUAGCCAAUCAGUGGUUUGCUAGGUUAUAGAAAUGUUGAAGGUUUUCAUGGCAAUGUUGGGAGGCUGACAUUUAACAAGUGGUAGGCAGUGCGACAUAAGGAGAGAAACGAGACAACUAGCAUGGCAAUGAUAAUAAUGAUAUCUAGGGAAAUGGUCAUCUUGCCUGAGAUUCUGCUUAGAACAAGAAUGACUCCGUGAAGCAGAUGAACCGACGUAGUCGAACGGAUCAUCACAUUCCGAAACGCUUGCGGAACUCUAUCGAGACAAAGCAAACCAGAAAAGAAUCAACACACGAUAUUCACCACGGCACAUGCAUCGCAUGAUGCACAACACAUGAUGCAUGAACAGUUUCAAAUAUGCAAGGCAUGGCAUGACAAUUCACACAAUCCAACACUACACAUUAAGUGAAGCGAAAUCCACAUUUAAUUAUUUAGUUCACUCCCAUUUAUUUACAUGGCAAUACUAAAAUGUUCUUAACAUGGCAAGGGGGUGAAGCACAAAUUAAUCUACCUAUCUAGGCAUUUUAAAUGAGGCUGGAUACGACAUAUAGCAUUUCCGAAACGACCCCACGUGUUAACUUUGUAAUAUGUCCAGAUAUGUCCUAACCAUACUUUAUGUUUGUUAAACAGCAAAACAAAGUGGUUCAAGUGAUUCUGCUCGUUGUUCUAAUCUAUUUACAUAUAUGGCUCAUCUCCAACUGAGCUACGGUUAAUUAACUAUGACCUAAACCAUUUCUAUCAUGUCGACGCGCAAACCGAUGCAAAUAGCACUCUAAACAGUUUUAAAAAUGCAUGAGAGUUGGAAAAUAUUGAUUUACACGAAAUUCUAGCCAAGUUACAUAUCCAACUUGUUGUGAUCCGAUGCAUGGAUUAAAAGCUACGGGCGUUUGAAAAGUAUGCUUUUUCUAAAAAUUACUAAAUUCGCCGUAAUAAAAAAACUACGGGCCGAAACUAACUAUUGGGCCGAAACAGUCAUGGGCGCAAUAUACUAAAAUGCGCACGGGGGCGCAAGAUAGAGGGCUCGGGUGCUAUCUCACCUUAGGAGGCCAAGGCCCAUGUCGGAAGAGGCUGGGCAUGCCGAAAGGGAGGCGGCCCAAGGCAGCGCGAGAGGCGGCCCACACACUGGCUCGACUCGACUGGGUCGUGGCGACUGGAGAGGAGGCCCCGUGGCUAGGCCGGUUCGUGGGCUGGGCAAGGCCCGAGGCGAAGGGGCGGCCUGGCACGACAGUUGCCUCGUCCUGCCGAGCGGGAUCCAGAUCCCGGUUGGAUCGGGAGCUCGGGGCUGUGCGGUGCAGCACCCGGCGACAGGAACUGGCGGCGGGAAUGCGAGCAGGGCCGGCGGGACGCGGUUGGCGACUGCUGGCCGCAUGGUGUUCGGCGGGAGGCGGCGGCGCGACACUUGGGGCCGGCGAGCUGUGCAGAGCGCCACGGGAGGAGGGAGUUGCGCUCGGACUGCUCCUCUCCCCGAGCGAGCAGGGCGUGCGGGGCACGUCGGGCCCUGGUGGGCUCGAUCUGGGUCGCGAGGGCCACGACGGUGGCUGGUGGUGGAGGGUGAGGUUGCGGCGUGGGGUUGGCGAGGGCAGUUGUUGCGACGGUCAGCCAAGUAGCGUGGAAGGAGCGGUGGGCCACGGAUUUUGAGGAGGAGGAGAGGGAGAGAGACUAAUUUGUAAGGGGCUUGCUAUUUAUAGCAUUGGCUAGGGUUUGAGGGGAUUUUUAGUCCGGUCUUCGACCCUCCGAUCGAGAUCGGACGGCUCCGGUGAUGCCUAAGCACUAGGUGGGCUAUGGUGGGCUGUGUAGCGGUUUUUUUGGCUAAGAUGAGAGGGAAAUGAGCAGCUCAUGACACGAGUUUUAAAACCGAAAAACGUCCGAUAAAUUAACCAAAGACAUUGCCGCUACGGUAGACUGUUCGGGUAUCAAACGGACCCCGAUUGCGACGAAGUUUGGCAGACGGCCUACCGACACUAGAGUAAAACCGCACGCCAAGUUUCAACCCAAUCCGAGAAUAUCUUAAAUGCACUUUUGAAAACAAUAUUUAAACGAUGUCGCGGGCGCGCGCGUGUGUUGUUGGGCUCAAAACGAUCAACGACGAAAACGGAGAGAACCAGCAACUAAUAACGGAUGCAAGUUUUGAAAACUGGCGGCAACGGAGUGCCGAUGCCAUGCAGAUGAUGUGAUGAUGAAUGCGACAGACAAUCUAAUCGUACGGCGGCAACGGAAUAAAAGGCGAAUCUUCUGGAGCGUCGGUCUCGGGCUGUCACAACGACGAAGCCCUACCGGAGUAGCUCCACCAUCAUCACCGUCACGUCGUCGUGCUGCCGGAGAAUUCAGAUACCUCUUCGUCUCUCUUGCUGGAUCAAGAAGGUGGAGAUCAUCAUCGAGCUACACAUGUGCUGAACGCGAUGGUGUCGUCCGUUCGGUGCUACAUCGUGAUUGGAUCGCGGGACGGCUUGCAAUUUGGAUCGCAAAGACGUUCGACUACAUCAACCGCGUUUCUUAACGCUUCCCGCUUAGCGAUUUACAAGGGUAUGUGGAUCCGAUCUCUCCUCUCGUAGAUGGUCAUCACCAUGGAUAGAUCUUAUGUGUGUGUAGAAUUUUUUUUGUUUCCCAUGCAACGUUCCCCAACAAUAGGUUCUACAUAUUACGUAGGUUUCAUAUCUUACAUGUUUUUGUAUUGAUUUGUAGAUCCUAAAAUAAGAUGUCCGGUUGUAAAAUGUAUUAUUUGAAGCUUGACGUGUCCGUGAACGCGCCUGAACGCGUCCACGGACGUUUGAGGGUUCGGAUUUGCAACGCCCGGUUGUAGAUGCUCUUAGAACAACUCCAACCGACCGACUGGUCGGCCGGCACUUUUGUUCGUUUUUUGUCCAUUUGGGUCGGCCUUGCGAACACCAACGUCCGCUUCUGCGUUUGGGUCGACGCAUGCGCCCAACGCUCGUCCGACCCAUUUUGUGACGACGCCUAAAAAAAUCCAGACAUUUCCAAAAAUAAAAACAAACAUAAAUUAAACAUUAAAGCUGGUCAUGAAGGCCGGCGAGAGUCCACGCGUCCUCAUUACAUUAUAAUUAAACAUUAGAAAAACUAAACUGCAUUACCCUAGGCGUCCUCGUCGGCGGUGUCGGGGUCGGUGAGGUCGGGUUGUGCCGGUGCGGGGCGGGCUAUGCCGGUGCGGGGAGUGCUAGUGGCGGCGGUGGCGCAUCACGGCGCGCUCCUUCGCCACACGGAGCGCCCUCUUAUGCUGGAGGUAGGCGACCUCCUUCAGGCGCAGCGCGCGGGGAUAGACGACGGGGGCUUGCCCUUGCUUUGGGCGUAGCCGGCCAUGGCUGCUGGCUAGGGUUUGGUCGCCGACGUGGAAGUAGAGAGGUGGCGAGAUGAGGCCGAACCCCUCCGCACGCUCGGAUUAAAAAAGACCGCCCGCGGUAGCUGAUGUGUGAGCCACGGAGGGUGGCCAUCAUUAAUUAAGUUGACCACACGUAAUUGGACGACCGGCGGGGGUAGAUGGGGCGGACACCGAAGACGCGCGUGCGUCCGCUUCGUGUCCACGUCGACACAUUUCAAUCCUAAAUUUAGACAAAAAUAGUUUGAUGCGAACGCGAAACGGACACAUUUUGACAAUAGAUCCAUGGACACGAAGCCAAACGGAGGAUAACCGAUGAAAUAAAUCACCCCGUUGAAAUUGCUAUUACGACAUGGACGAAGGCUAUGCGGUCUUUGUGAAGCUUCGGAUAGGUUCGUCCGGUCAGAGGACAGCAAGGGCGACGUACGUGCUCCAACACGUCCCCAGUCGUUCCCACGUGGCGGCGUUCAAGUGGCGGACCCUUCUGCCGACUUCCCGACGUGACAGCUCGCGUGCCGUCUGAGUCACGGGGCCCCACCGGAUGAACAGGGCCAAUAAGAUAAUCGACCAUGGCGAUCCGGCAGGAAAACGUGGAAGCCGAUAGAGAUGGAUGCCUUCGUACGCUUGAUAUUUGUGGUCGACGGAGAGCCUAAUCAGGAUUAGCACGGGUGGUUUGUGCUGGAUCUUGGGUUAAUCUGAUGGUCCCCGGCGGUGGGUGGUCACGCAUUGAUCCGGAGCCCAUGUCGACCACGAUUCUGAGAGUAAUCCGUUUAUUAAGAUGAUGUGUACGGCUGCCAGAUAUGGGUGGCCAAUGAGAUAUUUUUGGUACACUGCGUGUGUGUGGUGGAUAUGGCAGCCACGUUGUUUCUCUCCUUAAAAUACUUGUGUUUUUAGUAAUUCUGGAUCGGACGUGUGAGUACAAGAAAAACCUACGGUCCAUUUUUGCUCUUCCAACUAAAACAUUUCCAGAAGAAAAAAACAGAUACAUCUUCUUCCUUUCGGAUAACUACAUUAUCAAAUAAAAGUUUUCGAGACUUCAUUCUUAUUUUAGUUUUGACCAUGGGUCCGACCGAAUAUAUACAAUGAUUAUAUCUUUCUAGAAACCCUAGCACACAUUGCUCCGCUCAUUACUAGCGGGUCUCCUCCUCCUCUUUCUACUGCUUCAUGUGUAAAAAGGGUUAGGUCUUUUAGGACAUCUUCGAAGCAGAUCGCUAUGCAUAUCCGGCUAAUGAUAAAAAAUCAUGCACAUCUGGUUAGUGAUAAACAAUCAUGCAUAUUGGACAAAAUAAACUUACUUGUUCACAGGUUUGUGCAUCAUUAGACCAUUGUGAGAUGAGAUGUGCCAAGUGGUGACAAUACUUCGACACGACCUCUUGAAUGAUGAACCAACGAUGGUUGAGGAAUUUUGAUUCAUGGUUACGGAUCACCUCGUUGGAAUAAAGCAUGAAACGCUUGUGUUUAUGGUAGCAUGUAUGAAUGUUGGUCCAAAAUGUCAUGCCCUUUUUCUCCAUGUCAUGGAUUGGAUCGAGGCUAGUGGCCAACCACGCGUCGCACAAGAACUCGCCCUCCCUACUUUUAUGCCACCAAGCAACAUUAGCCUUGAUGAUAGCGACGACGGAGGCUCCCCGUGUGCCAGGUACCGCAUGACCCCGGUACCCUAUCCCAGGCACCACCUGCCUCCCCCAUCGCCCUUCUUUUCGUCAUCCGGUCCAUUCUUUGCCUUGGAUUUAAGACGACGAGCUUGCUAUGUCGCCGAGUUGAUCUUCACGCGACCACCUUCUGUGGAUCCUCCACCUUUGUCGUCUCUGGCAGCUUUAAGUAUGGAUCCAUGUGGCGUGAAAGUGAAAAGCGCGGUAAAGAUGGAUGUCUAAGGUGAUUCAGUGCGGAGACGAAAAAAGAGGAGGGGUGAUGUCGAAACAGUAUAGAACUCUCCAGAUGUGCGGGCUACGUAUCGGUCGGUGAUGUCGGAUCCUAUAUUUUGGAGGUCUGAACUCCAUAAAGCCUCAAUGGUUUGCUUCCGGCUUGGAGGAAAUCGGACACACGAAAAUACAUGCCCGUUUUGAAUGAGUUGUUCGCAUGCUCGUGGGUGUAUUAUGAGCAUCUCUAAUAGAAGAUGCAAAUUUAGAGAUGUAAUACGGGAGAUGUAAAAAAUUACAUCUCCAAAAAAGGGCCAACUCCAAUAGUUGAUACAAAACGGAGAUGUAAAAGAGCAACUCCAAUAGAAGAUGCAAACUAGAGAUUUAAAAAUUAGUCGACGGCGGCUUAAGCGGGGCGGCAGUAUUGGGGAUGGCGGUGGCGUGACGCGAUUCGGGGCGGCGGCGCCGGGGCAGCGACCGGGGUGGUGAAUCGAAAAGACGAUGACGCGAUAUCGGGCUGCGAAGCAGCAAUGAUGCAGCAGGAGAGGGGCAGCCAUUCGAUGCGGAGAGAGGAGGAGGAGCGACGUAGGGACGGUGGGUGCCCCGAACCCGGAGGCGGCGAUGGGAUCUCAAAUCAUACGACAGUGCGGCGGCGAUUCGACGACGGAGAAGCGACCAAUUCACCAGAUUUGGAGGCAGGCAGCUGCGGGACCGGAGGCGGGGCCGAUGGAGCGACCGAAUCUGGCAGUGGGGCUGCAGCCACGACAGCGAUCAACCGGGGUGGGGGAAAACCGGGGCGGCGGCAAGGAGACGGAAGCGGGAUUAGGGGGUGGUGAUCACGCCGAUGAAGGCCCCAACGUGGUGGGCGAAGGAGGCGACGGGGUCGUGAGAGUCGGCCAUGGCCCGAUGGGCGGGCGGUGGGCGGGCAACUGGCGGGCGAACGAAAGGAAAAUGAAAGCGGUUGGGCAGUUGGCGCUUGGCCGUCAUUUUUUACAUCUACUCUGAGUGAAGAUGUAUAUUUGCAACGCGAAGUGUUGUAAUUUACAUCUUCGGAAGCUGCAGAUAUUUUUUUCAUCUACACAUCUAUUCGAGAAGUUCUUUUAACGACAAGUAUGCAAAAAAUCGUUGUUUUUGUGUCUAUAAUAUAUCACCCAUUGAAGAUGCUCUAAGGGUCCGCGUUUGGAGAUGUCAUUAUAAUAUAAAUUUUCGUAAAUAGUUAGUGAAUCGUAAUCCCUGGCUUGUAAUGGUUGCUAACUAAGGUCACUCCCAUUUUGCGUGUUUCUUAAAUCUUGAGUCAAAUAAGACCCUCGCCUCGCCCCUCACGUCGCCCCCGCGGGCGAGCCCAGGGAAAUCCUAGCUGUCGUUCUUGUCCCUCCUCCACUUCUCCCGCUCCCCGUCGCCGUUCGCAGCGCCGUUGGGCGAAGCUUGGCCGGCAGGGCUGCGGCGGGGCUUCUCCCUACCCUUUCCGUCUUGGUUGGCGUGGGACAACGGGAUCGAGAGGAGCGUCGGGCAAGCGUGGAGUCCGGUGGCGCGGAGGGCGGGUCACCCGGCGACGUCGUGCGCGGCAUGGCGGCGACGGCCUGUUUGUGGCGAGGUUGUGACUGUGUUGGGCAUGACCGGUGGUCGCGGGUGCCACCGAAUCCAGAUCGAAUCCAUCUGCAUUCCUGUGUUUGGACGUCGUCGGACGACGCGGGGUGGUGGUGGUCGUCGCUGGCCACGUCGGACCGUUGGAUUCUUCAUGUGGAGAUCUACGAUGGGUUCUUCUCGAUCCUUCUUCCUUGCGGGUUGAGCCCCAUGGCUCUUUCAUCUGUGCAGGUUGCGGUUUGGCUCAUUGUCGGAUCUGGAGCAGAUGGAGGUUUGGUAGUAUAGGAUGGGACUGGAGGAAACUUUGGCCGGCUUGUUCGGCCCGACAUCGAUGACGUCACUCGAAGCCGUUACCCUCCAUGGAGGCGAAGCCGAGGUCUGUCCUAUCCACCCCCGAAUCUCUGCCGGACGAAAGUCUAAAAUUCAUCCGAAUUGGGCGACAGCGGCGUCCCACACGUCGUAUCCUUCAUGGAGGCGCCGUCUUGGGAGGACCUCGUGUUCAGGGGAGAGUUGUUAUGGGUGAUGGGCUCCUCGUAGUUCUAGUAGUGGCGAUGGUGUGAAGGUUGCGAGUUGGUGUGACGUUGUAUUUACCGCAUCGAUGACGACAGGUAUUGGCGGCAUGGUGGAUAUUUUUGAUGGAUGCGGCUUGAUGAUCGAGCGCAGGGUGAUUGUGCUGUCUCGCGCCAUGGUGGCGUCGGCGGCAGGCUUGCAAGGUUUGUGCAUCAGUAUCUGCUCUAAAGAUGGAUCGGUGGAAGACGAUGGUGGCUGCCUCGGUGAGAGAGCCAGACCGGUGUGUGACCCAGUCCCGGUAUGUGGCUGGGGUGAGGCAUCCGGUAUUAGAUGUUAGGUUUGGUGUGAUGUUUGUUUGGUAUUAGGUUCGAACAUUCUGCAUCCCUGCAUCAAGGGUUAAGAGUAGCGGCAAUUGUUGCCAAGAUGAUGCCUCGAGCCUUACUCAUAUAUUAAUUUAUAAUUUUUUAUGAAAAAUUAAUAGAGUGACCGUAUGCACCAUGAGAUCGGGAGUACAUCCUCCUUUAAAAAAAAUGCCUGUUGCUUCUAUGCUACAUUUUGUACUCGUACUGAUCCUGGGUCGCCGGGCGUACAUCCGGAGGUCACAAAGUCAAACUCUAUGACGCUUCAUCUGAAGAAGAAACUCGAUACGCGGUAAUAAUGCAUGCAUGCAUGCACGCAAUAACGCCCCACGUGUCGCCGGGCCAGCGGACGUCGCCCGGGAACUGUCCAGGUGGAUCGCCACCUGUUCCGUCCCGUCGACCCCACCGGCUCAGUUGCUUGUACAUAUACCCAACUCGACCUGCGCUGUGCAAACUACAGAGCUCGACCCAGAGAGACAGAGAGAGAGAGAGAGAGAAGAGCGAGGGAUAAAAAAGAGGUUUGUUUGUGGGGUCUCCCGCACGCGCUCGGCGAUGGCGAACUCGUUCCUCUCGAUGAAGACGGGCCCGGCGGCCGGCGCGUCGGAGGCGUCGCAGGCGCUGCUCGAGUCGGACCUGCGGGAGCUGACCAUGGCGGCGCGGAAGCUCGCCAACCACGCCAUCGUCCUCGGCGGCGGCCUCGGCUUCAUCGGCACCUUUCUCCAGUGGCUCGCCUUCGCCGCCGCCGUGUCAGUGCCUAUCUACCAGCCACCCUNNNNNNNNNNNNNNNNNNNNNNNNNNNNNNGCCUUUCCCCCCGCCCCCCCCCCCCCCCCCCCCCCUUCUCUUGCUAAUUUUUCUUCCCUCGGUUGUCACAGAGCUAUGCAUUCGUCUGAACCUCGCUGUUUAUCUUCUUCUACUGCAGAUAUCUCUUGGUGCUGGACAAGACGAACUGGAAGACCAACAUGCUGACGGGUCUCUUGGUCCCAUACAUUUUCUUCACCAUGCCUUCUCUGCUCUUCUCCUUUAUAAGGUGAUUAUAGUCCGCGAAUUCCCUACUGCAACGUCCCUUCAGGUUUUAAAUUCUCAUGUGCGACUGUUUUUCAGUGAGCUGUGUGUGUGACUGUUGUUCUUCUAGUGAGCUGUGUGGCUGUUGUUUUUUCUAGUGAGCCGUGGGACUGUUGCAUGAGUUGCUAUGGAUUACUAACAGUCUGUCAAUUUGAAUGACAUGAGCUCGCAAAAUCAAAACAUUGCAUACAUAUUUUUUUAAAAUAGAUUAUUUUUGUUUUGUUUACAGUGGUGAACGUCCAACCUGUAGUGCUGGUGGUUUGUUAGCGUUCUGCGGUCCACAGUCCCUUUCCAGUAGUAAUAGUUUGCUUUGGUUUUGUAUACCGUAGUUUCCUUUUGUGUCGGCACUAGAUGCUGGUCUGGACUUUACUCCGUUAACAAUGAUACUGAACUCUGGCCUUAUGGUUGUACUGUUGAAAAUACUACUGCAUAUAUCAAGGUAUGGUAUUGUCGGAAACUGUUUCACAUAAUAGGCCAAGGGUCUGAAGAUCGAUUUUCUUUAAAACAAAGUUAUCUCACGACUGAGAAUAAAUCUGAGAACUUUUUUUUUAGAUUAUAAAUCUGAAAACUUUAUAGAGGGAUGAUAAAGUGAACUAACUACUAAGAUGCAUCCGCCUAUUGCUCCUGAGUCCUGACCGCAAAACUCAAGCCAGUACCAUUUUCAUGAUGCUAUAUCGUUUGUUGAACUGUUACAGUUUUAUAUUCCUUAAAAAAAAACUGAUACAGCUUUACAGCAUUACAUACAUACAUACAUAUAUACGAAACAAAUUCGUGAUUGCUGAACAUCAAAAUUGCAGGGGGGAGAUUGGUAGCUGGAUCGCGUUCGUUGUUGUGGUCCUACGGCUGUUCUUUCCGCGCCACUUCCCUGGUACUAUAAUUUUGCACUCUGUUUUCUUUCAUGUAUUCAGUAAUCUGUCCUUUAAAAGUUGUUUUACAUAAAUCUCACAUUGGGAAUGGGUAUUCUCAUCAUGUUGUCAGAUUGGCUAGAGCUGCCUGGCUCUCUGAUCCUGCUCACGGCGGUCGCCCCCAGCAUCUUCGCAGACACCUUCAGGGGCUCGUGGCUCAUCAUCGGCGUCGCCGUAUGCCUGGUCAUCGGGUGCUACCUGCUCCACGAGCACAUCAAGGCGUCAGGAGGCCUCAAGGAGGCCUUCCAGAAGGCCAAUGGCUGGUCCAACACCAUCGGCAUUCUCUUGCUCUUCAUCUACCCGGUCUGGGCCAUCGUGAUGUGGUUCCUGUAGGCUUGUGCCUGCAGUUCCUCGGUCGCUGUUUCAGCGCUCAUCGUGCAGCGAUUGAUAAAGUGAUUUGGCGUCGAUGAACCCAUGCGAGCUUGUACCUGUUGAAUGUUUGAUGAACUGUCUCGGCGAUGUUUCCAUUUGGUGCCACUGCUUAAUUUGUUUCCUUGAUCUGUGCGUACAUAACAUCAAUAAAAACGUCUGCUCUGUUGAUCGCUGGGUGGAUUGAAGUGAUGAGCUGCCGGCAAGUUCUUCUCAUGCAUGUUCGUAUGAUGGUUGCGUACAACCGAUGUGUUAUGAUCUUAUUAAUUACUCUAAUCACUCCGAUAUAUACUUCUUCAGUUUCUAUUUCUUUAAGUUUUGUUAAAAGAAUACAUACAAAUGUAUAUAGAUAUAUCUUAAAGUGUAGAUUUAUUCAUUUUAUUUCGUAAGUAAUUUUUUAGUGAAACUUUUAAAAAAAUUAUAUUUAAAAACAAAGAAAGUAGUUCAUAAACUCGACUAAUCAUUUUUUUUACUUUGAUGAGGAGAAUUGGAGGGUUACAUUGAGGUCGCCCUCCUUAAGAGCCACCCAAUCUUAUUUCGUCUGUCUUAAAAUAUAAGGCAUUUUUGCAGUUCAAAUAUCAGCGUACAAUCUUUGAGAAGAAGGAAUUUCUGUCUGAACAUAAGUAUAACUGAUCGAACUUUCAGAAUAAUUUUCACGAAGCACGUUCUCAUACAUAAAUUUAUUUCGACAAACACUUCUAUAACAUUACCUCCGUACUGUAAAAAGUCAGAGCCCAUGAUAUGCUGUGAUAACAAGCUUAAAUUAAAAUAUUGCAUGCAUGAAAUAAUACAUUGGGAUCUGCCCACCACGUGUCAAGCGGGUCCGCGGAGAAUUGUCCAGACCGCGCGCCACCUGUUCCGUCGACCCCAGCAGGUCCUGGCAGCUGCCGGCCUGUACAUAUUUCCUAUCCGCGCAGGCACAGCCUAGCACAAAUCAAACCCCAAGCCCGAGGCCAUCCAUCCAUCCCUGCGCAGAGCUCGAUCCGCACAGUGCGAGGCUUGAGAUUUUUCCAGGUCUCGGCGAUUCGGGGGAAGAUGGCGCCGUCGUUCCUCGCGAUGAAGACGGGCGCGGCGUCCGGCGCGUCGGAGGCGGCGCAGGCGCUGCUCGAGUCGGACCUGCGGGAGCUGGGCAUGGCCGCGCGGAAGCUCGCCAACCACGCCAUCGUCCUCGGCGGCGGCCUCGGCUUCGGCCGCCACUUCCUCAAGUGGCUCGCCUUCAUCGCCGCCGUGUCAGUAUUUUCCAGCCCCCCUUUCCCUUUUCUUCCAUUUCUAUUUUCCUUGUUGCGGCGAGCUUUGGAUUCUGCAAAGGGGAUCUCCGAUCUCCCUCGCCUUCUGACCAUUUCGGGAGGACCACGGCGCAGUUGGGACGCCUGCGAGAAAACAUCUCGCCAGCAUAUUCCCUUGGAAGUAGAGUAGUAAUUUUUUAGUAAGCUUGAGAGUGUAUUUAACUGCGGUAUCCUAGAGAGAGAUGCCGAACGCGGUUGAUUCGUGCGAAAACCUCGGUGAAAACGGAAGCUUUGGUAGGAAAUGUUCACGGUUAAUUGUGUGGAACUUGCGAAGCAAACAUCCCUGGCAUAUAGACAGAACAGAAGUCAGGACCUUAUCAAAGUGUAUAUGCUGUGAUGCUAAGCUGUUAAUGAUGGUGAUCUAAACGCUCUUAUAUUUCUUUGCGGAGGGAGUACCUGUUAGGGUGAUUCUGCACCCUAUAUGUUGGGUCUCUUCAGUCUCUACUUCCAAGACUGAGAGGGGUUGAAGGAUUUAUGAGUCCACUUAACCUGAGAUUAUCACCCUUCUUAGCAUAUGUCGGUUCUCGCCGGGAUUACGCAUUGUCUGAACUUUGCUGUUCUCUUCUACUACUGCAGGUACCUCUUGGUAUUGGACCGGACAAACUGGAAGACCAACAUGCUGACGGGACUCUUGGUCCCUUACAUUUUCUUCACCCUGCCCGGCGUGCUUUUCUCUCUGAUAAGGUGGUUAUAGUCGCAAUUUCCCUUCUGCAGCAUCAGUUCGUGUUCUGAAUUUAAAUGCAGUUGUAUGUAGCUGUGGAGGACUGUUGCGUUCCUGCGAGUUGACCAAUUUGGAAUAUCUGAAAUUCUGAAGGUCUUGUUGAAUAAUUAAUAAAAUGGCUGUAUACAUCGUCCUGAUGCAGAGGCCGGGGUCCUCCUCCUUUUCGAGAAAAAUCAGAAAUUCUUAACUUACAAACUCAAGAUACUUCAUGUAUCUUUCUCCAAAAAGGAAAAAUACUGCAUUCGUCAAGGUGUCAUGGUGUUCCUUGUUGGUUGAUAUCACAGGCUAAAGGGCCCAAGUGACGGUUUCUUUUAGGAGAAAAAAAAAACGCUUCACUGAGAAUAGAAUAAUAGUAGAACUUUAUAGUUUGUUGAUAAAGUGAAGUAAGGUACAUGCUCAAUAUAGAUUAUUGCUACCUGACUGCAAAGUCGAGCUACCUUUUUCAUGCUCGUUGUCUACCGGUUGGAGGCAGGAUCACUGCCUCACUGGCUGAUACUUCCAUGGUGCUACAUCCUGUGUUGCUUAAUAGUACAGCAUUAGAUGCAGAUAUUCGUAUUAUAUUUGUGAUCAUCAAACAUCAAAAUUGCAGGGGAGAGGUUGGUGCCUGGAUUGCGUUCAUUGUGGUCAUCCUGCGGCUCUUCUUCCCACGUCACUUCCCUGGUAUUAUCUUUCUAUCUAUUCUUUUUCUUAUUGCCGUCCCUAGCAAAUUAUCUCUAUGUAUUGCAUAUCUCAUCCUUAUUGUGCAUUGCAAAGAAAUUUUCCAGCUUAUUGAAAUAGAUUUUCGACAGAAUCAAAAAGACAUACUCCAUAAUGACCUUGGACAUAUAAGAUGCUGGAGAAUUCAUUUCUAGUAGGCACUCCACAAAAAUUCAGUUUUGGAUCCAAUUCGGAAUUUUUGUUGGGAAGUUCAUUCAUUUUGACCUGUAAACGGAGUUGUUAAUGAAUAUGCUGGAAAAAAAAAUCCUAGAUGAAUUCAUUUUGGAUCUAGACUCAUAAUGUUGGGGUUCCGGGUUUGAUUCCCAUUACCGGCUCCAUAGACUAAAUAUAGCAUGAAAGAUCCUAAAAAUCCCUGGGAAGGAAGAACCAUGCUCCAGCCAACAAUCAUAUUGAAUUCAUGCUCCAGCCAAAGGCGGGCAAUAUAUUUCAACACAACUUAUAUAGCAGUGCCAACAAAUAUGUCCUUAUUUUCAUCUAUACUGAAUAAGCCACAAAAAUGUUACAUAAAUCUCACAAUGAUUCUCAUCAUGUGUAUCAGACUGGCUAGAGCUGCCUGGCUCUCUGAUUCUUCUUACGGUGGUCGCCCCCAGCCUCUUCGCGGACCACUUCAGGAACGACCUCGUCGGCGUCUUCAUAUGCCUCGCCAUCGGGUGCUACCUGCUUCAAGAGCACAUCAGGGUGUCAGGAGGCUUCAGGGAGGCCUUCAGGAAGGCCAAUGGCGUAUCCAACACCAUCGGCAUCGUCCUGCUCUUCGUCUACCCAGUCUGGGUCCUGGUGCUGUGGUUCCUGUAGGACAUCUACUGCUAUCAGUGUGGCCAUUGAUUGGUUUGUGCAGUUCUGUUCGAUGUUUGGGGAUUCAUCGUGUAGACCUUUUCGAUGGUGAUUCGGUAUCUGGAGUCGAUGAACUCUG
Molecule: long non-coding RNA, 368153 nt
Filed under: Hordeum vulgare
Lineage: Eukaryota; Viridiplantae; Streptophyta; Magnoliopsida; Poales; Poaceae
Description: long non-coding RNA (HVUL_LNC013914)
Rfam family: MIR1120/MIR1122 microRNA precursor family (bases 167936-168022)
Source: RNAcentral